CGUCAACUUCCAAAGGAUAUGAAGUAUAUGGCAAACCUCCGACACCUCUAUACCCAUGGAUGCAUAUCAUUGACAUGCAUGCCUCCAGGACUUGGACAGAUCACUUCUCUGCAGACUCUAACAUAUUUUGUUAUUGGUGAUGGCUUGGGAUGUAGUACUAUCGGAGAACUUCAAAACUUAAACCUUGGUGGAGAGUUAGAGUUAAGUGGUCUGCAAAAUGUAACAGAAGUGCUUGCAAAAGCAGCCAAUCUUGAAAAAAAGGAGAAACUCACACACUUAUCUCUCAAGUGGAAUGAUGAUGCCCGUGAGAAACCAGAUUCUCAUAAUGAGGUGUUAGAUGCCCUUAAACCUCAUCACCGGCUAGAGAUGCUAAGAAUAAAGUCCUACAAAGGCACCAAUUUACCGUCAUGGAUAACAGAUCUUAGUCUGUUGCAGCACUUGACUGAGCUCCAUCUACUUGGUUGUACGCUGUGCGAGGAAUUUCCUCAAUUCUGCCAUUUCAAAGCCCUUGAAGUUCUGUAUUUGGAAAAGUUGGACAAAUUGCGAAGCCUAUGCAGCCAUAUGGUGUGUACGCCAUUUCCAGCACUGAAGCAACUCCGGUUACAUGAUUUGGAGAGCUUGGAGAGAUGGGUCGCAAUAGAAGGAAAAGAAGAUGAAUUAACCUUUCCUGUACUUGAGGAGAUUGAUAUAAACAACUGUCCAAAGUUGACUAGCCUACCUGAAGCACCAAAGCUCAAGGUUCUGUAUUUGCUGUGUGUCCGUGACACAGAAGCACUGCCUCAGAUAGAUUAUAAUUGGGAUUCAUCACAGAAACUGGAACUAUCCUUGGGUGGCACAGAAGCCGCACCUCUGUCACAUCUGAACAUAUCUGGCUGCAACUUUUUCUUCGUAUCAAGCCAGUCACAGAUAACACCUGGGGUCUGGAAAUGGUUUGAACAUCUUGUAGAUUUAGAAAUUGAAAACUGUGAUGUGCUCAUCUACUGGCCAGAAGAAGUGUUCCAAAGCUUGGUAUCUUUGAAGGAGUUGUGGAUUCAUUCCUGCAACAAGCUAAUAGGGCCCACACAAGCGAAAGGUGGCGAACCUACACAAACGACAGAUCAACUCCUGCCACAUCUAAACAGGAUAUUUAUAUGGAAUUGUAAAAGCAUGGCACAGCUCUUCAUUCUUCCCCCAUCUAUCAGGUUUAUUGAUAUUUGGGCAUGCCCUAAGCUUGAGUUCAUAUGGGGAAACGAGGAGCAUCUUGACACAUAUACAUCGCUGGAACAUUGCCGCGGCCCUGCAUCCACCACUGGUACCCUAGAGCAAUCGCCGUCUCCAAUUAUUCAUCGUCCAUGCCUCGUAUAUCUAACAAUAAGAAGCUGUGAUAGCCUGGUAACACUUCCAAAUCUACCACCGUCCCUCAAACGUUUAUACAUCUACAGCUGUGAGAAGCUCUGCUCUGUGUCAGGAGACCUGUGUGCACUCGAGGAACUACAUAUUUUUAACUGCAAUAAGUUACAGUCAGUCAAUUCCUUGGGAGACCACCCAUCAUUAGAAACACUGUAUCUUUAUCUCUGCCGAUGCCUUGCAUCUUUAGGGUGUGAUGGUGGUCGUGGGUGUUACUCUGCUCUUCAGUGCCGUGAGAUCGAAUACUGCCCAGCCAUAGACAUGAAGCAGUUUUACUAACGCCAUCAAACAGCUGCUUGACAGCUUUGAAUAUGAAGACGUAUCACACGUUCAUUCAAGCAGCUCUGAUGAAGGCACGACCUUUCACUUUCCUCUUAUUCAAUUUGUUUCCUUCAAAUUUCCCUGCUUUGCAUGCCCUCCUAUUUUGUUGACUAACUGGUGUAACCCCACAUAUUGGUGUUGAGAUCAGUUGAUGCGGAAUCACUGAAGUACUACUGAAACGAGAUCCUGAUCGGUCUCAGUUUUGGAGAGCAAUUUGUGGUGAACGGAGGCAGUCCAAGGCUUCAAGAACUCAUGGAGUCGUGCUGUACCAUUCUGCACUGCCAGGGCCAAAACAACACAAUUCCUUUAUAUAAGUUGGGUAAGUAAAAAACCAUGCCUCUGUCUGUGUUAAUCAAAUCUCAUUUAGCACAUAUAUGGGGACGUGUUGUUAACUUGUUACCCCAUGCUUUUCAUUUUUUCUGUGCAGACAUGACCCAUUUGUCCUUAAAAAGCAUAAAGGAGGGCACUCACAUGUACACACGACCGCUAUCUAGAGAUCAGGAGAAGAAGGAAAUCGUGGGGAUGCAGAUUUGCUUUCAACGGUCAAAACAGAGCUACAAAUGAUUAGUUGUAGUCGUGUGUGGUCCUUCCAUCACGAGUCGGUUUUUUCUUUUGCGCUAUAGAGAAGCCUUUCUUUUUCUUUGGCUAUAGUGUUAUAGUGUUGUGUUAGUUGUCCUCCUCCCCUCAUGUUAUUGAUCCCGUUUGUAUGUGUUGUGUUCUCUAUGUCGUCUGUCCAAAGCUUUUUCAGUUGUUGUCUCUUUUACGGUUGCUUUGGUUCUUUUUUCCUUUCUAUUAAUAUAACAUGAAAAUCCUCUUGCCAUCUUUUUGAAAAAAAAAAUCGUGGGGAUGCUGCUUGAUGAAGCUAGCAACAUGGAUCUCAUGGUUCUUCCGAUUGUUGGAAUGGGUGGGAUCGGCAAGACCACCUUUAAUUUGUGCAACUCAUUUUUUCGGCUGUCAGAUGAGCAUUCGACGCCUUUCCUUCAUCUUCUAGUAAGUAUAUAUCUAGGCGCAUAGCAAAAAUCAUAUAUCUAGAAAAAAUAACCUACAAUGGAGGGAUUACGUUGGAACAUCAACCAAACAAAUGGACGAACCUGUUUAAUUAUUUGGCCUCCAAGAAUGCCAUACGACCUGAAUGAAUAACUGAAGGCUAACAAGGCACUUAUUGUUGUACAUAGGAGCUGAGCUUGACUUAGAUAUAUUUAUUUGCAAACAGGUGUGAAAUGUGAUACAAUAAUUCAGAAAGCUAGACGUCGUGAGCCAUGCGAGAGAUAAGAAGAAGCUUCUCAUUACGGUGCACAUCCAUCCCAUACGACUGUGACAUUUCGAUGCCUGUCAACCCUGGCGGAAGCUCCCAGUUGAAGUGGUAGAUGAGGUUGGCAAGAAUGAUUUCGAAAGUGGCGGUGGUGAAGUUUAUACCCGGGCACAUCCUUCGCCCAGACCCAAACAGCAAGAAACAGAAGUCGUUCCCCCGGAAGUCGGAAGCAGCAUCCAUGGCUUCUUCCAUGAACCGCUCGGGCAUGAACUCCUCUGCACUCUCCCAGUAGGUGGUGUCCCUGCAUAGAGCCCACGCGUUGACGAUUACACGUGUACCGGAGGGUAUGGUAUAGCCCUCCACAUUGCAUUCCGACUUUUUUAUUUUUUGAACUUUUUUUUGAAAGAUUCUUACAAAUAGGUCCCUGGUGAAAACAUUUCAAAAUCUGGACCCUUAGCUUGGCGCCACCAUCGUACACGUCUCGGCGCUAGCGGCUCUGGCGCCUAGGUCAUUGCGCAGCUGGUGACGUGGAUGCUGACAUGGCGGGGACUUGGCACCAAGGUGGAUGAGGCCAAGCUUCGUAUUUCAACCACCUGCCUCCUUCCUACCCGAGCCUUCUUCCUCUUCUUUCUCCUCCCUCUCGGAUUUUUUCUCUCCCCACUUCACCCUACAUCACGAAUCGGCCUAUUGGAUCUUGGAAACUUUGAUUUGAUCCGUGGAUCUUCGAGAGCAAGGUAUCCUCGCUCCCUCAUAGUUUUUUUUCACGUCGAUUCGGUAUAUAUUAGUCGGAGUUUUGAACUUAGGGCUCAUGCAACCGUAGGAUGUCAAGGCGUGGAAAAGCUAGGAAAUUAAGGUAACCUCAACGCACGUUGUUAUGUUAUGGGUUCAUUGUUGUGGAUCGAAUGGGAAACCCUAGGUAUAGGUUUAAUGUUAAUUGCUUUCGGUUCUUACAACGAAAUGGACUAAAUUGUAGUUAUGGCGGGAUGACCGGAAAUGCCUUCGACCCAUUGCCUCUGCCAAGUGGUGUUCCAGUGCCCAUGUGCUUUUACAGCGAUCCUUGCAAGGUAGCCAAGUCCGAUGCAGAGGACACGUAUAGGAAGAGGUAUUGGUUGUGUUCCAAUUUUGCGUUUGAGCCUACACUUCGUCAGCGCCGCAUUAACAAGAUGGUGAGAAAUUGAUGUUGUCUAAUAAUUAUUUUGUUUCAUAUGACAUCUUGCAUGAUUUUUUUAUUUUCUAACAAUUGCAUUUGUUGCAAACCCCUCUACUGCUCUGUGAUUUUGAGCAGUGGAUUGACGCUGAGAUCAAGCCUGAAGAUAAGGAGGAGAUGCAGGAAAUGUUGCGGUGGGAGGUAGAGAAGAAGGAGACAAUGGAGAACAGACGCAGAGAGGAGGCUGCAGAAAAGGAGCACAAGGAAAAGGAGAAAAAGAGGCAUGCUGCUGCGAACAGGGAGGAGAGGGAGAAGAAGCUUGAGCGUGCACGCUGAGCGAAAGCAGCGAUUGAGGAGAAUCCCAAUGCCCUGAGGAAGGGAAAGUGGCCUCGUUGCACAUGGUAGUCUUCAGUACUUGCUAGUUCUAUGGUUUAUUCAUGAAUAAUGUUAUCUACUGUUGGACUUUUCAUUGUGUUGUCAUGUAAUGGACUUUAAGUAUGGACGAUGAUAAAAAGAAGUACCGACAGAUGCUCAUCACUGAAUCAACACAUGCCAUCGAAAUUUUGGCAGAAUUUCCCCUAUUUUUUUUACACAAUCCAUACAUGUAAGUGAGAUGAAUUUUUAACCUCAAUACAACAUGUUCAAACAUACAAAUAUAUGCCACAUUCAUAAUGAAAGUCCACAAAAUGCAUAAUGAAAGUCCACAAAGUUCAUAAUGAAAGUCCACAAUAGUACAUAUACACAAUAGUUCAUAAUAAAAGUCCAUAUACACAUUAGUUCAUAAUAAUAGUCCAUAUACACAAUAGUUCAUAAUGAAAGUCCACAAAGUCCAUGUUAUUACAUAAUAACAUCUACCACAAACCUUCACUACCUCCUAGUCUUACCCUUACCCUUGUGACCAAGAGUGUCGGUGCCUGGAGUGUAAGGGGAAGGUGGACGACGUCUCCUAGUGCCUGCAAGCUGUGUAGGCUGAGUCAAGGGAGCGUCCUGGAGCUGAAACGGGCCAAGCUCUUUGUGCCUCUCGUCAUCCUCAUCCUUGUAUGCAAUGCCUUUGGCCUGUGUAGCUGCUUGGCUAGACGAACCUAUGCCUCCUCUGCUUGAGGAAGGAACAUGCAUGUCUCGCAUUGUGGCUGUCCUGCAACCACAAUGAGCAGCCGCACGGCGUAGCCGACGUGAUAGUCUCUAUUGUACAAGAAAUAGGUUAAGUGAAAGAAUUUAACGUAUUAAUAACAUAUUUGAAAGCAUAUUUAGAAUCUUAUGUCUAGGAAGCUAUGCGUCUCGUCGUCUCUGACUCUCGGACGAAACUGCUCAAUGUCUUCAACCGAGGUUUUGAGGGUAUGGCCCUGCAACAAAGUAAAUGUACCAUCACUAAAUCACUAAGUCACUAUCUACCUAAAUCACUAAGUCAGUAUCUACCUAAAUCACUAAAUCUACCUAAAUCACUUAAGUCAACUAAUCACUAAGUCACUUAACAUAGAAAAAUAAGGCAAUUGACUUACCACUCUAUCCAAGAUUGGUCCUGCCUCCACUUGCCUUCCUACAUAAGUACUUCGGUCGUACGUCGUGUCUUCAUCGUCGAAGGACUCGAUGUCGCCGUAGUCAUCUUGUGUCCAUUGUAGCCUCAGCCUGCAACGGCUCGCACCUUGGUACCAAGCUUGGUAUCGCAUGUACUCACUGUUUGUGUGCAGCUCGUUGUUCUCAUCCACGUUGUCGUGGAACUCCUCCCAUUGCUCAAUGUAAGGCUGGUGGUAUACAUGUCACUCAAAAACCUUCCUAUUCUUCUUAUGAUCCAACCUGCACGUCACGUAAGAUGUUAUAACUUGUCCAUAGUCCUAUAACCUGAGUUAAUGUAAGGGACCAUCAUGAGAUAAUUGAAAUAGCAAAACACUUACUUGUGUAACUCUACGCCAGUCGAGAAUGGAGCCGUUGGCCAAAUCUGUCUCAUGCCAAAUUAGCGUGCAACUCGAUCAGGCUGGUGGAACUCGACGGCAUAGAAACAUAUAAGAGGGCACCUCAUCCUGUAUAAGUCAUCAUCGCUCACACACAUGGUGCUCAAAGGAAAAGUAAGUGCCCCCUCUCCUAUGUACGGCUCCCACGACACCUGCAACAUGUCCAAACAAGAUGUUAGAUGAUAUACUAAACCAAUUGAAAUCAGCAUGGGAAAUAAAAUGUACUUACACUAGACACCGUGAGCGUGUCUAGCUCGUUUGUGAAAUCACGGUACGCCCACUCCAACCUCAUGUGUAGAACCCUAACCUGGUCCCAAAGGUACGCCCACGUAGGAUGCUGUCUCGGAGGCUGACCUGGGAACCACUCACGGCGAGAUAGAACCUCGGGACAGCCAACUGGUAGACGCGCCCACAUCCACAACUGCUGUAGGUACACACAUCCACCAAGUGACGCUGAGGACGAAGACCGACGACAAGCCUCGCACAGCUGCAGGUAGAGAAAACCCAACAUUGCAGAGCCCCAGCUGUACUGACCCGCCUGGUGCCAGUCGGUGAGGCAAUGGAUCCACAUCCACAAUGUAGUGUCACCCGUGGCAUCGGGGAAGAGAACGCAUGCAAAGAGGUGUAGGAUCCAUGCCCUGCAGUAGUUCUCAACUGUUUGCUCAUUUGCAUCCUCGGGGCAUUGUGCAAACUGUUGCCGGAGCCAGGAGAUUAGAACACCAGAAGUGUGAGCACCUUGCUCGUCAACCUCAUGCCCAAGGAAGGCUGCUACUCGUUCUCUCCAACCAUCUGACCUGCACGGCCCAGUCACUGCGUCGCCGCGAAUCGUCAAACCUAACAUCUUCUAACAGUCCUCGAAUGUAACUAUCAUCUCUCCGAAAGGCAAGUGAAAGGUAUGAAUCUCAGGCCGCCACCUACAGUUUAGACAAAGGAAGAUUACAUGUCAAAUAGGCUAGGGCAUGAACGAUUGGCUAUGAAUGGACGCAAUGAUUGAAGAUAGUACCUAUCAACCAACGCUGUUGUGGCUGCUGAGUUGAACUUGGGCAACCCAUGACGAACCUGAAAUGAGAUGAGAUGACAUCUAGGCCAGCAGCUUGCAGCAAAGGAGUGUACCGGUCGUCGUACCGCAUGUCCAAGAACCCAUCGUGGGUUCUAGAACCAAGGAGCGGAAGGUCAUGCAUGCAAUGAAACAGAGUCUUCCGUUAUUUCACGAACAACACAUGUACGCUUAUAAAAAAUCAAUCAACACGUACAUAUUAUUACUACCCCCCGCUAUGAGACAUCCUCGAUGGGUCUGGUCGUACAUCGGGUCGAGCAGGUGGAGUUGCGCCAUCCUACAAAAAAUCAAUGAAAUAUAAAUUAAGUAUGCAAUGAAACAUAAACUUAGAAAUGUACAAAUAAUUAACACAAUUGCAAGUAUAAAUUGAGACAUGCAUAAUUAAUUGAAUGGAUACGACAUAUAUGAAAUAAUGAAAAGAACCACUAGUCGCACCUCACUAAUCUGCCAAUGGCACGUGUAUGAACUGUGGUCCAGUCUACCGCACUUGCCGCACUUGUUCUGCUCGGGUCAGUAAGAAAUGGGGUUGCCCUACCACGCCUCGCUCUUCCGGGUAUUUGAUCCAUAACCAUCAUGUGCCUCGUCCUCUUUCUUGAUCCACGCGUGUUCCAACAGUAAGCUGGAUCCGCAAUGUACUUUAGCCCAUCAUCAACAUGAGGGACAUGACUAGUAUUCCAACAGAUGCGCUCCUAUUCUUUCUGCACUUCUGCUCCCAUCUCCCUGUCAAAUUGUAUUACGGGUGUAGUUUAGCACUGAACAACAUGGUUUUGUGGUGCUGGGAUUGAAUCAUAGGAGUGCUAUUUGUGUAUCCGGAGCCAACUUUGACUGAUCUGAAUUUUGGUAAAUUUUCAUCCGAAUUUGUUUAAAAUCCAGUUGAAUCCAGGCCCGAAAUUUCCUGAAUUUCCGAAUUUCGUCCAUUUCGGAAGGCUCCGAAUUUUUUCAACUUUUGAAUCCCAGAACCUUGGUUGAGAAGCGGAGAGAUGGGAGACCUAGUUUUCAUCUUCGUUGGCUCGUUGGAGGGGAAUACUGCAUCUGGAGGAAUCGCGCGGAGGACAAGCUCAUGGAAGGCCCCGCUUUCGAUUACAGAGAAAAUCUUCGUUGGUCCGUGGGAUUUGAUUACAGCGAAGUCGAAGCAAACAUGUUUAACCGGUAUCUGAUUACGGGGGUGUUUGAAUACGAGGCGUUAAACUUUAACAGUGUCACAUCGGAUGUUCGGAUGCUAAUUAGGAGAACUAAAUAUGAGCUAAUUAUAAAACUAAUUGCAGAACCCUGUGUUAAUUUGCGAGACGAAUCUAUUAAGCCUAAUUAAUCCAUCAUUAGCAAAUGGUUACUGUAGCACCACAUUGUCAAAUCAUGGACUAAUUAGGCUUAAUAGAUUCGUCUCGCGAAUUAUACUCCAUCUGUGCAAUUAGUUUUGUAAUUAGUCUAUGUUUAAUACUCCUAAUUAGUAUCCAAACAUCCGAUGUAACGGGUGUUAAACUUUAACAGCUGGUUGCCAAACGGGCCCUACAUGGUACCAGAUACAGAGCGAUUUUUACUGAAACAAACAUCACCUAGAGCUGAUUAUUAUAUUCAUAUACUGACAAAAAGUAGAAUACUUCUCAGACAAGCCAGCCAUUACAACAAUAACAACACAACAACUGGAUUACCGGCGUGUCACAAUAACACACAACAAGAAGCUACGUACCACGAAGCAACAGAAACAGCACUCUUGCAAAUUAAGGGGAAUUCAACACCCCCAAGGAAACGGCGAUGAAAUUAAACCAGGCCCCGCCAGCAGAGCUUUGAGCACCUACACAUAUAUAGCAGGUGCAUGCAGCUCUCUAUUACAGAAACAGUAGAUCGAAAACGAUGAGCAACCAAGCAUCGAGCAGCAACACUGCUUACUUCUUCUCUCAAUGCAAGCAGGAAGAGAAGGCAAGCUAGCGAGCUGAUCAGCAGAGAAGUCGCCGGGAUUCAUUCAUUCAGAUGGCCGCCCGCGGUCGGCGUGCAGCGGCGCUCGCAGAAGUUUCCAGCAAAAUACGGAACUUCAAGCGGGCCGGGGCUCCUAGAUAGCAUGUACAUCUUUGAUCCGACAGCAGCCCAGUCCCGCCCAUGAACAACAAACAGUAGCAGCAGCUAGCGUAUGAGGGUGGUGUGUGGUGGGGCCAAAGGCCAAUCUUGCAAGACAGCAGGAAGGAGCGUAACAUGCAUGCCCGUGUGCAGUACUGCCGUGGGUGUUGAGCACUUUUUUUCUUGCUCCCGUUGUACUCAUGGAAACAUUUCAAAAGUAUAGAUUCAAUAUUUUGCAUAUUAUUUAAACAUUUCAAACAUUUAUGGAAACCACAUUUUAGAUAAACUGGUUCAAUAUUUUGCAUAGUAUUGUUGAAAUAGUGUACCUUAAACGUUGAGCUAAAUAUAUCUAAAAUGAUGAAACUAAGAAAAUAAAGAUGAAAAAAAUAUAUACAGUCAUGUGGGAUCUCAAUCCGUUAGAAAAAUUUCGAAAAGGCUCAUAAUUUAAUUGGAAUUAAAAUUAAAUGCACCGUUAGAGAGAUAAGUAAGUUGAAAAGUUCGAAAUCAAAACUCACAUCACCCAACAAGUAGCUGACACCUAUCCGUCCUUUCAGCAGCUCCACCCACCUCGCGCCAGCAUACUAGCACAUGGUGGUCCCCAGCCACCUCUCGCCAGAUCGCAGUGCCCGAUGGGAGAUCCGGCGAUGCCGUUGCGUCGAAGGAGAGGGCGGAACCGACGAGGGUCGCCGGCGGCUCCCACCCCGGCCGAACGCGUCCUGACCGACUCCGGCAGGGGGCGGCAGGGCCUCCCGCAGGUGAGCGCUUCCAUCCGUGGUCCGCAGCAGUAAUGCCUGAUUUUUCGCUUUCUUCUCCAGAAUUCGUCGCAUAUACUUAUAUGUCAUCGUUCUCUGAUUUUUCGCUUUCUUCUCCGGAAUUCGUCACAUAUACAAAGCUUUCACGAUUUCGAUGAGAGAUUUGGUCAUGUUUGUGGCCACGGAGACACAGUCUAGCUAGCGUAGUGAAAAGUGCCACUAGUGAUUGCAAUACGCACGGAAAUUGGUUUUUUGUCUGUUCUUUCUCCAUCUCAAUCAUCAAUCAAAUGGGGGUAGUUGUCCUGUACCUAUCUUUCUCCAUCUCAAUCAUCAAUCAAGCAAAAUGAAGAUUCCCCAUCACAUCAAACUUGCGGUACAUGCAUGGAGUACUAAAUGUAGACGAAAUCAAAAACUAAUUGCACAGUUUUGUUGUACUUUGCGAGACGAAUCUUUUGAGCCUAAUUAGUCAAUAUUUUGGACAAUAAUUCACAAAUACAAACGAAACGCUACAGUGUCGCAUUUAUGGCAAAAUGCCAAUUUAGCACCUCCCAACUUGGGAAGUAAAUAAGAGCCAAAUGGGGUGGUUGUCUGUACGCCGGGUGGGCCGAGUUGGCCAAACUGCACAGUGGUGGUGGUAGCCAAGGUGUUGUUCAAGGUCGGGCUGGCACGCACACGGCCGUACCACAUCAGGGUGUGUCCUGCUUCCCCGUCAACUUCCUCCAAAACUGUGGUGGGAGCCGCGUAAUGGAGGAGGGUGGUGGGCCAAGCGACAGCUAGCUGUGGUGUGGUGGGCAUCCAGCAGGCGCGCAGGGCCCAGCCGUGGCCCACUUUUAUGCUGCCAAGAAAGAUGCCUUUGUGAUUAUGCGCCGGGGUGAGAGAAGAAGACACGGCACCUAAUACUUUCCUCACCUUUGCAGUGCCGUGGGCCCGCCACUUCCCUUCUGGCCCACAUGUCAUGGAGACACGUCAGGCUGUGGUGGACAAGGGAAGACACCGCACCGCACGCACCUCCACCACUUGCCUUCGCUUUUCCCACUUGUGCUGUGGGAAGACACCGCAUGCACCUCCAGCUCGAGCUCGCCCGCCUAGCUAGGAGCUCCAGCAUCCGGUCCGCUCCGCCGCCGGUGCAGCAACCACGCCGCCGUCAGACCGCCUCGCGUGGCCACCGGUCGUCCCCGCGAUACACCGCCGCCGGUGCGCCGUGCGCGGCGGCGCUGUCCCGCCGCUCCUCCGCCUACCGUCCGCCUGCGCCACCACCAGCGCACCGGCAGCACCGCGAGCUGCCGCGCCGCCCCGACGUUGGUCCUUCCUGAGCCCGGUGUCGUCACCAGCGUCGCGGAGAAGCUAAUUACCUGAAGCAAUUUGUAGAAACGAAUAGUACUGGUUCGUUCACUUAUUUCUUUGCUCAAACUUAAUUUCUGCUUAGAGUUUGUGCCUAAAUUAGCUGCUUAUUCUGCUGGUUGCAUGCAGGAGAUCGAGCUGCGGGCGUACGGCCGGAUCGGAGGAGGAAAUAUCAGCCGGGUUCCUGUUGGUUGUGUACUUGUGUUCCUGCCGGCGGAGGCAACCAUGGCCGAGUUAGUGAUCGGGCCACUGAUCUCCAUGGUCAAGGAGAAGGCAUCCAGCUACCUGCUCGACCAAUACAAGGUGAUGGAAGGCAUGGCGGAGCAGCGCAAGACCCUGGAGCGCAAGCUCCCAGCAAUCCUGCACAUCAUCCAGGAUGCGGAGGAGAAAGGAGCCUCCCGACCUGAAGUAGCAGCUUGGCUCAAAGACCUCAAGACAGCAGCCUAUGAGGCCAACGACGUCUUUGAUGAGUUCAAGUAUGAGGCGCUUCGGCGAGAAGCCAAGAAGAAGGGCCACCACAGCAAGCUUGGAGCAGAGGUAGCAAGACCAUCGAGGCGCUUCAGCGAGGCGCUUCGGCGAGGCGCUCGUAAUCCCAUUGUAUUCCGUUACAGGAUGGGCAAGAAGCUACGCCGGAUUGUGCAGACCAUCGAGGCCCUAGUCACCGAGAUGAAUACAUUUGGUUUCAGAAACUUGCAGCAAGCACAGCCAUCAAGGCAGUGGCGACAGACAGAUUCCAUAAUCAUUGACUCCGACACAGAUAUUCUUAGCAGAUCUAGAGAUCGGGAGAAGAAGAAAAUCGUGGGGAUGCUCAUUGAUCAAGCUAGCAACAUGGAUCUCAUGGUUCUUCCAAUUGUUGGGAUGGGUGGGAUGGGCAAGACCACCUUUGUGCAACUCAUUUACAAUGACCCUGCAAUCGAGAAGCACUUUGAGUUUCGGAGGUGGUGCUGCGUGUCAGAUGAUUUCGAUGUCAGUACCAUUGCAAGCAACAUCUGCCAGACCAAUGAGAAAGGUCGUGAAAAAUCAUUGCAGGAGCUCCAGAGUACAAUAAGUGGGAAAAGGUACCUCAUUGUGUUAGAUGAUGUCUGGAAUCGGGAUGCUGAUAAGUGGGGAAAACUAAAGACCUGCCUUAAGCAGGGUGGCAAGGGCAGUGCAGUACUAACAACAACUCGUGAUGCAGAAGUGGCUCGCAUUAUGACCAUGGGUGUAGCUGAAGCCCAUAAUAUCGAGAAUCUGAGUGACGAGCAUUUAAAGGAAAUUGUCCAGAGCAGAGCAUUCAGCUUGCAAAAUCCAAAUAUGGAAGAGCAAGAUGGCAUUCUCAGUGGAUUUGUUCGUCGAUGUGUUGGAUCUCCCUUGGCUGCCAAAGCCUUUGGCUCUAUGUUGAGUAACAGGACUAGUAUAACUGAAUGGAAGGAUGUAUUAGCUAAAAGUGACAUUUGUAGUGAGAAAACCGGAAUUUUACCGAUCCUCAAGCUCAGUUUUGAUGACCUAUCCUCAGAUAUGAAGCAGUGCUUUGCAUUUUGUGCUUUAUUUCCUAAAGAUUAUGAGAUCCAUGUGGACCUCUUGAUUCGACUGUGGAUGGCACAUGACUUCAUACCUUUGCAGGAGGAUGACAAUCCAGAAACCGUAGGAAAAUAUAUUUUCGAGGAGCUAACUCGGAGGUCAUUCUUUCAAGAUGUCAAGCAAACACUUACAUAUGGCUCUUUUGGAAGUCUUCGUAGGUCAUUCUUUCAAGAUGUCAGGCAAACACUUUCACUUGGUGUCCUUGGAAGGUUGUCGCUUCGUAAGUCAACCAUAUGCAAGAUACAUGAUCUCAUGCAUGACAUUGCUCUAUCUGUUCUGGGGAAAGAAUGUGUCACUAUAGUUGGUAAGCCGAGCAUCAACAAGCUGAUGCUAAAUCCAACCCGCCACGUCUUCUUAUCAACAUAUGAUGCUACUACUACUUUCUGGAAAGAACAGGUUACAAGUCUACUAGAUCAUCUAUUGAAGGAACAAACUGCAAUGCUCCAUACGUUGUUUUUUACACGUUAUGAUGCCCCCAUUGAUAUAUCAAAGUACACUUCACUGCGAGCAUUACACCUUCCAGCAUAUAUACCAUGUUCAGGACAGGAACAACUUACAAGACACAUACAACACCUAAGGUAUCUUAAUCUGUCGUGUCAUGAGUUCGAGAAACUUCCUGAAGGUAUAAGCAUUAUGUAUAAUCUACAAACGUUGGACCUCUCUCAUUGCAUAAAGCUUCGUCAACUUCCAAAGGAUAUGAAGUAUAUGGCAAACCUCCGACACCUCUAUACCAAUGGAUGCGGAUCAUUGACAUGCAUGCCUCCAGGACUUGGACAGAUCACUUCUCUGCAGACUCUAACAUAUUUUGUUAUUGGUGAUGGCUUGGGAUGUAGUACUAUCGGAGAACUUCAAAAUUUAAACCUUGGUGGAGAGUUAGAGUUAAGUGGUCUGCAAAAUGUAACAGAAGUGCUUGCAAAAGCAGCCAAUCUUGAAAAAAAAGAAAAACUCACACACUUAUCUCUCAAGUGGAAUGAUGAUGCCCCUGAGAAACCAGAUUCUCAUAAUGAGGUGUUAGAUGCCCUUAAACCUCAUCACCGGCUAGAGAUGCUAAGAAUAAAGUCCUACAAAGGCACCAAUUUACCGUCAUGGAUAACAGAUCUUAGUCUGUUGCAGCACUUGACUGAGCUCCAUCUGAUUGGUUGCACGCUGUGUGAGGAAUUUCCUCAAUUCUGCCAUUUCAAAGCCCUUGAAGUUCUGUAUUUGGAAAAGUUGAACAAAUUGCGAAGCCUGUGCAGCCAUAUGGUGUCUACGCCAUUUCCAGCACUGAAGCAACUCCUGUUAUAUGAUUUGGAGAGCUUGGAGAGAUGGGUCGCAAUAGAAGGAAAAGAAGAUGAAUUAACCUUUCCUGUACUUGAGGAGAUUGAUAUAAACAACUGUCCAAAGUUGACUAGCCUACCUGAAGCACCAAAGCUCAAGGUUCUGUAUUUGGAUGAAGGCAAGCCGCUGCUCUCCUUAGGAAUAUUUAAAUCAAGGCACAUGUCUUCAAUUUCUAAGCUAGUGCUGCGUGUCCGUGACAGAAACUGGGAUUCAUCACAGCAACUGGAACUAUCUUUGGGUGGCACAGAAACCGCACCUCUGUCACAACUGAGCAUAUUUGGCUGUAACUUUUUCUUCGUAUCAAGCCAGUCACAGCUAACACCUGGGGUCUGGAAAUGGUUUGAACAUCUUGCGGAUUUAAAAAUUGAAAACUGUGAUGUGCUCAUCUACUGGCCAGAAGAAGUGUUCCAAAGCUUGGUAUCUUUGAAGGAGUUGUGGAUUGAGUCCUGCAACAAGCUAAUAGGGCCCACACAAGCGAAAGGUGGCGAACCUACACAAACAACAGAUCAAGUCCUGCCACAUCUAAACAUGAUACGUAUACACAGUUGUGAAAGCAUGGCACAGCUCUUCAUUCUUCCCCCAUCUAUCAGAAUUAUUCUUAUUGACGAAUGCCCUAAGCUUGAGUUCAUAUGGGGAAAGGAGGAGCAUCUUGACACAUAUACAUCGCUGGAACAUUGCCGCGACCCUGCAUCCACCACUGGUAACCUAGAGCAAUCGCCGUCUCCAAUUAUUCGCCGUCCAUGCCUUGUACAUCUAUAUAUAAGGAGUUGUGAUAGCCUGGUAACACUUCCAAAUCUACCACCGUCCCUCAAACAUCUAAUCAUCGACAGCUGUGAGAAGCUCUGCUCUGUGUCAGGAGACCUGUGUGCACUCGAGGAGCUACAUAUUUAUAAAUGCAAUAAGUUACAGUCAGUCAAUUCCUUGGGAGACCACCCAUCAUUAGAAACACUGUAUCUUAAGCGCUGCCGAUGCCUUGCAUCUUUAGGAUGUGAUGGUGGUCGUGGGAGUUACUCUGCUCUUCAGAGCCGUAAGAUCGAAGACUGCCCAGCCAUAGACAUGAAGCAGUUUUACUAACGCCAUCAAACAGCUGCUUGACAGCUUUGAAUAUGAAGACGUAUCACACGUUCAUUCAAGCAGCUCUGAUGAAGGUACGACCUUUCACUUUCCUCUUAUUCAAUUUGUUUCCUUCAAAUUUCCCUGCUUUGCAUGCCCUCCUAUUUCACUCAUGUAACCCCACAUGCAUUUCAUUUUUGCUGUGCAGACAUGACCCAUUUGUCCUUAAAAAGCAUAAAGGAGGGCACUCACAUGUACACACGACUGCCAUCUGGAAGCUUCAUUAUUGCGAGCCUCUGCUAAUGAUGACAGGCCUGCAGUGGAUGACAAAAACGACAAAGUUUGUUUUCACGGCACUACCAGCUGCUGGUAAUGCUCUUGUCACUAAUGUACAGUACUCCAUUCUGUCAUCCAUGAAAGUCGUGGAGAAUGGUCUAUGAUGUUACUCCAUUCUGUCAUCCACGUGAGCCGAUGAAGCAGAAACAAAUGAUGAUGAUGAUGGAUGAUAUAGCUGCCGGGACCCACUGCAACCUCGUGCAUCAAUCAUGACGAUCUCUAACGGCAAAGGCAUGCAUCCAGUAUGGCCUGAUGAAGUAAUUUAGUCUGCCAAAUUUCUUUCUGCUCGUUGCGCAUAGAAGGCGUAUUUUCUUUUCCUUUUUUCCACCCGAGAAGGAAGAAGAAGAAGAAACUGCUGUGGCCAAUUCAAUCCGGAUCAUCAAAACAACAGCCCAUUCCAGACUAGAAGAAUUUGGUCACCAAAUUCGGAUGGAGGUAAAAAGUCACUAAUUACCUGCAGCACCGAAUAGUACUGGUUCGUUCAUUUACUGUUUCCAAAAACUUUCUGCUGAGAGUUUGUGCAUUGUAGUGACACUAAAUUAGCUGCUUAAUCUGCUGCUUAACUUUCUGCUGGUCCUCAUUGUGAUUCCUGUUGGUCGUGUUAAUUCCUGCCGGUGGUGGAGAAGGUGAUAGAAGGCAUGGAGGAGCAGCGCAAUGUUGCACAUUAUCAAGGAUGCGGAGGAAAGAGGAUCCUCCCGACCUGAAGUAGCAGCUUUGCUCAAAGACCUCAAGACAGCUGCCUAUGAGGACAACCGCGUCUUUGAUGAGUUCAAGUACGAGGCACUUCAGCGGGAAGCCAAGAAGAAGGGCCAUCACAACAAGUCAAGAAGAAGGACCUACAAUUUGAAACAGAGGGAUUAUAUUGGAACAUCAACCAAACAAAUGGACAAAACCGUUUAUUUAGCGUACAAGAAUGCCAUACGACCUGAAUAAUUGAAAGCUAACAAGGCACUUUAUUGUUGUACAUACAUAACAGCUGAGCUUGACUUAGCUACAUUUAUUUGCAAACGGGUGUGAAAUACGAUACAGUAAUUCAGAAAUCUAGACGUCCAUAGCCACCCGUGGGAUAAGAAGAAGCUUCUCCUUUCGGUAGAGAGAGAGGAAGGGAGGAUAGGAGAAAGAAUAGGAGAAGAGAAAAGUAGAAAUAGAAAAGGAAAAGAAGAGAGAAGGGGAAAUAAAGAGUUGAGAAAAAAGAGAAGAAUAUAGAAAAAAACGAAAAAGAGAAAUAAAAAGGAUAAGGACGUUAUAGGCAUUUCAUUCUUUUUAUCCUUGUUACGUAGCCAGAUGAAGCUAUUUUACCCAAUGUUUUUCUAACCAGACAAGCCCGAGCCAAAAAAACCGCUUCAUCGGAAAAGCCACAGCCGCAGCUUUGCCAAACAAGCUCUUAUAAUAGCGGCCAUCUUAUCUUCAUGCAAGAACUCAUAGAGAUUGUCGUAGUCAUGGACGACCGGAAAUGUGAAUUGUCAUAAUCUAGAGCCAGUAAUCAACCCAACCAAGGUCUUCAAUCUGGAGUCAAUUUUUUUUCUUCCAAAUAGUGACUUCUUCAGUUCAAUAAUUCACGGUAAACCAUGGGUUUUCAAAAUCAUGCAUCUUGAAAGAAGAAUUAAGGCGAUGAAUAUUAGAUUGAUUAUAUGGGAGAAUAGGCUACAACUAUAUAUAGGCCUAGGGAGACAAGGCAGGGGCGGCUAGGGUUGGGAACCCUAGCCGCCACCCUAGGCACGCUAGGUCCGGCGGCGCCCACAGGUGAGCUGCUAGCCGGCCCACUAACACAGCAGGAGCCGCAAGCCCACUAGGAUUAAUACAAUCUAACACCCUCCGCAGUCGGAACGUCGGCGUAGUGAACGUUCAGACUGGAUCUAAACUCAGCAAACACUGAAGAUGGCAAUCCUUUGGUGAAGAUGUCAGCGAACUGAGAUGAUGUCGGAACAUGGAGAACGCGGACAUCACCAAGAGAGACGCACUCCCGAACAAAAUGCAAAUCAAUCUCCACAUGUUUGGUGCGUUGAUGAUGUACGGGAUUGGACGCCAUAUAGACUGAGCUGUUGGCCGGUCCUAGGCGGCUGGCUGCCCGAGCUCUACUGGCCGGCGCCUCCCUAUGUAGGCCGAGCGGAGGCAGAGCUCAAGGAGCCGGUGUCGGGACUGCCUAACGAGGUGGUGACGAGGGUGGUAGCUGUCGAAGUCUUGGCCGUGGUGAGCUCCUCCAGGAGCAGAUCGACGCGAGCCUCUAGGAAGGAGGAGAAUGGGAGGGCGCGACGAAGAUGCAGUCCGAUGGAGGAGAAGCGCUCCCCGAGGCCGCGGAUGAGGUUGAGGACGAGGGUGUGGUUGGAGACUGCCUCGCUGAGGUCACCGAGAGCAUUGACCAUGUUCUUCAUGCGGCAGCAGUAGUCGGUGACGCUGAGAUCGCCCUUGCAAAAAGUGCGAAACUCGGUUUCUAGAAGAAGAGCACGAGUCUCACGGUUACUGACGAACUAGUUCACCAGGGGAAGCCACACAACACGAGUAGUGGUGUGCGGGGAGACGGUGGCUUCCUCAAGGUCAGCAGAGAUGGUGCCGGAGAGCCACGUGAGGACGACGCAAUCCAUCCGGACCCAGUUGGGAUGGGUGCUGACGGUGUCGGUGAGGACGUGCCUAGAGAGCAAGUACUUGCUAAGGGUGAGGAGGAACUGGCUGUGCCACCACGUGUAGUUGCCGGUCUUGAUGUCGAGGACGAUGGUGAUGAGGGCGUGGAUGUUUUGGACGGCGACAGCCUGGACAUGAAGCGCUAGGAGGGCCGUAGCUUCAUGGUGGAGGAGGGCGCCGUCGAUGUCGUCGCCGGGGCGGUGCUGGCCGGUGGCGCAAUCCAACACCUCGCGCUCUUGGGCAGUGGUGGCGAUGGCUUCCUGUUCCGCCGCGGCGGAUGCCUCGCGGGCAGCCAUAGCAGCGGCGACAGCGCGCUCGGCGGCCUCGACCCAUGCGCAGGUGUCAGCAGCAGAGGUGGCAGCAGCCUCGCGCUCAGCCGCAUUGCGCUCAGAGGCAGCGAGGACGAUGGCAGCGGUGGCGGCUGCGCUAGGGGUGGUGGAGUGAUCGCGGGAGAGGCUGAGAGAGUUGGCCAUGAGAGAAGCGCGCGAGAAGCGGAAGCUGGUGACCUAGGAUGAAAACCUACACUCGUAAUACCAUGAAAGAGGAACUGAGGCGAUGAAUAUUAAUUAGAUUGAUUAUACGGAGCACAGGCUACAACCAUAUAUAGGCCUAGGGAGACCAGGCAGGGGCAGCUCCAACCCUAGCCGCCACCCUAGGCGCUAGGGCCGGCGGCACCCACAGGCGGGCUGCCAGCCGGCCCACUAACACAGAGGGGCUGCAGGCCCACUAGGAUUAAUACAAUCUAACACAUCCCAAUCUUAAGGAAGUGCACUAGUAGGUUCUUUUGUAUCACUUUUGGAUAGUCAUCGAAUUGCCGAACCUUUGAGCAGCGGAUCGACCGCAUUCCCUCAUUCCCUCAUGAAACUAAAAGGGAAAUCCUGUUCUCAUAGCUGGAUAAUAGCGCACGGCGACAGAAAAGCCAGCAUUGUUUCUGAUCUCAUUCACGUAUACAGCCAGUUGCUCGCUUGUGACCAUGCCGCUGCAUGAAGAAUAUGGACCGGAUGUUUAGAGUAGUCAGUAAGCAGGGAUCGAUUUCCACUACUUUCCCCCACCGAAAAUGCCGGAUUUUGGGUGGAUUUGGGGGUGGGGCGGCGGGGGGCGGCGCAAGGAGCUCGAGCUCGGGUGUGUCUGGAGGAGGAAGAAAGGAGGGAGGGAGGAGGAAGGGAGCCGGCGCGUGGAUCUAGUGCUGGCCCUGCCGCGCCAGGCGGGCUGGCGCGGCGAACGCCCCGCCCACGUCAGCGCCCACCUGGCGCCGCGACUCGCCGCGCCAGCGUGGCAGGGGCCGCCGCGCCAGUGCAUGCGGCGCGGCAGCGUGUUCCUGCUGCGCCAGGCGGUCUGACGUGGCCAAAAGGGUCACGCCGCGCAAAUUAAACCCGGGUGAGGUUAUUUUUAAAAAUAAAGAAAAAAAGGGUUAAAAAUAAAAAAAAAGUUCUCAGUAAGCAAACACUGCCUAAAGUAAGUUUACAGAGCUACAUGCUGGGCAUUUCAGACUGCUGGGCAUUUCAGACUUGUUUAAACAGAGGUUAGUAGUCUUAGUAACGCUGCACACACGGGUAAAAUAGUGUAUAUAUGUAAACCAAACCAACGGCGUCGUCGGCAGUUUCCUGUGUAAGCAAGGGGGAAGAUGACAGCUCGCCAAGAAUUAGCAGCAGAUGUCCCUCGUCAAAACUUCAAGCCAGUAGUCUGUAAAAUAGAAAGAGAUUUGUUCCACUUAGGCUGCUACGCCUACAACAAUAACGACUGGGGAGCUAGGAAAUAGCAUCAUGCUGAUAAGCCCAACAUCAUUGGAAUACAGUAACAGCAAACUGAAAACAAAAGAGGGUACAUCAUGGGCCAACUGAAAGUAUGUUCUCCAUAACAUUUUCUUUAGAAAAUCCUCAGCGAUCAACACACACAACCAAAUUAUUACAGAAUCUUAAGCUCAGUUGCUGAUUAAAAAAAUAAAAAGAGAAAAUAAUUAUAAGCAAUGUUUAAUGUUGCUUAUCCAUCCAUUUUUAAUGAAAACUUUCCAAAGCUUCCAUUGCUCUGCUAUCGAACGGACGGUCACCCUUAUGUCCUCACACCACGUUAAUAAAUCGCGAUCAAUAUGUUCCCCCGAAGGUAACCUUCAAAGCGAUGAACGCACAUCACAAACGAGCAGCCGAGCACGAACAGAGGAUGCUGAAACACCACAUGGAUCUCCACGACAACACCUUCAACAAGAACACAACGUCAACGACGCCAUCGUCAUUGGCCCAAGUAUUGGGCUGGGUUUACACCCGAAGAAUCAAAACAUCACCAUACGGGGGAGGUGCAAACAAAGUUGCCUCCAAGGAGGCAGUGGCACUCGCAAGUGUCACCGUCCAUGCUUUCGCCCUGGCCUCCACCACGUCAUGCUGGCAGCAGCCUGGGCAGAAAUGCACUCACUGAGCUGCUGAUGGUGCUGAGCACGUUCAUAACUGCCAUCCAUCAUUGUCGAGAGCUGCUGCCGCUGCGAACUCAGGCCCACAGCAAGGCCUAGAUGCAUGUGUCGCAUCAUGGCUGACACCACACUAAGCCCACCAUGUCGCCAGACUGUCACAGCCGGAUAAGGGCGCCGGUCGUCAGAUCCGAUCCGACCCUCAGCGCAUGGAAUCCACCACCUAGAGGCUACUUGUACAUUCUCAACUCUACUUGUAAAUUCUCAAUGUGCUUUAUCUUGCUCCAAUCAUCUCCUGACUCGCUGCAUCUUUGCUUAAACCUCUUUGUGCAUUGUGAUAGUGUCAAGGUAUGCAAAGAGGUCAGUCUCUCAAUGCACGGAGGCAAAGUUUUCAUCCAGUAGGUCUCUACUUUGAGCUCACGGAGAGAUGCCAUAUCUCCCAACCAUUCUGGCAAGGUUUCCAUGUCCUCACAGUUCAGUAUCUCUAGCUUCCUGAGGGAUUUCCAGCCUAGAAUGCACUUUGGCAAAGGUACAGGAUCGAUGCAACUGUCAACAGUUAAUUCUUCAAUGUCAAGCAGUUGAAGAGAAUCGGAGUCAGAAGAUAUAUCUUUGAUGUACUUGAUUUCCAUUUUGGAUGAUAAAGCAGAUGUUGCUAGCCCCAUGACUUGGUAGAAUGAUGGCCAAUUGAAUAAAAAUGGAUAUUGUUUAAUUCCAGAUAUGAUAUACCUGGCACUCCAAGGAAUUGAUGGUUCGAAUCUUACGUUCAAACAACAGUCUAUCUCUAAAUAUUGAAGUCCAGGAAAUAUUGUGCGCUUGUAGGAGGAUUCCCUGCCAGUAUCACUGUGUCUUCCUUCCUGCUCUCUUUGAAAUAUGUUCUUAUCAUCCUUCUGCUCAAUACAAUGCGACGUCGAUGUUUUCCACAGUAACUUCCCAACUCUUACUAUUGUAACUCUUCUGAGAUUUUUCACUGGCUGUGUGCUCAAGAUGCAUAUUGAUGAUUUGUCAUAUAGGUUCAGGUCAUUUGGCCUAUUAAUCACCGGGAAAGACGAGAUAUACAAUUCUUCAAGAGAUUGUAAAUAAUCUAGAUGGAGGUGACCAGAUUGAACAUCGAAAAGCUCAAUCUUACAAGAUUUGGUAGCAAACGUAACCAGUUAGGAAAAUCACCACCAACAUAGUUCUUUAUGCAAAGCCUUUUAAGGUUUUGAUGAGGCCGGAGCUCUUCUAAUGCGACCUUGUUGAACACUGGCCCACUCCACUCCAAACUUAAAAAUUGGAGCUCCUCUUUUUGCGCCAAUUCAAUUAUGUUUGCUUCUGAGCUUGAUAGACCUUCGAGAUGUUUAAUAUUAAGUUCAAUAAGCUGGUGACUUGUAGUCUUUUGCAGAAUAGCCAUGUCGUCUGAUGAACUGACGGCAAAACUAGGGCCCUGCUAUUUUACAAAAACAUAGAAAAUCAAAAAUAAAACAUUCUGCUUUAGUCAAGAUGGCAUGCAUACUAUAUAAAACUCUAGAUGCAAACAUGCAGCUUAGAGCAUCUCCAAUAGUCAUCUAAUAAAUGUUUCCAGAUAACUAGUUAAUAGGGAUAUCCCGAGUUGCUUUUGCAGUCUUCUAUAACCUCAUCCCAAUCCAACUACCGUGUUGGGAGAGUCACAACUCCUUUAUUUGGAGAGUUGGGGUGAAUUAUUCGUUGAAUAAUUAUUGGAAAAAAGGAAAGGUAAAGGGAGUGUGUUAGAGCCCUAUUUUUUCACAAACUCUCCAAAUAUGGUAGUUGUAUUGGAGAAUAGGGAUCUGCUGGAGAUACUAUGUAAACCAUUGGACAAUUGAAUGCUGAUGAGGCUUAUGGAAACAGAGCCAGCCAAGGAUCCCUACCUAACUCUACCAAUCACGGGUAUGCACAGCAGAUAUGCUGGCAACAGAUCCUACCACGUACAUAGCACAAAAAUACAAUUCUAAAAAAUUUGAUGUUCGUCUGGUAUAUCCCAAAAGUUGCUUGACUAUUUUAAUUUGGAACUUGCUUGGCUACUCCUUCCAUCCCAUAUUAUAGGUCAUUUUGGCAUUUAUAGGUUUAUGAUUUUUUGCUGUGCACCUAGAUAUAUAUUAUAUCUAGAAGCUAUGAAUCUAAAAUUGCCAAAACAACCAACAAUUUGGGUAAUUUGGGAUGGAGGGAGUAUUUUAAUUUGGAGAAUCAGGUCUACUAUAAGUGCCACAAUUAAGCAAGGUAGUGGCAUAUCAAACAAUAAAUUAAAUAUUUAUGUUAGAAAGGAAUUCCAUUAAUUCAUUCAUAUAUACGAUAUUCACUCCCUAGAAUUAAUGAAAAUACAUUAACAAAUCACAUGCCUGCAUGAUAGAUUGAGCCUCUUGUUAUGCAACCGUAAUUUAUAGUAUACAUUGUAGAACAAAACAGUAAUAAUUAAAAACAGUGCAUAUUACCUCAUGUGCAUCUACAUGUUUGAUGUGAUUAAUCUUGUCGUAGUCCUCUCCUAAACGGCUGCAGCAUUCACGCAGUUUGUAAUUGCACUUCUUAAGAGUUAAUGUCUUCAAGGAGGUUACAUCCUUGAUGGAGUGAGGCAAAUGCUGCAGUUUGGCAGAAUAAACUUCUAGAUGCUCCAGAGAUGCCAGAUCCCCCAACCAAUCUGGGAGUGCCGCAAAAUUACAACAACCGUCCAAUAUCCGCAAGCUCCUAAGGGAGUGGCAGCUCCGGAUGAUCUCCGGCAAGGUGAUCAGAUCACUGUCAGAUUGAAUAGUUAAAUACCACAAGUCGGUGUUGUAUUGGAGAAAUUCUGAAGCGUCAGAAAAGCCAAAGAUAUUUGGUUUCACUUCAAGUCUAAAAAGGUGUGGAGAUCCAACGAGUAUCCCGGGUGAUAGUUCUACCUUACUGCAUGAUGCAACUAUACGCCCUAUGUAUCCUUGAAAAGCUGAACUGAGGGUCAACCUAGGGCAUCCCGUAAUAACGAGGUGUGCAAGGCGUGGAAAUAUUUCAUCUCCUUGCACCUUCUGUUCAUCAUCAUCCCAAGACAUCUCUCCAGCAGACAGCUCCAAGUUCGUGGACAACACCUCCAAAUUCUCCAUCUUAUCAAUACAAAAUUUCCUUAAUUUCCUGAAUGGGUCCCUGCCUCCAUAAAAACUAGCAUCCACUUCUCGAAUAUUAGGCAUAUCUGAAAUGUGCAGUUCUUCAAGGUUUGCUAACUGUCCUAGUGAAGGGAGGCGUGCGCACCUUGGCAUGCCCAUCAGCACUAUCUUCACAAGAUUUGGAAGAUAGAGAUUUGGAUCGCUCAUCCAGCCACAAAAUGUGGCAUCUCGAUAACCUUCUAUUUGAAGUGUUAAUAGGUUAGGAUGAGGAUGGAGUCUUUGGAGAACUGAAGAAUCAUCAGCUCUGGAGAAUUUUAUGCUUAGAUUAAGAUAUACAUUGUUAGGCCUAUCGCCUGAUCCAGAUAAACCAUUGCUGGAAUAAGAGUUUGCGUCAUGCGACCAUACCAAUCUCAGCGUGCGCAGCUUGUCAUAUGUAGCCAACUCUCCAAGGCCAACUUCAUCAGCGCUAUUCACCUUCUCAAGAUUUGAAAUAAAUAGGUCUGUGAUUCCAAAGUCUGUAUUUUGACGGAGGAGGAGAAAAUCACUUUCUUGCACUGCAAAAUACAUUCCCUGUGAAGGGAGAGACAGAGUUAGACUAUUACCAAAUACAACGAAAAUAUUUAUGCAUCCAUUCUGUUCUAGAUAAGAAUUAGAAAAUGUCCAUUGUAAAAGAGGAGUAAUGAAGCACAGCCAAGAGAAAUUACCUCAUUUAUCUUGAUGCAUUGAAUGUGAGGAAUAGCCUCUAGGAUUGCAGCUUUGUCUCUGUCCAAGAAAUUCAGAGAUGACAAAGUUAGCUUCGCCAAAUGAUCCAUGCAUCUCAAUUCAUCAAAACGGUCAAACACCUUGGAGCAAUCAAUUUCAAGCUCACGUACUGAUUGAAUGCCAGGCAGUUUCUGAAGAUCAUAGCUCUUACAGUUCGAUAUCUUGAGUUUUUGGAUGGCUUGUGUCAAUAUGGGGGUUGAUGACCACGUAUCAUUAGUCAUGGAUAAAUCACUAUUGUUGAUGAAUAACUCCUUGCUGUUGGGGAUUCUUGGACAUAGUUUCAGAUUCUUGCAGUGUUUUAUCUUCAGAUAGCGAAGCGGAGGGAAUUCUUCUUCGGCUGGACAUAGUGUGGAAGAAGAUACAGGAACGUGUGUCAUCAGUGUUCUCUUUUUAGUCACUCCCAGUAAUGUUUCCAUCAUGUUCCUUGCCAUUACUGUAAUCUUUAAUUUCCCUUUUCCUCGGGAAGGAUCAAGCCUCUUGAAUUCUUCUAAAGGAUCUAAUUCCAUGCCAUGUAUGUCUUCACAGCUUCUAUUUGUUCUCAAAGACGAACCAUUGGCAAAACAACAAGGUGCAUCCGGAUGCUAGUUUAACAAGCAACAGUCGCUUUAGGUUUCUGCAUGGUGCUAAACAUGCUUCCAUAAGUUUAGGCAUAUUACAAAUUGUAAGCUCCUCUAAGUUUGAUAGAUUUCCUAGAGGUGGAAGCUGGUCACACUCUACGAGACCAGACAAUACCAGUUUCACCAGAUUUGGGAGUGUAGAACAUAUCUCCCACAUCCAACUAGGAAACAUACUGUAAUUAUAGCCCCUUAUAGUGAGAUGCUUUAAAGCUGGAUGAGGCUUCAAAUUUUCUAGCACAUCCAUUGUCAUUGCUUCGGGUUCCUCUGACCAUUCUAGUAAGGACCACUCCAAACUCAAAGAAGCAAGCCGAUGUCUCCUUCCCAGUUGCACCCCCUUUGCUUCCUCUGCAGACUUUACAACCUCAAGGCAUUUGAUAUUUAGUUCACUGUUUGUAGAAUGAAGGAUAUUCUGUAGAAGGAUAAUGUUGCUGCAAUCACCACUGCUGCCACUUUCUGAGACCACAAAAUCCGGUAGGGUUAGUAGGUCACUGGAGAUGCCUUCCUUUGAGAACAGUGACAUCCCUCCAACUGAAAGGUACUCAAGGCGAUGCAUGUUUUUCAAUGUGUCAUGCAGCAUUUUCAGGCUCAACUCCUCACCAGAAUAAUCAGUGGAAUGCUGUGUAGAGGAGCUUGGAGCUUCAGAAUCUUUUCUUACAUCAAAUCCUGGUAACGCUGAUAGGUUUAGGUACUCCAAAUUUACAAAAUUACCAAGAAAGCAGAUAAUUUUCGGAAUGCAAGGACAGCCAGAUAAAUUCAGAAAUCGGAGUUUAUUUAGUCUGGCAGAAGAUUCAGAAAGAUCAAUAAGCCUCGCACAAUCAGAUAAAUCCAAAAUCUCCAGGUUCAGGCAGCCAUCGUUGCCGACACAAAAUUCAGGAAGUGCCGCAAGGCAAGUACAACCAGACAUAUUAAGAUAAAGAAGUCCCUUCAUUCUCUUGAAUGACAGGGUAUGCAGUUGAUUAAGCUGGCAGCAGGAGGACAGAUUCAGAUGUUCCAAAUUUUUCAGUAGACUGAAAGAGUCUGGAAGCAUCUCAAGCUUUGAACAACAUGAUAAGUUGAAGAACGAAAGCUUUGGCAGCUCUCCAAAUUGUGAAGGUAGCUUUUGUAGGCUGGUACAUCCUGAUAGAUCGAGGUGUUCCAAAUUUUCCAGUAGACUGAAAGAGUCUGGAAGCAUCUCAAGCUUUGAACAACAUGAUAAGUUCAAGAACGAAAGCUUUCGCAGCUCCCCAAAUCGUGAAGGUAGCUUUUGUAGGCUGGUACAUCCUGAUAGAUCAAGAUGUUCCAGGACUUGGAGUUUGUUAAUGGGACCUGGAAGUUCACUAAGAUUCGAGCAGCCAUGUAGAUCCAAAUAGUGAAGCUUCUGAAAGUCACAAAUGGAAGUGGAACUAUGGAGCUUUAAUUUUUCAGAAAAGGAGCUAUGGAGUUUUUUGAGGCUGGUAUUUUCUGAAAGGUUUAAAAACUGCAGGUGGUGCAAGUUUUCCAUAGAACUGGGUAGCUCGACAGUUUGCAUGCGUGGGAAGUCCAAUACACGCAGCCAUUUAGUUUCUGAAAAGGCACCCUUCGAAGGCUCACAUCCUGUGCAGCCACUAAAAUGAGCAGCCCUUGCUUUGAGAGGCAUAUCUUUGCAUUUUGGGUACUGACCUUUGAAAUUCAACAACAACGUGUAUCGAUAGUUGUCCUCUUUACCAAAGCUUCUUUGUUUGCCAUCACAGACGGCAACUUCCUCAAUAGCAACUGACCUAGCAAGUUCAUGAACUAAAUCGUGCAUUUUGAAUAAUACAUUAUGAGGGUUAUUAAGCUUGGAGUAUCUUGCAGAAAUCUGAAAAGCAAAUUUGCAGGUCGAUUAGUAGUGCACUAGAUAUUUUCUUCAAGGACUCAACGGUAGGUCAAAACAAAAAAAUAAAUAUAAAUCAGCAUGCCAAUUUCACAUUUAGAAACGAGAUUGAUCAUUGCCACAUCAGCCGUCCUGCAUGGAGAUGCUAGACCAGUCAAAGGGAGUGCAAGAGGUUUAAAAUUGCAACGAAUGAACAUUAUUUUCUCUCCAGUAGCAAUUGUGUCAAGACAACCAAGUUGACGUUUCUUCUAUCUGAAAUAAAAGAACAUUGCCGAUUUAUUUAUUGCUAUAUCCAAUUUAUGGAACUUAUAUACCAUUUAAUUGAUAUCUUUUGGUAAAAAUGAAACGCAUAAUAUGCAUCCACCUUUCAGCUUCAGAAUUUUACUGGAUAGAGAUACAUGAUCUAGGCUAUUAAGUAGCAACUCAUAAAAGCUAAAUCUUGUAACCAAUGGUGGGUCAAUAAUGAUCAUUUUUGUAUAUAUGUAUCGACUGUUGUAAAAAAGUGAGUCCCUUUUCCUAUGCAGUAACCUUCUGCUCCUAAAGAAUGCCGGGUUUGUGUUUUUAUUAUUGCAAUUACUAUUCACUUGGUAACUUAACUCGCUAUCUUGGCAAUGUUGCAGAGCUUAAGACAAAAAUACAGCACAGCCCUUUUUGCACAGAUUCCAUGACCUUAUGCAGCGAAAACUCGACUUAAAACAAAACUUAGGCUAUGUUACAAGUAGUUUGCAACCUCAGGGAGUUUACUUGUCAUGUUUAUUUGCUUGGUUGAUUUCAGUAAGCAUAAAUCUGGCAACUUAAGAAGUAAUGUUCGUGUCACUAUAUUUAUCUUUUAUAUAACAUUGACUCAAAUAUUUAUAAGGUGUUAGAAUUGAGGAACCAAUACAACCAUGUCCGAAUUAUUCAUCGUAGGAUCACUCCAUGAAUUUUACACCGCGAUCGAUAUGCUUGUGCAAAAUGAAGUGGAUUAUUCAAAACUAGAAUUAGAGGAUUUAUGACUAUCUCAAUUCUUCAAACCAAAGAUUAUAUUGAAUAAGUAGUAGAUGAACACCAUAUUCUGAAAUAAGAUUAAAAUACUACUCCCUCCGUUCCUUAAUAAGCCAUAUAGAUUUCUAAAGAAAAUUCCAAAAUAUAGGUACAUAUCAGCUCCCACGCCAGCUUCCCAUGAUAUGUUAGGAAGCAAUCAGAUCGGGAGAGAGAAGAUGGCCCGAGUUCCUUUUUUUUCUCGGUCUCACGUCCUUCCCCAAGGGCCAUUCAUGUACAAAAGCAACGGAUUUUUUCCUCCCAGGCCGUGCAUUAAUAUUUGUGCUAAAAACUAUAUGGCUUAUAUUAAGGAACAGAGGGAGUAAUAAAUCAUGCGAGAAAUGACAGCACAACUCGAUACAAGGAAAAGAGUUAACUGUACCAAGCCUGUGUAUAUAAUAUAACUCACCGAGAUAGAGUCACUUGUAGCCUCCAGGAAUGACAUCUGACAAAGUUCUUGUAGGUAUUCCUCAGCACGAUGUGUGGUCAGAACAAAUCUCAGAGCAAUCCACUUAUGAAUUAGUUCUCUCUUCUCUAUGAUGAAGCCUUUUGGGAAGGCAGAAAAGUAUACAAAGCAAGGUCUCAGAUAAUAUGGCAUGUGGUAGUAACUAAUCUUCAAGGAUGGUAAUAUUAAAGUAGAUGUUGUUCCAGUCGUUGGAUCGCGUUCGUCUUCCCACAGGUCACUCUUCAGUGUUUCUUCCCAUUUGUGCAUCGGCAUAUCUAGCAGACGAUCCCCAAGAGAUUUGACUGCCAAAGGCACUCCACCACAUUUCUCUACUAUUUUCUCCCCCAUAUGUACCUUUGCCAUUUCAGAUUCUUUAAUUCCAUUUGGAAAUGCCUUAGCUUUGAACAGCUUCCAGCAGUCAUCGUACUGCAAGGCACCCAACUUGAAUGGCAACUCACGAUUCAGCCGCUUAGCAACCUGUUCACUUCGAGUGGUCACAAUUAUCUUUCUGCCCGGUGCACCACCUUUCAACAUCGCUUCUAUCUUUUCCAAUUGUCCUGUGUUUUCUUCCCAUAAGUCAUCUAAAACAAUAAGAUACUUCUUUCCACGGAGGAUCAUCUCCACGCGCAUCUGCACGGAGGACAGGUCAUACUGGUUACUCUGUCCAUCUACUUGGGAGAUAAUUGAUCGACCAAUCUUUUCAUCGCUAAAACUUGUGGAGACAUAAACCCAAAUCUGGAUAUCAAAAUCUCUCUUAGUUGUAUUGUCGUCAAAAACCAUUUGGGCGAGAGUGGUUUUACCCAGACCACCAAAGCCAUAUAUAGGGAUGAUGGUGUGCUUGCAAUCUUCUUGCAGCAACUUCAUCAACUCUACCUUAUCCUGGUCCCUCCCAAGUAUACCUUCUACAAGGCAAGGGCCUGUAGCCCGCAUCUGGAUCACAUCCUGGUCGUCAGAGCUUGUGUCCACCAUCAAGUCGAACCGCCUCAGCUUUUCUAUGUUGUCCAAUCUUUGUUUCAUGUCCUUCAACUUGCUAGCCAUGCUUCGCCGCAACAUCAGAGGAAUGGAGAUCUCCUGCAAAUCCAUGUCGUGAAUUAGAAAAGGGACGAGAAAUGGAAAUGGACAUAUCGACAUCAAACACACUCGAGACCUACCGUUGUAGAUUUGUUAUUCUGAGAGCCAUCUUUAUUACUCAGGAUAUCACCUUCCAAUUCCAUAAUAAUGUCCUCCAUGUCAUAGGCUGCUGCCUUUAGCUCCCUCAUCCAGACGCAGACGUCACCAUCUUUGUUCAACCGCUUCUCCACCCUAACCAUGCUAUUUUGGAUGGUAUCCACAGUAUCCUUGAGGCCUUUGAGCUCGUCACCUAGCUUCAGCUGCGAGGCGAUCGCCUCCCAGAUGGCACUACCUAGCAUGCCGCCGACCUGCUUCAAUGCAGCCGAGGCAAGAAACUCCCCUACCCCCACCAUGUGGCUGAAGGGGACGCCAAUCACACAGUGUGAUGAGUGCUUGACGUCAGGCCGUGUGAGGAACAGUCCAAGAGAAAAACUGGAGAAGACACAGCGAGAAAUUGUCAGAGUCUCUGUUUUUGACCUGAAAAUCACAACCCUUGCAGCAAACUCUGUAUCAAGGACAGGCAGGAAAUAUUUACAAGCAAGGAGGAAAAGGGGAAAUAUUUCAGUCAGAAUUGAGACAAAUAAUAGCACCCGAGGUGCGCUUUAGAUCGUACUCUGUUUCAAUUAAACUGACUCGAGAUGGAAACCCCAAUUCGGAUGCGAGAUGGAAGGAAAGAAAGGUGAUUAGUUCUCAGCUUUUACCGUGAGGGUGGUGUGUUGUGUCCAGCACCCAUUUGGCAGGGCUUCAGCUUCGACUUCUCCACUGGCCGAAGCUCGAGCCCUACCAAACGACGAGAUGGCGAAAGGCUUCAGUGGAGAAGCUCCGCGAAUCGCGCUGACUGAAGCCGAUUGAGGGAGCGGGAGCUAAAAAAAAUUGGCUCCCCGCGGCUUCUCACGUCGUUGGACACCCUUGUACUCCGGUGGGGCCCACGGGCGGAGGUGGCCGGCGGCGGGCGCAGACGAGGCACGAGGACGGCGGCGCGGGAGCAGAAGUGGCCGGCUGUGGACAAGCCACGACGGAGGACGGCCGAGGACGACCGGUGGCGGCGGGCGCGGGGCGGAGGACGUCCGGCGGCGGCAGGCGCGGGGCGGAGGUGGCCGGCAGCGCGCGCUGGGGCGCGGGGCCGGGCGGGGCGGAGCUGGGGCGCUGGGGCGUGGGCGCGUGAAAAGGGGAGGCGACGGCGCUUGGCAGGGUCGUCGGCGGGCAGGGGAGGCGGGGGCGCUAGGGACGGAUCUCAGACGGCGGCGGCGAGAUUCAGCCGGGAGAAGGAGGCCGGGUCAGAUCCUUCACCGGGUGAGAGAGGGGCGCGGCGGAUGGAACGGUCGGCGGCGGCGGAUGGAAGGCGUCGGGGCGCGAUCGAUCCUACCUCAACGUAGGCGUAAGUAGAAGAAUGCAGUGGCGAGAAAUGCGUAUGCGAUGGAGAGGGCUAGAUCCAGAAGUGCAAGUUGCCGUUCGUAGAUCUCGAGUGGCAUGAUCACAUGCUAUUCGUACGAGUCAGAAUUUUAUUCCGUACCUGAGCCAUUCCCGCGAGCCCGCGAGCGAGCGCCCCUCCACCACGCACCGUUCCGUCUUGUGGCAUCCGUUUUCCUGCCACAAGCCGUUCCGUAUCUGACGUCCGUUUCCGUUUUUUUGCGCUGGUCCUUUUUUUUCUGCGAGAUGCGCGCGCACGUCCGGCUCAUGGCGUUGCCCAACGACAUGAGGAAGGACUGGCUGGUCAUGGAGAUCGGCAACCAGUGAAGAAGAGCGAGGCUUGCUAUGCCUGCCUGUCUGCUCUGCAGGGCAAGUAUCUGGCAGCAAUGCCGGGACAAGUAUCGUCAGCCCAAUAAUGUUCUGUGCUUAAUUAACUAGUAGUAAGUUGUAGGUUAUGGUAAUUUAGUUUUUGUUUUGGGUGUUGUUAUGUAAACUCCUUCCAGGGCUGUGCUUUCUGCAUGUAUGCCGAAGGAACCUGCUCGCCUGUUCGUAUUACAGCUUCAGUCUUUCAGACACCCAACGCAAACGAAUGCAAAUUUCCAGCCACAACACCUGGAAUCAAACUUCCAGCUAUUUCUGGACAACAAAUUCAGGAUCACAAUCAGCCACUAAUGAACUUGACCACGACAUGAUGCAAAGGGUCCAAAUUUUUCCACAGGCCGCAGCGCACAACAAACAUCUUCACUAGCUUGUGGAAGAGCAAAGAAAUCAAUAAAAUGUUCCCUGUCCAAAAAUGAAUUACAAUCGGCAACGCUGUGACACCGUAAACUCUGUUCUCCCACCAUCCUAAUUACUUUUUCUUGUGACUAACAACAACCCAUUCUCGGUCAGGACCCAGUCAAAGAGUUCUUUGGUCUCCAUCAUUCAGUUCUUUGUCUCAUACUCAAAUAACAUCUGAUCGUACCUGAGAUUAACAGCCAGGGCUCAACUUUGGGUCAAAAUUGUACACCGCAACUUAUAAACCAAACUUUUUGUGGUGCUGUGCAUCUUGAAAAAAUCUAAAGGAACAACUUCCGAGUAGAAUUCCGCAGUUUAGGGUAAGUUCAAGUCAAUGAAUUGUAAACAAUGAAAAUGCACUUACUCCCUAACGGCAGCACAAAAGAUUACAGCAUUAACACCUUCAAAAAGAUGAAUCCACUUCCUUCUCUCAUUUCUUUGGCCUCCUACAUCGUACAACCUAUAGACCUCUCCACCUCUUUUGCUCUCUCCUAGAGGGCUGUAGGAAAUUAAAAACUUACUAAUUAGAAGAUUAAAGCUAUCUGUUACUCGAUAAUACCAAUUUAGUUUGACAUCCGGACAUCCGGAUAGAGUAUAACAAAAGAAAUAUGCAAAUACCAUGUCAGCAGCUUACCUAAACUGAGUUUCUACCACACCAUUCGUCCGUACUCUUGCAUGAAGCACGUCCUCCUGCAAAGAACCAGCCCAGAUAAGUACAAUAGAUAAAGUGCAAACCCUUAAGACCUAUUAUCAAAUAACCAUGUACAGAAACCAAAAUAAUAUGAUGGAACAUUCACGUAAAAGAAAAUUAAAACAAAAGAUAAGUUUUUCUAUACACCUUGAGGAUGACUUGACCAGAACAAGAUGAUUCCAUGGUAUCUACUUUAGAGGCUGCUUCACAAUGCACCACUAUAAUGAUUCAACAAAUAAAAACAAUUUAACCAUUUUUUUUUGCUUAGGAGAAGGGAACGUCAUUACAAAAACUGAAACAUAGUCUGGGUAAUGUAGCCAACUAGCCAUGCUUAUGUUUUGGAAGUUGCUAACUCCUAAGGUCUUCAAAAGAAAGGGGAUAUCUAUAUAUCUUACAUUUGACCCCAGCCUCUAAUGCAAUUCGGCAACCUCAAACACAAUCAAAAGGAAAUAGUAUACUAAUAUCAAAAAACCUGUAAAUAAGGCUGACAAGAUUUAAAUUGGGCAUAAUUGCAUACCUUUGUUGGUACAUAAUCUACUUCAGCUAAUCGGUCCAAAUAGCUCAUGAAGUACUGUGCACAGUCAGGGACUUGCAGAAUACUUCCGCGUGAAUAAGUUUCCUACAAAUGCUUUUCUCAGUAAUCAAGAUUUCUGUUCAACGGUCUAUAAAAUUUCUUUAAAUAAAGCAGCAAUAUUUUUCACCUGAACGACUGGAUCUUGCCAUAAUUUCCUUACAUCCUGUACAAGUUCUUUGUUCAGCAAUAGGUAAUCCAAUUUUGCACCAAUUUCUGACAGUUUCUCCCCAAUCUCCUGAAGUUGGGAUAAAGUUACAGUAUAAAUAAACAAAACAUUUUGCUAGUUCAACAAGGUGGAUGAUGAGAAGCUUCUAUGCGCUAGCAAAGGCAUCAUCGCAAGGCUUUGCCAAUAGUUGUAGCAGUCAAGUCACUACCACCCCUGCCUAAAGUAGUAACAGCACAUGAUUUACAUCCCUGAAAUUUAUGUGCACCAUUAUGAAUCCAAACAAAGUAAACUUGACACCCUGAACUCCAGCAGAUUCCAACCUUAUAUGUUCAUCCAAUGCUUGCUCCUGGAGAUUAAGAUUUUCAACUUCAUUCUGCAAGAAGGUUACACCAAGUCAUACUUCAAUUUGGAUCCUAACAUGUCUGAGGCUCUAAGCACGGAUACACUGACCAUGAGUUUGAUAAUAUGGAAAUGAUUACACGAAAUGAAAGAGGAAUAUACAGAAAUAAGUACCUUCAGAACUGAAAGAGCAUCAUCCAAGUUAGUUCCUGAUUCAUCCAAACCCCUAAAAUUCCAUGAUGUUAGCAUGAUGCACCAUAACCAUACAAGCAUAGAAGGGUAAGCAGAGAAGGAAGACAAUAUUGGCAAUCAUAGGAGAAACUCAAAAUUCAAGUUCACUAUAUGCAGAACUCUAUGCAUGAGCAGAUAAAGCCAGUACAUGCCUCACACGCUACACUAGGAAUCCGGCACAACUUCUGGUAGGUGAAUUUGCCACAACAAACUGAGAAAGUAUUGAAUAAAUAAACAAUCAAACAAUUGUAUUUUGGAAAAAAAACAAAUACGAAACUUGGGUAUGGCUCACAUAACAAAUGAUUGUUUACAUAGUAUAAUUAUUAAUGCCCUCAGAUCUGAUCGAGGCAGAUACUAAACAUGGAUAUAGCUCACCUACUGCAGCUCUCAUCGUCUACAGGGGCCACUUGCAUCGAGGCAGCUUUAGCCACCGGCGGCCAUGGCCCGUCUCGUUGAACUCGCCGCGUGUGCCAGCGAAGGUGGGCGGACAGAAAGCCUGAAAUUGCACCCUAAUCUCGAACGAGAAUGAGUGGAUUCGUUCAUAGGAAGCAGAAGAGGCUGCAGGUAAGAUAUCUUGCACGAAAAAAAAUUGAAAAUUUGAUUAGGGAUGGAGGCAUGCAGUUGGGACUAACCUGGAGCGCCGUUCGUGUAGGUGGAUGUGCUUGGGACGCAGAGGUCGACACCUGGGUAAGCUCCAGCUGCACAUCGAGUGCAGAAAGGGGGCACCACCGUGCUGGGCUGGAUCCGCCCACCCAGAUCGUCGUCCCCGUCACUCACCCCCAUGCGCCCGUAGUCUGUCCCGUCGUCUACCUGGGUGAGCUCUGCUGGGCCACCAUUCGCGCUGCCUGAGGUGCUCACAGCCGUGCAUAGGAGGGGAUGGGGCCGCCAUAGAUCCGAGCCGAACCAACACGAGGGCAGCUUCCUUGGAUCUGCACGGCGAGGUGAGGAUGACGCCGAGGCUGGAACUGGGAGGAGGAGGGAGGGGCAGCCAUCGCGCUGCCACCGUCGAGAGCAGAAACGGGAUUGGAGGAGGCAACCGGCGACGAAAUCAGAAGCUCGCUAAAAAAAAGGCCUCUCGGUCCAUGUGGCUAUUGGCGGCAGUUUCGGUGGGACGUCGUGCUACGAACGGAAAGUUGGGGGAAAAACUAACCGCGAGCUGGGGGCCCAGAUCCGAGCUGAAGCGACCGGACACAGGAGCGGGUUCCCGCGCCGCGGGUGCGUCAGUUUGGCUCGGGUACGGAAUACCUUAUUCUGUACCCAGGGUAUUGUAUAGUAUACUCCUAUAUAUAUAUAUAUAUCUCCCGAUGAUCCCUCCAGCACUAGUAUGCUUUUACUUUUGAGUGAGUGUAUUUUAGGAUCUGUUUGGAUCCAAGGGUUAAAUUUUAGCUCUGCACUUUUAGCCCAAAAUUUAGCUCUUAGGAUCCAAACAGGUGGGCUAAAAGUGACAAAUAGCUAAAAUUUUGGAGCUAAAUUUUAACCCCCAAAGAGGCCCUAAAAGGAGCUAAAAGUGAUCCUGGACACUCCUUACCCCUCCCCUCGCACAGCACCCUAGGCACGUGCCCCUCACCCUCAUUCGCACCUGCCCCUUGCCCUCAUCCGCAACUCUCUCCUCCCCCCACACUCUCUCCCUCCCUCCCCGCGUGCUCCUCCCGGCCCCGCCUCCUUCGCCCGCCGCCGCCGCCUCGCCGGCCCCGCCAUCUCUGCUCGGCCCCACGGCGCCGCUGCCACCUCCUCCGCCUCCGCACCUGCCCUCGCCCUCAUCCGCAUCUCCCUCCUCCGCGCAGCCCGCCGCCAGCUCUCGCACACCCCUCGCGCCGCCCCGCUCGCCAGAUCUCCACCGCCUCCGCCCGUCUCGCCCAAUUCCCCCUGCCUCCCCUUCUUCUCACAUCGCCGCCGCCACCCCUCUCUCCCGCAUCGCCGCCGCCGCCCCUCUCGACGCCCCUCUCGCCAGAUCUACACCGCAUCUGCCCCUAUCGCCCGACUCCCUCCGCCUCCCCUUCCUCUGACACGCUCCCGCAUCACCACCGCCACCCCUCUGUGCUGAGUUCAUCUGCCACCGCCCCUCUUGCUAGAUCUACAUCCCGUCCCCUUCCCUUCGCCACACCAGUCGCCGGAGGACCUCAACCGCCUACAAGCUACAAGUUUCACAUCCGCGCGCCGCCGAUGGACGGAUUUGGCGACGACGGCACCAAGGACUUCUUCUCCGGCAACUUCGACCUCUUCGCCGGCGAGGGCAGCCAGUAUCCGGGGUCGGGAUCUGUCAGUGGUCCCCGGAUUGGCAUUGAGGCACUCGACCUCAACUCGCAGGCGAAUGACUGGUCGUCGAUGGCGGCGUAUCAGGGGAUCUUGCAAUCCGGCGCACUAGUGGCAUCGGAGAGCACGAGGCCUCAUCACUCUCAACCACGCGGUGGCAGAAGAGGUAGCUCUCGCACACUCGGUGUACGCAGUGCUCGGAGCUGUGGCGGAGCCGAAGCAGGCCGCGGCAAAUGGUCGCCGUCCAGUCGCGGCCGCCGCGGUCGGUUGCCACCAGUUUCGGCCGCCGGCCGUGGGAUGCGUGGAGCUUCUUCGGCGGCAGCUGGUGCAUAUGUAGGCCGUGGCCGCGGUCGACGUGUUGGACGGCAGGGCAACGACGACGACGACAUUGAAGACAAUGAAGUCGAAGAAGUUUUUCCAAGCCGUCACGUAUUUGUCCUAAACCCUUGAUCUCAGAGAAGUGCAUGAGGUUCACUAUUGCUGUUAGAGUAAUAUGAAAUGCUUGUUCUUGUGAUGCAUAUGGUAGAAUAAAUUUGACAGAGGAAGUUGGUCAUCAGAGCAGAAUAACAACUUGGUGUGUCAAUUACUUGUUGAUCAAAUUGAUAUGGGUAACUACAUUAAAGGGACUAUGACAGCAAGAGGGUAUAAGCUCAUCAUAGAAAAGUAUUACUGCGGUUCAGGGCUGAGGCAUGAUAGGAAACAGAUAUCUAAUAGGAUUAGGUAGCUCAAGGGAAUGUAUCAGUUCAUAAAAGACAUCCAUUCCGACAGUGGUUUAGGUCGUGAUGAAAAUGGGUGGCCUACUGCAACCUUGGAGUGGUGGGAGACUGCAACAAAGGUACUUAUUGAUCUAUUAUAUGUGCAGGCUGCAAGGAUCCAUCUGAUUGCAAUCUAACUUCAGCUACUACAUGUGCAGAAACAUCCAGAAUGGAUAAAACUAAUGUAUGGGCCUCCAGAGUAUCUACCACUGCUUGAGCAUAUAUUUGAUGGUGUAGUUGUGGAUGGUUCAAGUUCUUUUGUGCCAGGAUACACCAAUGCAGAUGAUCAAGAGCCUGAAGAGCCUGAGGAGCCUGAAGAGCAUGAAGAACCUGAGCAAGAGAUGCCUGAGCAAGAGCUACCUCCAGAGUAUGCACACAGUCCUAUGAGUACAAGCAGCCGCAAGAGAACAAGUAGUACCAGCACAACAGCUUCAAGUACAAACAAGAAGACCAAAAGCCCAAUGGUCAAAAUGACGAAGGAUUACAUUAGUUUCUCUUCUAAGCAGCAAGCUGAAAGGAAUCAGUUCAUCAAGGAAGCUGUAUGUAAUAGGCAAGACAAGAAGCAGGCUCAGUUGUCCAACACCAUUAAGCAGGCUCAGAAAUUGGUUUUGGAGUGUGGGGUGGAUGAAACUAGUACUGAGUACUAUGCUGUUUCUCAGAUCUGCUUAAAUGAUUCCUUGAGGGAGUUCUUCAUUAACAUACCCACAACUGAAGGAAGGCUGACCUUCUUGAGGAGAUAUUGCAAGCAGCACAACCUAGAUUAGGAUUAUGUCUUUGUGAUGAUGCAUUUGUGUUGAACUGAACUAUCUAUACUAAUUGAAGUUAGAUCUGAAAUAAAUUUGUUUGAACUGUUUGUGCUGAAACGAAUUUGAUUUGACCUGUUUGUGAUGAAAUGAAUCUGAUUUGACCUGUUUGUGAUUAAAUGAAUUUGAUUUGACCUGUUUGUGAUGAAAUGUAUUUGAUUUGACUCUGUAUUGAAGUGCAAGUAGUACAUACAAUUGAAUUUAACUGAUUAAUUUUUUGUAUUAUGUCUCAGGAUAUGGAUGUGGACAGUGAGGCAAGUGACGAUGAAGUUUUGAGGCUUAUUACUGAGGAGGACAUUGAAUAUGAGAGGCAAUUCACGGAGGAUCUACUUCUAUUUGGUAUGUACAAUGACACCUACUUCAAUAAAGCUAAGAAGAGAAAGACGGUUGAAAGUGGUCAUGAUUGGCAGAUGAGAAAUCUAACAGCUAGUGUGCAAUGCUAUAAUAUGUUUAGAAUGAGUAGAGAAUUGUUUGAUCGUCUGCAUGAUCUAUUGGUGCAAUCUUAUGGCCUAAAGUCCACAUCAAAGAGCUCUUCAGUAGAGGCCUUAGGAAUGUUUCUUUGGAUGGUUGGUGCAUCUCAGUCAGUCAGACAAGCCAAGAACAGAUUAGAGAGAUCAUUAGAUACAGUUCACCGCAAUUUUGACAAAGUUUUGAAGUGUAUCAUCAAGCUAGCAGCUGACAUAAUUAAGCCGGUCGACCCUGAAUUUAGAACAAUGCACCGUAGGUUACAGAAUCCUAGAUUCUCUCUACACUUCAACAAUUGUAUAGGAGCAAUAGAUGGCACUCAUAUACCAGUUGUCGUGCCAAAUAACAAGGUGGUGCAACAUCUUUGUCGAAAGGGCUUCACUACACAGAAUGUGCUUGCGGUCUGUAACUUUGAUUUGAGGUUCACAUUUGUUCUUGCGGGCUGGCCUGGUUCAGUACAUGACAUGAGAGUUUUCAAUGAUGCAACAGUCAAAUACAAAGACAAGUUCCCACAUCCCCCUCCUGGUAUGUUAUGCCUAAGUUUGCACAUUCAGUACAUAUGUCACUUUGGUUGUAUCUUUUGUUUGUAACAAUAAUGUUUGUAUUUGCAGGGAAGUUUUACCUAGUGGACUCUGGAUACCCCAAUCAGCUUGGUUAUCUUGCACCUUACAAGGGAACGAAGUACCAUCUUCCAGAGUUUAGGUAGGGGCCGAUGCCCAAAGGUAUGAAAGAGACCUUUAACUUCGCUCAUUCAUCUCUUAGGAAUUGUGUCGAGAUGUCAUUUGAAGUUCUUAAGAUGAAGUGGCGGAUUUUGUUGAAAGUGCCAAGUUAUCCAAUGCCGAAGCAAAGCUAGAUAAUUGUUGCAUGUAUGGCGCUUCAUAACUUUAUUAGAGAGAGUCAUAUGGAGGAUGAGGACUUUGAUCGUUGUGACCGUGAUGAGAACUAUGUUCCUCAUGAAGCAUCAACCUAUCAACCGCCAACACAAAAUACUCAUUCAAGGGACGAAGAUACAAAUAUGAAUGCAUUCUGUGGUCAAAUAGCCUCAAGUUUGUAUAAUAGAUCCUAGAGUAUUUUAUUUCUUGUAUUUGAUCGUAGAGUAUUUGAAUUGUAUGCUUGAACGAUGAUGUAAUUGAACGAAUAAAAACUAUUGAAUGUCCAGGAGGAACAACAACGUGUUCCUCCUGGCCGGCGCCUGUGCAUGGCCGGAGGAAGCUGUCUGUAUUGUAGAGGUCUGGCCGUGCAUGUGCAUGUGCAUGGAGUCAAUAAAAAUGAAUUUGAGACAUGCAUGUGGUUUGAAUCACUAAAUGAGGGCAAAUCAGUCAUUUCAAGGAAGAGUACCUUUUAGCUCUUGGAUCCAAACAUCCCACAAGGACUAAACUUUAGGGGUUAAAAUUUAGGGACUAAACUUUAGCCCAUCAACUUUGGAUCCAAACACCACCUUAGAACAAGUAUAAUAAGGAGCUGUAAGCUGGCUGGUGAGAGAGGAGAAGCGGGCUAUAAGCUUACAGCCGACUUGGGCACAGGAACCAAGAAACUUUGUGAGAAUGACUUGUGGGUCAUGUAUUGAUGGUGAAGAGCUAACCAUUGUACGAGUGGGUUAGGAAAAGGCUGAGAGAAACCUUGCAGCCCGCUUGCUAGCUGCGUUAUUAAACUUGCUCUUAGUAUGUCCAGUGAAUUACUUGUCCUUUGUAGUGUAUUUAUUUGCACGGCUUGUCCCCUGGGCUGGAAAGUCACAUGCACGCGCUAAGGUAGAAUUAAUAAUCCUAGAUCUCGAGCGCCGUUGUUUUAAUUUUAAGUCCAUAGCUUAUAAUUUUAAUUUCUUAUUGUUUAUUGCGGCCCGUCUUUUGACGGUCUAGGGACACAGUCGUCGUAGAUCUCGGGACUGGCCUCUCGAUGCUGGCGAAAACAGAUCAGCUUGCAGUUGUUUAUGCAGAGUCUCUCGAGACAAGGCAUGCAUGGCUAUACUCGCACUCACAAAAAGCCCAAACAGUGCCAGCUCUAAUAGUUUAGUUAAUAAUGUUUUAAGUGACUUUUGCCUUUGCAGAAUAGCCCAUUCUACUACGGAGAGGCGACGAACAAGCUGACCAUGUACGUAGCUGCCUGCUUGUCGUCGACCACCACCGCAGAUUCUUCUCUUGCCAUGCAUGUACUCAGCAAAGGAGCGGACCACAUCGUCGUGCAUCUCCAGUUAUCCAGUUGCUCAGGCAGUCCAGCUACUGACCAUGCAGGACUUGUCAAAACAACAUUCCACUCACGCUCGCCUUGCGUAUCUUGUGCUUAAGAGCCCUCCAAUCGCUUUAAUUGCAAGUGGUAAUUAUGCCUUCACACUUCUCAAGAAUUUCCAUCCCAAUGUUUUUUAGGCGGUCAGUUCCGACUACCUGCCAACAGUUAAUUAUUUAUUGGAUUAUUAUUUCUGACUACAGUAAGGUCGUCGCGGCACUACUUGCUUAAGUACAUUUUCUUACGUUCCUGUUGUAAAAAACAAUUGGUCAUCAUUUUUUUCAUCCCUUGCACAAAGCAUGAACAGACGAUCCAAUUUCAAAUGGGCUUUACAAGGAUUUUGCAUAAACCGCCACAAAAGUUGUAACGAUCUUAUGUAAAUCCUGCAUUUCAAAUGGGGCCUAAACAUUUCAUUUGGGACCUUGGAAUGCAGACUAGACUGUGUUGCAGUAGUUUGUAUCGUCUUUCAUAAUCACGUUGCCUUUUGUUUUAAAAGCUACAAUUUCAACAAAUAAUGCCAUAAGAUCAAAUUUGUCUACUCCAUCUCAUUUCAAAUAUAAUUCAGUCGAGCUUGUGCACAAGAAUUCAUAAGGUAGGUGGUGAAGUGACACUACUUGCUUAAGUACAUUUUCGGGCAAAAAAGAUUUGGGUACGUUCCUGUUGUAAAAUAAAACAAUUGGUUCACCCUCAGCAUCAGUUCAACAAUGGCCGACUCAUCAAACUCGGACGUCAUCUUCUGUAUAGAACUUGAACUUGAACCCGGACUCAACAGUUAGCAUCCUCGGCUCCGGAUUGAACUUGAACUUGAACCUGUCUGCCUCCUUGUGGAUGCCAUCAAGCCUCUGGUUGACGUCCCUGAUGCUGCUGCCUAUCUCGUGGGCGAACACGGGUUACGCAGGCAGAAGAGCAAUCGCUGGAAGAAAUCCUGCAUCUUUUCUAUGCUCCUGCACGUGAGGUGAAGAUGGGGUUCCGUAGGCACAUCAACCUGCACUCAUCAGCCUUGAGUUGGCACAGGUCUAGGAUGUCUGUGUGGCAUCGUACAUGGCGUCCUUGAGCUUCCUCACCCAUCUUUGCACACUCUUGUCAGUGACGCGCACCUCCUCUCUGCAUCCGCGAGGAAAGCUUUGAGGCAUCCGGGAUGGCGGCUAUGGCUCCAGAGUACGAUCUAGCUAGUACACAAUACAUGAUCCCUCCGUUUCAGUGGGAUCAGCUCAACCGGAUCUCAAAGGAAUAUACUAUAAGGGUUGGGAUUCAACUCACACUCUUUGCAACCAACUAUGGGUUGAAGUGGGUCGAAUCCAUCCCAACCCACUUUGACCCCAGAACCAAAUACAUGGAAAAAGACUGCACGAGGAAAAAGAAGGAAAGAGAAAUCGGCGACUCGCAGCAGGGACGACUGUAUUUUGAUUUGGUUGGUUCGGAGCUAAUGUCUCAGAAGAAAUAUCUCUGUAGGACAAAGGAGAGAAAGUAUUUUUAUUGUGUCACGGCAUGAAUAGAGCAUUUGUCUAACGCGUUAGUACCGGACGCUUUUUCAUCCUGUAUGAACGCGCAACGUUAGUACCGGUCAUCACGCACAGUGCCACCGGAGCCCCUAUAGUCCUGGUAUGUAGCCUCAGCUAGUACUAAAUGCGGCACGUGACCGCAUGGCCAGCAGCUAGAUUCUCUAGAAAGCCACUUAGUAUCGGUCGGUAGCUUUAGCUGGUACUAAAUAGUGAGAAUGCUAUUUAGUACUAGUUAGUAGCUUCAACCGGUACUAAGUGAUUUGUUCCUUAACUUUCGAUCGGUACUAAAUUCAAUGCAAAAUAAGGUGAGAUUCUGUGGCUGCCUAGGCACGCUUAUGCACUGGGCGGCGGGGUAUCGUGGCGCCUAGGGGGUAGCGUGGUGGUGGCAGAGGCCAGGGAUGGGCGGCGGAGGAGGAGGAAGCAAGGGUGGCUGUGGGUGCAUGGAGGAGGAGGAGGAGGCAGGGGAUGGAGACCGCGGCAGCGAUGGAGGUCAGGAUGGCGGGGGCAGAGGAGGCGGGGGCGAUGCAAGGGCGAGCGGUGGGGUCAAACGAGGGAAGGGGAGGCAUCGAGGUCGGACAUAUAAGGUGGGAGGUGAGGAUAAGUGGGCCGUUGAGAUAGUUGGGCUGCUUUCAUGGGUCUUUCUUUUCAACUCAAGGCCUACCAAUUUCCUGUUUCUCCUUUUCUUAGAGUAUGUGGCAAAGUAUAUAGAAAAACGCCUUGAAACGUCUAAUCUCGCCUAGACGGUGGGUCACCGCCUAGAGAGCACCUGGCGCCUUUUGCAACCUUGACUAAAUUGAAGCUACCAGUCGGUACUAAUGUUAACCAUUUGCUCCAUAUAUAAAUGAGUUGCUUCCUUAGCUUCCUCUUCGAGCAAGCUCACCAUUUACUCAGGCUUUGUUUUUUUUCACUCGACCAGCUUCUUCACUAGACCAUAGACCAGUUAGCAACUUUAUUCUCCAUCCUCUAUUCAUAGUAUUCUAGAUUUUUUUGAAUGAUUUAGUUUUAUAUUACAAAUGGAGUACUUGUUGCUUUAUUAUAGUGAGGAGAAUGGAGAGCUUUUGAGAAUGUGAUUUAUGUUACAAAUGACAUAAUUGUUGAUAUUUUAGAAUGAGGAGAAUGGAGAGUUUUUUAAAGUGAGGUGAAUGAGAAGUUUUUAGAAUGAUUUUUAUGUUUCAAAAUGGAGUACUAGCUUGCUGAUCUUUUAAAACGAGAAUAAUGGAGAGUUUUUUAGAGCGAGGAGAAUUGAGAGUUUUUUAAAUGAGUUUUAUGUUAGAAAUGGAGUACUUUUGAUAUUUUAGAAUGAGGAGAAUAGACAACUUUUUAGAGCGGGUACUAAAUAUUAUAAACACAUUUACGAAGCUCUAUAUUAAUUUUUCAUGUAAUACGAUUCAGAUGGACUGGUAAUGGAUGUAACACCUUCAAUUCAAAAAACAGAAGAACUUCGAGUCCACAAACUCUAACUGAACAUCAUAAAUCGUGUUCUUGUCAGAGUGUACUUAAGCUUUUCGAGAUCUUUUUCAUAGAUCUUUUACCCCUUGAGGUUUUUCAUAGAUCUUUUACCCCUUGAGGUGGUGAAUCUAUGGCUCAGGUUUUGUCAUGAAUCGUUGUGUAGAGGGAGGAUUUUUCGGGUGAAGUUUAGGCUUUUGGUCUUUUGGGUGUGUUCUUGUUCUGUGCUAUCUGUUCUUGCGCAGGAGCGUCGAGUGCAGUCGAGCGCUGCUCACGGGCGCAGGGCAGGCAGGAGCGCACGUGCGCAGCGCGUGCUUGCGCAUCGGGCCAGGCCAGCGACGCAUGCGAGGCGCGUGCGGCGCGCGGGGCAGUCCGUGUGCGAGGCGCGUGCAGCGCGCGAGGGAGUUCGCGUGCGAGCAGCGUGUGCCAGCAGGCCGAGCGGGCCGCGUGCGUGCAACAGGCCAAGUGCUAGCGUGUGGGCCGCCUGCAAAUCAUACUUAGCUCUGUUAAUACAUUAAAUGCAUAAUACCAAUCCCUUUGAAGGUGCAGUGUAGUAGUAUGGCGCAGUUUGGUCCCAAAGACCUAGGUUCAAAUGCAUAAUACCAAUCCCUCUGACACUCUCUUUUUCUUCCAUCUUUUUGUUAAGCGCCUCUUUUUUGUAUCGUCAAUUUUUUCCCCAGUCGCAAGCAUACUAUGAGAGGCUGCGGAGGAUUUUUUCUUCCAUCACACACGUACAAAACAAAGGCGUCAUACUUUUUUUCUUUUUCCCUACCUAGCACAAUAACCUCGUUUUUAAGAAAAAAAGUAACCCAUUUUAUUUUCUUUAAAGUAAGCGACAUAUUUAUUUUGUCAAAAUUGAGGUUGAGGAAGCACAGUGUAACACCCAAAUUUUUAAAGAAUUUAAAUUUACUAAAAUUUGCUCAAUUAGGAUGUCCUUUAAAUUUAUAGGUAUUUAAUUUCAUUUUCUCAACUUAAAUUUCAUCAUAGGAGUUAUUUGUGCAUUUCAUGCUGAUGCAUUUAUUUUGCUUGCUUGUGUUAGAAUCAAAUUCAAAUUUCAAAUUGAAUUUCAAUUUUCAAAACCUUUUCUUUUCUCCUUUUCUUUUUCCUUCUCUUGGGCUGCAUCCUUCUCCUUCUUUUCUUCCAGCCCAAACGCCACCUUCCCUCGCGGCCCAACAUCAUCAGCACCACCGGCCACUCCAUUUCUUUUUCCGUCAGCCCAGCUUCCCUCCCGCUUGGCCCACCUCUCCUUUCCUCUGCGGCCCGCGAAGCAGCGCUGGCCCGCUACCUUCCGCCGGUCUGAUGGGUGGGACCCACCCGUCAUCCCCGUCCUCCAGCCGUAUCCGGCCGGGACUUCCUCUCCCGACCGCGCCGGACUCCGCCCGCCUCCCGCAACCGCCACGCGAGUUCGGGCGGCACCUCGCCCACCUUGCUGUGUGCUACUAUUUGCACACAGGCUCAACUCCGGAAAAUCAACAAAAGCACGGUGGACUUCAAUGUGAAAUUGUGAGCUAUCAAAAUCGACAUGCCAUGUGCCAUGCAUCAGUGGAGCUAAAUUAUACAAAGUAGUGGGGCAGUUGGAAAGUGGUGACAACUUGCUGCUAAAAGCAGUCUAGGAAAUGUAAACUAAGGGUGCGUUUGGUUGGGCUGUGGCUUUUGGAAAAGCUGCUGUGAGCUGUGGGCUGUGGAAAAGCAGCUGUGAGAAAGCAGCUGUGGGAAAAGCAGAAGACCGUUUGGUUAGAGGAGCUGUGAAACUGUAGGCUAUGUAAGAAAUACCUGUAAUGCCCCUAAAGAUCUGUGAGUGUGUUUAUAUGCAAAUUGCUCGUAACAAAAUAAUGCGUUCACUAGUUCAAAUGUAAACCACUAUUUUAGGAAGAAGAAAAAAUAAAUUUUAUAUGUUUUUCAUCCAUUAAAGUAAUUUGUCCACAUAAAUAGAACUAUAUCCAUCAAAAAGUUCUAUACAAGGAUGCCAUCCCUCAACAUUACUCUCCUCCUCUCGCACUAACCAAAGCAUCAGCUAUCCUAGUGCGAAUGGUAUUCAUGGUAUCCUCAUUCUCCACAUCGUCACUAUCAUCUCCUUGUGUUUGUCUCGUACCACAUGUAUGUUGUACCAAGUAGUCCUCAUCAUCAUCACAUCUCUUGAACUCCUUAUCUCACAAAUUGCUAUCACGAAUAAAAUUAUGCAAUGCAAGACAAGCCAUAAUGAUAUGUUUCUCAGUACGAGGUGAGAAACUUGGCAUGUCCUUCAAAAUACGCCACUUCUGCUUUAAGACUCCAAAAGAUCUUUCAAUGACAUUACGAAGAGAUGAAUGCAAAAAAUUGAACAUCUCGUACUUUCCUUGAGGAGGCCCUGAACGAUGCUGAAAUUCUGGUAUAUGGUAUGUGCUUCCUUUGAAAGGCACAAGAUAUCCAAUUCGGUUUGGGUAACCUGAGUCCACGAGAUAAUACUUUCCUACAAAAUCAAGUUAGUAAGGUACAUAAUAAUACAAAUAUUGCUAAUUUGUUGAAAGAACCAUGUAUACCUUUAGGAGGCAUGGGAAAUGAAGGAAAAUUUGCCAAUGCAUGAUUGAGGAUACGUGUGUCAUGUGCAGAACCCGGCCACCUGGCAACCGCAAAGGUGAACCUCAUAUUAAAGUCACAAAUAGCUAGCACAUUUUGAGAUGUAUAUCCAUGACGGCAUGUGUGGUUAACCACUUCGUCCACUGGUACUACCACUUUGACAUGUGAACCAUCUAUUGCUCCAAUUGCGCCUUUAAAGUAUGGCCAAAAAUGGUCCUCUCUCACCCUUUCAUGCUCCGUAGAAAAAGUAGGAUCCCUUGGCUUAAUAUUGUCCUUAGCUAACUUGCGCAAACAUUUUAACACUUCGUGAAACUUCAUGUGAACUGUCCAAAGUGACCGUGUGAAACGAUUUUCAGCUUGUGAAAAAGAUUGUGGUCCUCCGAUGAUCCACAAGAACAUUGUGAAUGACUCAAUAGACGAAACAUUGUUGGUUGAGGUCAAUCCAUAAGUAGAGACUAGCAAAUUAUGAAGUUCAUUGAAAAUCUCGGUGCUCAUCCGAAACAUCUUAUAAAAAUAUCUCGGACGUGACAUACACCUCAUCACCCAUUGAAUUCCAGUUUCUGACAUUUCCCUGUAUUCAGCUUUGUGCAAAUACCGCUCAGUAUACAAGUUGCCCAUUUCUCCAAUAGCACCAGCAUGCUGUGCAAGUUCAGCUAGCAGUAGUAGUCCUUUUUGCCCUCCUUUAGCCACAUCUCCCAAUCUAUCAUCCAUCUACAUGAGACAUUAGUACAUUAAUAAUUAAAUACAACAAAUAUCUUGACAAUACUAAAUGAAAAAGCUCAACAUAACACACUAAUAGAUAAAUAAUGUUUCAAUAUAGGGUAACAAAUUAUGGUUCAAGAUAGGGAAAUUGUUGUCACAUAUGACAAUAAAUAAUUUGACAAACAGGCAAACAAAUCAGUGGCGCUUCAUCAUCUCCUUUUCUAGCUCCCUCUCAAUCAAAUCCAGUCUGCCUUUAGCUGUUUCUAGAGAGCUAAAGAGCUCCCUAAAUUCAGGUUUAACAAUUAGGGAAGCGGCUGUGUGCAUUAGAGAAGUUCUUUCUUGCACCCCACAUUCUUUCACCAUCUUCAUAGUCUCUGUAAUGGUAGGAACUAGGUUAGUUGGAGGAGCUGAUGAUGCUUCAACACUUGUGGAGAUCCUCUCUGCAGCAUUUUCUAUCUUCAAACAAGUGGACUUGUACAAACGAAAGAAUGGGCUCUUCUCAUCCUUCUCUUCAACACCAAUAGAGGUACCCUUGCGUUUCCUUUUUCCUAGGUUCACUGUCAUAUCCUUCUGCGUAGGUUUCACUACCUCAUCCACAUUAUCAUCACUUGCCUCAUCGGAUGAUAUAUCUCCAGGACAGGAUGCAGAAGACCCAAGUUACAUGUGCCUUGCCAAACAAGAUAUGCAGGUCAUCGAGAAACUUGGGUCCUUGUUUUCGAAACUUAGUAUGGUGGCAUUUGAUUCCUUUCUCACGAUUGUUGCAUCUCUACAAUUAUAAAAAAAAUUAGCAAGGCACACCAUAAGAAAGAAUGGGAAGAAUAUAAUUAUCAAGAAACAUAGUUCUUACAGCAAGGUGUUCGUCCCACCAUUCGUCUGAGCAGUCAACAGUUUGUUUUGCCUCAUCCCAUCCAAGACCAGUUGCACAAUUCUUGAACUCCAUAAACGUGACAUACUCCUUUUUCAGAAGAUCUAACUUGUUCUUCAAUUGUUUUUUUGUUCUCGUAUCACCAGAUUUUUCUGCAAACUUGGAAACAACGUUCUUCCAACCGGUAGUAGUGAAAAUUCGCAUCGGCCUAUUCCCUGCUUCAAUCUCUUCUUUGCAAGCAUCAAUCAAAUGCCUUAAAAAAGUAUCACCCCAAUCCGCCUUAUCAUCCAUUCUUCAACCAAUCAAAGAAAACUCAUAAGAACUAAGCUAAGACAUAACUAUGAAGCCAACUAUCCAACUAUUAAACUAAUGGGAAACAAAUAAGCAUAGAUGUCAAAGUACAAACGUUCAUCCAUUAUAUAGUUUUGAAUAAUCACUUUGCAUUUAACCAUACUGAUAGCAGAGAAGUGCUUUAUCUCAUAAGCAAGCUAUAGUGGAUGUUGAUAGGUAAGUCAAAUACCAGUACAAUUGAUUGUUCAUACCUCAAGAAAUUCCUUUUUGCAGGUAGCUUCCUAUUUGAUUUUGUGUUGUAAUUGUACCUGACAACAUAAAACAAUUGAAUUAGUGUAAAUAAUUUACCCUAAACAAGUGUUAUAAAUUAUAAAAAAAAUUAGUUGAUACAUACCACUAUAUGCUCCUGGUCAGUCACCAGGAGCAGGGGCAGGAGCCGGCGAUGGGGGGCGCCAGCGAUGGGGAGCCCUCCUCUUCAAGGGGGCGGCGGGUGCUCGGGGGACGCUCAGGGCCCGGCGGCGGGCGCUCAAGGGGCAACGCGGGCCCGGUAGCUGGCGGCGGCCAGGGGAGGCGGCGGGCAUCGGGGGGCGGCGAUGGGGGCCCGGCGGCGGGCGUCAGGAGGAGGAGGCGGCCGUCAGGGGGGCGGCGACGAGAGCCCGGCGGGAGGCGUUAGGGGGCGGUGGCGAGCGUUGGGGGGGCGGCAAUUAGGAGGCGGCGGCGGCCGUCAGAUGGCCUGGCGACGGCGGCCCGGCGAUGGGGGACGGCGGCGGGCGUCACUGGGGCGGCGGCGGGGGCCCGACGAUGGGGGCGGCAUCAAGCGUCGGGGGGGGGGGAGGCGGUGAUGGGCCCGACGGCGGCAAUUAGGGGGCGGCGGCGGCUGUCAGAUGGCCCGGCGACGGCGGCCCAGCGAUGGGGGACGGCGGCGGGCGUCACGGGGCUGGCGACGGGGGCCCAACGAUGGGGGCGGUGGACGGCCGUCAGGGGGCGGCGGCGUGAGGCCCGGCGGCCAGGGGCGGCGAUGGUGCCCGGCCGGCGGCCAGGGAGGCGGACGGCCGGCCGGCGGCCAGGGGAGGAACGCCGGCGGGCGACGGGUGGGGAGAUGGCGCUGUGCGGGUGAACGCAGGAGAGGAGAGGUCUGUGCGUGCGGGAGAAAAAAUAGAUCUGAAAGGGUACAUCAUAACCAAUGGCAGGUGGGUAAUUUUCUACCCGAAAAGCACUUGAAAGCAGGGGGGAGGUGCUUUUGAUUUUGUACUAGAGCAAAAGCAGCUUUUGGGCAAAAGCACGUAGAGCUUUUAGGCCCUUUGGUUGGCUUUUGGCUUUUGCAAAAGCAAAAGCAGGUUGGAAAGCCCAACCAGCUUGGCUAGAGCCUUUGUAGCGAGCCCAAGACCUUGACCGGGAAAUUCUUGGUGAGCAGGAGCAUGUCCUUGGUGGAGCUCGAACGCAUGGACUAGGGGUGGCAUUUGGCUACCGAUACCAUGUGAUAAAUCGUCGUGCUGGGUUUGCAUCUUUUUUAACCCACUCCUUUACAUUUCCGCACUACAUUCUCGCAACUUGAGUGCCUUUAAUUACUUUCCAGAGUAGUACCUUGUUAGGUUGGCUCUAGGUUGCAAAACUCUUUGUGGGUGGGAAGUUUCACUAGAUCAACCAUAGAUGCACAUGUAGAUAGCAUGAUCUAGUUUAUGUUUGGAAGCAAGUAGUGGAAGUCAUAGGCCAAGGAUUUUAAGCUAGCCUAAUUCACCCCUCCCCUUCUUAGGGUACGAGCACCGAUUCCUUUCAAUUUGCUUUAGCACCAUGAAGGCAAUAGUCAUCCAUCUGCACCAUGAUCAUAGAGCAAUGCAAAACCACGAGAGAAACGAAACGGCUGCUCUUCCUUCAUUUUAUUCCAAUUUUAUUCCAAUUAGUAUGGACGUGGAGGUUACAGGACACACCAUGCUAGCUGUAGCGCCGGCAACAGGGAAACAAACCCAAGAAAGCAAUGUGGACAUUUUAUUCUACUUUUUUAUGCAGAAUAUAUGGAGGCACCAGCCAGCCCAGCAACAACGACAAUGGCGGCUACUUGGUAUACUCGAUGGCCCAGAAGUUGGCGUAGAUGUAGGUGGACUUGACGCUGGUAAACCCGGCGCCCCUGGCGAGCUCCACAAACUCCCUCUCGUACCUCUCCUUGCCGUCGGGGCUUUACGCGAGCAGGCACACGUCGACGCCGAUCAACCCCUGCGCGCUGUUUGUGGCAUCCGGGUUCACCGGCAGGAUGCACUCGACACUGAUGAGCUUGCCGUGCGGAGGCAGCGCCUCGUAGCAGUUCUUGAGCAGCUUGGCGCAGUGGUUGUCGCCCCAGCAAUUGAGGAUCCACUCCAUGAGGAUGGCGUCGCCGGAGGGCACCUUCUCAAACAUGUCGCCUCCCACGUGCUGCACCUGCACGUCGGGGUAGGCCGGCGCCUCGGAGAUGACGUGGGGAAGGUCGAAGUUGAUCCCUUGAAUGGUCGGGUACCUGGAGGUGAUGGCAUGGAUGGUGGAGCCGAGGCCGCCGCCAACGUCGACGAGGGUGCGGACGCCGUCGAAGCCCGUGUAGAGCUGCAAGAGCUUCUUGGUGAGGAUGACGGAAUGCUGCUUCAUGGCCUCAUUGAAGACCCCGUUGAAGCGUGCGUCAGUACCGGCGUAGUCGAACUAGGAAGGCGUCCCAAACGCCCUGUUGAAUGGGCUGCCACCCUCAAGGACCGCGUCCGUCAUGUAGCUCCAGGCGUGCAUGAAGAGCUUGUCGUUGGCGAGGAGGUGGAACCGAGCCAUGGAGACAACAUCCUCGUUGGGGGUGAGCCACUUGCACAGUGGCGCGGCGCUGUACUGGCGGCACAGGCUGCCAUCCUCGCCCUCCUCCAAUAGAAGUCAUGGACAAAAACAAGCUCUUCCUCGAUGACCCUAAAGGCCCUCUGAUGUGGCCUGUCCCCGGCGAGCAGGCCUUUGAACACAAAGUCAUGCGUUUUCUCAUGCCCCGCUUCUGAGAGCCUGAAGCCAACAAACCUUCGGUUGAGCAUCUUGGAGAGUGCCAUAGAGAGGCACAAGUCCUUGAGCAGCUUGCCCCGCUCAAGGACCAGCAGCCUUCCUGUGCACUGCCAGAUCUUCUCCACGGUGAUAACCAUUAAGUCGCCCCCCUUGUAACAUGGUGUGCAACCAGGCCACCGCUUCAUGUAGUACUUCUCGCCAGCGACAAUGUACCGGUAGCCUUCCAUGAUUACAGGAUCAAAGGGCACCGCCAGGUUGUCCUUGUGCUGUUGCUGCAUAUAUUCGGCGAUCACCUUCACCUUCUUGCAGAGGUAGGAUUUGCUCACCAUCCUCAUGGAAGCGAUCCUCACAUACCCCUUGAGGAUGACGACCAACACGAUGGCAUACAACGGAUACCUGUAGGGAAGUUUCUUGCCGUAGAUCCAAUCCUCAUUAUUGCUAAUCCUCAGAAUGAUUACCACCAGCCAGAAUCCCUUAAGGAUGUGUUUGACGUGGAUGCUCUUCCAGUUGUCGACAUCGCUGAGGCGGCAAACCGUGAGGUUGUCCGUGGUGCCGAGGAGCAGAAGAAGGAACACUGCCCACACAGUGAAGUCUUCGUAGUACAAACUGGAAGAUUUCAUCAGCCCAACGGUAUAGCCAACCAGGGGAUAGGAGAACGUGUAGACUCCCAUCACGAUAGAAUGGAGGAGCGUGUGGCUCGACCGCCGGCGUAAGGAACCCAGUACGUGCAAGAGGAACAUGGCGAGAACGGCCAGGAUGACAUACGUUUUUACGGUAUCUGUAUAAUCUUUAAGGCACUGAUCUUUGGAAUAGGGACUGGGUGUGGGAGGACUCGGUGCCAGAUCCAUGUUGGCUGCAGAUUUGGUUUCUGAAGGCUCUGUACACUUCUCUACCUAGCUCACUCCAAUGGAAUACACAGUUUGUGUCCUUGAGAACACUGAGGCUGUAUGUAUAUAUAGGGAAAAGGCAACGCUCGGUGGUUGUUGAGCUACAGAAUGUGUGAAGUUAAGAUGAAUACCAAAGUGAAAGCGGUUCAGUUAAAGAUAAAGAAAACAAAUGAACACGCAAAGCAUUAUAAUAACCCGCUUCACCUAGUUAAGCCAGAUAUUGACUAAUAUGCUCAUAAGUAGUUCGGUUAUGCUCGCCACUAAAUUUGAAAAAAUCGGGCAUGCGCCAAUCGACAGGGUAGGGAACAUAGUUAAAAUGAGCUUGGUAUGACUUUUGAUAUAAUUUUGAACUUCCGGUAUCUAUGCCGUACUUACUUUGCAUCAAAGCCAACACCUCCUCUCUUAAUUUUCUAAUCUCGUGAAGGGAGGGUAUCUCUGAGUGCUCUUAGGCUGACAUAUUCACAUUACCCGCAUGGGGUGGGUUGUUGUUCUAAAUACGGUGCAAAUCAGAAACCACGGCAUUUGAAAUCCGUCUAGACAUGGAAAUGAUCAUUGUCAGGUGGUGCUGCAGCCCGUGUCAGGAUACGUAGCAAGCUUGCUCUCUGGUUGUCAGGACACAACUUUGUAGGACGCCAGAAGUCGCAGCAAGCGAUCCACCAUGGACGGCGCGGCGGGGUUGGCCUUGGAAAGCAGCUUCGCGGCCACCUCCUUGGGAGUGAGAGCCUUCCCGCUGGCGCCCACAAGGGUCUCGAGCAGGCCCAGCUCAAUGGCAGUUCUUAGCGUCAUCGGCAGGAUGGCCGUCGACACUAGCUGCAGAGCGUGCGUGCAUGUCUCGUCGUCGGCUAUGGCCAUGUCCGCGGCGGGAUUGGAGCUCAACUAACUGAUGAAGGUGUGUGUACCUUGUUGUUGUGAUUGCUGGUGUCUGACUGAUCGAUGAGGCGAAAGGGGCCGUUUAUAUAGAGCUUCGAGCUAGGCUUUGUUCACCAACCUGAAAAUCAUGCAUUCUUUGACAAGUAUGGGAUUGCUUGUAUGGUGUGACGUGACCUGUGAGAGCUAGCAGCUAGCGUGGUAGUGAUUGUGUACCCCAUGCAAAACCUCCCUCCUAAUAAGAUCGUGAUGCACGAGGCUGAAUACUAUAUUGUUUUGUCUGCAGUCUAAUCGAUUUUGAAUCUGCAAAUAUAAUCAAUUCACGACAUUGGAGAUGGUCGGCGCACGAAAUGCGGCCGGGACACAACGAGGAGUGGCAGGUUUCAGAGAAGCACCUUGUGCCCUUUGAGAAUCUGUUUUGCAUUAGAUCAAGGUUGAGAUGGUUUCUUUAACCCUUGAGAUUCAGCGCGAGGGUCCACGUGCGUGAUGGACAUGGCUUCGCUACUGCACAACUGUUUUUCAAGAAUCAAGAUAUUCUGCAUGGGAUGUCCUGCGUCUCUAGUGUCGGUGCAAUCUGUCUCCUGUUGAACACAUACACUAGCGUCUGAUGCCAGAGUGAGGUGGAUCGGGUGGAUCAAGGCUACGGCGUAGCACGUUAUCAUGGCUCGGGCGGCCGGGGCAAGACCACGAGCUGGCCGACCGUAGAGGGAAGACGCAAGCGGCACUCGCAGAAUCUACGUGGCUCCCCUUGGUCGUUCUUUGUCUCACCCUAUGGGUAUCGUGGAGGCACGGCGCCAGGCUGGCGGCACGGUGUAGCCUCAAUUCAGAACUUUCCUAGUCAGGGCGUGCCCGAGGGCGAUUGGUUGCUCAACCUGAUGAGAACUUGGGUGGGUGCUCCUACAUGGGAGAGAAUAGGGUGACGGAUGAGAAUGCAGAUGAGAGACGGGGCUCAGACGAGGGGUGGGUUGGAGACAUGUUUUCACUGUUGAACUCUUAGCGUCAAGAUGAGAGGUGAGAUGAGAUACCGGUAGGACCUGCUCUUACCGUGGCACUUCAGCAACCCCACCCCAACCCCGCGCGCAAGUCAAAAUUUGAGGAGCAUAUGUACAAUACGUGUGCAAACAAAACCAUAAUUUUACUAGUAUUGAGGGAUUUUAGUUAUUUCUUCUAAAAAAUCUCUUGGGAAAUCGUAUUUUUGUAGUACAACAUAUAUAGAAAAUAAGUAUUACUCACAAAUAAACUGCCCUUUUCUUUAGUAUUCUUGGUUUUUGUUAUUAUUUUAUUUAAUCUUAAGAUUUAUAUAUGCAUAAAAAAGUAAUUUAGUAUCUUCAAAUAUGGAAACGUGGUCUUAGGAAUAGGGCUCAUAUUUUAUUCUUGAGUAUGCCUAGUGGAAAAAUACUAUCUAAAAAACUGCAAAGAAAUUUAAUACCUAAGCCUUCGAUCCACUCUACUUUUUGUAUACUAGUUUACCUGCAAUCCACUGGCUUGCAUAUUAUAUUUCAUCAUAUGGAAAUGUCUGAGAUUGUGAACGGAAGCAAUUUCAUCUGUCUGCAACCCUGCAUAGCAUGUGACACCCAGAGCUCCUGACACAAGCGCGUGAGCACCUUCUCCGACAUGCGCACAUGAGGACCGCAUGCACCCAUAUUAUACAUAGUUUAUUAUAUUUUUGGCUGGGAUAUGAUAAUCAUUAAUUAUUACUUGUAAAGAUUGGAAACGUUACAAACGAUUGUAGAAAAAAUGCGAGUCACCAGGAAGGUAGGUAGUAGAGCAUGCCGUCAGUGUCUUUCCUGUGACCUGUGUUCGUGGUGCACAUGGCAGAAUGCACAGUCUAUACAUAGGAACCAGAAGUUGGCUUCGAAACCAAAUCACUCAUUAGUCCUUCAGUACUGCAGUGAACGCUAUCUAGCUAGCUAAUUUCCCCUUGAAAUCAGUUUUCUUGCGUGGCCAUGGGUAGCCUUCCACUUGAAGCCAUGAUGCCACUGAACCCCGAUUCAUUCGCUGGGGAGUCCAGUGCCGUGGUCGACUUCCUCGCCGACUACUACCGCAACGUCGAUAAGUAUCCGGUCAUGGCCAACACCCAGCCAGGGACCAUCCGUAAGCUUCUUCCGGAGGCAGCCCCGGAGUUGGGCGACUCCCUGGAUCGCAUACUGGAUGAUGUGCAGCGGGAUAUCCUCCCCGGCCUCACACAUUGGCAGAGCCCUAGCUUCUUUGCCUAUUUCCCGGCGAAUGCAAGCACCGCAGGGUUCGCCGGGGAGAUGUUGUCGGCUGGUCUCAACGUCGUCCCGUUCGUCUGGACGGCGUCACCGGUGGCCACUGAGCUGGAGCAGGUCGUGGUUGACUGGAUGGCUAGCCUCCUCGGCCUACCGGAGCGCUUCCACUUCAAGGGAGGAGGAGGCGGUGUCCUGCAUGGGAGCACGUGCGAGGCGGUGGUGUGCACUCUCGCUGCCGCGCGCGACCGUGCACUCAGCAAGCUCGGACAUGAGGGCAUCCUCAAGCUUGUCGUGUAUGCCUCGGACCAGACCCACGCAACCUUCCAGAAGGGCGCGAGCAUCGUCGGCAUCCCUCCAGCAAACUUCCGCAUCCUGCGGACUUCGGCAAACUCGGGAUACGGCCUGACCGCCAGCAUCGUCCAAAGAGCAAUCGAGGAAGACGUCGCCCGCGGGCUGGUUCCCCUUUACCUCUGCGCCACCGUCGGCACUACUGGUCUGGGGCCAUUGACCGAGUGCGCGAGCUCGGCCAUGUUGCCCGGCGUUAUGGUAAUUCAUUCAACCUCCCUCUCUUAUACGCUAAUCACCCAUACGGUGACACUAAAUACGUAGAAAUGGAAUGCGCUAUGCGGUCACAAGUCACGAUUCAUGCUCACUUAACAAUCAACAAUCAGUUCCUAUAACCAUCUGACAAGAAUACAUGUUUUACAGGAACCUGGCUGCACAUCGACGCAGCCUACGCCGGAAGCGCAGCCAUUUGCCCGGAGUUCCAAGGUCACCUCGACGGCGCCGAGCUCGCGGACUCGGUGAGCAUGAACCCACAUAAGUGGUUCCUCACCAACAUGGACUGCUGCUGCCUCUGGGUGGCGAACCCUACCACCAUGACCGACGCACUGUCCACUGACCCGGAGUACCUCAAGAAUGUCGGCACCGCGUCUAAGAUGGCGGAAACGGUCGACUACAAGGACUGGCAGAUCGCGCUGUCACGCCGCUUCCGUGCCAUCAAACUCUGGGUGGUGCUACGGCGCUAUGGAGCGGCGGGAAUGCGCGCGCACAUACGGAGGCACAUCCAGAUGGCAGAGUGGUUCGAGCACGUCGUGGCGGCGGACGAGCGGUUUGAGGUCGUGGUGCCAAGGAACUUCUCCUUGGUGUGCUUCCGCCUCCGCCCGCGGUUCAUGGCGGAUAAAGCUGUGGAGGCCCUCAACCGCGACCUCCUCGCAGCGGUGAAUGCAAGCGGCCGGGCGUUCAUGACGCACUUCGUCGUGGACGACAAGUUUGUGAUCCGCCUAGCCGCUGGUGGGUCAAUGACAGAGAUGCGGCACGUCCGGGCCGCGUGGGAGCUUCUCAAGGAGAAGGCCAACGACUUGAUCGCCACCGGUUGUUAGUUAUUGCUCAUUGCUAGUGCUAUACCAUGCAUGGCCAGCAACAGAAGCUGAGCAUUCUAUUAUUGCUUCCAUUCGUAGUUAGAGCACACCAUGAAUGCAAUAGUCAAUCCAUCUGAACCAUGAACAUUCACUAUGACCAUGUAUGCGACACAAUAUACAUAAGUGCUAGUGCCGAUAUUGGAUUCUAUUGCUGGAGAAGCGGCUGCUUCUACGGAGCAGGCCGAUUGAAUUUUAAGUAUGUUAUGAUACUUGUAAAAAAUCGAUGCUAGGCAUGGAUUCCUGGAAGGGGCCCGUCACAACUCACAAUGGAAGGGACCCGUCAUAACCAAGCUCGUUAAUACAAAAGAAACAUCAGGCGAAACAAAUGGACGCUAAGCCACACACCUGGACAAAUUUUACCCGAAAUUUGCAACACGUCAAGAAUAUGCUUAUCACUCAACCGUCUCACAUCUCUUUUGUUUAAGGAAACCAGGCUCGUUACUACAAAAUGAACACCAAGAUGAUAGAGCUCUUUUACGAUACACAAUACUACUACUUAGUAGUAUAUAGUAUAUAUAUAAGAUCUAACUGUUCAUUAUUAUGGAUAAUUUAGUAAUUAUUACAAUGUAAAAAGUGAUAUUUCAAAUAGAAUGGUCUUUUAAACUUUCUGCUAGUAUCAAAAAUAAAAUUAUAGUGGUGCCAUUUGUGUUUUCUUACCAUGAUACCCUUAUACUACCUAUACUACUCGUGUAUACUACCCAUACCACAGGCGUAGGUUUCAGUAGUAUGUAAUUAAUCUUGACCGUCGGAUAUGUUUAUACUAGUCAUUUUCGAACACAAGUAUAGUCUAGUGUUGUAUUUCGUAAAAGAGCUCAUAUAAUAUGUUAUAAAACUUAUUUGUGAAAGCUAAAGGCAGCAACUGGGGAUAAAUUCCAGAAUAGGUAAGAACAGAAAUUUAAAAGGGCAAAAUUUGUUGAUGCAUGGAAAUGCAUAGAAUACUUAUUGGAGCCAAGGCUCUUUUAGGUCCAUGGGCUAUUUAUGCCCCCUCCACUCGCCCAUUCAGAGUUGCUGGAGUGUCCAUACAUCUAUUGAAGACCAAGGCUCAUCAAGUGACCAAUGGAGAAACCACACAUCCACCGUGAUAAUUUUAGAGCAUCCACGUGACGAUAUUCAAUGCGCUCAAAUGGUGGUAUUCAACUUAGAAAAAAUAGUAGCACCAGAAGAUCUGAGAGUCAUCGGAGCAACCAUCGAAGCAAUUGGUACAACUGAGAAGUAAGCUUGAGUUGCAGCAAGCACCAGAUGAUCCGACGGGGUCCUUUUCACAAGCGUCGGAGCAAUUUGUAAAGAAGACGGAGAAAGACCUAUAGCACCAGAUAUUCCGAUGGCUAGAAGAUGAAGGAAUCGGACCAAGCAUAUUUACUUUGAAAACGUCAAGAGAGUUUUUAGGAAAAACUCCUUCAGCACCGGAUGAUCCGACGUUACGUUGGAUGAAUUUAGGUAGAGGUCCAACGGCUAUAUACGUCAGCAGGGGGCGUGUCACACCCGAUUUUAAGGACAAAACCGAGUGCUUUCAAUACAUGUGCGCCAGGAACAAGUUACACACAUGUACAACAUAAGUGAAUAACAAAGGCAGUGCCAAAGUGAAUAAAGAGAGUAUUAAACUUUAUUACAUGACGGAAAGUCUUAAUAAAACACAAGCCUAACUUAUUACGCAGCGGAUUCCGAAGACGACGAUGACACCACAGGCUGCUGACUGAAGAACCGUAUGCCUAGAACUCCUCAAACUCGUGCAGGUACUCCUCUAGAUUGUCUUGGUCUGAACAACGGUUUUGCAAGGGUGAGUACACUCAUGGUUGGUACUCAACAAGUCAUGGGGAAUAGUGUAGUGUAAGGCCAACCAAGGUAUAGCUAAAGCUAAAUAGCAUCAGCUUUUAAUUAGCUUGGUCAAAUUUUAUUAGCAAUUAACUAAGUAUAAAUUUAUACCACCCCAAAUUAAACAUGAACAUAAAUAAAGUAAACAAAAUAUGCGCGGUAUGACAACAAUUUAAGUCCAUCUUUCGUUAGUAUUAUCAUGUGAGGGUCCAGGCCGCUCUUAACCGUGAGCACGGCUGAUCGAUCAGUUUUACACUCUGCAGAGGUCGCACAUCUUUACCCACAAGUCGCGUAAAAGUUCAAAAGAACUUUGGACCCAACCAUGCGGUGUUUGCAAGGCACCAUACCACACUUCCGAGGUGUGAUUGCAUAGGGACGCUACGAGGCCUUUACAAAGAUUCAUUAGUCAGUGGUAACCCGCUAAGGUUUCGGUGUCUGGCGUGCACAACCUAUCUAUUGGGGGAAAAUAUUAACGACCUCCUAAUGCCGCUUAAAGCAACAGUCAUGAAAGCCCAGGCCCACUAAGGUAACGAAAUUGCUGUCGGCCCAACAUGGAAGGGAGAGGCCACGUUCCGCCUCGCCCGACCCGGGGUCCCGGGGUCCGACGCCCCCGACUCCUUGAAGACUAAACUCCGCCUCGCCUGACCUUGGGCGCGGGGGUCGGACUCGCUCGGGUCCACAAGACGAAUAUCCGCAUCGGGCGCGGACUGGAGUAUCAGGAUGAUGAUCUCGUGGGUCCCCCUAUCGACCUCGCCAUAAAUGCUUCGCGACCCUGUCAGGACGAAAGGGAGUGGCGCCCCCAACGCAACCAGUCCCGAAUACCGGUGCGCGGCCGUGCGGCGCGGGCUGCAGUGGCCACGGCUCCUUCUGAUUCGCCACAAGGUACUCAUGAGCCGCGCCGAACGACACAGGAGGGCGCAUCGCUUGCUCUCGCGCCCCGUGCUCCCAACGGCAGUGUCAGGGACGCGACGUGCGGGUCUUGCGGUAAUUGGCGGGGCAGCAGAAUCGGACCUCCUCCCUGGCGGGCACGGAUGCCGAGGCUGAGGCUCAUCAUCACGCUCAACGGCGAUGGCGACCAGGGAGAUCAUUGACAAGAUUUGGAAGGAAUCACCCUCCCUCGCCGGACGCGCUGAUAGGGACCGGGGGCCGGAACGAGAGCGGCGGCCUCGGGACCCUCCCCUUGUAUCAUUUUACUACUUGGCUUAUCCUUUCUACCUCUUCUCUAGAUGCCCGGCUCGACUGUAACCUCGAGCUCCCUCUUGUGAUAUAAAAGGAGGACCCGGGAUCCUGGGACGGGGGACUCAGAAUUUUUCCCUCAAGCCAACAGUACACUCUCGCACGCCCUUAGAGCACCAGCGCACUCAAGAGACCUGGGAUCAGUUCCCUCUCUCACCCAUCUGUAACCCCUACUAUAGAACCCCGCGUGGGUAAUACGAGCAGCCUCGAUACUGGACGUAGGCCUUCCUUUGCCCAAACCAAUCUAACCCCGUGUCUCCAACACUAGUCUAAGUCUUGAUCCGCAAAUCUUGACAACGACAGUUGGCGCACCAGGUAGGGGACCUUUGCGCGUACGUCUCCGGCUUCAGAUGGCCAACCACGACAUCAGCUACGCUCCGGGCUCCCUGAUCCAUUUCGGGAGUCUAGACUUCCUCACCACCGGGGAGGGGAUCGAGCUGAUCCCUCUCCUCGUCUUGCCUGCUCGUCCCGCCAUCCCGGGCCCCGGCGCCGGGACAGCGGCGAGCGGCCAGGCGCGCGCCAGAGGGUCCUUCCCAGGUGGUUGGCUCUUCGGGCUGCGCAAUGCCGCGGUGACUUACGGUCGCCUCCUGACGCAGUCCAUGACCGUGUCACCCGCGAGCAACAAGCUCGCAGGCGUGGCGAGGACGAUCUCCGACGCCGGCUCCAGCAACGGGAGCAGCCACCCCUCGCGUGAGUGCUUCUUGGCCGACGUGCACUCCGAGGGGUCCAACGACAACGGCGCCGAGGGGAGACAGAGGACUCCCCCCCCCGCGCGCCGCGGCUAUGACCGGGGCCUUACCAAGGGCCCUGGAGCACUUUCGGCAGCCGGAGGCGCGCGCGGCGUCCCGCCAGGAGGUCGGGCGCCCCCGCCACGAAGGCGGAGCGCGACAGCGGGCGCGCGACGUCCAACAGCGUAUCUGCGCGGACGAAGAGCGCCCUCAGCUCUUUGCUCAUGCCAGCCAGAACGUCGCAGCCGUGGCGGCCCUACUCUGGCAACUCCCCGAGCCGGCAAUGCCCGAGGAGCGACGGGCGCGCCAAGAGAUGCGCGACUUGCUCGAAUGCGCCGCCGUCCAGCAGGCGGAAAGUUCCGCGUCCCGACGACGCGGACAAAACGCCAGCAGGGCGGCGCCCGAUGCGCCCCCGGAGAGACGGGGGGAGUCUGUCCACCAGCCUCCUCCCAGGGCAAACCAGGCUGCGUCCACCCAGCGGACACCACCACCCGUGGGAGGCGGGGCUCGAUCCGUUCAUCGACGCGUCGGCCCUGUCCGCGACGCCCGCGACACCCUGGACGCGCGGAGGCGCUCCCGCGCGGAUAGGGAGGACGGGGUAGAUCGCGGCUACCACGUCCACCACGGCGGGCACUACGACAGCGAGGAAGACCGCAGCCCGAGCCCCGGCCCGGCGGGGCCACGGGCCUCUUCCGCGCGCAUCCUGAACGCGACUUUUCCGCCGCGCUUCAGGCAACCGACGAAUGUAGCCAAAUACUCGGGGGAGACAAACCCUGGGGUUUGGAUCAGCGAUUACCGGCUCGCAUGCCUAGCCGGCCGGACGGACGAUGAUCUGUUCAUCAUCCGCAACCUACCACUCUUCCUGGCCGACUCGGCACGAGCCUGGCUGGAACAUAUCCCUUCGGGACGGAUCCGCUGCUGGAAUGACCUGAAGGAGGUAUUUAUAGGAAACUUCCAGGGCACGUACACGUGCCCCGGUAACUCCUGGGACCUCCGGAGCUGUCGCCAGGGAUCAGACGAGUCCCUCUGGGACUACAUCCGGCGCUUCUCGAGGAAGCGCACUGAGCUCUCCAACGUCGCGGAUGCUGACGUCAUAGGGGCCUUCCUAGCGGGAACCUCCUGCCGGCCCCUCGUCCACUAGCUAGGGCGCCGAGGCUCGCGAACCACGGAGGAGCUCCUCAACAUUGCCACCAGCUACGCCUCGGGCGAAGAGGCCGUUGGAGCGAUCUUCGACCGCUCCAAAGGUAAGGCAAAGCGGGAGGAGGAUGCCGAUGAGGGCACCUCCAACCGCCAGCAGAAGAAGAAGGGCAAGCAGCGGCGCGAGGCCCCCCUCGUAGCUGCUGUCGAGCGCAAGCGAGGACAGCCACCCCCGGAGGGCACUCCUGGCUUCUUCGACAAGCUGCUUAAGGGACCGUGCCCGAACCACGAGUUCCCCGCGAAACACGCCUACAAGGACUGCAACCUCAUGAAGAGGUACUUCGUAGGCAACCCAGUGAAGGGCGACCGGAAGCGGAAGCCUAAUGAGGAGAAGAAGGGCGACGACGAGAAGGAAGAUGGCUUCCCCAAGGUGGACGGCUGCUUCAUGAUCUUCGGCGGCCCGACGGCGUACGACUCCAAGCGACAUCAGAAGCUGGAGCGCCGAGAGGUUUACGCGGCCGAGCCGGCAACGCCGGCCUUCCUCGACUGGUCAGGAUCGGCCAUCACCUUCGACCGGUCCGACCACCCGGGAUGCGUCCGGCAUCCAGGAUGCUACCCCCUUGUCGUCGACCCCAUCGUCGGCAGGACGCGCCUCACCAAGGUGCUCAUGGAUGGGGGCAGCGGCCUCAACAUCCUCUACGCCGAGACCCUCGACGCUAUGGGGAUUGACCGCUCCCGCCUCCGCCCCAGCAAGGCACCGUUCCACGGCGUCGUGCCAGGAAAACAGGCGAUGCCCCUUGGGCAAAUCUACUUGCCCGUCACUUUCGGGACCCCUUCCAACUACAGGAAGGAGGUCCUCACCUUUGAAGUGGUGGGGUUCCGCGGAACCUAUCACGCCAUCCUGGGGCGACCAUGCUAUGCAAAGUUCAUGGCCAUCCCCAACUAUACCUACCUCAAGCUCAAGCUGCCGAGGCCCAACGGGGUCAUCACCGUUGGCACGUCUUUCCAAAAGGUGUAUGAGUGCGACGUGGAGUGCUGCGAGUACGCCGCAGCCAUCAUCUUCACGGGGGAUCUGGUGGUCCAGCUCGCGGAGGGCGCCGAGGACCAGCCCGACUCCAAGCAGUUGACCACCUCCUUCGAGGCCACUGAAGGCGUCAAGGAGGUCCUCCUCGACCCCAGCAGCUCCGACGGCAAGACCGUGCGGAUCGGUGCUACCCUAUCUCCCAAAUAGGAAAGCGCGCUCGCUCGGCUUCCUCCGCGCGACCAGCGACGUCUUCGCGUGGAAGCCCUCGGACAUGCCCGGCAUUCCGAGAGAAGUCGCCGAGCACUCCUUGAACAUCAAGGCUGGCUCCAAGCCAGUGAAGCAAGGACUGCGCCGCUUUGACGAGGAGAGGCGCAAGGCCAUCGGCGAGGAGCUCCAGAAGCUUUUGACGGCCGGAUUCAUCAAGGAAGUGUAGCACCCCGAGUGGCUAGCUAACCCUGUUCUUGUAUGAAAAAAGAAUGGGAAAUGGAGGAUGUGUGUUGAUUAUACCGGUCUCAACAAAGCGUGCCCAAAGGAUCCAUUUCCUUUGCCACGCAUAGAUCAGAUAGUCGUCUCGACCGCCGGGUGCGAAACCCUUAGCUUCCUUGACGCGUAUUCUAGCUACCAUUAGAUCGCGAUGAAAGAAUCCGACCAGCUCGCCACCUCUUUCAUCACCCCCUUCGGCCCCUACUGCUACGUUAAGAUGCCAUUCGGCCUCAAAAACACGGGGGCUACAUUCCAGUGAUGCAUGCUGAAGUGCUUCGGGGACCUCAUCGGGCAGACGGUUGAGGCUUACGUUGACGAUAUCGUGGUCAAAUCCAAGAGGGGCCACCAGCUUGUCCCUGACCUCGAACUAGCCUUCGAAAGGUUGAGGGAUAAGCGUAUUAAGCUCAAUCCCGAAAAAUGCAUUUUCGGAGUUCCAAGGGGCAUGCUGCUAGGCUUCAUCGUCUCCGUGCGGGGCAUCGAAGCCAAUCCGGAGAAGAUAGCAGCCAUCAGCGACAUGGGGCUAAUCCGAAACAUGAAGGGAGUCCAGCGCGUCAUGGGAUGCUUAGCGGCCCUGAGCCGCUUCAUCUCGCGCCUUGGCGAACGGGGGCUUCCUCUCUAUCGACUCCUGAAGAAGACAGACCGCUUCGAAUGGACCGACGAGGCCCAGGAGGCACUUGACAAAGGACCUCCUAACGAAGGCCCCGGUCCUGGUCCUGACGACCGAUAGCGAGGCCCUCCUGCUCUACAUCGCGGCGACCACCAGGUGGUUAGCACGGCCUUAGUGGUGGAACGGGAAGAGGAGGGACACGCUCUCAAGGUACAACGCCCGGUGUAUUUCGUCAGCGAAGUCCUGUCCGAGUCCAAGGCGCGUUACCCGCAGAUCCAGAAGCUCAUCUACGCCGUCCUCAUCACGAAGAGGAAGCUGCGCCACUACUUCACCUCCCACCCGGUAACGGUUGUUUCGUCAUUCCCACUAGGCGAAGUAAUCCGGAACUAGGACGCCACGGGACGGAUCGCGAAAUGGGCGCUCAAGCUCAUGGACCAGGGUAUCACCUAUGCCUCCCGCACCGCCAUCAAGUCCCAUGUACUUGCCGAUUUCAUAGCAGAGUGGACGGAGAUCCAAAUGCCAUCAGCGCCGGAGAAGCAGGAGUACUGGACAAUGUACUUCGAUGGAUCGUUGAUGAGGGCCCAUCCCGGAGCAGGCCUCGUCUUCGUCUCUCCUCUAGGCGUGCGCAUCAGGUACAUGAUCCGCCUCCACUUUCCAGCAUCCAACAAUGUCGUCGAGUACGAGGCCCUCCUCAACGGGCUUCGCAUCGCCAUCGAGCUGGGCAUCCACCGGCUAGACAUCCGGGGCGACUCCCAGCUAGUCGUCGAACAAGUCAUGAAGGAGUGGAGCUGCCACGACCCCAAGAUGGCAGCCUACUGCAACGAGGUUCGCAAGCUUGAAGACAAGUUCGACGGGCUGGAGCUCAACCACAUCGCAAGGCGCUUCAACGAAGCUGCCGACGAGCUGGCGAAGGCAGCAUCCGGCCGAAUGCCCGUCCCCGACAGUGUCUUCAUCAGUGACCAGUUCAAGGCUUCGAUCCAUUACCCAAAACCGGCGGGGGUUGGCGAAGCACUACCGGCCCCGGGAUCAGGCCCCGACCUAGGAGAGGUUGGCAGCGCGCCACCCGUCUCAAGCCCUGACGCCAGCCCUGACGGGGUAGGCGUCGCUUCAUCUGACUCAGCCCCGGAAGUCGAUCCCUCCGGCCCCUUGGUCAUGGAAAUCGCGUCGGACCCCGCGGAGGGGCCCGACCCCCCGGCCGACUGGAGAGCCCCAUACCUCGACUAUCUCGUCCGCGACACGCUCCCGGCGAACAAAAUGGAGGCCCGUAGGAUCGCGCGUCGUGCCAAAUCCUUCACCAUUAUCGAUUAGGAGCUCUACAAGAGAAGCCACACCGGCAUCCUCCAGCGCUGCAUCCUGAUCGAAUAGGGAAGGGCACUGAUCCAGGACAUCCACGCCGGAGCCUGCGGCCACCACGCUGCGCCAAGGACCCUCGUCGGCAACGCCUUCCGGCAAGGCUUCUACUGGCCGACGGCGGUCGCCGACGCUACCCAAGUAGUCCGUACCUGUGAGGGGUGCCAGUUCUUUGCGCGCCAAACCCACCUGCCCGCGCAGGCGCUCCAGACCAUCCCCAUCACAUGGCCGUUCGUGGUCUGGGGGCUGGAUCUCGUCGGGCCCUUCAAGAAAGCGCCCGGGGGCUUCACCCACCUACUUGUCGCCGUCGACAAGUUCUCUAAGUGGAUCGAAGCAAGACCGGUGGUGCAAAUCAAGUCCGAGCAGGCGGUACAGUUCUUCACCGACAUCAUCUACCGCUUCGGAAUCCCCAACUCCAUCAUCACCGACAACGGCACGCAGUUCACCGGGAAGAAAUUCCUCCAGUUCUGCGAUGACCACCACAUCCGAGUGGACUGGUCGGCCGUGGCACACCCCCGCACGAACGGGCAGGUCGAGCAAGCCAACGGCAUGAUACUCCACAAGCUCAAGCCACGGAUCUUCGACCGCCUGAAAAAGUUUGGCGGACGGUGGGUCGCCGAGCUUCCCGCGGUCCUUUGGAGCCUGAGGACAACCCCCAGUCGGGCGACUGGCUUCACCCCGUUCUUUAUGGUCUACGGGUCCGAGGCCAUCUUGCCGACCGACCUGGAAUACGGAUCGCCGAGGGUCAAAGCGUACAACGAACAAGGGAACCAGGCAUCGCUCGAAGACGCACAAGAUCAGCUCGACGAGGCACGCGACGUGGCCCUGCUGGACUCGGCUAAGUACCAGCAGGCCCUACGGCGUUACCACAGCCGCAAGGUGCAAGGCCGAGCCUUUAACGUAGGCGACCUGGUGCUCCGCCUCGUCUAGGAUAACAGGGGUCGGCACAAGCUAACUCCCCCGUGGGAAGGUCCCUUCAUCGUCGCGCAAGUACUACGGCCAGGCACCUACAAGCUAGCGACCCCCGACGGGCAGAUCUUCGGCAAUGCUUGGAACAUAGAACAGCUAAGGCACUUUUACCCCUAGUUUUCAUUUCCAAGUUCUGUACGUAGACUCGUCUAUAAAUUUCGAAGUUUUCUUUUUGCGGAACAAGAAAUUUCGAACCAGUUUUGUUUAAGAUUUUCCCGUUGAGCUCAGGAAUAUCCAACCCUAGCUUCGCUCCAGGGUCGCAUAUCCCUCGAGGGCUAUCAGGGGCUCCGGUGCAAGCCACUUGGCACCAUCUGAAAAACGUUUUUUCUUCCGAACCGAGCCCCCCUUUCUGAACUUUUGGGAACAAAAAGGAGAGAGUGCGCAAACGGUGUUCAGGCAAGAUUGAUUGGACUGCGAAAAACCUACGUCCCAGCGGCUACGGUACCUUCGCUCAUCAAAGCUUACUGACAUGCCCGACAACGCACUCUAGACUUUCCAAGUCCAAAAAAAAGAAAGGGGAUUGGAAACUUUUGCACGACAGGUUAUAGGAAAGGCCUCUAUGGCCAUCUCAAAACAAGUCUGAAACUAAUGUAUUUACAUCUAGGGCGCCAGCCCGACACAGUUAGCUCGCCGGGGGAUCUUCGGGAGGGACGGCCUCAUCCUCCAGGAGCUUCGCCAAGGCCUCCGCCGGGGUAAACACCAACGCGUCGAUCUCGUCCAGCUCAGCCUCGGAGUAGCCGGCGGCGUACCCCCGCUCAUCCCGGCGAAGUUGAUGCCAGAGUAGUGGGAGCCGAAGACCCCGAAGGCUCGCCUCACGCCAGUGUGGAGCGCCUCCAGGGCGAUCUCGUGGGCUCGGCGGUAGGUCCCGAGGACACGAGUCGCCAGCGAGCUCGUCUCCUCCUCGUGGACCACGCUGAGCCCGUCACAGACGACGCGGACCGCAUCCUGCAGGUUGCCGUGCUCAGCACGUUUCGUGUCGAGCACCUCCCUCAGUAGGGUGAGCUCGCUUGCAAGGAUCACCCUGAAGAACCCGCUAAAUCGAAAAUCACCGCAACAUCACAAAGACAAAGAAAUGAACAAAGUCUUACCCUCGGACUGGGCCUUCAGAUGGCGCUCCCGGUCGAUCCCCUGGGCCACGGAGGCCUGAAGCUCCCGCGCUUGCGCUUGAAGCUGACCAACCUCCGCCCCAAGGUCGGCCGCCGCCUUCUUGGCCUCCUACUUCCGGACCUUCUCGGCGUCCCGGUCCUGCCAAGCCUUUUGCCGCUCGCGCCGGAUGCGCUCGACGGUCUUCUGGAGGGCUUCAUGCUCCCCCUUCACCCGUGCGAGCUCCUCGGCGUCGUGGCGGGCCUUUUCGGCAGCGGCCUGGAACUCCUCACGGUCGAGGCGGGCCUUGUCGAUGACGGCUUGGAGUUUGGCUUCCGACCACCGCACCUCCUCAUGCGCCGCCUGCUCGCGCCUCAGCAGGUUGUUAAUGGCCCCCUGGGCGGCGGCAACCUGCAUGGUUAGGUCCCUGGUUCGCUCCCUCUCCAAGUUGAAGCGCUCCCAGAGCCCCCGCUCCAGCCGGAGGAAAUCAGAUUUCCCCCGACUGCACUCUUGGAGAGCCUACAAAGCAAUACACCAUCAGGGGCAAGGCAACGGGAAAGGGACAAUCACCGACAGAAGGGGCAACGUACCUGGCUACCAGGGAGGACGACGUUGUCCAACUACCCCAACACCGAGGACAGAGCCGCGCGGGCAUUGGUGAGGCUGCCCUGCACCGCUUGCCACUUGCGCUACUCCGCGGCAUCGUCCAGGGUAAAGAGGUGCCUCGGCGGGUCCUCACGAGACGUCCAACGCAGGACAGAGCCCCUCCACGCCCUGGGGAUGGAGGUGGCCAAAGCCAAAGUGGGAGCCGACCCGGAAGCCGCCGGGUUCGCCGACGGUCCUGGCGCCUUCGCAUCUGUCGCUGUCAGGGCCACCGUGGACCCGCUCGAUGGCGCCACCGCCUCCGACACAGGCGGCGGGACAAGUACCCCCGCGGCCAUCUUGCCCUCCGCCGCAACCGACGAGGCAAGCUCCUCCGCCCCUGCCGGAGCCCCUCGAGCGGGCACCUCCGCCUCCGCCGCCGGCGCCGCCUCUGCCGGGACCUCCGGGGCGGAGGUCCCCGCCUGCGUCACCGACGCCUCCUCCGCCGUGGCCGCGGAGGCCGGCACUCCCUCCUCUGUCGCCGCCGCCGAUCCCGUCGCGGCUGCUGGGACACCCGUCCCUGCUCGCGUCACCGCCGUCCCCUCCGCCUCAUCGGCGUCGAGGUCGAUCACCUCCCUGGCCUGAGGGCCCUGGGGAACGAUGCUCUGCACCGAAGGGUAGACCAGGGAAGCGGAAGGCGGAACGGGGUCCACGCCCUCUCCCGCGCCCGAUGGUGCCGCCACUCCACCGGUCGCCGUCACGGGGGCCGCUUCCGCGGCAGGAUCCGCGACCUCACCGGGGACCCCGCCGCUCGCCGCGGGCGGGACCGCGGUCCGCCCCGCAGAGGCGGACGACACCCGCAGUGCCUUUUUGGGUGCCAGCUGCAGGACGAGGCCACGGGGGGCGGCGCUGUGGAACAACAAAUAAAUGUUAGCCGAAACGAACGCAAGGUAGGGAAAGGAGCAAGGUUCACGAGGAAAUCCAACUUACGUUCCUCCGGAGCAAGGACGGCACGCGCGCUUCGCCUCAGAGCCGGACGCCGAACCCGGGGCAUCCGGCAGCGGUCGCUUGUCGCCACUCCUCUGCUCUUGGGUCUCAGGCGCGACGGCAGGGGUGGGCUCCGUGGACCUCCUGGGAGCGCUCCGCGCUGACUCCUGGGGGGUGCCCCGCGCCGGCUCCUGGGCGACGGCGGGGGUGGGCUCCGUGGACCUUCGGGAAGCGCUCCGCACGGACUCCUGGGGGGCGCCCCGCGCCGGCUCUGGGGCGACGGCAGGGGUGGGCUCUGAAGACCUCCAGGGAGCGCUCCGCGCCGACUCCUGAGGAGCGCCCCGCACCGGCUCCUGGGGGGCGCCCCGCGCCGACCCCUGGGGCAUGACACCGGAACCUUGCGGAACUAAGCCCAGGGCAGACGAUCGCUCCACCUCAUCCCUCACGGCUGUUUGCGGGCGCGCCUCCCGGAUUACGAGCGCACCCGACCGAGGGGAUAAGACCAGCUCUUCCUCCUCCUCAUCAUCAUCCUCAUCUUCCUCCUCGUCAUCAUCAUCAUCAUCGUCAUCGUUGUCCGACACGACCUGCCCUCUCCGCCGCCGUUGGAACUCCUUGGCGGCCUUCUUCUUCUUUUUCGCCGUCUCCUUGUCCUUACAGCGCUUCUGCUCUUCGGCAAGGAGACGGUUUUGCGUCCGCUGAUCGGCAUCCUCCGGCACCGGCGGGUGCGAGUCCACGACCCGGGUCAGCAUGCCCUGCAAACACAAAAUGGCCCCGCAUCAGAGCGAUGACCAAGAGACACGAAAAAAGAAGGUCGGCGCCCCAAUCCCUUACCAGGUCGACGAAGCCCUCGUCCGGGCGCAUCGGCGGGUGCCCGGGCAUCGGGUAGUCAGCGUCCUUGUCCUCCAACGCCUCCCGACUCCGCUGUCGGAUCUCGAAGGCGGCGAGCGCGCCUGCCGCCAGGACGGUGCCCUCGGUCGGCGCACCCGGAGUCAUGGCGGCGAGCGAACAAACCCGGAGCAUCAGCGGCGCCACCCGCCGGGCAUGGUACGCCCUAAUGACCCCGGCGCCGGUAAGCCCUCUCCUCUUCAAUUGCUCGAUGGCCUGCAGCAGGUCGAGGAUCCGCUUCUUCUCCUUCUCAACCGGUCCGUACGACCACACCUCCGGCGCCACGUCGAUGGUGCGGCCGGUGAACCCCGGCAGGGGGGAGUUCGAGUAGUUCUUCACAUAGAACCACUGGUUGUGCCACCCCUUGUGGGACGCCGAGGUCUUCAUCGCCAUGUACUCCUUGGAGCGAGUAUGGUGGAGGUGAAUUCCGACGCGCCCGAUCGGCACCGGGGGCGACCGCUGCUGGUUCCCCCUCCUCUCCGUCUUCUGGUACAGGCUCACCGAGAAGAAGUACUUCCACAGCGAGAAGUUGGGCUCGAUGCCCAGGAACCCCUCGCACAGUGCGACAAAUGCCGUAAUGUGCUGGAUCCCGUUCGGGUUGAGGUGCUGAAGCUCAAGCCCGUAGUAGUGGAGGAGCCCGCAAAAGAAGCGGCUCGGCGGAGUUGCGACCCCCCGCUCGUGGAAGUGAGCGAAGGAGACGACGUAGCCGGCGGGAGGCGUCAGCACAUGCUCCGACCCCGGCAGCUCCCACUCGCCCACCUCCGUCCUCUCGCAGAGGAGGCCUUUCCUCACCAGGCCUUCGGUGCGUGAGGAGUUGAAGUGAGAAAUCCCCCAGGAUCCCAUCGCCGGAGGAGGAAGGAACUUGACGGGGAUGGGAAGAAAGGGCGUAGCGCUGAAGCGGAGGAAGGUGAAGCGGGCGCGGAUGAGCUGAGGGCGAGUUCGGAGGGCAAAAAGACUUGAAAGCAGAAGGCGGGCGGAACCAGCGAGGCGGAGCCUUCAUUUUAUAGGGAAGGCGUGAAGGGAGCGGAACCGACGCCCUUGUCGCCAUAAAUGCGGCGCCCGGUACGCCCCCGUCACGCCCACUUUCUUUUCGAAAACCGCGCGCACGAUCGGCCGCAGAAACAUCAUCUCCUCCUCGAUUCGCGGGUCGGCACCCUCCAUAACUCCGCCUCCCGGAAGACGCGCACACGACGUCCCCCACGUUCGGCCCAGGACGUAGCAUCCGCCCCGAUUUGGCCCAAGGCCCACUGAAAGGUAAUAAGGGAUACGGGGCUGAAAACGCCCCUACGGCCCAUUACGAUCCAGAGGUUCGAAGGCUGGCCCGCUACGGGUUCAACAGCCGCCUCAGGAUGCCCACGAGCGAGGGGUGAGAAGGGACGGGUCCGCUAGCGACCAUAACCCAGGCGCGCGACGGCCCCAGGUGUCUCAAACUCACAUUCGAGUCCAGACCAGCAUCAAAGUUCAUGGUUUUUCCACGAGGAAAGGCAACGAGCCCCCGGAUCCGACCGAACGGACUCGGGAACUAUAUGAACCGGCCGGCUAGAGCCUGGGGUACGCCACCAGCUUGGCCCUAGCCGGACCCCCCUGAACGGGGACCGGGACUCCACUCGAACCGACCCGUUCGCAGCUCAACGAGCACCACGAUUCGUCCAACGAGGAUAGCGUGGCACGUCUCAUCCCCUCCGUCCCAGCGAACGGAUGCGUGAGGGGUAACGAUCAAAAGCCGAUCUAGCCUCCCGAUCGGUCUCCGGCAACGCGCGGGGGCUCGGGGGCUAGCAUCGCAACCAAUAACCACGCGUGUGGUCGCGAUUUGGAGACUCGAGGCGGUAGCGCCCCACGGAGCAAUGAGGAGUCUCGCCACGCUAAGUCAUCCACAGGACACCUCUCCUGAUCGAACUCCCUGGCCUAGUCGGACCAACAACACUCCCCAUCCCUGGUCAACUACGGCUUGCAGGGCAAGCAGAGAACCCUGGCGGGCGGCGAAAAAAGCCUCUGGAGGAACAUCUUUGCUCCACCACAGGCUCGGGGGCUACUGUUGGGGGAAAAUAUUAACGACCUCCUAAUGCCGCUUAAAGCAACAGUCACGGAAGCCCAGGCCCAUCUAAGGUAACGAAAUUGCCGUCGGCCCAACAUGGAAGGGAGAGGCCACGUUCCGCCUCGCCCGACCCGGGGUCCCGGGGUCGGACGCCCCCGACUCCUUGAAGACUAAACUCCGCCUCGCCCGACCCCGGGGACCGGGUUCGGGAGCGCCUGACCCCUACCACGGAAAUUCCACCUCGCCCGACCCUGGGCGCGGGGGUCGGACUCGCUCGGGUCCACAAGACGAAUAUCCGCCUCGGGCGCGGACUGGAGGAUCAGGAUGACGAUCUCGUGGGUCCCCCUAUCGACCUCACCAUAAAUGCGCCGCGGCCCUGUCAGGACGAAAGGGAGCAGCGCCCCCAAUGCAACCGGUCCCGAAUACCGGUGCGCGGCCGUGCGGCGCAGGCUGCAGUGGCCGCGGCUCCUUCUCAUUCGCCACAAGGUACUCAUGAGCCGCGCCGAACGACACAGGAGGGCGCAUCGCUUGCUCUCACGCCCCGUGCUCCCAAUGGCAGUGUCAGGGACGCGACGUGCGGGUCUUGCGGUAAUCGGCGGGGCAGCAGAAUCGGACCUCCUCCCCGGCGGGCACGGAUGCCGAGGCUGAGGCUCAUCAUCACGAUCGACAGCGACGGCGACCAGGGAGAUCAUCGACAAGAUUUGGAAGGAAUCACCCUCCCUCGCCGGACGCGCUGACAGGGACUGGGGGCCGGAACGAGAGCGGCGGCCUUGGGACCCUCCCCUUGUAUCAUUUUACUACUUGGCUUAUCCUUUCUACCUCUUCUCCGGACGCCCGGCUGGACUGUAACCCCGAGCUCCCUCUUGUGAUAUAAAAGGAGGACCGGGGAUCCUGGGAUGGGGGACUCAGACUUUUUCCCUCAAGCCAACAGUACACUCUCGCACGCCCUUAGAGGACCAGCGCACUCAAGAGACCUGGGAUCAGUUUCGUCUCUCGCCCAUCUGUAACCCCUACUACAGAACCCCACGUGGGUAAUACGAGCAGCCUCGAUACUGGACGUAGGGCUUCCUUUGCCCGAACCAGUCUAACCUCGUGUCUCCCACGCCACUAUCCGAAGCCUUACGUACAUAAAAUAAAAUUUACUAGUCUAAGUCUUGAUCCGCAAAUCUUGACAACGACACUAUCACAGGACAACGAUGCAACAACUCAGUCCCCCCUCUUGCCUCGUCACGAGUAAGGUUUCUAAUUAUUUAGCCAAGACCAGAGCCAAUUAGUCUUGUGGUAGCAUUGUUUUCCUGGGUGGCUCUCCAUGUUCCGAUUAAACGUUUGUGAUCUUGUAUUAAUGAAAGGUAUAACAGAAGUAAAGCAAGAUUAAUCAUUGAGUUCAAUUAAACCAACUUAUCCCAAGUAGGAACUAAGGAUGAGCUACCAAACAUAAAAGUACACCCGGUUGGUCAAGGCAAAGGUAAAUUAAAUCUAGGGAAACCUUAAUUGGGACCCAUCAAUUUAAUCUUAACAAGGGCAUAGCAUAAUUGUUGAGUACGAGAAAGUAAAAGUGUAUAGGACUGACAAGUAGUGAUCAAGGACACGACUUGACUUCUUGGCCUUGCUCUUGCUGUUCGUACUCCUCGAAGGCUUGAUCUUCAAAUCCCCCGAAUUGUUGAACGUCUAUACGCGUCACAUGAGCACAUACAAGCAAACAAGGGCACAAAGUAAGAAAACAGUACACAAAUCACAACUAAACAGAGAAAACAAGCUUGAAAAAUUAAUCGACACUUUAAAACAAACACGUGGAUAUAAAGAACGCGAAAAACGAAGUUAAGAUGCAAAAGAUAUGAUUAAAACAAGAUCCAGGGGCUUUUCUGCGAGAAAAACAAAACUUCUAGGGUCGAACUGCGAAAAACCGAGGGCUUAUACAUGAUUAUGCAUAUAAACCGAAGGUUUAACAUGCAAAAAUGCAACUUAGGAUGGCGGGUUGAUUUAGAGAAACUCAGGGUCUAAACCGAAAGAAAGCAGGACCAAAACACAAUUAUUUUUGAACUAGAUUGGACUGCGGGUUGAUUUGCGGAAAAGGUAAGGGCUUCAGUGUAAAAGAGGCACGGUGCGACGCGAUUGAGUACACGAUCUGGUUGACUCGCUGCGGGCCGUCGGAUUUGGAUCCGACGGUCUCGGUCAUCGGCGACACCGAAGCAACGGCGGACCAGGCGGCGGGCGGCGACGAGCGGCGGCGGUUCGCCGGAAUUAGCCGAUACGGCGCUACAGGGCUCGGUUUCGCGCGCGGCAAACACUAGAAGCAUGAGAAAAGCAAGGCAAUCCCUUUUCGGUGGUUCACGGUAACCGAGGCUCACCGGAAGGCGGAGAUAGGGUGGUUGCGCCGGAGCUCGGAUGGCGGCGCUUGCUAGGGUUUUGGGGGCGCUGUUGCGGGGUGCUCGAGGUGGGGGGGCGGCUUAUAUAGGGGCGGAGUCGGGGCGCGGUCGGAGUGGAGUUCCGACUGGAGGACGGGGAUGAUGGGUAGGUCCCACCCGUCAGACCUGCAGAAGAAGGCUGGUGCCGCUGGGCAGGCCGACGGAGUGGGCCGAGCGAGCGACAUGAGCUGGCGAAGGGAAAAAGGGAAAGCGGCAGCUUCGCGGGCCGGAGGAAAAGGCAGAGCGGGCCGGGGGAGCUAGCAGCGCUGGGCUGCAGGGAAAUAGGAUCCGGGCUGAAAGAGAAAGGAGGAGGAGAAGGAUGUAGCCCAGGAGGAGGAAGAGAAAAGAGGAAAAGAAAGAUUUUUAAGAUUGAAAUUGAAUUUGAGAUUCAAUUUUGAUUCAAACACAAGCAAUCAAAAUAAAUGCACCAGCAUGCAAUGCACAAAGAACUCCUAUGAUGGUUUAAUUUAAUUUAGAGAAAAUAAAAUUAAAUGCCUAGAAAUUUAAAUGACAUCCUAAAUGAGCAAAUUUUAGUGUAUUUAAAUUCUUUAAAAAAUUUGGGUGUUACAGGGCACCAGAUGAUCCGAUGCCUAUCUCAAGUGACCAUCGGAUCAUCCAAUGCUCACAUAUUUUACUAGCCGUUGUAGCAAAGGCUCUUUGAGGUCCAUGGGCUAUUUAUGCCCCCUCCACUCACCCAUUCAGAGUUGCUGGAUUGUCCACACAUCGAUUGAAGAUCAAGGCCCAUCAAGAACACAUCCAUGCCACCAAAAGUGCAAAAGCGAUAAUCCAAGGCUUAGCACGAGCUAAGAGAUUGAUUAGUGCUAGGAUAGGCCUAGAGAGAGUAGUGCAAGGUGCUGCUACCUUGUGAUUGGUUCAAGGAGUGAUCCACUAUUGUAAGCUUGGGGUGCCGGCGCCUUGGGGUCUUGAUGGCUCUCCGGCAAGUCUUCGACCCCCCAGCUCGGUAUGGAGCAGCGUCGACAGCCGGAUGUGGGGGACAAGAAGACUCCUUCCUUCGUGGAGCAGCUCCGUGGUGGAGACGACGUCAAGGUGACCGAAAGGGGGUAGUAGUGAGCCUUGCGUUUGUGGCUAGCUUGUCAUCCAGCUUGGCUAGAGCCUUUGUGGCGAGCCCAAGACCUUGACCGGGAGAGACUUGGUGAGCAGGAGCAUGUCCUUGGUGGAGCUCCAACGCAUGGACUAGGGGUGGCAUUUGGCUACCGAUACCAUGUGAUAAAUCGUCGUGCUGGGUUUGCAUCUUUCCUAACCCACUCCUUUACAUUUCCGCACUACAUUCUCGCAACUUGAGUGCCUUUAAUUACUUUCCAGAGUAGUACCUUGUUAGGAUUGGCUCUAGGUUGCAAAACUCUUUGUGGGUGGGAAGUUUUACUAGAUCAACCAUAGAUGCACAUGCUCUUCCUUCAUUUUAUUCCAAUUAGUAUGGACGUGGAGGUUACAGGACACACCAUGCUAGCUGUAGCGCCGGCAACAGGGAAACAAACCCAAGAAAGCAAUGUGGACAUUUGAUUCUACUUUUUUAUGCAGAAUAUAUGGAGGCACCAGCCAGCCCAGCAACAACAACAAUGGCGGCUACUUGGUAUACUCGAUGGCCCAGAAGUUGGCGUAGAUGUAGGUGGACUUGACGCUGGUAAACCCGGCGCCCUUGGCGAGCUCCACAAACUCCCUCUCGUACCUCUCCUUGCCGUCGGGGCUGUACGCGAGCAGGCACACGUCGACGCCGAUCAACCCCUGCGCGCUGUUUGUGGCAUCCGGGUUCACCGGCAGGAUGCACUCGACACUGAUGAGCUUGCCGUGCGGAGGCAGCGCCUCGUAGCAGUUCUUGAGCAGCUUGGUGCAGUGGUUGUCGCCCCAGCAAUUGAGGAUCCACUUCAUGAGGAUGGCGUCGCCGGAGGGCACCUUCUCAAACAUGUCGCCUCCCACGUGCUGCACCUGCACGUCGGGGUAGGCCGGCGCCUCGGAGAUGACGUGGGGAAGGUCGAAGUUGAUCCCUUGAAUGGUCGGGUACCUGGAGGUGAUGGCAUGGAUGGUGGAGCCGAGGCCGCCGCCAACGUCGACGAGGGUGCGGACGCCGUCGAAGUCCGUGUAGAGCUCCAAGAGCUUCUUGGUGAGGAUGAUGGAAUGCUGCUUCAUGGCCUCAUUGAAGACCCCGUUGAAGCGUGCGUCAGUACCGGCGUAGUCGAACCAGGAAGGCGUCCCAAACGCCCUGUUGAAUGGGCUGCCACCCUCAAGGACCGCGUCCGUCAUGUAGCUCCAGGCGUGCAUGAAGAGCUUGUCGUUGGCGAGGAGGUGGAUCGGGUGGAUAAGGCUACGGCGUAGCACAUUAUCAUGGCUCGGGCGGCCGGAGCAAGAACACGAGCUGGCCGACCGUAGAGGGAAGACGCAAGCGGCACUCGCAGAAUCUACGUGGCUCCCCUUGGUCAUUCUUUGUCUCACCCUAUGGGUAUCGUGGAGGCACGGCGCCAGGCUGGCGGCACGGUGUAGCCUCAAUUCAGGACUUUCCUAGGCAGGGCGUGGCCGAGGGCGAUGGGUUGCUCAACCUGAUGAGAACUUGGGUGGGUGCUCCUACAUGGGAGAGAAUAGGGUGACGGAUGAGAAUGCAGAUGAGGGACGGGGCUCAGACGAGGGGUGGGUUGGAGACAUGUUUUCACUGUUGAACUCUUAGCGUCAAGAUGAGUGGUGAGAUGAGAUACCGGUAGGACCUGCUCUUACCAUGGCACUUCAGCAACCCCACCCCAACCCCGCGCGCAAGUCAAAAUUUGAGGACCAUAUGUACAAUACGUGUGCAAACAAAACCAUAAUUUUACUAGUAUUGAGGGAUUUUAGUUAUUUCUUCUAAAAAAUCUCUUGGGAAAUCGUAUUUUUGUAGUACAACAUAUAUAGAAAAUAAGUAUUACUCACAAAUAAACUGCCCUUUUCUUUAGUAUUCUUGGUUUUUGUUAUUAUUUUAUUUAAUCUUAAGAUUUAUAUAUGCAUAAAAAAGUAAUUUAGUAUCUUCAAAUAUGGAAACGUGGUCUUAGGAAUAGGGCUCAUAUUUUAUUCUUGAGCAUGCCUAGUGGAAAAAUACUAUCUAAAAAACUGCAAAGAAAUUUCAUCAUACGGAAAUGUCUGAGAUUGUGAACGGAAGCAAUUUCAUCUGUCUGCAACCCUGCAUAGCAUGUGACAGCCCGGGCUGCGUGCCAAGAAACACCCAGAGCUCCUGACACAACCGCGUGAGCACCUUCUCCGACAUGCGCACAUGAGGACCGCAUGCACCCAUAUGCAAGGUUCACAAAUACGUGCGUGCUUAAACUAUAUGCGCACGUUACAAACGAUUGUAGAAAAAAUGCGAGUCACCAGGAAGGUAGGUAGUAGAGCAUGCCGUCAGUGUCUUUCCUGUGACCUGUGUUCGUGGUGCACAUGGCAGAAUGCACAGUCUAUACAUAGGAACCAGAAGUUGGCUUCGAAACCAAAUCACUCAUUAGUCCUUCAGUACUGCAGUGAACGCUAUCUAGCUAGCUAAUUUCCCCUUGAAAUCAGUUUUCUUGCGUGGCCAUGGGUAGCCUUCCACUUGAAGCCAUGAUGCCACUGAAUCCCGAUUCAUUCGCUGGGGAGUCCAGUGCCGUGGUCGACUUCCUCGCCGACUACUACCGCAACGUCGAUAAGUAUCCGGUCAUGGCCAACACCCAGCCAGGGACCAUCCGUAAGCUUCUUCCGGAGGCAGCCCCGGAGUUGGGCGACUCGAUGGAUCGCAUACUGGAUGAUGUGCAGCGGGAUAUCCUCCCCGGCCUCACACAUUGGCAGAGCCCUAGCUUCUUUGCCUAUUUCCCGGCGAAUGCAAGCACCGCAGGGUUCGCCGGGGAGAUGUUGUCGGCUGGUCUCAACGUCGUCCCGUUCGUCUGGACGGCGUCACCGGUGGCCACUAAGCUGGAGCAGGUCGUGGUUGACUGGAUGGCUAGCCUCCUCGCCCUACCGGAGCGCUUCCACUUCAAGGGAGGAGGAGGCGGUGUCCUACAUGGGAGCACGUGCGAGGCGGUGGUGUGCACUCUCGCUGCCGCGCGCGACCGUGCACUCAGCAAGCUCGGACAUGAGGGCAUCCUCAAGCUUGUUGAUGCAUGGAAAUGCAUAGAAUACUUAUUGGAGCGAAGGCUCUUUGAGGUCCAUGGGCUAUUUAUGCCCCCUCCACUCGCCCAUUCAGAGUUGCUGGAGUGUCCAUACAUCUAUUGAAGACCAAGGCUCAUCAAGUGACGAAUGGAGAAACCACACAUCCACCUUGAUAAUUUUAGAGCAUCCAGGUGACGAUAUUCAAUGCGCUCAAAUGGUGGUAUUCAACUUAGAAAAAAUAGUAGCACCAGAAGAUCUGAGAGUCAUCGGAGUAACCAUCGAAGCAAUUGGUACAACUGAGAAGUAAGCUUGAGUUGCAGCAAGCACCAGAUGAUCCGACGGGGUCCUUUUCACAAGCGUCGGAGCAAUUUGUAAAGAAGACGGAGAAAGACCUAUAGCACCAGAUAUUCCGAUGGCUAGAAGAUGAAGGAAUCGGACCAAGCAUAUUUACUUUGAAAACGUCAAGAGAGUUUUUAGGAAAAACUCCUUCAGCACCGGAUGAUCCGACGUUACGUCGGAUGAAUUUAGGUAGAGGUCCAACGGCUAUAUACGUCAGCAGGGGGCGUGUCACACCCGAUUUUAAGGACAAAACCGAGUGCUUUCAAUACAUGUGCGCCAGGAACAAGUUACACACAUGUACGACAUAAGUGAAUAACAAAGUCAGUGCCAAAGCGAAUAAAGAGAGUAUUAAACUUUAUUACAUGAUCGAAAGUCUUAACAAAACACAAGCCUAACUUAUUACACAGCGGAUUCCAAAGACGACGAUGACACCAUAGGCUGCUGACUGAAGAACCGUAUGCCUAGAACUCCUCAAACUCGUGCAGGUACUCCUCCAGAUUAUCUUGGUCUGAACAGCGGUUUUGCAAGGGUGAGUACACUUAUGGUUGGUACUCAACAAGUCGUGGGGAAUAGUGUAGUGCAAGGCCAACCAAGGUAUGGCUAAGGCUAAAUAGCAUGAGCUUUUAAUUAGCUUGGUCAAAGUUUAUUAGCAAUUAACUAAGUAUAAGUUUAUACCACCCCAAAUUAAACAUGAACAUAAAUAAAGUAAACAACAUAUGCGCAGUAUGACAACAAUUUAAGUCCAUCUUUCGUUAGUAUUAUCAUGUGAGGGUCCAGGCCGCUCUUAACCGUGAGCAUGGCUGAUCAAUCAGUUUUACACUCUACAGAGGUCGCACAUCUUUACCCACAACUCGCGUAAAAGUUGAAAAGAACUUUGGACCCAACCAUGCGGUGUUUGCAAGGCACCAUACCACACUUCCGAGGUGUGAUUGCAUAGGGACGCUACGAGGCCUUUACAAAGAUUCAUUAGUCAGUGGUAACCCACUAAGGUUUCGGUGUCUAGCGUGCACAACCUAUCACAGGACAAUGAUACAACGACUCAGUCCCCCCUCUUGCCUUAUCACGAGUAAGGUUUCUAAUUAUUUAGCUAAGACCAGAGCCAAUUAGUCCUGUGGUAGCACUGUUUUCCUGGGUGGCUCUCCAUGUUCCGAUUAAACGUUUGUGAUCUUGUAUUAAUGAAAGGUAUAAUAGAAGUAAAGCAAGAUUAAUCAUUGAGUUCAGUUAAACCAACUUAUCCCAAGUAGAAACUAAGGAUGAUCUACCAAACAUAAAAGUACACCCGGUUCGUCAAGGCAUAGGUAAAUUCAAUCUAGGCAAACCUUAAUUGGGACCCAUCAAUUUAAUCUUAACAAGGGCAUAGCAUAAUUGUUGAGUACGAGAAAGUAAAAGUGUAUAGGACUGAGAAGUAGGGAUCAAGGACACAACUUGCCUUCUUGGCCUUGCUCUUGCUGUUCGUACUGCUCGAAGGCUUGAUCUUCAAAUCCCCCAAAUUGCUGAACGUCUAUACGCUCACACGAGCACAUACAAGCAAACAAGGGCACAAAGUAAGAAAACAGUACACCAAUCACAACUAAACAGAGAAAACAAGCCUGAAAAAUUAAUCUACACUUUAAAACAAACAUGUGGAUAUAAAGAACGCGAAAAACGGAGUUAAGAUGCAAAAGAUAUGAUUAAAACAAGAUCCAGGGGCUUUUCUGCGACAAAAACAAAACUUCUAGGGUCGAACUCCGAAAAACCGAGGGCUUGUACAUGAUUAUUCCUAUAAACCGAAGGUUUAACACGCAAAAAUGCAACUUAGGAUGGCGGGUUGAAUUAGAGAAACUCAGGGUCUAAACCGAAAGAAAGCAGGACCAAAACACAAUUAUUUUUGAACUAGAUUGGACUGCAGGUUGAUUUGCGGAAAAGGGGAGCGCUUCAGUGCAAAAGAGGCGCGGCGUGACACGAUUGAGUACGCGAUCCGGUUGACUCACUGUGGGCCGUCGGAUUUGGAUCCGAGGUCUCGGUCGUCGACGACACCCAAGCGGCGGCGGACCAGGCGGCGGGCGGCGACGAGCGGCGGCGGUUUGCUGGAAUUAGCCGAUACGGCGCUCCGGGGCUCGAUUUCGCGCGCGGAAAACACCGGAAGCAUGAGAAAAGCAAGGCGAUCCCUUUUCGGCGGUUCACGGUGAUCGAGGCUCACUGGAAGGCGGUGCUUUGCGGCGGAGAGAGGGUGGCGGCACUUGCUGGGGUUUCGGGGGCGCUGUUGCGGGGUGCUCGAGGUGGGGGCGGGCGGCGGCUUAUAUAGGGGCGGAGUCGGGGCGCGGUCGGAGUGGAGUCCCGGCCGGAGCACGGGGAUGACGGGUAGGUCCCACUCGUCAGACCUGCGGAAGGAGGCCGGUGCCGCUGGGCAGGCCGACAGAGUGGGCCGAGCGAGCGACAUGGGCUGGCGAAGGGAAAAAGGGAAAGCGGCAGCUUCGCGGGCUGGAGGAACAGGCAGAGCGGGCCGGGGGAGGUAGCGGCGCUAUGCUGCAGGGAAAUAGGAUCCGGGCUGAAAGAGAAAGGAGGAGGAGAAGGAUGCAGCCCAGGAGGAGGAAGAGAAAAGAGGAAAAGAAAGAUUUUUGAAAUUGAAAUUGAGAUUCAAUUUUGAUUCAAACACAAGCAAUCAAAAUAAAUGCACCAGCAUGCAAUGCACAAAGAACUCCUAUGAUGGUUUAAUUUAAUUUAGAGAAAAUAAAAUUAAAUGCCUAGAAAUUUAAAUGACAUCCUAAUUGAGCAAAUUUUAGUGUAUUUAAAUUCUUUAAAAAAUUUGGGUGUUACAGGGCACCAGAUGAUCCGAUGCCUAUCUCAAGUGACCAUCGGAUCAUCCAAUGCUCACAUAUUUUACUAGCCGUUGUAGCGAAGGCUCUUUGAGAUCCAUGGGCUAUUUAUGCCCUCUCCACUCGCCCAUUCAGAGGUGCUGGAUUGUCCAUACAUCGAUUGAAGACCAAGGCCCAUCAAGAACACAUCCAUGCCACCAAAAGUGCAAAAGCGAUAAUCCAAGGCUUAGCACGAGCUAAGAGAUUGAUUAGCUCUAGGAUAGGCCUAGAGAGAGUAGUGCAAGGUGUUGCUACCUUGUGAUUGGUUCAAGGAGUGAUCCACUAUUGUAAGCUUGGGGCGCCGGCGCCUUGGGGUCUUGGUGGCUCUCCGGCAAGUCUUCGACACCUCAGCUCGGUGUGGAGCAGCGUCGACAGCCGGAUGCGGGGGACAAGAAGACUCCUUCCUUCGUGGAGCAGCUCCAUGGUGGAGACGACGUCAAGGUGACCGAAGGGGGUAGUAGUGAGCCUUGCGUUUGUGGAUAGCUUGUCAUCCGGCUUGGCUAGAGCCUUUGUAGCGAGCCUAAGACCUUGACCGGGAGAGGCUUGGUGAGCAGGAGCAUGUCCUUGGUGGAGCUCCAACGCAUGGACUAGGGGUGGCAUUUGGCUACCGAUACCAUGUGAUAAAUCAUCGUGCUGGGUUUGCAUCUUUCCUAACCCACUCCUUUACAUUUCCGCACUACAUUCUCGCAACUUGAGUGCCUUUAAUUACUUUCCAGAGUAGUACCUUGUUAGGAUUGGCUCUAGGUUGCAAAACUCUUUGUGGGUGGGAAGUUUCACUAGAUCAACCAUAGAUGCACAUGUAGAUAGCAUGAUCUAGUUUAGGUUUGGAAGCAAGUAGUGGAAGUCAUAGGCCAAGGAUUUUAAGCUAGCCUAAUUCACCCCUCCCCUUCCUAGGGUACGAGCAUCGAUUCCUUUCAAUUUGCUUUAGCACCAUGAAGGCAAUAGUCAUCCAUCUGCACCAUGAUCAUAGAGCAAUGCAAAACCACGAGAGAAACGAAACGGCUGCUCUUCCUUCAUUUUACUCCAAUUAGUAUGGACGUGGAGGUUACAGGACACACCAUGCUAGCUGUAGCGCCGGCAACAGGGAAACAAACCCAAGAAAGCAAUGCGGACAUUUUAUUCUACUUUUUUAUGCAGAAUAUAUGGAGGCACCAGCCAGCCCAGCAACAACGACAAUGGCGGCUACUUGGUAUACUCGAUGGCCCAGAAGUUGGCGUAGAUGUAGGUGGACUUGACGCUGGUAAACCCGGCGCCCUUGGCGAGCUCCACAAACUCCCUCUCGUACCUCUCCUUGCCGUCGGGGCUGUACGCGAGCAGGCACACGUCGACGCCGAUCAACCCCUGCGCGCUGUUUGUGGCAUCCGGGUUCACCGGCAGGAUGCACUCGACACUGAUGAGCUUGCCGUGCGGAGGCAGCGCCUCGUAGCAGUUCUUGAGCAGCUUGGCGCAGUGGUUGUCGCCCCAGCAAUUGAGGAUCCACUUCAUGAGGAUGGCGUCGCCGGAGGGCACCUUCUCAAACAUGUCGCCUCCCACGUGCUACACCUGCACGUCGGGGUAGGCCGGCGCCUCGGAGAUGACGUGGGGAAGGUCGAAGUUGAUCCCUUGAAUGGUCGGGUACCUGGAGGUGAUGGCAUGGAUGGUGGAGCCGAGGCCGCCGCCAACGUCGACGAGGGUGCGGACGCCGUCGAAGCCCGUGUAGAGCUCCAAGAGCUUCUUGGUGAGGAUGAUGGAAUGCUGCUUCAUGGCCUCAUUGAAGACCCCGUUGAAGCGUGCGUCAGUACCGGCGUAGUCGAACCAGGAAGGCGUCCCAAACGCCCUGUUGAAUGGGCUGCCACCCUCAAGGACCGCGUCCGUCAUGUAGCUCCAGGCGUGCAUGAAGAGCUUGUCGUUGGCGAGGAGGUGGAACGGAGCCAUGGAGACACCAUCCUCGUUGGGGGUGAGCCACUUGCACACUGGCGCGGCGCUGUACUGGCGGCACAGGCUGCCAUCCUCGGCCUCCUCCACCACGCAGGACACAACUUUGUAGGACGCCAGCAGUCGCAGCAAGCGAUCCACCAUGGACGGCGCGGCGGGGUUGGCCUUGGAAGGCAGCUUCGCGGCCACCUCCUUGGGAGUGAGAGCCUUCCCGCUGGCGCCCACAAGGGUCUCGAGCAGGCCCAGCUCAAUGGCAGUUCUUAGCGUCAUCGGCAGGAUGGCCGACGACACUAGCUGCAGAGCGUGCAUGCAUGUCUCCUCGUCGGCUAUGGCCAUGUCCGCGGCGGAACCCAUCUACCUCCCGGGAUUGGAGCUCAACUAACUGAUGAAGGUGUGUGUACCUUGUUGUUGUGAUUGCUGGUGGCUGAAUGAUCGAUGAGGCGAAAGGGGCCGUUUAUAUAGAGCUUCGAGCUAGGCUUUGUUCACCAACCUGAAAAUCAUGCAUUCUUUGACAAGUAUGGGAUUGCUUGUAUGGUGUGACCAACCUGUGAGAGCGUGGUAGUGAUUGUGUACCCCAUGCAAAACCUCCCUCCUAAUAAGAUCCCUAAUAAGAUCGUGAUGCACGAGGCUGAAUACUAUAUUGUUUUGUCUGCAGUCUAAUCGAUUUGGAAUCCGCAAAUAUAAUCAAUUCACGACACUGGAGAUGGUCGGCGCACGAGGAGUGGCAGUCCUAUUGAAACUUUCAGAGAAGCACCUUGUGCCCUUUGAGAAUCUGUUUUGCAUUAGAUCAAGGUUGAGAUGGUUUCUUCAACCCUUGAGAUUCAGCGCGAGGGUCCACGUGCGUGAUGGACAUGGCUUCCCUACUGCACAACUAUUUUUCAAGAAUCAAGAUAUUCUGCAUGGGAUGUCCUGCGUCUCUGGUGUCGGUGCAAUCUUUCUCCUGUUGAACACAUACACUAGCGUCUGAUGCCAGAGUGAGGUGGAUCGGGUGGAUAAAGGCUACGGCGUAGCACAUUAUCAUGGCUCGGGCGGCCGGAGCAAGAACACGAGCUGGCCGACUGUAGAGGGAAGACGCAAGCGGCACUCGCAGAAUCUACGUGGCUCCCCUUGGUCGUUCUUUGUCUCACCCUAUGGGUAUCGUGGAGGCACGGCGCCAGGCUGGCGGCACGGUGUAGCCUCAAUUCAGAACUUUCCUAGCUAGGGCGUGGCCGAGGGCGAUUGGUUGCUCAACCUGAUGAGAACUUGGGUGGGUGCUCCUACAUGGGAGAGAAUAGGGUGACGGAUGAGAAUGCAGAUGAGGGACGGGGCUCAGACGACGGGUGGGUUGGAGACAUGUUUUCACUGUUGAACUCUUAGCGUCAAGAUGAGAGGUGAGAUGAGAUACCGGUAGGACCUGCUCUUACCAUGGCACUUCAGCAACCCCACCCCAACCCCGCGCGCAAGUCAAAAUUUGAGGACCAUAUGUACCAUACGUGUGCAAACAGAACCAUAAUUUUACUAGUAUUGAGGGAUUUUAGUUAUUUCUUCUAAAAAAUCUCUUGGGAAAUCGUAUUUUUGUAGUACAACAUAUAUAGAAAAUAAGUAUUACUACUCACAAAUAAACUGCCCUUUUCUUUAGUAUUCUUGGUUUUUGUUAUUAUUUUAUUUAAUCUUAAGAUUUAUAUAUGCAUAAAAAAGUAAUUUAGUAUCUUCAAAUAUGGAAACGUGGUCUUAGGAAUAGGGCUCAUAUUUUAUUCUUGAGCAUGCCUAGUGGAAAAAUAAUAUCUAAAAAACUGCAAAGAAAUUUAAUACCUAAGCCUUCGAUCCACUCUACUUUUUGUAUACUAGUUUACCUGCAAUCCCCUGGCUUGCACAUUAUAUUUCAUCAUACGGAAAUGUCUGAGAUUGUGAACGGAAGCAAUUUCAUCUGUCUGCAACCCUGCAUAGCAUGUGUCUGAGAUUGUGACACCCAGAGCUCCUGACACAACCGCGUGAGCACCUUCUCCGACAUGCGCACAUGAUGACCGCAUGCACCCAUAUUAAUUAUUACGACAUGCGCACGUUACAAACGAUUGUAGAAAAAAUGCGAGUCACCAGGAAGGUAGGUAGUAGAGCAUGCCGUCAGUGUCUUUCCUGUGACCUGUGUUCGUGGUGCACAUGGCAGAAUGCACAGUCUAUACAUAGGAACCAGAAGUUGGCUUCCAAACCAAAUCACUCAUUAGUCCUUCAGUACUGCAGUGAACGCUAUCUAGCUAGCUAAUUUCCCCUUGAAAUCAGUUUGCUUGCGUGGCCAUGGGUAGCCUUCCACUUGAAGCCAUGAUGCCACUGAAUCCCGAUUCAUUCGCUGGGGAGUCCAGUGCCGUGGUCGACUUCCUCGCCGACUACUACCGCAACGUCGAUAAGUAUCCGGUCAUGGCCAACACCCAGCCAGGGACCAUCCGUAAGCUUCUUCCGGAGGCAGCCCCGGAGUUGGGCGACUCGAUGGAUCGCAUACUGGAUGAUGUGCAGCGGGAUAUCCUCCCCGGCCUCACACAUUGGCAGAGCCCUAGCUUCUUUGCCUAUUUCCCGGCGAAUGCAAGCACCGCAGGGUUCGCCGGGGAGAUGUUGUCGGCUGGUCUCAACGUCGUCCCGUUCGUCUGGACGGCGUCACCGGUGGCCACUAAGCUGGAGCAGGUCGUGGUUGACUGGAUGGCUAGCCUCCUCGCCCUACCGGAGCGCUUCCACUUCAAGGGAGGAGGAGGCGGUGUCCUACAUGGGAGCACGUGCGAGGCGGUGGUGUGCACUCUCGCUGCCGCGCGCGACCGUGCACUCAGCAAGCUCGGACAUGAGGGCAUCCUCAAGCUUGUUGAUGCAUGGAAAUGCAUAGAAUACUUAUUGGAGCGAAGGCUCUUUGAGGUCCAUGGGCUAUUUAUGCCCCCUCCACUCGCCCAUUCAGAGUUGCUGGAGUGUCCAUACAUCUAUUGAAGACCAAGGCUCAUCAAGUGACGAAUGGAGAAACCACACAUCCACCUUGAUAAUUUUAGAGCAUCCAGGUGACGAUAUUCAAUGCGCUCAAAUGGUGGUAUUCAACUUAGAAAAAAUAGUAGCACCAGAAGAUCUGAGAGUCAUCGGAGUAACCAUCGAAGCAAUUGGUACAACUGAGAAGUAAGCUUGAGUUGCAGCAAGCACCAGAUGAUCCGACGGGGUCCUUUUCACAAGCGUCGGAGCAAUUUGUAAAGAAGACGGAGAAAGACCUAUAGCACCAGAUAUUCCGAUGGCUAGAAGAUGAAGGAAUCGGACCAAGCAUAUUUACUUUGAAAACGUCAAGAGAGUUUUUAGGAAAAACUCCUUCAGCACCGGAUGAUCCGACGUUACGUCGGAUGAAUUUAGGUAGAGGUCCAACGGCUAUAUACGUCAGCAGGGGGCGUGUCACACCCGAUUUUAAGGACAAAACCGAGUGCUUUCAAUACAUGUGCGCCAGGAACAAGUUACACACAUGUACGACAUAAGUGAAUAACAAAGUCAGUGCCAAAGCGAAUAAAGAGAGUAUUAAACUUUAUUACAUGAUCGAAAGUCUUAACAAAACACAAGCCUAACUUAUUACACAGCGGAUUCCAAAGACGACGAUGACACCAUAGGCUGCUGACUGAAGAACCGUAUGCCUAGAACUCCUCAAACUCGUGCAGGUACUCCUCCAGAUUAUCUUGGUCUGAACAGCGGUUUUGCAAGGGUGAGUACACUUAUGGUUGGUACUCAACAAGUCGUGGGGAAUAGUGUAGUGCAAGGCCAACCAAGGUAUGGCUAAGGCUAAAUAGCAUGAGCUUUUAAUUAGCUUGGUCAAAGUUUAUUAGCAAUUAACUAAGUAUAAGUUUAUACCACCCCAAAUUAAACAUGAACAUAAAUAAAGUAAACAACAUAUGCGCAGUAUGACAACAAUUUAAGUCCAUCUUUCGUUAGUAUUAUCAUGUGAGGGUCCAGGCCGCUCUUAACCGUGAGCAUGGCUGAUCAAUCAGUUUUACACUCUACAGAGGUCGCACAUCUUUACCCACAACUCGCGUAAAAGUUGAAAAGAACUUUGGACCCAACCAUGCGGUGUUUGCAAGGCACCAUACCACACUUCCGAGGUGUGAUUGCAUAGGGACGCUACGAGGCCUUUACAAAGAUUCAUUAGUCAGUGGUAACCCACUAAGGUUUCGGUGUCUAGCGUGCACAACCUAUCACAGGACAAUGAUACAACGACUCAGUCCCCCCUCUUGCCUUAUCACGAGUAAGGUUUCUAAUUAUUUAGCUAAGACCAGAGCCAAUUAGUCCUGUGGUAGCACUGUUUUCCUGGGUGGCUCUCCAUGUUCCGAUUAAACGUUUGUGAUCUUGUAUUAAUGAAAGGUAUAAUAGAAGUAAAGCAAGAUUAAUCAUUGAGUUCAGUUAAACCAACUUAUCCCAAGUAGAAACUAAGGAUGAUCUACCAAACAUAAAAGUACACCCGGUUCGUCAAGGCAUAGGUAAAUUCAAUCUAGGCAAACCUUAAUUGGGACCCAUCAAUUUAAUCUUAACAAGGGCAUAGCAUAAUUGUUGAGUACGAGAAAGUAAAAGUGUAUAGGACUGAGAAGUAGGGAUCAAGGACACAACUUGCCUUCUUGGCCUUGCUCUUGCUGUUCGUACUGCUCGAAGGCUUGAUCUUCAAAUCCCCCAAAUUGCUGAACGUCUAUACGCUCACACGAGCACAUACAAGCAAACAAGGGCACAAAGUAAGAAAACAGUACACCAAUCACAACUAAACAGAGAAAACAAGCCUGAAAAAUUAAUCUACACUUUAAAACAAACAUGUGGAUAUAAAGAACGCGAAAAACGGAGUUAAGAUGCAAAAGAUAUGAUUAAAACAAGAUCCAGGGGCUUUUCUGCGACAAAAACAAAACUUCUAGGGUCGAACUCCGAAAAACCGAGGGCUUGUACAUGAUUAUUCCUAUAAACCGAAGGUUUAACACGCAAAAAUGCAACUUAGGAUGGCGGGUUGAAUUAGAGAAACUCAGGGUCUAAACCGAAAGAAAGCAGGACCAAAACACAAUUAUUUUUGAACUAGAUUGGACUGCAGGUUGAUUUGCGGAAAAGGGGAGCGCUUCAGUGCAAAAGAGGCGCGGCGUGACACGAUUGAGUACGCGAUCCGGUUGACUCACUGUGGGCCGUCGGAUUUGGAUCCGAGGUCUCGGUCGUCGACGACACCCAAGCGGCGGCGGACCAGGCGGCGGGCGGCGACGAGCGGCGGCGGUUUGCUGGAAUUAGCCGAUACGGCGCUCCGGGGCUCGAUUUCGCGCGCGGAAAACACCGGAAGCAUGAGAAAAGCAAGGCGAUCCCUUUUCGGCGGUUCACGGUGAUCGAGGCUCACUGGAAGGCGGUGCUUUGCGGCGGAGAGAGGGUGGCGGCACUUGCUGGGGUUUCGGGGGCGCUGUUGCGGGGUGCUCGAGGUGGGGGCGGGCGGCGGCUUAUAUAGGGGCGGAGUCGGGGCGCGGUCGGAGUGGAGUCCCGGCCGGAGCACGGGGAUGACGGGUAGGUCCCACUCGUCAGACCUGCGGAAGGAGGCCGGUGCCGCUGGGCAGGCCGACAGAGUGGGCCGAGCGAGCGACAUGGGCUGGCGAAGGGAAAAAGGGAAAGCGGCAGCUUCGCGGGCUGGAGGAACAGGCAGAGCGGGCCGGGGGAGGUAGCGGCGCUAUGCUGCAGGGAAAUAGGAUCCGGGCUGAAAGAGAAAGGAGGAGGAGAAGGAUGCAGCCCAGGAGGAGGAAGAGAAAAGAGGAAAAGAAAGAUUUUUGAAAUUGAAAUUGAGAUUCAAUUUUGAUUCAAACACAAGCAAUCAAAAUAAAUGCACCAGCAUGCAAUGCACAAAGAACUCCUAUGAUGGUUUAAUUUAAUUUAGAGAAAAUAAAAUUAAAUGCCUAGAAAUUUAAAUGACAUCCUAAUUGAGCAAAUUUUAGUGUAUUUAAAUUCUUUAAAAAAUUUGGGUGUUACAGGGCACCAGAUGAUCCGAUGCCUAUCUCAAGUGACCAUCGGAUCAUCCAAUGCUCACAUAUUUUACUAGCCGUUGUAGCGAAGGCUCUUUGAGAUCCAUGGGCUAUUUAUGCCCUCUCCACUCGCCCAUUCAGAGGUGCUGGAUUGUCCAUACAUCGAUUGAAGACCAAGGCCCAUCAAGAACACAUCCAUGCCACCAAAAGUGCAAAAGCGAUAAUCCAAGGCUUAGCACGAGCUAAGAGAUUGAUUAGCUCUAGGAUAGGCCUAGAGAGAGUAGUGCAAGGUGUUGCUACCUUGUGAUUGGUUCAAGGAGUGAUCCACUAUUGUAAGCUUGGGGCGCCGGCGCCUUGGGGUCUUGGUGGCUCUCCGGCAAGUCUUCGACACCUCAGCUCGGUGUGGAGCAGCGUCGACAGCCGGAUGCGGCGGACAAGAAGACUCCUUCCUUCGUGGAGCAGCUCCAUGGUGGAGACGACGUCAAGGUGACCGAAGGGGGUAGUAGUGAGCCUUGCGUUUGUGGAUAGCUUGUCAUCCGGCUUGGCUAGAGCCUUUGUAGCGAGCCUAAGACCUUGACCGGGAGAGGCUUGGUGAGCAGGAGCAUGUCCUUGGUGGAGCUCCAACGCAUGGACUAGGGGUGGCAUUUGGCUACCGAUACCAUGUGAUAAAUCAUCGUGCUGGGUUUGCAUCUUUCCUAACCCACUCCUUUACAUUUCCGCACUACAUUCUCGCAACUUGAGUGCCUUUAAUUACUUUCCAGAGUAGUACCUUGUUAGGAUUGGCUCUAGGUUGCAAAACUCUUUGUGGGUGGGAAGUUUCACUAGAUCAACCAUAGAUGCACAUGUAGAUAGCAUGAUCUAGUUUAGGUUUGGAAGCAAGUAGUGGAAGUCAUAGGCCAAGGAUUUUAAGCUAGCCUAAUUCACCCCUCCCCUUCCUAGGGUACGAGCAUCGAUUCCUUUCAAUUUGCUUUAGCACCAUGAAGGCAAUAGUCAUCCAUCUGCACCAUGAUCAUAGAGCAAUGCAAAACCACGAGAGAAACGAAACGGCUGCUCUUCCUUCAUUUUAUUCCAAUUAGUAUGGACGUGGAGGUUACAGGACACACCAUGCUAGCUGUAGCGCCGGCAACAGGGAAACAAACCCAAGAAAGCAAUGCGGACAUUUUAUUCUACUUUUUUAUGCAGAAUAUAUGGAGGCACCAGCCAGCCCAGCAACAACGACAAUGGCGGCUACUUGGUAUACUCGAUGGCCCAGAAGUUGGCGUAGAUGUAGGUGGACUUGACGCUGGUAAACCCAGCGCCCUUGGCGAGCUCCACAAACUCCCUCUCGUACCUCUCCUUGCCGUCGGGGCUGUACGCGAGCAGGCACACGUCGACGCCGAUCAACCCCUGCGCGCUGUUUGUGGCAUCCGGGUUCACCGGCAGGAUGCACUCGACACUGAUGAGCUUGCCGUGCGGAGGCAGCGCCUCGUAGCAGUUCUUGAGCAGCUUGGCGCAGUGGUUGUCGCCCCAGCAAUUGAGGAUCCACUUCAUGAGGAUGGCGUCGCCGGAGGGCACCUUCUCAAACAUGUCGCCUCCCACGUGCUGCACCUGCACGUCGGGGUAGGCCGGCGCCUCGGAGAUGACGUGGGGAAGGUCGAAGUUGAUCCCUUGAAUGGUCGGGUACCUGGAGGUGAUGGCAUGGAUGGUGGAGCCGAGGCCGCCGCCAACGUCGACGAGGGUGCGGACGCCGUCGAAGCCCGUGUAGAGCUCCAAGAGCUUCUUGGUGAGGAUGACGGAAUGCUGCUUCAUGGCCUCAUUGAAGACCCCGUUGAAGCGUGCGUCAGUACCGGCGUAGUCGAACCAGGAAGGCGUCCCAAACGCCCUGUUGAAUGGGCUGCCACCCUCAAGGACCGCGUCCGUCAUGUAGCUCCAGGCGUGCAUGAAGAGCUUGUCGUUGGCGAGGAGGUGGAACGGAGCCAUGGAGACACCAUCCUCGUUGGGGGUGAGCCACUUGCACACUGGCGCGGCGCUGUACUGGCGGCACAGGCUGCCAUCCUCGGCCUCCUCCACCACGCAGGACACAACUUUGUAGGACGCCAGCAGUCGCAGCAAGCGAUCCACCAUGGACGGCGCGGCGGGGUUGGCCUUGGAAGGCAGCUUCGCGGCCACCUCCUUGGGAGUGAGAGCCUUCCCGCUGGCGCCCACAAGGGUCUCGAGCAGGCCCAGCUCAAUGGCAGUUCUUAGCGUCAUCGGCAGGAUGGCCGACGACACUAGCUGCAGAGCGUGCAUGCAUGUCUCCUCGUCGGCUAUGGCCAUGUCCGCGGCGGAACCCAUCUACCUCCCGGGAUUUGAGCUCAACUAACUGAUGAAGGUGUGUGUACCUUGUUGUUGUGAUUGCUGGUGGCUGAAUGAUCGAUGAGGCGAAAGGGGCCGUUUAUAUAGAGCUUCGAGCUAGGCUUUGUUCACCAACCUGAAAAUCAUGCAUUCUUUGACAAGUAUGGGAUUGCUUGUAUGGUGUGACCAACCUGUGAGAGCGUGGUAGUGAUUGUGUACCCCAUGCAAAACCUCCCUCCUAAUAAGAUCCCUAAUAAGAUCGUGAUGCACGAGGCUGAAUACUAUAUUGUUUUGUCUGCAGUCUAAUCGAUUUGGAAUCCGCAAAUAUAAUCAAUUCACGACACUGGAGAUGGUCGGCGCACGAGGAGUGGCAGUCCUAUUGAAACUUUCAGAGAAGCACCUUGUGCCCUUUGAGAAUCUGUUUUGCAUUAGAUCAAGGUUGAGAUGGUUUCUUCAACCCUUGAGAUUCAGCGCGAGGGUCCACGUGCGUGAUGGACAUGGCUUCCCUACUGCACAACUAUUUUUCAAGAAUCAAGAUAUUCUGCAUGGGAUGUCCUGCGUCUCUGGUGUCGGUGCAAUCUUUCUCCUGUUGAACACAUACACUAGCGUCUGAUGCCAGAGUGAGGUGGAUCGGGUGGAUAAAGGCUACGGCGUAGCACAUUAUCAUGGCUCGGGCGGCCGGAGCAAGAACACGAGCUGGCCGACUGUAGAGGGAAGACGCAAGCGGCACUCGCAGAAUCUACGUGGCUCCCCUUGGUCGUUCUUUGUCUCACCCUAUGGGUAUCAUGGAGGCACGGCGCCAGGCUGGCGGCACGGUGUAGCCUCAAUUCAGAACUUUCCUAGCUAGGGCGUGGCCGAGGGCGAUUGGUUGCUCAACCUGAUGAGAACUUGGGUGGGUGCUCCUACAUGGGAGAGAAUAGGGUGACGGAUGAGAAUGCAGAUGAGGGACGGGGCUCAGACGACGGGUGGGUUGGAGACAUGUUUUCACUGUUGAACUCUUAGCGUCAAGAUGAGAGGUGAGAUGAGAUACCGGUAGGACCUGCUCUUACCAUGGCACUUCAGCAACCCCACCCCAACCCCGCGCGCAAGUCAAAAUUUGAGGACCAUAUGUACCAUACGUGUGCAAACAGAACCAUAAUUUUACUAGUAUUGAGGGAUUUUAGUUAUUUCUUCUAAAAAAUCUCUUGGGAAAUCGUAUUUUUGUAGUACAACAUAUAUAGAAAAUAAGUAUUACUACUCACAAAUAAACUGCCCUUUUCUUUAGUAUUCUUGGUUUUUGUUAUUAUUUUAUUUAAUCUUAAGAUUUAUAUAUGCAUAAAAAAGUAAUUUAGUAUCUUCAAAUAUGGAAACGUGGUCUUAGGAAUAGGGCUCAUAUUUUAUUCUUGAGCAUGCCUAGUGGAAAAAUAAUAUCUAAAAAACUGCAAAGAAAUUUAAUACCUAAGCCUUCGAUCCACUCUACUUUUUGUAUACUAGUUUACCUGCAAUCCCCUGGCUUGCACAUUAUAUUUCAUCAUACGGAAAUGUCUGAGAUUGUGAACGGAAGCAAUUUCAUCUGUCUGCAACCCUGCAUAGCAUGUGUCUGAGAUUGUGACACCCAGAGCUCCUGACACAACCGCGUGAGCACCUUCUCCGACAUGCGCACAUGAUGACCGCAUGCACCCAUAUUAAUUAUUACGACAUGCGCACGUUACAAACGAUUGUAGAAAAAAUGCGAGUCACCAGGAAGGUAGGUAGUAGAGCAUGCCGUCAGUGUCUUUCCUGUGACCUGUGUUCGUGGUGCACAUGGCAGAAUGCACAGUCUAUACAUAGGAACCAGAAGUUGGCUUCCAAACCAAAUCACUCAUUAGUCCUUCAGUACUGCAGUGAACGCUAUCUAGCUAGCUAAUUUCCCCUUGAAAUCAGUUUGCUUGCGUGGCCAUGGGUAGCCUUCCACUUGAAGCCAUGAUGCCACUGAACCCCGAUUCAUUCGCUGGGGAGUCCAGUGCCGUGGUCGACUUCCUCGCCGACUACUACCGCAACGUCAAUAAGUAUCCGGUCAUGGCCAACACCCAGCCAGGGACCAUCCGUAAGCUUCUUCCGGAGGCAGCCCCGGAGUUGGGCGACUCCAUGGAUCGCAUACUGGAUGAUGUGCAGCGGGAUAUCCUCCCCGGCCUCACACAUUGGCAGAGCCCUAGCUUCUUUGCCUAUUUCCCGGCGAAUGCAAGCACCGCAGGGUUCGCCGGGGAGAUGUUGUCGGCUGGUCUCAACGUCAUCCCGUUCGUCUGGACGGCGUCACCGGUGGCCACUGAGCUGGAGCAGGUCGUGGUUGACUGGAUGGCUAGCCUCCUCGGCCUACCGGAGCGCUUCCACUUCAAGGGAGGAGGAGGCGGUGUCCUACAUGGGAGCACGUGCGAGGCGGUGGUGUGCACUCUCGCUGCCGCGCGCGACCGUGCACUCAGCAAGCUAGGACAUGAGGGCAUCCUCAAGCUUGUUGAUGCAUGGAAAUGCAUAGAAUACUUAUUGGAGCGAAGGCUCUUUGAGGUCCAUGGGCUAUUUAUGCCCCCUCCACUCGCCCAUUCAGAGUUGCUGGAGUGUCCAUACAUCUAUUGAAGACCAAGGCUCAUCAAGUGACGAAUGGAGAAACCACACAUCCACCUUGAUAAUUUUAGAGCAUCCAGGUGACGAUAUUCAAUGCGCUCAAAUGGUGGUAUUCAACUUAGAAAAAAUAGUAGCACCAGAAGAUCUGAGAGUCAUCGGAGCAACCAUCGAAGCAAUUGGUACAACUGAGAAGUAAGCUUGAGUUGCAGCAAGCACCAGAUGAUCCGACGGGGUCCUUUUCACAAGCGUCGGAGCAAUUUGUAAAGAAGACGGAGAAAGACCUAUAGCACCAGAUAUUCCGAUGGCUAGAAGAUGAAGGAAUCAGACCAAGCAUAUUUACUUUGAAAACGUCAAGAGAGUUUUUAGGAAAAACUCCUUCAGCACCGGAUGAUCCGACGUUACGUCGGAUGAAUUUAGGUAGAGGUCCAACGGCUAUAUACGUCAGCAGGGGGCGUGUCACACCCGAUUUUAAGGACAAAACCGAGUGCUUUCAAUACAUGUGCGCCAGGAACAAGUUACACACAUGUACGACAUAAGUGAAUAACAAAGUCAGUGCCAAAGCGAAUAAAGAGAGUAUUAAAUUUUAUUACAUGAUCGAAAGUCUUAACAAAACACAAGCCUAACUUAUUACGCAGCGGAUUCCAAAGACGACGAUGACACCACAUGCUGCUGACUGAAGAACCGUAUGCCUAGAACUCCUCAAACUCGUGCAGGUACUCCUCCAGAUUAUCUUGGUCUGAAUAGCAGUUUUGCAAGGGUGAGUACACUUAUGGUUGGUACUCAACAAGUCGUGGGGAAUAGUGUAGUGCAAGGCCAACCAAGGAAUGGCUAAGGCUAAAUAGCAUCAGCUUUUAAUUAGCUUGGUCAAAUUUUAUUAGCAAUUAACUAAGUAUAAGUUUAUACCACCCCAAAUUAAACAUGAACAUAAAUAAAGUAAACAACAUAUGCGCAGUAUGACAACAAUUUAAGUCCAUCUUUCGUUAGUAUUAUCAUGUGAGGGUCCAGGCCGCUCUUAACCGUGAGCAUGGCUGAUCAAUCAGUUUUACACUCUAUAGAGGUCGCACAUCUUUACCCACAACUCGCGUAAAAGUUGAAAAGAACUUUGGACCCAACCAUGUGGUGUUUGCAAGGCACCAUACCACACUUCCGAGGUGUGAUUGCAUAGGGACGCUACGAGGCCUUUACAAAGAUUCAUUAGUCAGUGGUAACCCGCUAAGGUUUCGGUGUCUAGCGUGCACAACCUAUCACAGGACAAUGAUACAACGACUCAGUCCCCCCUCUUGCCUUAUCACGAGUAAGGUUUCUAAUUAUUUAGCCAAGACCAGAGCCAAUUAGUCCUGUGGUAGCACUGUUUUCCUGGGUGGCUCUCCAUGUUCCGAUUAAACGUUUGUGAUCUUGUAUUAAUGAAAGGUAUAACAGAAGUAAAGCAAGAUUAAUCAUUGAGUUCAGUUAAACCAACUUGUCCCAAGUAGAAACUAAGGAUGAUCUACCAAACAUAAAAGUACACCCAGUUAGUCAAGGCAUAGGUAAAUUCAAUCUAGGCAAACCUUAAUUGGGACCCAUCAAUUUAAUCUUAACAAGGGCAUAGCAUAAUUGUUGAGUACGAGAAAGUAAAAGUGUAUAGGACUGAGAAGUAGGGAUCAAGGACACAACUUGCCUUCUUGGCCUUGCUCUUGCUGUUCGUACUGCUCGAAGGCUUGAUCUUCAAAUCCCCCAAAUUGCUGAACGUCUAUACGCUCACACGAGCACAUACAAGCAAACAAGGGCACAAAGUAAGAAAACAGUACACCAAUCACAACUAAACAGAGAAAACAAGCCUGAAAAAUUAAUCUACACUUUAAAACAAACAUGUGGAUAUAAAGAACGCGAAAAACGGAGUUAAGAUGCAAAAGAUAUGAUUAAAACAAGAUCCAGGGGCUUUUCUGCGAGAAAAACAAAACUUCUAGGGUCGAACUUCGAAAAACCGAGGGCUUGUACAUGAUUAUUAUUAUAAACCGAAGGUUUAACACGCAAAAAUGCAACUUAGGAUGGCGGGUUGAAUUAGAGAAACUCAGGGUCGAAACCGAAAGAAAGCAGGACCAAAACACAAUUAUUUUUGAACUAGAUUGGACUGCAGGUUGAUUUGCGGAAAAGGCGAGCGCUUCAGUGCAAAAGAGGCGCGGCGCGACACGAUUGAGUACGCGAUCCGGUUGACUCGCUGUGGGCCGUCAGAUUUGGAUCCGACGGUCUCGGUCGUCGAUGACACCCAAGCAGCGACGGACCAGGCGGCGGGCGGCGACGAGCGGCGGCGGUUUUUCUGGAAUUAGCCGAUACGGCGCUCCGGGGCUCGAUUUCGCGCGCGGAAAACACUGGAAGCAUGAGAAAAGCAAGGCGAUCCAUUUUCGGCGGUUCACGGUGAUCGAGGCUCACUGGAAGGCGGUGCUUGGCGGCGGAGAGAGGGUGGCGGCACUUGCUGGGGUUUCGGGGGCGCUGUUGCGGGGUGCUCGAGGUGGGGCGGGCGGCGGCUUAUAUAGGGGCGGAGUCAGGGCGCGGUCGGAGUGGAGUCCCGGCCGGAGCACGGGGAUGACGGGUAGGUCCCACUCGUCAGACCUGCGGAAGGAGGCCGGUGCCGCUGGGUAGGCCGACGGAGUGGGCCGAGCGAGCGACAUGGGCUGGCGAAGGGAAAAAGGGAAAGCGGCAGCUUCGCGGGCUGGAGGAACAGGCAGAGCGGGCCGGGGGAGGUAGCGGCGCUGUGCUGCAGGGAAAUAGGAUCCAGGCUGAAAGAGAAAGGAGGAGGAGAAGGAUGCAGCCCAGGAGGAGGAAGAGAAAAGAGGAAAAGAAAGAUUUUUGAAAUUGAAAUUGAAAUUGAGAUUCAAUUUUGAUUCAAACACAAGCAAUCAAAAUAAAUGCACCAGCAUGCAAUGCACAAAGAACUCCUAUGAUGGUUUAAUUUAAUUUAGAGAAAAUAAAAUUAAAUGCCUAGAAAUUUAAAUGACAUCCUAAUUGAGCAAAUUUUAGUGUAUUUAAAUUCUUUAAAAAAUUUGGGUGUUACAGGGCACCAGAUGAUCCGAUGCCUAUCUCCAGUGACCAUCGGAUCAUCCAAUGCUCACAUAUUUUACUAGCCGCUGUAGCGAAGGCUCUUUGAGAUCCAUGGGCUAUUUAUGCCCUCUCCACUCGCUCAUUUAGAGGUGCUGGAUUGUCCAUACAUCGAUUGAAGACCAAGGCCCAUCAAGAACACAUCCAUGCCACCAAAAGUGCAAAAGCGAUAAUCCAAGGCUUAGCACGAGCUAAGAGAUUGAUUAGCUCUAGGAUAGGCCUAGAGAGAGUAGUGCAAGGUGUUGCUACCUUGUGAUUGGUUCAAGGAGUGAUCCACUAUUGUAAGCUUGGGGCGCCGGCGCCUUGGGGUCUUGGUGGCUCUCCGGCAAGUCUUCGACACCUCAGCUCGGUGUGGAGCAGCGUCGACAGCCGGAUGCGGGGGACAAGAAGACUCCUUCCUUCGUGGAGCAGCUCCAUGGUGGAGACGACGUCAAGGUGACCGAAGGGGGUAGUAGUGAGCCUUGCGUUUGUGGAUAGCUUGUCAUCCGGCUUGGCUAGAGCCUUUGUAGCGAGCCUAAGACCUUGACCGGGAGAGGCUUGGUGAGCAGGAGCAUGUCCUUGGUGGAGCUCCAACGCAUGGACUAGGGGUGGCAUUUGGCUACCGAUACCAUGUGAUAAAUCAUCGUGCUGGGUUUGCAUCUUUCCUAACCCACUCCUUUACAUUUCCGCACUACAUUCUCGCAACUUGAGUGCCUUUAAUUACUUUCCAGAGUAGUACCUUGUUAGGAUUGGCUCUAGGUUGCAAAACUCUUUGUGGGUGGGAAGUUUCACUAGAUCAACCAUAGAUGCACAUGUAGAUAGCAUGAUCUAGUUUAGGUUUGGAAGCAAGUAGUGGAAGUCAUAGGCCAAGGAUUUUAAGCUAGCCUAAUUCACCCCUCCCCUUCCUAGGGUACGAGCAUCGAUUCCUUUCAAUUUGCUUUAGCACCAUGAAGGCAAUAGUCAUCCAUCUGCACCAUGAUCAUAGAGCAAUGCAAAACCACGAGAGAAACGAAACGGCUGCUCUUCCUUCAUUUUAUUCCAAUUAGUAUGGACGUGGAGGUUACAGGACACACCAUGCUAGCUGUAGCGCCGGCAACAGGGAAACAAACCCAAGAAAGCAAUGCGGACAUUUUAUUCUACUUUUUUAUGCAGAAUAUAUGGAGGCACCAGCCAGCCCAGCAACAACGACAAUGGCGGCUACUUGGUAUACUCGAUGGCCCAGAAGUUGGCGUAGAUGUAGGUGGACUUGACGCUGGUAAACCCAGCGCCCUUGGCGAGCUCCACAAACUCCCUCUCGUACCUCUCCUUGCCGUCGGGGCUGUACGCGAGCAGGCACACGUCGACGCCGAUCAACCCCUGCGCGCUGUUUGUGGCAUCCGGGUUCACCGGCAGGAUGCACUCGACACUGAUGAGCUUGCCGUGCGGAGGCAGCGCCUCGUAGCAGUUCUUGAGCAGCUUGGCGCAGUGGUUGUCGCCCCAGCAAUUGAGGAUCCACUUCAUGAGGAUGGCGUCGCCGGAGGGCACCUUCUCAAACAUGUCGCCUCCCACGUGCUGCACCUGCACGUCGGGGUAGGCCGGCGCCUCGGAGAUGACGUGGGGAAGGUCGAAGUUGAUCCCUUGAAUGGUCGGGUACCUGGAGGUGAUGGCAUGGAUGGUGGAGCCGAGGCCGCCGCCAACGUCGACGAGGGUGCGGACGCCGUCGAAGCCCGUGUAGAGCUCCAAGAGCUUCUUGGUGAGGAUGACGGAAUGCUGCUUCAUGGCCUCAUUGAAGACCCCGUUGAAGCGUGCGUCAGUACCGGCGUAGUCGAACCAGGAAGGCGUCCCAAACGCCCUGUUGAAUGGGCUGCCACCCUCAAGGACCGCGUCCGUCAUGUAGCUCCAGGCGUGCAUGAAGAGCUUGUCGUUGGCGAGGAGGUGGAACGGAGCCAUGGAGACACCAUCCUCGUUGGGGGUGAGCCACUUGCACACUGGCGCGGCGCUGUACUGGCGGCACAGGCUGCCAUCCUCGGCCUCCUCCACCACGCAGGACACAACUUUGUAGGACGCCAGCAGUCGCAGCAAGCGAUCCACCAUGGACGGCGCGGCGGGGUUGGCCUUGGAAGGCAGCUUCGCGGCCACCUCCUUGGGAGUGAGAGCCUUCCCGCUGGCGCCCACAAGGGUCUCGAGCAGGCCCAGCUCAAUGGCAGUUCUUAGCGUCAUCGGCAGGAUGGCCGACGACACUAGCUGCAGAGCGUGCAUGCAUGUCUCCUCGUCGGCUAUGGCCAUGUCCGCGGCGGAACCCAUCUACCUCCCGGGAUUUGAGCUCAACUAACUGAUGAAGGUGUGUGUACCUUGUUGUUGUGAUUGCUGGUGGCUGAAUGAUCGAUGAGGCGAAAGGGGCCGUUUAUAUAGAGCUUCGAGCUAGGCUUUGUUCACCAACCUGAAAAUCAUGCAUUCUUUGACAAGUAUGGGAUUGCUUGUAUGGUGUGACGUGACCUGUGAGAGCUAGCAGCUAGCGUGGUAGUGAUUGUGUACCCCAUGCAAAACCUCCCUCCUAAUAAGAUUGUGAUGCACGAGGCUGAAUACUAUAUUGUUUUGUCUGCAGUCUAAUCGAUUUGGAAUCCGCAAAUAUAAUCAAUUCACGACACUGGAGAUGGUCGGCGCACGAGGAGUGGCAGUCCUAUUGAAACUUUCAGAGAAGCACCUUGUGCCCUUUGAGAAUCUGUUUUGCAUUAGAUCAAGGUUGAGAUGGUUUCUUUAACCCUUGAGAUUCAGCGCGAGCGAGGGUCCACGUGCGUGAUGGACAUGGCUUCGCUACUGCACAACUGUUUUUCAAGAAUCAAGAUAUUCUGCAUGGGAUGUCCUGCGCCUCUGGUGUCGGUGCAAUCUUUCUCCUGUUGAACACAUACACUAGCGUCUGAUGCCAGAGUGAGGUGGAUCGGGUGGAUCAAGGCUACGGCGUAGCACAUUAUCAUGGCUCGGGCGGCCGGAGCAAGAACACGAGCUGGCCGACCGUAGAGGGAAGACGCAAGCGGCACUCGCAGAAUCUACGUGGCUCCCCUUGGUCGUUCUUUGUCUCACCCUAUGGGUAUCGUGGAGGCACGGCGCCAGGCUGGCGGCACGGUGUAGCCUCAAUUCAGAACUUUCCUAGCCAGGGCGUGGCCGAGGGCGAUUGGUUGCUCAACCUGAUGAGAACUUGGGUGGGUGCUCCUUCAUGGGAGAGAAUAGGGUGACGGAUCAGAAUGUAGAUGAGGGACGGGGCUCAGAUGAGGGGUGGGUUGGAGACAUGUUUUCACUGUUGAACUCUUAGCGUCAAGAUGAGAGGUGAGAUGAGAUACCGGUAGGACCUGCUCUUACCAUGGCACUUCAGCAACCCCACCCCAACCCCGCGCGCAAGUCAAAAUUUGAGGACCAUAUGUACAAUACGUGUGCAAACAGAACCAUAAUUUUACUAGUAUGGAGGGAUUUUAGUUAUUUCUUCUAAAAAAUCUCUUGGGAAAUCGUAUUUUUGUAGUACAACAUAUAUAGAAAAUAAGUUUUACUCACAAAUAAACUGCCCUUUUCUUUGGUAUUCUUGGUUUUUGUUAUUAUUUUAUUUAAUCUUAAGAUUUAUAUAUGCAUAAAAAAGUAAUUUAGUAUCUUCAAAUAUGGAAACGUGGUCUUAGGAAUAGGGCUCAUAUUUUAUUCUUGAGCAUGCCUAGUGGAAAAAUACUAUCUAAAAAACUGCAAAGAAAUUUCAUCAUACGGAAAUGUCUGAGAUUGUGAACGGAAGCAAUUUCAUCUGUCUGCAACCCUGCAUAGCAUGUGACAGCCCGGGCUGCGUGCCAAGAAACACCCAGAGCUCCUGACACAACCGCGUGAGCACCUUCUCCGACAUGCGCACAUGAGGACCGCAUGCACCCAUAUGCAAGGUUCACAAAUACGUGCGUGCUUAAACUAUAUGCGCACGUUACAAACGAUUGUAGAAAAAAUGCGAGUCACCAGGAAGGUAGGUAGUAGAGCAUGCCGUCAGUGUCUUUCCUGUUACCUGUGUUCGUGGUGCACAUGGCAGAAUGCACAGUCUAUACAUAGGAACCAGAAGUUGGCUUCGAAACCAAAUCACUCAUUCAGUACUGCAGUGAACGCUAUCUAGCUAGCUAAUUUCCCCUUGAAAUCAGUUUGCUUGCGUGGCCAUGGGUAGCCUUCCACUUGAAGCCAUGAUGCCACUGAACCCCGAUUCAUUCGCUGGGGAGUCCAGUGCCGUGGUCGACUUCCUCGCCGACUACUACCGCAACGUCGAUAAGUAUCCGGUCAUGGCCAACACCCAGCCAGGGACCAUCCGUAAGCUUCUUCCGGAGGCAGCCCCGGAGUUGGGCGACUCCAUGGAUCGCAUACUGGAUGAUGUGCAGCGGGAUAUCCUCCCCGGCCUCACACAUUGGCAGAGCCCUAGCUUCUUUGCCUAUUUCCCGGCGAAUGCAAGCACCGCAGGGUUCGCCGGGGAGAUGUUGUCGGCUGGUCUCAACGUCGUCCCGUUCGUCUGGACGGCGUCACCGGUGGCCACUGAGCUGGAGCAGGUCGUGGUUGACUGGAUGGCUAGCCUCCUCGGCCUACCGGAGCGCUUCCACUUCAAGGGAGGAGGAGGCGGUGUCCUGCAUGGGAGCACGUGCGAGGCGGUGGUGUGCACUCUCGCUGCCGCGCGCGACCGUGCACUCAGCAAGCUCGGACAUGAGGGCAUCCUCAAGCUUGUCGUGUAUGCCUCGGACCAGACCCACGCAACCUUCCAGAAGGGCGCGAGCAUCGUCGGCAUCCCUCCAGCAAACUUCCGCAUCCUGCGGACUUCGGCAAACUCGGGAUACGGCCUGACCGCCACCAUCGUCCAAAGAGCAAUCGAGGAAGACGUCGCCCGCGGGCUGGUUCCCCUUUACCUCUGCGCCACCGUCGGCACUACUGGUCUGGGGGCCAUUGACCGAGUGCGCGAGCUCGGCCAUGUUGCCCGGCGUUAUGGUAAUUCAUUCAACCUCCCUCUCUUAUACGCUAAUCACCCAUACGGUGACACUAAAUACGUAGAAAUGGAAUGCGCUAUGCGGUCACAAGUCACGAUUCAUGCUCACUUAACAAUCAACAAUCAGUUCCUAUAACCAUCUGACAAGAAUACAUGUUUUACAGGAACCUGGCUGCACAUCGACGCAGCCUACGCCGGAAGCGCAGCCAUUUGCCCGGAGUUCCAAGGUCACCUCGACGGCGCCGAGCUCGCGGACUCGCUGAGCAUGAACCCACAUAAGUGGUUCCUCACCAACAUGGACUGCUGCUGCCUCUUGGUGGCGAACCCUACCACCAUGACCGACGCACUGUCCACUGACCCGGAGUACCUCAAGAAUGUCGGCACCGCGUCUAAGAUGGCGGAAACGGUCGACUACAAGGACUGGCAGAUCGCGCUGUCACGCCGCUUCCGUGCCAUCAAACUCUGGGUGGUGCUACGGCGCUAUGGAGCGGCGGGAAUGCGCGCGCACAUACGAAGGCACAUUCAGAUGGCAGAGUGGUUCGAGCACGUCGUGGCGGCGGACGAGCGGUUUGAGGUCGUGGUGCCAAGGAACUUCUCCUUGGUGUGCUUCCGCCUCCGCCCGCGGUUCAUGGCGGAUAAAGCUGUGGAGGCCCUCAACCGCGACCUCCUCGCAGCGGUGAAUGCAAGCGGCCGGGCGUUCAUGACACACUUCGUCGUGGACGACAAGUUUGUGAUCCGCCUAGCCGUGGGUGGGUCAAUGACAGAGAUGCGGCACGUCCGGGCCGCGUGGGAGCUUCUCAAGGAGAAGGCCAACGACUUGAUCGCCACCGGUUGUUAGUUAUUGCUCAUUGCUAGUGCUAUACCAUGCAUGGCCAGCAACAGAAGCUGAGCAUUCUAUUAUUGCUUCCAUUCGUAGUUAGAGCACACCAUGAAUGCAAUAGUCAAUCCAUCUGAACCAUGAACAUUCACUAUGACCAUGUAUGCGAACCAAGUUACUGUCUUGUACGGAAUAUUCUUGGGAUGUAGUGGUUGAGUAUGGGUAUAACGGGGAUGCGGAAAUGUAACUUUAUGGCUCUAUAAAGGGAGGCGAACCGUCCUCCCUAAGGACACGAAUCUUUGUUAGGAUAGCCACUGUAAUGUCUGUAUGAACCACUGUUAUCUUCGUUCACUGUAUUCUCAUCAUUGUCUGGGAAUCCCCCAACAUUUGGCGCCCACCGUGGUUUAACUCGUUAAACAGCCCACGAUGCCACCACAACGCAAAAAGAGACCUGCAACUCAGAGGGAAGACAACACAAAAGAAGCCAACCAGCUCACAGCCCCCGAAGCCACACAUCAAAUCCUCCCCGACAAGGCGGAGCAUCUUGCAAGAGUCGAGAAAGCCCUAAGGGCCAAGGCAAUGAGCAACCAGCCUGCAAACGAAGUCAACCACCAAAGCCACCAACCUAUGGCAAACGAAGCUGCCAACCGCGUUGAUGCUCACCAGUCUCCGAGAGAUAGAAUAGGUCAAAAGAAAGAAGGAACAGUUGGCACGACAAGUGCAACACCAGAAAGAGGCUGCGGCCAGGCUAUCAAAGUUGAACGAGGCUAGGCGGCAACUAGAAGCACUACAGAAAGAAGUCGCAGAGCUCGAAAGCCCCCUCGAGAAUGCAAACCAGGCCGCAACUUAUUUUUAUCAAAGUCCCACUGUCGAUCAAGCACACCUUCAACCCAGCAUCAACUUCGGCCAAGGCAUCCAGCACCACUCACCAGGGGUGUCCCUUGUUGUCGACCCAACUUCACCACUCUCAAUAGGGCUACAAACUGCACCAUGGCCGACGACCUACAAACCAACCACCUUGCCCAAAUUCAACGGGCGCACCGACCCGCGGCAAUUCUUAAUGAGUUAUGAAGCUGCAGUAGCUUCGGCCGGAGGGGAUGAUGUCGUCCUCACCAAAUCCUUCAUAAUUGCCUGCGAGGGCGCAGCGCUAAAUUGGUAUUCGCUGCUCCCUCCACACACGGUGAUCAGCUGGCACGACCUCAAGACGAAGGUCACUCAAAAUUUCCAGGGUUUCCACCACCCUCACACGGCCCAGGCAGACCUCUUUCAGUGCAAGCAAAAGGACAAGGAACCGCUUGCAGAGUAUGUAAGAAGAUACGUUCAACUUUGUUCUCAAGCACCGCACAUUGAGGAGUCUGUAACAAUAUCCGCUUGCAUCGCGGGCCUAACCCCCGGCCCAACAGCCUCAAAACUGUCAAGGAAGGAGCCUAAAACCAUGACUGCCCUCUUCAGCAAACUCGAUGAAUACAUCAGGUCCGACGAGGACCACCGCAGAAGAGUGGCGGAACGUAACAAAGAGAGACAAACAAACCAAAACCGAAGCUGGCAACCUUCGCCUUACAACAAGCCUCAAAACCCAAACCAAAACCAAAACCGCAUCAUGAACAUCGAGGGAAGCUAAAACCAAAACCAGAGCCAAAGCCAAAACAACAGCACCCAAAGAUGGGGCCACUCUGGCAAAGGACGAGGUCGAGGCAAACAACCAAAGUCGUUUUACUGUGUCAACCACGGCCAUCAGAAUCAUCACAACACAGAGUGGUGCCCCAAAAAGAAGCAGGAAGAGAGAAAAGCUGCAGAAGAAGCUGCAAGGACAGCCGCGCAGACACCCAAAACAAUCCACCACACAGCCUUUUACCCACACCCAACCUUCUACCACAAUCAACCCAGCUUCGCCAACUUCCCGCAACCAAUAAAUUGGCCUCUUCCACCGCACAUACAACCCUACCACCAAACAAUUCCACAGCACCCCAAUCCCAACCCGCCUUAGAAGCCCCAAGAAACUCUACCUCCACCCCCAAGCAUGACAGCUAUAAUGCCCAAGCCAGAACCCAACAUGCAAAACAGCAACCAAAAUUCCUUGCCCUCCUUCGGGAUGAUAAUGCCAAUCACCGGGGGAUCAUUCCCGACGGACCUCCAGCAAAGCCAGAAUGGGCACACAUGCCCAUAACCUUCACCGGAGAGGAUUUCAACCUCAAGACAACCUCGCACAACGAUGCGAUGGUCAUCAAAGCACUGAUAGCAGGCUGGACAGUGGGGAAAGUCCUGGUAGACACAGGCAGCUCCGCGGACAUUCUCUUCGCAAAUGCAUUCAGAGAAAUGAAUAUUGACAUGAACACGCUCGACCCAGGGGAUGUCCCGCUCCUUGGCUUCGGCGGAAAGCCCGUGAAAGCCUUGGGAAAAAUCGCCCUCCCAGUCUCGUUCGGAGACCGAGAUAAUGCGAGGACAGAACACAUCACCUUCGACGUAGUGGAAAUGCAUUAUCCCUACAACGCAAUACUCAGCCGUGGCUUCAUCACCAAAAUGGAUGCAACAAUCAGGCAGUUGUACCUAUGCAUGAAAAUACCCGCCCUCAAAGGGGUCAUAACGGUGUACGGUGAUCAGCAAAUGGCAAGGAACAUAGAAAAAGGGGUAGCCCCGGGCCAAAAGAAUGUCCACCAUCUAGCCUCGUCAAACGAAGCCGAAAACAUAGCAAAGCAAAAGGCCCACGACGAGCCUAAGAGAGAUAAAGAGAAGGUAAAAAUCAGUGCGGAUGGCAAAACAAAGCAGGUACCUCAAAACAUAGCUAAGCCACACACCUGAACAAAUUUUCCCCGAAAUUUGCAACACGUCAAGAGUGCUUAUCACUCAACCAUCUCACAUCUCUUUUGUUUAAGGAAACUAGGCUCGUUACUACAAAAUGAACACCAAGAUGAUAGAGCUCUUUUACGAUACACAAUACUACUACUUAGUAGUAUAUAGUAUAUAUAUAAGAUCUAACUGUUCAUUAUUAUGGAUAAUUUAGUAAUUAUUACAAUGUAAAAAGUGAUAUUUCAAAUAGAAUGGUCUUUUAAACUUUCUGCUAGUAUCAAAAAUAAAAUUAUAGUGGUGCCAUUUGUGUUUUCUUACCAUGAUACCCUUAUACUACCUAUACUACUCAUGUAUACUACCCAUACCACAGGCGUAGGUUUCAGUAGUAUGUAAUUAAUCUUGACCGUCGGAUAUGUUUAUACUAGUCAUUUUCGAACACAAGUAUAGUCUAGUGUUGUGUUCCGUAAAAGAGCUCAUAUAAUAUGUUAUAAAACUUAUUUGUGAAAGCUAAAGGCAACAACAGGGGAUAAAUUUCAGAAUAGGUAAGAACAGAAAUUUAAAAGGGCAAAAUUUGUUGAUGCAUGGAAAUGCAUAGAAUGCUUAUUACUCAAUCGACUCACAUCUCUUUUUUCUAGGAAACACAAUAAUUGUUGGAAACAAAGCACUUAUUGUUGGAAACAAAGCACUUAUUGUUGUUCAUAGCAGCUGAGAUUGACUUACAUAUAUUUAUUUGCAAACAGGUGUGAAAUGUGAUACAAUAAUUCAGAAAGCUAGACAUCCUGAGCCAUGCGAGGGAUAAGAAGAAGCUUCUCCUUACGGUGCACAUCCAUCCCAUACGACUCUGACAUAUCGACGCCUGUCGACCCCGGCAGAAGCUCCCAGUUGAAGUGGUAGAUGAGGUUGGCAAGAAUGAUUUCGAAAGUGGCGGUGGUGAAGUUUAUACCCGGGCACAUCCUUCGCCCAGACCCAAACGGCAAGAAACGGAAGUCGUUCCCCUGGAAGUCAGAAGCAGCAUCCACGGCUUCUUCCAUGAACCGCUCGGGCAUGAACUCCUCUGCACUCUCCCAGUAGGUGGAGUCCCUGCCUAGAGCCCACGCGUUGACGAUUACACGUGUCCCAGAGGGUAUGGUAUAUCCCUCCACCUCCCAUUCGGCCAUGGACAAGUGGGGUAUCAAAAGAGGCCCCGGCGCGUGUAGCCGCAUUGACUCUUUCAUCACCGCCGUCAGGUAGCUCAUGCCGCUCAGGUCUUGUUCAGUGACCAGUUCCUUCCCCCUGCUUGCGCACCCCCGCACCUCAGCUUGAAGCUUGGUCAUCACCUUGGGAUUCCGCAUCAGCUCAGCCAUGGCGUAGUCUAGUGCUAUGUAGGUUGUGUCCGUCCCAGCUUCAAACAUGUCCUACAUGAACAUAUCGGUAAGUAGAACUCCAAAUCAAAUUUAACCAAGCUAGUCCAUGAAACGUCUCAUAUGUACCUCUCGUGAAAAAUAAACAUACCAUCAGUAUUGCCUUGACGUUGUCUCUGGUCAGGCCGUACUCUUGUUGAACGGAGAGCAGCACAUCGAUGAAGUCCUCCUCGUCCUCACCAUCGACCGGCUUGGUCUUGUGCUUGUCGAUGAGGCUGUCCAAAAGGUCAUCCCAUAUCUUCCUGUGCUUCACGGCCUUGGCCGAUACCAAGUCCAACCUCGCCAAGCUCGGGAAAUAGUCGUCCAGGUUAAAUCCCCCCAGGAGCUUGGCGUUCGUCUCUAACAGCUCCCGGAACAGCUGGUUCCGACCUUGUUCCCUGGGGAGCCUGCCCGUCACGGCCUGGCACACGAUGUCGUUGGCGAAGAAGCUGAAGAGCUUGCUGACGUCGACCGCGAUGCCCAUGGCGGCGGCGGCCGUCACCUUGGCUAAAACCAGCUGGACCUCCUGCUCGCGGGCGGCGCGGUUGGACCGGACCUUGGCCGCGGUAAGGAGGUGGGUGGUGAUCACCUUCCUGGCCUGGCGCCAGUACUCACCGUAGGGGGCGAAGCCGACGUCGGUGCAGCCGUAGAACAGGACGUCGGCCACCGCGGAGUGCGGCCGGGAGGCGAAGACGUGGUCGUGCGUGCGCAGGACGGCCUUGGCGGCGCGUGGGGAGGAGACGACGAGCGUUGGCACGGCGCCGAGGCGGAGGAGCAUCACGUCGGGCCCGUGCCUCUUGGCGAGGUCGCGGAGGGAGUGGUGGGGAAGGGAUCCGAUGAGGUGGAGGUGGCCGAUGAUCGGGAGCUUGAACGGAGGCGACGGUAGCUUCCGGAGCAGCUUUUCUGUUCUUGACCUUGGUGUUGCCAAGUGCACGGCGACGAGGAAGAGGAAGAAGAGGAGGGCUAGGGACUCUGGAGAUGCGUGUUCGUAGAGGUGCGCUAGCGCUGGAGCCGCCAUGGCUGAUCAACUAGUGUGCACAACACACGGCUUGCUAGCGCAACAAGUUAGAACCAGCUCGUUGCAGUUUUUGUAGACCUCGGAAGUCGUGAUCCGUCAAACAGCAAGAAGAGUAUGCUAUUUUUUUUCUUUUCUGCAUCAUCACUAGAUCAGAUCAGACAGGACCGACCAGAUCUGAUUUUUAUGAGAGAAUCCUAUCGAAUAAUCAUCCUUUUUAUUAAACUGCACCCGACGCAGACUUUCUUUAUUUGCCCAUGUGCUAUUAUAUUAAUUUUUAUCUCGACUAUAUACCACUGUCCUCAUGUAUGUUGUGUACCAAGAGGAACACGAGACGAUCGAGAUUCCAAUAAAAUAUGUGUUUGGUGCUGGAUUAAUUGGCAUGCUUUUCUCUCAGAUGAGCUGCGUGUAGUGACACGGCGCUCGCAAUAGUUGGUCGGCGCACUGGUAGACGGGCAGCUCAUGGAUGCUACCGACGGCUCUGCAACUUGAUGCAGUUCAUGCACGCUGCUGGGUGGCACCCAUGGUGCGAUAUGGCAUUGGCAUUGGCACUGUGGCGGCGGAUCCGACCAGUAGCAGAAGCUCGCACAAGUCUAAAUGUAUCUAACUUUGAUGAAUUUUGAUUUCAAAUCUAUGGAGGCUUUUGAGCUCGAACUAAUUGAAAUGGAUCACACUUUAGUAGUGCUUUCAACAUAAAAAAUUGACACAAAUUAUGGCGGUCAUUUGUGCCACUGGAGAAAUUAAAGGGAAAAAUAGAAAAGAUGGUGUUUUCAAUACACUUUCUUGCUAGCUUGCUAGCCUUUCCCCACGGUGCUGAAAUCGUGGCGGGGCAAAAGGGGAGGUGCAUGAACUCGUCGCUGGCUGGCGGAGGACAGAGCUAGGGGCGGUUCAGGCACAACGGUGCGUAGGCGGGGUAGCGGCGAGGAGUGGCGGUGAGCAGUCUGCCUAGCCCAGGCAGAAAAACAAAGGUUUGAAACAAACAAGCCCUUGGUGUGUAACUGAUAGGCAUAUGUUCGAAACUCCGAUCCUGUCGCCCUUGAUUAAAAUUCAUAGUAGAGACCCAUUGAGGAUUAGCCCUGGCAUCGAUCCGGCCACAGGAGAGACCGGGAGCCAAGAAGUGAAGUAAGUUGCGUGCGUGCCUGACGGCGAGGAAGCACCUCCAUUGAGCCACGAGGUGGAGUACGAGGCAGAGGCGAGAUGGGAUGUGUUGGGGACAGACUCACAUGACGGAGAGCGGUGCAUCUCCUACCUACCAUCUGCCAUUGCCGAGGGCCUUUCACCGUGCACCACUCCGGUUCGCUCUUUUGCGUCGCUGGGAGGAAAGGGACCGCCGAGCGUUGGGUGCCGCCACCGCUCCUGUGUAGUUCACCAUGGCCACCUCCUCCGAUAGCGCCCACACCAGCGCUGCACCUCAUUCCAGGGAUGGGGCAGCCGCUGCUGGGUCACAUCCACCCGGGGAUUGGGCCGUUGCUGGGGAAUGCGCGGCAGAGAAGAAAAGGAGAAAACAGAGGAGACGUGACUGACAGGGACGGAGGAAAGAUGAUGAGUGCGUACGGUGGGGCGGGUAGGAAACGCAUCGGUAAAAAUGGAAUUGGUUUUUUGGUAGAAACAUUUUCUAACUUGUGGUUUUUAUGGGUCUCCACCUUAUCCUCUCUCAAUUGCAUGAUAGGUGGGUCCGACAUGAGCGGUAAGGUGGUUCUGGUUUGGGUGAGAAACGUUUCCAAUUAUGUUGGAAAACAGGCUUCGCGGAGGCUCAAACACAAUGAGGUUUGAGCAGUCCUUGCAAUUCAAUUCCAAAGAAAUGAACAUAUGUUUACAUCGGGGUAGGGCUCUCCUUUUAUAGUAUCUCGGAGGACAUUUUGCAUUCCGCAAUUACCCUCACUCACCCACUACAAUCCUAGAAUAUGCUUUACAUGGAGGUAACUUGUAUAACUUGGUCUCCUCCUUGGAUCACGCUUCUCACGCCUUUAGUCAGCUCCAUGAUUCACGCUCUCACAUGGUUCCACAAAUCACGCCUUCACAUUUCCAACGCCUCCACGCUUCCUGACCUCGUGACCGAAGCCAUCUUAGCUUCGGGAGUCAUGAUCGCCAUAGAUUCGCACCUAAGAGACGCUAGCCUCGCGCCCUGCUCCUUGACCUGAUUCAGCGAUCCUGCAUGAGACACUAAAUAACUCAGCACUCGAGGUUAGCUUCGACUGCUCGAGGUCAAGCUUGGUUAGUGUCUGGCGAUCUGUGUGCCUCCGGGCUUCAAGGUAAGAUUCAGGAUAGCGAGGCUAUGAUUACUUUCCACGCCAGAUUAACCACCCAAGGUUAGGGGUCCUCACCCGAGGUUAAUUAUUUUGAGGGGCUAAGCUGUUGACGCUAAAUGUAACGACCUCGAGGGUGACCAUCUUUUUGGGCGAUCCCCAACAGUAGCCCCUCGUGGGCAAGGCUCGACACCGACAACCGAACCCGCGACUUAAGGAUCUGCUCCCAAAAAACGUCACCCUCAAGCAUCGGUUAGAAAUGAGCCGACAAUUACCUUUUUGGUCUUACGUGUUGAUUUCCUAUUGGGUGACCCUUCGUAUCUAGCUCGUGGUUACAGGCGCCAUUUCACGCAUUUUACCAUGCCUAUAAAAGAGGGGGGUGGGGUCGCUUUCGUUUUUACCCUCGCGGCUAAAACCCUUGCGCUCCUGCUUUUGCUCGCUGCUUCCGUGCUUUAAGAUUCAUGCAUUGUAUGCUGUUCUCCUUGGUCUCGAGGAUCUCAAAGGUAACAAUGUUACUUGUGUCUCUCUUUUAGUGUGAGAUUUUCCCUUGCUUGUCAUUUUGGAGAUGAUGUUUCGAUGCCUUGCAGCUGGCUCGUAUUAUGCAAACCGCUAGGCCCAUGACAUCAGAAGAGUUCACUAAACAAGUUGGGCUUCGCAAUGAGGCUGCGGAGGACCAGGAUUUGUACAAGGCUGACAAGAAGCAAGGAAUCAAGAGGAUUGAGCUUUCUUAUGCCCAGAACAAUAGGUGAGAAGACAAUUGGCUAAGCUACUACUUCUAUAUCAAGAUUGACAGGGCCGAUGCGUCUGGUAUCAACCGAUCUUUCUAUCCUUCUGUGCACCCCUGGGCCCUAUGGAUAUUGCUACUACCCCUGCAUUUACAAGGUCCAAGGCAGACAAGGAGUGCAAGGGCGCUUUCCUCCCGGACUCGAAGUCGAUCCCCGGCUGGAUCUUGUUGAAGAGUUUUUGGCAGCCAAUAUUUGGCCCCUUUCUGAUGGGUGGAGUCCAUUGGAGAUUGUGCCAAAAGACGUUUUGUGGAGUACUAGCCCGCUCCUCUACCCUUGCUUUGGAGUGGAGCUGCCCGUGGAUGCCAACCCCGGUCUUUUUGCAGAGGAUGUUGAGAGGCAUGCUGUUGAUAUAAUUGGCCCGAGUACUGAGACUGAGCUGAUGUUAGCUCGAAAGAUCAUUGCACACGAGCUUCGGGUCAACCGUGUGUUCGAGGAACUUGGGGUCGAUGUUAAGCCUCAUCCCAAACCUCGCAAGACCUUGAAAUGGGCACGAGAGGCUGGCGCGACAGGCUUGGAAUAGGUUGGCAGCAGUGGCAGGUGGAAAAAGAGAAAGGCCGAGAGCACCGCUCCUAAGGCCGCGGCAGUGACUUCAAAGAAGGAUGACAGCCAAUCAAGGGUCGUGCUCGAGGUGCGAAAGCAAAAUUAAAGACCUCGAGCCUCGAAGCUUAGAAGAAGUAAGAAAAAAUUGGACAAAGUUCCUCAAGCGAGGCUGCAAAAUCCUCCACGCCCCUGUCUCUAAAGCCAUCCGAGUUGCGACCAAGUCCGAACUCGAGGCUGCCGGCGCACUGGCCGGUAUGAAAGAAAAGAAGUCUACGAGGAAGUCUCACGUCGGCAAAGCCUUUGAUGAUGAUGAUGAUAUUGUUUUGGAUGUGGACUUGUCUAUGUUCCCUAUAUCGGUCCCCAAGGCUAGUGUUCCUUCAAAGGAGACUGAGACUAAGGUUGCUGCACCCCCUCUACAGCACAAGGCCAAACCUUUGAAGGAGAAGAUCGUGGAUACCAUUGCUAAGGAGAUUAAGGCAUCUACUUCGAAGGUGACAAAGCCAGGUAAACAUGUCGUUGUACAUUUGCCUAGGAUGAGAUUUUAUGAUUGUGGUGAUGCGUCAUUUAGAUUUCUGAUGGAGCUGGAAAAAACCACUGGUGCACCUUGGGAGAUAUAUAGGGAACCUCCUCUAAUAUUUAGGGUAAAACCUUAUUCUGCAGAUUCUGAACUGUCACCCUCUCUGGAACGUUACAACGAGGCCUACGGCACCAACCUUAGACAGGAGCUCAUUGCUGUUCAUGUGCCGGGUUCAGGUGAGGACGAUAAUCGCUACAACCUACCCUUGUUGUGGGGAGCUAAGGAUGGGAUGCGUGGUGUAGAUAGAGCAGCCAAGGAGGUUUUCAAGAUGUCUGAGGGGGUUGUCGGCGAGGUUGGUGGGCAGGGAGAAAGGGAGGAAGGCGAGGUUAUCCCUACUCGAGGUCUUGGGAAAUCCACUGUGCCUUUUGAGGUUGAUUACGAGGACAAGUCUUUUAAUCCUGAGAGUAAGCGCUUGCUCCUUAGUUUGUUUUGUCUGUACUUAAUUUCUACUUUGCUAUGCUUUGACGUGCCUUUCUUUUGACAGAGUAUGAAAAAUCAGUUAGGCGUUUUGAGCAAAAGGACUUAGCUAGGAUGUCAGCUACCAUCGGAUACAAGGUAUUUUGUUCGACGCUUGCUAUUUGUUUCUUAUCUCUCUUUUUUUAUGAGUCUUUUCAUUUUGGUGUUUUGAUUUUGCAGUCCAUCAUCCUUGGGAAGAUGCUAUGGAGAAGGCUGCGGCUAAGGAAAAGAGCAUGCUAGCCGAGAGCACGAAGAUGAUGCAGCUAGAGGCUAGAGUUGCAAAGCUUGAGGAGGAAAGCAAGGUUUUAUAUGCCUUGAAGAACGAGCUCGCCGAUUCUAACUCUGACCUUAAAAAGAACAACGUGCUGCUAACAAAUACCUACAGCGAGCUCGUGCAGCAAGUUGAGAAGCUGGAGAAAAGACCCGAAGACAAUCUUGGUGUUUUGGAGAAACUCCGAAGCGCCACAGAAAAAGACGUACAGACUGUCAUAGAGCAGGAAAAAAUGAUUCAUACCCUUGGUCAGGAUCUCAAAGAGCAAAAGACCUUUGUUGUGGAAGCAGAGCGGGCUCUCAAGGAAAAGUUCGUUGAGAUCUAUGAGGUGUACAAAACUGCUCUUGCAAAGUUUGGCACAGAGCCUCUUUUGUUUCUGGGUGAUGAAAGUGUAAAAGAAAUAUUUGAUUGGGUGGAAGAGGAGUUCAAAGGCCUGCCCGAGGUUAUUACUGGUAGCAGCAACUUUGCUACUUCCUUCUGCCUUGAUAGCGCAUUUCAACUCCUUGAAAAGAACAGCUACUCUCAUUUCUUAACACUUGCGGCUCGCACCUAUAUGUUCCCCUCGGCCUCGGAGCUUGAUGAAGAGGAGAAAUCUAAAAAUUUGAGAGCCAUGAAGAUAAAUUUCUUCAAACAGCUUUGGGCUACCUCCGGGCGAGAGUACACAAGGCUGGUUGCUCAAGAGCGGCUUGCACAGGUUAGGGUUCACAUAACUUUGUAUUUCAUAAGGUUUGCAUUUUUUCUGUUGAUUUCCUGAUGUUGUUCCUCUUGUGUUCGUAGGCCAAGGCAUAGGAAGCAAAAGGCGAAGGUGGGAGCGAGAACGAUGAUGCUGAUCAAGGAGGGCAGUGAUUAUCGAAGCUAGUUAGAGAUUUGUUUUGUGGUUUGGGAUGUUUUGAUAAACUUGAUACUUAGUUGGCUGCUUUUGCGGGCCAGAUUGUAAAUAUUUGUUGCUCAGCCGGAACUUACAUGCUCGAAGCUGGUUACUUUUGGCGUUUGUACCUUCACGGAUUUCUUUUUAUCUUAACGUUUUUAUGUUUGAGUUAUUCUACUCAAAUGGCAACAAAGCUGUAGCUUAAAGAAAUGAGCAAUGUUUUAGUUUAAAACGUCACCCCUGCCCUAGUUUCUUUAUGCGUAGGUUUUUGUUGACUUUGCACGCUUGUUGUCUAAGCUCAAACGGAGCUUAAAAACGUCACCCCCUUCUUGGCACGUGGGUCUUACCCAAGGCAAUUCUCUCAUGGAAAGAGGAUGAAAACGAUUUUUGUUUGCCAAAAAAUGUCACCCCCGCCCUUUUAUCCUUUUUCCGAAAAAACAUCCAACCUCGCCCUUUUCUUUUGCAUGAACGAGGUUAAGUGAGUAUUGACAAACCACAAGAUAAGUCAAUAGAAAAGUUGUUUUCGAGUUAUGUUGACUUAAAAAAUAUGAUAGUUUGGUUGAAAUCGCAACCCUUAGGAUGUAUUUGGUUGGGCUGUGGCUUUUCAAAAAGCUGCUGUGAGCUGUGGGCUGUAGAAAAGCAGCUGUGAGAAAGCAGCUGUGGGAAAAGUAUAAGGCCAUUUGGUUAGAGCAGAUGUAGCUUUUGAAUAAAUUUUCGAGUGGACCCUGCAUGUCAUCCACAGUCCACCCCACUCAACUCUCUCCCUCUCUCACUGACGAGCGGAUCUAACCCUUCUUCUUCCUCCCGCUGGCUUGUCCACCCCAUAGCACCCCGAGUAGCACCAGGGCCGCAACGGCAUCCACGAUGAUGCAGUCCACAAUCAGGGCGAGGUCCAUGAUGGCGAUGGCCUGCGCCUCACCUCCUCCACCUUGCACCACGUGGCAGGCACCGUAGCACCACCGGCAUCUAGGAGGCAGUAGCACCCCGCGGGCACGCAUGCGUCGACAUAGAGGUUGAGGCUGGUCUGUGCCGCCAAGAGCCUGCCGCCCGCGCAGGCGAGCCCCGCCUCCAUGGUGCCCUUCGGUGUGGAGGCGGAGAGUGAUGAGGAGAGGGAUGCCAUGGCAGCGGCGAGGAGGAGGAGACGCGCGAUGAUGAGUGUGUGCUGCUGGAGGUCGGAGGCCGGGAGCGAGACGGCAAGGAGGCCUGCGGCAUGGUCGAGGAGGAGGAACGACAGGGAGAGGAGGAGCGGGAGGUGGGGCGGGAGGAAUGGGAGCAGCGGUGGGAGGAGCAGCAGUGGGAGGAGCGUCAUGGAAGCCAGUGGGAGGAAGGCGAACAGGAGCACGAGGAGUAGCGAGAGGAGGCAGAGGAGCGGGUGGCGGAACAGGCGGAGGAGGUGGUGGUGGAGGGAGGACGGGGAGAGGUAGGAGACGGCGGCAAUGAGGUGGUGGGACUGGGAGGUCGUGAUGAGGGAGAAUAUAAGGGCAUGGCAUGCGAGCAGCAGCGCCUCCACCAUUGGGGUUGGGCAACGCGGUCGGGGAAGUCCCGAGGAGGAGGAGCACCAGGCGGCGGGCCACUAAGGUGAUGGUCGGGUGGGGGGACUGGUGUGGGUGAUGGGGAGUGGACGGGAAUAGAAGGGGAAAACGAACCGUUAUCCUCCAUAACAAGUGGUAGGUGGGUAAUUUUUUGCCCCAAAAGCAGCUAAAAGCAGGGGGAAGGUGCUUUUGAUUUUGAGCAAAAGCACGUAUGGCUUUGGUCAAAAGCACGUAUGGCUUUUAGGCCCUUUGGUUGGCUUUUGGCUUUUGCAAAAGCAAAAGUAGGUUGGAAAGUCCAACCAAAGGCACCCUUAGUUGCUUCAACCAUGAAAUUUUGCGAGGUUGAGAAAAUAGGGAAAUAGGGUGCCUUUUUUGAAAAAAUGUCAGUCUUUCUAUUCUAUUGUGAGAGCUUUGGCUGAGGCUAGGGCCUUCGUGCGAAAGGACAAAAUGAAUUUUCAACUCUGAAAAACGUCACCCCCCUUGUCCUUUUGCGCAGAGGGGGUUUAGACUCAGCAUGGCUUAUUCCGAGUGUUAUCGCUGCCUUUGAUCGCUUGCUGCAGUCUUUCUAUUCUCUGAGUUGCAAGUUCAAGGCCAAUCACUGUGGUGUUUGAGUGAGAAAAUACGUUUAUGUGCAUAUAGUGUGCGUUCAAUGUUAGACUAUGCAGCUUAUUGCUGCUUUAAAAUAUCUUGCGCAGAAACGUAGGUUUUCAGCACGCAGAAACGUGAGGUUAGGCAAGUUGUUGUUGCAUCUGAGACUUGUGCAGACACGCAAGUUUUCAAUGCACAGAAACUCGAGGUUAGGCAACUUGUUGUUGCAUCUAAGACAAAGAUCAUAGGGGGAACUUCAUUUCAUUGAAUAAUGGAAAUUUUACAAGGAUCUACCUCUUCCGACAUGGUUGCCUCUUUGGCCACUUCUGAAAUUGGGUUGAUGUUGGUGGUAUCGGUUCUGGUUUUGGCCUUGGUUUUGGUUUUGGGUUUGGUUUUUGAACGAGGGUUGGUUAUCCUUGAUGGCCAGCAGUUAGUUUGGGUGCGAGUGGUGCUGUUGUUGGUGACUGUAUCACGAAGCUUGCCAGUUUUGACCUUUCUCUGCUUGCCUUUGGCGGUUUCUUUCCACGACCCUUCUUCUAUGGUCUUCAUCUGAUCUGCAAUAUUUAUCCAUCUCUGCGAACAGGGCUUCCAUUCUUUUUGGCUUUUUCCUUGAUAGCUUUGAGGCUGUUGGCCUCGGAUUAAGCCCCUUGAUGCAGAUCUCUAUAGCCAUGCUAUCCUCCACAUCUGGGGUUUGUGCCUUAAGUUGGACAAAUCUUCUCACGUAGCUUGCUAAAAGGCUCUUUAUCUUUUUGCACACAAUUGAACAAAUCCCCCUCAUUAGUCAUGGCUCUAUGAAAGCCUUGAAAGUUUUGUAUAAGUUUGGUUUUAAGAUCGACCCAGCUGUAUACAGAUUGCAGCAGGAGUAGAGAGUACCAAUUUAGUGCUGCACCCUCGCACGCUAUAAUGAAUGACUUUUCCAAUACUACAUCAUCUCCCCCUGCCGAGGCGAUGGCUGUUUCAUAACUCAUGAGGAACUAGCGGGGAUCUGUUUGUCCAUUGAAUUUUGGUAGUGCAACUGCCUUAUAGGUUGUGGGCCAUGGGGCUUUUUGCAGGCCUAAGGACAAUUGGGAGAUUUUGUCGGUAGUUGUGUAUGCGCUCAUUGUCACUCUGGUGUUGUGCCCAACGAGGCUAGGAUUCGGGUAUAUGAUGGGUGUGUCAUUGGUGUUGAAGGUUUGAAGUGGUGGCUGCUGCGGCUGUUGCGGUGUGUUACACAAGUAUUCCAAUUCGUUCAACUCUUGCUGCAACUCUGCCAGCUGCCUUUUGGCCUCAUUUAGCCUCACUAGCUUGUUGGUUGCUAGUCUUUGAGCCUGAAGCUCUUGAGCAAAUUUUUCUUUUUCUUUUUUAAUGCCUCUAGCUGCUUGAGUGCGGAGGCCAACUCUUCUUCUAUUUCACUAAGGGGUUCAUCUUGCGUGCUUGUUUGCUGCAGAGUUUGGUUCGAGGUCCCCGCCUCAACCAUGCCUUUCUGUGAUCUUGUUCUUAAAUUAGCCUCGAUUCUUUUAAACUUUUUCUGCCUUCUCCGUGUUAACUUGUUCGACUGAGACAAGCUGCCUUUCUUGUCCAGCCUCAUCUUCGAUGGUUCUCUUCUUCUUUUGAGGUGGCAUCAUGGGUUUCUUAGUGGCUCAGAAUACCUGCUGUUACCAUGGCACUUCAGCAACCCCACCCAACCCCACGCGCAAGUCAAAAUUUGAGGACCAUAUGUACAAUACGUGUGCAAACAAAACCAUAAUUUCACUAGUAUUGAGGGAUUUUAGUUAUUUCUUCUAAAAAAUCUCUUGGGAAAUCGUAUUUUUGUAGUACAACAUAUAUAGAAAAUAAGUAUUACUCCCAAAUAAACUGCCCUUUUCUUUAGUAUUCUUGGUUUUUGUUAUUAUUUUAUUUAAUCUUACGAUUUAUAUAUGCAUAAAAAAGUAAUUUAGUAUCUUCAAAUAUGGAAACGUGGUCUUAGGAAAUUGUCUAAUAUAUACUAGUUUACCUGCAAUCCACUGGCUUGCACAUUAUAUUUCAUCAUACGGAAAUGUCUGGCAUUGUGAACGGAAGCAAUUUCAUCUGUCUGCAACCCGGCAUAGCAUGUGACACCCAGAGCUCCUGACACAAGCGCGUGAGCACCUUCUCCGACAUGCGCACAUGAUGACCGCAUGCACCCAUAUUAUACAUAGUUUAUUAUAUUUUUGGCUGGGAUAUGAUAAUCAUUAAUUAUUACUUGUAAAGAUUGGAAACGUUACAAACGAUUGUAGAAAAAAUGCGAGUCACCAGGAAGGUAGGUAGUAGAGCAUGCCGUCAGUGUCUUUCCUGUGACCUGUGUUCGUGGUGCACAUGGCAGAAUGCACAGUCUAUACAUAGGAACCAGAAGUUGGCUUCGAAACCAAAUCACUCAUUAGUCCUUCGGUACUGCAGUGAACGCUAUCUAGCUAGCUAAUUUCCCCUUGAAAUCAGUGGCCAUGGGUAGCCUUCCACUUGAAGCCAUGAUGCCACUGAACCCCGAUUCAUUCGCUGGGGAGUCCAGUGCCGUGGUCGACUUCCUCGCCGACUACUACCGCAACGUCGAUAAGUAUCCGGUCAUGGCCAACACCCAGCCAGGGACCAUCCGUAAGCUUCUUCCGGAGGCAGCCCCGGAGUUGGGCGACUCCAUGGAUCGCAUACUGGAUGAUGUGCAGCGGGAUAUCCUCCCCGGCCUCACACAUUGGCAGAGCCCUAGCUUCUUUGCCUAUUUCCCGGCGAAUGCAAGCACCGCAGGGUUCGCCGGGGAGAUGUUGUCGGCUGGUCUCAACGUCGUCCCGUUCGUCUGGACGGCGUCACCGGUGGCCACUGAGCUGGAGCAGGUCGUGGUUGACUGGAUGGCUAGCCUCCUCGGCCUACCGGAGCGCUUCCACUUCAAGGGAGGAGGAGGCGGUGUCCUGCAUGGGAGCACGUGCGAGGCGGUGGUGUGCACUCUCGCUGCCGCGCGCGACCGUGCACUCAGCAAGCUCGGACAUGAGGGCAUCCUCAAGCUUGUCGUGUAUGCCUCGGACCAGACCCACGCAACCUUCCAGAAGGGCGCGAGCAUCGUCGGCAUCCCUCCAGCAAACUUCCGCAUCCUGCGGACUUCGGCAAACUCGGGAUACGGCCUGACCGCCACCAUCGUCCAAAGAGCAAUCGAGGAAGACGUCGCCCGCGGGCUGGUUCCCCUUUACCUCUGCGCCACCGUCGGCACUACUGGUCUGGGGGCCAUUGACCGAGUGCGCGAGCUCGGCCAUGUUGCCCGGCGUUAUGGUAAUUCAUUCAACCUCCCUCUCUUAUACGCUAAUCACCCAUACGGUGACACUAAAUACGUAGAAAUGGAAUGCGCUAUGCGGUCACAAGUCACGAUUCAUGCUCACUUAACAAUCAACAAUCAGUUCCUAUAACCAUCUGACAAGAAUACAUGUUUUACAGGAACCUGGCUGCACAUCGACGCAGCCUACGCCGGAAGCGCAGCCAUUUGCCCGGAGUUCCAAGGUCACCUCGACGGCGCCGAGCUCGCGGACUCGCUGAGCAUGAACCCACAUAAGUGGUUCCUCACCAACAUGGACUGCUGCUGCCUCUGGGUGGCGAACCCUACCACCAUGACCGACGCACUGUCCACUGACCCGGAGUACCUCAAGAAUGUCGGCACCACGUCUAAGAUGGCGGAAACGGUCGACUACAAGGACUGGCAGAUCGCGCUGUCACGCCGCUUCCGUGCCAUCAAACUCUGGGUGGUGCUACGGCGCUAUGGAGCGGCGGGAACGCGCGCGCACAUACGGAGGCACAUCCAGAUGGCAGAGUGGUUCGAGCACGUCGUGGCGGCGGACGAGCGGUUUGAGGUCGUGGUGCCAAGGAACUUCUCCUUGGUGUGCUUCCGCCUCCGCCCGCGGUUCAUGGCGGAUAAAGCUGUGGAGGCCCUGAACCGCGACCUCCUCGCAGCGGUGAAUGCAAGCGGCCGGGCGUUCAUGACGCACUUCGUCGUGGACGACAAGUUUGUGAUCCGCCUAGCCGUGGGUGGGUCAAUGACAGAGAUGCGGCACGUCCGGGCCGCAUGGGAGCUUCUCAAGGAGAAGGCCAACGACUUGAUCGCCACCGGUUGUUAGUUAUUGCUCAUUGCUAGUGCUAUACCAUGCAUGGCCAGCAACAGAAGCUGAGCAUUCUAUUAUUGCUGCCAUUCGUAGUUAGAGCACACCAUGAAUGCAAUAGUCAAUCCAUCUGAACCAUGAACAUUCACUAUGACCAUGUAUGCGACACAAUAUACAUAAGUGCUACUGCCGAUAUUGGAUUCUAUUUCUGGAGAAGCGGCUGCUUCUACGGAGCAGGCCGAUUGAAUUUUAAGUAUGUUAUGAUACUUGUAAAAAAUCGAUGCUAGGCAUGGAUUCCUGGAAGGGGCCCGUCACAACUCACAAUGGAAGGGACCCGUCAUAACCAAGCUCGUUAAUACAAAAGAAACGUCACGCGAAACAAAUGGACGCUAAGCCACACACCUGAAGAAAUUUUACCCGAAAUUUGCAACACGUCAAGAAUGGUUGUCACUCAACCGUCUCACAUCUCUUUUGUUUAAGGAAACCAGGCUCGUUACUACAAAAUGAACACCAAGAUGAUAGAGCUCUUUUACGAUCCACAAUACUACUACUUAGUAGUAUAUAGUAUAUAUAUAAGAUCUAACUGUUCAUUAUUAUGGAUAAUUUAGUAAUUAUUACAAUGUAAAAAGUGAUAUUUCAAAUAGAAUGGUCUUUUAAAUUUUCUGCUAGUAUCAAAAAUAAAAUUAUAGUGGUGCCAUUUGUGUUUUCUUACCAUGAUACCCUUAUACUACCUAUACUACUCGUGUAUACUACCCAUACCACAGGCGUAGGUUUCAGUAGUAUCUAAUUAAUCUUGACCGUCGGAUAUGUUUAUACUAGUCAUUUUCGAACACAAGUAUAGUCUAGUGUUGUGUUCCGUAAAAGAGCUCAUAUAAUAUAUUAUAAAACUUAUUUGUGAAAGCUAAAGGCAACAACAGGGGAUAAAUUCCAGAAUAGGUAAGAACAGAAAUUUAAAAGGGCAAAAUUUGUUGAUGCAUGGAAAUGCAUAGAAUACUUAUUGGAGCGAAGGCCCUUUUAGGUCCAUGGGCUAUUUAUGCCCCUCCACUCGCCCAUUCAGAGUUGCUGGAGUGUCCAUACAUCUAUUGAAGACCAAGGCUCAUCAAGUGACCAAUGGAGAAACCACACAUCCACUGUGAUAAUUUUAGAGCAUCCAGGUGACGAUAUUCAAUGCGCUCAAAUGGUGGUAUUCAACUUAGAAAAAAUAGUAGCACCAGAAGAUCUCAGAGUCAUCGGAGCAACCAUCGAAGCAAUUGGUACAACUGAGAAGUAAGCUUGAGUUGCAGCAAGCACUAGAUGAUCCGACGGGGUCCUUUUCACAAGCGUCGGAGCAAUUCGUAAAGAAGACGGAGAAAGACCUAUAGCACAAGAUAUUCCGAUGGCUAGAAGAUGAAGGAAUCGGACCAAGCAUAUUUACUUUGAAAACGUCAAGAGAGUUUUUAGGAAAAACUCCUUCAGCACCGGAUGAUCCGACGUUACGUCGGAUGAAUUUAGGUAGAGGUCCAACGGCUAUAUACGUCAGCAGGGGGCGUGUCACACCCGAUUUUAAGGACAAAACCGAGUGCUUUCAAUACAUGUGCGCAAGGAACAAGUUACACACAUGUACGACAUAAGUGAAUAACAAAGGCAGUGCCAAAGUGAAUAAAGAGAGUAUUAAACUUUAUUACAUGACCGAAAGUCUUAAUAAAACACAAGCCUAACUUAUUACGCAGCGGAUUCCGAAGACGACGAUGACACCUCAGGCUGCUGACUGAAGAACCGUAUGCCUAGAACUCCUCAAACUCGUGCAGGUACUUCUGCAGAUUCUCUUCGUCUGAACAGCGGUUUUGCAAGGGUGAGUACACUUAUGGUUGGUACUCAACAAGUCGUGGGGAAUAGUGUAGUGUGAGGCCAACCAAGGUAUGGCUAAAGCUAAAUAGCAUCAACUUUUAAUUAGCUUGGUCAAAUUUUAUUAGCAAUUAACUAAGUAUAAGUUUAUACCACCCCAAAUUAAACAUGAACAUAAAUAAAGUAAACAAAAUAUGCAUGGUAUGACAACAAUUUAAGUCCAUCUUUCGUUAGUAUUAUCAUGUGAGGGUCCAGGCCGCUCUUAACCGUGAGCACGGUUGAUCAAUCAGUUUUACACUCUGCAGAGGUCGCACAUCUUUACCCACAAGUCGCGUAAAAGUUCAAAAGAACUUUGGACCCAACCAUGCGGUGUUUGCAAGGCACCAUACCACACUUCCAAGGUGUGAUUGCAUAGGGAUGCUACGAGGCCUUUACAAAGAUUCAUUAGUCAGUGGUAACCCGCUAAGGUUUCGGUGUCUGGCGUGCACAACCUAUCACAGGACAAUGAUGGAACGACUCAGUCCCCCCUCUUGCCUAAUCACGAGUAAGAUUACUCCAGACUAAGGUUUCUAAUUAUUUAGCCAAGACCAGAGCCAAUUAGUCUUGUGGUAGCACUAUUUUCCUGGGUGGCUGUCCAUGUUCCGAUUAAACGUUUGUGAUCUUGUAUUAAUGAAAGGUAUAACAGAAGUAAAGCAAGAUUAAUCAUUGAGUUCAGUUAAACCAACUUAUCCUAAGUAGGAACUAAGCAUGAGCUACCCAACAUAAAAGUAAACCCGGUUGGUCAAGGCAAAGGUAAAUUCAAUCUAGGCAAACCUUAAUUGGGACCCAUCAAUUUAAUCUUAACAAGGGCAUAGCAUAAUUGUUGAGUAUGAGAAAGUAAAAGUGUAUAGGACUGAGAAGUAGUGAUCAAGGACACGACUUGCCUUCUUGGCCUUGCUCUUGCUGUUCGUACUCGUCGAAGGCUUGAUCUUCAAAUCCCCCGAAUUGCUGAACGUCUAUACACAUCACACGAGCACAUACAAGCAAACAAGGGCACAAAGUAAGAAAACAGUACACCAAUCACAACUAAACAGAGAAAACAAGCUUGAAAAAUUAAUCUACGCUUUAAACAAACACGUGGAUUUAAAGAACGUGAAAAACGGAGUUAAGAUGCAACAGAUAUGAUUAAAACAAGAUAAGAGGGCUUUUCUGUGAGAAAAACAAAACUUCUAGGGUCGAACUGCGGAAAACCGAGGGCUUAUACGUGAUUAUGCCUAGAAACCGAAGGUUUAACACGCAAAAACACAACUUGGGAUGGCGGGUUGAUUUUACAGAAACUCAGGGUCUAAACCGAAAGAAAACAGGACCAAAACAAAAUUAUUUUUCAACUAGAUUGGACUGCGGGUUGAUUUAUGGAAAAGGCCAGGGCUUAAGUGCCAACAAGGUGCAGCGCGACGCGAUUUACCGUUAUGCGAUCCGGUUGACUCGCUGCGGGCCGUCGGAUUUGGAUCUGACAGUCUCGGUCGUCGGCAACACCGAAGCGGCGGCGCACCAGUCAGCGGGCGGCUAUGAGCGGCGGCGGUUCGUCGGAAUUAGCCGAUACGGCGCUCCGGGGCUCGGUUUCGCGCGUGGAAAACACAGGAAGCAUGAGAAAAGAAAGGUGAUCCCGUUUUGGUGGUUCACGAUGACCAAGGUCACCGGAAGGCGGCGGCGGAGAGAGGGUGGCGGCGCUGGAGCUCUGGUGGCAGCGCUUGGUAGGGUUUCGGGGGCGCUAUUGCGGCGUGCUCGGGGUCGCAGGGGGGGGAGGGGGCAGCGGGGUGGCGGCUUAUAUAGGAGCGGAGUCCGGUGGCGGUCGGAGUGGAGUCCUAGCCGGAUACGGCCGGAGGACGGGGAUGAGGGAUAGGUCCCAGCUGUUAGAAAUCUUUACCCACAACUCGCGUAAAAGUUCAAAAGAACUUUGGACCCAACCAUGCGGUGUUUGCAAGGCACCAUACCACACUUCCGAGGUGUGAUUGCAUAGGAACGCUACGAGGCCUUUACAAAGAUUCAUUAGUCAGUGGUAACCCGCUAAGGUUCGGUGUCUGGCAUGCACAACCUAUCACAGGACAAUGAUACAACGACUCAGUCCUCCCUCUUGCCUCAUCACGAGUAAGGUUUCUAAUUAUUUAGCCAAGACCAGAGCCAAUUAGUCUUGUGGUAGCACUGUUUUCCUGGGUGGCUCUCCCUGUUCCGAUUAAACGUUUGUGAUCUUGUACUAAUGAAAGGUAUAACAGAAGUAAAGCAAGAUUAAUCAUUGAGUUCAGUUAAACCAACUUAUCCCAAGUAGGAACUAAGGAUGAUCUACCAAACAUAAAAGUACACCCGGUUAGUCAAGGCAUAGGUAAAUUCAAUCUAGGCAAACCUUAAUUGGGACCCAUCAAUUUAAUCUUAACAAGGGCAUAGCAUAAUUGUUGAGUACGAGAAAGUAAAAGUGUAUAGGACUGAGAAGUAGGGAUCAAGGACACAACUUGCCUUCUUGGCCUUGCUCUUGCUGUUCGUACUGCUCGAAGGCUUGAUCUUCAAAUCCCCCAAAUUGCUGAACGUCUAUACGCAUCACACGAGCACAUACAAGCAAACAAGGGCACAAAGUAAGAAAACAGUACACCAAUAACAACUAAACAGAGAAAACAAGCCUGAAAAAUUAAUCUACACUUUAAAACAAACAUGUGGAUAUAAAGAACGCGAAAAACGGAGUUAAGAUGCAAAAGAUAUGAUUAAAACAAGAUCCAGGGGCUUUUCUGCGAGAAAAACAAAACUUCUAGGGUCGAACUCCGAAAAACCGAGGGCUUGUACAUGAUUAUGCCUAUAAACCGAAGGUUUAACACGGAAAAAUGCAACUUAGGAUGGCGGGUUGAAUUAGAGAAACUCAGGGUCUAAACCGAAAGAAAGCAGGACCAAAACACAAUUAUUUUUGAACUAGAUUGGACUGCAGGUUGAUUUGCGGAAAAGGCGAGCGCUUCAGUGCAAAAGAGGCGCGGCGCGACACGAUUGAGUACGCGAUCCGGUUGACUCGCUGUGGGCUGUCGGAUUUGGAUCCGACGGUCUCGGUUGUCGAUGACACCUAAGCGGCAGCGGACCAGGCGGCGGGCGGCGACGAGCGGCGGCGGUUUGCUGGAAUUAGCCGAUACGGCGCUCCGGGGCUCGAUUUCGCGCGCGGAAAACACCGGAAGCAUGAGAGAAGCAAGGCGAUCCCUUUUCGGCGGUUCACGGUGAUCGAGGCUCACUGGAAGGUGGUGCUUGGCGGCGGAGAGAGGGUGGCGGCACUUGCUGGGGUUUCGGGAGCGCUGUUGCGGGGUGCUUGAGGUGGGGGGGGGGGGCGGCGGCUUAUACAGGGGCGGAGUCCGGGCGCGGUCGGAGUGGAGUCCCGGCCGGAGCACGGGGAUGACGGGUAGGUCCCACUCGUCAGACCUGCGGAAGGAGGCCGCUGCCGCUGGGCAGGCCGACGGAGUGGGCCGAGCGAGCGACAUGGGCUGGCAAGGGAAAAAGGGAAAGCGGCAGCUUCGCGGGCCGAAGGAAAAGGCGGAGCGGGCCGGGGGAGGUAGCGGCGCUGUGCUGCAGGGAAAUAGGAUCCGGGCUGAAAGAGAAAGGAGGAGGAGAAGGAUGCAGCCCAGGAGGACGAAGAGAAAAGAGGAAAAGAAAGAUUUUUGAAAUUGAAAUUGAAAUUGAGAUUCAAUUUUCAUUCAAACACAAGCAAUCAAAAUAAAUGCACCAGCAUGCAAUGCACAAAGAACUCCUAUGAUGGUUUAAUUUAAUUUAGAGAAAAUAAAAUUAAAUGCCUAGAAAUUUGAAUGACAUCCUAAUUGAGCAAAUUUUAGUGUAUUUAAAUUCUUUAAAAAAUUUGGGUGUUACAGGGCACUAGAUGAUCCGACGCCUAUCUCAAGUGACCAUCGGAUCAUCCAAUGCUCACAUAUUUUACUAGCCGUUGUAGCGAAGGCUCUUUGAGAUCCAUGGGCUAUUUAUGCCCUCUCCACUCGCCCAUUCAGAGGUGCUGGAUUGUCCAUACAUCGAUUGAAGACCAAGGCCCAUCAAGAACACAUCCAUGCCACCAAAACUGCAAAAGCGAUAAUCCAAGGCUUAGCACGAGCUAAGAGAUUGAUUAGCUCUAGGAUAGGCCUAGAGAGAGUAGUGCCAGGUGUUGCUACCUUGUGAUUGGUUCAAGGAGUGAUCCACUAUUGUAAGCUUGGGGCGCCGGCACCUUGGGGUCUUGGUGGCUCUCCGGCAAGUCUUCGACACCCCAGCUCAGUGUGGAGCAGCGUCGACAGCCGGAUGCGGGGGACAAGAAGACUCCUUCCUUCGUGGAGCAGCUCCAUGGUGAAGACGACGUCAAGGUGACCGAAGGGGGGUAGUAGUGAGCAUUGCAUUUGUGGAUAGCUUGUCAUCCGGCUUGGCUAGAGCCUUUGUAGCGAGCCCAAGACCUUGACCGGGAGAGACUUGGUGAGUAGGAGCUUGUCCUUGGUGGAGCUCCAACGCAUGGACUAGGGGUGGCAUUUGGCUACCGAUACCAUGUGAUAAAUCAUCGUGCUAGGUUUGCAUCUUUUCUAACCCACUCCUUUACAUUUCCGCACUACAUUCUCGCAACUUGAGUGCCUUUAAUUACUUUCCAGAGUAGUACCUUGUUAGGAUUGGCUCUAGGUUGCAAAACUCUUUGUGGGUGGGAAGUUUCACUAGAUCAACCAUAGAUGCACAUGUAGAUAGCAUGAUCUAGUUUAGGUUUGGAAGCAAGUAGUGGAAGUCAUAGGCCAAGGAUUUUAAGCUAGCCUAAUUCACCCCUCCCCUUCUUAUGGUACGAGCAUCGAUUCCUUUCAAUUUGCUUUAGCACCAUGAAGGCAAUAGUCAUCCAUCUGCACCAUGAUCAUAGAGCAAUGCAAAACCACGAGAGAAACGAAACGGCUGCUCUUCCUUCAUUUUAUUCCAAUUAAUAUGGACGUGGAGGUUACAGGACACACCAUGCUAGCUGUAGCGCCGGCAACAGGGAAACAAACCCAAGAAAGCAAUGCGGACAUUUUAUUCUACUUUUUUAUGCAGAAUAUAUGGAGGCACCAGCCAGCCCAGCAACAACGACAAUGGCGGCUACUUGGUAUACUCGAUGGCCCAGAAGUUGGCGUAGAUGUAGGUGGACUUGACGCUGGUAAACCCGGCGCCCUUGGCGAGCUCCACAAACUCCCUCUCGUACCUCUCCUUGCCGUCGGGGCUGUACGCGAGCAGGCACACGUCGACGCCGAUCAACCCCUGCGCGCUGUUUGUGGCAUCCGGGUUCACCGGCAGGAUGCACUCGACACUGAUGAGCUUGCCGUGCGGAGGCAGCGCCUCGUAGCAGUUCUUGAGCAGCUUGGCGCAGUGGUUGUCGCCCCAGCAAUUGAGGAUCCACUUCAUGAGGAUGGCGUCGCCGGAGGGCACCUUCUCAAACAUGUCGCCUCCCACGUGCUGCACCUGCACGUCGGGGUAGGCCGGCGCCUCGGAGAUGACGUGGGGAAGGUCGAAGUUGAUCCCUUGAAUGGUCGGGUACCUGGAGGUGAUGGCAUGGAUGGUGGAGCCGAGGCCGCCGCCAACGUCGACGAGGGUGCGGACGCCGUCGAAGCCCGUGUAGAGCUCCAAGAGCUUCUUGGUGAGGAUGACGGAAUGCUGCUUCAUGGCCUCAUUGAAGACUCCGUUGAAGCGUGCGUCAGUACCGGCGUAGUCGAACCAGGAAGGCGUCCCAAACGCCCUGUUGAAUGGGCUGCCACCCUCAAGGACCGCGUCCGUCAUGUAGCUCCAGGCGUGCAUGAAGAGCUUGUCGUUGGCGAGGAGGUGGAACGGAGCCAUGGAGACACCAUCCUCGUUGGGGGUGAGCCACUUGCACACUGGCGCGGCGCUGUACUGGCGGCACAGGCUGCCAUCCUCGCCCUCCUCCACCACGCAGGACACAACUUUGUAGGACGCCAGAAGUCGCAGCAAGCGAUCCACCAUGGACGGCGCGGCGGGGUUGGCCUUGGAAGGCAGCUUCGCUGAAUGAUCGAUGAGGCGAAAGGGGCCGUUUAUAUAGAGCUUCGAGCUAGGCUUUGUUCACCAAGCUGAAAAUCAUGCAUUCUUUGACAAGUAUGGGAUUGCUUGUAUGGUGUGAGAGCUAGCAGCUAGCGUGGCAGUGAUUGUUUAUUAUAUUUCUUAUUACCCCAUGCAAAACCUCCCUCCUAAUAAGAUCGUGAUGCACGAGGCUGAAUACUAUAUUGUUUUGUCUGCAGUCUAAUCGAUUUGGAAUCUGCAAAUAUGAUCAAUUCACGACAUUGGAGAUGGUCGGCGCACGAAAUGCCGCCGGGACACAACGAGGAGUGGCAGUCCUAUUGAAACUUUCAGAGAAGCACCUUGUGCCCUUUGAGAAUCUGUUUUGCAUUAGAUCAAGGUUGAGAUGGUUUCACGUGCGUGAUGGACAUGGCUUCGCUACUGCACAACUGUUUUUCAAGAAUCAAGAUAUUCUGCAUGGGAUGUCCUGCGUCUCUGGUGUCGGUGCAAUCUUUCUCCUGUUGAACACGUACACUAGCGUCUGAUGCCAGAGUGAGGUGGAUCGGGUGGAUCAAGGCUACGGCGUAGCACAUUAUCAAGGCUCGGGCGGCCAGAGCAAGAACACGAGCUGGCCGACCGUAGAGGGAAGACGCAACCGGCACUCGCAGAAUCUACGUGGCUCCCCUUGGUCGUUCUUUGUCUCACCCUAUGGGUAUCGUGGAGGCACGGCGCCAGGCUGGCGGCACGGUGUAGCCUCAAUUCAGAACUUUCCUAGCCAGGGCGUGGCCGAGGGCGAUUGGUUGCUCAACCUGAUGAGAACUUGGGUGGGUGCUCCUGCAUGGGAGAGAAUAGGGUGACGGAUGAGAAUGCAGAUGAGGGACGGGGCUCAGACGAGGGGUGGGUUGGAGACAUGUUUUCACUGUUGAACUCUUAGCGUCAAGAUGAGAGGUGAGAUGAGAUACCGGUAGGACCUGCUCUUACCAUGGCACUUCAGCAACCCCACCCCAACCCCGCGCGCAAGUCAAAAUUUGAGGACCAUAUGUACAAUACGUGUGCAAACAAAACCAUAAUUUUACUAGUAUUGAGGGAUUUUAGUUAUUUCUUCUAAAAAAUCUCUUGGGAAUCGAAAUCGUAUUUUUGUAGUACAACAUAUAUAGAAAAUAAGUAUUGUUCACAAAUAAACUGCCCUAUACUUGGUUUUUGUUAUUAUUUUAUUUAAUCUUAAGAUUUAUAUCUGCAUAAAAAAGUAAUUUAGUAUCUUCAAAUAUGGAAACGUGGUCUUAGGAAUAGAGCUCAUAUUUUAUUCUUGAGCAUGCCUAGUGGAAAAAUAAUAUCUAAAAAACUGCAAAGAAAUUUAAUACCUAAGCCUUCGAUCCGCUCUACUUUUUGUAUACUAGUUUACCUGCAAUCCACUGGCUUGCACAUUAUAUUUCAUCUGUCUGCAACCCUGCAUAGCAUGUGACACCCAGAGCUCCUGACACAAGCGCGUGAGCACCUUCUCCGACAUGCGCACAUGAUGACCGCAUGCACCCAUAUUAUACAUAGUUUAUUAUAUUUUUGGCUGGGAUAUGAUAAUCAUUAAUUAUUACUUGUAAAGAUUGGAAACGUUACAAACGAUUGUAGAAAAAAUGCGAGUCACCAGGAAGGUAGGUAGUAGAGCAUGCCGUCAGUGUCUUUCCUGUGACCUGUGUUCGUGGUGCACAUGGCAGAAUGCACAGUCUAUACAUAGGAACCAGAAGUUGGCUUCGAAACCAAAUCACUCAUUAGUCCUUCAGUACUGCAGUGAACGCUAUCUAGCUAGCUAAUUUCCCCUUGAAAUCAGUUUUCUUGCGUGGCCAUGGGUAGCCUUCCACUUGAAGCUUGGACAUGAGGCGGUGGUGUGCACUCUCGCUGCCGCGCGCGACCGUGCACUCAGCAAGCUCGGACAUGAGGGCAUCCUCAAGCUUGUCGUGUAUGCCUCGGACCAGACCCACGCAACCUUCCAGAAGGGCGCGAGCAUCGUCGGCAUCCCUCCAGCAAACUUCCGCAUCCUGCGGACUUCGGCAAACUCGGGAUACGGCCUGACCGCCACCAUCGUCCAAAGAGCAAUCGAGGAAGACGUCGCCCGCGGGCUGCUUCCCCUUUACCUCUGCGCCACCGUCGGCACUACUGGUCUGGGGGCCAUUGACCGAGUGCGCGAGCUCGGCCAUGUUGCCCGGCGUUAUGGUAAUUCAUUCAACCUCCCUCUCUUAUACGCUAAUCACCCAUACGGUGACACUAAAUACGUAGAAAUGGAAUGCGCUAUGCGGUCACAGGUCACGAUUUCAUGCUCACUUAACAAUCAACAAUCAGUUCCUAUAACCAUCUGACAAGAAUACAUGUUUUACAGGAACCUGGCUGCACAUCGACGCAGCCUACGCCGGAAGCGCAGCCAUUUGCCCGGAGUUCCAAGGUCACCUCAACGGCGCCGAGCUCGCGGACUCGCUGAGCAUGAACCCACAUAAGUGGUUCCUCACCAACAUGGACUGCUGCUGCCUCUGGGUGGCGAACCCUACCACCAUGACCGACGCACUGUCCACUGACCCGGAGUACCUCAAGAAUGUCGGCACCGCGUCUAAGAUGGCGGAAACGGUCGACUACAAGGACUGGCAGAUCGCGCUGUCACGCCGCUUCCGUGCCAUCAAACUCUGGGUGGUGCUACGGCGCUAUGGAGCGGCGGGAAUGCGCGCGCACAUACGGAGGCACAUCCAGAUGGCAGAGUGGUUCGAGCACGUCGUGGCGGCGGACGAGCGGUUUGAGGUCGUGGUGCCAAGGAACUUCUCCUUGGUGUGAUUCCGCCUCCGCCCGCGGUUCAUGGCGGAUAAAGCUGUGGAGGCCCUGAACCGCGACCUCCUCGCAGCGGUGAAUGCAAGCAGCCGGGCGUUCAUGACGCACUUCGUCGUGGACGACAAGUUUGUGAUCCGCCUAGCCGUGGGUGGGUCAAUGACAGAGAUGCGGCACGUCCGGGCCGCAUGGGAGCUUCUCAAGGAGAAGGCCAACGACUUGAUCGCCACCGGUUGUUAGUUAUUGCUCAUUGCUAGUGCUAUACCAUGCAUGGCCAGCAACAGAAGCUGAGCAUUCUAUUAUUGCUUCCAUUCGUAGUUAGAGCACACCAUGAAUGCAAUAGUCAAUCCAUCUGAACCAUGAACAUUCACUAUGACCAUGUAUGCGACACAAUAUACAUAACUGCUACUGCCGAUAUUGGAUUCUAUUUCUGGAGAAGCGGCUGCUUCUACGGAGCAGGCCGAUUGAAUUUUAAGUAUGUUAUGAUACUUGUAAAAAAUCGAUGCUAGGCAUGGAUUCCUGGAAGGGGCCCGUCACAACUCACAAUGGAAGGGACCCGUCAUAACCAACCUCGUUAAUACAAAAGAAACAUCAGGCGAAACAAAUGGACGCUAAGCCACACACCUGAACAUAAGGCUGUAUAUGUAAUUUUACCAUGACAGCGACGUCUCGAAUGAGAACCAAGUUACUGUCUUGUACGGAAUAUUCUUGGGAUGUAGUGGUUGCGUAUCGGUAUAACGGGGAUGCGGAAAUGUAACUUUAUAGCUCUAUAAAGGGAGGCGAACCGUCCUCCCUAAGGACACGAAUCUUUGUUAGGAUAGCCACUGUAAUGUCUGUAUGAACCACUGUUAUCUUCGUUCACUGUAUUCUCAUCAUUGUCUGGGAAUCCCCCAACAUUUGGUGCCCACCGUGGUUUAACUCGUUAAACAGCCCACGAUGCCACCACAACGCAAAAAGAGACCUGCAACUCAGAGGGAAGACAACACAGAAGAAGCCAACCAGCUCACGGCCCCCGAAGCCACACAUCAAAUCCUCCCCGACAAGGCGGAGCGUCUUGCAAGAGUCGAGAAAGCCCUAAGGGCCAAGGCAAUGAGCAACCAGCCCGCAAACGAAGUCAACCACCAAAGCCACCAACCUGUGGCAAAUGAAGUUGCCAACUGUGUUGAUGCUCACCAGUCUGCAACACCCGAAGCUACUGGCCCAUCUAGCCUGAACAAUGAACUAGACUCAGUUCUCCGAAAGAUAGAAGAGGUCAAAAGAAAGAAGGAACAGUUGGCACGACAAGUGCAACACCAGAAAGAGGCUGCGGCCAGGCUAUCAAAGUUGAACGAGGCUAGGCGGCAACUAGAAGCACUACAGGAAGAAGUCGCAGAGCUCGAAAGCCCCCUCGAGAAUGCAAACCAGGCCGCAACUUAUUUUUAUCAAAGUCCCACUGUCGAUCAAGCACAGCUUCAACCCAGCAUCAACUUCGGCCAAGGCAUCCAGCACCACUCACCAGGGGUGUCCCUUGUUGUCGACCCAACUUCACCGCUCUCAAUAGGGCUACAAACUGCACCAUGGCCGACGACCUACAAACCAACCACCUUGCCCAAAUUCAACGGGCGCACCGACCCGCGGCAAUUCUUAAUGAGUUAUGAAGCUGCAGUAGCUUCGGCCGGAGGGGAUGAUGUCGUCCUCACCAAAUCCUUCAUAAUUGCCUGCGAGGGCGCAACGCUAAAUUGGUAUUCGCUGCUCCCUCCACACAUGGUGAUCAACUGGCACGACCUCAAGAUGAAGGUCACUCAAAAUUUCUAGGGUUUCCACCACCCUCACACGGCCUAGGCAGACCUUUUUCAGUGCAAGCAAAAGCACAAGGAACCGCUUGCAGAGUAUGUAAGAAGAUACGUUCAACUUUGUUCUCAAGCACCGCAAAUUGAGGAGUCUGUAGCAAUAUCCACUUGCAUCGUGGGCCUAACCCCCAGCCCAACAGCCUCAAAAUUGUUAAGGAAGGAGCCUAAAACCAUGACUGCCCUCUUCAGCAAACUCGAUGAAUACAUCAGGUCCGAUGAGGACCACCGCCGAAGAGUGGCGGAACGUAACAAAGAGAGACAAAAAAACCAAAACCGAAGCUGGCAACCUUCGCCUUACAACAAGCCUCAAAACCCAAAUCAAAACCAAAACCGCAUCAUGAACAUCGAGGGAAGCCAAAACCAAAACCAGAGCCAAAGCCAAAACAACAGCACCCAAAGAGGGGGCCACUCUAGCAAAGGACGAGGUCGAGGCAAACAACCAAAGUUGUUUUACUGUGUCAACCAUGGCCAUCAGAAUCAUCACAACACAGAGUGGUGCCCCAAAAAGAAGCAGGAAGAGAGAAAAGCUGCAUAAGAAGCUGCAAGGACAGCCGCGCAGACACCCAAAACAAUCCACCACACAGCCUUUUACCCACACCCAACCUUCUACCACAAUCAACCCAGCUUCGCCAACUUCCCGCAACCAAUAAAUUGGCCUCUUCCACCGCACAUACAACCCUACCACCAAACAAUUCCACAGCACCCCAAUCCCAACCCGCCUCAGAAGCCCCAAGAAACUCUACCUCCACCCCCAAGCAUGCCAGCUAUAAUACCCAAGCCAGAACCCAACACGCAAAACAGCAACCAAAAUUCCUUACCCUCCUUCGGGAUGAUAAUGCCAAUCACCGGGGGCUCCUCGCUAGAGUUUGAAAGCAAGAGAUAGAAACAGAACUACUUCAGAGAGGUCAAUGUGAUCAUUCCCGACGGACCUCCAGCAAAGCCAGAAUGGGCACACAUGCCCAUAACCUUCACCGAAGAGGAUUUCAACCUCAAGACAACCUCGCACAACGAUGCGAUGGUCAUCAAAGCACUGAUAGCAGGCUGGACAGUGGGGAAAGUCCUGGUAGACACAGGCAGCUCCGUGGACAUUCUCUUCGCAAAUGCAUUCAGAGAAAUGAAUAUUGACAUGAACACGCUCGACCCAAGGCAUGUCCCGCUCCUUGGCUUCGGCGGAAAGCCCGUGAAGGCCUUGGGAAAAAUCGCCCUCCCAGUCUCGUUCCGAGACCGAGAUAAUGCGAGGACAGAACACAUCACCUUCGACGUAGUGGAAAUGCAUUAUCCCUACAAUGCAAUACUCAGCCGUGGCUUCAUCACCAAAAUGGACACAACAAUCAGGUAGUUGUACCUAUGCAUGAAAAUACCCGCCCUCAAAGGGGUCAUAACGGUGUACGGUGAUCAGCAAAUGGCAAGGAACAUAGAAAAAGGGGUAGCCCCGGGCCAAAAGAAUGUCCACCAUCUAGCCUCGUCAAACGAAGCUGAAAACAUAGCAAAGCAAAAGGCCCACGACGAGCCUAAGAGAGCUAAACAAAAGGUAAAAAUCAGUGCGGAUGGCAAAACAAAGCGGGUACCUCAAAACAUAGCUAAGCCACACACCUGAACAAAUUUUCCCCGAAAUUUGCAACACGUCAAGAGUGCUUAUCACUCAACCGUCUCACAUCUCUUUUGUUUAAGGAAACUAGGCUCGUUACUACAAAAUGAACACCAAGAUGAUAGAGCUCUUUUACGAUACACAAUACUACUACUUAGUAGUAUAUAGUAUAUAUAUAUAAGAUCUAACUGUUCAUUAUUAUGGAUAAUUUAGUAAUUAUUACAAUGUAAAAAGUGAUAUUUCAAAUAGAAUGGUCUUUUAAACUUUCUACUAGUAUCAAAAAUAAAAUUAUAGUGGUGCCAUUUGUGUUUGCUUACCAUGAUACCCUUAUACUACCUAUACUACUCAUGUAUACUACUCAUACCAUAGGCGUAGGUUUCAGUAGUAUGUAAUUAAUCUUGACCGUCGGAUAUGUUUAUACUAGUCAUUUUCGAACACAAGUAUAGUCUAGUGUUGUGUUCCGUAAAAGAGCUCAUAUAAUAUGUUAUAAAACUUAUUUGUGAAAGCUAAAGGCAACAACAGGGGAUAAAUUUCAGAAUAGGUAAGAACAGAAAUUUAAAAGGGCAAAAUUUGUUGAUGCAUGGAAAUGCAUAGAAUGCUUAUUACUCAAUCGACUCACAUCUCUUUUUCCUAGGAAACACAAUAAUUGUUGGAAACAAAGCACUUAUUGUUGGAAACAAAGCACUUAUUGUUGUUCAUAGCAGCUGAGAUUGACUUACAUAUAUUUAUUUGCAAACAGGUGUGAAAUGUGAUACAAUAAUUCAGAAAGCUAGACAUCCUGAGCCAUGCGAGGGAUAAGAAGAAGCUUCUCCUUACGGUGCACAUCCAUCCCAUACGACUCUGACAUAUCGACGCCUGUCGACCCCGGCAGAAGCUCCCAGUUGAAGUGGUAGAUGAGGUUGGCAAGAAUGAUUUCGAAAGUGGCGGUGGUGAAGUUUAUACCCGGGCACAUCCUUCGCCCAGACCCAAACGGCAAGAAACGGAAGUCGUUCCCCUGGAAGUCAGAAGCAGCAUCCACGGCUUCUUCCAUGAACCGCUCGGGCAUGAACUCCUCUGCACUCUCCCAGUAGGUGGAGUCCCUGCCUAGAGCCCACGCGUUGACGAUUACACGUGUCCCAGAGGGUAUGGUAUAUCCCUCCACCUCCCAUUCGGCCAUGGACAAGUGGGGUAUCAAAAGAGGCCCCGGCGCGUGUAGCCGCAUUGACUCUUUCAUCACCGCCGUCAGGUAGCUCAUGCCGCUCAGGUCUUGUUCAGUGACCAGUUCCUUCCCCUUGGUUGCGCACCCCCGCACCUCAGCUUGAAGCUUGGUCAUCACCUUGGGAUUCCGCAUCAGCUCAGCCAUGGCGUAGUCUAGUGCUAUGUAGGUUGUGUCCGUCCCAGCUUCAAACAUGUCCUACAUGAACAUAUCGGUAAGUAGAACUCCAAAUCAAAUUUAACCAAGCUAGUCCAUGAAACGUCUCAUAUGUACCUCUCGUGAAAAAUAAACAUACCAUCAGUAUUGCCUUGACGUUGUCUCUGGUCAGGCCGUACUCUUGUUGAACGGAGAGCAGCACAUCGAUGAAGUCCUCCUCGUCCUCACCAUCGACCGGCUUGGUCUUGUGCUUGUCGAUGAGGCUGUCCAAAAGGUUAUCCCAUAUCUUCCUGUGCUUCACGGCCUUGGCCGAUACCAAGUCCAACCUCGCCAAGCUCGGGAAAUAGUCGUCCAGGUUAAAUCCCCCCAGGAGCUUGGCGUUCGUCUCUAACAGCUCCCGGAACAGCUGGUUCCGACCUUGUUCCCUGGGGAGCCUGCCCGUCACGGCCUGGCACACGAUGUCGUUGGCGAAGAAGCUGAAGAGCUUGCUGACGUCGACCGCGAUGCCCAUGGCGGCGGCGGCCGUCACCUUGGCUAAAACCAGCUGGACCUCCUGCUCGCGGGCGGCGCGGUUGGACCGGACCUUCGCCGCGGUAAGGAGGUGGGUGGUGAUCACCUUCCUGGCCUGGCGCCAGUACUCACCGUAGGGGGCGAAGCCGACGUCGGUGCAGCCGUAGAACAGGACGUCGGCCACCGCGGAGUGCGGCCGGGAGGCGAAGACGUGGUCGUGCGUGCGCAGGACGGCCUUGGCGGCGCGUGGGGAGGAGACGACGAGCGUUGGCACGGCGCCGAGGCGGAGGAGCAUCACGUCGGGCCCGUGCCUCUUGGCGAGGUCGCGGAGGGAGUGGUGGGGAAGGGAUCCGAUGAGGUGGAGGUGGCCGAUGAUCGGGAGCUUGAACGGAGGCGACGGUAGCUUCCGGAGCAGCUUCUCUGUUCUUGACCUUGGUGUUGCCAAGUGCACGGCGACGAGGAAGAGGAAGAAGAGGAGGGCUAGGGACUCUGGAGAUGCGUGUUCGUAGAGGUGCGCUAGCGCUGGAGCCGCCAUGGCUGAUCAACUAGUGUGCACAACACACGGCUUGCUAGCGCAACAAGUUAGAACCAGCUCGUUGCAGUUUUUGUAGAGCUCGGUAGUCGUGAUCCGUCAGACAGCAAGAAGAGUAUGCUAUUUUUCUUCUUUUCUGCAUCAUCACUAGAUCAGAUCAGACAGGACCGACCAGAUCUGAUAUUUUAUGAGAGAAUCCUAUCGAAUAAUCAUCCUUUUUAUUAAACUGCACCCGACGCAGACUUUCUUUAUUUGCCCAUGUGCUAUUAUAUUAAUUUUUAUCUCGACUAUUAUAAUUUUUAUCUCGACUAUAUACCACUGUCCUCAUGUAUGUUGUGUACCAAGAGGAACACGAGACGAUCGAGAUUCCAAUAAAAUAUGUGUUUGGUGCUGGAUUAAUUGGCAUGCUUUUCUCUCAGAUGAGCUGCGUGUAGUGACACGGCGCUCGCAAUAGUUGGUCGGCGCACUGGUAGACGGGCAGCUCAUGGAUGCUACCGACGGCUCUGCAACUUGAUGCAGUUCAUGCACGCUGCUGGGUGGCACCCAUGGUGCGAUAUGGCAUUGGCAUUGGCACUGUGGCGGCGGAUCCGACCAGUAGCAGAAGCUCGCACAAGUCUAAAUGUAUCUAACUUUGAUGAAUUUUGAUUUCAAAUCUAUGGAGGCUUUUGAGCUCGAACUAAUUGAAAUGGAUCACACUUUAGUAGUGCUUUCAACAUAAAAAAUUGACACAAAUUAUGGCGGUCAUUUGUGCCACUGGAGAAAUUAAAGGGAAAAAUAGAAAAGAUGGUGUUUUCAAUACACUUUCUUGCUAGCUUGCUAGCCUUUCCCCACGGUGCUGAAAUCGUGGCCGGGCAAAAGGGGAGGUGCAUGAACUCGUCGCUGGCUGGCGGAGGACAGAGCUAGGGGCGGUUCAGGCACAACGGUGCGUAGGCGGGGUAGCGGCGAGGAGUGGCGGUGAGCAGUCUGCCUAGCCCAGGCAGAAAAACAAAGGUUUGAAACAAACAAGCCCUUGGUGUGUAACUGAUAGGCAUAUGUUCGAAACUCCGAUCCUGUCGCCCUUGAUUAAAAUUCAUAGUAGAGACCCAUUGAGGAUUAGCCCUGGCAUCGAUCCGGCCACAGGAGAGACCGGGAGCCAAGAAGUGAAGUAAGUUGCGUGCGUGCCUGACGGCGAGGAAGCACCUCCAUUGAGCCACGAGGUGGAGUACGAGGCAGAGGCGAGAUGGGAUGUGUUGGGGACAGACUCACAUGACGGAGAGCGGUGCAUCUCCUACCUACCAUCUGCCAUUGCCGAGGGCCUUUCACCGUGCACCACUCCGGUUCGCUCUUUUGCGUCGCUGGGAGGAAAGGGACCGCCGAGCGUUGGGUGCCGCCACCGCUCCUGUGUAGUUCACCAUGGCCACCUCCUCCGAUAGCGCCCACACCAGCGCUGCACCUCAUUCCAGGGAUGGGGCAGCCGCUGCUGGGUCACAUCCACCCGGGGAUUGGGCCGUUGCUGGGGAAUGCGCGGCAGAGAAGAAAAGGAGAAAACAGAGGAGACGUGACUGACAGGGACGGAGGAAAGAUGAUGAGUGCGUACGGUGGGGCGGGUAGGAAACGCAUCGGUAAAAAUGGAAUUGGUUUUUUGGUAGAAACAUUUUCUAACUUGUGGUUUUUAUGGGUCUCCACCUUAUCCUCUCUCAAUUGCAUGAUAGGUGGGUCCGACAUGAGCGGUAAGGUGGUUCUGGUUUGGGUGAGAAACGUUUCCAAUUAUGUUGGAAAACAGGCUUCGCGGAGGCUCAAACACAAUGAGGUUUGAGCAGUCCUUGCAAUUCAAUUCCAAAGAAAUGAACAUAUGUUUACAUCGGGGUAGGGCUCUCCUUUUAUAGUAUCUCGGAGGACAUUUUGCAUUCCGCAAUUACCCUCACUCACCCACUACAAUCCUAGAAUAUGCUUUACAUGGAGGUAACUUGUAUAACUUGGUCUCCUCCUUGGAUCACGCUUCUCACGCCUUUAGUCAGCUCCAUGAUUCACGCUCUCACAUGGUUCCACAAAUCACGCCUUCACAUUUCCAACGCCUCCACGCUUCCUGACCUCGUGACCGAAGCCAUCUUAGCUUCGGGAGUCAUGAUCGCCAUAGAUUCGCACCUAAGAGACGCUAGCCUCGCGCCCUGCUCCUUGACCUGAUUCAGCGAUCCUGCAUGAGACACUAAAUAACUCAGCACUCGAGGUUACCUUCGACUGCUCGAGGUCAAGCUUGGUUAGUGUCUGGCGAUCUGUGUGCCUCCGGGCUUCAAGGUAAGAUUCAGGAUAGCGAGGCUAUGAUUACUUUCCACGCCAGAUUAACCACCCAAGGUUAGGGGUCCUCACCCGAGGUUAAUUAUUUUGAGGGGCUAAGCUGUUGACGCUAAAUGUAACGACCUCGAGGGUGACCAUCUUUUUGGGCGAUCCCCAACAGUAGCCCCUCGUGGGCAAGGCUCGACACCGACAACCGAACCCGCGACUUAAGGAUCUGCUCCCAAAAAACGUCACCCUCAAGCAUCGGUUAGAAAUGAGCCGACAAUUACCUUUUUGGUCUUACGUGUUGAUUUCCUAUUGGGUGACCUUUCGUAUCUAGCUCGUGGUUACAGGCGCCAUUUCACGCAUUUUACCAUGCCUAUAAAAGAGGGGGGUGGGGUCGCUUUCGUUUUUACCCUCGCGGCUAAAACCCUUGCGCUCCUGCUUUUGCUCGCUGCUUCCGUGCUUUAAGAUUCAUGCAUUGUAUGCUGUUCUCCUUGGUCUCGAGGAUCUCAAAGGUAACAAUGUUACUUGUGUCUCUCUUUUAGUGUGAGAUUUUCCCUUGCUUGUCAUUUUGGAGAUGAUGUUUCGAUGCCUUGCAGCUGGCUCGUAUUAUGCAAACCGCUAGGCCCAUGACAUCAGAAGAGUUCACUAAACAAGUUGGGCUUCGCAAUGAGGCUGCGGAGGACCAGGAUUUGUACAAGGCUGACGAGAAGCAAGGAAUCAAGAGGAUUGAGCUUUCUUAUGCCCAGAACAAUAGGUGAGAAGACAAUUGGCUAAGCUACUACUUCUAUAUCAAGAUUGACAGGGCCGAUGCGUCUGGUAUCAACCGAUCUUUCUAUCCUUCUGUGCACCCCUGGGCCCUAUGGAUAUUGCUACUACCCCUGCAUUUACAAGGUCCAAGGCAGACAAGGAGUGCAAGGGCGCUUUCCUCCCGGACUCGAAGUCGAUCCCCGGCUGGAUCUUGUUGAAGAGUUUUUGGCAGCCAAUAUUUGGCCCCUUUCUGAUGGGUGGAGUCCAUUGGAGAUUGUGCCAAAAGACGUUUUGUGGAGUACUAGCCCGCUCCUCUACCCUUGCUUUGGAGUGGAGCUGCCCGUGGAUGCCAACCCCGGUCUUUUUGCAGAGGAUGUUGAGAGGCAUGCUGUUGAUAUAAUUGGCCCGAGUACUGAGACUGAGCUGAUGUUAGCUCGAAAGAUCAUUGCACACGAGCUUCGGGUCAACCGUGUGUUCGAGGAACUUGGGGUCGAUGUUAAGCCUCAUCCCAAACCUCGCAAGACCUUGAAAUGGGCACGAGAGGCUGGCGCGACAGGCUUGGAAUAGGUUGGCAGCAGUGGCAGGUGGAAAAAGAGAAAGGCCGAGAGCACCGCUCCUAAGGCCGCGGCAGUGACUUCAAAGAAGGAUGACAGCCAAUCAAGGGUCGUGCUCGAGGUGCGAAAGCAAAAUUAAAGACCUCGAGCCUCGAAGCUUAGAAGAAGUAAGAAAAAAUUGGACAAAGUUCCUCAAGCGAGGCUGCAAAAUCCUCCACGCCCCUGUCUCUAAAGCCAUCCGAGUUGCGACCAAGUCCGAACUCGAGGCUGCCGGCGCACUGGCCGGUAUGAAAGAAAAGAAGUCUACGAGGAAGUCUCACGUCGGCAAAGCCUUUGAUGAUGAUGAUGAUAUUGUUUUGGAUGUGGACUUGUCUAUGUUCCCUAUAUCGGUCCCCAAGGCUAGUGUUCCUUCAAAGGAGACUGAGACUAAGGUUGCUGCACCCCCUCUACAGCACAAGGCCAAACCUUUGAAGGAGAAGAUCGUGGAUACCAUUGCUAAGGAGAUUAAGGCAUCUACUUCGAAGGUGACAAAGCCAGGUAAACAUGUCGUUGUACAUUUGCCUAGGAUGAGAUUUUAUGAUUGUGGUGAUGCGUCAUUUAGAUUUCUGAUGGAGCUGGAAAAAACCACUGGUGCACCUUGGGAGAUAUAUAGGGAACCUCCUCUAAUAUUUAGGGUAAAACCUUAUUCUGCAGAUUCUGAACUGUCACCCUCUCUGGAACGUUACAACGAGGCCUACGGCACCAACCUUAGACAGGAGCUCAUUGCUGUUCAUGUGCCGGGUUCAGGUGAGGACGAUAAUCGCUACAACCUACCCUUGUUGUGGGGAGCUAAGGAUGGGAUGCGUGGUGUAGAUAGAGCAGCCAAGGAGGUUUUCAAGAUGUCUGAGGGGGUUGUCGGCGAGGUUGGUGGGCAGGGAGAAAGGGAGGAAGGCGAGGUUAUCCCUACUCGAGGUCUUGGGAAAUCCACUGUGCCUUUUGAGGUUGAUUACGAGGACAAGUCUUUUAAUCCUGAGAGUAAGCGCUUGCUCCUUAGUUUGUUUUGUCUGUACUUAAUUUCUACUUUGCUAUGCUUUGACGUGCCUUUCUUUUGACAGAGUAUGAAAAAUCAGUUAGGCGUUUUGAGCAAAAGGACUUAGCUAGGAUGUCAGCUACCAUCGGAUACAAGGUAUUUUGUUCGACGCUUGCUAUUUGUUUCUUAUCUCUCUUUUUUUAUGAGUCUUUUCAUUUUGGUGUUUUGAUUUUGCAGUCCAUCAUCCUUGGGAAGAUGCUAUGGAGAAGGCUGCGGCUAAGGAAAAGAGCAUGCUAGCCGAGAGCACGAAGAUGAUGCAGCUAGAGGCUAGAGUUGCAAAGCUUGAGGAGGAAAGCAAGGUUUUAUAUGCCUUGAAGAACGAGCUCGCCGAUUCUAACUCUGACCUUAAAAAGAACAACGUGCUGCUAACAAAUACCUACAGCGAGCUCGUGCAGCAAGUUGAGAAGCUGGAGAAAAGACCCGAAGACAAUCUUGGUGUUUUGGAGAAACUCCGAAGCGCCACAGAAAAAGACGUACAGACUGUCAUAGAGCAGGAAAAAAUGAUUCAUACCCUUGGUCAGGAUCUCAAAGAGCAAAAGACCUUUGUUGUGGAAGCAGAGCGGGCUCUCAAGGAAAAGUUCGUUGAGAUCUAUGAGGUGUACAAAACUGCUCUUGCAAAGUUUGGCACAGAGCCUCUUUUGUUUCUGGGUGAUGAAAGUGUAAAAGAAAUAUUUGAUUGGGUGGAAGAGGAGUUCAAAGGCCUGCCCGAGGUUAUUACUGGUAGCAGCAACUUUGCUACUUCCUUCUGCCUUGAUAGCGCAUUUCAACUCCUUGAAAAGAACAGCUACUCUCAUUUCUUAACACUUGCGGCUCGCACCUAUAUGUUCCCCUCGGCCUCGGAGCUUGAUGAAGAGGAGAAAUCUAAAAAUUUGAGAGCCAUGAAGAUAAAUUUCUUCAAACAGCUUUGGGCUACCUCCGGGCGAGAGUACACAAGGCUGGUUGCUCAAGAGCGGCUUGCACAGGUUAGGGUUCACAUAACUUUGUAUUUCAUAAGGUUUGCAUUUUUUCUGUUGAUUUCCUGAUGUUGUUCCUCUUGUGUUCGUAGGCCAAGGCAUAGGAAGCAAAAGGCGAAGGUGGGAGCGAGAACGAUGAUGCUGAUCAAGGAGGGCAGUGAUUAUCGAAGCUAGUUAGAGAUUUGUUUUGUGGUUUGGGAUGUUUUGAUAAACUUGAUACUUAGUUGGCUGCUUUUGCGGGCCAGAUUGUAAAUAUUUGUUGCUCAGCCGGAACUUACAUGCUCGAAGCUGGUUACUUUUGGCGUUUGUACCUUCACGGAUUUCUUUUUAUCUUAACGUUUUUAUGUUUGAGUUAUUCUACUCAAAUGGCAACAAAGCUGUAGCUUAAAGAAAUGAGCAAUGUUUUAGUUUAAAACGUCACCCCUGCCCUAGUUUCUUUAUGCGUAGGUUUUUGUUGACUUUGCACGCUUGUUGUCUAAGCUCAAACGGAGCUUAAAAACGUCACCCCCUUCUUGGCACGUGGGUCUUACCCAAGGCAAUUCUCUCAUGGAAAGAGGAUGAAAACGAUUUUUGUUUGCCAAAAAAUGUCACCCCCGCCCUUUUAUCCUUUUUCCGAAAAAACAUCCAACCUCGCCCUUUUCUUUUGCAUGAACGAGGUUAAGUGAGUAUUGACAAACCACAAGAUAAGUCAAUAGAAAAGUUGUUUUCGAGUUAUGUUGACUUAAAAAAUAUGAUAGUUUGGUUGAAAUCGCAACCCUUAGGAUGUAUUUGGUUGGGCUGUGGCUUUUCAAAAAGCUGCUGUGAGCUGUGGGCUGUAGAAAAGCAGCUGUGAGAAAGCAGCUGUGGGAAAAGUAUAAGGCCAUUUGGUUAGAGCAGAUGUAGCUUUUGAAUAAAUUUUCGAGUGGACCCUGCAUGUCAUCCACAGUCCACCCCACUCAACUCUCUCCCUCUCUCACUGACGAGCGGAUCUAACCCUUCUUCUUCCUCCCGCUGGCUUGUCCACCCCAUAGCACCCCGAGUAGCACCAGGGCCGCAACGGCAUCCACGAUGAUGCAGUCCACAAUCAGGGCGAGGUCCAUGAUGGCGAUGGCCUGCGCCUCACCUCCUCCACCUUGCACCACGUGGCAGGCACCGUAGCACCACCGGCAUCUAGGAGGCAGUAGCACCCCGCGGGCACGCAUGCGUCGACAUAGAGGUUGAGGCUGGUCUGUGCCGCCAAGAGCCUGCCGCCCGCGCAGGCGAGCCCCGCCUCCAUGGUGCCCUUCGGUGUGGAGGCGGAGAGUGAUGAGGAGAGGGAUGCCAUGGCAGCGGCGAGGAGGAGGAGACGCGCGAUGAUGAGUGUGUGCUGCUGGAGGUCGGAGGCCGGGAGCGAGACGGCAAGGAGGCCUGCGGCAUGGUCGAGGAGGAGGAACGACAGGGAGAGGAGGAGCGGGAGGUGGGGCGGGAGGAAUGGGAGCAGCGGUGGGAGGAGCAGCAGUGGGAGGAGCGUCAUGGAAGCCAGUGGGAGGAAGGCGAACAGGAGCACGAGGAGUAGCGAGAGGAGGCAGAGGAGCGGGUGGCGGAACAGGCGGAGGAGGUGGUGGUGGAGGGAGGACGGGGAGAGGUAGGAGACGGCGGCAAUGAGGUGGUGGGACUGGGAGGUCGUGAUGAGGGAGAAUAUAAGGGCAUGGCAUGCGAGCAGCAGCGCCUCCACCAUUGGGGUUGGGCAACGCGGUCGGGGAAGUCCCGAGGAGGAGGAGCACCAGGCGGCGGGCCACUAAGGUGAUGGUCGGGUGGGGGGACUGGUGUGGGUGAUGGGGAGUGGACGGGAAUAGAAGGGGAAAACGAACCGUUAUCCUCCAUAACAAGUGGUAGGUGGGUAAUUUUUUGCCCCAAAAGCAGCUAAAAGCAGGGGGAAGGUGCUUUUGAUUUUGAGCAAAAGCACGUAUGGCUUUGGUCAAAAGCACGUAUGGCUUUUAGGCCCUUUGGUUGGCUUUUGGCUUUUGCAAAAGCAAAAGUAGGUUGGAAAGUCCAACCAAAGGCACCCUUAGUUGCUUCAACCAUGAAAUUUUGCGAGGUUGAGAAAAUAGGGAAAUAGGGUGCCUUUUUUGAAAAAAUGUCAGUCUUUCUAUUCUAUUGUGAGAGCUUUGGCUGAGGCUAGGGCCUUCGUGCGAAAGGACAAAAUGAAUUUUCAACUCUGAAAAACGUCACCCCCCUUGUCCUUUUGCGCAGAGGGGGUUUAGACUCAGCAUGGCUUAUUCCGAGUGUUAUCGCUGCCUUUGAUCGCUUGCUGCAGUCUUUCUAUUCUCUGAGUUGCAAGUUCAAGGCCAAUCACUGUGGUGUUUGAGUGAGAAAAUACGUUUAUGUGCAUAUAGUGUGCGUUCAAUGUUAGACUAUGCAGCUUAUUGCUGCUUUAAAAUAUCUUGCGCAGAAACGUAGGUUUUCAGCACGCAGAAACGUGAGGUUAGGCAAGUUGUUGUUGCAUCUGAGACUUGUGCAGACACGCAAGUUUUCAAUGCACAGAAACUCGAGGUUAGGCAACUUGUUGUUGCAUCUAAGACAAAGAUCAUAGGGGGAACUUCAUUUCAUUGAAUAAUGGAAAUUUUACAAGGAUCUACCUCUUCCGACAUGGUUGCCUCUUUGGCCACUUCUGAAAUUGGGUUGAUGUUGGUGGUAUCGGUUCUGGUUUUGGCCUUGGUUUUGGUUUUGGGUUUGGUUUUUGAACGAGGGUUGGUUAUCCUUGAUGGCCAGCAGUUAGUUUGGGUGCGAGUGGUGCUGUUGUUGGUGACUGUAUCACGAAGCUUGCCAGUUUUGACCUUUCUCUGCUUGCCUUUGGCGGUUUCUUUCCACGACCCUUCUUCUAUGGUCUUCAUCUGAUCUGCAAUAUUUAUCCAUCUCUGCGAACAGGGCUUCCAUUCUUUUUGGCUUUUUCCUUGAUAGCUUUGAGGCUGUUGGCCUCGGAUUAAGCCCCUUGAUGCAGAUCUCUAUAGCCAUGCUAUCCUCCACAUCUGGGGUUUGUGCCUUAAGUUGGACAAAUCUUCUCACGUAGCUUGCUAAAAGGCUCUUUAUCUUUUUGCACACAAUUGAACAAAUCCCCCUCAUCAGUCAUGGCUCUAUGAAAGCCUUGAAAGUUUUGUAUAAGUUUGGUUUUAAGAUCGACCCAGCUGUAUACAGAUUGCAGCAGGAGUAGAGAGUACCAAUUUAGUGCUGCACCCUCGCACGCUAUAAUGAAUGACUUUUCCAAUACUACAUCAUCUCCCCCUGCCGAGGCUAUGGCUGUUUCAUAACUCAUGAGGAACUAGCGGGGAUCUGUUUGUCCAUUGAAUUUUGGUAGUGCAACUGCCUUGUAGGUUGUGGGCCAUGGGGCUUUUUGCAGGCCUAAGGACAAUUGGGAGAUUUUGUCGGUAGUUGUGUAUGCGCUCAUUGUCACUCUGGUGUUGUGCCCAACGAGGCUAGGAUUCGGGUAUAUGAUGGGUGUGUCAUUGGUGUUGAAGGUUUGAAGUGGUGGCUGCUGCGGCUGUUGCGGUGUGUUACACAAGUAUUCCAAUUCGUUCAACUCUUGCUGCAACUCUGCCAGCUGCCUUUUGGCCUCAUUUAGCCUCACUAGCUUGUUGGUUGCUAGUCUUUGAGCCUGAAGCUCUUGAGCAAAUUUUUCUUUUUCUUUUUUAAUGCCUCUAGCUGCUUGAGUGCGGAGGCCAACUCUUCUUCUAUUUCACUAAGGGGUUCAUCUUGCGUGCUUGUUUGCUGCAGAGUUUGGUUCGAGGUCCCCGCCUCAACCAUGCCUUUCUGUGAUCUUGUUCUUAAAUUAGCCUCGAUUCUUUUAAACUUUUUCUGCCUUCUCCGUGUUAACUUGUUCGACUGAGACAAGCUGCCUUUCUUGUCCAGCCUCAUCUUCGAUGGUUCUCUUCUUCUUUUGAGGUGGCAUCAUGGGUUUCUUAGUGGCUCAGAAUACCUGCUGUUACCAUGGCACUUCAGCAACCCCACCCAACCCCACGCGCAAGUCAAAAUUUGAGGACCAUAUGUACAAUACGUGUGCAAACAAAACCAUAAUUUCACUAGUAUUGAGGGAUUUUAGUUAUUUCUUCUAAAAAAUCUCUUGGGAAAUCGUAUUUUUGUAGUACAACAUAUAUAGAAAAUAAGUAUUACUCCCAAAUAAACUGCCCUUUUCUUUAGUAUUCUUGGUUUUUGUUAUUAUUUUAUUUAAUCUUACGAUUUAUAUAUGCAUAAAAAAGUAAUUUAGUAUCUUCAAAUAUGGAAACGUGGUCUUAGGAAAUUGUCUAAUAUAUACUAGUUUACCUGCAAUCCACUGGCUUGCACAUUAUAUUUCAUCAUACGGAAAUGUCUGGCAUUGUGAACGGAAGCAAUUUCAUCUGUCUGCAACCCGGCAUAGCAUGUGACACCCAGAGCUCCUGACACAAGCGCGUGAGCACCUUCUCCGACAUGCGCACAUGAUGACCGCAUGCACCCAUAUUAUACAUAGUUUAUUAUAUUUUUGGCUGGGAUAUGAUAAUCAUUAAUUAUUACUUGUAAAGAUUGGAAACGUUACAAACGAUUGUAGAAAAAAUGCGAGUCACCAGGAAGGUAGGUAGUAGAGCAUGCCGUCAGUGUCUUUCCUGUGACCUGUGUUCGUGGUGCACAUGGCAGAAUGCACAGUCUAUACAUAGGAACCAGAAGUUGGCUUCGAAACCAAAUCACUCAUUAGUCCUUCGGUACUGCAGUGAACGCUAUCUAGCUAGCUAAUUUCCCCUUGAAAUCAGUGGCCAUGGGUAGCCUUCCACUUGAAGCCAUGAUGCCACUGAACCCCGAUUCAUUCGCUGGGGAGUCCAGUGCCGUGGUCGACUUCCUCGCCGACUACUACCGCAACGUCGAUAAGUAUCCGGUCAUGGCCAACACCCAGCCAGGGACCAUCCGUAAGCUUCUUCCGGAGGCAGCCCCGGAGUUGGGCGACUCCAUGGAUCGCAUACUGGAUGAUGUGCAGCGGGAUAUCCUCCCCGGCCUCACACAUUGGCAGAGCCCUAGCUUCUUUGCCUAUUUCCCGGCGAAUGCAAGCACCGCAGGGUUCGCCGGGGAGAUGUUGUCGGCUGGUCUCAACGUCGUCCCGUUCGUCUGGACGGCGUCACCGGUGGCCACUGAGCUGGAGCAGGUCGUGGUUGACUGGAUGGCUAGCCUCCUCGGCCUACCGGAGCGCUUCCACUUCAAGGGAGGAGGAGGCGGUGUCCUGCAUGGGAGCACGUGCGAGGCGGUGGUGUGCACUCUCGCUGCCGCGCGCGACCGUGCACUCAGCAAGCUCGGACAUGAGGGCAUCCUCAAGCUUGUCGUGUAUGCCUCGGACCAGACCCACGCAACCUUCCAGAAGGGCGCGAGCAUCGUCGGCAUCCCUCCAGCAAACUUCCGCAUCCUGCGGACUUCGGCAAACUCGGGAUACGGCCUGACCGCCACCAUCGUCCAAAGAGCAAUCGAGGAAGACGUCGCCCGCGGGCUGGUUCCCCUUUACGUCUGCGCCACCGUCGGCACUACUGGUCUGGGGGCCAUUGACCGAGUGCGCGAGCUCGGCCAUGUUGCCCGGCGUUAUGGUAAUUCAUUCAACCUCCCUCUCUUAUACGCUAAUCACCCAUACGGUGACACUAAAUACGUAGAAAUGGAAUGCGCUAUGCGGUCACAGGUCACGAUUUCAUGCUCACUUAACAAUCAACAAUCAGUUCCUAUAACCAUCUGACAAGAAUACAUGUUUUACAGGAACCUGGCUGCACAUCGACGCAGCCUACGCCGGAAGCGCAGCCAUUUGCCCGGAGUUCCAAGGUCACCUCGACGGCGCCGAGCUCGCGGACUCGCUGAGCAUGAACCCACAUAAGUGGUUCCUCACCAACAUGGACUGCUGCUGCCUCUGGGUGGCGAACCCUACCACCAUGACCGACGCACUGUCCACUGACCCGGAGUACCUCAAGAAUGUCGGCACCACGUCUAAGAUGGCGGAAACGGUCGACUACAAGGACUGGCAGAUCGCGCUGUCACGCCGCUUCCGUGCCAUCAAACUCUGGGUGGUGCUACGGCGCUAUGGAGCGGCGGGAAUGCGCGCGCACAUACGGAGGCACAUCCAGAUGGCAGAGUGGUUCGAGCACGUCGUGGCGGCGGACGAGCGGUUUGAGGUCGUGGUGCCAAGGAACUUCUCCUUGGUGUGCUUCCGCCUCCGCCCGCGGUUCAUGGCGGAUAAAGCUGUGGAGGCCCUGAACUGCGACCUCCUCGCAGCGGUGAAUGCAAGCGGCCGGGCGUUCAUGACGCACUUCGUCGUGGACGACAAGUUUGUGAUCCGCCUAGCCGUGGGUGGGUCAAUGACAGAGAUGCGGCACGUCCGGGCCGCGUGGGAGCUUCUCAAGGAGAAGGCCAACGACUUGAUCGCCACCGGUUGUUAGUUAUUGCUCAUUGCUAGUGCUAUACCAUGCAUGGCCAGCAACAGAAGCUGAGCAUUCUAUUAUUGCUUCCAUUCGUAGUUAGAGCACACCAUGAAUGCAAUAGUCAAUCCAUCUGAACCAUGAACAUUCACUAUGACCAUGUAUGCGACACAAUAUACAUAAGUGCUACUGCCGAUAUUGGAUUCUAUUUCUGGAGAAGCGGCUGCUUCUACGGAGCAGGCCGAUUGAAUUUUAAGUAUGUUAUGAUACUUGUAAAAAAUCGAUGCUAGGCAUGGAUUCCUGGAAGGGGCCCGUCACAACUCACAAUGGAAGGGACCCGUCAUAACCAAGCUCGUUAAUACAAAAGAAACGUCACGCGAAACAAAUGGACGCUAAGCCACACACCUGAAGAAAUUUUACCCGAAAUUUGCAACACGUCAAGAAUGGUUAUCACUCAACCGUCUCACAUCUCUUUUGUUUAAGGAAACCAGGCUCGUUACUACAAAAUGAACACCAAGAUGAUAGAGCUCUUUUACGAUCCACAAUACUACUACUUAGUAGUAUAUAGUAUAUAUAUAAGAUCUAACUGUUCAUUAUUAUGGAUAAUUUAGUAAUUAUUACAAUGUAAAAAGUGAUAUUUCAAAUAGAAUGGUCUUUUAAAUUUUCUGCUAGUAUCAAAAAUAAAAUUAUAGUGGUGCCAUUUGUGUUUUCUUACCAUGAUACCCUUAUACUACCUAUACUACUCGUGUAUACUACCCAUACCACAGGCGUAGGUUUCAGUAGUAUCUAAUUAAUCUUGACCGUCGGAUAUGUUUAUACUAGUCAUUUUCGAACACAAGUAUAGUCUAGUGUUGUGUUCCGUAAAAGAGCUCAUAUAAUAUAUUAUAAAACUUAUUUGUGAAAGCUAAAGGCAACAACAGGGGAUAAAUUCCAGAAUAGGUAAGAACAGAAAUUUAAAAGGGCAAAAUUUGUUGAUGCAUGGAAAUGCAUAGAAUACUUAUUGGAGCGAAGGCCCUUUUAGGUCCAUGGGCUAUUUAUGCCCCUCCACUCGCCCAUUCAGAGUUGCUGGAGUGUCCAUACAUCUAUUGAAGACCAAGGCUCAUCAAGUGACCAAUGGAGAAACCACACAUCCACUGUGAUAAUUUUAGAGCAUCCAGGUGACGAUAUUCAAUGCGCUCAAAUGGUGGUAUUCAACUUAGAAAAAAUAGUAGCACCAGAAGAUCUCAGAGUCAUCGGAGCAACCAUCGAAGCAAUUGGUACAACUGAGAAGUAAGCUUGAGUUGCAGCAAGCACUAGAUGAUCCGACGGGGUCCUUUUCACAAGCGUCGGAGCAAUUCGUAAAGAAGACGGAGAAAGACCUAUAGCACAAGAUAUUCCGAUGGCUAUAAGAUGAAGGAAUCGGACCAAGCAUAUUUACUUUGAAAACGUCAAGAGAGUUUUUAGGAAAAACUCCUUCAGCACCGGAUGAUCCGACGUUACGUCGGAUGAAUUUAGGUAGAGGUCCAACGGCUAUAUACGUCAGCAGGGGGCGUGUCACACCCGAUUUUAAGGACAAAACCGAGUGCUUUCAAUACAUGUGCGCAAGGAACAAGUUACACACAUGUACGACAUAAGUGAAUAACAAAGGCAGUGCCAAAGUGAAUAAAGAGAGUAUUAAACUUUAUUACAUGACCGAAAGUCUUAAUAAAAUACAAGCCUAACUUAUUACGCAGCGGAUUCCGAAGACGACGAUGACACCACAGGUAGCUGACUGAAGAACCGUACACCUAGAACUCCUCAAACUCGUGCAGGUACUCCUCCAGAUUAUCUUGGUCUGAACAGCGAUUUUGCAAGGGUGAGUACACUUAUGGUUGGUACUCAACAAGUCGUGGGGAAUAGUGUAGUGUAAGGCCAACCAAGGUAUGGCUAAGGCGAAAUAGCAUCAGCUUUUAAUUAGCUUGGUCGAAUUUUAUUAGCAAUUAACUAAGUAUAAGUUUAUACCACCCCAAAUUAAACAUGAACAUAAAUAAAGUAAACAACAUAUGCGCGGUAUGACAACAAUUUAAGUCCAUCUUUCGUUAGUAUUAUCAUGUGAGGGUCCAGGCCGCUCUUAACCGUGAGCACGGCUGAUCGAUCAAUUUUACACUCUGCAGAGGUCGUACAUCUUUACCCAGAAGUCGCGUAAAAGUUCAAAAGAACUUUGGACCCAACCAUGCGGUGUUUGCAAGGCACCAUACCACACUUCUGAGGUGUGAUUGCAUAGGGACGCUACGAGGCCUUUACAAAGAUUCAUUAGUCAGUGGUAACCCGCUAAGGUUUCGGUGUCUGGCGUGCACAACCUAUCACAGGACAAUGAUGCAAUGACUCAGUCCCCCCUCUUGCCUCGUCACGAGUAAGGUUUCUAAUUAUUUAGCCAAGACCAGAGCCAAUUAGUCUUGUGGUAGCACUAUUUUCCUGGGUGGCUCUCCAUAUUCCGAUUAAACGUUUAUGAUCUUGUAUUAAUGAAAGGUAUAACAUAAGUAAAGCAAGAUUAAUCAUUGAGUUCAGUUAAACCAACUUAUCCCAAGUAGGAACUAAGGAUGAGCUACCAAACAUAAAAGUACACCCGGUUGGUCAAGGCAAAGGUAAAUUCAAUCUAGGCAAACCUUAAUUGGGACCCAUCAAUUUAAUCUUAACAAGGGCAUAGCAUAAUUGUUGAGUACGAGAAAGUAAAAGUGUAUAGGACUAAGAAGUAGUGAUCAAGGACACCACUUGCCUUCCUGGCCUUACUCUUGCUGUUCGUACUCCUCGAAGGCUUGAUCUUCAAAUCCCCCAAAUUGCUAAACGUCUAUACGCGUCACACGAGCACAAACAAGCAAACAAGGGCACAAAGUAAGAAAACAGUACACCAAUCACAACUAAACAGAGAAAACAAGCUUGAAAAACUAAUCUACACUUUAAAACAAACACGUGGAUAUAAAGAACGCGAAAAACGGAGUUAAGAUGCAAAAGAUAUGAUUAAAACAAGAUCCAGGGGCUUUUCUGCGAGAAAAACAAAACUUCUAGGGUCGAACUGCGAAAAACCGAGGGCUUGUACAUGAUUAUGCCUAUAAACCGAAGGUUUAACCCUCAAAAAUGCAACUUAGGAUGGCUGGUUGAUUUAGAGAAACUCAGGGUCUAAACCAAAAGAAAACAGGACCAAAACACAAUUAUUUUUGAACUAGAUUGGACUGCGGGUUGAUUUGCGGAAAAGGCGAGCGCUUCAGUGCAAAAGAGGUGCCGCGCGACGCGAUUGGGUACACGAUCCGGUUGACUCGCUGCGGGCCGUCGGAUUUGGAUCCAACAGUCUCGGUCGUAGACGACACCCAAGCGGCGGCGGACCAGGCGGUGGGCGGCGACGAGCGGCGGCGGUUCGCUGGAAUUGGCCGAUACGGCGCUCCGGGGCUCGGUUUCGCGCGCGGAAAACACCAGAAGCAUGAGAAAAGCAAGGCGAUCCCUUUUCGGCGGUUCACGGUGAUCGAGGCUCACCGGAAGGCGGUGCUUGGCGGCGGAGAGAGGGUGGCGGCACUUGCUGGGGUUUCAGGGGCGCUGUUGCGGGGUGCUCGAGGUGGGGGGAGGGCGGCUUAUAUAGGGGCGGAGUCGGGGCGCGGUCGGAGUGGAGUCCCGGCCGGAGGACGGGGAUGAUGGGUAGGUCCCACCCGUCAGACCUGCGGAAGGAGGCCGGUGCCGCUGGGCAGGCCGACGGAGUGGGCCGAGCGAGCGACAUGGGCUGGCGAAGGGAAAAAGGGAAAGCGGUAGCUUCGCGGGCUGGAGGAAAAGGCGGAGCGGGCCAGGGGAGCUAGCGGCGCUGGGCUGCAGGGAAAUAGGAUCCGGGUUGAAAGAGAAAGGAGGAGGAGAAGGAUGCAGCCCAGGAGGAGGAAGAGAAAAGAGGAAAAGAAAGAUUUUUAAAAUUGAAAUUGAAUUUGAGAUUCAAUUUUGAUUCAAACACAAGCAAUCAAAAUAAAUGCACCAGCAUGCAAUGCACAAAGAACUCCUAUGAAGGUUUAAUUUAAUUUAGAGAAAAUAAAAUUAAAUGCCUAGAAAUUUAAAUGACAUCCUAAUUGAGUAAAUUUUAGUGUAUUUAAAUUCUUUAAAAAAUUUGGGUGUUACAGGGCACCAGAUGAUCCGAUGCGUAUCUCAAGUGACCAUCGGAUCAUCCAAUGCUCACAUAUUUUACUAGCCGUUGUAGCGAAGGCUCUUUGAGGUCCAUGGGCUAUUUAUGCCCCCUCCAGUCGCCCAUUCAGAGUUGCUGGAUUGUCCAUACAUCGAUUGAAGACCAAGGCCCAUCAAGAACACAUCCAUGCCACCAAAAGUGCAAAAGCGAUAAUACAAGGCUUAGCACGAGCUAAGAGAUUGAUUAGCUCUAGGAUAGGCCUAGAGAGAGUAGUGCAAGGUGUUGCUACCUUGUGAUUGGUUCAAGGAGUGAUUCACUAUUGUAAGCAUGGGGCGCCGGCGUCUUGGGGUCUUGGUGGCUCUCAGGCAAGUCUUCGACACCCCAGCUCGGUGUGGAGCAGCGUCGACAGCCGGAUGCGGGGGACAAGAAGACUCCUUCCUUCGUGGAGCAGCUCCAUGGUGGAGAUGACGUCAAGGUGAUCGAAGGGGGGUAGUAGUGAGCCUUGCGUUUGUGGAUAGCUUGUUAUCCGGCUUGGCUAGAGCCUUUGUAGCGAGCCCAAGACCUUGACCGGGAGAGACUUGGUGAGCAGGAGCAUGUCCUUGGUGGAGCUCCAACGCAUGGACUAGGGGUGGUAUUUGGCUACCGAUACCAUGUGAUAAAUCAUCGUGCUGGGUUUGCAUCUUUCCUAACCCACUCCUUUACAUUUCCGCAGUACAUUCUCGGAACUUGAGUGCCUUUAGUUACUUUCCAGAGUAGUACCUUGUUAGGAUUGGCUCUAGGUUGCAAAACUCUUUGUGGGUGGGAAGUUUCACUAGAUCAACCAUAGAUGCACAUGUAGAUAGCAUGAUCUAGUUUAGGUUUGGAAGCAAGUAGUGGAAGUCAUAGGCCAAGGAUUUUAAGCUAGCCUAAUUCACCCCUCCCCUUCUUAGGGUACGAGCACCGAUUCCUUUCAAUUUGCUUUAGCACCAUGAAGGCAAUAGUCAUCCAUCUGCACCAUGAUCAUAGAGCAAUGCAAAACCACGAGAGAAACGAAACGGCUGCUCUUCCUUCAUUUUAUUCCAAUUAGUAUGGACGUGGAGGUUACAGGACACACCAUGCUAGCUGUAGCGCCGGCAACAGGGAAACAAACCCAAGAAAGCAAUGCGGACAUUUUAUUCUACUUUUUUAUGCAGAAUAUAUGGAGGCACCAGCCAGCCCAGCAACAACGACAAUGGCGGCUACUUGGUAUACUCGAUGGCCCAGAAGUUGGCGUAGAUGUAGGUGGACUUGACGCUGGUAAACCCGGCGCCCUUGGCGAGCUCCACAAACUCCCUCUCGUACCUCUCCUUGCCGUCGGGGCUGUACGCGAGCAGGCACACGUCGACGCCGAUCAACCCCUGCGCGCUGUUUGUGGCAUCCGGGUUCACCGGCAGGAUGCACUCGACACUGAUGAGCUUGCCGUGCGGAGGCAGCGCCUCGUAGCAGUUCUUGAGCAGCUUGGCGCAGUGGUUGUCGCCCCAGCAAUUGAGGAUCCACUUCAUGAGGAUGGCGUCGCCGGAGGGCACCUUCUCAAACAUGUCGCCUCCCACGUGCUGCACCUGCACGUCGGGGUAGGCCGGCGCCUCGGAGAUGACGUGGGGAAGGUCGAAGUUGAUCCCUUGAAUGGUCGGGUACCUGGAGGUGAUGGCAUGGAUGGUGGAGCCGAGGCCGCCGCCAACGUCGACGAGGGUGCGGACGCCGUCGAAGCCCGUGUAGAGCUCCAAGAGCUUCUUGGUGAGGAUGACGGAAUGCUGCUUCAUGGCCUCAUUGAAGACCCCGUUGAAGCGUGCGUCAGUACCGGCGUAGUCGAACCAGGAAGGCGUCCCAAACGCCCUGUUGAAUGGGCUGCCACCCUCAAGGACCGCGUCCGUCAUGUAGCUCCAGGCGUGCAUGAAGAGCUUGUCGUUGCCGAGGAGGUGGAACGGAGCCAUGGAGACACCAUCCUCGUUGGGGGUGAGCCACUUGCACACUGGCGCGGCGCUGUACUGGCGGCACAGGCUGCCAUCCUCGGCCUCCUCCACCACGCAGGACACAACUUUGUAGGACGCCAGAAGUCGCAGCAAGCGAUCCACCAUGGACGGCGCGGCGGGGUUGGCCUUGGAAGGCAGCUUCGCGGCCACCUCCUUGGGAGUGAGAGCCUUCCCGCUGGCGCCCACAAGGGUCUCGAGCAGGCCCAGCUCAAUGGCAGUUCUUAGCGUCAUCGGCAGGAUGGCCGACGACACUAGCUGCAGAGCGUGCAUGCAUGUCUCCUCGUCGGCUAUGGCCAUGUCCGCGGCGGAACCCAUCUACCUCCCGGGAUUGGAGCUCAACUAACUGAUGAAGGUGUGUGUAGCCUUGUUGUUGUGAUUGCUGGUGGCUGAAUGAUCGAUGAGGCGAAAGGGGCCGUUUAUAUAGAGCUUCGAGCUAGGCUUUGUUCACCAACCUGAAAAUCAUGCAUUCUUUGACAAGUAUGGGAUUGCUUGUAUGGUGUGACGAUGACCUGUGAGAGCUAGCAGCUAGCGUGGUAGUGAUUGUGUACCCCAUGCAAAACCUCCCUCCUAAUAAGAUCGUGAUGCACGAGGCUGAAUACAAUAUUGUUUUGUCUGCAGUCUAAUCGAUUUGGAAUCCGCAAAUAUAAUCAAUUCACGACACUGGAGAUGGUCGGCGCACGAGGAGUGGCAGUCCUUGUGCCCUUUGAGAAUCUGUUUUGCAUUAGAUCAAGGUUGAGAUGGUUUCUUUAACCCUUGAGAUUCAGCGCGAGGGUCCACGUGCGUGAUGGACAUGGCUUCGCUACUGCACAACUAUUUUUCAAGAAUCAAGAUAUUCUGCAUGGGAUGUCCUGCGUCUCUGGUGUCGGUGCAAUCUUUCUCCUGUUGAACACAUACACUAGCGUCUGAUGCCAGAGUGAGGUGGAUUGGGUGGAUCAAGGCUACGGCGUAGGACAUUAUCAUGGCUCGGGCGGCCGGAGCAAGAACACGAGCUGGCCGAUCGUAGAGGGAAGACGCAAGUGGCACUUGCAGAAUCUACGUGGCUCCCCUUGGUCAUUCUUUGUCUCACCCUAUGGGUAUCGUGGAGGCACGGCGCCAGGCUGGCGGCACGGUGUAGCCUCAAUUCAGGACUUUCCUAGCCAGGGCGUGGCCGAGGGCGAUUGGUUGCUCAACCUGAUGAGAACUUGGGUGGGUGCUCCUACAUGGGAGAGAAUAGGGUGACGGAUGAGAAUGCAGAUGAGGGACGGGGCUCAGACGAGGGGUGGGUUGGAGACAUGUUUUCACUGUUGAACUCUUAGCGUCAAGAUGAGAGGUGAGAUGAGAUACCGGUAGGACCUGCUCUUACCAUGGCACUUCAGCAACCCCACCCCAACCCCGCGCGCAAGUCAAAAUUUGAGGACCAUCUGUACAAUACGUGUGCAAACAAAACCAUAAUUUUACUAGUAUUGAGGGAUUUUAGUUAUUUCUUCUAAAAAAUCUCUUGGGAAAUCGUAUUUUUGUAGUACAACAUAUAUAGAAAAUAAGUAUUACUCACAAAUAAACUGCCCUUUUCUUUAGUAUUCUUGGUUUUUGUUAUUAUUUUAUUUAAUCUUAAGAUUUAUAUAUGCAUAAAAAAGUAAUUUAGUAUCUUCAAAUAUGGAAACGUGGUCUUAGGAAUAGGGCUCAUAUUUUAUUCUUGAGCAUGCCUAGUGGAAAAAUACUAUCUAAAAAACUGCAAAGAAAUUUCAUCAUACGGAAAUGUCUGAGAUUGUGAACGGAAGCAAUUUCAUCUGUCUGCAACCCUGCAUAGCAUGUGACAGCCCGGGCUGCGUGCCAAGAAACACCCAGAGCUCCUGACACAACCGCGUGAGCACCUUCUCCGACAUGCGCACAUGAGGACCGCAUGCACCCAUAUGCAAGGUUCACAAAUACGUGCGUGCUUAAACUAUAUGCGCACGUUACAAACGAUUGUAGAAAAAAUGCGAGUCACCAGGAAGGUAGGUAGUAGAGCAUGCCGUCAGUGUCUUUCCUGUGACCUGUGUUCGUGGUGCACAUGGCAGAAUGCACAGUCUAUACAUAGGAACCAGAAGUUGGCUUCGAAACCAAAUCACUCAUUAGUCCUUCGGUACUGCAGUGAACGCUAUCUAGCAAGCUAAUUUCCCCUUGAAAUCAGUGGCCAUGGGUAGCCUUCCACUUGAAGCCAUGAUGCCACUGAACCCCGAUUCAUUCGCUGGGGAGUCCAGUGCCGUGGUCGACUUCCUCGCCGACUACUACCGCAACGUCGAUAAGUAUCCGGUCAUGGCCAACACCCAGCCAGGGACCAUCCGUAAGCUUCUUCCGGAGGCAGCCCCGGAGUUGGGCGACUCCAUGGAUCGCAUACUGGAUGAUGUGCAGCGGGAUAUCCUCCCCGGCCUCACACAUUGGCAGAGCCCUAGCUUCUUUGCCUAUUUCCCGGCGAAUGCAAGCACCGCAGGGUUCGCCGGGGAGAUGUUGUCGGCUGGUCUCAACGUCGUCCCGUUCGUCUGGACGGCGUCACCGGUGGCCACUGAGCUGGAGCAGGUCGUGGUUGACUGGAUGGCUAGCCUCCUCGGCCUACCGGAGCGCUUCCACUUCAAGGGAGGAGGAGGCGGUGUCCUGCAUGGGAGCACGUGCGAGGCGGUGGUGUGCACUCUCGCUGCCUGCGCGCGACCGUGCACUCAGCAAGCUCGGACAUGAGGGCAUCCUCAAGCUUGUCGUGUAUGCCUCGGACCAGACCCACGCAACCUUCCAGAAGGGCGCGAGCAUCGUCGGCAUCCCUCCAGCAAACUUCCGCAUCCUGCGGACUUCGGCAAACUCGGGAUACGGCCUGACCGCCACCAUCGUCCAAAGAGCAAUCGAGGAAGACGUCGCCCGCGGGCUGGUUCCCCUUUACCUCUGCGCCACCGUCGGCACUACUGGUCUGGGGGCCAUUGACCGAGUGCGCGAGCUCGGCCAUGUUGCCCGGCGUUAUGGUAAUUCAUUCAACCUCCCUCUCUUAUACGCUAAUCACCCAUACGGUGACACUAAAUACGUAGAAAUGGAAUGCGCUAUGCGGUCACAAGUCACGAUUCAUGCUCACUUAACAAUCAACAAUCAGUUCCUAUAACCAUCUGACAAGAAUACAUGUUUUACAGGAACCUGGCUGCACAUCGACGCAGCCUACGCCGGAAGCGCAGCCUUUUGCCCGGAGUUCCAAGGUCACCUCGACGGCGCCGAGCUCGCGGACUCGCUGAGCAUGAACCCACAUAAGUGGUUCCUCACCAACAUGGACUGCUGCUGCCUCUGGGUGGCGAACCCUACCACCAUGACCGACGCACUGUCCACUGACCCGGAGUACCUCAAGAAUGUCGGCACCGCGUCUAAGAUGGCGGAAACGGUCGACUACAAGGACUGGCAGAUCGCGCUGUCACGCCGCUUCCGUGCCAUCAAACUCUGGGUGGUGCUACGGCGCUAUGGAGCGGCGGGAAUGCGCGCGCACAUACGGAGGCACAUCCAGAUGGCAGAGUGGUUCGAGCACGUCGUGGCGGCGGACGAGCGGUUUGAGGUCGUGGUGCCAAGGAACUUCUCCUUGGUGUGCUUCCGCCUCCGCCCGCGGUUCAUGGCGGAUAAAGCUGUGGAGGCCCUCAACCGCGACCUCCUCGCAGCGGUGAAUGCAAGCGGCCGGGCGUUCAUGACGCACUUCGUCGUGGACGACAAGUUUGUGAUCCGCCUAGCAGUGGGUGGGUCAAUGACAGAGAUGCGGCACGUCCGGGCCGCGUGGGAGCUUCUCAAGGAGAAGGUCAACGACUUGAUCGCCACCGGUUGUUAGUUAUUGCUCAUUGCUAGUGCUAUACCAUGCAUGGCCAGCAACAGAAGCUGAGCAUUCUAUUAUUGCUUCCAUUCGUAGUUAGAGCACACCAUGAAUGCAAUAGUCAAUCCAUCUGAACCAUGAACAUUCACUAUGACCAUGUAUGCGACACAAUAUACAUAAGUGCUAGUGCCGAUAUUGGAUUCUAUUUCUGGAGAAGCGGCUGCUUCUACGGAGCAGGCCGAUUGAAUUUUAAGUAUGUUAUGAUACUUGUAAAAAAUCGAUGCUAGGCAUGGAUUCCUGGAAGGGGCCCGUCACAACUCACAAUGGAAGGGACCCGUCAUAACCAAGCUCGUUAAUACAAAAGAAACGUCAGGCGAAACAAAUGGACGCUAAGCCACACACCUGAACAAAUUUUACCCGAAAUUUGCAACACACGUCAAGAAUGCUUAUCACUCAACCGUCUCACAUCUCUUUUGUUUAAGGAAACCAGGCUCGUUCCUACAAAAUGAACAGCUCUUUUACGAUCCACAAUACUACUACUUAGUAGUAUAUAGUAUAUAUAUAAGAUCUAACUGUUCAUUAUUAUGGAUAAUUUAGUAAUUAUUACAAUGUAAAAAGUCAUAUUUCAAAUAGAAUGGUCUUUUAAACUUUCUGCUAGUAUCAAAAAUAAAAUUAUAGUGGUGCCAUUUGUGUUUUCAUACCAUGAUACCCUUAUACUACCUAUACUACUCAUGUAUACUACCCAUACCACAGGUGUAGGUUUCAGUAGUAUGUAAUUAAUCUUGAGCGUCGGAUAUGUUUAUACUAGUCAUUUUCGAACACAAGUAUAGUCUAGUGUUGUGUUUCGUAAAAGAGCUCAUAUAAUAUGUUAUAAAACUUAUUUGUGAAAGCUAAAGGCAGCAACUGGGGAUAAAUUCCAGAAUAGGUAAGAACAGAAAUUGAAAAGGGCAAAAUUUGUUGAUGCAUGGAAAUGCAUAGAAUACUUAUUGGAGCCAAGGCUCUUUUAGGUCCAUGGGCUAUUUAUGCCCUCUCCACUCGCCCAUUCAGAGUUGCUGGAGUGUCCAUACAUCUAUUGAACACCAAAGCUCAUCAAGUGACGAAUGGAGAAACCACACAUCCACUGUGAUAAUUUUAGAGCAUCCAGGUGACGAUAUUCAAUGCGCUCAAAUGGUGGUAUUCAACUUAGAAAAAAUAGUAGCACCAGAAGAUCUGAGAGUCAUCGGAGCAACCAUCGGAGCAAUUGGUACAACUGAGAAGUCAACUUGAGUUGCAGCAAGCACCAAAUGAUCCGACGGGGUUGUUUUCACAAGCGUCGGAGCAAUUCGCAAACAAGACGUAGAAAGACCUAUAGCACCAGAUAUUCUGAUGACUAGAAGAUGAAGGCAUUGGACCAAGAAUAUUUACUUUGAAAACAUCAAGAGAGUUUUUAGGAAAAACUCCUUCAGCACCGGAUGAUCCGACUAUACGUCGGAUGAAUUUAGGCAGAGGUGCAACGGCUAUAUGCGUCAGCAGGGGGCAUGUCACACCCGAUUUUAAGGAUAAAACCGAGUGCUUUCAAUACAUGUGCGCCAAGAACAAGUUACACACAUGUACGACAUAAGUGAAUAACAAAGGCAGUGCCAAAGCGAAUAAAGAGAGUAUUAAACUUUAUUACAUGACCGAAAGUCUCAAUAAAACACAAGCCUAACUUAUUACGCAGCGGACUCUGAAGAUGACGAUGACACCACAGGCAGCUGACUGAAGAACCGUACGCCUAGAACUCCUCAAAGUCGUGCAGGUACUCCUCCAGAUUAUCUUGGUCUGAACAACGGUUUUGCAAGGGUGAGUAAAAUUAUGGUUGGUACUCAACAAGUCGUGGGGAAUAGUGUAGUGUAACGCCAACCAAGGUAUGGCUAAGGCUAAACAACAUAAGCUUUUAAUUAGGUUGGUCAAAUUUUAUUAGCAAUUAACUAAGUAUAAGUUUAUACCACCCCAAAUUAAACAUGAACAUAAAUAAAGUAAACAACAUAUGUGCGGUAUGACAACAAUUUAAGUCCAUCUUUCGUUAGUAUUAUCAUGUGAGGGUCCAGGCCACUCUUAAUCGUGAGCACGGUUGAUCGAUCAGUUUUACACUCUGCAGAGGUCGCACAUCUUUACCCACAAGUCACGUAAAAGUUCAAAAGAACUUUGGACCCAACCAUGCGGUGUUUGCAAGGCACCAUACCACACUUCCAAGGUGUGAUUGCAUAGGGACGCUACGAGGCCUUUACAAAGAUUCAUUAGUCAGUGGUAACCCGCUAAGGUUUCGGUGUCUGGCGUGCACAACCUAUCACAGGACAAUGAUGGAACGACUCAGUCCCCCCUCUUGCCUAAUCACGAGUAAGAUUACUCCAGACUAAGGUUUCUAAUUAUUUAGCCAAGACCAGAGCCAAUUAGUCUUGUGGUAGCACUAUUUUCCUGGGUGGCUGUCCAUGUUCCGAUUAAACGUUUGUGAUCUUGUAUUAAUGAAAGGUAUAACAGAAGUAAAGCAAGAUUAAUCAUUGAGUUCAGUUAAACCAACUUAUCCUAAGUAGGAACUAAGCAUGAGCUACCCAACAUAAAAGUAAACCCAGUUGGUCAAGGCAAAGGUAAAUUCAAUCUAGGCAAACCUUAAUUGGGACCCAUCAAUUUAAUCUUAACAAGGGCAUAGCAUAAUUGUUGAGUAUGAGAAAGUAAAAGUGUAUAGGACUGAGAAGUAGUGAUCAAGGACACGACUUGCCUUCUUGGCCUUGCUCUUGCUGUUCGUACUCGUCGAAGGCUUGAUCUUCAAAUCCCCCGAAUUGCUGAACGUCUAUACACAUCACACGAGCACAUACAAGCAAACAAGGGCACAAAGUAAGAAAACAGUACACCAAUCACAACUAAACAGAUAAAACAAGCUUGAAAAAUUAAUCUACGCUUUAAACAAACACGUGGAUUUAAAGAACGUGAAAAACGGAGUUAAGAUGCAACAGAUAUGAUUAAAACAAGAUAAGAGGGCUUUUCUGUGAGAAAAACAAAACUUCUAGGGUCGAACUGCGGAAAACCGAGGGCUUAUACGUGAUUAUGCCUAGAAACCGAAGGUUUAACACGCAAAAACACAACUUGGGAUGGCGGGUUGAUUUUACAGAAACUCAGGGUCUAAACCGAAAGAAAACAGGACCAAAACAAAAUUAUUUUUCAACUAGAUUGGACUGCGGGUUGAUUUAUGGAAAAGGCCAGGGCUUAAGUGCCAACAAGGUGCAGCGCGACGCGAUUUACCGUUAUGCGAUCCGGUUGACUCGCUGCGGGCCGUCGGAUUUGGAUCUGACAGUCUCGGUCGUCGGCAACACCGAAGCGGCGGCGCACCAGUCAGCGGGCGGCUAUGAGCAGCGGCGGUUCGUCGGAAUUAGCCGAUACGGCGCUCCGGGGCUCGGUUUCGCGCGCGGAAAACACAGGAAGCAUGAGAAAAGAAAGGUGAUCCCGUUUUGGUGGUUCACGAUGAGCAAGGCUCACCGGAAGGCGGCGGCGGAGAGAGGGUGGCGGCGCUGGAGCUCUGGUGGCAGCGCUUGGUAGGGUUUCGGGGGCGCUAUUGCGGCGUGCUCGAGGUCGCAGGGGGGGGGAGGGGGCAGCGGGGCGGCGGCUUAUAUAGGAGCGGAGUCCGCUGGCGGUCGGAGUGGAGUCCUAGCCGGAUACGGCCGGAGGACGGGGAUGAGGGAUAGGUCCCAGCUGUUAGACAUCUUUACCCACAACUCGCGUAAAAGUUCAAAAGAACUUUGGACCCAACCAUGCGGUGUUUGCAAGGCACCAUACCACACUUCCGAGGUGUGAUUGCAUAGGGAUGCUACGAGGCCUUUACAAAGAUUCAUUAGUCAGUGGUAACCCGCUAAGGUUUGGUGUCUGGCAUGCACAACCUAUCACAGGACAAUGAUACAACGACUCAGUCCUCCCUCUUGCCUCAUCACGAGUAAGGUUUCUAAUUAUUUAGCCAAGACCAGAGCCAAUUAGUCUUGUGGUAGCACUGUUUUCCUGGGUGGCUCUCCAUGUUCCGAUUAAACGUUUGUGAUCUUGUACUAAUGAAAGGUAUAACAGAAGUAAAGCAAGAUUAAUCAUUGAGUUCAGUUAAACCAACUUAUCCCAAGUAGGAACUAAGGAUGAUCUACCAAACAUAAAAGUACACCCGGUUAGUCAAGGCAUAGGUAAAUUCAAUCUAGGCAAACCUUAAUUGGGACCCAUCAAUUUAAUCUUAACAAGGGCAUAGCAUAAUUGUUGAGUACGAGAAAGUAAAAGUGUAUAGGACUGAGAAGUAGGGAUCAAGGACACAACUUGCUUUCUUGGCCUUGCUCUUGCUGUUCAUACUGCUCGAAGGCUUGAUCUUCAAAUCCCCCAAAUUGCUGAACGUCUAUACGCAUCACACGAGCACAUACCGAGGGCUUGUACAUGAUUAUGCCUAUAAACCGAAGGUUUAACACGGAAAAAUGCAACUUAGGAUGGCGGGUUGAAUUAGAGAAACUCAGGGUCUAAACCGAAAGAAAGCAGGACCAAAACACAAUUAUUUUUGAACUAGAUUGGACUGCAGGUUGAUUUGCGGAAAAGGCGAGCGCUUCAGUGCAAAAGAGGCGCGGCGCGACACGAUUGAGUACGCGAUCCGGUUGACUCGCUGUGGGCUGUCGGAUUUGGAUCCGACGGUCUCGGUCGUCGAUGACACCUAAGCGGCAGCGGACCAGGCGGCGGGCGGCGACGAGCGGCGGCGGUUUGCUGGAAUUAGCCGAUACGGCGCUCCGGGGCUCGAUUUCGCGCGCGGAAAACACCGGAAGCAUGAGAGAAGCAAGGCGAUCCCUUUUCGGCGGUUCACGGUGAUCGAGGCUCACUGGAAGGUGGUGCUUGGCGGCGGAGAGAGGGUGGCGGCACUUGCUGGGGUUUCGGGAGCGCUGUUGCGGGGUGCUUGAGGGGGGGGGGGGGGCGGCGGCUUAUACAGGGGCGGAGUCCGGGCGCGGUCGGAGUGGAGUCCCGGCCGGAGCACGGGGAUGACGGGUAGGUCCCACUCGUCAGACCUGCGGAAGGAGGCCGCUGCCGCUGGGCAGGCCGACGGAGUGGGCCGAGCGAGCGACAUGGGCUGGCAAGGGAAAAAGGGAAAGCGGCAGCUUCGCGGGCCGAAGGAAAAGGCGGAGCGGGCCGGGGGAGGUAGCGGCGCUGUGCUGCAGGGAAAUAGGAUCCGGGCUGAAAGAGAAAGGAGGAGGAGAAGGAUGCAGCCCAGGAGGACGAAGAGAAAAGAGGAAAAGAAAGAUUUUUGAAAUUGAAAUUGAAAUUGAGAUUCAAUUUUCAUUCAAACACAAGCAAUCAAAAUAAAUGCACCAGCAUGCAAUGCACAAAGAACUCCUAUGAUGGUUUAAUUUAAUUUAGAGAAAAUAAAAUUAAAUGCCUAGAAAUUUAAAUGACAUCCUAAUUGAGCAAAUUUUAGUGUAUUUAAAUUCUUUAAAAAAUUUGGGUGUUACAGGGCACCAGAUGAUCCGACGCCUAUCUCAAGUGACCAUCGGAUCAUCCAAUGCUUACAUAUUUUACUAGCCGUUGUAGCGAAGGCUCUUUGAGAUCCAUGGGCUAUUUAUGCCCUCUCCACUCGCCCAUUCAGAGGUGCUGGAUUGUCCAUACAUCGAUUGAAGACCAAGGCCCAUCAAGAACACAUCCAUGCCACCAAAAGUGCAAAAGCGAUAAUCCAAGGCUUAGCACGAGCUAAGAGAUUGAUUAGCUCUAGGAUAGGCCUAGAGAGAGUAGUGCCAGGUGUUGCUACCUUGUGAUUGGUUCAAGGAGUGAUCCACUAUUGUAAGCUUGGGGCGCCGGCACCUUGGGGUCUUGGUGGCUCUCCGGCAAGUCUUCGACACCCCAGCUCAGUGUGGAGCAGCGUCGACAGCCGGAUGCGGGGGACAAGAAGACUCCUUCCUUCGUGGAGCAGCUCCAUGGUGAAGACGACGUCAAGGUGACCGAAGGGGGGUAGUAGUGAGCAUUGCAUUUGUGGAUAGCUUGUCAUCCGGCUUGGCUAGAGCCUUUGUAGCGAGCCCAAGACCUUGACCGGGAGAGACUUGGUGAGUAGGAGCUUGUCCUUGGUGGAGCUCCAACGCAUGGACUAGGGGUGGCAUUUGGCUACCGAUACCAUGUGAUAAAUCAUCGUGCUAGGUUUGCAUCUUUUCUAACCCACUCCUUUACAUUUCCGCACUACAUUCUCGCAACUUGAGUGCCUUUAAUUACUUUCCAGAGUAGUACCUUGUUAGGAUUGGCUCUAGGUUGCAAAACUCUUUGUGGGUGGGAAGUUUCACUAGAUCAACCAUAGAUGCACAUGUAGAUAGCAUGAUCUAGUUUAGGUUUGGAAGCAAGUAGUGGAAGUCAUAGGCCAAGGAUUUUAAGCUAGCCUAAUUCACCCCUCCCCUUCUUAUGGUACGAGCAUCGAUUCCUUUCAAUUUGCUUUAGCACCAUGAAGGCAAUAGUCAUCCAUCUGCACCAUGAUCAUAGAGCAAUGCAAAACCACGAGAGAAACGAAACGGCUGCUCUUCCUUCAUUUUAUUCCAAUUAAUAUGGACGUGGAGGUUACAGGACACACCAUGCUAGCUGUGGCGCCGGCAACAGGGAAACAAAUCCAAGAAAGCAAUGCGGACAUUUUAUUCUACUUUUUUAUGCAGAAUAUAUGGAGGCACCAGCCAGCCCAGCAACAACGACAAUGGCGGCUACUUGGUAUACUCGAUGGCCCAGAAGUUGGCGUAGAUGUAGGUGGACUUGACGCUGGUAAACCCGGCGCCCUUGGCGAGCUCCACAAACUCCCUCUCGUACCUCUCCUUGCCGUCGGGGCUGUACGCGAGCAGGCACACGUCGACGCCGAUCAACCCCUGCGCGCUGUUUGUGGCAUCCGGGUUCACCGGCAGGAUGCACUCGACACUGAUGAGCUUGCCGUGCGGAGGCAGCGCCUCGUAGCAGUUCUUGAGCAGCUUGGCGCAGUGGUUGUCGCCCCAGCAAUUGAGGAUCCACUUCAUGAGGAUGGCGUCGCCGGAGGGCACCUUCUCAAACAUGUCGCCUCCCACGUGCUGCACCUGCACGUCGGGGUAGGCCGGCGCCUCGGAGAUGACGUGGGGAAGGUCGAAGUUGAUCCCUUGAAUGGUCGGGUACCUGGAGGUGAUGGCAUGGAUGGUGGAGCCGAGGCCGCCGCCAACGUCGACGAGGGUGCGGACGCCGUCGAAGCCCGUGUAGAGCUCCAAGAGCUUCUUGGUGAGGAUGACGGAAUGCUGCUUCAUGGCCUCAUUGAAGACCCCGUUGAAGCGUGCGUCAGUACCGGCGUAGUCGAACCAGGAAGGCGUCCCAAACGCCCUGUUGAAUGGGCUGCCACCCUCAAGGACCGCGUCCGUCAUGUAGCUCCAGGCGUGCAUGAAGAGCUUGUCGUUGGCGAGGAGGUGGAACGGAGCCAUGGAGACACCAUCCUCGUUGGGGGUGAGCCACUUGCACACUGGCGCGGCGCUGUACUGGCGGCACAGGCUGCCAUCCUCGCCCUCGUCCACCACGCAGGACACAACUUUGUAGGACGCCAGAAGUCGCAGCAAGCGAUCCACCAUGGACGGCGCGGCGGGGUUGGCCUUGGAAGGCAGCUUCGCGGCCACCUCCUUGGGAGUGAGAGCCUUCCCGCUGGCGCCCACAAGGGUCUCGAGCAGGCCCAGCUCAAUGGCAGUUCUUAGCGUCAUCGGCAGGAUGGCCGACGACACUAGCUGCAGAGCGUGCAUGCAUGUCUCCUCGUCGGCUAUGGCCAUGUCCGCGGCGGAACCCAUCUACCUCCCGGGAUUGGAGCUCAACUAACUGAUGAAGGUGUGUGUAGCUUGUUGUUGUGAUUGCUGGUGGCUGAAUGAUCGAUGAGGCGAAAGGGGCCGUUUAUAUAGAGCUUCGAGCUAGGCUUUGUUCACCAACCUGAAAAUCAUGCAUUCUUUGACAAGUAUGGGAUUGCUUGUAUGGUGUGAGAGCUAGCAGCUAGCGUGGCAGUGAUUGUUUAUUAUAUUUCUUAUUACCCCAUGCAAAACCUCCCUCCUAAUAAGAUCGUGAUGCACGAGGCUGAAUACUAUAUUGUUUUGUCUGCAGUCUAAUCGAUUUGGAAUCUGCAAAUAUGAUCAAUUCACGACAUUGGAGAUGGUCGGCGCACGAAAUGCCACCGGGACACAACGAGGAGUGGCAGUCCAAUUGAAACUUUCAGAGAAGCACCUUGUGCCCUUUGAGAAUCUGUUUUGCAUUAGAUCAAGGUUGAGAUGGUUUCACGUGCGUGAUGGACAUGGCUUCGCUACUGCACAACUGUUUUUCAAGAAUCAAGAUAUUCUGCAUGGGAUGUCCUGCGUCUCUGGUGUCGGUGCAAUCUUUCUCCUGUUGAACACGUACACUAGCGUCUGAUGCCAGAGUGAGGUGGAUCGGGUGGAUCAAGGCUACGGCGUAGCACAUUAUCAAGGCUCGGGCGGCCAGAGCAAGAACACGAGCUGGCCGACCGUAGAGGGAAGACGCAACCGGCACUCGCAGAAUCUACGUGGCUCCCCUUGGUCGUUCUUUGUCUCACCCUAUGGGUAUCGUGGAGGCACGGCGCCAGGCUGGCGGCACGGUGUAGCCUCAAUUCAGAACUUUCCUAGCCAGGGCGUGGCCGAGGGCGAUUGGUUGCUCAACCUGAUGAGAACUUGGGUGGGUGCUCCUGCAUGGGAGAGAAUAGGGUGACGGAUGAGAAUGCAGAUGAGGGACGGGGCUCAGACGAGGGGUGGGUUGGAGACAUGUUUUCACUGUUGAACUCUUAGCGUCAAGAUGAGAGGUGAGAUGAGAUACCGGUAGGACCUGCUCUUACCAUGGCACUUCAGCAACCCCACCCCAACCCCGCGCGCAAGUCAAAAUUUGAGGACCAUCUACAAUACGUGCAAACAAACCAUAAUUUUACUAGUAUUGAGGGAUUUUAGUUAUUUCUUCUAAAAAAUCUCUUGGGAAUCGAAAUCGUAUUUUUGUAGUACAACAUAUAUAGAAAAUAAGUAUUGUUCACAAAUAAACUGCCCUAUACUUGGUUUUUGUUAUUAUUUUAUUUAAUCUUAAGAUUUAUAUCUGCAUAAAAAAGUAAUUUAGUAUCUUCAAAUAUGGAAACGUGGUCUUAGGAAUAGGGCUCAUAUUUUAUUCUUGAGCAUGCCUAGUGGAAAAAUAAUAUCUAAAAAACUGCAAAGAAAUUUAAUACCUAAGCCUUCGAUCCGCUCUACUUUUUGUAUACUAGUUUACCUGCAAUCCACUGGCUUGCACAUUAUAUUUCAUCAUACGAAAAUGUCUGAGAUUGUGAACGGAAGCAAUUUCAUCUGUCUGCAACCCUGCAUAGCAUGUGACACCCAGAGCUCCUGACACAAGCGCGUGAGCACCUUCUCCGACAUGCGCACAUGAUGACCGCAUGCACCCAUAUUAUACAUAGUUUAUUAUAUUUUUGGCUGGGAUAUGAUAAUCAUUAAUUAUUACUUGUAAAGAUUGGAAACGUUACAAACGAUUGUAGAAAAAAUGCGAGUCACCAGGAAGGUAGGUAGUAGAGCAUGCCGUCAGUGUCUUUCCUGUGACCUGUGUUCGUGGUGCACAUGGCAGAAUGCACAGUCUAUACAUAGGAACCAGAAGUUGGCUUCGAAACCAAUCACUCAUUAGUCCUUCAGUACUGCAGUGAACGCUAUCUAGCUAGCUAAUUUCCCCUUGAAAUCAGUUUUCUUGCGUGGCCAUGGGUAGCCUUCCACUUGAAGCUUGGACAUGAGGCGGUGGUGUGCACUCUCGCUGCCGCGCGCGACCGUGCACUCAGCAAGCUCGGACAUGAGGGCAUCCUCAAGCUUGUCGUGUAUGCCUCGGACCAGACCCACGCAACCUUCCAGAAGGGCGCGAGCAUCGUCGGCAUCCCUCCAGCAAACUUCCGCAUCCUGCGGACUUCGGCAAACUCGGGAUACGGCCUGACCGCCACCAUCGUCCAAAGAGCAAUCGAGGAAGACGUCGCCCGCGGGCUGGUUCCCCUUUACCUCUGCGCCACCGUCGGCACUACUGGUCUGGGGGCCAUUGACCGAGUGCGCGAGCUCGGCCAUGUUGCCCGACGUUAUGGUAAUUCAUUCAACCUCCCUCUCUUAUACGGUGACACUAAAUACGUAGAAAUGGAAUGCGCUAUGCGGUCACAGGUCACGAUUUCAUGCUCACUUAACAAUCAACAAUCAGUUCCUAUAACCAUCUGACAAGAAUACAUGUUUUACAGGAACCUGGCUGCACAUCGACGCAGCCUACGCCGGAAGCGCAGCCAUUUGCCCGGAGUUCCAAGGUCACCUCGACGGCGCCGAGCUCGCGGACUCGCUGAGCAUGAACCCACAUAAGUGGUUCCUCACCAACAUGGACUGCUGCUGCCUCUGGGUGGCGAACCCUACCACCAUGACCGACGCACUGUCCACUGACCCGGAGUACCUCAAGAAUGUCGGCACCGCGUCUAAGAUGGCGGAAACGGUCGACUACAAGGACUGGCAGAUCGCGCUGUCACGCCGCUUCCGUGCCAUCAAACUCUGGGUGGUGCUACGGCGCUAUGGAGCGGCGGGAAUGCGCGCGCACAUACGGAGGCACAUCCAGAUGGCAGAGUGGUUCGAGCACGUCGUGGCGGCGGACGAGCGGUUUGAGGUCGUGGUGCCAAGGAACUUCUCCUUGGUGUGCUUCCGCCUCCGCCCGCGGUUCAUGGCGGAUAAAGCUGUGGAGGCCCUGAACCGCGACCUCCUCGCAGCGGUGAAUGCAAGCAGCCGGGCGUUCAUGACGCACUUCGUCGUGGACGACAAGUUUGUGAUCCGCCUAGCCGUGGGUGGGUCAAUGACAGAGAUGCGGCACGUCCGGGCCGCGUGGGAGCUUCUCAAGGAGAAGGCCAACGACUUGAUCGCCACCGGUUGUUAGUUAUUGCUCAUUGCUAGUGCUAUACCAUGCAUGGCCAGCAACAGAAGCUGAGCAUUCUAUUAUUGCUUCCAUUCGUAGUUAGAGCACACCAUGAAUGCAAUAGUCAAUCCAUCUGAACCAUGAACAUUCACUAUGACCAUGUAUGCGACACAAUAUACAUAACUGCUACUGCCGAUAUUGGAUUCUAUUUCUGGAGAAGCGGCUGCUUCUACGGAGCAGGCCGAUUGAAUUUUAAGUAUGUUAUGAUACUUGUAAAAAAUCGAUGCUAGGCAUGGAUUCCUGGAAGGGGCCCGUCACAACUCACAAUGGAAGGGACCCGUCAUAACCAACCUCGUUAAUACAAAAGAAACAUCAGGCGAAACAAAUGGACGCUAAGCCACACACCUGAACAAAUUUUACCUGAAAUUUGCAACACGUCAAGAAUGCUUAUCACUCAACCGUCUCACAUCUCUUUUGUUUAAGGAAACCAGGCUCGUUACUACAAAAUGAACACCCCGCCCCAUAACACACCCCGAGCGGCGCCAGCGGGGAUCCUUUUCUUUGAACCGAUUCUAACCUCAUCACUUGCCCCCUCCUUACGAAGUUAGCGAGUAACCGAUGUCGACUAUCAUGAAGGUGUCCAUUUUGUUGUUUUGCAGGAAAGGACUCGUUAAGUUAAGCCCCCCCGGAGCUCCCAGCAUUUUUGGCUUCGUGAAGACUACAUAACCGAAAGGCGAAGUCAACUGGCUCCGACUAAAGAGGGUGGGAUGUCAACUGAAGGCUGCCCGGCCUUAACGAAGCCUACAAAUGAAAAAGAAGACAGUCAAGGUGGCCCCGAAACCGCUUUACAGCAGGAUGGCUCCGCAAUAGGAAUCUAGUAUAAGGCUGUAUAUGUAAUUUUACCAUGACAGCGACGUCUCGAAUGAGAACCAAGUUACUGUCUUGUACGGAAUAUUCUUGGGAUGUAGUGGUUGCGUAUCGGUAUAACGGGGAUGCGGAAAUGUAACUUUAUAGCUCUAUAAAGGGAGGCGAACCGUCCUCCCUAAGGACACGAAUCUUUGUUAGGAUAGCCACUGUAAUGUCUGUAUGAACCACUGUUAUCUUCGUUCACUGUAUUCUCAUCAUUGUCUGGGAAUCCCCCAACAUUUGGUGCCCACCGUGGUUUAACUCGUUAAACAGCCCACGAUGCCACCACAACGCAAAAAGAGACCUGCAACUCAGAGGGAAGACAACACAGAAGAAGCCAACCAGCUCACGGCCCCCGAAGCCACACAUCAAAUCCUCCCCGACAAGGCGGAGCGUCUUGCAAGAGUCGAGAAAGCCCUAAGGGCCAAGGCAAUGAGCAACCAGCCCGCAAACGAAGUCAACCACCAAAGCCACCAACCUGUGGCAAAUGAAGUUGCCAACUGUGUUGAUGCUCACCAGUCUGCAACACCCGAAGCUACUGGCCCAUCUAGCCUGAACAAUGAACUAGACUCAGUUCUCCAAAAGAUAGAAGAGGUCAAAAGAAAGAAGGAACAGUUGGCACGACAAGUGCAACACCAGAAAGAGGCUGCGGCCAGGCUAUCAAAGUUGAACGAGGCUAGGCGGCAACUAGAAGCACUACAGGAAGAAGUCGCAGAGCUCGAAAGCCCCCUCGAGAAUGCAAACCAGGCCGCAACUUAUUUUUAUCAAAGUCCCACUGUCGAUCAAGCACAGCUUCAACCCAGCAUCAACUUCGGCCAAGGCAUCCAGCACCACUCACCAGGGGUGUCCCUUGUUGUCGACCCAACUUCACCGCUCUCAAUAGGGCUACAAACUGCACCAUGGCCGACGACCUACAAACCAACCACCUUGCCCAAAUUCAACGGGCGCACCGACCCGCGGCAAUUCUUAAUGAGUUAUGAAGCUGCAGUAGCUUCGGCCGGAGGGGAUGAUGUCGUCCUCACCAAAUCCUUCAUAAUUGCCUGCGAGGGCGCAACGCUAAAUUGGUAUUCGCUGCUCCCUCCACACAUGGUGAUCAACUGGCACGACCUCAAGAUGAAGGUCACUCAAAAUUUCUAGGGUUUCCACCACCCUCACACGGCCUAGGCAGACCUCUUUCAGUGCAAGCAAAAGCACAAGGAACCGCUUGCAGAGUAUGUAAGAAGAUACGUUCAACUUUGUUCUCAAGCACCGCAAAUUGAGGAGUCUGUAGCAAUAUCCACUUGCAUCGUGGGCCUAACCCCCAGCCCAACAGCCUCAAAAUUGUUAAGGAAGGAGCCUAAAACCAUGACUGCCCUCUUCAGCAAACUCGAUGAAUACAUCAGGUCCGAUGAGGACCACCGCCGAAGAGUGGCGGAACGUAACAAAGAGAGACAAAAAAACCAAAACCGAAGCUGGCAACCUUCGCCUUACAACAAGCCUCAAAACCCAAAUCAAAACCAAAACCGCAUCAUGAACAUCGAGGGAAGCCAAAACCAAAACCAGAGCCAAAGCCAAAACAACAGCACCCAAAGAGGGGGCCACUCUGGCAAAGGACGAGGUCGAGGCAAACAACCAAAGUCGUUUUACUGUGUCAACCAUGGCCAUCAGAAUCAUCACAACACAGAGUGGUGCCCCAAAAAGAAGCAGGAAGAGAGAAAAGCUGCAUAAGAAGCUGCAAGGACAGCCGCGCAGACACCCAAAACAAUCCACCACACAGCCUUUUACCCACACCCAACCUUCUACCACAAUCAACCCAGCUUCGCCAACUUCCCGCAACCAAUAAAUUGGCCUCUUCCACCGCACAUACAACCCUACCACCAAACAAUUCCACAGCACCCCAAUCCCAACCCGCCUCAGAAGCCCCAAGAAACUCUACCUCCACCCCCAAGCAUGCCAGCUAUAAUACCCAAGCCAGAACCCAACACGCAAAACAGCAACCAAAAUUCCUUACCCUCCUUCGGGAUGAUAAUGCCAAUCACCGGGGGCUCCUCGCUAGAGUUUGAAAGCAAGAGAUAGAAACAGAACUACUUCAGAGAGGUCAAUGUGAUCAUUCCCGACUGGACCUCCAGCAAAGCCAGAAUGGGCACACAUGCCCAUAACCUUCACCGAAGAGGAUUUCAACCUCAAGACAACCUCGCACAACGAUGCGAUGGUCAUCAAAGCACUGAUAGCAGGCUGGACAGUGGGGAAAGUCCUGGUAGACACAGGCAGCUCCGUGGACAUUCUCUUCGCAAAUGCAUUCAGAGAAAUGAAUAUUGACAUGAACACGCUCGACCCAAGGGAUGUCCCGCUCCUUGGCUUCGGCGGAAAGCCCGUGAAGGCCUUGGGAAAAAUCGCCCUCCUAGUCUCGUUCCGAGACCGAGAUAAUGCGAGGACAGAACACAUCACCUUCGACGUAGUGGAAAUGCAUUAUCCCUACAAUGCAAUACUCAGCCGUGGCUUCAUCACCAAAAUGGACACAACAAUCAGGUAGUUGUACCUAUGCAUGAAAAUACCCGCCCUCAAAGGGGUCAUAACGGUGUACGGUGAUCAGCAAAUGGCAAGGAACAUAGAAAAAGGGGUAGCCCCGGGCCAAAAGAAUGUCCACCAUCUAGCCUCGUCAAACGAAGCCGAAAACAUAGCAAAGCAAAAGGCCCACGACGAGCCUAAGAGAGCUAAACAAAAGGUAAAAAUCAGUGCGGAUGGCAAAACAAAGCGGGUACCUCAAAACAUAGCUAAGCCACACACCUGAACAAAUUUUCCCCGAAAUUUGCAACACGUCAAGAGUGCUUAUCACUCAACCGUCUCACAUCUCUUUUGUUUAAGGAAACUAGGCUCGUUACUACAAAAUGAACACCAAGAUGAUAGAGCUCUUUUACGAUACACAAUACUACUACUUAGUAGUAUAUAGUAUAUAUAUAUAAGAUCUAACUGUUCAUUAUUAUGGAUAAUUUAGUAAUUAUUACAAUGUAAAAAGUGAUAUUUCAAAUAGAAUGGUCUUUUAAACUUUCUGCUAGUAUCAAAAAUAAAAUUAUAGUGGUGCCAUUUGUGUUUGCUUACCAUGAUACCCUUAUACUACCUAUACUACUCAUGUAUACUACUCAUACCAUAGGCGUAGGUUUCAGUAGUAUGUAAUUAAUCUUGACCGUCGGAUAUGUUUAUACUAGUCAUUUUCGAACACAAGUAUAGUCUAGUGUUGUGUUCCGUAAAAGAGCUCAUAUAAUAUGUUAUAAAACUUAUUUGUGAAAGCUAAAGGCAACAACAGGGGAUAAAUUUCAGAAUAGGUAAGAACAGAAAUUUAAAAGGGCAAAAUUUGUUGAUGCAUGGAAAUGCAUAGAAUGCUUAUUACUCAAUCGACUCACAUCUCUUUUUCCUAGGAAACACAAUAAUUGUUGGAAACAAAGCACUUAUUGUUGGAAACAAAGCACUUAUUGUUGUUCAUAGCAGCUGAGAUUGACUUACAUAUAUUUAUUUGCAAACAGGUGUGAAAUGUGAUACAAUAAUUCAGAAAGCUAGACAUCCUGAGCCAUGCGAGGGAUAAGAAGAAGCUUCUCCUUACGGUGCACAUCCAUCCCAUACGACUCUGACAUAUCGACGCCUGUCGACCGCGGCAGAAGCUCCCAGUUGAAGUGGUAGAUGAGGUUGGCAAGAAUGAUUUCGAAAGUGGCGGUGGUGAAGUUUAUACCCGGGCACAUCCUUCGCCCAGACCCAAACGGCAAGAAACGGAAGUCGUUCCCCUGGAAGUCAGAAGCAGCAUCCACGGCUUCUUCCAUGAACCGCUCGGGCAUGAACUCCUCUGCACUCUCCCAGUAGGUGGAGUCCCUGCCUAGAGCCCACGCGUUGACGAUUACACGUGUCCCAGAGGGUAUGGUAUAUCCCUCCACCUCCCAUUCGGCCAUGGACAAGUGGGGUAUCAAAAGAGGCCCCGGCGCGUGUAGCCGCAUUGACUCUUUCAUCACCGCCGUCAGGUAGCUCAUGCCGCUCAGGUCUUGUUCAGUGACCAGUUCCUUCCCCCUGGUUGCGCACCCCCGCACCUCAGCUUGAAGCUUGGUCAUCACCUUGGGAUUCCGCAUCAGCUCAGCCAUGGCGUAGUCUAGUGCUAUGUAGGUUGUGUCCGUCCCAGCUUCAAACAUGUCCUACAUGAACAUAUCGGUAAGUAGAACUCCAAAUCAAAUUUAACCAAGCUAGUCCAUGAAACGUCUCAUAUGUACCUCUCGUGAAAAAUAAACAUACCAUCAGUAUUGCCUUGACGUUGUCUCUGGUCAGGCCGUACUCUUGUUGAACGGAGAGCAGCACAUCGAUGAAGUCCUCCUCGUCCUCACCAUCGACCGGCUUGGUCUUGUGCUUGUCGAUGAGGCUGUCCAAAAGGUCAUCCCAUAUCUUCCUGUGCUUCACGGCCUUGGCCGAUACCAAGUCCAACCUCGCCAAGCUCGGGAAAUAGUCGUCCAGGUUAAAUCCCCCCAGGAGCUUGGCGUUCGUCUCUAACAGCUCCCGGAACAGCUGGUUCCGACCUUGUUCCCUGGGGAGCCUGCCCGUCACGGCCUGGCACACGAUGUCGUUGGCGAAGAAGCUGAAGAGCUUGCUGACGUCGACCGCGAUGCCCAUGGCGGCGGCGGCCGUCACCUUGGCUAAAACCAGCUGGACCUCCUGCUCGCGGGCGGCGCGGUUGGACCGGACCUUCGCUGCGGUAAGGAGGUGGGUGGUGAUCACCUUCCUGGCCUGGCGCCAGUACUCACCGUAGGGGGCGAAGCCGACGUCGGUGCAGCCGUAGAACAGGACGUCGGCCACCGCGGAGUGCGGCCGGGAGGCGAAGACGUGGUCGUGCGUGCGCAGGACGGCCUUGGCGGCGCGUGGGGAGGAGACGACGAGCGUUGGCACGGCGCCGAGGCGGAGGAGCAUCACGUCGGGCCCGUGCCUCUUGGCGAGGUCGCGGAGGGAGUGGUGGGGAAGGGAUCCGAUGAGGUGGAGGUGGCCGAUGAUCGGGAGCUUGAACGGAGGCGACGGUAGCUUCCGGAGCAGCUUCUCUGUUCUUGACCUUGGUGUUGCCAAGUGCACGGCGACGAGGAAGAGGAAGAAGAGGAGGGCUAGGGACUCUGGAGAUGCGUGUUCGUAGAGGUGCGCUAGCGCUGGAGCCGCCAUGGCUGAUCAACUAGUGUGCACAACACACGGCUUGCUAGCGCAACAAGUUAGAACCAGCUCGUUGCAGUUUUUGUAGAGCUCGGUAGUCGUGAUCCGUCAGACAGCAAGAAGAGUAUGCUAUUUUUCUUCUUUUCUGCAUCAUCACUAGAUCAGAUCAGACAGGACCGACCAGAUCUGAUAUUUUAUGAGAGAAUCCUAUCGAAUAAUCAUCCUUUUUAUUAAACUGCACCCGACGCAGACUUUCUUUAUUUGCCCAUGUGCUAUUAUAUUAAUUUUUAUCUCGACUAUUAUAAUUUUUAUCUCGACUAUAUACCACUGUCCUCAUGUAUGUUGUGUACCAAGAGGAACACGAGACGAUCGAGAUUCCAAUAAAAUAUGUGUUUGGUGCUGGAUUAAUUGGCAUGCUUUUCUCUCAGAUGAGCUGCGUGUAGUGACACGGCGCUCGCAAUAGUUGGUCGGCGCACUGGUAGACGGGCAGCUCAUGGAUGCUACCGACGGCUCUGCAACUUGAUGCAGUUCAUGCACGCUGCUGGGUGGCACCCAUGGUGCGAUAUGGCAUUGGCAUUGGCACUGUGGCGGCGGAUCCGACCAGUAGCAGAAGCUCGCACAAGUCUAAAUGUAUCUAACUUUGAUGAAUUUUGAUUUCAAAUCUAUGGAGGCUUUUGAGCUCGAACUAAUUGAAAUGGAUCACACUUUAGUAGUGCUUUCAACAUAAAAAAUUGACACAAAUUAUGGCGGUCAUUUGUGCCACUGGAGAAAUUAAAGGGAAAAAUAGAAAAGAUGGUGUUUUCAAUACACUUUCUUGCUAGCUUGCUAGCCUUUCCCCACGGUGCUGAAAUCGUGGCGGGGCAAAAGGGGAGGUGCAUGAACUCGUCGCUGGCUGGCGGAGGACAGAGCUAGGGGCGGUUCAGGCACAACGGUGCGUAGGCGGGGGUAGCGGCGAGGAGUGGCGGUGAGCAGUCUGCCUAGCCCAGGCAGAAAAACAAAGGUUUGAAACAAACAAGCCCUUGGUGUGUAACUGAUAGGCAUAUGUUCGAAACUCCGAUCCUGUCGCCCUUGAUUAAAAUUCAUAGUAGAGACCCAUUGAGGAUUAGCCCUGGCAUCGAUCCGGCCACAGGAGAGACCGGGAGCCAAGAAGUGAAGUAAGUUGCGUGCGUGCCUGACGGCGAGGAAGCACCUCCAUUGAGCCACGAGGUGGAGUACGAGGCAGAGGCGAGAUGGGAUGUGUUGGGGACAGACUCACAUGACGGAGAGCGGUGCAUCUCCUACCUACCAUCUGCCAUUGCCGAGGGCCUUUCACCGUGCACCACUCCGGUUCGCUCUUUUGCGUCGCUGGGAGGAAAGGGACCGCCGAGCGUUGGGUGCCGCCACCGCUCCUGUGUAGUUCACCAUGGCCACCUCCUCCGAUAGCGCCCACACCAGCGCUGCACCUCAUUCCAGGGAUGGGGCAGCCGCUGCUGGGUCACAUCCACCCGGGGAUUGGGCCGUUGCUGGGGAAUGCGCGGCAGAGAAGAAAAGGAGAAAACAGAGGAGACGUGACUGACAGGGACGGAGGAAAGAUGAUGAGUGCGUACGGUGGGGCGGGUAGGAAACGCAUCGGUAAAAAUGGAAUUGGUUUUUUGGUAGAAACAUUUUCUAACUUGUGGUUUUUAUGGGUCUCCACCUUAUCCUCUCUCAAUUGCAUGAUAGGUGGGUCCGACAUGAGCGGUAAGGUGGUUCUGGUUUGGGUGAGAAACGUUUCCAAUUAUGUUGGAAAACAGGCUUCGCGGAGGCUCAAACACAAUGAGGUUUGAGCAGUCCUUGCAAUUCAAUUCCAAAGAAAUGAACAUAUGUUUACAUCGGGGUAGGGCUCUCCUUUUAUAGUAUCUCGGAGGACAUUUUGCAUUCCGCAAUUACCCUCACUCACCCACUACAAUCCUAGAAUAUGCUUUACAUGGAGGUAACUUGUAUAACUUGGUCUCCUCCUUGGAUCACGCUUCUCACGCCUUUAGUCAGCUCCAUGAUUCACGCUCUCACAUGGUUCCACAAAUCACGCCUUCACAUUUCCAACGCCUCCACGCUUCCUGACCUCGUGACCGAAGCCAUCUUAGCUUCGGGAGUCAUGAUCGCCAUAGAUUCGCACCUAAGAGACGCUAGCCUCGCGCCCUGCUCCUUGACCUGAUUCAGCGAUCCUGCAUGAGACACUAAAUAACUCAGCACUCGAGGUUAGCUUCGACUGCUCGAGGUCAAGCUUGGUUAGUGUCUGGCGAUCUGUGUGCCUCCGGGCUUCAAGGUAAGAUUCAGGAUAGCGAGGCUAUGAUUACUUUCCACGCCAGAUUAACCACCCAAGGUUAGGGGUCCUCACCCGAGGUUAAUUAUUUUGAGGGGCUAAGCUGUUGACGCUAAAUGUAACGACCUCGAGGGUGACCAUCUUUUUGGGCGAUCCCCAACAGUAGCCCCUCGUGGGCAAGGCUCGACACCGACAACCGAACCCGCGACUUAAGGAUCUGCUCCCAAAAAACGUCACCCUCAAGCAUCGGUUAGAAAUGAGCCGACAAUUACCUUUUUGGUCUUACGUGUUGAUUUCCUAUUGGGUGACCUUUCGUAUCUAGCUCGUGGUUACAGGCGCCAUUUCACGCAUUUUACCAUGCCUAUAAAAGAGGGGGGUGGGGUCGCUUUCGUUUUUACCCUCGCGGCUAAAACCCUUGCGCUCCUGCUUUUGCUCGCUGCUUCCGUGCUUUAAGAUUCAUGCAUUGUAUGCUGUUCUCCUUGGUCUCGAGGAUCUCAAAGGUAACAAUGUUACUUGUGUCUCUCUUUUAGUGUGAGAUUUUCCCUUGCUUGUCAUUUUGGAGAUGAUGUUUCGAUGCCUUGCAGCUGGCUCGUAUUAUGCAAACCGCUAGGCCCAUGACAUCAGAAGAGUUCACUAAACAAGUUGGGCUUCGCAAUGAGGCUGCGGAGGACCAGGAUUUGUACAAGGCUGACGAGAAGCAAGGAAUCAAGAGGAUUGAGCUUUCUUAUGCCCAGAACAAUAGGUGAGAAGACAAUUGGCUAAGCUACUACUUCUAUAUCAAGAUUGACAGGGCCGAUGCGUCUGGUAUCAACCGAUCUUUCUAUCCUUCUGUGCACCCCUGGGCCCUAUGGAUAUUGCUACUACCCCUGCAUUUACAAGGUCCAAGGCAGACAAGGAGUGCAAGGGCGCUUUCCUCCCGGACUCGAAGUCGAUCCCCGGCUGGAUCUUGUUGAAGAGUUUUUGGCAGCCAAUAUUUGGCCCCUUUCUGAUGGGUGGAGUCCAUUGGAGAUUGUGCCAAAAGACGUUUUGUGGAGUACUAGCCCGCUCCUCUACCCUUGCUUUGGAGUGGAGCUGCCCGUGGAUGCCAACCCCGGUCUUUUUGCAGAGGAUGUUGAGAGGCAUGCUGUUGAUAUAAUUGGCCCGAGUACUGAGACUGAGCUGAUGUUAGCUCGAAAGAUCAUUGCACACGAGCUUCGGGUCAACCGUGUGUUCGAGGAACUUGGGGUCGAUGUUAAGCCUCAUCCCAAACCUCGCAAGACCUUGAAAUGGGCACGAGAGGCUGGCGCGACAGGCUUGGAAUAGGUUGGCAGCAGUGGCAGGUGGAAAAAGAGAAAGGCCGAGAGCACCGCUCCUAAGGCCGCGGCAGUGACUUCAAAGAAGGAUGACAGCCAAUCAAGGGUCAGUGCUCGAGGUGCGAAAGCAAAAUUAAAGACCUCGAGCCUCGAAGCUUAGAAGAAGUAAGAAAAAAUUGGACAAAGUUCCUCAAGCGAGGCUGCAAAAUCCUCCACGCCCCUGUCUCUAAAGCCAUCCGAGUUGCGACCAAGUCCGAACUCGAGGCUGCCGGCGCACUGGCCGGUAUGAAAGAAAAGAAGUCUACGAGGAAGUCUCACGUCGGCAAAGCCUUUGAUGAUGAUGAUGAUAUUGUUUUGGAUGUGGACUUGUCUAUGUUCCCUAUAUCGGUCCCCAAGGCUAGUGUUCCUUCAAAGGAGACUGAGACUAAGGUUGCUGCACCCCCUCUACAGCACAAGGCCAAACCUUUGAAGGAGAAGAUCGUGGAUACCAUUGCUAAGGAGAUUAAGGCAUCUACUUCGAAGGUGACAAAGCCAGGUAAACAUGUCGUUGUACAUUUGCCUAGGAUGAGAUUUUAUGAUUGUGGUGAUGCGUCAUUUAGAUUUCUGAUGGAGCUGGAAAAAACCACUGGUGCACCUUGGGAGAUAUAUAGGGAACCUCCUCUAAUAUUUAGGGUAAAACCUUAUUCUGCAGAUUCUGAACUGUCACCCUCUCUGGAACGUUACAACGAGGCCUACGGCACCAACCUUAGACAGGAGCUCAUUGCUGUUCAUGUGCCGGGUUCAGGUGAGGACGAUAAUCGCUACAACCUACCCUUGUUGUGGGGAGCUAAGGAUGGGAUGCGUGGUGUAGAUAGAGCAGCCAAGGAGGUUUUCAAGAUGUCUGAGGGGGUUGUCGGCGAGGUUGGUGGGCAGGGAGAAAGGGAGGAAGGCGAGGUUAUCCCUACUCGAGGUCUUGGGAAAUCCACUGUGCCUUUUGAGGUUGAUUACGAGGACAAGUCUUUUAAUCCUGAGAGUAAGCGCUUGCUCCUUAGUUUGUUUUGUCUGUACUUAAUUUCUACUUUGCUAUGCUUUGACGUGCCUUUCUUUUGACAGAGUAUGAAAAAUCAGUUAGGCGUUUUGAGCAAAAGGACUUAGCUAGGAUGUCAGCUACCAUCGGAUACAAGGUAUUUUGUUCGACGCUUGCUAUUUGUUUCUUAUCUCUCUUUUUUUAUGAGUCUUUUCAUUUUGGUGUUUUGAUUUUGCAGUCCAUCAUCCUUGGGAAGAUGCUAUGGAGAAGGCUGCGGCUAAGGAAAAGAGCAUGCUAGCCGAGAGCACGAAGAUGAUGCAGCUAGAGGCUAGAGUUGCAAAGCUUGAGGAGGAAAGCAAGGUUUUAUAUGCCUUGAAGAACGAGCUCGCCGAUUCUAACUCUGACCUUAAAAAGAACAACGUGCUGCUAACAAAUACCUACAGCGAGCUCGUGCAGCAAGUUGAGAAGCUGGAGAAAAGACCCGAAGACAAUCUUGGUGUUUUGGAGAAACUCCGAAGCGCCACAGAAAAAGACGUACAGACUGUCAUAGAGCAGGAAAAAAUGAUUCAUACCCUUGGUCAGGAUCUCAAAGAGCAAAAGACCUUUGUUGUGGAAGCAGAGCGGGCUCUCAAGGAAAAGUUCGUUGAGAUCUAUGAGGUGUACAAAACUGCUCUUGCAAAGUUUGGCACAGAGCCUCUUUUGUUUCUGGGUGAUGAAAGUGUAAAAGAAAUAUUUGAUUGGGUGGAAGAGGAGUUCAAAGGCCUGCCCGAGGUUAUUACUGGUAGCAGCAACUUUGCUACUUCCUUCUGCCUUGAUAGCGCAUUUCAACUCCUUGAAAAGAACAGCUACUCUCAUUUCUUAACACUUGCGGCUCGCACCUAUAUGUUCCCCUCGGCCUCGGAGCUUGAUGAAGAGGAGAAAUCUAAAAAUUUGAGAGCCAUGAAGAUAAAUUUCUUCAAACAGCUUUGGGCUACCUCCGGGCGAGAGUACACAAGGCUGGUUGCUCAAGAGCGGCUUGCACAGGUUAGGGUUCACAUAACUUUGUAUUUCAUAAGGUUUGCAUUUUUUCUGUUGAUUUCCUGAUGUUGUUCCUCUUGUGUUCGUAGGCCAAGGCAUAGGAAGCAAAAGGCGAAGGUGGGAGCGAGAACGAUGAUGCUGAUCAAGGAGGGCAGUGAUUAUCGAAGCUAGUUAGAGAUUUGUUUUGUGGUUUGGGAUGUUUUGAUAAACUUGAUACUUAGUUGGCUGCUUUUGCGGGCCAGAUUGUAAAUAUUUGUUGCUCAGCCGGAACUUACAUGCUCGAAGCUGGUUACUUUUGGCGUUUGUACCUUCACGGAUUUCUUUUUAUCUUAACGUUUUUAUGUUUGAGUUAUUCUACUCAAAUGGCAACAAAGCUGUAGCUUAAAGAAAUGAGCAAUGUUUUAGUUUAAAACGUCACCCCUGCCCUAGUUUCUUUAUGCGUAGGUUUUUGUUGACUUUGCACGCUUGUUGUCUAAGCUCAAACGGAGCUUAAAAACGUCACCCCCUUCUUGGCACGUGGGUCUUACCCAAGGCAAUUCUCUCAUGGAAAGAGGAUGAAAACGAUUUUUGUUUGCCAAAAAAUGUCACCCCCGCCCUUUUAUCCUUUUUCCGAAAAAACAUCCAACCUCGCCCUUUUCUUUUGCAUGAACGAGGUUAAGUGAGUAUUGACAAACCACAAGAUAAGUCAAUAGAAAAGUUGUUUUCGAGUUAUGUUGACUUAAAAAAUAUGAUAGUUUGGUUGAAAUCGCAACCCUUAGGAUGUGUUUGGUUGGGCUGUGGCUUUUCAAAAAGCUGCUGUGAGUUGUGGGCUGUAGAAAAGCAGCUGUGAGAAAGCAGCUGUGGGAAAAGUAUAAGGCCAUUUGGUUAGAGCAGAUGUAGCUUUUGAAUAAAUUUUCGAGUGGACCCUGCAUGUCAUCCACAGUCCACCCCACUCAACUCUCUCCCUCUCUCACUGACGAGCGGGUCUAACCCUUCUUCUUCCUCCCGCUGGCUUGUCCACCCCAUAGCACCCCGAGUAGCACCAGGGCCGCAACGACAUCCACGAUGAUGCAGUCCACAAUCAGGGCGAGGUCCAUGAUGGCGAUGGCCUGCGCCUCACCUCCUCCACCUUGCACCACGUGGCAGGCACCGUAGCACCACCGGCAUCUAGGAGGCAGUAGCACCCCGCGGGCACGCAUGCGUCGACAUAGAGGUUGAGGCUGGUCUGUGCCGCCAAGAGCCUGCCGCCCGCGCAGGCGAGCCCCGCCUCCAUGGUGCCCUUCGGUGUGGAGGCGGAGAGUGAUGAGGAGAGGGAUGCCAUGGCAGCGGCGAGGAGGAGGAGACGCGCGAUGAUGAGUGUGUGCUGCUGGAGGUCGGAGGCCGGGAGCGAGACGGCAAGGAGGCCUGCGGCAUGGUCGAGGAGGAGGAACGACAGGGAGAGGAGGAGCGGGAGGUGGGGCGGGAGGAAUGGGAGCAGCGGUGGGAGGAGCAGCAGUGGGAGGAGCGUCAUGGAAGCCAGUGGGAGGAAGGCGAACAGGAGCACGAGGAGUAGCGAGAGGAGGCAGAGGAGCGGGUGGCGGAACAGGCGGAGGAGGUGGUGGUGGAGGGAGGACGGGGAGAGGUAGGAGACGGCGGCAAUGAGGUGGUGGGACUGGGAGGUCGCGAUGAGGGAGAAUAUAAGGGCAUGGCAUGCGAGCAGCAGCGCCUCCACCAUUGGGGUUGGGCAACGCGGUCGGGGAAGUCCCGAGGAGGAGGAGCACCAGGCGGCGGGCCACUAAGGUGAUGGUCGGGUGGGGGGACUGGUGUGGGUGAUGGGGAGUGGACGGGAAUAGAAGGGGAAAACGAACCGUUAUCCUCCAUAACAAGUGGUAGGUGGGUAAUUUUUUGCCCCAAAAGCAGCUAAAAGCAGGGGGGAAGGUGCUUUUGAUUUUGAGCAAAAGCACGUAUGGCUUUGGUCAAAAGCACGUAUGGCUUUUAGGCCCUUUGGUUGGCUUUUGGCUUUUGCAAAAGCAAAAGUAGGUUGGAAAGUCCAACCAAAGGCACCCUUAGUUGCUUCAACCAUGAAAUUUUGCGAGGUUGAGAAAAUAGGGAAAUAGGGUGCCUUUUUUGAAAAAAUGUCAGUCUUUCUAUUCUAUUGUGAGAGCUUUGGCUGAGGCUAGGGCCUUCGUGCGAAAGGACAAAAUGAAUUUUCGACUCUGAAAAACGUCACCCCCCUUGUCCUUUUGCGCAGAGGGGGUUUAGACUCAGCAUGGCUUAUUCCGAGUGUUAUCGCUGCCUUUGAUCGCUUGCUGCAGUCUUUCUAUUCUCUGAGUUGCAAGUUCAAGGCCAAUCACUGUGGUGUUUGAGUGAGAAAAUACGUUUAUGUGCAUAUAGUGUGCAGUUCAAUGUUAGACUAUGCAGCUUAUUGCUGCUUUAAAAUAUCUUGCGCAGAAACGUAGGUUUUCAGCACGCAGAAACGUGAGGUUAGGCAAGUUGUUGUUGCAUCUGAGACUUGUGCAGACACGCAAGUUUUCAAUGCACAGAAACUCGAGGUUAGGCAACUUGUUGUUGCAUCUAAGACAAAGAUCAUAGGGGGAACUUCAUUUCAUUGAAUAAUGGAAAUUUUACAAGGAUCUACCUCUUCCGACAUGGUUGCCUCUUUGGCCACUUCUGAAAUUGGGUUGAUGUUGGUGGUAUCGGUUCUGGUUUUGGCCUUGGUUUUGGUUUUGGGUUUGGUUUUUGAACGAGGGUUGGUUAUCCUUGAUGGCCAGCAGUUAGUUUGGGUGCGAGUGGUGCUGUUGUUGGUGACUGUAUCACGAAGCUUGCCAGUUUUGACCUUUCUCUGCUUGCCUUUGGCGGUUUCUUUCCACGACCCUUCUUCUAUGGUCUUCAUCUGAUCUGCAAUAUUUAUCCAUCUCUGCGAACAGGGCUUCCAUUCUUUUUGGCUUUUUCCUUGAUAGCUUUGAGGCUGUUGGCCUCGGAUUAAGCCCCUUGAUGCAGAUCUCUAUAGCCAUGCUAUCCUCCACAUCUGGGGUUUGUGCCUUAAGUUGGACAAAUCUUCUCACGUAGCUUGCUAAAAGGCUCUUUAUCUUUUUGCACACAAUUGAACAAAUCCCCCUCAUCAGUCAUGGCUCUAUGAAAGCCUUGAAAGUUUUGUAUAAGUUUGGUUUUAAGAUCGACCCAGCUGUAUACAGAUUGCAGCAGGAGUAGAGAGUACCAAUUUAGUGCUGCACCCUCGCACGCUAUAAUGAAUGACUUUUCCAAUACUACAUCAUCUCCCCCUGCCGAGGCUAUGGCUGUUUCAUAACUCAUGAGGAACUAGCGGGGAUCUGUUUGUCCAUUGAAUUUUGGUAGUGCAACUGCCUUGUAGGUUGUGGGCCAUGGGGCUUUUUGCAGGCCUAAGGACAAUUGGGAGAUUUUGUCGGUAGUUGUGUAUGCGCUCAUUGUCACUCUGGUGUUGUGCCCAACGAGGCUAGGAUUCGGGUAUAUGAUGGGUGUGUCAUUGGUGUUGAAGGUUUGAAGUGGUGGCUGCUGCGGCUGUUGCGGUGUGUUACACAAGUAUUCCAAUUCGUUCAACUCUUGCUGCAACUCUGCCAGCUGCCUUUUGGCCUCAUUUAGCCUCACUAGCUUGUUGGUUGCUAGUCUUUGAGCCUGAAGCUCUUGAGCAAAUUUUUCUUUUUCUUUUUUAAUGCCUCUAGCUGCUUGAGUGCGGAGGCCAACUCUUCUUCUAUUUCACUAAGGGGUUCAUCUUGCGUGCUUGUUUGCUGCAGAGUUUGGUUCGAGGUCCCCGCCUCAACCAUGCCUUUCUGUGAUCUUGUUCUUAAAUUAGCCUCGAUUCUUUUAAACUUUUUCUGCCUUCUCCGUGUUAACUUGUUCGACUGAGACAAGCUGCCUUUCUUGUCCAGCCUCAUCUUCGAUGGUUCUCUUCUUCUUUUGAGGUGGCAUCAUGGGUUUCUUAGUGGCUCAGAAUACCUGCUGUUACCAUGGCACUUCAGCAACCCCACCCAACCCCACGCGCAAGUCAAAAUUUGAGGACCAUAUGUACAAUACGUGUGCAAACAAAACCAUAAUUUCACUAGUAUUGAGGGAUUUUAGUUAUUUCUUCUAAAAAAUCUCUUGGGAAAUCGUAUUUUUGUAGUACAACAUAUAUAGAAAAUAAGUAUUACUCCCAAAUAAACUGCCCUUUUCUUUAGUAUUCUUGGUUUUUGUUAUUAUUUUAUUUAAUCUUACGAUUUAUAUAUGCAUAAAAAAGUAAUUUAGUAUCUUCAAAUAUGGAAACGUGGUCUUAGGAAAUUGUCUAAUAUAUACUAGUUUACCUGCAAUCCACUGGCUUGCACAUUAUAUUUCAUCAUACGGAAAUGUCUGGCAUUGUGAACGGAAGCAAUUUCAUCUGUCUGCAACCCGGCAUAGCAUGUGACACCCAGAGCUCCUGACACAAGCGCGUGAGCACCUUCUCCGACAUGCGCACAUGAUGACCGCAUGCACCCAUAUUAUACAUAGUUUAUUAUAUUUUUGGCUGGGAUAUGAUAAUCAUUAAUUAUUACUUGUAAAGAUUGGAAACGUUACAAACGAUUGUAGAAAAAAUGCGAGUCACCAGGAAGGUAGGUAGUAGAGCAUGCCGUCAGUGUCUUUCCUGUGACCUGUGUUCGUGGUGCACAUGGCAGAAUGCACAGUCUAUACAUAGGAACCAGAAGUUGGCUUCGAAACCAAAUCACUCAUUAGUCCUUCGGUACUGCAGUGAACGCUAUCUAGCUAGCUAAUUUCCCCUUGAAAUCAGUGGCCAUGGGUAGCCUUCCACUUGAAGCCAUGAUGCCACUGAACCCCGAUUCAUUCGCUGGGGAGUCCAGUGCCGUGGUCGACUUCCUCGCCGACUACUACCGCAACGUCGAUAAGUAUCCGGUCAUGGCCAACACCCAGCCAGGGACCAUCCGUAAGCUUCUUCCGGAGGCAGCCCCGGAGUUGGGCGACUCCAUGGAUCGCAUACUGGAUGAUGUGCAGCGGGAUAUCCUCCCCGGCCUCACACAUUGGCAGAGCCCUAGCUUCUUUGCCUAUUUCCCGGCGAAUGCAAGCACCGCAGGGUUCGCCGGGGAGAUGUUGUCGGCUGGUCUCAACGUCGUCCCGUUCGUCUGGACGGCGUCACCGGUGGCCACUGAGCUGGAGCAGGUCGUGGUUGACUGGAUGGCUAGCCUCCUCGGCCUACCGGAGCGCUUCCACUUCAAGGGAGGAGGAGGCGGUGUCCUGCAUGGGAGCACGUGCGAGGCGGUGGUGUGCACUCUCGCUGCCGUGCGCGACCGUGCACUCAGCAAGCUCGGACAUGAGGGCAUCCUCAAGCUUGUCGUGUAUGCCUCGGACCAGACCCACGCAACCUUCCAGAAGGGCGCGAGCAUCGUCGGCAUCCCUCCAGCAAACUUCCGCAUCCUGCGGACUUCGGCAAACUCGGGAUACGGCCUGACCGCCACCAUCGUCCAAAGAGCAAUCGAGGAAGACGUCGCCCGCGGGCUGGUUCCCCUUUACCUCUGCGCCACCGUCGGCACUACUGGUCUGGGGGCCAUUGACCGAGUGCGCGAGCUCGGCCAUGUUGCCCGGCGUUAUGGUAAUUCAUUCAACCUCCCUCUCUUAUACGCUAAUCACCCAUACGGUGACACUAAAUACGUAGAAAUGGAAUGCGCUAUGCGGUGACAGGUCACGAUUUCAUGCUCACUUAACAAUCAACAAUCAGUUCCUAUAACCAUCUGACAAGAAUACAUGUUUUACAGGAACCUGGCUGCACAUCGACGCAGCCUACGCCGGAAGCGCAGCCAUUUGCCCGGAGUUCCAAGGUCACCUCGACGGCGCCGAGCUCGCGGACUCGCUGAGCAUGAACCCACAUAAGUGGUUCCUCACCAACAUGGACUGCUGCUGCCUCUGGGUGGCGAACCCUACCACCAUGACCGACGCACUGUCCACUGACCCGGAGUACCUCAAGAAUGUCGGCACCGCGUCUAAGAUGGCGGAAACGGUCGACUACAAGGACUGGCAGAUCGCGCUGUCACGCCGCUUCCGUGCCAUCAAACUCUGGGUGGUGCUACGGCGCUAUGGAGCGGCGGGAAUGCGCGCGCACAUACGGAGGCACAUCCAGAUGGCAGAGUGGUUCGAGCACGUCGUGGCGGCGGACGAGCGGUUUGAGGUCGUGGUGCCAAGGAACUUCUCCUUGGUGUGCUUCCGCCUCCGCCCGCGGUUCAUGGCGGAUAAAGCUGUGGAGGCCCUGAACCGCGACCUCCUCGCAGCGGUGAAUGCAAGCGGCCGGGCGUUCAUGACGCACUUCGUCGUGGACGACAAGUUUGUGAUCCGCCUAGCCGUGGGUGGGUCAAUGACAGAGAUGCGGCACGUCCGGGCCGCGUGGGAGCUUCUCAAGGAGAAGGCCAACGACUUGAUCGCCACCGGUUGUUAGUUAUUGCUCAUUGCUAGUGCUAUACCAUGCAUGGCCAGCAACAGAAGCUGAGCAUUCUAUUAUUGCUUCCAUUCGUAGUUAGAGCACACCAUGAAUGCAAUAGUCAAUCCAUCUGAACCAUGAACAUUCACUAUGACCAUGUAUGCGACACAAUAUACAUAAGUGCUACUGCCGAUAUUGGAUUCUAUUUCUGGAGAAGCGGCUGCUUCUACGGAGCAGGCCGAUUGAAUUUUAAGUAUGUUAUGAUACUUGUAAAAAAUCGAUGCUAGGCAUGGAUUCCUGGAAGGGGCCCGUCACAACUCACAAUGGAAGGGACCCGUCAUAACCAAGCUCGUUAAUACAAAAGAAACGUCACGCGAAACAAAUGGACGCUAAGCCACACACCUGAAGAAAUUUUACCCGAAAUUUGCAACACGUCAAGAAUGGUUAUCACUCAACCGUCUCACAUCUCUUUUGUUUAAGGAAACCAGGCUCGUUACUACAAAAUGAACACCAAGAUGAUAGAGCUCUUUUACGAUCCACAAUACUACUACUUAGUAGUAUAUAGUAUAUAUAUAAGAUCUAACUGUUCAUUAUUAUGGAUAAUUUAGUAAUUAUUACAAUGUAAAAAGUGAUAUUUCAAAUAGAAUGGUCUUUUAAAUUUUCUGCUAGUAUCAAAAAUAAAAUUAUAGUGGUGCCAUUUGUGUUUUCUUACCAUGAUACCCUUAUACUACCUAUACUACUCGUGUAUACUACCCAUACCACAGGCGUAGGUUUCAGUAGUAUCUAAUUAAUCUUGACCGUCGGAUAUGUUUAUACUAGUCAUUUUCGAACACAAGUAUAGUCUAGUGUUGUGUUCCGUAAAAGAGCUCAUAUAAUAUAUUAUAAAACUUAUUUGUGAAAGCUAAAGGCAACAACAGGGGAUAAAUUCCAGAAUAGGUAAGAACAGAAAUUUAAAAGGGCAAAAUUUGUUGAUGCAUGGAAAUGCAUAGAAUACUUAUUGGAGCGAAGGCCCUUUUAGGUCCAUGGGCUAUUUAUGCCCCUCCACUCGCCCAUUCAGAGUUGCUGGAGUGUCCAUACAUCUAUUGAAGACCAAGGCUCAUCAAGUGACCAAUGGAGAAACCACACAUCCACUGUGAUAAUUUUAGAGCAUCCAGGUGACGAUAUUCAAUGCGCUCAAAUGGUGGUAUUCAACUUAGAAAAAAUAGUAGCACUAGAAGAUCUCAGAGUCAUCGGAGCAACCAUCGAAGCAAUUGGUACAACUGAGAAGUAAGCUUGAGUUGCAGCAAGCACUAGAUGAUCCGACGGGGUCCUUUUCACAAGCGUCGGAGCAAUUCGUAAAGAAGACGGAGAAAGACCUAUAGCACAAGAUAUUCCGAUGGCUAGAAGAUGAAGGAAUCGGACCAAGCAUAUUUACUUUGAAAACGUCAAGAGAGUUUUUAGGAAAAACUCCUUCAGCACCGGAUGAUCCGACGUUAUGUCGGAUGAAUUUAGGUAGAGGUCCAACGGCUAUAUACGUCAGCAGGGGGCGUGUCACACCCGAUUUUAAGGACAAAACCGAGUGCUUUCAAUACAUGUGCGCAAGGAACAAGUUACACACAUGUACGACAUAAGUGAAUAACAAAGGCAGUGCCAAAGUGAAUAAAGAGAGUAUUAAACUUUAUUACAUGACCGAAAGUCUUAAUAAAACACAAGCCUAACUUAUUACGCAGCGGAUUCCGAAGAUGACGAUGACACCUCAGGCUGCUGACUGAAGAACCGUAUGCCUAGAACUCCUCAAACUCGUGCAGGUACUUCUGCAGAUUCUCUUUGUCUGAACAGCGGUUUUGCAAGGGUGAGUACACUUAUGGUUGGUACUCAACAAGUCGUGGGGAAUAGUGUAGUGUAAGGCCAACCAAGGUAUGGCUAAGGCUAAAUAGCAUCAGCUUUUAAUUAGCUUGGUCAAAUUUUAUUAGCAAUUAACUAAGUAUAAGUUUAUACCACCCCAAAUUAAACAUGAACAUAAAUAAAGUAAACAACAUAUGCGUGGUAUGACAACAAUUUAAGUCCAUCUUUCGUUAGUAUUAUCAUGUGAGGGUCCAGGCCGCUCUUAACCGUGAGCACGGCUGAUCGAUCAGUUUUACACUCUGCAGAGGUCGUACAUCUUUACCCAGAAGUCGCGUAAAAGUUCAAAAGAACUUUGGACCCAACCAUGCGGUGUUUGCAAGGCACCAUACCACACUUCUGAGGUGUGAUUGCAUAGGGACGCUAUGAGGCCUUUACAAAGAUUCAUUAGUCAGUGGUAACCCGCUAAGGUUUCGGUGUCUAGCGUGCACAACCUAUCACAGGACAAUGAUGCAAUGACUCAGUCCCCCCUCUUGCCUCGUCACGAGUAAGGUUUCUAAUUAUUUAGCCAAGACCAGAGCCAAUUAGUCUUGUGGUAGCACUGUUUUCCUGGGUGGCUCUCCAUGUUCCGAUUAAACGUUUAUGAUCUUGUAUUAAUGAAAGGUAUAACAUAAGUAAAGCAAGAUUAAUCAUUGAGUUCAGUUAAACCAACUUAUCCCAAGUAGGAACUAAGGAUGAGCUACCAAACAUAAAAGUACACCCGGUUGGUCAAGGCAAAGGUAAAUUCAAUCUAGGCAAACCUUAAUUGGGACCCAUCAAUUUAAUCUUACCAAGGGCAUAGCAUAAUUGUUGAGUACGAGAAAGUAAAAGUGUAUAGGACUGAGAAGUAGUGAUCAAGGACACCACUUGCCUUCCUGGCCUUACUCUUGCUGUUCGUACUCCUCGAAGGCUUGAUCUUCAAAUCCCCCAAAUUGCUAAACGUCUAUACGCGUCACACGAGCACAAACAAGCAAACAAGGGCACAAAGUAAGAAAACAGUACACCAAUCACAACUAAACAGAGAAAACAAGCUUGAAAAACUAAUCUACACUUUAAAACAAACACGUGGAUAUAAAGAACGCGAAAAACGGAGUUAAGAUGCAAAAGAUAUGAUUAAAACAAGAUCCAGGGGCUUUUCUGCGAGAAAAACAAAACUUCUAGGGUCGAACUGCGAAAACCGAGGGCUUGUACAUGAUUAUGCCUAUAAACCGAAGGUUUAACCCACAAAAAUGCAACUUAGGAUGGCUGGUUGAUUUAGAGAAACUCAGGGUCUAAACCAAAAGAAAACAGGACCAAAACACAAUUAUUUUUGAACUAGAUUGGACUGCGGGUUGAUUUGCGGAAAAGGCGAGCGCUUCAGUGCAAAAGAGGUGCCGCGCGACGCGAUUGGGUACACGAUCCGGUUGACUCGCUGCGGGCCGUCGGAUUUGGAUCCAACAGUCUCGGUCGUAGACGACACCCAAGCGGCGGCGGACCAGGCGGUGGGCGGCGACGAGCGGCGGCGGUUCGCUGGAAUUGGCCGAUACGGCGCUCCGGGGCUCGGUUUCGCGCGCGGAAAACACCAGAAGCAUGAGAAAAGCAAGGCGAUCCCUUUUCGGCGGUUCACGGUGAUCGAGGCUCACCGGAAGGCGGUGCUUGGUGGCGGAGAGAGGGUGGCGGCACUUGCUGGGGUUUCAGGGGCGCUGUUGCGGGGUGCUCGAGGUGGGGGGAGGGCGGCUUAUAUAGGGGCGGAGUCGGGGCGCGGUCGGAGUGGAGUCCUGGCCGGAGGACGGGGAUGAUGGGUAGGUCCCACCCGUCAGACCUGCGGAAGGAGGCCGGUGCCGCUGGGCAGGCCGACGGAGUGGGCCGAGCGAGCGACAUGGGCUGGCGAAGGGAAAAAAGGGAAAGCGGUAGCUUCGCGGGCUGGAGGAAAAGGCGGAGCGGGCCAGGGGAGCUAGCGGCGCUGGGCUGCAGGGAAAUAGGAUCCGGGUUGAAAGAGAAAGGAGGAGGAGAAGGAUGCAGCCCAGGAGGAGGAAGAGAAAAGAGGAAAAGAAAGAUUUUUAAAAUUGAAAUUGAAUUUGAGAUUCAAUUUUGAUUCAAACACAAGCAAUCAAAAUAAAUGCACCAGCAUGCAAUGCACAAAGAACUCCUAUGAAGGUUUAAUUUAAUUUAGAGAAAAUAAAAUUAAAUGCCUAGAAAUUUAAAUGACAUCCUAAUUGAGUAAAUUUUAGUGUAUUUAAAUUCUUUAAAAAAUUUGGGUGUUACAGGGCACCAGAUGAUCCGAUGCGUAUCUCAAGUGACCAUCGGAUCAUCCAAUGCUCACAUAUUUUACUAGCCGUUGUAGCGAAGGCUCUUUGAGGUCCAUGGGCUAUUUAUGCCCCCUCCAGUCGCCCAUUCAGAGUUGCUGGAUUGUCCAUACAUCGAUUGAAGACCAAGGCCCAUCAAGAACACAUCCAUGCCACCAAAAGUGCAAAAGCGAUAAUACAAGGCUUAGCACGAGCUAAGAGAUUGAUUAGCUCUAGGAUAGGCCUAGAGAGAGUAGUGCAAGGUGUUGCUACCUUGUGAUUGGUUCAAGGAGUGAUUCACUAUUGUAAGCUUGGGGCGCCGGCGUCUUGGGUCUUGGUGGCUCUCAGGCAAGUCUUCGACACCCCAGCUCGGUGUGGAGCAGCGUCGACAGCCGGAUGCGGGGGACAAGAAGACUCCUUCCUUCGUGGAGCAGCUCCAUGGUGGAGAUGACGUCAAGGUGACCGAAGGGGGGUAGUAGUGAGCCUUGCGUUUGUGGAUAGCUUGUCAUCCGGCUUGGCUAGAGCCUUUGUAGCGAGCCCAAGACCUUGACCGGGAGAGACUUGGUGAGCAGGAGCAUGUCCUUGGUGGAGCUCCAACGCAUGGACUAGGGGUGGUAUUUGGCUACCGAUACCAUGUGAUAAAUCAUCGUGCUGGGUUUGCAUCUUUCCUAACCCACUCCUUUACAUUUCCGCAGUACAUUCUCGGAACUUGAGUGCCUUUAGUUACUUUCCAGAGUAGUACCUUGUUAGGAUUGGCUCUAGGUUGCAAAACUCUUUGUGGGUGGGAAGUUUCACUAGAUCAACCAUAGAUGCACAUGUAGAUAGCAUGAUCUAGUUUAGGUUUGGAAGCAAGUAGUGGAAGUCAUAGGCCAAGGAUUUUAAGCUAGCCUAAUUCACCCCUCCCCUUCUUAUGGUACGAGCAUCGAUUCCUUUCAAUUUGCUUUAGCACCAUGAAGGCAAUAGUCAUCCAUCUGCACCAUGAUCAUAGAGCAAUGCAAAACCACGAGAGAAACGAAACGGCUGCUCUUCCUUCAUUUUAUUCCAAUUAGUAUGGACGUGGAGGUUACAGGACACACCAUGCUAGCUGUAGCGCCGGCAACAGGGAAACAAACCCAAGAAAGCAAUGCGGACAUUUUAUUCUACUUUUUAUGCAGAAUAUAUGGAGGCACCAGCCAGCCCAGCAACAACGACAAUGGCGGCUACUUGGUAUACUCGAUGGCCCAGAAGUUGGCGUAGAUGUAGGUGGACUUGACGCUGGUAAACCCGGCGCCCUUGGCGAGCUCCACAAACUCCCUCUCGUACCUCUCCUUGCCGUCGGGCUGUACGCGAGCAGGCACACGUCGACGCCGAUCAACCCCUGCGCGCUGUUUGUGGCAUCCGGGUUCACCGGCAGGAUGCACUCGACACUGAUGAGCUUGCCGUGCGGAGGCAGCGCCUCGUAGCAGUUCUUGAGCAGCUUGGCGCAGUGGUUGUCGCCCCAGCAAUUGAGGAUCCACUUCAUGAGGAUGGCGUCGCCGGAGGGCACCUUCUCAAACAUGUCGCCUCCCACGUGCUGCACCUGCACGUCGGGGUAGGCCGGCGCCUCGGAGAUGACGUGGGGAAGGUCGAAGUUGAUCCCUUGAAUGGUCGGGGUACCUGGAGGUGAUGGCAUGGAUGGUGGAGCCGAGGCCGCCGCCAACGUCGACGAGGGUGCGGACGCCGUCGAAGCCCGUGUAGAGCUCCAAGAGCUUCUUGGUGAGGAUGACGGAAUGCUGCUUCAUGGCCUCAUUGAAGACCCCCGUUGAAGCGUGCGUCAGUACCGGCCGUAGUCGAACCAGGAAGGCGUCCCAAACGCCCUGUUGAAUGGGCUGCCACCCUCAAGGACCGCGUCCGUCAUGUAGCUCCAGGCGUGCAUGAAGAGCUUGUCGUUGGCGAGGAGGUGGAACGGAGCCAUGGAGACACCAUCCUCGUUGGGGGUGAGCCACUUGCACACUGGCGCGGCGCUGUACUGGCGGCACAGGCUGCCAUCCUCGGCCUCCUCCACCACGCAGGACACAACUUUGUAGGACGCCAGAAGUCGCAGCAAGCGAUCCACCAUGGACGGCGCGGCGGGGUUGGCCUUGGAAGGCAGCUUCGCGGCCACCUCCUUGGGAGUGAGAGCCUUCCCGCUGGCGCCCACAAGGGUCUCGAGCAGGCCCAGCUCAAAUGGCAGUUCUUAGCGUCAUCGGCAGGAUGGCCGACGACACUAGCUGCAGAGCGUGCAUGCAUGUCUCCUCGUCGGCUAUGGCCAUGUCCGCGGCGGAACCCAUCUACCUCCCGGGAUUGGAGCUCAACUAACUGAUGAAGGUGUGUGUAGCUUGUUGUUGUGAUUGCUGGUGGCUGAAUGAUCGAUGAGGCGAAAGGGGCCGUUUAUAUAGAGCUUCGAGCUAGGCUUUGUUCACCAACCUGAAAAUCAUGCAUUCUUUGACAAGUAUGGGAUUGCUUGUAUGGUGUGUACGUGACCUGUGAGAGCUAGCAGCUAGCGUGGUAGUGAUUGUGUACCCCAUGCAAAACCUCCCUCCUAAUAAGAUCGUGAUGCACGAGGCUGGAAUACUAUAUUGUUUUGGUCUGCAGUCUAAUCGAUUUGGAAUCCGCAAAUAUAAUCAAUUCACGACACUGGAGAUGGUCGGCGCACGAGGAGUGGCAGUCCUAUUGAAACUUUCAGAGAAGCACCUUGUGUUUGAGAAUCUGUUUUGCAUUAGAUCAAGGUUGAGAUGGUUUCUUUAACCCUUGAGAUUCAGCGCGAGGGUCCACGUGCGUGAUGGACAUGGCUUCGCUACUGCACAACUAUUUUUCAAGAAUCAAGAUAUUCUGCAUGGGAUGUCCUGCGUCUCUGGUGUCGGUGCAAUCUUUCUCCUGUUGAACACAUACACUAGCGUCUGAUGCCAGAGUGAGGUGGAUUGGGUGGAUCAAGGCUACGGCGUAGGACAUUAUCAUGGCUCGGGCGGCCGGAGCAAACACGAGCUGGCCGAUCGUAGAGGGAAGACGCAAGUGGCACUUGCAGAAUCUACGUGGCUCCCCUUGGUCAUUCUUUGUCUCCUAUGGGUAUCGGGAGGCAGGCGCGCCAGGCUGGCGGCACGGUGUAAUUCAAUUCAGGACUUUCCUAGCCAGGGCGUGGCCGAGGGCGAUUGGUUGCUCAACCUGAUGAGAACUUGGGGGGUGCUCCUACAUGGGAGAGAAUAGGGUGACGGAUGAGAAUGCAGAUGAGGGACGGGGCUCAGACGAGGGGGGGGUUGGAGACAUGUUUUCACUGUUGAACUCUUAGCGUCAAGAUGAGAGGUGAGAUGAGAUACCGGUAGGACCUGCCUUACCAUGGCACUUCAGCAACCCCACCCCAACCCCCGCGCAAGUCAAAAUUUGAGGACCAGUACAAUACGUGUGCAAACAAAAACCAUAAUUUUACUAGUAUUGAGGGAUUUUAUUUCUUCUAAAAAAUCUCUUGGGAAAUCGUAUUGUAGUACAACAUAUAUAAAAAUAAGUAUUACUCACAAAUAAACUGCCCUUUUCUUUAGUAUUCUUGUUUUUGUUAUUAUUUUAUUUAAUCUUAAGAUUUAUAUAUGCAUAAAAAAGUAAUUUAGUAUCUUCAAAUAUGGAAACGUGGUCUUAGGAAUAGGGCUCAUAUUUUAUUCUUGAGCAUGCCUAGUGGAAAAAUAUCUAAAAAACUGCAAAGAAAUUUCAUCAUACGGAAAUGUCUGAGAUUGUGAACGGAAGCAAUUUCAUCUGUCUGCAACCCUGCAUAGCAUGUGACAGCCCGGGCUGCGUGCCAAGAAACACCCAGAGCUCCUGACACAACCGCGUGAGCACCUUCUCCGACAUGCGCACAUGAGGACCGCAUGCACCCAUAUGCAAGGUUCACAAAUACGUGCGUGCUUAAACUAUAUGCGCACGUUACAAACGAUUGUAGAAAAAAUGCGAGUCACCAGGAAGGUAGGUAGUAGAGCAUGCCGUCAGUGUCUUUCCUGUGACCUGUGUUCGUGGUGCACAUGGCAGAAUGCACAGUCUAUACAUAGGAACCAGAAGUGGCUUCGAAACCAAAUCACUCAUUAGUCCUUCAGUACUGCAGUGAACGCUAUCUAGCAAGCUAAUUUCCCCUUGAAAUCAGUUUUCUUGCGUGGCCAUGGGGUAGCCUUCCAUUGAAGCUUGGACAUGANNNNNNNNNNNNNNNNNNNNNNNNNNNNNNNNNNNNNNNNNNNNNNNNNNNNNNNNNNNNNNNNNNNNNNNNNNNNNNNNNNNNNNNNNNNNNNNNNNNNNNNNNNNNNNNNNNNNNNNNNNNNNNNNNNNNNNNNNNNNNNNNNNNNNNNNNNNNNNNNNNNNNNNNNNNNNNNNNNNNNNNNNNNNNNNNNNNNNNNNNNNNNNNNNNNNNNNNNNNNNNNNNNNNNNNNNNNNNNNNNNNNNNNNNNNNNNNNNNNNNNNNNNNNNNNNNNNNNNNNNNNNNNNNNNNNNNNNNNNNNNNNNNNNNNNNNNNNNNNNNNNNNNNNNNNNNNNNNNNNNNNNNNNNNNNNNNNNNNNNNNNNNNNNNNNNNNNNNNNNNNNNNNNNNNNNNNNNNNNNNNNNNNNNNNNNNNNNNNNNNNNNNNNNNNNNNNNNNNNNNNNNNNNNNNNNNNNNNNNNNNNNNNNNNNNNNNNNNNNNNNNNNNNNNNNNNNNNNNNNNNNNNNNNNNNNNNNNNNNNNNNNNNNNNNNNNNNNNNNNNNNNNNNNNNNNNNNNNNNNNNNNNNNNNNNNNNNNNNNNNNNNNNNNNNNNNNNNNNNNNNNNNNNNNNNNNNNNNNNNNNNNNNNNNNNNNNNNNNNNNNNNNNNNNNNNNNNNNNNNNNNNNNNNNNNNNNNNNNNNNNNNNNNNNNNNNNNNNNNNNNNNNNNNNNNNNNNNNNNNNNNNNNNNNNNNNNNNNNNNNNNNNNNNNNNNNNNNNNNNNNNNNNNNNNNNNNNNNNNNNNNNNNNNNNNNNNNNNNNNNNNNNNNNNNNNNNNNNNNNNNNNNNNNNNNNNNNNNNNNNNNNNNNNNNNNNNNNNNNNNNNNNNNNNNNNNNNNNNNNNNNNNNNNNNNNNNNNNNNNNNNNNNNNNNNNNNNNNNNNNNNNNNNNNNNNNNNNNNNNNNNNNNNNNNNNNNNNNNNNNNNNNNNNNNNNNNNNNNNNNNNNNNNNNNNNNNNNNNNNNNNNNNNNNNNNNNNNNNNNNNNNNNNNNNNNNNNNNNNNNNNNNNNNNNNNNNNNNNNNNNNNNNNNNNNNNNNNNNNNNNNNNNNNNNNNNNNNNNNNNNNNNNNNNNNNNNNNNNNNNNNNNNNNNNNNNNNNNNNNNNNNNNNNNNNNNNNNNNNNNNNNNNNNNNNNNNNNNNNNNNNNNNNNNNNNNNNNNNNNNNNNNNNNNNNNNNNNNNNNNNNNNNNNNNNNNNNNNNNNNNNNNNNNNNNNNNNNNNNNNNNNNNNNNNNNNNNNNNNNNNNNNNNNNNNNNNNNNNNNNNNNNNNNNNNNNNNNNNNNNNNNNNNNNNNNNNNNNNNNNNNNNNNNNNNNNNNNNNNNNNNNNNNNNNNNNNNNNNNNNNNNNNNNNNNNNNNNNNNNNNNNNNNNNNNNNNNNNNNNNNNNNNNNNNNNNNNNNNNNNNNNNNNNNNNNNNNNNNNNNNNNNNNNNNNNNNNNNNNNNNNNNNNNNNNNNNNNNNNNNNNNNNNNNNNNNNNNNNNNNNNNNNNNNNNNNNNNNNNNNNNNNNNNNNNNNNNNNNNNNNNNNNNNNNNNNNNNNNNNNNNNNNNNNNNNNNNNNNNNNNNNNNNNNNNNNNNNNNNNNNNNNNNNNNNNNNNNNNNNNNNNNNNNNNNNNNNNNNNNNNNNNNNNNNNNNNNNNNNNNNNNNNNNNNNNNNNNNNNNNNNNNNNNNNNNNNNNNNNNNNNNNNNNNNNNNNNNNNNNNNNNNNNNNNNNNNNNNNNNNNNNNNNNNNNNNNNNNNNNNNNNNNNNNNNNNNNNNNNNNNNNNNNNNNNNNNNNNNNNNNNNNNNNNNNNNNNNNNNNNNNNNNNNNNNNNNNNNNNNNNNNNNNNNNNNNNNNNNNNNNNNNNNNNNNNNNNNNNNNNNNNNNNNNNNNNNNNNNNNNNNNNNNNNNNNNNNNNNNNNNNNNNNNNNNNNNNNNNNNNNNNNNNNNNNNNNNNNNNNNNNNNNNNNNNNNNNNNNNNNNNNNNNNNNNNNNNNNNNNNNNNNNNNNNNNNNNNNNNNNNNNNNNNNNNNNNNNNNNNNNNNNNNNNNNNNNNNNNNNNNNNNNNNNNNNNNNNNNNNNNNNNNNNNNNNNNNNNNNNNNNNNNNNNNNNNNNNNNNNNNNNNNNNNNNNNNNNNNNNNNNNNNNNNNNNNNNNNNNNNNNNNNNNNNNNNNNNNNNNNNNNNNNNNNNNNNNNNNNNNNNNNNNNNNNNNNNNNNNNNNNNNNNNNNNNNNNNNNNNNNNNNNNNNNNNNNNNNNNNNNNNNNNNNNNNNNNNNNNNNNNNNNNNNNNNNNNNNNNNNNNNNNNNNNNNNNNNNNNNNNNNNNNNNNNNNNNNNNNNNNNNNNNNNNNNNNNNNNNNNNNNNNNNNNNNNNNNNNNNNNNNNNNNNNNNNNNNNNNNNNNNNNNNNNNNNNNNNNNNNNNNNNNNNNNNNNNNNNNNNNNNNNNNNNNNNNNNNNNNNNNNNNNNNNNNNNNNNNNNNNNNNNNNNNNNNNNNNNNNNNNNNNNNNNNNNNNNNNNNNNNNNNNNNNNNNNNNNNNNNNNNNNNNNNNNNNNNNNNNNNNNNNNNNNNNNNNNNNNNNNNNNNNNNNNNNNNNNNNNNNNNNNNNNNNNNNNNNNNNNNNNNNNNNNNNNNNNNNNNNNNNNNNNNNNNNNNNNNNNNNNNNNNNNNNNNNNNNNNNNNNNNNNNNNNNNNNNNNNNNNNNNNNNNNNNNNNNNNNNNNNNNNNNNNNNNNNNNNNNNNNNNNNNNNNNNNNNNNNNNNNNNNNNNNNNNNNNNNNNNNNNNNNNNNNNNNNNNNNNNNNNNNNNNNNNNNNNNNNNNNNNNNNNNNNNNNNNNNNNNNNNNNNNNNNNNNNNNNNNNNNNNNNNNNNNNNNNNNNNNNNNNNNNNNNNNNNNNNNNNNNNNNNNNNNNNNNNNNNNNNNNNNNNNNNNNNNNNNNNNNNNNNNNNNNNNNNNNNNNNNNNNNNNNNNNNNNNNNNNNNNNNNNNNNNNNNNNNNNNNNNNNNNNNNNNNNNNNNNNNNNNNNNNNNNNNNNNNNNNNNNNNNNNNNNNNNNNNNNNNNNNNNNNNNNNNNNNNNNNNNNNNNNNNNNNNNNNNNNNNNNNNNNNNNNNNNNNNNNNNNNNNNNNNNNNNNNNNNNNNNNNNNNNNNNNNNNNNNNNNNNNNNNNNNNNNNNNNNNNNNNNNNNNNNNNNNNNNNNNNNNNNNNNNNNNNNNNNNNNNNNNNNNNNNNNNNNNNNNNNNNNNNNNNNNNNNNNNNNNNNNNNNNNNNNNNNNNNNNNNNNNNNNNNNNNNNNNNNNNNNNNNNNNNNNNNNNNNNNNNNNNNNNNNNNNNNNNNNNNNNNNNNNNNNNNNNNNNNNNNNNNNNNNNNNNNNNNNNNNNNNNNNNNNNNNNNNNNNNNNNNNNNNNNNNNNNNNNNNNNNNNNNNNNNNNNNNNNNNNNNNNNNNNNNNNNNNNNNNNNNNNNNNNNNNNNNNNNNNNNNNNNNNNNNNNNNNNNNNNNNNNNNNNNNNNNNNNNNNNNNNNNNNNNNNNNNNNNNNNNNNNNNNNNNNNNNNNNNNNNNNNNNNNNNNNNNNNNNNNNNNNNNNNNNNNNNNNNNNNNNNNNNNNNNNNNNNNNNNNNNNNNNNNNNNNNNNNNNNNNNNNNNNNNNNNNNNNNNNNNNNNNNNNNNNNNNNNNNNNNNNNNNNNNNNNNNNNNNNNNNNNNNNNNNNNNNNNNNNNNNNNNNNNNNNNNNNNNNNNNNNNNNNNNNNNNNNNNNNNNNNNNNNNNNNNNNNNNNNNNNNNNNNNNNNNNNNNNNNNNNNNNNNNNNNNNNNNNNNNNNNNNNNNNNNNNNNNNNNNNNNNNNNNNNNNNNNNNNNNNNNNNNNNNNNNNNNNNNNNNNNNNNNNNNNNNNNNNNNNNNNNNNNNNNNNNNNNNNNNNNNNNNNNNNNNNNNNNNNNNNNNNNNNNNNNNNNNNNNNNNNNNNNNNNNNNNNNNNNNNNNNNNNNNNNNNNNNNNNNNNNNNNNNNNNNNNNNNNNNNNNNNNNNNNNNNNNNNNNNNNNNNNNNNNNNNNNNNNNNNNNNNNNNNNNNNNNNNNNNNNNNNNNNNNNNNNNNNNNNNNNNNNNNNNNNNNNNNNNNNNNNNNNNNNNNNNNNNNNNNNNNNNNNNNNNNNNNNNNNNNNNNNNNNNNNNNNNNNNNNNNNNNNNNNNNNNNNNNNNNNNNNNNNNNNNNNNNNNNNNNNNNNNNNNNNNNNNNNNNNNNNNNNNNNNNNNNNNNNNNNNNNNNNNNNNNNNNNNNNNNNNNNNNNNNNNNNNNNNNNNNNNNNNNNNNNNNNNNNNNNNNNNNNNNNNNNNNNNNNNNNNNNNNNNNNNNNNNNNNNNNNNNNNNNNNNNNNNNNNNNNNNNNNNNNNNNNNNNNNNNNNNNNNNNNNNNNNNNNNNNNNNNNNNNNNNNNNNNNNNNNNNNNNNNNNNNNNNNNNNNNNNNNNNNNNNNNNNNNNNNNNNNNNNNNNNNNNNNNNNNNNNNNNNNNNNNNNNNNNNNNNNNNNNNNNNNNNNNNNNNNNNNNNNNNNNNNNNNNNNNNNNNNNNNNNNNNNNNNNNNNNNNNNNNNNNNNNNNNNNNNNNNNNNNNNNNNNNNNNNNNNNNNNNNNNNNNNNNNNNNNNNNNNNNNNNNNNNNNNNNNNNNNNNNNNNNNNNNNNNNNNNNNNNNNNNNNNNNNNNNNNNNNNNNNNNNNNNNNNNNNNNNNNNNNNNNNNNNNNNNNNNNNNNNNNNNNNNNNNNNNNNNNNNNNNNNNNNNNNNNNNNNNNNNNNNNNNNNNNNNNNNNNNNNNNNNNNNNNNNNNNNNNNNNNNNNNNNNNNNNNNNNNNNNNNNNNNNNNNNNNNNNNNNNNNNNNNNNNNNNNNNNNNNNNNNNNNNNNNNNNNNNNNNNNNNNNNNNNNNNNNNNNNNNNNNNNNNNNNNNNNNNNNNNNNNNNNNNNNNNNNNNNNNNNNNNNNNNNNNNNNNNNNNNNNNNNNNNNNNNNNNNNNNNNNNNNNNNNNNNNNNNNNNNNNNNNNNNNNNNNNNNNNNNNNNNNNNNNNNNNNNNNNNNNNNNNNNNNNNNNNNNNNNNNNNNNNNNNNNNNNNNNNNNNNNNNNNNNNNNNNNNNNNNNNNNNNNNNNNNNNNNNNNNNNNNNNNNNNNNNNNNNNNNNNNNNNNNNNNNNNNNNNNNNNNNNNNNNNNNNNNNNNNNNNNNNNNNNNNNNNNNNNNNNNNNNNNNNNNNNNNNNNNNNNNNNNNNNNNNNNNNNNNNNNNNNNNNNNNNNNNNNNNNNNNNNNNNNNNNNNNNNNNNNNNNNNNNNNNNNNNNNNNNNNNNNNNNNNNNNNNNNNNNNNNNNNNNNNNNNNNNNNNNNNNNNNNNNNNNNNNNNNNNNNNNNNNNNNNNNNNNNNNNNNNNNNNNNNNNNNNNNNNNNNNNNNNNNNNNNNNNNNNNNNNNNNNNNNNNNNNNNNNNNNNNNNNNNNNNNNNNNNNNNNNNNNNNNNNNNNNNNNNNNNNNNNNNNNNNNNNNNNNNNNNNNNNNNNNNNNNNNNNNNNNNNNNNNNNNNNNNNNNNNNNNNNNNNNNNNNNNNNNNNNNNNNNNNNNNNNNNNNNNNNNNNNNNNNNNNNNNNNNNNNNNNNNNNNNNNNNNNNNNNNNNNNNNNNNNNNNNNNNNNNNNNNNNNNNNNNNNNNNNNNNNNNNNNNNNNNNNNNNNNNNNNNNNNNNNNNNNNNNNNNNNNNNNNNNNNNNNNNNNNNNNNNNNNNNNNNNNNNNNNNNNNNNNNNNNNNNNNNNNNNNNNNNNNNNNNNNNNNNNNNNNNNNNNNNNNNNNNNNNNNNNNNNNNNNNNNNNNNNNNNNNNNNNNNNNNNNNNNNNNNNNNNNNNNNNNNNNNNNNNNNNNNNNNNNNNNNNNNNNNNNNNNNNNNNNNNNNNNNNNNNNNNNNNNNNNNNNNNNNNNNNNNNNNNNNNNNNNNNNNNNNNNNNNNNNNNNNNNNNNNNNNNNNNNNNNNNNNNNNNNNNNNNNNNNNNNNNNNNNNNNNNNNNNNNNNNNNNNNNNNNNNNNNNNNNNNNNNNNNNNNNNNNNNNNNNNNNNNNNNNNNNNNNNNNNNNNNNNNNNNNNNNNNNNNNNNNNNNNNNNNNNNNNNNNNNNNNNNNNNNNNNNNNNNNNNNNNNNNNNNNNNNNNNNNNNNNNNNNNNNNNNNNNNNNNNNNNNNNNNNNNNNNNNNNNNNNNNNNNNNNNNNNNNNNNNNNNNNNNNNNNNNNNNNNNNNNNNNNNNNNNNNNNNNNNNNNNNNNNNNNNNNNNNNNNNNNNNNNNNNNNNNNNNNNNNNNNNNNNNNNNNNNNNNNNNNNNNNNNNNNNNNNNNNNNNNNNNNNNNNNNNNNNNNNNNNNNNNNNNNNNNNNNNNNNNNNNNNNNNNNNNNNNNNNNNNNNNNNNNNNNNNNNNNNNNNNNNNNNNNNNNNNNNNNNNNNNNNNNNNNNNNNNNNNNNNNNNNNNNNNNNNNNNNNNNNNNNNNNNNNNNNNNNNNNNNNNNNNNNNNNNNNNNNNNNNNNNNNNNNNNNNNNNNNNNNNNNNNNNNNNNNNNNNNNNNNNNNNNNNNNNNNNNNNNNNNNNNNNNNNNNNNNNNNNNNNNNNNNNNNNNNNNNNNNNNNNNNNNNNNNNNNNNNNNNNNNNNNNNNNNNNNNNNNNNNNNNNNNNNNNNNNNNNNNNNNNNNNNNNNNNNNNNNNNNNNNNNNNNNNNNNNNNNNNNNNNNNNNNNNNNNNNNNNNNNNNNNNNNNNNNNNNNNNNNNNNNNNNNNNNNNNNNNNNNNNNNNNNNNNNNNNNNNNNNNNNNNNNNNNNNNNNNNNNNNNNNNNNNNNNNNNNNNNNNNNNNNNNNNNNNNNNNNNNNNNNNNNNNNNNNNNNNNNNNNNNNNNNNNNNNNNNNNNNNNNNNNNNNNNNNNNNNNNNNNNNNNNNNNNNNNNNNNNNNNNNNNNNNNNNNNNNNNNNNNNNNNNNNNNNNNNNNNNNNNNNNNNNNNNNNNNNNNNNNNNNNNNNNNNNNNNNNNNNNNNNNNNNNNNNNNNNNNNNNNNNNNNNNNNNNNNNNNNNNNNNNNNNNNNNNNNNNNNNNNNNNNNNNNNNNNNNNNNNNNNNNNNNNNNNNNNNNNNNNNNNNNNNNNNNNNNNNNNNNNNNNNNNNNNNNNNNNNNNNNNNNNNNNNNNNNNNNNNNNNNNNNNNNNNNNNNNNNNNNNNNNNNNNNNNNNNNNNNNNNNNNNNNNNNNNNNNNNNNNNNNNNNNNNNNNNNNNNNNNNNNNNNNNNNNNNNNNNNNNNNNNNNNNNNNNNNNNNNNNNNNNNNNNNNNNNNNNNNNNNNNNNNNNNNNNNNNNNNNNNNNNNNNNNNNNNNNNNNNNNNNNNNNNNNNNNNNNNNNNNNNNNNNNNNNNNNNNNNNNNNNNNNNNNNNNNNNNNNNNNNNNNNNNNNNNNNNNNNNNNNNNNNNNNNNNNNNNNNNNNNNNNNNNNNNNNNNNNNNNNNNNNNNNNNNNNNNNNNNNNNNNNNNNNNNNNNNNNNNNNNNNNNNNNNNNNNNNNNNNNNNNNNNNNNNNNNNNNNNNNNNNNNNNNNNNNNNNNNNNNNNNNNNNNNNNNNNNNNNNNNNNNNNNNNNNNNNNNNNNNNNNNNNNNNNNNNNNNNNNNNNNNNNNNNNNNNNNNNNNNNNNNNNNNNNNNNNNNNNNNNNNNNNNNNNNNNNNNNNNNNNNNNNNNNNNNNNNNNNNNNNNNNNNNNNNNNNNNNNNNNNNNNNNNNNNNNNNNNNNNNNNNNNNNNNNNNNNNNNNNNNNNNNNNNNNNNNNNNNNNNNNNNNNNNNNNNNNNNNNNNNNNNNNNNNNNNNNNNNNNNNNNNNNNNNNNNNNNNNNNNNNNNNNNNNNNNNNNNNNNNNNNNNNNNNNNNNNNNNNNNNNNNNNNNNNNNNNNNNNNNNNNNNNNNNNNNNNNNNNNNNNNNNNNNNNNNNNNNNNNNNNNNNNNNNNNNNNNNNNNNNNNNNNNNNNNNNNNNNNNNNNNNNNNNNNNNNNNNNNNNNNNNNNNNNNNNNNNNNNNNNNNNNNNNNNNNNNNNNNNNNNNNNNNNNNNNNNNNNNNNNNNNNNNNNNNNNNNNNNNNNNNNNNNNNNNNNNNNNNNNNNNNNNNNNNNNNNNNNNNNNNNNNNNNNNNNNNNNNNNNNNNNNNNNNNNNNNNNNNNNNNNNNNNNNNNNNNNNNNNNNNNNNNNNNNNNNNNNNNNNNNNNNNNNNNNNNNNNNNNNNNNNNNNNNNNNNNNNNNNNNNNNNNNNNNNNNNNNNNNNNNNNNNNNNNNNNNNNNNNNNNNNNNNNNNNNNNNNNNNNNNNNNNNNNNNNNNNNNNNNNNNNNNNNNNNNNNNNNNNNNNNNNNNNNNNNNNNNNNNNNNNNNNNNNNNNNNNNNNNNNNNNNNNNNNNNNNNNNNNNNNNNNNNNNNNNNNNNNNNNNNNNNNNNNNNNNNNNNNNNNNNNNNNNNNNNNNNNNNNNNNNNNNNNNNNNNNNNNNNNNNNNNNNNNNNNNNNNNNNNNNNNNNNNNNNNNNNNNNNNNNNNNNNNNNNNNNNNNNNNNNNNNNNNNNNNNNNNNNNNNNNNNNNNNNNNNNNNNNNNNNNNNNNNNNNNNNNNNNNNNNNNNNNNNNNNNNNNNNNNNNNNNNNNNNNNNNNNNNNNNNNNNNNNNNNNNNNNNNNNNNNNNNNNNNNNNNNNNNNNNNNNNNNNNNNNNNNNNNNNNNNNNNNNNNNNNNNNNNNNNNNNNNNNNNNNNNNNNNNNNNNNNNNNNNNNNNNNNNNNNNNNNNNNNNNNNNNNNNNNNNNNNNNNNNNNNNNNNNNNNNNNNNNNNNNNNNNNNNNNNNNNNNNNNNNNNNNNNNNNNNNNNNNNNNNNNNNNNNNNNNNNNNNNNNNNNNNNNNNNNNNNNNNNNNNNNNNNNNNNNNNNNNNNNNNNNNNNNNNNNNNNNNNNNNNNNNNNNNNNNNNNNNNNNNNNNNNNNNNNNNNNNNNNNNNNNNNNNNNNNNNNNNNNNNNNNNNNNNNNNNNNNNNNNNNNNNNNNNNNNNNNNNNNNNNNNNNNNNNNNNNNNNNNNNNNNNNNNNNNNNNNNNNNNNNNNNNNNNNNNNNNNNNNNNNNNNNNNNNNNNNNNNNNNNNNNNNNNNNNNNNNNNNNNNNNNNNNNNNNNNNNNNNNNNNNNNNNNNNNNNNNNNNNNNNNNNNNNNNNNNNNNNNNNNNNNNNNNNNNNNNNNNNNNNNNNNNNNNNNNNNNNNNNNNNNNNNNNNNNNNNNNNNNNNNNNNNNNNNNNNNNNNNNNNNNNNNNNNNNNNNNNNNNNNNNNNNNNNNNNNNNNNNNNNNNNNNNNNNNNNNNNNNNNNNNNNNNNNNNNNNNNNNNNNNNNNNNNNNNNNNNNNNNNNNNNNNNNNNNNNNNNNNNNNNNNNNNNNNNNNNNNNNNNNNNNNNNNNNNNNNNNNNNNNNNNNNNNNNNNNNNNNNNNNNNNNNNNNNNNNNNNNNNNNNNNNNNNNNNNNNNNNNNNNNNNNNNNNNNNNNNNNNNNNNNNNNNNNNNNNNNNNNNNNNNNNNNNNNNNNNNNNNNNNNNNNNNNNNNNNNNNNNNNNNNNNNNNNNNNNNNNNNNNNNNNNNNNNNNNNNNNNNNNNNNNNNNNNNNNNNNNNNNNNNNNNNNNNNNNNNNNNNNNNNNNNNNNNNNNNNNNNNNNNNNNNNNNNNNNNNNNNNNNNNNNNNNNNNNNNNNNNNNNNNNNNNNNNNNNNNNNNNNNNNNNNNNNNNNNNNNNNNNNNNNNNNNNNNNNNNNNNNNNNNNNNNNNNNNNNNNNNNNNNNNNNNNNNNNNNNNNNNNNNNNNNNNNNNNNNNNNNNNNNNNNNNNNNNNNNNNNNNNNNNNNNNNNNNNNNNNNNNNNNNNNNNNNNNNNNNNNNNNNNNNNNNNNNNNNNNNNNNNNNNNNNNNNNNNNNNNNNNNNNNNNNNGGAGGGGCAAGAGUCGAGCCCUAAGGGCCAAGGCAAUGAGCAACCAGCCCGCAAACGAAGUCAACCACCAAAGCCACCAACCUGUGGCAAAUGAAGUUGCCAACUGUGUUGAUGCUCACCAGUCUGCAACACCCGAAGCUACUGGCCCAUCUAGCCUGAACAAUGAACUAGACUCAGUUCUCCAAAAGAUAGAAGAGGUCAAAAGAAAGAAGGAACAGUUGGCACGACAAGUGCAACACCAGAAAGAGGCUGCGCCAGGCUAUCAAAGUUGAACGAGGCUAGGCGGCAACUAGAAGCACUACAGGAAGAAGUCGCAGAGCUCGAAAGCCCCCUCGAGAAUGCAAACCAGGCCGCAACUUAUUUUUAUCAAAGUCCCACUGUCGAUCAACACAGCUUCAACCCAGCAUCAACUUCGGCCAAGGCAUCCAGCACCACUCACCAGGGGUGUCCCUUGUUGUCGACCCAACUUCACCCUCUCAAUAGGGCUACAAACUGCACCAUGGCCGACGACCUACAAACCAACCACCUUGCCCAAAUUCAACGGGCGCACCGACCCGCGGCAAUUCUUAAUGAGUUAUGAAGCUGCAGUAGCUUCGGCCGGAGGGGAUGAUGUCGUCCUCACCAAAUCCUUCAUAAUUGCCUGCGAGGGCGCAACGCUAAAUUGGUAUUCGCUGCUCCCUCCCUCCACACAUGGUGAUCAACUGGCAUGACCUCAAGAUGAAGGUCACUCAAAAUUUCUAGGGUUUCCACCACCCUCACACGGCCUAGGCAGACCUCUUUCAGUGCAAGCAAAAGCACAAGGAACCGCUUGCAGAGAUGUAAGAAGAUACGUUCAACUUUGUUCUCAAGCACCGCAAAUUGAGGAGUCUGUAGCAAUAUCCACUUGCAUCGUGGGCCUAACCCCCGCCCAACAGCCUCAAAAUUGUUAAGGAAGGAGCCUAAAACCAUGACUGCCCUCUUCAGCAAACUCGAUGAAUACAUCAGGUCCGAUGAGGACCACCGCCGAAGAGUGGCGGAACGUAACAAAGAGAGACAAAAACCAAAACCGAAGCUGGCAACCUUCGCCUUACAACAAGCCUCAAAACCCAAAUCAAAACCAAAACCGCAUCAUGAACAUCGAGGGAAGCCAAAACCAAAACCAGAGCCAAAGCCAAAACAAGCACCCAAAGAGGCCACUCUGGCAAAGGACGAGGUCGAGGCAAACAACCAAAGUCGUUUUACUGUGUCAACCAUGGCCAUCAGAAUCAUCACAACAGAGGUGUGCCCCAAAAAAACAGGAAGAGAGAAAGCUGCAUAAGAAGCUGCAAGGACAGCCGCGCAGACACCCAAAACAAUCCACCACACAGCCUUUUACCCACACCCAACCUUCUACCACAAUCAACCCAGCUUCGCCAACUUCCCGCAACCAAUAAAUUGGCCUCUUCCACCGCACAUACAACCCUACCACCAAACAAUUCCACAGCACCCCAAUCCCAACCCGCCUCAGAAGCCCCAAGAAACUCUACCUCCACCCCCAAGCAUGCCAGCUAUAAUACCCAAGCCAGAACCCAACACGCAAACGCAACCAAAAUCCUUACCCUCCUUUCGGGAUGAUAAUGCCAUCACCGGGGCUCCUCGCUAGAGGUUGAAAGCAAGAGAUGAAACAAGAAUACUUCAGAGAGGUCAAUGUUAUCAUUCCCCGACUGACCUCCAGCAAAGCCAGAAUGGCACACAUGCCCAUAACCUUCACCGAAGAGGAUUUCAACCUCAAGACAACCUCGCACAACGAUGCGAUGGUCAUCAAAGCACUGAUAGCAGGCUGGACAGUGGGGAAAGUCCUGGUAGAACACAGGCAGCUCCGUGGACAUUCUCUUCGCAAAUGCAUUCAGAGAAAUGAAUAUUGACAUGAACACGCUCGACCCAAGGGAUGUCCCGCUCCUUGGCUUCGGCGGAAAGCCCGUGAAGCCUUGGGAAAAAUCGCCCUCCCAGUCUCGUUCCGAGACCGAGAUAAUGCGAGGACAGAACACAUCACCUUCGACGUAGUGGAAAUGCAUUAUCCCUACAAUGCAAUACUCAGCCGUGGCUUCAUCACCAAAAUGGACACAACAAUCAGGUAGUUGUACCUAUGCAUGAAAAUACCCGCCCUCAAAGGGGUCAUACGGUGUACGGUGAUCAGCAAAUGGCAAGGAACAUAGAAAAAGGGGUAGCCCCGGGCCAAAAGAAUGUCCACCAUCUAGCCUCGUCAAACGAAGCCGAAAACAUAGCAAAGCAAAAGGCCCACGACGAGCCUAAGAGAGCUAAACAAAAGGUAAAAAUCAGUGCGGAUGGCAAAACAAAGCGGGUACCUCAAAACAUAGCUAAGCCACACACCUGAACAAAUUUUCCCCGAAAUUUGCAACACGUCAAGAGUGCUUAUCACUCAACCGUCUCACAUCUCUUUUGUUUAAGGAAACUAGGCUCGUUACUACAAAAUGAACACCAAGAUGAUAGAGCUCUUUUACGAUACACAAUACUACUACUUAGUAGUAUAUAGUAUAUAUAUAUAAGAUCUAACUGUUCAUUAUUAUGGAUAAUUUAGUAAUUAUUACAAUGUAAAAAGUGAUAUUUCAAAUAGAAUGGUCUUUUAAACUUUCUGCUAGUAUCAAAAAUAAAAUUAUAGUGGUGCCAUUUGUGUUUGCUUACCAUGAUACCCUUAUACUACCUAUACUACUCAUGUAUACUACUCAUACCAUAGGCGUAGGUUUCAGUAGUAUGUAAUUAAUCUUGACCGUCGGAUAUGUUUAUACUAGUCAUUUUCGAACACAAGUAUAGUCUAGUGUUGUGUUCCGUAAAAGAGCUCAUAUAAUAUGUUAUAAAACUUAUUUGUGAAAGCUAAAGGCAACAACAGGGGAUAAAUUUCAGAAUAGGUAAGAACAGAAAUUUAAAAGGGCAAAAUUUGUUGAUGCAUGGAAAUGCAUAGAAUGCUUAUUACUCAAUCGACUCACAUCUCUUUUUCCUAGGAAACACAAUAAUUGUUGGAAACAAAGCACUUAUUGUUGGAAACAAAGCACUUAUUGUUGUUCAUAGCAGCUGAGAUUGACUUACAUAUAUUUAUUUGCAAACAGGUGUGAAAUGUGAUACAAUAAUUCAGAAAGCUAGACAUCCUGAGCCAUGCGAGGGAUAAGAAGAAGCUUCUCCUUACGGUGCACAUCCAUCCCAUACGACUCUGACAUAUCGACGCCUGUCGACCGCGGCAGAAGCUCCCAGUUGAAGUGGUAGAUGAGGUUGGCAAGAAUGAUUUCGAAAGUGGCGGUGGUGAAGUUUAUACCCGGGCACAUCCUUCGCCCAGACCCAAACGGCAAGAAACGGAAGUCGUUCCCCUGGAAGUCAGAAGCAGCAUCCACGGCUUCUUCCAUGAACCGCUCGGGCAUGAACUCCUCUGCACUCUCCCAGUAGGUGGAGUCCCUGCCUAGAGCCCACGCGUUGACGAUUACACGUGUCCCAGAGGGUAUGGUAUAUCCCUCCACCUCCCAUUCGGCCAUGGACAAGUGGGGUAUCAAAAGAGGCCCCGGCGCGUGUAGCCGCAUUGACUCUUUCAUCACCGCCGUCAGGUAGCUCAUGCCGCUCAGGUCUUGUUCAGUGACCAGUUCCUUCCCCCUGCUUGCGCACCCCCGCACCUCAGCUUGAAGCUUGGUCAUCACCUUGGGAUUCCGCAUCAGCUCAGCCAUGGCGUAGUCUAGUGCUAUGUAGGUUGUGUCCGUCCCAGCUUCAAACAUGUCCUACAUGAACAUAUCGGUAAGUAGAACUCCAAAUCAAAUUUAACCAAGCUAGUCCAUGAAACGUCUCAUAUGUACCUCUCGUGAAAAAUAAACAUACCAUCAGUAUUGCCUUGACGUUGUCUCUGGUCAGGCCGUACUCUUGUUGAACGGAGAGCAGCACAUCGAUGAAGUCCUCCUCGUCCUCACCAUCGACCGGCUUGGUCUUGUGCUUGUCGAUGAGGCUGUCCAAAAGGUCAUCCCAUAUCUUCCUGUGCUUCACGGCCUUGGCCGAUACCAAGUCCAACCUCGCCAAGCUCGGGAAAUAGUCGUCCAGGUUAAAUCCCCCCAGGAGCUUGGCGUUCGUCUCUAACAGCUCCCGGAACAGCUGGUUCCGACCUUGUUCCCUGGGGAGCCUGCCCGUCACGGCCUGGCACACGAUGUCGUUGGCGAAGAAGCUGAAGAGCUUGCUGACGUCGACCGCGAUGCCCAUGGCGGCGGCGGCCGUCACCUUGGCUAAAACCAGCUGGACCUCCUGCUCGCGGGCGGCGCGGUUGGACCGGACCUUCGCUGCGGUAAGGAGGUGGGUGGUGAUCACCUUCCUGGCCUGGCGCCAGUACUCACCGUAGGGGGCGAAGCCGACGUCGGUGCAGCCGUAGAACAGGACGUCGGCCACCGCGGAGUGCGGCCGGGAGGCGAAGACGUGGUCGUGCGUGCGCAGGACGGCCUUGGCGGCGCGUGGGGAGGAGACGACGAGCGUUGGCACGGCGCCGAGGCGGAGGAGCAUCACGUCGGGCCCGUGCCUCUUGGCGAGGUCGCGGAGGGAGUGGUGGGGAAGGGAUCCGAUGAGGUGGAGGUGGCCGAUGAUCGGGAGCUUGAACGGAGGCGACGGUAGCUUCCGGAGCAGCUUCUCUGUUCUUGACCUUGGUGUUGCCAAGUGCACGGCGACGAGGAAGAGGAAGAAGAGGAGGGCUAGGGACUCUGGAGAUGCGUGUUCGUAGAGGUGCGCUAGCGCUGGAGCCGCCAUGGCUGAUCAACUAGUGUGCACAACACACGGCUUGCUAGCGCAACAAGUUAGAACCAGCUCGUUGCAGUUUUUGUAGAGCUCGGUAGUCGUGAUCCGUCAGACAGCAAGAAGAGUAUGCUAUUUUUCUUCUUUUCUGCAUCAUCACUAGAUCAGAUCAGACAGGACCGACCAGAUCUGAUAUUUUAUGAGAGAAUCCUAUCGAAUAAUCAUCCUUUUUAUUAAACUGCACCCGACGCAGACUUUCUUUAUUUGCCCAUGUGCUAUUAUAUAUUAAUUUUUAUCUCGACUAUUAUAUUAAUUUUUAUCUCGACUAUAUACCACUGUCCUCAUGUAUGUUGUGUACCAAGAGGAACACGAGACGAUCGAGAUUCCAAUAAAAUAUGUGUUUGGUGCUGGAUUAAUUGGCAUGCUUUUCUCUCAGAUGAGCUGCGUGUAGUGACAGCGGCGCUCGCAAUAGUUGGUCGGCGCACUGGUAGACGGGCAGCUCAUGGAUGCUACCGACGGCUCUGCAACUUGAUGCAGUUCAUGCACGCUGCUGGGUGGCACCCAUGGUGCGAUAUGGCAUUGGCAUUGGCACUGUGGCGGCGGAUCCGACCAGUAGCAGAAGCUCGCACAAGUCUAAAUGUAUCUAACUUUGAUGAAUUUUGAUUUCAAAUCUAUGGAGGCUUUUGAGCUCGAACUAAUUGAAAUGGAUCACACUUUAGUAGUGUUUUCAACAUAAAAAAUUGACACAAAUUAUGGCGGUCAUUUGUGCCACUGGAGAAAUUAAAGGGAAAAAUAGAAAAGAUGGUGUUUUCAAUACACUUUCUUGCUAGCUUGCUAGCCUUUCCCCACGGUGCUGAAAUCGUGGCGGGGCAAAAGGGGAGGUGCAUGAACUCGUCGCUGGCUGCCGGAGGACAGAGCUAGGGGCGGUUCAGGCACAACGGUGCGUAGGCGGGGUAGCGGCCAGGAGUGGCGGUGAGCAGUCUGCCUAGCCCAGGCAGAAAAACAAAGGUUUGAAACAAACAAGCCCUUGGUGUGUAACUGAUAGGCAUAUGUUCGAAACUCCGAUCCUGUCGCCCUUGAUUAAAAUUCAUAGUAGAGACCCAUUGAGGAUUAGCCCUGGCAUCGAUCCGGCCACAGGAGAGACCGGGAGCCAAGAAGUGAAGUAAGUUGCGUGCGUGCCUGACGGCGAGGAAGCACCUCCAUUGAGCCACGAGGUGGAGUACGAGGCAGAGGCGAGAUGGGAUGUGUUGGGGACAGACUCACAUGACGGAGAGCGGUGCAUCUCCUACCUACCAUCUGCCAUUGCCGAGGGCCUUUCACCGUGCACCACUCCGGUUCGCUCUUUUGCGUCGCUGGGAGGAAAGGGACCGCCGAGCGUUGGGUGCCGCCACCGCUCCUGUGUAGUUCACCAUGGCCACCUCCUCCGAUAGCGCCCACACCAGCGCUGCACCUCAUUCCAGGGAUGGGGCAGCCGCUGCUGGGUCACAUCCACCCGGGGAUUGGGCCGUUGCUGGGGAAUGCGCGGCAGAGAAGAAAAGGAGAAAACAGAGGAGACGUGACUGACAGGGACGGAGGAAAGAUGAUGAGUGCGUACGGUGGGGGCGGGUAGGAAACGCAUCGGUAAAAAUGGAAUUGGUUUUUUGGUAGAAACAUUUUCUAACUUGUGGUUUUUAUGGGUCUCCACCUUAUCCUCUCUCAAUUGCAUGAUAGGUGGGUCCGACAUGAGCGGUAAGGUGGUUCUGGUUUGGGUGAGAAACGUUUCCAAUUAUGUUGGAAAACAGGCUUCGCGGAGGCUCAAACACAAUGAGGUUUGAGCAGUCCUUGCAAUUCAAUUCCAAAGAAAUGAACAUAUGUUUACAUCGGGGUAGGGCUCUCCUUUUAUAGUAUCUCGGAGGACAUUUUGCAUUCCGCAAUUACCCUCACUCACCCACUACAAUCCUAGAAUAUGCUUUACAUGGAGGUAACUUGUAUAACUUGGUCUCCUCCUUGGAUCACGCUUCUCACGCCUUUAGUCAGCUCCAUGAUUCACGCUCUCACAUGGUUCCACAAAUCACGCCUUCACAUUUCCAACGCCUCCACGCUUCCUGACCUCGUGACCGAAGCCAUCUUAGCUUCGGGAGUCAUGAUCGCCAUAGAUUCGCACCUAAGAGACGCUAGCCUCGCGCCCUGCUCCUUGACCUGAUUCAGCGAUCCUGCAUGAGACACUAAAUAACUCAGCACUCGAGGUUAGCUUCGACUGCUCGAGGUCAAGCUUGGUUAGUGUCUGGCGAUCUGUGUGCCUCCGGGCUUCAAGGUAAGAUUCAGGAUAGCGAGGCUAUGAUUACUUUCCACACCAGAUUAACCACCCAAGGUUAGGGGUCCUCACCCGAGGUUAAUUAUUUUGAGGGGCUAAGCUGUUGACGCUAAAUGUAACGACCUCGAGGGUGACCAUCUUUUUGGGCGAUCCCCAACAGUAGCCCCUCGUGGGCAAGGCUCGACACCGACAACCGAACCCGCGACUUAAGGAUCUGCUCCCAAAAAACGUCACCCUCAAGCAUCGGUUAGAAAUGAGCCGACAAUUACCUUUUUGGUCUUACGUGUUGAUUUCCUAUUGGGUGACCCUUCGUAUCUAGCUCGUGGUUACAGGCGCCAUUUCACGCAUUUUACCAUGCCUAUAAAAGAGGGGGGUGGGGUCGCUUUCGUUUUUACCCUCGCGGCUAAAACCCUUGCGCUCCUGCUUUUGCUCGCUGCUUCCGUGCUUUAAGAUUCAUGCAUUGUAUGCUGUUCUCCUUGGUCUCGAGGAUCUCAAAGGUAACAAUGUUACUUGUGUCUCUCUUUUAGUGUGAGAUUUUCCCUUGCUUGUCAUUUUGGAGAUGAUGUUUCGAUGCCUUGCAGCUGGCUCGUAUUAUGCAAACCGCUAGGCCCAUGACAUCAGAAGAGUUCACUAAACAAGUUGGGCUUCGCAAUGAGGCUGCGGAGGACCAGGAUUUGUACAAGGCUGACGAGAAGCAAGGAAUCAAGAGGAUUGAGCUUUCUUAUGCCCAGAACAAUAGGUGAGAAGACAAUUGGCUAAGCUACUACUUCUAUAUCAAGAUUGACAGGGCCGAUGCGUCUGGUAUCAACCGAUCUUUCUAUCCUUCUGUGCACCCCUGGGCCCUAUGGAUAUUGCUACUACCCCUGCAUUUACAAGGUCCAAGGCAGACAAGGAGUGCAAGGGCGCUUUCCUCCCGGACUCGAAGUCGAUCCCCGGCUGGAUCUUGUUGAAGAGUUUUUGGCAGCCAAUAUUUGGCCCCUUUCUGAUGGGUGGAGUCCAUUGGAGAUUGUGCCAAAAGACGUUUUGUGGAGUACUAGCCCGCUCCUCUACCCUUGCUUUGGAGUGGAGCUGCCCGUGGAUGCCAACCCCGGUCUUUUUGCAGAGGAUGUUGAGAGGCAUGCCGUUGAUAUAAUUGGCCCGAGUACUGAGACUGAGCUGAUGUUAGCUCGAAAGAUCAUUGCACACGAGCUUCGGGUCAACCGUGUGUUCGAGGAACUUGGGGUCGAUGUUAAGCCUCAUCCCAAACCUCGCAAGACCUUGAAAUGGGCACGAGAGGCUGGCGCGACAGGCUUGGAAUAGGUUGGCAGCAGUGGCAGGUGGAAAAAGAGAAAGGCCGAGAGCACCGCUCCUAUGGCCGCGGCAGUGACUUCAAAGAAGGAUGACAGCCAAUCAAGGGUCGUGCUCGAGGUGCGAAAGCAAAAUUAAAGACCUCGAGCCUCGAAGCUUAGAAGAAGUAAGAAAAAAUUGGACAAAGUUCCUCAAGCGAGGCUGCAAAAUCCUCCACGCCCCUGUCUCUAAAGCCAUCCGAGUUGCGACCAAGUCCGAACUCGAGGCUGCCGGCGCACUGGCCGGUAUGAAAGAAAAGAAGUCUACGAGGAAGUCUCACGUCGGCAAAGCCUUUGAUGAUGAUGAUGAUAUUGUUUUGGAUGUGGACUUGUCUAUGUUCCCUAUAUCGGUCCCCAAGGCUAGUGUUCCUUCAAAGGAGACUGAGACUAAGGUUGCUGCACCCCCUCUACAGCACAAGGCCAAACCUUUGAAGGAGAAGAUCGUGGAUACCAUUGCUAAGGAGAUUAAGGCAUCUACUUCGAAGGUGACAAAGCCAGGUAAACAUGUCGUUGUACAUUUGCCUAGGAUGAGAUUUUAUGAUUGUGGUGAUGCGUCAUUUAGAUUUCUGAUGGAGCUGGAAAAAACCACUGGUGCACCUUGGGAGAUAUAUAGGGAACCUCCUCUAAUAUUUAGGGUAAAACCUUAUUCUGCAGAUUCUGAACUGUCACCCUCUCUGGAACGUUACAACGAGGCCUACGGCACCAACCUUAGACAGGAGCUCAUUGCUGUUCAUGUGCCGGGUUCAGGUGAGGACGAUAAUCGCUACAACCUACCCUUGUUGUGGGGAGCUAAGGAUGGGAUGCGUGGUGUAGAUAGAGCAGCCAAGGAGGUUUUCAAGAUGUCUGAGGGGGUUGUCGGCGAGGUUGGUGGGCAGGGAGAAAGGGAGGAAGGCGAGGUUAUCCCUACUCGAGGUCUUGGGAAAUCCACUGUGCCUUUUGAGGUUGAUUACGAGGACAAGUCUUUUAAUCCUGAGAGUAAGCGCUUGCUCCUUAGUUUGUUUUGUCUGUACUUAAUUUCUACUUUGCUAUGCUUUGACGUGCCUUUCUUUUGACAGAGUAUGAAAAAUCAGUUAGGCGUUUUGAGCAAAAGGACUUAGCUAGGAUGUCAGCUACCAUCGGAUACAAGGUAUUUUGUUCGACGCUUGCUAUUUGUUUCUUAUCUCUCUUUUUUUAUGAGUCUUUUCAUUUUGGUGUUUUGAUUUUGCAGUCCAUCAUCCUUGGGAAGAUGCUAUGGAGAAGGCUGCGGCUAAGGAAAAGAGCAUGCUAGCCGAGAGCACGAAGAUGAUGCAGCUAGAGGCUAGAGUUGCAAAGCUUGAGGAGGAAAGCAAGGUUUUAUAUGCCUUGAAGAACGAGCUCGCCGAUUCUAACUCUGACCUUAAAAAGAACAACGUGCUGCUAACAAAUACCUACAGCGAGCUCGUGCAGCAAGUUGAGAAGCUGGAGAAAAGACCCGAAGACAAUCUUGGUGUUUUGGAGAAACUCCGAAGCGCCACAGAAAAAGACGUACAGACUGUCAUAGAGCAGGAAAAAAUGAUUCAUACCCUUGGUCAGGAUCUCAAAGAGCAAAAGACCUUUGUUGUGGAAGCAGAGCGGGCUCUCAAGGAAAAGUUCGUUGAGAUCUAUGAGGUGUACAAAACUGCUCUUGCAAAGUUUGGCACAGAGCCUCUUUUGUUUCUGGGUGAUGAAAGUGUAAAAGAAAUAUUUGAUUGGGUGGAAGAGGAGUUCAAAGGCCUGCCCGAGGUUAUUACUGGUAGCAGCAACUUUGCUACUUCCUUCUGCCUUGAUAGCGCAUUUCAACUCCUUGAAAAGAACAGCUACUCUCAUUUCUUAACACUUGCGGCUCGCACCUAUAUGUUCCCCUCGGCCUCGGAGCUUGAUGAAGAGGAGAAAUCUAAAAAUUUGAGAGCCAUGAAGAUAAAUUUCUUCAAACAGCUUUGGGCUACCUCCGGGCGAGAGUACACAAGGCUGGUUGCUCAAGAGCGGCUUGCACAGGUUAGGGUUCACAUAACUUUGUAUUUCAUAAGGUUUGCAUUUUUUCUGUUGAUUUCCUGAUGUUGUUCCUCUUGUGUUCGUAGGCCAAGGCAUAGGAAGCAAAAGGCGAAGGUGGGAGCGAGAACGAUGAUGCUGAUCAAGGAGGGCAGUGAUUAUCGAAGCUAGUUAGAGAUUUGUUUUGUGGUUUGGGAUGUUUUGAUAAACUUGAUACUUAGUUGGCUGCUUUUGCGGGCCAGAUUGUAAAUAUUUGUUGCUCAGCCGGAACUUACAUGCUCGAAGCUGGUUACUUUUGGCGUUUGUACCUUCACGGAUUUCUUUUUAUCUUAACGUUUUUAUGUUUGAGUUAUUCUACUCAAAUGGCAACAAAGCUGUAGCUUAAAGAAAUGAGCAAUGUUUUAGUUUAAAACGUCACCCCUGCCCUAGUUUCUUUAUGCGUAGGUUUUUGUUGACUUUGCACGCUUGUUGUCUAAGCUCAAACGGAGCUUAAAAACGUCACCCCCUUCUUGGCACGUGGGUCUUACCCAAGGCAAUUCUCUCAUGGAAAGAGGAUGAAAACGAUUUUUGUUUGCCAAAAAAUGUCACCCCCGCCCUUUUAUCCUUUUUCCGAAAAAACAUCCAACCUCGCCCUUUUCUUUUGCAUGAACGAGGUUAAGUGAGUAUUGACAAACCACAAGAUAAGUCAAUAGAAAAGUUGUUUUCGAGUUAUGUUGUCUUAAAAAAUAUGAUAGUUUGGUUGAAAUCGCAACCCUUAGGAUGUGUUUGGUUGGGCUGUGGCUUUUCAAAAAGCUGCUGUGAGUUGUGGGCUGUAGAAAAGCAGCUGUGAGAAAGCAGCUGUGGGAAAAGUAUAAGGCCAUUUGGUUAGAGCAGAUGUAGCUUUUGAAUAAAUUUUCGAGUGGACCCUGCAUGUCAUCCACAGUCCACCCCACUCAACUCUCUCCCUCUCUCACUGACGAGCGGGUCUAACCCUUCUUCUUCCUCCCGCUGGCUUGUCCACCCCAUAGCACCCCGAGUAGCACCAGGGCCGCAACGGCAUCCACGAUGAUGCAGUCCACAAUCAGGGCGAGGUCCAUGAUGGCGAUGGCCUGCGCCUCACCUCCUCCACCUUGCACCACGUGGCAGGCACCGUAGCACCACCGGCAUCUAGGAGGCAGUAGCACCCCGCGGGCACGCAUGCGUCGACAUAGAGGUUGAGGCUGGUCUGUGCCGCCAAGAGCCUGCCGCCCGCGCAGGCGAGCCCCGCCUCCAUGGUGCCCUUCGGUGUGGAGGCGGAGAGUGAUGAGGAGAGGGAUGCCAUGGCAGCGGCGAGGAGGAGGAGACGCGCGAUGAUGAGUGUGUGCUGCUGGAGGUCGGAGGCCGGGAGCGAGACGGCAAGGAGGCCUGCGGCAUGGUCGAGGAGGAGGAACGACAGGGAGAGGAGGAGCGGGAGGUGGGGCGGGAGGAAUGGGAGCAGCGGUGGGAGGAGCAGCAGUGGGAGGAGCGUCAUGGAAGCCAGUGGGAGGAAGGCGAACAGGAGCACGAGGAGUAGCGAGAGGAGGCAGAGGAGCGGGUGGCGGAACAGGCGGAGGAGGUGGUGGUGGAGGGAGGACGGGGAGAGGUAGGAGACGGCGGCAAUGAGGUGGUGGGACUGGGAGGUCGCGAUGAGGGAGAAUAUAAGGGCAUGGCAUGCGAGCAGCAGCGCCUCCACCAUUGGGGUUGGGCAACGCGGUCGGGGAAGUCCCGAGGAGGAGGAGCACCAGGCGGCGGGCCACUAAGGUGAUGGUCGGGUGGGGGGACUGGUGUGGGUGAUGGGGAGUGGACGGGAAUAGAAGGGGAAAACGAACCGUUAUCCUCCAUAACAAGUGGUAGGUGGGUAAUUUUUUGCCCCAAAAGCAGCUAAAAGCAGUGGGGAAGGUGCUUUUGAUUUUGAGCAAAAGCACGUAUGGCUUUGGUCAAAAGCACGUAUGGCUUUUAGGCCCUUUGGUUGGCUUUUGGUUUUUGCAAAAGCAAAAGUAGGUUGGAAAGUCCAACCAAAGGCACCCUUAGUUGCUUCAACCAUGAAAUUUUGCGAGGUUGAGAAAAUAGGGAAAUAGGGUGCCUUUUUUGAAAAAAUGUCAGUCUUUCUAUUCUAUUGUGAGAGCUUUGGCUGAGGCUAGGGCCUUCGUGCGAAAGGACAAAAUGAAUUUUCGACUCUGAAAAACGUCACCCCCCUUGUCCUUUUGCGCAGAGGGGGUUUAGACUCAGCAUGGCUUAUUCCGAGUGUUAUCGCUGCCUUUGAUCCCUUGCUGCAGUCUUUCUAUUCUCUGAGUUGCAAGUUCAAGGCCAAUCACUGUGGUGUUUGAGUGAGAAAAUACGUUUAUGUGCAUAUAGUGUGCGUUCAAUGUUAGACUAUGCAGCUUAUUGCUGCUUUAAAAUAUCUUGCGCAGAAACGUAGGUUUUCAGCACGCAGAAACGUGAGGUUAGGCAAGUUGUUGUUGCAUCUGAGACUUGUGCAGACACGCAAGUUUUCAAUGCACAGAAACUCGAGGUUAGGCAACUUGUUGUUGCAUCUAAGACAAAGAUCAUAGGGGGAACUUCAUUUCAUUGAAUAAUGGAAAUUUUACAAGGAUCUACCUCUUCCGACAUGGUUGCCUCUUUGGCCACUUCUGAAAUUGGGUUGAUGUUGGUGGUGUCGGUUCUGGUUUUGGCCUUGGUUUUGGUUUUGGGUUUGGUUUUUGAACGAGGGUUGGUUAUCCUUGAUGGCCAGCAGUUAGUUUGGGUGCGAGUGGUGCUGUUGUUGGUGACUGUAUCACGAAGCUUGCCAGUUUUGACCUUUCUCUGCUUGCCUUUGGCGGUUUCUUUCCACGACCCUUCUUCUAUGGUCUUCAUCUGAUCUGCAAUAUUUAUCCAUCUCUGCGAACAGGGCUUCCAUUCUUUUUGGCUUUUUCCUUGAUAGCUUUGAGGCUGUUGGCCUCGGAUUAAGCCCCUUGAUGCAGAUCUCUAUAGCCAUGCUAUCCUCCACAUCUGGGGUUUGUGCCUUAAGUUGGACAAAUCUUCUCACGUAGCUUGCUAAAAGGCUCUUUAUCUUUUUGCACACAAUUGAACAAAUCCCCCUCAUCAGUCAUGGCUCUAUGAAAGCCUUGAAAGUUUUGUAUAAGUUUGGUUUUAAGAUCGACCCAGCUGUAUACAGAUUGCAGCAGGAGUAGAGAGUACCAAUUUAGUGCUGCACCCUCGCACGCUAUAAUGAAUGACUUUUCCAAUACUACAUCAUCUCCCCCUGCCGAGGCUAUGGCUGUUUCAUAACUCAUGAGGAACUAGCGGGGAUCUGUUUGUCCAUUGAAUUUUGGUAGUGCAACUGCCUUGUAGGUUGUGGGCCAUGGGGCUUUUUGCAGGCCUAAGGACAAUUGGGAGAUUUUGUCGGUAGUUGUGUAUGCGCUCAUUGUCACUCUGGUGUUGUGCCCAACGAGGCUAGGAUUCGGGUAUAUGAUGGGUGUGUCAUUGGUGUUGAAGGUUUGAAGUGGUGGCUGCUGCGGCUGUUGCGGUGUGUUACACAAGUAUUCCAAUUCGUUCAACUCUUGCUGCAACUCUGCCAGCUGCCUUUUGGCCUCAUUUAGCCUCACUAGCUUGUUGGUUGCUAGUCUUUGAGCCUGAAGCUCUUGAGCAAAUUUUUCUUUUUCUUUUUUAAUGCCUCUAGCUGCUUGAGUGCGGAGGCCAACUCUUCUUCUAUUUCACUAAGGGGUUCAUCUUGCGUGCUUGUUUGCUGCAGAGUUUGGUUCGAGGUCCCCGCCUCAACCAUGCCUUUCUGUGAUCUUGUUCUUAAAUUAGCCUCGAUUCUUUUAAACUUUUUCUGCCUUCUCCGUGUUAACUUGUUCGACUGAGACAAGCUGCCUUUCUUGUCCAGCCUCAUCUUCGAUGGUUCUCUUCUUCUUUUGAGGUGGCAUCAUGGGUUUCUUAGUGGCUCAGAAUACCUGCUGUUACCAUGGCACUUCAGCAACCCCACCCAACCCCACGCGCAAGUCAAAAUUUGAGGACCAUAUGUACAAUACGUGUGCAAACAAAACCAUAAUUUCACUAGUAUUGAGGGAUUUUAGUUAUUUCUUCUAAAAAAUCUCUUGGGAAAUCGUAUUUUUGUAGUACAACAUAUAUAGAAAAUAAGUAUUACUCCCAAAUAAACUGCCCUUUUCUUUAGUAUUCUUGGUUUUUGUUAUUAUUUUAUUUAAUCUUACGAUUUAUAUAUGCAUAAAAAAGUAAUUUAGUAUCUUCAAAUAUGGAAACGUGGUCUUAGGAAAUUGUCUAAUAUAUACUAGUUUACCUGCAAUCCACUGGCUUGCACAUUAUAUUUCAUCAUACGGAAAUGUCUGGCAUUGUGAACGGAAGCAAUUUCAUCUGUCUGCAACCCGGCAUAGCAUGUGACACCCAGAGCUCCUGACACAAGCGCGUGAGCACCUUCUCCGACAUGCGCACAUGAUGACCGCAUGCACCCAUAUUAUACAUAGUUUAUUAUAUUUUUGGCUGGGAUAUGAUAAUCAUUAAUUAUUACUUGUAAAGAUUGGAAACGUUACAAACGAUUGUAGAAAAAAUGCGAGUCACCAGGAAGGUAGGUAGUAGAGCAUGCCGUCAGUGUCUUUCCUGUGACCUGUGUUCGUGGUGCACAUGGCAGAAUGCACAGUCUAUACAUAGGAACCAGAAGUUGGCUUCGAAACCAAAUCACUCAUUAGUCCUUCGGUACUGCAGUGAACGCUAUCUAGCUAGCUAAUUUCCCCUUGAAAUCAGUGGCCAUGGGUAGCCUUCCACUUGAAGCCAUGAUGCCACUGAACCCCGAUUCAUUCGCUGGGGAGUCCAGUGCCGUGGUCGACUUCCUCGCCGACUACUACCGCAACGUCGAUAAGUAUCCGGUCAUGGCCAACACCCAGCCAGGGACCAUCCGUAAGCUUCUUCCGGAGGCAGCCCCGGAGUUGGGCGACUCCAUGGAUCGCAUACUGGAUGAUGUGCAGCGGGAUAUCCUCCCCGGCCUCACACAUUGGCAGAGCCCUAGCUUCUUUGCCUAUUUCCCGGCGAAUGCAAGCACCGCAGGGUUCGCCGGGGAGAUGUUGUCGGCUGGUCUCAACGUCGUCCCGUUCGUCUGGACGGCGUCACCGGUGGCCACUGAGCUGGAGCAGGUCGUGGUUGACUGGAUGGCUAGCCUCCUCGGCCUACCGGAGCGCUUCCACUUCAAGGGAGGAGGAGGCGGUGUCCUGCAUGGGAGCACGUGCGAGGCGGUGGUGUGCACUCUCGCUGCCGCGCGCGACCGUGCACUCAGCAAGCUCGGACAUGAGGGCAUCCUCAAGCUUGUCGUGUAUGCCUCGGACCAGACCCACGCAACCUUCCAGAAGGGCGCGAGCAUCGUCGGCAUCCCUCCAGCAAACUUCCGCAUCCUGCGGACUUCGGCAAACUCGGGAUACGGCCUGACCGCCACCAUCGUCCAAAGAGCAAUCGAGGAAGACGUCGCCCGCGGGCUGCUUCCCCUUUACCUCUGCGCCACCGUCGGCACUACUGGUCUGGGGGCCAUUGACCGAGUGCGCGAGCUCGGCCAUGUUGCCCGGCGUUAUGGUAAUUCAUUCAACCUCCCUCUCUUAUACGCUAAUCACCCAUACGGUGACACUAAAUACGUAGAAAUGGAAUGCGCUAUGCGGUCACAGGUCACGAUUUCAUGCUCACUUAACAAUCAACAAUCAGUUCCUAUAACCAUCUGACAAGAAUACAUGUUUUACAGGAACCUGGCUGCACAUCGACGCAGCCUACGCCGGAAGCGCAGCCAUUUGCCCGGAGUUCCAAGGUCACCUCGACGGCGCCGAGCUCGCGGACUCGCUGAGCAUGAACCCACAUAAGUGGUUCCUCACCAACAUGGACUGCUGCUGCCUCUGGGUGGCGAACCCUACCACCAUGACCGACGCACUGUCCACUGACCCGGAGUACCUCAAGAAUGUCGGCACCGCGUCUAAGAUGGCGGAAACGGUCGACUACAAGGACUGGCAGAUCGCGCUGUCACGCCGCUUCCGUGCCAUCAAACUCUGGGUGGUGCUACGGCGCUAUGGAGCGGCGGGAAUGCGCGCGCACAUACGGAGGCACAUCCAGAUGGCAGAGUGGUUCGAGCACGUCGUGGCGGCGGACGAGCGGUUUGAGGUCGUGGUGCCAAGGAACUUCUCCUUGGUGUGCUUCCGCCUCCGCCCGCGGUUCAUGGCGGAUAAAGCUGUGGAGGCCCUGAACCGCGACCUCCUCGCAGCGGUGAAUGCAAGCAGCCGGGCGUUCAUGACGCACUUCGUCGUGGACGACAAGUUUGUGAUCCGCCUAGCCGUGGGUGGGUCAAUGACAGAGAUGCGGCACGUCCGGGCCGCGUGGGAGCUUCUCAAGGAGAAGGCCAACGACUUGAUCGCCACCGGUUGUUAGUUAUUGCUCAUUGCUAGUGCUAUACCAUGCAUGGCCAGCAACAGAAGCUGAGCAUUCUAUUAUUGCUUCCAUUCGUAGUUAGAGCACACCAUGAAUGCAAUAGUCAAUCCAUCUGAACCAUGAACAUUCACUAUGACCAUGUAUGCGACACAAUAUACAUAACUGCUACUGCCGAUAUUGGAUUCUAUUUCUGGAGAAGCAGCUGCUUCUACGGAGCAGGCCGAUUGAAUUUUAAGUAUGUUAUGAUACUUGUAAAAAAUCGAUGCUAGGCAUGGAUUCCUGGAAGGGGCCCGUCACAACUCACAAUGGAAGGGACCCGUCAUAACCAAGCUCGUUAAUACAAAAGAAACGUCACGCGAAACAAAUGGACGCUAAGCCACACACCUGAAGAAAUUUUACCCGAAAUUUGCAACACGUCAAGAAUGGUUAUCACUCAACCGUCUCACAUCUCUUUUGUUUAAGGAAACCAGGCUCGUUACUACAAAAUGAACACCAAGAUGAUAGAGCUCUUUUACGAUCCACAAUACUACUACUUAGUAGUAUAUAGUAUAUAUAUAAGAUCUAACUGUUCAUUAUUAUGGAUAAUUUAGUAAUUAUUACAAUGUAAAAAGUGAUAUUUCAAAUAGAAUGGUCUUUUAAAUUUUCUGCUAGUAUCAAAAAUAAAAUUAUAGUGGUGCCAUUUGUGUUUUCUUACCAUGAUACCCUUAUACUACCUAUACUACUCGUGUAUACUACCCAUACCACAGGCGUAGGUUUCAGUAGUAUCUAAUUAAUCUUGACCGUCAGAUAUGUUUAUACUAGUCAUUUUCGAACACAAGUAUAGUCUAGUGUUGUGUUCCGUAAAAGAGCUCAUAUAAUAUAUUAUAAAACUUAUUUGUGAAAGCUAAAGGCAACAACAGGGGAUAAAUUCCAGAAUAGGUAAGAACAGAAAUUUAAAAGGGCAAAAUUUGUUGAUGCAUGGAAAUGCAUAGAAUACUUAUUGGAGCGAAGGCCCUUUUAGGUCCAUGGGCUAUUUAUGCCCCUCCACUCGCCCAUUCAGAGUUGCUGGAGUGUCCAUACAUCUAUUGAAGACCAAGGCUCAUCAAGUGACCAAUGGAGAAACCACACAUCCACUGUGAUAAUUUUAGAGCAUCCAGGUGACGAUAUUCAAUGCGCUCAAAUGGUGGUAUUCAACUUAGAAAAAAUAGUAGCACCAGAAGAUCUCAGAGUCAUCGGAGCAACCAUCGAAGCAAUUGGUACAACUGAGAAGUAAGCUUGAGUUGCAGCAAGCACUAGAUGAUCCGACGGGGUCCUUUUCACAAGCGUCGGAGCAAUUCGUAAAGAAGACGGAGAAAGACCUAUAGCACAAGAUAUUCCGAUGGCUAGAAGAUGAAGGAAUCGGACCAAGCAUAUUUACUUUGAAAACGUCAAGAGAGUUUUUAGGAAAAAGUCCUUCAGCACCGGAUGAUCCGACGUUACGUCGGAUGAAUUUAGGUAGAGGUCCAACGGCUAUAUACGUCAGCAGGGGGCGUGUCACACCCGAUUUUAAGGACAAAACCGAGUGCUUUCAAUACAUGUGCGCAAGGAACAAGUUACACAUGUACGACAUAAGUGAAUAACAAAGGCAGUGCCAAAGUGAAUAAAGAGAGUAUUAAACUUUAUUACAUGACCGAAAGUCUUAAUAAAACACAAGCCUAACUUAUUACGCAGCGGAUUCCGAAGAUGACGAUGACACCUCAGGCUGCUGACUGAAGAACCGUAUGCCUAGAACUCCUCAAACUCGUGCAGGUACUUCUGCAGAUUCUCUUCGUCUGAACAACGGUUUUGCAAGGGUGAGUACACUUAUGGUUGGUACUCAACAAGUCGUGGGGAAUAGUGUAGUGUAAGGCCAACCAAGGUAUGGCUAAGGCUAAAUAGCAUCAGCUUUUAAUUAGCUUGGUCAAAUUUUAUUAGCAAUUAACUAAGUAUAAGUUUAUACCACCCCAAAUUAAACAUGAACAUAAAUAAAGUAAACAACAUAUGCGCGGUAUGACAACAAUUUAAGUCCAUCUUUCGUUAGUAUUAUCAUGUGAGGGUCCAGGCCGCUCUUAACCGUGAGCACGGCUGAUCGAUCAGUUUUACACUCUGCAGAGGUCGUACAUCUUUACCCAGAAGUCGCGUAAAAGUUCAAAAGAACUUUGGACCCAACCAUGCGGUGUUUGCAAGGCACCAUACCACACUUCUGAGGUGUGAUUGCAUAGGGACGCUACGAGGCCUUUACAAAGAUUCAUUAGUCAGUGGUAACCCGCUAAGGUUUCGGUGUCUGGCGUGCACAACCUAUCACAGGACAAUGAUGCAAUGACUCAGUCCCCCCUCUUGCCUCGUCACGAGUAAGGUUUCUAAUUAUUUAGCCAAGACCAGAGCCAAUUAGUCUUGUGGUAGCACUGUUUUCCUGGGUGGCUCUCCAUGUUCCGAUUAAACGUUUAUGAUCUUGUAUUAAUGAAAGGUAUAACAUAAGUAAAGCAAGAUUAAUCAUUGAGUUCAGUUAAACCAACUUAUCCCAAGUAGGAACUAAGGAUGAGCUACCAAACAUAAAAGUACACCCGGUUGGUCAAGGCAAAGGUAAAUUCAAUCUAGGCAAACCUUAAUUGGGACCCAUCAAUUUAAUCUUAACAAGGGCAUAGCAUAAUUGUUGAGUACGAGAAAGUAAAAGUGUAUAGGACUGAGAAGUAGUGAUCAAGGACACCACUUGCCUUCCUGGCCUUACUCUUGCUGUUCGUACUCCUCGAAGGCUUGAUCUUCAAAUCCCCCAAAUUGCUAAACGUCUAUACGCGUCACACGAGCACAAACAAGCAAACAAGGGCACAAAGUAAGAAAACAGUACACCAAUCACAACUAAACAGAGAAAACAAGCUUGAAAAACUAAUCUACACUUUAAAACAAACACGUGGAUAUAAAGAACGCGAAAAACGGAGUUAAGAUGCAAAAGAUAUGAUUAAAACAAGAUCCAGGGGCUUUUCUGCGAGAAAAACAAAACUUCUAGGGUCGAACUGCGAAAAACCGAGGGCUUGUACAUGAUUAUGCCUAUAAACCGAAGGUUUAACCCACAAAAAUGCAACUUAGGAUGGCUGGUUGAUUUAGAGAAACUCAGGGUCUAAACCAAAAGAAAACAGGACCAAAACACAAUUAUUUUUGAACUAGAUUGGACUGCGGGUUGAUUUGCGGAAAAGGCGAGCGCUUCAGUGCAAAAGAGGUGCCGCGCGACGCGAUUGGGUACACGAUCCGGUUGACUCGCUGCAGGCCGUCGGAUUUGGAUCCGACAGUCUCGGUCGUAGACGACACCCAAGCGGCGGCGGACCAGGCGGUGGGCGGCGACGAGCGGCGGCGGUUCGCUGGAAUUGGCCGAUACGGCGCUCCGGGGCUCGGUUUCGCGCGCGGAAAACACCAGAAGCAUGAGAAAAGCAAGGCGAUCCCUUUUCGGCGGUUCACGGUGAUCGAGGCUCACCGGAAGGCGGUGCUUGGCGGCGGAGAGAGGGUGGCGGCACUUGCUGGGGUUUCAGGGGCGCUGUUGCGGGGUGCUCGAGGUGGGGGGAGGGCGGCUUAUAUAGGGGCGGAGUCGGGGCGCGGUCGGAGUGGAGUCCCGGCCGGAGGACGGGGAUGAUGGGUAGGUCCCACCCGUCAGACCUGCGGAAGGAGGCCGGUGCCGCUGGGCAGGCCGACGGAGUGGGCCGAGCGAGCGACAUGGGCUGGCGAAGGGAAAAAGGGAAAGCGGUAGCUUCGCGGGCUGGAGGAAAAGGCGGAGCGGGCCAGGGGAGCUAGCGGCGCUGGGCUGCAGGGAAAUAGGAUCCGGGUUGAAAGAGAAAGGAGGAGGAGAAGGAUGCAGCUCAGGAGGAGGAAGAGAAAAGAGGAAAAGAAAGAUUUUUAAAAUUGAAAUUGAAUUUGAGAUUCAAUUUUGAUUCAAACACAAGCAAUCAAAAUAAAUGCACCAGCAUGCAAUGCACAAAGAACUCCUAUGAAGGUUUAAUUUAAUUUAGAGAAAAUAAAAUUAAAUGCCUAGAAAUUUAAAUGACAUCCUAAUUGAGUAAAUUUUAGUGUAUUUAAAUUCUUUAAAAAAUUUGGGUGUUACAGGGCACCAGAUGAUCCGAUGCGUAUCUCAAGUGACCAUCGGAUCAUCCAAUGCUCACAUAUUUUACUAGCCGUUGUAGCGAAGGCUCUUUGAGGUCCAUGGGCUAUUUAUGCCCCCUCCAGUCGCCCAUUCAGAGUUGCUGGAUUGUCCAUACAUCGAUUGAAGACCAAGGCCCAUCAAGAACACAUCCAUGCCACCAAAAGUGCAAAAGCGAUAAUACAAGGCUUAGCACGAGCUAAGAGAUUGAUUAGCUCUAGGAUAGGCCUAGAGAGAGUAGUGCAAGGUGUUGCUACCUUGUGAUUGGUUCAAGGAGUGAUUCACUAUUGUAAGCUUGGGGCGCCGGCGUCUUGGGGUCUUGGUGGCUCUCAGGCAAGUCUUCGACACCCCAGCUCGGUGUGGAGCAGCGUCGACAGCCGGAUGCGGGGGACAAGAAGACUCCUUCCUUCGUGGAGCAGCUCCAUGGUGGAGAUGACGUCAAGGUGACCGAAGGGGGGUAGUAGUGAGCCUUGCGUUUGUGGAUAGCUUGUCAUCCGGCUUGGCUAGAGCCUUUGUAGCGAGCCCAAGACCUUGACCGGGAGAGACUUGGUGAGCAGGAGCAUGUCCUUGGUGGAGCUCCAACGCAUGGACUAGGGGUGGUAUUUGGCUACCGAUACCAUGUGAUAAAUCAUCGUGCUGGGUUUGCAUCUUUCCUAACCCACUCCUUUACAUUUCCGCACUACAUUCUCGCAACUUGAGUGCCUUUAGUUACUUUCCAGAGUAGUACCUUGUUAGGAUUGGCUCUAGGUUGCAAAACUCUUUGUGGGUGGGAAGUUUCACUAGAUCAACCAUAGAUGCACAUGUAGAUAGCAUGAUCUAGUUUAGGUUUGGAAGCAAGUAGUGGAAGUCAUAGGCCAAGGAUUUUAAGCUAGCCUAAUUCACCCCUCCCCUUCUUAGGGUACGAGCACCGAUUCCUUUCAAUUUGCUUUAGCACCAUGAAGGCAAUAGUCAUCCAUCUGCACCAUGAUCAUAGAGCAAUGCAAAACCACGAGAGAAACGAAACGGCUGCUCUUCCUUCAUUUUAUUCCAAUUAGUAUGGACGUGGAGGUUACAGGACACACCAUGCGAGCUGUAGCGCCGGCAACAGGGAAACAAACCCAAGAAAGCAAUGCGGACAUUUUAUUCUACUUUUUUAUGCAGAAUAUAUGGAGGCACCAGCCAGCCCAGCAACAACGACAAUGGCGGCUACUUGGUAUACUCGAUGGCCCAGAAGUUGGCGUAGAUGUAGGUGGACUUGACGCUGGUAAACCCGGCGCCCUUGGCGAGCUCCACAAACUCCCUCUCGUACCUCUCCUUGCCGUCGGGGCUGUACGCGAGCAGGCACACGUCGACGCCGAUCAACCCCUGCGCGCUGUUUGUGGCAUCCGGGUUCACCGGCAGGAUGCACUCGACACUGAUGAGCUUGCCGUGCGGAGGCAGCGCCUCGUAGCAGUUCUUGAGCAGCUUGGCGCAGUGGUUGUCGCCCCAGCAAUUGAGGAUCCACUUCAUGAGGAUGGCGUCGCCGGAGGGCACCUUCUCAAACAUGUCGCCUCCCACGUGCUGCACCUGCACGUCGGGGUAGGCCGGCGCCUCGGAGAUGACGUGGGGAAGGUCGAAGUUGAUCCCUUGAAUGGUCGGGUACCUGGAGGUGAUGGCAUGGAUGGUGGAGCCGAGGCCGCCGCCAACGUCGACGAGGGUGCGGACGCCGUCGAAGCCCGUGUAGAGCUCCAAGAGCUUCUUGGUGAGGAUGACGGAAUGCUGCUUCAUGGCCUCAUUGAAGACCCCGUUGAAGCGUGCGCCAGUACCGGCGUAGUCGAACCAGGAAGGCGUCCCAAACGCCCUGUUGAAUGGGCUGCCACCCUCAAGGACCGCGUCCGUCAUGUAGCUCCAGGCGUGCAUGAAGAGCUUGUCGUUGGCGAGGAGGUGGAACGGAGCCAUGGAGACACCAUCCUCGUUGGGGGUGAGCCACUUGCACACUGGCGCGGCGCUGUACUGGCGGCACAGGCUGCCAUCCUCGGCCUCCUCCACCACGCAGGACACAACUUUGUAGGACGCCAGCAGUCGCAGCAAUUAAGCGAUCCACCAUGGACGGCGCGGCGGGGUUGGCCUUGGAAGGCAGCUUCGCGGCCACCUCCUUGGGAGUGAGAGCCUUCCCGCUGGCGCCCACAAGGGUCUCGAGCAGGCCCAGCUCAAUGGCAGUUCUUAGCGUCAUCGGCAGGAUGGCCGACGACACUAGCUGCAGAGCGUGCAUGCAUGUCUCCUCGUCGGCUAUGGCCAUGUCCGCGGCGGAACCCAUCUACCUCCCGGGAUUGGAGCUCAACUAACUGAUGAAGGUGUGUGUACCUUGUUGUUGUGAUUGCUGGUGGCUGAAUGAUCGAUGAGGCGAAAGGGGCCGUUUAUAUAGAGCUUCGAGCUAGGCUUUGUUCACCAACCUGAAAAUCAUGCAUUCUUUGACAAGUAUGGGAUUGCUUGUAUGGUGUGACGUGACCUGUGAGAGCUAGCAGCUAGCGUGGUAGUGAUUGUGUACCCCAUGCAAAACCUCCCUCCUAAUAAGAUCGUGAUGCACGAGGCUGAAUACUAUAUUGUUUUGUCUGCAGUCUAAUCGAUUUGGAAUCCGCAAAUAUAAUCAAUUCACGACACUGGAGAUGGUCGGCGCACGAGGAGUGGCAGUCCUAUUGAAACUUUCAGAGAAGCACCUUGUGCCCUUUGAGAAUCUGUUUUGCAUUAGAUCAAGGUUGAGAUGGUUUCUUUAACCCUUGAGAUUCAGCGCGAGGGUCCACGUGCGUGAUGGACAUGGCUUCGCUACUGCACAACUGUUUUUCAAGAAUCAAGAUAUUCUGCAUGGGAUGUCCUGCGUCUCUGGUGGUGUCGGUGCAAUCUUUCUCCUGUUGAACACAUACACUAGCGUCUGAUGCCAGAGUGAGGUGGAUCGGGUGGAUCAAGGCUACGGCGUAGCACAUUAUCAUGGCUCGGGCGGCCGGAGCAAGAACACGAGCUGGCCGACCGUAGAGGGAAGACGCAAGCGGCACUCGCAGAAUCUACGUGGCUCCCCUUGGUCGUUCUUUGUCUCACCCUAUGGGUAUCGUGGAGGCACGGCGCCAGGCUGGCGGCACGGUGUAGCCUCAAUUCAGGACUUUCCUAGCCAGGGCGUGGCCGAGGGCGAUUGGUUGCUCAACCUGAUGAGAACUUGGGUGGGUGCUCCUACAUGGGAGAGAAUAGGGUGACGGAUGAGAAUGCAGAUGAGGGACGGGGCUCACACGAGGGGUGGGUUGGAGACAUGUUUUCACUGUUGAACUGUUAGCGUCAAGAUGAGAGGUGAGAUGAGAUACCGGUAGGACCUGCUCUUACCAUGGCACUUCAGCAACCCCACCCCAACCCCGCGCGCAAGUCAAAAUUUGAGGACCAUAUGUACAAUACGUGUGCAAACAAAACCAUAAUUUUACUAGUAUUGAGGGAUUUUAGCUAUUUCUUCUAAAAAAUGUCUUGGGAAAUCGUAUUUUUGUAGUACAACAUAUAUAGAAAAUAAGUAUUACUCGCAAAUAAACUGCCCUUUUCUUUAGUAUUCUAUGUUUUUCUUAUUAUUUUAUUUAAUCUUAAGAUUUAUAUAUGCAUAAAAAAGUAAUUUAGUAUCUUCAAAUAUGGAAACGUGGUCUUAGGAAUAGGGCUCAUAUUUUAUUCUUGAGCAUGCCUAGUGGAAAAAUACUAUCUAAAAAACUGCAAAGAAAUUUAAUACUAAGCCUUCGAUCCACUCUACUUUUUGUAUACUAGUUUACCUGCAAUCCACUGGCUUGCACAUUAUAUUUCAUCAUACGGAAAUGUCUGAGAUUGUGAACGGAAGCAAUUUCAUCUGUCUGCAACAUGUGACACCCAGAGCUCCUGACACAACCGCGUGAGCACCUUCUCCGACAUGCGCACAUGAUGACCGCAUGCACCCAUAUUAUACAUAGUUUAUUAUAGUUUCUGCAGGGAUAUGAUAAAUAUUAAUUAUUACUUGUAAAGAUUGGAAACGUUACAAACGAUUGUAGAAAAAAUGCGAGUCACCAGGAAGGUAGGUAGUAGAGCAUGCCGUCAGUGUCUUUCCUGUGACCUGUGUUCGUGGUGCACAUGGCAGAAUGCACAGUCUAUACAUAGGAACCAGAAGUUGGCUUCGAAACCAAAUCACUCAUUAGUCCUUCAGUACUGCAGUGAACGCUAUCUAGCUAGCUAAUUUCCCCUUGAAAUCAGUUUUCUUGCGUGGCCAUGGGUAGCCUUCCACUUGAAGCCAUGAUGCCACUGAACCCCGAUUCAUUCGCUGGGGAGUCCAGUGCCGUGGUCGACUUCCUCGCCGACUACUACCGCAACGUCGAUAAGUAUCCGGUCAUGGCCAACACGCAGCCAGGGACCAUCCGUAAGCUUCUUCCGGAGGCAGCCCCGGAGUUGGGCGACUCCAUGGAUCGCAUACUGGAUGAUGUGCAGCGGGAUAUCCUCCCCGGCCUCACACAUUGGCAGAGCCCUAGCUUCUUUGCCUAUUUCCCGGCGAAUGCAAGCACCGCAGGGUUCGCCGGGGAGAUGUUGUCGGCUGGUCUCAACGUCGUCCCGUUCGUCUGGACGGCGUCACCGGUGGCCACUGAGCUGGAGCAGGUCGUGGUUGACUGGAUGGCUAGCCUCCUCGGCCUACCGGAGCGCUUCCACUUCAAGGGAGGAGGAGGCGGUGUCCUGCAUGGGAGCACGUGCGAGGCGGUGGUGUGCACUCUCGCUGCCGCGCGCGACCGUGCACUCAGCAAGCUCGGACAUGAGGGCAUCCUCAAGCUUGUCGUGUAUGCCUCGGACCAGACCCACGCAACCUUCCAGAAGGGCGCGAGCAUCGUCGGCAUCCCUCCAGCAAACUUCCGCAUCCUGCGGACUUCGGCAAACUCGGGAUACGGCCUGACCGCCACCAUCGUCCAAAGAGCAAUCGAGGAAGACGUCGCCCGCGGGCUGGUUCCCCUUUACCUCUGCGCCACCGUCGGCACUACUGGUCUGGGGGCCAUUGACCGAGUGCGCGAGCUCGGCCAUGUUGCCCGGCGUUAUGGUAAUUCAUUCAACCUCCCUCUCUUAUACGCUAAUCACCCAUACGGUGACACUAAAUACGUAGAAAUGGAAUGCGCUAUGCGGUCACAAGUCACGAUUCAUGCUCACUUAACAAUCAACAAUCAGUUCCUAUAACCAUCUGACAAGAAUACAUAUUUUACAGGAACCUGGCUGCACAUCGACGCAGCCUACGCCGGAAGCGCAGCCAUUUGCCCGGAGUUCCAAGGUCACCUCGACGGCGCCGAGCUCGCGGACUCGGUGAGCAUGAACCCACAUAAGUGGUUCCUCACCAACAUGGACUGCUGCUGCCUCUGGGUGGCGAACCCCACCACCAUGACCGACGCACUGUCCGCUGACCCGGAGUACCUCAAGAAUGUCGGCACCGCGUCUAAGAUGGCGGAAACGGUCGACUACAAGGACUGGCAGAUCGCGCUGUCACGCCGCUUCCGUGCCAUCAAACUCUGGGUGGUGCUACGGCGCUAUGGAGCGGCGGGAAUGCGCGCGCACAUACGGAGGCACAUCCAGAUGGCAGAGUGGUUCGAGCACGUCGUGGCGGCGGACGAGCGGUUUGAGGUCGUGGUGCCAAGGAACUUCUCCUUGGUGUGCUUCCGCCUCCGCCCGCGGUUCAUGGCGGAUAAAGCUGUGGAGGCCCUGAACCGCGACCUCCUCGCAGCGGUGAAUGCAAGCGGCCGGGCGUUCAUGACGCACUUCGUCGUGGACGACAAGUUUGUGAUCCGCCUAGCCGUGGGUGGGUCAAUGACAGAGAUGCGGCACAUCCGGGCCGCGUGGGAGCUUCUCAAGGAGAAGGCCAACGACUUGAUCGCCACCGGUUGUUAGUUAUUGCUCAUUGCUAGUGCUAUACCAUGCAUGGCCAGCAACAGAAGCUGAGCAUUCUAUUAUUGCUUCCAUUCGUAGUUAGAGCACACCAUGAAUGCAAUAGUCAAUCCAUCUGAACCAUGAACAUUCACUAUGACCAUGUAUGCGACACAAUAUACAUAAGUGCUAGUGCCGAUAUUGGAUUCUAUUUCUGGAGAAGCGGCUGCUUCUACGGAGCAGGCCGAUUGAAUUUUAAGUAUGUUAUGAUACUUGUAAAAAAUCGAUGCUAGGCAUGGAUUCCUGGAAGGGGCCCGUCACAACUCACAAUGGAAGGGACCCGUCAUAACCAAGCUCGUUAAUACAGAAGAAACAUCAGGCGAAACAAAUGGACGCUAAGCCACACACCUGGACAAAUUUUACCCGAAAUUUGCAACACGUCAAGAAUAUGCUUAUCACUCAAGCGUCUCACAUCUCUUUUGUUUAAGGAAACCAGGCUCGUUACUACAAAAUGAACACCAAGAUGAUAGAGCUCUUUUACGAUACACAAUACUACUACUUAGUAGUAUAUAGUAUAUAUAUAAGAUCUAACUGUUCAUUAUUAUGGAUAAUUUAGUAAUUAUUACAAUGUAAAAAGUCAUAUUUCAAAUAGAAUGGUCUUUUAAACUUUCUGCUAGUAUCAAAAAUAAAAUUAUAGUGGUGCCAUUUGUGUUUUCUUACCAUGAUACCCUUAUACUACCUAUACUACUCGUGUAUACUACCCAUACCACAGGCGUAGGUUUCAGUAGUAUGUAAUUAAUCUUGACCGUCGGAUAUGUUUAUACUAGUCAUUUUCGAACACAAGUAUAGUCUAGUGUUGUGUUUCGUAAAAUAGCUCAUAUAAUAUGUUAUGAAACUUAUUUGUGAAAGCUAAAGGCAGCAACUGGGGAUAAAUUCCAGAAUAGGUAAGAACAGAAAUUUAAAAGGGCAAAAUUUGUUGAUGCAUGGAAAUGCAUAGAAUACUUAUUGGAGCCAAGGCUCUUUUAGGUCCAUGGGCUAUUUAUGCCCCCUCCACUCGCCCAUUCAGAGUUGCUGGAGUGUCCAUACAUCUAUUGAAGACCAAGGCUCAUCAAGUGACCAAUGGAGAAACCACACAUCCACCGUGAUAAUUUUAGAGCAUCCAGGUGAUGAUAUUCAAUGCGCUCAAAUGGUGGUAUUCAACUUAGAAAAAAUAGUAGCACCAGAAGAUCUGAGAGUCAUUGGAGCAACCAUCGGAGCAAUUGGUACAACUGAGAAGUCAGCUUGAGUUGCAGCAAGCACCACAUGAUCCGACGGGGUCCUUUUCACAAGCGUCGGAGCAAUUCGCAAAGAAGACGUCGAAAGACCUAUAGCACCAGAUAUUCCGAUGACUAGAAGAUGAAGGCUUUGGACCAAGAAUAUUUACUUUGAAAAUGUCAAGAGAGUUUUUAGGAAAAACUCCUUCAGCACCGGAUGAUCCGACGUUAUGUCGGAUGAAUUUAGGCAGAGGUGCAACGGCUAUAUGCGUCAGCAGGGGGCAUGUCACACCCGAUUUUAAGGACAAAACCGAGUGCUUUCAAUACAUGUGCGCCAGAAACAAGUUACACACAUGUACGACAUAAGUGAAUAACAAAGGCAGUGCCAAAGCGAAUAAAGAGAGUAUUAAACUUUAUUACAUGACCGAAAGUCUCAAUAAAACACAAGCCUAACUUAUUACGCAGCGGACUCUGAAGACGACGAUGAUACCACAGGCAGCUGACUGAAGAACCGUACGCCUAGAACUCCUCAAAGUCGUGCAGGUACUCCUCCAGAUUAUCUUGGUCUGAACAACGGUUUUGCAAGGGUGAGUACAAUUAUGGUUGGUACUCAACAAGUCGUGGGAAAUAGUGUAGUGUAACACCAACCAAGGUAUGGCUAAGGCUAAACAGCAUCAGCUUUUAAUUAGGUUGGUCAAAUUUUAUUAGCAAUUAACUAAGUAUAAGUUUAUACCACCCCAAAUUAAACAUGAACAUAAAUAAAGUAAUAACAUAUGCGCGGUAUGACAACAAUUUAAGUCCAUCUUUCGUUAGUAUUAUCAUGUGAGGGUCCAGGCCGCUCUUAACCGUGAGCACGGUUGAUCGAUCAGUUUUACACUCUGCAGAGGUCGCACAUCUUUACCCACAAGUCGCGUAAAAGUUCAAAAGAACUUUGGACCCAACCAUGCGGCGUUUGCAAGGCACCAUACCACACUUCCGAGGUGUGAUUGCAUAGGGACGCUACGAGGCCUUUACAAAGAUUCAUUAGUCAGUGGUAACCCGCUAAGGUUUCGGUGUCUGGCGUGCACAACCUAUCACAGGACAAUGAUGGAACGACUCAGUCCCCCCUCUUGCCUCAUCACGAGUAAGAUUACUCCAGACUAAGGUUUCUAAUUAUUUAGCCAAGUCCAGAGCCAAUUAGUCUUGUGGUAGCACUAUUUUCCUGGGUGGCUCUCCAUGUUCCGAUUAAACUUUUGUGAUCUUGUAUUAAUGAAAGGUAUAACAGAAGUAAAGCAAGAUUAAUCAUUGAGUUCAGUUAAACCAACUUAUCCUAAGUAGGAACUAAGCAUGAGCUACCCAACAUAAAAGUAAACCCGGUUGGUCAAGGCAAAGGUAAAUUCAAUCUAGGCAAACCUUAAUUGGGACCCAUCAAUUUAAUCUUAACAAGGGCAUAGCAUAAUUGUUGAGUACGAGAAAGUAAAAGUGUAUAGGACUGAGCAGUAGUGAUCAAGGACACGACUUGUCUUCUUGGCCUUGCUCUUGCUGUUCGUACUCCUCGAAGGCUUGAUCUUCAAAUCCCCCGAAUUGCUGAACGUCUAUACACAUCACACGAGCACAUACAAGCAAACAAGGGCACAAAGUAAGAAAACAGUACACCAAUCACAACUAAACAGAGAAAACAAGCUUGAAAAAUUAAUCUACGCUUUAAACAAACACGUGGAUAUAAAGAACGCGAAAAAACAGAGUUAAGAUGCAACAGAUAUGAUUAAAACAAGAUACAGGGGCUUUUCUGUGAGAGAAACAAAACUUCUAGGGUCGAACUGCGGAAAACCGAGGGCUUAUACGUGAUUAUGCCUAGAAACCGAAGGUUUAACAUGCAAAAACGCAACUUAGGAUGGCGGGUUGAUUUUACAGUCAGGGUCUAAACCGAAAGAAAACAGGACCAAAACAAAAUUAUUUUUCAACUAGAUUGGACUGCGGGUUGAUUUAUGGAAAAGGCCAGGGCUUAAGUGCAAACGAGGUGCAGCGCGGUGCGAUUUACCGUUAUGCGAUCCGGUUGACUCGCUGCGGGCCGUCGGAUUUGGAUCUGACAGUCUCGGUCGUCGGCAACACCGAAGCGGCGGCGCACCAGUCGGCGGGUGGCUAUGAGCGGCGGCGGUUCGUCGGAAUUAGCCGAUACGGCGCUCCAGGGCUCGAUUUCGCGCACGGAAAACACAGGAAGCAUGAGAAAAGAAAGGCGAUCCCGUUUUGGUGGUUCACGAUGACCGAGGCUCACCGGAAGGCGGCGGCGGAGAGAGGGUGGCGGUGCUGGAGCUUUGGUGGCAGCGCUUGGUAGGGUUUUGGGGGCGCUAUUGCGGCGUGCUCGAGGUCGCGGGGAGGGGGGGGAGGGGGGGCGGGGCGGCGGCUUAUAUAGGAGCGGAGUCCGCUGGCGGUCGGAGUGGAGUCCUAGCCGGAUACGGCCGGAUGACGGGGAUGACGGGUAGGUCCCAGCUGUCAGACCUGCGGAAGGAGGCCGCUGCCGCUGGGCAGGCCGACAGAGUGGGCCGAGCGAGCGACAUGGGCUGGCAAGGGAAAGAGGGAAAGCAGCAGCUUCGCGGGCCGAAGGAAAAGGCGGAGCGGGCCGGGGGAGCUGGUGGCGCUGGGCUGCAGGAAAAUAGGAUCCGGGCUGAAGAGAUGAGGAGAAGGAGGCAGCCUAGGAGGACGAAGAGAAAAGAGGGAAAGAAAUAUUUUUAAAGUUGAAAUUGAAAUUGAGAUUCAAAUUUGAUUCAAACACAAGCAAUCAAAAUAAAUGCACCAGCAUGCAAUGCACAAAGAACUCCUAUGAUGGUUUAAUUUAAUUUAGAGAAAAUAAAAUUAAAUGCCUAGAAAUUUAAAUGACAUCCUUAUUGAGCAAAUUUUCGUGUAUUUAAAUUCUUUAAAAAAUUUAGGUGUUACAGGGCACCAGAUGAUCCGAUGCCUAUCUCAAGUGACCAUCGGAUCAUCCAAUGCUCACAUAUUUUACUAGCCGUUGUAGCGAAGGCUCUUUGAGAUCCAUGGGCUAUUUAUGCCCUCUCCACUCGCCCAUUCAGAGGUGCUGGAUUGUCCAUACAUCGAUUGAAGACCAAGGCCCAUCAAGAACACAUCCAUGCCACCAAAAGUGCAAAAGCGAUAAUCCAAGGCUUAGCACGAGCUAAGAGAUUGAUUAGCUCUAGGAUAGGCCUAGAGAGAGUAGUGCAAGGUGUUGCUACCUUGUGAUUGGUUCAAGGAGUGAUCCACUAUUGUAAGCUUGGGGCGCCGGCGUCUUGGGGUCUUUGUGGCUCUCAGGCAAGUCUUCGACACCCCAGCUCAGUGUGGAGCAGCGUCGACAGCCGGAUGCGGGGGACAAGAAGACUCCUUCCUUCGUGGAGCAGCUCCAUGGUGGAGAUGACGUCAAGGUGACCGAAUGGGGGUAGUAGUGAGCCUUGCGUUUGUGGAUAGCUUGUCAUCCGGCUUGGCUAGAGCCUUUGUAGCGAGCCCAAGACCUUGACCGGGAGAGACUUGGUGAGCAGGAGCAUGUCCUUGGUGGAGCUCCAACGCAUGGACUAGGGGUGGCAUUUGGCUACCGAUACCAUGUGAUAAAUCGUCGUGCUGGGUUUGCAUCUUUCCUAACCCACUCCUUUACAUUUCCGCACUACAUUCUCGCAACUUGAGUGCCUUUAAUUACUUUCCAGAGUAGUACCUUGUUAGGAUUGGCUCUAGGUUGCAAAACUCUUUGUGGGUGGGAAGUUUCACUAGAUCAACCAUAGAUGCACAUGUAGAUAGCAUGAUCUAGUUUAUGUUUGGAAGCAAGUAGUGGAAGUCAUAGGCCAAGGAUUUUAAGCUAGCCUAAUUCACCCCUCCCCUUCUUAGGGUACGAGCACCGAUUCCUUUCAAUUUGCUUUAGCACCAUGAAGGCAAUAGUCAUCCAUCUGCACCAUGAUCAUAGAGCAAUGCAAAACCACGAGAGAAACGAAACGGCUGCUCUUCCUUCAUUUUAUUCCAAUUAGUAUGGACGUGGAGGUUACAGGACACACCAUGCGAGCUGUAGCGCCGGCAACAGGGAAACAAACCCAAGAAAGCAAUGCGGACAUGUUAUUCUACUUUUUUAUGCAGAAUAUAUGGAGGCACCAGCCAGCCCAGCAACAACGACAAUGGCGGCUACUUGGUAUACUCGAUGGCCCAGAAGUUGGCGUAGAUGUAGGUGGACUUGACGCUGGUAAACCCGGCGCCCUUGGCGAGCUCCACAAACUCCCUCUCGUACCUCUCCUUGCCGUCGGGGCUGUACGCGAGCAGGCACACGUCGACGCCGAUCAACCCCUGCGCGCUGUUUGUGGCAUCCGGGUUCACCGGCAGGAUGCACUCGACACUGAUGAGCUUGCCGUGCGGAGGCAGCGCCUCGUAGCAGUUCUUGAGCAGCUUGGCGCAGUGGUUGUCGCCCCAGCAAUUGAGGAUCCACUUCAUGAGGAUGGCGUCGCCGGAGGGCACCUUCUCAAACAUGUCGCCUCCCACGUGCUGCACCUGCACGUCGGGGUAGGCCGGCGCCUCGGAGAUGACGUGGGGAAGGUCGAAGUUGAUCCCUUGAAUGGUCGGGUACCUGGAGGUGAUGGCAUGGAUGGUGGAGCCGAGGCCGCCGCCAACGUCGACGAGGGUGCGGACGCCGUCGAAGCCCGUGUAGAGCUCCAAGAGCUUCUUGGUGAGGAUGACGGAAUGCUGCUUCAUGGCCUCAUUGAAGACCCCGUUGAAGCGUGCGCCAGUACCGGCGUAGUCGAACCAGGAAGGCGUCCCAAACGCCCUGUUGAAUGGGCUGCCACCCUCAAGGACCGCGUCCGUCAUGUAGCUCCAGGCGUGCAUGAAGAGCUUGUCGUUGGCGAGGAGGUGGAACGGAGCCAUGGAGACACCAUCCUCGUUGGGGGUGAGCCACUUGCACACUGGCGCGGCGCUGUACUGGCGGCACAGGCUGCCAUCCUCGGCCUCCUCCACCACGCAGGACACAACUUUGUAGGACGCCAGCAGUCGCAGCAAUUAAGCGAUCCACCAUGGACGGCGCGGCGGGGUUGGCCUUGGAAGGCAGCUUCGCGGCCACCUCCUUGGGAGUGAGAGCCUUCCCGCUGGCGCCCACAAGGGUCUCGAGCAGGCCCAGCUCAAUGGCAGUUCUUAGCGUCAUCGGCAGGAUGGCCGACGACACUAGCUGCAGAGCGUGCAUGCAUGUCUCCUCGUCGGCUAUGGCCAUGUCCGCGGCGGAACCCAUCUACCUCCCGGGAUUGGAGCUCAACUAACUGAUGAAGGUGUGUGUACCUUGUUGUUGUGAUUGCUGGUGGCUGAAUGAUCGAUGAGGCGAAAGGGGCCGUUUAUAUAGAGCUUCGAGCUAGGCUUUGUUCACCAACCUGAAAAUCAUGCAUUCUUUGACAAGUAUGGGAUUGCUUGUAUGGUGUGACGUGACCUGUGAGAGCUAGCAGCUAGCGUGGUAGUGAUUGUGUACCCCAUGCAAAACCUCCCUCCUAAUAAGAUCGUGAUGCACGAGGCUGAAUACUAUAUUGUUUUGUCUGCAGUCUAAUCGAUUUGGAAUCCGCAAAUAUAAUCAAUUCACGACACUGGAGAUGGUCGGCGCACGAGGAGUGGCAGUCCUAUUGAAACUUUCAGAGAAGCACCUUGUGCCCUUUGAGAAUCUGUUUUGCAUUAGAUCAAGGUUGAGAUGGUUUCUUUAACCCUUGAGAUUCAGCGCGAGGGUCCACGUGCGUGAUGGACAUGGCUUCGCUACUGCACAACUGUUUUUCAAGAAUCAAGAUAUUCUGCAUGGGAUGUCCUGCGUCUCUGGUGGUGUCGGUGCAAUCUUUCUCCUGUUGAACACAUACACUAGCGUCUGAUGCCAGAGUGAGGUGGAUCGGGUGGAUCAAGGCUACGGCGUAGCACAUUAUCAUGGCUCGGGCGGCCGGAGCAAGAACACGAGCUGGCCGACCGUAGAGGGAAGACGCAAGCGGCACUCGCAGAAUCUAGGUGGCUCCCCUUGGUCGUUCUUUGUCUCACCCUAUGGGUAUCGUGGAGGCACGGCGCCAGGCUGGCGGCACGGUGUAGCCUCAAUUCAGGACUUUCCUAGCCAGGGCGUGGCCGAGGGCGAUUGGUUGCUCAACCUGAUGAGAACUUGGGUGGGUGCUCCUACAUGGGAGAGAAUAGGGUGACGGAUGAGAAUGCAGAUGAGGGACGGGGCUCACACGAGGGGUGGGUUGGAGACAUGUUUUCACUGUUGAACUGUUAGCGUCAAGAUGAGAGGUGAGAUGAGAUACCGGUAGGACCUGCUCUUACCAUGGCACUUCAGCAACCCCACCCCAACCCCGCGCGCAAGUCAAAAUUUGAGGACCAUAUGUACAAUACGUGUGCAAACAAAACCAUAAUUUUACUAGUAUUGAGGGAUUUUAGCUAUUUCUUCUAAAAAAUGUCUUGGGAAAUCGUAUUUUUGUAGUACAACAUAUAUAGAAAAUAAGUAUUACUCGCAAAUAAACUGCCCUUUUCUUUAGUAUUCUAUGUUUUUCUUAUUAUUUUAUUUAAUCUUAAGAUUUAUAUAUGCAUAAAAAAGUAAUUUAGUAUCUUCAAAUAUGGAAACGUGGUCUUAGGAAUAGGGCUCAUAUUUUAUUCUUGAGCAUGCCUAGUGGAAAAAUACUAUCUAAAAAACUGCAAAGAAAUUUAAUACCUAAGCCUUCGAUCCACUCUACUUUUUGUAUACUAGUUUACCUGCAAUCCACUGGCUUGCACAUUAUAUUUCAUCAUACGGAAAUGUCUGAGAUUGUGAACGGAAGCAAUUUCAUCUGUCUGCAACAUGUGACACCCAGAGCUCCUGACACAACCGCGUGAGCACCUUCUCCGACAUGCGCACAUGAUGACCGCAUGCACCCAUAUUAUACAUAGUUUAUUAUAGUUUCUGCAGGGAUAUGAUAAUCAUUAAUUAUUACUUGUAAAGAUUGGAAACGUUACAAACGAUUGUAGAAAAAAUGCGAGUCACCAGGAAGGUAGGUAGUAGAGCAUGCCGUCAGUGUCUUUCCUGUGACCUGUGUUCGUGGUGCACAUGGCAGAAUGCACAGUCUAUACAUAGGAACCAGAAGUUGGCUUCGAAACCAAAUCACUCAUUAGUCCUUCAGUACUGCAGUGAACGCUAUCUAGCUAGCUAAUUUCCCCUUGAAAUCAGUUUUCUUGCGUGGCCAUGGGUAGCCUUCCACUUGAAGCCAUGAUGCCACUGAACCCCGAUUCAUUCGCUGGGAUAUCCAUGGAUCGCAUACUGGAUGAUGUGCAGCGGGAUAUCCUCCCCGGCCUCACACAUUGGCAGAGCCCUAGCUUCUUUGCCUAUUUCCCGGCGAAUGCAAGCACCGCAGGGUUCGCCGGGGAGAUGUUGUCGGCUGGUCUCAACGUCGUCCCGUUCGUCUGGACGGCGUCACCGGUGGCCACUGAGCUGGAGCAGGUCGUGGUUGACUGGAUGGCUAGCCUCCUCGGCCUACCGGAGCGCUUCCACUUCAAGGGAGGAGGAGGCGGUGUCCUGCAUGGGAGCACGUGCGAGGCGGUGGUGUGCACUCUCGCUGCCGCGCGCGACCGUGCACUCAGCAAGCUCGGACAUGAGGGCAUCCUCAAGCUUGUCGUGUAUGCCUCGGACCAGACCCACGCAACCUUCCAGAAGGGCGCGAGCAUCGUCGGCAUCCCUCCAGCAAACUUCCGCAUCCUGCGGACUUCGGCAAACUCGGGAUACGGCCUCACCGCCACCAUCGUCCAAAGAGCAAUCGAGGAAGACGUCGCCCGCGGGCUGGUUCCCCUUUACCUCUGCGCCACCGUCGGCACUACUGGUCUGGGGGCCAUUGACCGAGUGCGCGAGCUCGGCCAUGUUGCCCGGCGUUAUGGUAAUUCAUUCAACCUCCCUCUCUUAUACGCUAAUCACCCAUACGGUGACACUAAAUACGUAGAAAUGGAAUGCGCUAUGCGGUCACAAGUCACGAUUCAUGCUCACUUAACAAUCAACAAUCAGUUCCUAUAACCAUCUGACAAGAAUACAUGUUUUACAGGAACCUGGCUGCACAUCGACGCAGCCUACGCCGGAAGCGCAGCCAUUUGCCCGGAGUUCCAAGGUCACCUCGACGGCGCCGAGCUCGCGGACUCGGUGAGCAUGAACCCACAUAAGUGGUUCCUCACCAACAUGGACUGCUGCUGCCUCUGGGUGGCGAACCCUACCACCAUGACCGACGCACUGUCCGCUGACCCGGAGUACCUCAAGAAUGUCGGCACCGCGUCUAAGAUGGCGGAAACGGUCGACUACAAGGACUGGCAGAUCGCGCUGUCACGCCGCUUCCGUGCCAUCAAACUCUGGGUGGUGCUACGGCGCUAUGGAGCGGCGGGAAUGCGCGCGCACAUACGGAGGCACAUCCAGAUGGCAGAGUGGUUCGAGCACGUCGUGGCGGCGGACGAGCGGUUUGAGGUCGUGGUGCCAAGGAACUUCUCCUUGGUGUGCUUCCGCCUCCGCCCGCGGUUCAUGGCGGAUAAAGCUGUGGAGGCCCUGAACCGCGACCUCCUCGCAGCGGUGAAUGCAAGCGGCCGGGCGUUCAUGACGCACUUCGUCGUGGACGACAAGUUUGUGAUCCGCCUAGCCGUGGGUGGGUCAAUGACAGAGAUGCGGCACGUCCGGGCCGCGUGGGAGCUUCUCAAGGAGAAGGCCAACGACUUGAUCGCCACCGGUUGUUAGUUAUUGCUCAUUGCUAGUGCUAUACCAUGCAUGGCCAGCAACAGAAGCUGAGCAUUCUAUUAUUGCUUCCAUUCGUAGUUAGAGCACACCAUGAAUGCAAUAGUCAAUCCAUCUGAACCAUGAACAUUCACUAUGACCAUGUAUGCGACACAAUAUACAUAAGUGCUAGUGCCGAUAUUGGAUUCUAUUUCUGGAGAAGCGGCUGCUUCUACGGAGCAGGCCGAUUGAAUUUUAAGUAUGUUAUGAUACUUGUAAAAAAUCGAUGCUAGGCAUGGAUUCCUGGAAGGGGCCCGUCACAACUCACAAUGGAAGGGACCCGUCAUAACCAAGCUCGUUAAUACAGAAGAAACAUCAGGCGAAACAAAUGGACGCUAAGCCACACACCUGGACAAAUUUUACCCGAAAUUUGCAACACGUCAAGAAUAUGCUUAUCACUCAACCGUCUCACAUCUCUUUUGUUUAAGGAAACCAGGCUCGUUACUACAAAAUGAACACCAAGAUGAUAGAGCUCUUUUACGAUACACAAUACUACUACUUAGUAGUAUAUAGUAUAUAUAUAAGAUCUAACUGUUCAUUAUUAUGGAUAAUUUAGUAAUUAUUACAAUGUAAAAAGUCAUAUACUUGACCGUCGGAUAUGUUUAUACUAGUCAUUUUCGAACACAAGUAUAGUCUAGUGUUGUGUUUCGUAAAAUAGCUCAUAUAAUAUGUUAUAAAACUUAUUUGUGAAAGCUAAAGGCAGCAACUGGGGAUAAAUUCCAGAAUAGGUAAGAACAGAAAUUUAAAAGGGCAAAAUUUGUUGAUGCAUGGAAAUGCAUAGAAUACUUAUUGGAGCCAAGGCUCUUUUAGGUCCAUGGGCUAUUUAUGCCCCCUCCACUCGCCCAUUCAGAGUUGCUAGAGUGUCCAUACAUCUAUUGAAGACCAAGGCUCAUCAAGUGACCAAUGGAGAAACCACACAUCCACCGUGAUAAUUUUAGAGCAUCCAGGUGACGAUAUUCAAUGCGCUCAAAUGGUGGUAUUCAACUUAGAAAAAAUAGUAGCACCAGAAGAUCUGAGAGUCAUCGGAGCAACCAUCGAAGCAAUUGGUACAACUGAGAAGUAAGCUUGAGUUGCAGCAAACACCAGAUGAUCCGACGGGGUCCUUUUCACAAGCGUCGGAGCAAUUUGUAAAGAAGACGGAGAAAGACCUAUAGCACCAGAUAUUCCGAUGGCUAGAAGAUGAAGGAAUCGGACCAAGCAUAUUUACUUUGAAAACGUCAAGGGAGUUUUUAGGAAAAACUCCUUCAGCACCGGAUGAUUCGAUGUUACGUUGGAUGAAUUUAGGUAGAGGUCCAACGGCUAUAUACGUCAGCAGGGGGCGUGUCACACCCGAUUUUAAGGACAAAACCGAGUGCUUUCAAUACAUGUGCGCCAGGAACAAGUUACACACAUGUACGACAUAAGUGAAUAACAAAGGCAGUGCCAAAGUGAAUAAAGAGAGUAUUAAACUUUAUUACAUGACCGAAAGUCUUAAUAAAACACAAGCCUAACUUAUUACGCAGCGGAUUCCGAAGACGACGAUGACACCACAGGCUGCUGACUGAAGAACCGUAUGCCUAGAACUCCUCAAACUCAUGCAGGUACUCCUCAGAUUAUCUUUGUCUGAACAGCGGUUUUGCAAGGGUGAGUACACUUAUGGUUGGUACUCAGCAAGUCAUGGGGAAUAGUGUAGUGUAAGGCCAACCAAGGUAUGGCUAAAGCUAAAUAGCAUCAACUUUUAAUUAGCUUGGUCAAAUUUUAUUAGCAAUUAACUAAGUAUAAAUUUAUACCACCCCAAAUUAAACAUGAACAUAAAUAAAGUAAACAAAAUAUGCGCGGUAUGACAACAAUUUAAGUCCAUCUUUUGUUAGUAUUAUCAUGUGAGGGUCAAGGCCGCUCUUAACCGUGAGCACGGCUGAUCGAUCAGUUUUACACUCUGCAGAGGUCGCACAUCUUUACCCACAAGUCGCGUAAAAGUUCAAAAGAACUUUGGACCCAACCAUGCAGUGUUUGCAAGGCACCAUUCCACACUUCCGAGGUGUGAUUGCAUAGGGACGCUACGAGGCCUUUACAAAGAUUCAUUAGUCAGUGGUAACCCGCUAAGGUUUCGAUGUUUUGCGUGCACAACCUAUCUGUUGGGGGAAAAUAUUAACGACCUCCUAAUGCCGCUUAAAGCAACAGUCAUGAAAGCCCAGGCCCACUAAGGUAACGAAAUUGCCGUCGGCCCGACCCGAGGUCCCGAGGUCGGAUGCCCCCGACUCCUUGAAGACUAAACUCCGCCUCGCCCGACCCCGGGGACCGGGGUCGGGAGCGCCCGACCCCGGGGACUGGGGUCAGGAGCGCUCGACCCCCACCACGGAAAUUCCACCUCGCCCGACCUUGGGCGCGGGGGUUGGACUCGCUCGGGUCCACAAGACGAAUAUCCGCCUCGGGCGCGGACUAGAGGAUCAGGAUGACGAUCUCAUGGGUCCCCCUAUCGACCUCGCCAUAAAUCCUCCGCGGCCCUGUCAGGACGAAAGGGAGUGGCGCCCCCAAUGCAACCGGUCCCGAAUACCGGUGCGCGGCCGUGCGGCGCGGGCUGCAGUGGCCACGGCUCCUUCUGAUUCGCCACAAGGUACUCAUGAGCCGCGCCGAACGACACAGGAGGGCGCAUCGCUUGCUCUCGCGCCCCGUGCUCCCAACGGCAGUGUCAGGGACGUGACGUGCGGGUCUUGCGGUAAUUGGCGGGGCAGCAGAAUCGGACCUCCACCCCGGCGGGCACGGAUGCCGAGGCUGAGGCUCAUCAUCAUGCUCGACGGCGAUGGCGACCAGGGAGAUCAUCGACAAGAUUUGGAAGGAAUCACCCUCCCUCGCUGGACGCGCUGAUAGGGACCGGGGGCCGGAACGAGAGCGGCGGCCUCGGGACCCUCCCCUUGUAUCAUUUUACUACUUGGCUUAUCCUUUCUACCUCUUCUCUGGAUGCCCGGCUCGACUGUAACCUCGAGCUCCCUCUUGUGAUAUAAAAGGAGGACCCGGGAUCCUGGGACGGGGGACUCAGACUUUUUCCCUCAAGCCAACAGUACACUCUCGCACGCCCUUAGAGCACCAGCGCACUCAAGAGACCUGGGAUCAGUUCCCUCUCUCGCCCAUCUGUAACCCCUACUAUAGAACCCCGCGUGGGUAAUACGAGCAGCCUCGAUACUGGACGUAGGCCUUCCUUUGCCCAAACCAAUCUAACCCCGUGUCGCCAACGCCACCAUCCGAAGCCUUACGCGCAUAAAAGAAAAUUUACUAGUCUAAGUCUUGAUCCGCAAAUCUUGACAACGACAGUUGGCGCGCCAGGUAGGGGACCUUUGCGCGUACGUCUCCAGCUUCAGAUGGCCAACCACGACAUAAGCUUCGCUCCGAGCUCCCUGAUCCGUUUCGGGAGUCUGGACUUCCUCGCCACCGGGGAGGGGAUCGAGCUGAUCCCUCUCCUCGUCUUGCCCGCUUGUCCCGCCAUCCCCGGCCCCACCGCCGGGACAGCGGCGAGCGGCCAGGCGCGCGCCAGAGGGUCCUUCCCAGGUGGUUGGCUCUUCGGGCUGCGCAAUGCCACGGUGACUUACGGUCGCCUCCUGACGCAGUCCAUGACCGUGUUGCUCGCGAGCAACAAGCUCGCAGGCGUGGCGAGGACGAUCUCCGACACCGGCUCCAGCAACGGGAGCCGCCACCCCUCGCGUGAGUGCUUCAUGGCUGACAUGCACUCCGAGGGGUCCAACGACAAUGGCGCCAGGGGGAGACAGAGGACUCCCCCCCCCCGCACGCCGUGGCUACGACCGGGGCCUUACCAAGGGCCCUGGAGCACUUUCGGCAGCCGGAGGCACGCGCGGCGUCCCGCCAGGAGGUCGAGCGCCCCCGCCACGAAGGCGGAGCGCGACAGCGGGCGCGUGACGUCCAACAGCGUAUCUGCGCGGACGAAGAGCGCCCUCAGCUCUUUGCUCAUGCCAGCCAGAACGUCGCAGCCGUGGUGGCCCUACUCCGGCAACUCCCCGAGCCGGCGACGCCCGAGGAGCGAUGGGCGCGCCAAGAGAUGCGCGACUUGCUCGAAUGCGCCGCCGUCCAGCAGGCGGAAAGUUCCGCGUCCCGGCGACACGGACAAAAUGCCAGCAGGGCGGCGCCCGAUGCGCCCCCGGAGAGACGGGGGGAGUCUGUCCACCAGCCUCCUCCCAGGGCAAACCAGGCCGCGUCCGCCCAGUGGACACCACCACCUGCGGGAGGCGGGGCUCGAUCCGUUCAUCGACGCGUCGGCCCCGUCCGCGACGCCCGCGACACCCUGGACGCGCGGAGGCGCUCCCGCGCGGAUAGGGAGGACGGGGUAGAUCGCGGCUACCACGUCCACCGCGGCGGGCACUACGACAGCGAGGAAGACCGCAGCCCGAGCCCCGGCCUGGCGGGGCCACGGGCCUUUUCCGCGCGCAUCCUGAACGCGCCUUUUCCGCCGCGCUUCAGGCAACCGACGAAUGUAGCCAAAUACUCGGGGGAGACAAACCCUGGGGUUUGGCUCAGCGGCUACCGGCUCGCAUGCCUAGCCAGCGGGAUGGACGAUGAUCUGUUCAUCAUCCGCAACCUACCACUCUUCAUGGCCGACUCGGCACGAGCCUAGUUGGAACAUAUCCCUUCGGGAUGGAUCCGCUGCUGGAAUGACCUGAAGGAGGUAUUUAUAGGAAACUUCCAGGGCACGUACACGCGCCCCGGUAACUCCUGGGACCUCUGGAGCUGUCGCCAGGGAUCAGACAAGUCCCUCCGGGACUACAUCCGGCACUUCUCCAGGAAGCGCACUGAGCUCUCCAAUGUUGCGGAUGCCGACGUCAUAGGGGCCUUCCUAGCGGGAACCUCCUGCCGGCCCCUCGUCCACGAGCUAGGGCGCCGAGGCUCGCGAACCAUGGAGGAGCUCCUCAACAUUGCCACCAGCUACGCCUCGGGCGAAGAGGCCGUUGGAGCGAUCUUCGACCGCUCCAAAGGUAAGGCAAAGCGGGAGGAGGAUGCCGAUGAGGGCACCUCCAACCGCUAGCAGAAGAAGAAGGGCAAGCAGCGGCGCGAGGCCCCCCUCGUAGCUGCUGUCGAGCGCAAGCGAGGACAGCCACCCCCGGAGGGCACUCCUGGCUUCUUCGACAAGCUGCUUAAGGGACCGUGCCCGAACCACGAGUUCCCCGCGAAACAUGCCUACAAGGACUGCAACCUCAUGAAGAGGCACUUCGUAGGCAACCCAGUGAAGGGCGACCGGAAGCAGAAGCCUAAUGAGGAGAAGAAGGGCGACGACGAGAAGGAAGACGGCUUCCCCAAGGUGGACGGCUGCUUCAUGAUCUUCGGCGGCCCGGCGGCGUACGACUCCAAGCGACGUCAGAAGCUGGAGCGCCGAGAGGUUUACGCGGCCGAGCCGGCAACGCCGGCCUUCCUCGACUGGUCAGGAUCGGCCAUCACCUUCGACCGGUCCGACCACCCGGGAUGCGUCCGGCAUCCAGGAAGCUACCCCCUCGUCGUCGACCCCAUCAUCGGCAGGACGCGCCUCACCAAGGUGCUCAUGGAUGGGGGCAGCGGCCUCAACAUCCUCUACGCCGUGACCCUCGACGCUAUGGGGAUUGACCGCUCCCGCCUCCGCCCCAGCAAGGCACCGUUCCACGGCAUUGUGCCGGGAAAACAGGCGAUGCCCCUCGGGCAAAUCGACUUGCCCGUCACUUUCAGGACCCCUUCCAACUAUAGGAAGGAGGUCCUCACCUUUGAAGUGGUGGGGUUCCGCGGAACCUAUCACGCCAUCCUGGGGCGACCAUGCUACGCGAAGUUCAUGGCCAUCCCCAACUAUACCUACCUCAAGCUCAAGCUACCGGGGCCCAACGGGGUCAUCACCGUCGGCACGUCUUUCCAAAAGGUGUAUGAGUGCGACGUGGAGUGCUGCGAGUACGCCGCAGCCAUCACCUUCACGGGGGAUCUGGUGGUCCAGCUCGCGGAGGGCGCCGAGGACCAGCCCGACUCCAAGCAGUCGGCCACCUCCUUCGAGGCCACCGAAGGCGUCAAGGAGGUCCUCCUCGACCCCAGCAGCUCCGACGGCAAGACCGUGCGGAUCGGCGCUACCCUAUCUCCCAAAUAGGAAAGCGCGCUCGUCGGCUUCCUCCGCGCGACCAGCGACGUCUUCGCGUGGAAGCCCUCGGACAUGCCCGACAUUCUGAGAGAAGUCGCCGAGCACUCCUUGAACAUCAAGGCUGGCUCCAAGCCAGUGAAGCAAGGACUGCACCGCUUCGAUGACAAGAGGCGCAAGGCCAUCGGCGAGGAGCUCCAGAAGCUUUUGACGGCCGGAUUCAUCAAGGAAGUGUACCACCCCGAGUGGCUAGCUAACCCUAUUCUUGUACGAAAAAAGAAUGGUAAAUGGAGGAUGUGUGUUGAUUAUACCGGUCUCAACAAAGCGUCCCAAAGGAUCCAUUUCCUUUGCCACGCAUAGAUCAGAUAGUCGACUCGACCGCCGGGUGCGAAACCCUUAGCUUCCUUGACGCGUAUUCUAGCUACCAUCAGAUCGCGAUGAAAGAAUCCGACCGGCUCGCCACCUCUUUCAUCACCCCCUUCAGCCCCUACUGCUACGUUAAGAUGCCAUUCGGCCUCAAAAACGCGGGGGCUACAUUCCAGCGAUGCAUGCUGAAGUGCUUCGGGGACCUCAUCGGGCAGACCGUUGAGGCUUACGUUGACGAUAUCGUGGUCAAAUCCAAGAGGGGCCACCAGCUUGUCCCUGACCUUGAACUAGCCUUCGAAAGGCUGAGGGAUAAGCGUAUUAAGCUCAAUCCCGAAAAAUGCAUUUUCGGAGUUCCAAGGGGCAUGCUGCUAGGCUUCAUCGUCUCCGUGCGCGGCAUCGAAGCCAAUCCGGAGAAGAUAGCGGCCAUCAGCGACAUGGGGCUAAUCCGAAACAUGAAGGGAGUCCAGCGCGUCAUGGGAUGCUUAGCGGCCCUGAGCCGCUUCAUCUCGCGCCUUGGCGAACGGGGGCUUCCUCUCUAUCGACUCCUGAAGAAGACAGACCACUUCGAAUGGACCGACGAGGCCCAGGAGGCACUUGACCGACUCAAGGACCUCCUAACGAAGGCCCCGGUCCUGGUCCCGUCGACCGACGGCGAGCCCCUCCUGCUCUACAUCGCGGCGACCACUAGGUGGUUAGCGCGGCCUUAGUGGUGGAACGGGAAGAGGAGGGACACGCUCUCAAGGUACAACGCCCGGUGUAUUUCGUCAGCGAAGUCCUGUCCGAGUCCAAGGCGCGUUACCCGCAGAUCCAGAAGCUCAUCUACGCCGUCCUCAUCACGAAGAGGAAGCUGCGCCACUACUUCACCUCCCACCCGGUAACGGUUGUUUCGUCGUUCCCACUAGGCGAAGUAAUCCAGAACUAGGACGCCACGGGACGGAUCGCGAAAUGGGCGCUCGAGCUCAUGGACCAGGGUAUCACCUAUGCCUCCCGCACCGCCAUCAAGUCCCAGGUACUUGCCGAUUUCAUAGCAGAGUGGACGGAGAUCCAAAUGCCAUCAGCGCCGGAGAAGCAGGAGUACUGGACAAUGUACUUCGAUGGAUCGUUGAUGAGGGCCCGGGCCGGAGCAGGCCUCGUCUUCGUCUCUCCUCUAGGCAUGCGCAUCAGGUACAUGAUCCGCCUCCACUUUCCUGCAUCCAACAAUGUCACCGAGUACGAGGCCCUCCUUAACGGGCUUCGCAUCACCAUCGAGCUGGGCAUCCGCCGGCUAGACAUCCGGGGCGACUCCCAGCUAGUCGUCGAACAAGUCAUGAAGGAGUGGAGCUGCCACGACCCCAAGAUGGCAGCCUACUGCAACGAGGUUCGGAAGCUUGAAGACAAGUUCGACGGGCUGGAGCUCAACCACGUCGCAAGGCGCUUCAACGAAGCCGCCGAUGAGCUGGCGAAGGCAGCAUCCGGCCGAAUGCCCGUCCCCGACGGUGUCUUCGUCAGCGACCAGUUCAAGGCUUCGAUCCAUUACCCAGAACCAGCGGGGGUCGGCGAAGCGCUACCGGCCCCGGGAUCAGGCCCCGACCUAGGAGAGGUUGGCAGCGCGCCACCCGUCUCAGGCCCUGACGCCAGCCCUGACGGGGUAGGCGUCGCUUCGUCUGACUCGGCCUCGGAAGCCGACCCCUCCGGCCCCUUGGUCAUGGAAAUCGCGUCGGACCCCGCGGAGGGGCCCGACCCCCCGGCCGACUGGAGAGCCCCAUACCUCAACUACCUCGUCCGCGACACGCUCCCGGCGAACAAAAUGGAGGCCCGUAGGAUCGCGCGUCGCACCAAAUCCUUCACCAUUAUCGAUCAGGAGCUCUACAAGAGAAGCCACACCGGCAUGCUCCAGCGCUGCAUCCUGAUCGAAUAGGGAAGGGCACUGAUCCAGGACAUCCACGCCAGAGCCUGCGGCCACCACGCUGCACCAAGGACCCUCGUCGGCAACGCCUUCCGGCAAGGCUUCUACUGGCCGACGGCGGUCGCCGACGCUACCCAAGUAGUCCGUACCUCUGAGGGGUGCCAGUUCUUUGCGCGCCAAACCCACCUGCCCGCGCAGGCGCUCCAGACCAUCCCCAUCACAUGGCCGUUCGUGGUCUGGGGGCUGGAUCUCGUCAGGCCCUUCAAGAAAGCGCCCGGGGGCUUCACCCACCUACUUGUCGCCGUCGACAAGUUCUCUAAGUGGAUCGAAGCAAGACCGGUGGCGCAAAUCAAGUCCGAGCAGGCGGUACAGUUCUUCACCGACAUCAUCCACCGCUUCGGAAUCCCCAACUCCAUGAUCACCGACAACGGCACGCAGUUCACCGGGAAGAAAUUCCUCCAGUUCUGCGAUGACCACCACAUCCGAGUGGACUGGUCGGCCGUGGCACACCCCCGCACGAACGGGCAGGUCGAGUGAGCCAACGGCAUGAUACUCCACAAGCUCAAGCCACGGAUCUUCGACCGCCUGAAAAAGUUUGGCGGACGGUGGGUCGCCGAGCUUCCCGCGGUCCUUUGGAGCCUGAGGACAAGCCCCAGUCGGGCGACUGGCUUCACCCCGUUCUUCAUGGUCUACGGGUCCGAGGCCAUCUUGCCGACCGACCUGGAAUACGGAUCGCCGAGGGUCAAAGCGUACGACGAACAAGGGAACCAGGCAUCGCUUGAAGACGCACAAGAUCAGCUCGACGAGGCACGCGAUGUGGCCCUGCUGGACUCAGCUAAGUACCAGCAGGCCCUACGGCGUUACCACAGCCGCAAGGUGCAAGGCCGAGCCUUUAACGUAGGCGACCUGGUGCUCCGCCUCGUCCAGGAUAAUAGGGGUCGGCACAAGCUAACUCCCCCGUGGGAAGCUCCCUUCAUCGUCGCGCAAGUACUACGGCCAGGCACCUACAAGCUAGCGACCCCCGACGGGCAGAUCUUCGGCAAUGCUUGGAACAUAGAACAGCUAAGGCACUUUUACCACUAGUUUUCAUUUCCAAGUUCUGUACGUAGACUCGUCUGUAAAUUUCGAAGUUUUCUUUUUGCGGAACAAGAAAUUUCGAACCAGUUUUGUUUAAGAUUUUCCCGUCGAGCUCAGGAAUAUCCAACCCUAGCUUCGCUCCAGGGUCGCAUAUCCCUCGAGGGCUAUCAAGGGCUCUGGCACAAGCCACUUGGCACCAUCUGAAAAAUAUUUUUUCUUCCGAACCGAGCCCCCCUUUCUGAACAUUUGGGCACAAAAAGGAGAGAGUGCGCAAACGGUGUUCAGGCAAGAUUGAUUGGACUGCGAAAAACCUACGCCCCAGCGGCUACGGUACCUUCGCUCAUCAAAGCUUACUGACAUGCCCGACAACGCACUCCAGACUUUCCAAGUCCAAAAAAAAAGAAAGGGGAUUGGAAACUGUUGCACGACAAGUUAUAGGAAAGGCCUCUAUGGCCAUCACAAAACAAGUCUGAAACUAAUGUAUUUACAUCUAGGGCGCCAGCCCAACACAGUUAGCUCGCCGGGGGAUCUUCGGGAGGGACGGCCUCAUCCUCCAGGAGCUUCGCCAAGGCCUCCGCCGGGGUGAACACCGACGCGUUGAUCUCGUCCAGCUCAGCCUCGGAGUAGCCAGCGGCGUACCCCCGCUCAUCCCGGCGAAGUUGAUGCCAGAGUAGUGGGAGCCGAAGACCCCGAAGCCUCGCCUCACGCCGGUGUGGAGCGCCUCCAGGGCGAUCUUGUGGGCUCGGCGGUAGGUCCCGAGGACACGAGUCGCCAGCGAGCUCGUCUCCUCCUCGUGGACCACGCUGAGCCCGUCACAGAUGACGCGGACCGCAUCCUGCGGGUUGCCGUGCUCAGCGCGUUCCGUGGCGAGCGCCUCCCUCAGCAGGGUAAGCUCGCUUGCAAGGAUCACCCAGAAGAACCCGCUAAAUCAAAAAUCACCGCAACAUCACAAAGACAAAGAAAUGAACAGAGUCUUACCCUCGGACUAGGCCUUCAGCUGGCGCUCCCGAUCGAGCCCCUGGGCCACGGAGGCCUGAAGCUCCCGCGCUUGCGCUUGAAGCUGACCGACCUCCGCCCCAAGGUCGGCCGCCGCCUUCUUGGCCUCCUCCUUCCGGACCUUCUCGGCGUCCCGGUCCUGCCAAGCCUUUUGCCGUUCGCGCCGGAUGCGCUCGACGGUCUUCUGGAGGGCUUCAUGCUCCCCCUUCACCCGUGCGAGCUCCUCGGCGUCGUGGCGGGCCUUUUCGGCAGCGGCCUGGAACUCCUCACGGUCGAGGCGGGCCUUGUUGACGACGGCUUGGAGUUUGUCUUCCGACCGCCGCACCUCCUCAUGUGCCGCCUGCUCGCGCCUCAGCAGGUCGUUAAUGGCCCCCUGGGCGGCGGCAACCUGCAUGGUUAGGUCCCUGGUUUGCUCCCUCUCCAAGUUGAAGCGCUCCCAGAGCCCCCGCUCCAGCUGGAGGAAAUCAGAUUUCCCCCGACUGCACUCUUGGAGAGCCUACAAAGCAAUACACCAUCAGGGGCAAGGCAACGGGAAAGGGACAAUCACCGACAGAAGGGGCAACGUACUUGGCUACCAGGGAGGACGACGUUGUCCAACUACCCCAACACCGAGGAUAGAGCCGCGCGGGCAUUGGCGAGGCUGCCCUGCACCGCCUGCCACUUGCGCUACUCUGCGGCGUCGUCCAGGGUGAAGAGGUGCCUCGGCGGGUCCUCAUGAGACGUCCAACGCAGGACAGACCCCCUCCACGCCCUGGGGAUGUAGGUGGCCAAAGCCAAAGCGGGACCCGACCCGGAAGCCGCCGGGUUCACCGACGGUCCCGGCGCCUGCGCAUCUGUCGCUGUCAGGGCCACUGCGGACCCGCUCAAUGGCGCCACCGCCUCCGACGCAAGCGGCGGGACAAGUACCCCCGCAGCCACCUCGCCCUCCGCCGCAACCGCCGAGGCAGGCUCCUCCGCCCCUGCCGGAGCCCCUCGAGCGGGCACCUCCGCCUCCGCCGCCGGCGCCGCCUCCACCGGGACCUCCGGGGCGGAGGUCCCCGCCUCCGUCAUCGACACCUCCUCCGCCGCGGCCGCGGAGGCAGGCACUCCCUCCCCUGUCGCCGCCGCCGUUCCCGUCGCGGCUGCUGGGACACCCGUCCCUGCUCCCGUCGCUGCCGUCCCCUCCGCCUCGUCGGCGUCGAGGUCGAUCACCUCCCUGGUCUGAGGGCCCUGGGGAACGAUGCUCUGCACCGAAGGGUCGACCAGGGAAGCGGAAGGCGGAACGGGGUCCACGCCCUCUCCCGCGCCCGAUGGCGCCGCCAAUCCACCGGUCGCCGUCACGGGGGCCGCUUCCGCAGCGGGAUCCGCGACCUCACCGGGGACCCCACCGCUCGCCGCGGGCGGGACCGCGGUUCGCCCCGCAGAGGCAGACGACACCCGCAGCGCCUUUUUGGGCGCCAGCUGCAGGACGAGGCCACGGGGGGCGGCGCUGUGGAACAACAAAUAAAUGUUAGCUGAAACGAACGCAAGGUAGGGAAAGGAGCAAGGUUCACGAGGAAAUCCAACUUACGUUCCUCCGGAGCAAGGACGGCGCGCGCGCUUCGCCUCAAAGCCGGACGCCGACCCCGGGGCAUCCGGCAGCGGCCGCUUGUCGCCACUCCUCUGCUCUUGGGUCUCAGGCGCGACGGUGGGGGUGGGCUCCGUGGACCUCCGGGGAGCGCUCCGCGUUGACUCCUGGGGGGCGCCCCGCGCCGGCUCCUGGGCGACGGCGGGGGCGGGCUCCGUGGACCUUCGGGAAGCGCUCCGCACGGACUCCUGGCGGGCACCCCACGCCGGCUCUUGGGCGACGGCAGGGGUGGGCUCUGAAGACCUCCGGGGAGCGCUCCGUGCCGACUCCUGAGGAGCGCCCCGCACCGGCUCCUGGGGGGCGCCCCGCGCCGACCCGUGGAGAGCGCCCCGCACCGACCCCUGGGGCAUGGCGCCGGAACCUUGCGGAACCAAGCCCAAGGCAGACGAUCCCUCCGCCUCAUCCCUCACGGCUGUUUGCGGGCACGCCUCCCGGAUUACGAGCGCACCCGACCGAGGGGAUAAGACCAGCUCUUCCUCCUCAUCAUCAUCAUCCUCAUCUUCCUCCUCGUCAUCAUCAUCAUCGUCGUCAUCGUCGUCCGACACGACCUGCCCUCUCCACCGCCGUUGGAACUCCUUGGCGGCCUUCUUCUUCUUUUUCGCCAUCUCCUUGUCCUUACGACGCUUCUGCUCUUCGGCAAGGAGACGGUUUUGCGUCCGCCGAUCGGCGUCCUCCGGCACCGGCGGGUGCGAGUCCACGACCCGGGUCAGCAUGCCCUACAAACACAAAAUGGCCCCGCAUCAGAGCGAUGACCAAGAGACACGAAAAAAGAAGGUCGGCGCCCCAAUCCCUUACCAGGUCGACGAAGCCCUCGUUCGGGCGCAUCGGCGGGUGCCCGGGCACCGGGUAUUCGGCGUCCUUGUCCUCCAACGCCUCCCGACUCUGCUGUCGGAUCUCGAAGGCGGCGAGCGCGCCCGCCUCCAAGACGGUGCCCUCGGUCGGUGCGCCCGGAGUCAUGGCGGCGAGCGAACGAACCCGGAGCAUCAGCGGCGCCACCCGCCGGGCAUGGUAUGCCCUAAUGACCCCGGCGCCGGUAAGCCCUCUCCUCUUCAAUUGCUCGAUGGCCUGCAGCAGGUCGAGGAUCCGCUUCUUCUCCUUCUCGACCGGUCCGUACGACCACACCUCCGGCGCCACGUCGAUGGUGCGGCCGGUGAACCCCGGCAGGGGGGAGUUCGAGUAGUUCUUCACAUAGAACCACUGGUUGUGCCACCCCUUGUGGGACGCCGAGGUCUUCAUCGCCAUGUACUCCUUGGAGCGAGUAUGGUGGAGGUGAAUUCCGGCGCACCCGAUCGGCACCGGGGGCGACCGCUGCUGGUUCCCCCUCCUCUCCGUCUUCUGGUACAGGCUCACCGAGAAGAAGUACUUCCACAGCGAGAAGUUGGGCUCGAUGCCCAGGAACCCCUCGCACAGUGCGACAAACGCCGUAAUGUGCUGGAUCCCGUUGGGGUUGAGGUGCUGAAGCUUAAGCCCGUAGUAGUGGAGGAGCCCGCAAAAGAAGCGGCUCGGCGGAGUCGUGAACCCCCGCUCGUGGAAGUGAGCGAAGGAGACGACGUAGCCGGCGGGAGGUGUCGGCACAUGCUCCGACCCCGGCAGCUCCCACUCGCCCACCUCCGUCCUCUCGCAGAGGAGGCCUUUCCUCACCAGGCCUUCGGCGCGUGAGGAGUUGAAGUGAGAAAUCCCCCAGGAUCCCAUCGCCGGAGGAGGAAGGAACUUGACGGGGAUGGGAAGAAAGGGCGUAGCGCUGAAGCGGAGGAAGGCGAAGCGGGCGCGGAUGAGCUGAGGGCGAGUUCGGAGGGCGAAAAGACUUGAAAGCAGAAGGCAGGCGGAACCAGCGAGGCGGAGCCUUCAUUUUAUAGGGAAGGCGUGAAGGCAGCGGAACCAACGCCCUUGUCGCCAUAAAUGCGGCGCCAGGUACGCCCCCGUCACGCCCACUUUCUUUUCGGAAACCGCGCGCACGAUCGGCCGCAGAAACAUCCUCUCCUCCUCGAUUCGUGGGUCGGCACCCUCCAUAUCUCCGCCUCCCAUAAGACGCGCACACGACGUCCCCCACGUUCGGCCCAGGACGCAGCAUCCGCCCCGAUUUGGCCCAAGGCCCACUGAAAGGUAAUAAGGGAUACGGGGCUGAAAAUGCCCCUACGGCCCAUUACGAUCCAGAGGUUCGAAGGCUGGCCCGCUACAGGUUCGAUAGCCGCCUCAGGAUGCCCACGAGCGAGGGGUGAGAAGGGACGGGUCCGCUAGUGACCAUAACCCGGGCGCGCGACGGCCCCAGGUGUCUCAAACUCACAUUCGAGUCCAGACCGGCAUCAAAGUUCAUGGUUUUUCCACGAGGAAAGGCAACGAGCCCCCGGAUCCGACCGAACAAACUCGGGAACUACAUGAACCGGCCGGCUAGAGCCUGGGGUACGCCACCAGCUUGGCCCUAGCCGGACCCCCCCGAACGGGGACCGGGACUCCACUCGAACCGACCCGUUUGCAGCUCAACGAGCACCACGGUUCGUCCAAUGAGGAUAGCGUGGCACGUCUCAUCCCCUCCGUCCCAGCGAACGGAUGCUUGAGGGGUAACGAUCAAAAGCUGAUCUAGCCUCCCGAUCGGUCUCCGGUAACGUGCGGGGGCUCGGGGGCUAGCAUCGCAACCAAUAACCACGCGUGUGGUCGCGAUUUGGAGACUCGAGGCGGUAGCACCCCACGGAGCAAUGAGGAGUCUCGCCACGCUAAGUCAUCCACAGGACACCUCUCCUGAUCGAACUCCCUGGCCCAGUCGGACCAACAACACUCCCCAUCCCUGGUCAACUACGGCUUGCAGGGCGAGCAGAGAUCCCCGGCGGGCGGCGAAAAAAGCCUCUGGAGGAACAUCUUUGCUCCACCACAGGCUCGGGGGCUACUAUUGGGGAAAAAUAUUAACGACCUCCUAAUGCCGCUUAAAGCAACAGUCACGGAAGCCCAGGCCCAUCUAAGGUAACGAAAUUGCCGUCGGCCCAACAUGGAAGGGAGAGGCCACGUUCCGCCUCGCUCGACCCGGGGUCCCGGGGUCGGACGCCCCCGACUCCUUGAAGACUAAACUCCGCCUCGCCCGACCCCGGGGACCGGGGUCGGGAGCGCCCGACCCCCACCACGGAAAUUCCGCCUCGCCCGACCCUGGGCGCGGGGGUCGGACUCGCUCGGGUCCACAAGACGAAUAUCCACCUCGGGCGCGGACUGGAGGAUCAGGAUGACGAUCUCGUGGGUCCCCCUAUCGACCUCGCCAUAAAUGCGCCGCGACCCUGUCAGGACAAAAGGGAGCAGCGCCCCCAACGCAACCGGUCCCGAAUACCGGUGCGCGGCCGUGCGGCGCGGGCUGCAGUGGCCGCGGCUCCUUCUCAUUCGCCACAAGGUACUCAUGAGCCGUGCCGAACGACACAGGAGGGCGCAUCGCUUGCUCUCACGCCCCGUGCUCCCAACGGCAGUGUUAGGGACGCGACGUGCGGGUCUUGCGUUAAUCGGCGGGGCAGCAGAAUCGGACCUCCUCCCCGGCGGGCAUGGAUGCCAAGGCUGAGGCUCAUCAUCACGAUCGACAGCGACGGCGACCAGGGAGAUCAUCAACAAGAUUUGGAAGGAAUCACCCUCCCUCGCCGGACGCGCUGACAGGGACCGGGGGCCGGAACGAGAGCGGCGGCCUUGGGACCCUCCCCUUGUAUCAUUUUACUACUUGGCUUAUCCUUUCUACCUCUUCUCCGGACGCCCGGCUCGACUGUAACCCCGAUCUCCCUCUUGCGAUAUAAAAGGAGGACCGGGGAUCCUGGGACGGGGGACUCAGACUUUUUCCCUCAAGCCAACAGUACACUCUCGCACGCCCUUAGAGCACCAGCGCACUCAAGAGACCUGGGAUCAGUUCCGUCUCUCGCCCAUCUGUAACCCCUACUACAGAACCCCGCGUGGGUAAUACGAGCAGCCUCGAUACUGGACGUAGGGCUUCCUUUGCCCGAACCAGUCUAACCCCGUGUCUCCCACGCCACCAUCCGAAGCCUUACAUACAUAAAAGAAAAUUUACUAGUCUAAGUCUUGAUCCGCAAAUCUUGACAACGACACUAUCACAGGACAAUGAUGCAACAACUCAGUCCCCCCUCUUGCCUCGUCAUGAGUAAGGUUUCUAAUUAUUUAGCCAAGACCAGAGCCAAUUAGUCUUGUGGUAGCACUGUUUUCCUGGGUGGCUCUCCAUGUUCCGAUUAAACGUUUGUGAUCUUGUAUUAAUGAAAGGUAUAACAGAAGUAAAGCAAGAUUAAUCAUUGAGUUCAAUUAAACCAACUUAUCCCAAGUAGGAACUAAGGAUGAGCUACCAAACAUAAAAGUACACCCGGUUGGUCAAGGCAAAGGUAAAUUCAAUCUAGGGAAACCUUAAUUGGGACCCAUCAAUUUAAUCUUAACAAGGGCAUAGCAUAAUUGUUGAGUACGAGAAAGUAAAAGUGUAUAGGACUGAGAAGUAGUGAUCAAGGACAUGACUUGACUUCUUGGCCUUGCUCUUGCUGUUCGUACUCCUCGAAGGCUUGAUCUUCAAAUCCCCCGAAUUGCUGAACGUCUAUACGCGUCACAUCAGCACAUACAAGCAAACAAGGGCACAAAGUAAGAAAACAGUACACAAAUCACAACUAAACAGAGAAAACAAGCUUGAAAAAUUAAUCUACACUUUAAAACAAACAAGUGGAUAUAAAGAACGCGAAAAAUGAAGUUAAGAUGCAAAAGAUAUGAUUAAAACAAGAUCCAGGGGCUUUUCUGCGAGAAAAACAAAACUUCUAGGGUCGAACUGCGAAAAACCGAGGGCUUAUACAUGAUUAUGCCUAUAAACCGAAGGUUUAACAUGCAAAAAUGCAACUUAGGAUGGCGGGUUGAUUUAGAGAAACUCAGGGUCUAAACCGAAAGAAAACAGGACCAAAACACAAUUAUUUUUGAACUAGAUUUGCGGAAAAGGCAAGGGCUUCAGUGUAAAAGAGGCACGGUGCGACGCGAUUGAGUACGCGAUCUGGUUGACUCGCUACGGGCCAUCGGAUUUGGAUCCGACGGUCUCGGUCAUCGGCGACACCGAAGCAGCGGCGGACCAGGCGGCGGGCGGCGACGAGCGGCGGCGGUUCGCCGGAAUUAGCCGAUACGGCGCUCCAGGGCUCGGUUUCGUGCGCGGCAAACACCAGAAGCAUGAGAAAAGCAAGGCGAUCCCUUUUCGGCGAUUCACGGUAACCGAGGCUCACCGGAAGGCGGAGAGAGGGCGGUGGUGCCGGAGCUCGGAUGGCGGCGCUUGCUAGGGUUUCGGGGGCGCUGUUGCGGGGUGCUCGAGGUGGGGGGGGCUUAUAUAGGGGCGGAGUCGGGGCGCGGUCGGAGUGGAGUUCCGACUGGAGGACGGGGAUGAUGGGUAGGUCCCACCCGUCAGACCUGCCGAAGAAGGCUGGUGCCGCUGGGCAGGCCGACGGAGUGGGCCGAGCGAGCGACAUGAGCUGGCGAAGGGAAAAAGGGAAAGCGGCAGCUUUGCGGGCCGGAGGAAAAGGCAAAGCGGGCCGGGGGAGCUAGCGGCGCUAGGCUGCAGGGAAAUAGUGUUGGAGGUAUGCCCUAGAGGCAAUCAUAGAGAUGAUGAUAUUCCAUUUGUAUCCAUGAUUUGUAUAUUGUGUUCAUUGAAUAUCCAUUAAAGGCUACUUGAAUUGAUUUGCAAUUAUGUGAAUUGUAUGUGAAACUCUUUACUUGUAUGGUUAUUCUAAAAUUGUCCCUAGUCGGAGUUCAUGUGAGGACACACAUGAAUAUUAGACUAGCACAUGUAUUAGUUGAUGACUAUGUUUCACAAGUCAUGGACAUGGAGAUGUUGAACUAAUAAUGUGGACACAUGUGGAGACAUGUGCUAGAACUGACCCAACACGAGAAGUAGUUCUCUCUUUACACAACAUAUACGCUUUAUCCUUAGACCUGAGAUUGUCGCAUGUACUCAAGAUGUGGAUCGACUUACUUAGGGGCUAUCAAACGCUACGCCAUAACAGGGUAGUUAUAAAGGUAGCUUUCGGGUUUGUCAAGAAGCAUGCUAUGAGACAUGGUCAAUCAAGAUGGGAUUUGCCCCUCUCUGAUUGAGAGUGAUAUCUCUGGGCCCCUCGAGUGAUCGGAUCCGAAAAUGCAUGGCCAUGCUACGUACGGUUAAGAGUUGACCUACAAAGGGAUUCCGAAUCACAGGAUCGAGAAAGAGCGGCCGGCUUGAAGCUAGACCAAAUAUCGUGAGGCAAAGGGAAUAGCAUGUAUAUUAUGUUGUGAUGGUUCGUCUGAUAUGAUCUUCGUGUGCGUAUAGGAGUUGGCAUGUCUUGCUAGAGGCCGCUACCGACUAUUGGGCCGAGUAGGAGUACUUGGGCCAUGUCUAUACGUAUCCGAACCCAUAGGGUCACACACUUAAGGGGCUGGAAGCCCAAUUCGGAUCUGAUCCGAGUUGGAUUAGGUUUAGAAGUACUAAUGGGCCUCGGACCUAGAGGCCCGUUAGGAACCUCUAUAAAUAGAGGGGUGGGGGCGUCCUAGGGUUUACACCUUUUGGCGAAACACACCUGCCGCGCCUCCCACGCCCUCGCCUGUUGCAACUCGCGGAUCUAGCAGUCCGGCUUGCGACGCUUCCUCCCUGCACGUGUGGAUACCUUGGAGGUGUUGCGCCUGCAGCACUUGGACGAGCCGCCGACGAGCCGCCGACGAGCCGGCGACGAGCCGCGGCACGGGAGGCGAUCUUGCUGCACGUGGACGAGCUGCUGAGAAGCUACUGGACGUUGACGUGAUCGACUACGUACAACUACGUUGAUCGGAUACGUACGACUACGUGAUUGUCUUCACUGCAUCGACGCAUAUCUACAUCUUCCGCACCAGUAGUGCGUCGAGUGGUAAUCCCGUGAUCCUUAUACGGCAGUUCUUCCUGGUUUUACGCGGUAGAAAUUUUGAUUUGCGCUAGUGUAGCCUACCUUGUAUCCCAACAAAUAGGAUCCGGGCUGAAAGAGAAAGGAGGAGGAGAAGGAUGCAGCCCAGGAGGAGGAAGAGAAAAGAGGAAAAGAAAGAUUUUUAAAAUUGAAAUGCAAUUUGAGAUUCAAUUUUGGUUCAAACACAAGCAAUCAAAAUAAAUGCACCAGCAUGCAAUGCACAAAGAACUCCUAUGAUGGUUUAAUUUAAUUUAGAGAAAAUAAAAUUAAAUGCCUAGAAAUUUAAAUGACAUCCUAAUUGAGCAAAUUUUAGUGUAUUUAAAUUCUUUAAAAAAUUUUGGUGUUACAGGGCACCAGAUGAUCCGAUGCCUAUCUCAAGUGACCAUCGGAUCAUCCAAUGCUCACAUAUUUUACUAGCUGUUGUAGCGAAGGCUCUUUGAGAUCCAUGGGCUAUUUAUGCCCUCUCCACUCGCCCAUUUAGAGGUGCUGGAUUGUCCAUACAUCGAUUGAAGACCAAGGCCCAUCAAGAACACAUCCAUGCCACCAAAAGUGCAAAAGCGAUAAUCCAAGGCUUAGCACGAGCUAAGAGAUUGAUUAGCUCUAGGAUAGGCCUAGAGAGAGUAGAGCAAGGUGUUGCUACCUUGUGAUUGGUUCAAGGAGUGAUCCACUAUUGUAAGCUUGGGGCGCCGGCGCCUUGGGGUCUUGGUGGCUCUCCGGCAAGUCUUCGACACCCCAGCUCGGUGUGGAGCAGCGUCGACAGCCGGAUGCGGGGGACAAGAAGACUCCUUCCUUCGUGGAGCAGCUCCAUGGUGGAGACGACGUCAAGGUGACCGAAGGGGGGUAGUAGUGAGCCUUGCGUUUGUGGAUAGCUUGUCAUCCGGCUUGGCUAGAGCCUUUGUAGCGAGCCCAAGACCUUGACCGGGAGAGACUUGGUGAGCAGGAGCAUGUCCUUGGUGGAGCUCCAACGCAUGGACUAUGGGUGGCAUUUGGCUACCGAUACCAUGUGAUAAAUCAUCGUGCUGGGUUUGCAUCUUUCCUAACCCACUCCUUUACAUUUCCGCACUACAUUCUCGCAACUUGAGUGCCUUUAAUUACUUUCCAGAGUAGUACCUUGUUAGGAUUGGCUCUAGGUUGCAAAACUCUUUGUGGGUGGGAAGUUUCACUAGAUCAACCAUAGAUGCACAUGAUCGAGUUUAUGUUUGGAAGCAAGUAGUGGAAGUCAUAGGCCAAGGAUUCUAAGCUAGCCUAAUUCACCCCUCCCCUUCUUAGGGUACGAGCAUCGAUUCCUUUCAAUUUGCUUUAGCACCAUGAAGGCAAUAGUCAUCCAUCUGCACCAUGAUCAUAGAGCAAUGCAAAACCACGAGAGAAACGAAACGGCUGCUGUUCCUUCAUUUUAUUCCAAUUAGUAUGGACGUGGAGGUUACAGGACACACCAUGCGAGCUGUAGCGCCGGCAACAGGGAAACAAACCCAAGAAAGCAAUGCGGACAUGUUAUUCUAGUUUUUUAUGCAGAAUAUAUGGAGGCACCAGCCAGCCCAGCAACAACGACAAUGGCGGCUACUUGGUAUACUCGAUGGCCCAGAAGUUGGCGUAGAUGUAGGUGGACUUGACGCUGGUAAACCCGGCGCCCUUGGCGAGCUGCACAAACUCCCUCUCGUACCUCUCCUUGCCGUCGGGGCUGUACGCGAGCAGGCACACGUCGACGCCGAUCAACCCCUGCGCGCUGUUUGUGGCAUCCGGGUUCACCGGCAGGAUGCACUCGACACUGAUGAGCUUGCCGUGCGGAGGCAGCGCCUCGUAGCAGUUCUUGAGCAGCUUGGCGCAGUGGUUGUCGCCCCAGCAAUUGAGGAUCCACUUCAUGAGGAUGGCGUCGCCGGAGGGCACCUUCUCAAACAUGUCGCCUCCCACGUGCUGCACCUGCACGUCGGGGUAGGCCGGCGCCUCGGAGAUGACGUGGGGAAGGUCGAAGUUGAUCCCUUGAAUGGUCGGGUACCUGGAGGUGAUGGCAUGGAUGGUGGAGCCGAGGCCGCCGCCAACGUCGACGAGGGUGCGGAUGCCGUCGAAGCCCGUGUAGAGCUCCAAGAGCUUCUUGGUGAGGAUGACGGAAUGCUGCUUCAUGGCCUCAUUGAAGACCCCGUUGAAGCGUGCGUCAGUACCGGCGUAGUCGAACCAGGAAGGCGUCCCAAACGCCCUGUUGAAUGGGCUGCCACCCUCAAGGACCGCGUCCGUCAUGUAGCUCCAGGCGUGCAUGAAGAGCUUGUCGUUGGCGAGGAGGUGGAACGGAGCCAUGGAGACACCAUCCUCGUUGGGGGUGAGCCACUUGCACACUGGCGCGGCGCUGUACUGGCGGCACAGGCUGCCAUCCUCGGCCUCCUCCACCACGCAGGACACAACUUUGUAGGACGCCAGCAGUCGCAGCAAGCGAUCCACCAUGGACGGCGCGGCGGGGUUGGCCUUGGAAGGCAGCUUCGCAGCCACCUCCUUGGGAGUGAGAGCCUUCCCGCUGGCGCCCACAAGGGUCUCGAGCAGGCCCAGCUCAAUGGCAGUUCUUAGCGUCAUCGGCAGGAUGGCCGACGACACUAGCUGCAGAGCGUGCAUGCAUGUCUCCUCGUCGGCUAUGGCCAUGUCCGCGGCGGAACCCAUCUACCUCCCGGGAUUGGAGCUCAACUAACUGAUGAAGGUGUGUGUACCUUGUUGUUGUGAUUGCUGGUGGCUGAAUGAUCGAUGAGGCGAAAGGGGCCGUUUAUAUAGAGCUUCGAGCUAGGCUUUGUUCACCAACCUGAAAAUCAUGCAUUCUUUGACAAGUAUGGGAUUGCUUGUAUGGUGUGACGUGACCUGUGAGAGCUAGCAGCUAGCGUGGUAGUGAUUGUGUACCCCAUGCAAAACCUCCCUCCUAAUAAGAUCGUGAUGCACGAGGCUGAAUACUAUAUUGUUUUGUCUGCAGUCUAAUCGAUUUGGAAUCCGCAAAUAUAAUCAAUUCACGACACUGGAGAUGGUCGGCGCACGAGGAGUGGCAGUCCUAUUGAAACUUUCAGAGAAGCACCUUGUGCCCUUUGAGAAUCUGUUUUGCAUUAGAUCAAGGUUGAGAUGGUUUCUUUAACCCUUGAGAUUCAGCGCGAGGGUCCACGUGCGUGAUGGACAUGGCUUCGCUACUGCACAACUAUUUUUCAAGAAUACAUUAUCAUGGCUCGGGUGGCCGGAGCAAGAACACGAGCUGGCCGACCGUAGAGGGAAGACGCAAGCGGCACUCGCAGAAUCUACGUGGCUCCCCUUGGUCGUUCUUUGUCUCACCCUAUGGGUAUCGUGGAGGCACUUCAGCAACCCCACCCCAACCCCGCGCGCAAGUCAAAAUUUGAGGACCAUAUGUACAAUACGUGUGCAAACAAAAUCAUAAUUUUACUAGUAUUGAGGAUUUUAGUUAUUUCUUCUAAAAAAUUUCUUGGGAAAUCGUAUUUUUGUAGUACAACAUAUAUAGAAAAUAAGUAUUGCUCACAAAUAAACUGCCCUAUUCUUGGUUUUUGUUAUUAUUUUAUUUAAUCUUAAGAUUUAUAUAUGCAUAAAAAAGUAAUUUAGUAUCUUCAAAUAUGGAAACGUGGUCUUAGGAAUAGGGCUCAUAUUUUAUUCUUGAGCAUGCCUAGUGGAAAAAUACUAUCUAAAAAACUGCAAAGAAAUUUAAUACCUAAGCCUUCGAUCCACUCUACUUUUUGUAUACUAGUUUACCUGCAAUCCACUGGCUUGCACAUUAUAUUUCAUCAUACGGAAAUGUCUGAGAUUGUGAACGGAAGCAAUUUCAUCUGUCUGCAACAUGUGACACCCAGAGCUCCUGACACAACCGCGUGAGCACCUUCUCCGACAUGCGCACAUGAUGACCGCAUGCACCCAUAUUAUACAUAGUUUAUUAUAGUUUCUGCAGGGAUAUGAUAAUCAUUAAUUAUUACUUGUAAAGAUUGGAAACGUUACAAACGAUUGUAGAAAAAAUGCGAGUCACCAGGAAGGUAGGUAGUAGAGCAUGCCGUCAGUGUCUUUCCUGUGACCUGUGUUCGUGGUGCACAUGGCAGAAUGCACAGUCUAUACAUAGGAACCAGAAGUUGGCUUCGAAACCAAAUCACUCAUUAGUCCUUCAGUACUGCAGUGAACGCUAUCUAGCUAGCUAAUUUCCCCUUGAAAUCAGUUUUCUUGCGUGGCCAUGGGUAGCCUUCCACUUGAAGCCAUGAUGCCACUGAACCCCGAUUCAUUCGCUGGGGAGUCCAGUGCCGUGGUCGACUUCCUCGCCGACUACUACCGCAACGUCGAUAAGUAUCCGGUCAUGGCCAACACCCAGCCAGGGACCAUCCGUAAGCUUCUUCCGGAGGCAGCCCCGGAGUUGGGCGACUCCAUGGAUCGCAUACUGGAUGAUGUGCAGCGGGAUAUCCUCCCCGGCCUCACACAUUGGCAGAGCCCUAGCUUCUUUGCCUAUUUCCCGGCGAAUGCAAGCACCGCAGGGUUCGCCGGGGAGAUGUUGUCGGCUGGUCUCAACGUCGUCCCGUUCGUCUGGACGGCGUCACCGGUGGCCACUGAGCUGGAGCAGGUCGUGGUUGACUGGAUGGCUAGCCUUCUCGGCCUACCGGAGCGCUUCCACUUCAAGGGAGGAGGAGGCGGUGUCCUGCAUGGGAGCACGUGCGAGGCGGUGGUGUGCACUCUCGCUGCCGCGCGCGACCGUGCACUCAGCAAGCUCGGACAUGAGGGCAUCCUCAAGCUUGUCGUGUAUGCCUCGGACCAGACCCACGCAACCUUCCAGAAGGGCGCGAGCAUCGUCGGCAUCCCUCCAGCAAACUUCCGCAUCCUGCGGACUUCGGCAAACUCGGGAUACGGCCUCACCGCCACCAUCGUCCAAAGAGCAAUCGAGGAAGACGUCGCCCGCGGGCUGGUUCCCCUUUACCUCUGCGCCACCGUCGGCACUACUGGUCUGGGGGCCAUUGACCGAGUGCGCGAGCUCGGCCACGUUGCCCGGCGUUAUGGUAAUUCAUUCAACCUCCCUCUCUUAUACGCUAAUCACCCAUACGGUGACACUAAAUACGUAGAAAUGGAAUGCGCUAUGCGGUCACAAGUCACGAUUCAUGCUCACUUAACAAUCAACAAUCAGUUCCUAUAACCAUCUGACAAGUAUACAUGUUUUACAGGAACCUGGCUGCACAUCGACGCAGCCUACGCCGGAAGCGCAGCCAUUUGCCCGGAGUUCCAAGGUCACCUCGACGGCGCCGAGCUCGCGGACUCGGUGAGCAUGAACCCACAUAAGUGGUUCCUCACCAACAUGGACUGCUGCUGCCUCUGGGUGGCGAACCCUACCACCAUGACCGACGCACUGUCCACUGACCCGGAGUACCUCAAGAAUGUCGGCACCCGCGUCUAACAUGGCGGAAACGGUCGACUACAAGGACUGGCAGAUCGCGCUGUCACGCCGCUUCCGUGCCAUCAAACUCUGGGUGGUGCUACGGCGCUAUGGAGCGGCGGGAAUGCGCACGCACAUACGGAGGCACAUCCAGAUGGCAGAGUGGUUCGAGCACGUCGUGGCGGCGGACGAGCGGUUUGAGGUCGUGGUGCCAAGGAACUUCUCCUUGGUGUGCUUCCGCCUCCGCCCGCGGUUCAUGGCGGAUAAAGCUGUGGAGGCCCUGAAUCGCGACCUCCUCGCAGCGGUGAAUGCAAGCGGCCGGGCGUUCAUGACGCACUUCGUCGUGGACGACAAGUUUGUGAUCCGCCUAGCCGUGGGUGGGUCAAUGACAGAGAUGCGGCACGUCCGGGCCGCGUGGGAGCUUCUCAAGGAGAAGGCCAACAACUUGAUCGCCACCGGUUGUUAGUUAUUGCUCAUUGCUAGUGCUAUACCAUGCAUGGCCAGCAACAGAAGCUGAGCAUUCUAUUAUUGCUUCCAUUCGUAUACGUAGUUAGAGCACACCAUGAAUGCAAUAGUCAAUCCAUCUGAACCAUGAACAUUCACUAUGACCAUGUAUGCGACACAAUAUACAUAAGUGCUACUGCCGAUAUUGGAUUCUAUUUCUGGAGAAGCGGCUGCUUCUACGGAGCAGGCCGAUUGAAUUUUAAGUAUGUUAUGAUACUUGUAAAAAAUCGAUGGUAGGCAUGGAUUCCUGGAAGGGGGCCGUCACAACUCACAAUGGAAGGGACCCGUCAUAACCAAGCUCGUUAAUACAAAAGAAACAUCAGGCGAAACAAAUGGACGCUGUUGGGGACCGCCCCAUAACACACCCCGAGCGGCGCCAGCGGGGAUCCUUUUCUUUGAACCAAUUCUAACCUCAUCACUUGCCCCCUCCUUACGAAGUUAGCAAGUGACCGAAGUCGACUAUUAUGAAGGUGUCCAUUUUGUUGUUUUGCAGGAAAGAACUCGCGAAGUUAAGCCCCCCCCCGGAGCUCCCAGCGUUUUUGGCUUCGUGAAGACUACAUAACCGAAAGGCGAAGUCAAUUGGCUCCGACUAAAGAGGGUGGGAAGUCAACUGAAGGCUGCCCGGCCUUAACGAAGCCUACAAACGAAAAAGAAGACAGUCAAGGUGGCCCUGAAACCGCUUUACAGCAGGAUGGCUCUGCAAUAGGAAUCUAGUAUAAGGCUGUAUAUGUAAUUUUACCGUGACAGCGACGUCUCGAAUGAGAACCAAGUUACUGUCUUGUACGGAAUAUUCUUGGGAUGUAGUGGUUGAGUAUGGGUAUAACGGGGAUGCGGAAAUGUAACUUUAUGGCUCUAUAAAGGGAGGCGAACCGUCCUCCCUAAGGACACGAAUCUUUGUUAGGAUAGCCAUUGUAAUGUCUGUAUGAACCACUGUUAUCUUCGUUCACUGUAUUCUCAUCAUUGUCUGGGAAUCCCCCAACAUUUGGCGCCCACCGUGGUUUAACUCGUUAAACAGCCCACGAUGCCACCACAACGCAAAAAGAGACCUGCAACUCAUAGGGAAGACAACACAGAAGAAGCCAACUAGCGCACGGCCCCCGAAGCCACACAUCAAAUCCUCCCCGACAAGGCGGAGCGUCUUGCAAGAGUCGAGAAAGCCCUAAGGGCCAAGGCAAUGAGCAACCAGCCCGCAAACGAAGUCAACCACCAAAGCCACCAACCUGUUGCAAACGAAGCUGCCAACCGCGUUGAUGCUCACCAGUCUGCAACACCCGAAGCUACUGGCCCAUCUAGCCUAAACAAUGAACUAGACUCAGUUCUCCGAGAGAUAGAAGAGGUCAAAAGAAAGAAGGAACAGUUGGCACGACAAGUGCAACACCAGAAAGAGGCUGCGGCCAGUCUAUCAAAGUUGAACGAGGCUAGGCGGCAACUAGAAGCACUACAGAAAGAAGUCGCAGAGCUCGAAAGCCCCCUCGAGAAUGCAAACCAGGCCGCAACUUAUUUUUAUCAAAGUCCCACUGUCGAUCAAGCACAGCUUCAACCCAGCAUCAACUUCGGCCAAGGCAUCCAGCACCACUCACCAGGGGUGUCCCUUGUUGUCGACCCAACUUCACCGCUCUCAAUAGGGCUACAAACUGCACCAUGGCCGACGACCUACAAACCAACCACCUUGCCCAAAUUCAACGGGCGCACCGACCCGCGGCAAUUCUUAAUGAGUUAUGAAGCUGCAGUAGCUUCGGCCGGAGGGGAUGAUGUCGUGCUCACCAAAUCCUUCAUAAUUGCCUGCGAGGGUGCAGCGCUAAAUUGGUAUUCGCUGCUCCCUCCACACACGGUGAUCAGCUGGCACGACCUCAAGACGAAGGUCACUCAAAAUUUCCAGGGUUUCCACCACCCUCACACGGCCCAGGCAGACCUCUUUCAGUGCAAGCAAAAGGACAAGGAACCGCUUGCAGAGUAUGUAAGAAGAUACGUUCAACUUUGUUCUCAAGCACCGCACAUUGAGGAGUCUGUAGCAAUAUCCGCUUGCAUCGCGGGCCUAACCCCCGGCCCAACAGCCUCAAAACUGUCAAGGAAGGAGCCUAAAACCAUGACUGCCCUCUUCAGCAAACUCGAUGAAUACAUCAGGUCCGAUGAGGACCACCGCAGAAGAGUGGCGGAACGUAACAAAGAGAGACAAACAAACCAAAACUGAAGCUGGCAACCUUCGCCUUACAACAAGCCUCAAAACCCAAACCAAAACCAAAACCGCAUCAUGAACAUUGAGGGAAGCCAAAACCAAAACCAGAGCCAAAGCCAAAACAACAACACCCAAAGAGGGGGCCACUCUGGCAAAGGACGAGGUCGAGGCAAACAACCAAAGUCGUUUUACUGUGUCAACCACGGCCAUCAGAAUCAUCACAACACAGAGUGGUGCCCCAAAAAGAAGCAGGAAGAGAGAAAAGCUGCAGAAGAAGCUGCAAGGACAGCUGCGCAGACACCCAAAACAAUCCACCACACAGCAUUUUACCCACACCCAACCUUCUACCACAAUCAACCCAGCUUCGCCAACUUCCCGCAACCAAUAAAUUGGCCUCUUCCACUGCACAUACAACCCUACCACCAAACAAUUCCACAGCACCCCAAUCCCAACCCGCCUCAGAAGCCCCAAGCAUGCCAGCUAUAAUGCCCAAGCCAGAACCCAACACGCAAAACAGCAACCAAAAUUCCUUGCCCUCCUUCGAGAUGAUAAUGCUAAUCACCGGGGGCUCCUCGCUAGAGUUUGAAAGCAAGAGACAGAAAUGGAACUACUUCAGAGAGGUCAAUGUGAUCAUUCCCGACGGACCUCCAGCAAAGCCAGAAUGGGCACACAUGCCCAUAACCUUCACCGGAGAGGAUUUCAACCUCAAGACAACCUCGCCCAACGAUGCGUUGGUCAUCAAAGCACUGAUAGCAGGCUGGACAGUGGGGAAAGUCUUGGUAGACACAGGCAGCUCCGUGGACAUUCUCUUCUCAAAUGCAUUCAGAGAAAUGAAUAUUGACAUGAACACGCUCGACCCAGGGGAUGUCCCGCUCCUUGGCUUCGGCGGAAAGCCCGUGAAGGCCUUGGGAAAAAUCGCCCUCCCAGUCUCGUUCGGAGACCGAGAUAAUGCGAGGACAGAACACAUCACCAUCGACGUAGUGGAAAUGCAUUAUCCCUACAACGCAAUACUCAGCCGUGGCUUCAUCACCAAAAUGGACGCAACAAUCAGGCAGUUGUACCUAUGCAUGAAAAUACCCGCCCUCAAAGGGGUCAUAACGGUGUACGGUGAUCAGCAAAUGGCAAGGAACAUAGAAAAAGGGGUAGCCCCGGGCCAAAAGAAUGUCCGCCAUCUAGCCUCGUCAAACGAAGCCGAAAACAUAGCAAAGCAAAAGGCCCACGACGAGCCUAAGAGAGAUAAAGAGAAGGUAAAAAUCAGUGCGGAUGGCAAAACAAAGCGGGUACCUCAAAACAUAGCUAAGCCACACACCUGAACAAAUUUUCCCUGAAAUUUGCAACACGUCAAGAGUGCUUAUCACUCAACCGUCUCACAUCUCUUUUGUUUAAGGAAACUGGGCUCGUUACUACAAAAUGAACACCAAGAUGAUAGAGCUCUUUUACGAUACACAAUACUACUACUUAGUAGUAUAUAGUAUAUAUAUAAGAUCUAACUAUUCAUUAUUAUGGAUAAUUUAGUAAUUAUUACAAUGGAAAAAGUGAUAUUUCAAAUAGAAUGGUCUUUUAAACUUUCUGCUAGUAUCAAAAAUAAAAUUAUAGUGGUGCCAUUUGUGUUUUCUUACCAUGAUACCCUUAUACUACCUAUACUACUCAUGUAUACUACCCAUACCACAGGCGUAGGUUUCAGUAGUAUGUAAUAAAUCUUGACCGUCGGAUAUGUUUAUACUAAUCAUUUUCGAACACAAGUAUAGUCUAGUGUUGUGUUCCGUAAAAGAGCUCAUAUAAUAUGUUAUAAAACUUAUUUGUGAAAGCUAAAGGCAACAACAGGGGAUAAAUUCCAGAAUAGGUAAGAACAGAAAUUUAAAAGGGCAAAAUUUGUUGAUGGAUGGAAAUGCAUAGAAUGCUUAUUACUCAAUCGACUCACAUCUCUUUUUUCUAGGAAACAAAGCUCUCAUUAGUACUCUACGUUGGAAACAAAGCACUUAUUGUUGUUCAUAGCAGCUGAGAUUGACUUACAUAUAUUUAUUUGCAAACAGGUGUGAAAUGUGAUACAAUAAUUCAGAAAGCUAGACAUCCUGAGCCAUGCGAGGGAUAAGAAGAAGCUUCUCCUUACGGUGCACAUCCAUCCCAUACGACUCUGACAUAUCGACGCCUGUCGACCCCGGCAGAAGCUCCCAGUUGAAGUGGUAGAUGAGGUUGGCAAGAAUGAUUUCGAAAGUGGCGGUGGUGAAGUUUAUACCCGGGCACAUCCUUCGCCCAGACCCAAACGGCAAGAAACGGAAGUGGUUCCCCUGGAAGUCAGAAGCAGCAUCCACGGCUUCUUCCAUGAACCGCUCGGGCAUGAACUCCUCUGCACUCUCCCAGUAGGUGGAAUCCCUGCCUAGAGCCCACGCGUUGACGAUUACACGUGUCCCAGAGGGUAUGGUAUAUCCCUCCACCUCCCAUUCGGCCAUGGACAAGUGGGGUAUCAAAAGAGGCCCCGGCGCGUGUAGCCGCAUUGACUCUUUCAUCACCGCCGUCAGGUAGCUCAUGCCGCUCAGGUCUUGUUCAGUGACCAGUUCCUUCCCCUUGGUUGCGCACCCCCGCACCUCAGCUUGAAGCUUGGUCAUCACCUUGGGAUUCCGCAUCAGCUCAGCCAUGGCGUAGUCUAGUGCUAUGUAGGUUGUGUCCGUCCCAGCUUCAAACAUGUCCUACAUGAACAUAUCGGUAAGUAGAACUCCAAAUCAAAUUUAACCAAGCUAGUCCAUGAAACGUCUCAUAUGUACCUCUCGUGAAAAAUAAACAUACCAUCAGUAUUGCCUUGACGUUGUCUCUGGUCAGGCCGUACUCUUGUUGAACGGAGAGCAGCACAUCGAUGAAGUCCUCCUCGUCCUCACCAUCGACCGGCUUGGUCUUGUGCUUGUCGAUGAGGCUGUCCAAAAGGUCAUCCCAUAUCUUCCUGUGCUUCACGGCCUUGGCCGAUACCAAGUCCAACCUCGCCAAGCUCGGGAAAUAGUCGUCCAGGUUAAAUGCCCCCAGGAGCUUGGCGUUCGUCUCUAACAGCUCCCGGAACAGCUGGUUCCGACCUUGUUCCCUGGGGAGCCUGCCCGUCACGGCCUGGCACACGAUGUCGUUGGCGAAGAAGCUGAAGAGCUUGCUGACGUCGACCGCGAUGCCCAUGGCGGCGGCGGCCGUCACCUUGGCUAAAACCAGCUGGACCUCCUGCUCGCGGGCGGCGCGGUUGGACCGGACCUUCGCCGCGGUAAGGAGGUGGGUGGUGAUCACCUUCCUGGCCUGGCGCCAGUACUCACCGUAGGGGGCGAAGCCGACGUCGGUGCAGCCGUAGAACAGGACGUCGGCCACCGCGGAGUGCGGCCGGGAGGCGAAGACGUGGUCGUGCGUGCGCAGGACGGCCUUGGCGGCGCGUGGGGAGGAGACGACGAGCGUUGGCACGGCGCCGAGGCGGAGGAGCAUCACGUCGGGCCCGUGCCUCUUGGCGAGGUCGCGGAGGGAGUGGUGGGGAAGGGAUCCGAUGAGGUGGAGGUGGCCGAUGAUCGGGAGCUUGAACGGAGGCGACGGUAGCUUCCGGAGCAGCUUCUCUGUUCUUGACCUUGGUGUUGCCAAGUGCACGGCGACGAGGAAGAGGAAGAAGAGGAGGGCUAGGGACUCUGGAGAUGCGUGUUCGUAGAGGUGCGCUAGCGCUGGAGCCGCCAUGGCUGAUCAACUAGUGUGCACAACACACGGCUUGCUAGCGCAACAAGUUAGAACCAGCUCGUUGCAGUUUUUGUAGAGCUCGGAAGUCGUGAUCCGUCAGACAGCAAGAAGAGUAUGCUAUUUUUUUCUUUUCUGCAUCAUCACUAGAUCAGAUCAGACAGGACCGACCAGAUCUGAUCUUUUAUGAGAGAAUCCUAUCGAAUAAUCAUCCUUUUUAUUAAACUGCACCCGACGCAGACUUUCUUUAUUUGCCCAUGUGCUAUUAUAUAUUAAUUUUUAUCUCGACUAUAUACCACUGUCCUCAUGUAUGUUGUGUACCAAGAGGAACACGAGACGAUCGAGAUUCCAAUAAAAUAUGUGUUUGGUGCUGGAUUAAUUGGCAUGCUUUUCUCUCAGAUGAGCUGCGUGUAGUGACAGCGGCGCUCGCAAUAGUUGGUCGGCGCACUGGUAGACGGGCAGCUCAUGGAUGCUACCGACGGCUCUGCAACUUGAUGCAGUUCAUGCACGCUGCUGGGUGGCACCCAUGGUGCGAUAUGGCAUUGGCAUUGGCACUGUGGCGGCGGAUCCGACCAGUAGCAGAAGCUCGCACAAGUCUAAAUGUAUCUAACUUUGAUGAAUUUUAAUUUCAAAUCUAUGGAGGCUUUUGAGCUCGAACUAAUUGAAAUGGAUCACACUUUAGUAGUGCUUUCAACAUAAAAAAUUGACACAAAUUAUGGCGGUGAGCAGUCUGCCUAGCCCAGGCAGAAAAACAAAGGCUUGAAACAAACAAGCCCUUGGUGUGUGCCUGAUAGUCAUAUGUUCGAAACUCCGAUCCUGUCGCCCUUGAUUAAAAUUCAUAGUAGAGACCCAUUGAGGAUUAGCCCUGGCAUCGAUCCGGCCACAGGAGAGACCGGGAGCCAAGAAGUGAAGUAAGUUGCGUGCGUGCCUGACGGCGAGGAAGCACCUCCAUUGAGCCACGAGGUGGAGUACGAGGCAGAGGCGAGAUGGGAUGUGUUGGGGACAGACUCACAUGACGGAGAGCGGUGCAUCUCCUACCUACCAUCUGCCAUUGCCGAGGGCCUUUCACCAUGCACCACUCCGGUUCGCUCUUUUGCGUCGCUGGGAGGAAAGGGACUGCCGAGCGUUGGGUGCCGCCACCGCUCCUGUGUAGUUCGCCAUGGCCACCUCCUCCGAGAGCGCCCACACCAGCGCUGCACCUCAUUCCAGGGAUGGGGCAGCCACUGCUGGGUCACAUCCACCCGGGGAUUGGGCCGUUGCCGGGGAAUAAGAGGAGCGCGGCAGAGAGGAAAAGGAGAAAACAGAGGAGACGUGACUGACAGGGACGGAGGAAAGAUGAUGAGUGCGUACGGUGGGGCGGGUAGGAAACACAUCGGUAAAAAUGGAAUUGGUUUUUUGGUAGAAACAUUUUCUAACUUGUGGUUUUUAUGGGUCUCCACCUUAUCCUCUCUCAAUUGCAUGAUAGGUGGGUCCGACAUGAGCGGUAAGGUGGUUCUGGUUUGGGUGAGAAACGUUUCCAAUUAUAAUGGAAAACAGGCUUCGCGGAGGCUCAAACACAAUGAGGUUUGAGCAGUCCAUGCAAUUCAAUUCCAAAGAAAUGAACAUAUGUUUACAUCAGGGUAGGGCUCUCCUUUUAUAGUAUCUCGGAGGACAUUUUGCAUUCCGCAAUUACCCUCACUCACCCACUACAAUCCUAGAAUAUGCUUUACAUGGAGGUAACUUGUAUAACUUGGUCUCCUCCUUGGAUCACGCUUCUCACGCCUUUAGUCAGCUCCAUGAUUCACGCUCUCACAUGGUUCCACAAAUCACGCCUUCACAUUUCCAACGCCUCCACGCUUCCUGACCUCGUGACCGAAGCCAUCUUAGCUUUGGGAGUCAUGAUCGCCAUAGAUUCGCACCUAAGAGACGCUAGCCUCGCGCCCUGCUCCUUGACCUGAUUCAGCGAUCCUGCAUGAGACACUAAAUAACUCAGCACUCGAGGUUAGCUUCGACUGCUCGAGGUCAAGCUUGGUUAGUGUCUGGCGAUCUGUGAUUGCCUCCGGGCUUCGAGGUAAGAUUCAGGAUAGCAAGGCUAUGAUUACUUUCCACGCCAGAUUAACCACCCAAGGUUAGGGGUCCUCACCCGAGGUUAAUUAUUUUGAGGGGCUAAGCUGUUGACGCUAAAUGUAACGACCUCGAGGGUGACCAUCUUUUUGGGCGAUCCCCAACAGUAGCCCCUCAUGGGCAAGGCUUGACACCGACAACCGAACCCGCGACUUAAGGAUCUGCUCCCAAAAAACAUCACCCUCAAGCAUCGGUUAGAAAUGAGCCGACAGUUACCUUUUUGGUCUUACGUGUUGAUUUCCUAUUGGGUGACCCUUCGUAUCUAGCUCGUGGUUAUAGGCGCCAUUUCACGCAUUUUACCAUGCCUAUAAAAGAGGGGGGUGGGGUCGCUUUCGUUUUUACCCUCGCGGCUAAAACCCUUGCGCUCCUGCUUUUGCUCACUGCUUCCGUGCUUUAAGAUUCAUGCAUUGUAUGCUGUUCUCCUUGGUCUCGAGGAUCUCGAAGGUAACAAUGUUACUUGUGUCUCUCUUUUAGUGUGAGAUUUUCCCUUGCUUGUCAUUUUGGAGAUGAUGUUUCGAUGCCUUGCAGCUGGCUCGUAUUAUGCAAACCGCUAGGCCCAUGACAUCAGAAGAGUUCACUAAACAAGCUGGGCUUCGCAAUGAGGCUGCGGAGGACCAGGAUUUGUACAAGGCCGACGAGAAGCAAGGAAUCAAGAGGAUUGAGCUUUCUUAUGCCCAGAAGAAUAGGUGAGAAGACAAUUGGCUAAGCUACUAGUUCUAUAUCAAGAUUGACAGGGCCGAUGCGUCUGGUAUCAACCGAUCUUUCUAUCCUUCUAUGCACCCCUGGGCCCUAUGGAUAUUGCUACUACCCCUGCAUUUACAAGGUCCAAGGCAGACAAGGAGUGCAAGGGCGCUUUCCUCCCGGACUCGAAGUCGAUACCCGGCUGGAUCUUGUUGAAGAGUUUUUGGCAGCCAAUAUUUGGCCCCUUUCUGAUGGGUGGAGUCCAUUGGAGAUUGUGCCAAAAGACGUUCUGUGGAGUACUAGCCCGCUCCUCUACCCUUGCUUUGGAGUGGAGCUGCCCGUGGAUGCCAACCCCGGUCUUUUUGCAGAGGAUGUUGAGAGGCAUGCUGUUGAUAUAAUUGGCCCGAGUACUGAGACUUAGCUGAUGUUAGCUCGAAAGAUCAUUGCACACGAGCUUCGGGUCAACCGUGUGUUCGAGGAACUUGGGGUCGAUGUUAAGCCUCAUCCCAAACCUCGCAAGACCUUGAAAUGGGCACGAGAGUCUGGCGCGACAGGCUCGGAAUAGGUUGGCAGCAGUGGCAGGUGGAAAAAGAGAAAGGCCGAGAGCACCGCUCCUAAGGCCACGGCAGUGACUUCAAAGAAGGAUGACAGCCAAUCAAGGGUCGUGCUCGAGGUGCGAAAGCAAAAUUAAAGACCUCGAGCCUCGAAGAUUAGAAGAAGUAAGAAAAAAUUGGACAAAGUUCCUCGAGCGAGGCUGCAAAAUCCUCCGCGCCCCUGUCUCUAAAGCCAUCCGAGUUGCGACCAAGUCCGAACUCGAGGCUGCCGGCGCGCUGGCCGGUAUGAAAGAAAAGAAGUCUAUGAGGAAGUCUCACAUCGGCAAAGCCUUUGAUGAUGAUGAUGAUAUUGUUUUGGAUGUGGACUUGUCUAUGUUCCCUAUAUCGGUCCCCAAGGCUAGUGUUCCUUCAAAGGAGACUGAGACUAAGGUUGCUGCACCCCCUCUACAGCACAAGGCCAAACCUUUGAAGGAGAAGAUCGUGGAUACCAUUGCUAAGGAGAUUAAGGCAUCUACUUCGAAGGUGACAAAGCCAGGUAAACAUGUCGUUGUACAUUUGCGUAGGAUGAGAUUUUUUGAUUGUGGUGAUGCGUCAUUUAGAUUUCUGAUGGAGCUGGAAAAAACCACUGGUGCACCUUGGGAGAUAUACAGGGAACCUCCUCUAAUAUUUAGGGUAAAACCUCAUUCUGCAGAUUCUGAACUGUCACCCUCUCUGGAACGUUACAACGAGGCCUACGGCACCAACCUUAGACAGGAGCUCAUUGCUGUUCAUGUGCCGGGUUCAGGUGAGGACGAUAAUCGCUACAACCUACCCUUGUUGUGGGGAGCUAAGGAUGGGAUGCGUGGUGUAGAUAGAGCAGCCAAGGAGGUUUUCAAGAUGUCUGAGCGGGUUGUCGGUGAGGUUGGUGGGCAGGGAGAAAGGGAGGAAGGCGAGGUUAUCCCUACUCGAGGUCUUGGGAAAUCCACUGUGCCUUUUGAGGUUGAUUACGAGGACAAGUCUUUUAAUCCUGAGAGUAAGCGCUUGCUCCUUAGUUUGUUUUGUCUGUACUUAAUUUCUACUUUGCUAUGCUUUGACAUGCCUUUCUUUUGACAGAGUAUGAAAAAUCAGUUAGGCGUUUCGAGCAAAAGGACUUAGCUAGGAUGUCAGCUACCAUCGGAUACAAGGUAUUUUGUUCGACGCUUGCUAUUUGUUUCUUAUCUCUCUUUUUUUACGAGGCUUUUCAUUUUGGUGUUUCGAUUUUGCAGUCCAUCAUCCUUGGGAAGAUGCUAUGGAGAAGGCUGCGGCUAAGGAAAAGAGCAUGCUAGCCGAGAGCACGAAGAUGAUGCAGCUAGAGGCUAGAGUUGCAAAGCUUGAGGAGGAAAGCAAGGUUUUAUAUGCCUUGAAGAACGAGCUCGCCGAUUCUAACUCUGACCUUAAAAAGAACAACGUGCUGCUAACAAAUACCUACAGCGAGCUGGAAAAAAGACCCGAAGACAAUCUUGGUGUUUUGGAGAAACUCCGAAGCGCCACAGAAAAAGACGUACAGACUAUCACAGAGCAGGAAAAAAUGAUUCAUACCCUUGGUCAGGAUCUCAAAGAGCAAAAGACCUUUGUUGUGGAAGCAGAGCGGGCUCUCAAGGAAAAGUUCGUUGAGAUCUAUGAGGUGUACAAAACUGCUCUUGCAAAGUUUGGCGCAGAGCCUCUUUUGUUUCUGGGUGAUGAAAGUGUAAAAGAAAUAUUUGAUUGGGUGGAAGAGGAGUUCAAAGGCCUGCCCGAGGUUAUUACUGGUAGCAGCAACUUUGCUGCUUCCUUCUGCCUUGAUAGCGCAUUUCAACUCCUUGAAAAGAACAGCUACUCUCAUUUCUUAACACUCGCGGCUCGCACCUAUAUGUUCCCCUCGGCCUCGGAGCUUGAUGAAGAGGAGAAAUCUAAAAAUUUGAGAGCCACGAAGAUAAAUUUCUUCAAACAGCUUUGGGCUACCUCCGGGCGAGAGUACACAAGGCUGGUUGCUCAAGAGCGGCUUGCACAGGUUAGGGUUCACAUAACUUUGUAUUUCAUAAGGUUUGCAUUUUUUCUGUUGAUUUCCUGAUGUUGUUCCUCUUGUGUUCGUAGGCCAAGGCAUAGGAAGCAAAAGGCGAAGGUGGGAGCGAGAACGAUGAUGCUGAUCAAGGAGGGCAGUGAUUAUCGAAGCUAGUUAGAGAUUUGUUUUGUGGUUUGGGAUGUUUUGAUAAACUUGAUACUUAGUUGGCUGCUUUUGCGGGCCAGAUUGUAAAUAUUUGUUGCUCAGCCGGAACUUACAUGCUCGAAGCUGGUUACUUUUGGCGUUUGUACCUUCACAGAUUUCUUUUUAUCUUAACGUUUUUAUGUUUGAGUUAUUCUACUCAAAUGGAAACAAAGCUGUAGCUUAAAGAAAUGAGCAAUGUUUUAGUUUAAAACGUCACCCCUGCCCUAGUUUCUUUAUGCGUAGGUUUUUGUUGACUUUGCACGCUUGUUGUCUAAGCUUAAACGGAGCUUAAAAACGUCACCCCCUUCUUGGCACGUGGGUCUUACCCGAGGCAAUUGUCUCAUGGAAAGAGGAUGAAAAUGAUUUUUGUUUGCCAAAAAAUGUCACCCCCGCCCUUUUAUCCUUUUUCCGAAAAAACAUCCAACCUCGCCCUUUUCUUUUGCAUGAACGAGGUUAAGUGAGUAUUGACAAACCACAAGAUAAGUCAAUAGAGAAGUUGUUUUCGAGUUAUGUUGACUUAAACAUAUGAUAGUUUGGUUGAAAUCGCAACCCUUAGUUGCUUCAACCAUGAAAUUUUGCGAGGUUGAGAAAAUAGGGAAAUAGGGUGCCUUUUUUGAAAAAAUGUCAGUCUUUCUAUUCUAUUGUGAGAGCUUUGGCUGAGGCUAGGGCCUUCGUGCGAAAGGACAAAAUGAAUUUUCGACUCUGAAAAACGUCACCCCCCUUGUCCUUUUGCGCAGAGGGGGUUUAGACUCAGCAUGGCUUAUUCCGAGUGUUAUCGCUGCCUUUGAUCGCUUGCUGCAGCCUUUCUAUUCUCUGAGUUGCAAGUUCAAGGCCAAUCACUGUGGUGUUUGAGUGAGAAAAUACGUUUAUGUGCAUAUAGUGUGCGUUCAAUGUUAGACUAUGCAGCUUAUUUCUACUUUAAAAUAUCUUGCGCAGAAACGUAGGUUUCAGUAGUAUGUAAUUAAUCUUGACCGUCGGAUAUGUUUAUACUAGUCAUUUUCGAACACAAGUAUAGUCUAGUGUUGUGUUUCGUAAAAUAGCUCAUAUAAUAUGUUAUAAAACUUAUUUGUGAAAGCUAAAGGCAGCAACUGGGGAUAAAUUCCAGAAUAGGUAAGAACAGAAAUUUAAAAGGGCAAAAUUUGUUGAUGCAUGGAAAUGCAUAGAAUACUUAUUGGAGCCAAGGCUCUUUUAGGUCCAUGGGCUAUUUAUGCCCCCUCCACUCGCCCAUUCAGAGUUGCUGGACUGUCCAUACAUCUAUUGAAGACCAAGGCUCAUCAAGUGACCAAUGGAGAAACCACACAUCCACCGUGAUAAUUUUAGAGCAUCCAGGUGACGAUAUUCAAUGCGCUCAAAUGGUGGUAUUCAACUUAGAAAAAAUAGUAGCACCAGAAGAUCUGAGAGUCAUUGGAGCAACCAUCGGAGCAAUUGGUACAACUGAGAAGUCAGCUUGAGUUGCAGCAAGCACCAAAUGAUCCGACGGGGUCCUUUUCACAAGCGUCGGAGCAAUUCGCAAAGAAGACGUAGAAAGACCUAUAGCACCAGAUAUUCCGAUGACUAGAAGAUGAAGGCUUUGGACCAAGAAUAUUUACUUUGAAAAUGUCAAGAGAGUUUUUAGGAAAAACUCCUUCAGCACCGGAUGAUCCGACGUUAUGUCGGAUGAAUUUAGGUAGAGGUGCAACGGCUAUAUGCGUCAGCAGGGGGCAUGUCACACCCGAUUUUAAGGACAAAACCGAGUGCUUUCAAUCCAUGUGCGCCAGAAACAAGUUACACACAUGUACGACAUAAGUGAAUAACAAAGGCAGUGCCAAAGCGAAUAAAGAGAGUAUUAAACUUUAUUACAUGACCGAAAGUCUCAAUAAAACACAAGCCUAACUUAUUACGCAGCGGACUCUGAAGACGACGAUGAUACCACAGGCAGCUGACUGAAGAACCGUACGCCUAGAACUCCUCAAAGUCGUGCAGGUACUCCUCCAGAUUAUCUUGGUCUGAACAACGGUUUUGCAAGGGUGAGUACAAUUAUGGUUGGUACUCAACAAGUCGUGGGAAAUAGUGUAGUGUAACACCAACCAAGGUAUGGCUAAGGCUAAACAGCAUCAGCUUUUAAUUAGGUUGGUCAAAUUUUAUUAGCAAUUAACUAAGUAUAAGUUUAUACCACCCCAAAUUAAACAUGAACAUAAAUAAAGUAAACAACAUAUGCGCGGUAUGACAACAAUUUAAGUCCAUCUUUCGUUAGUAUUAUCAUGUGAGGGUCCAGGCCGCUCUUAACCGUGAGCACGGUUGAUCGAUCAGUUUUACACUCUGCAGAGGUCGCACAUCUUUACUCACAAGUCGCGUAAAAGUUCAAAAGAACUUUGGACCCAACCAUGCGGUGUUUGCAAGGCACCAUACCACACUUCCGAGGUGUGAUUGCAUAGGGAUGCUACGAGGCCUUUACAAAGAUUCAUUAGUCAGUGGUAACCCGCUAAGGUUUCGGUGUCUGGCGUGCACAACCUAUCACAGGACAAUGAUGGAACGACUCAGUCCCCCCUCUUGCCUCAUCACGAGUAAGAUUACUCCAGACUAAGGUUUCUAAUUAUUUAGCCAAGUCCAGAGCCAAUUAGUAUUGUGGUAGCACUAUUUUCCUGGGUGGCUCUCCAUGUUCCGAUUAAACUUUUGUGAUCUUGUAUUAAUGAAAGGUAUAACAGAAGUAAAGCAAGAUUAAUCAUUGAGUUCAGUUAAACCAACUUAUCCUAAGUAGGAACUAAGCAUGAGCUACCCAACAUAAAAGUAAACCCGGUUGGUCAAGGCAAAGGUAAAUUCAAUCUAGGCAAACCUUAAUUGGGACCCAUCAAUUUAAUCUUAACAAGGGCAUAGCAUAAUUGUUGAGUACGAGAAAGUAAAAGUGUAUAGGACUGAGAAGUAGUGAUCAAGGACACGACUUGUCUUCUUGGCCUUGCUCUUGCUGUUCGUACUCCUCGAAGGCUUGAUCUUCAAAUCCCCCGAAUUGCUAAACGUCUAUACACAUCACACGAGCACAUACAAGCAAACAAGGGCACAAAGUAAGAAAACAGUACACCAAUCACAACUAAACAGAGAAAACAAGCUUGAAAAAUUAAUCUACGCUUUAAACAAACACGUGGAUAUAAAGAACGCGAAAAAACGGAGUUAAGAUGCAACAGAUAUGAUUAAAACAAGAUACAGGGGCUUUUCUGUGAGAAAAACAAAACUUCUAGGGUCGAACUGCAGAAAACCGAGGGCUUAUACGUGAUUAUGCCUAGAAACCGAAGGUUUAACACGCAAAAACGCAACUUAGGAUGGCGGGUUGAUUUUACAGUCAGGGUCUAAACCGAAAGAAAACAGGACCAAAACAAAAUUAUUUUUCAACUAGAUUGGACUGCGGGUUGAUUUAUGGAAGGCCAGGGCUUAAGUGCAAACGAGGUGCAGCGCGGCGCGAUUUACCGUUAUGCGAUCCGGUUGACUCGCUGCGGGACGUCGGAUUUGGAUCUGACAGUCUCGGUCGUCGGCAACACCGAAGCGGCGGCGCACCAGUCGGCGGGUGGCUAUGAGCGGCGGCGGUUCGUCGGAAUUAGCCGAUAUGGCGCUCCGGGGCUCGGUUUCGCGCACGGAAAACACAGGAAGCAUGAGAAAAGAAAGGCGAUCCCGUUUUGGUGGUUCACGAUGACCGAGGCUCACCGGAAGGCGGCGGCGGAGAGAGGGUGGCGGUGCUGGAGCUUUGGUGGCAGCGCUUGGUAGGGUUUCGGGGGCGCUAUUGCGGCGUGCUCGAGGUCGCGGGGGGGGGGGGGGGAGGGGGGGGGGGGGCGGGGCGGCGGCUUAUAUAGGAGCGGAGUCCGCUGGCGGUCGGAGUGGAGUCCUAGCCGGAUACGGCCGGAGGACGGGGAUGACGGGUAGGUCCCAGCUGUCAGACCUGCGGAAGGAGGCCGCUGCCGCUGGGCAAGCCGACAGAGUGGGCCGAGCGAGCGACAUGGGCUGGCAAGGGAAAGAGGGAAAGCAGCAGCUUCGCGGGCCGAAGGAAAAGGCGGAGCGGGCCGGGGGAGCUGGCGGCGCUGGGCUGCAGGAAAAUAGGAUCCGGGCUGAAAGAGUAUGGAGGAGGAGAAGGAUGCAGCCCAGGAGGACGAAGAGAAAAGAGGGAAAGAAAUAUUUUUAAAAUUGAAAUUGAAAUUGAGAUUCAAAUUUGAUUCAAACACAAGCAAUCAAAAUAAAUGCACCAGCUACGGCCCCUCGUCCACGAGCUAGGGCGCCGAGGCUCGCGAACCACGGAGGAGCUCCUCAACAUUGCCACCAGCUACGCCUCGGGCGAAGAGGCCGUUGGAGCGAUCUUCGACCGCUCCAAAGGUAAGGCAAAGCGGGAGGAGGAUGCCGAUGAGGGCACCUCCAACCGCUAGCAGAAGAAGAAGGGCAAGCAGCGGCGCGAGGCCCCCCUCGUAGCUGCUGUCGAGCGCAAGCGAGGACAGCCACCCCCGGAGGGCACUCCUGGCUUCUUCGACAAGCUGCUUAAGGGACCGUGCCCGAACCACGAGUUCCCCGCGAAACACGCCUACAAGGACUGCAAGCUCAUGAAGAGGUACUUCGUAGGCAACCCAGUGAAGGGCGACCGGAAGCGGAAGCCUAAUGAGGAGAAGAAGGGCGACGACGAGAAGGAAGACGGCUUCCCCAAGGUGGACGGCUGCUUCAUGAUCUUCGGCGGCCCGGCGGCGUACGACUCCAAGCGACGUCAAAAGCUGGAGCGCCGAGAGGUUUACGCGGCCGAGCCGGCAACGCCGGCCUUCCUCGACUGGUCAGGAUCGGCCAUCACCUUCGACCGGUCCGACCACCCGGGAUGCGUCCGGCAUCCAGGAAGCUACCCCCUCGUCGUCGAUCCCAUCAUCGGCAGGACGCGCCUCACCAAGGUGCUCAUGGAUGGGGGCAACGGCCUCAACAUCCUCUACGCCGAGACCCUCGACGCUAUGGGGAUUGACCGCUCCCGCCUCCGCCCCAGCAAGGCACCGUUCCAUGGCGUCGUGCCGGGAAAACAGGCGAUGCCCCUCGGGAAAAUCGACUUGCCCGUCACUUUCGGGACCCCUUCCAACUACAGGAAGGAGGUCCUCACCUUUGAAGUGGUGGGGUUCCGCGGAACCUAUCACGCCAUCCUGGGGCGACCAUGCUACGCGAAGUUCAUGGCCAUCCCCAACUAUACCUACCUCAAGCUCAAGCUGCCGGGGCCCAACGGGGUCAUCACCGUCGGCACGUCUUUCCAAAAGGUGUAUGAGUGCGACGUGGAGUGCUGCGAGUACGCCGCAGCCAUCACCUUCAUGGGGGAUCUGGUGGUCCAGCUCGCGGAGGGCGCCGAGGACCAGCCCGACUCCAAGCAGUCGGCCACCUCCUUCGAGGCCACCGAAGGCAUCAAGGAGGUCCUCCUCGACCCCAGCAGCUCCGACGGCAAGACCGUGCGGAUCGGCGCUACCCUAUCUCCCAAAUAGGAAAGCGCGCUCGUCGGCUUCCUCCGCGCGACCAGCGACGUCUUCGCGUGGAAGCCCUCGGACAUGCCCGACAUUCCGAGAGAAGUCGCCGAGCACUCCUUGAACAUCAAGGCUGGCUCCAAGCCAGUGAAGCAAGGACUGCACCGCUUCGAUGACGAGAGGCGCAAGGCCAUCGGCGAGGAGCUCCAGAAGCUUUUGACGGCCGGAUUCAUCAAGGAAGUGUACCACCCCGAGUGGCUAGCUAACCCUGUUCUUGUACGAAAAAAGAAUGGUAAAUGGAGGAUGUGUGUUGAUUAUACCGGUCUCAACAAAGCGUCCCAAAGGAUCCAUUUCCUUUGCCACGCAUAGAUCAGAUAGUCGACUCGACCGCCGGGUGCGAAACCCUUAGCUUCCUUGACGCGUAUUCUAGCUACCAUCAGAUCGCGAUGAAAGAAUCCGACCAGCUCGCCACCUCUUUCAUCACCCCCUUCAGCCCCUACUGCUACGUUAAGAUGCCAUUCGGCCUCAAAAAUGCGGGGGCUACAUUCCAGCGAUGCAUGCUGAAGUGCUUCAGGGACCUCAUCAGGCAGACCGUUGAGGCUUACGUUGACGAUAUCGUGGUCAAAUCCAAGAGGGGCCACCAGCUUGUCCCUGACCUUGAACUAGCCUUCGAAAGGCUGAGGGAUAAGCGUAUUAAGCUCAAUCCCGAAAAAUGCAUUUUCGGAGUUCCAAGGGGCAUGCUGCUAGGCUUCAUCAUCUCCGUGCGCGGCAUCGAAGCCAAUCCGGAGAAGAUAGCGGCCAUCAGCGACAUGGGGCUAAUCCGAAACAUGAAGGGAGUCCAGCGCGUCAUGGGAUGCUUAGCGGCCCUGAGCCGCUUCAUCUCGCGCCUUGGCGAACGGGGGCUUCCUCUCUAUCGACUCCUGAAGAAGACAGACCACUUCGAAUGGACCGACGAGGCCCAGGAGGCACUUGACCGACUCAAGGACCUCCUAACGAAGGCCCCGGUCCUGGUCCCGCCGACCGACGGCGAGCCCCUCCUGCUCUACAUCGCGGCGACCACCAGGUGGUUAGCGCGGCCUUAGUGGUUGAACGGGAAGAGGAGGGACACGCUCUCAAGGUACAACGCCCGGUGUAUUUCGUCAGCGAAGUCCUGUCCGAGUCCAAGGCGCGUUACCCGCAGAUCCAGAAGCUCAUCUACGCCGUCCUCAUCACGAAGAGGAAGCUGCGCCACUACUUCACCUCCCACCCGGUAAUGGUUGUUUCGUCGUUCCCACUAGGCGAAGUAAUCCGGAACUAGGACGCCACGGGACGGAUCGUGAAAUGGGCGCUCGAGCUCAUGGACCAGGGUAUCACCUAUGCCUCCCGCACCGCCAUCAAGUCCCAGGUACUUGCCGAUUUCAUAGCAGAGUGGACGGAGAUCCAAAUUCCAUCAGCGCCGGAGAAGCAGGAGUACUGGACAAUGUACUUCGAUGGAUCGUUGAUGAGGGCCCGUGCCGGAGCAGGCCUCGUCUUCGUCUCUCCUCUAGGCAUGCGCAUCAGGUACAUGAUCCGCCUCCACUUUCCUGCAUCCAACAAUGUCACCGAGUACGAGGCCCUCCUCAACGGGCUUCGCAUCACCAUCGAGCUGGGCAUCCGCCGGCUAGACAUCUGGGGCGACUCCCAGCUAGUCGUCGAACAAGUCAUGAAGGAGUGGAGCUGCCACGACCCCAAGAUGGCAGCCUACUGCAACGAGGUUCGCAAGCUUGAAGACAAGUUCGACGGGCUGGAGCUCAACCACGUCGCAAGGCGCUUCAACGAAGCCGCCAAUGAGCUGGCGAAGGCAGCAUCCGGCCGAAUGCCCGUCCCCGAUGGUGUCUUCGUCAGCAACCAGUUCAAGGCUUCGAUCCAUUACCCAGAACCGGCGGGGGUCGGCGAAGCGCUACCGGCCCCGGGAUCAGGCCCCGACCUAGGAGAGGUUGGCAGCGCGCCACCCGUCUCAGGCCCUGACACCAGCCCUGACGGGGUAGGCGUCGCUUCGUCUGACUCGGCCUCGGAAGCCGACCCCUCCGGCCCCUUGGUCAUGGAAAUCGCGUCGGACCCCGCGGAGGGGCCCGACCCCCCGGCCGACUGGAGAGCCCCAUACCUCAACUACCUCGUCCGCGACACGCUCCCGGCGAACAAAAUGGAGGCCCGUAGGAUCGCGCGUCGCGCCAAAUCCUUCACCAUUAUCGAUCAGGAGCUCUACAAGAGAAGCCACACCGGCAUCCUCCAGCGCUGCAUCCUGAUCGAAUAGGGAAGGGCACUGAUCCAGGACAUCCACGCCAGAGCCUGCGGCCACCACGCUGCACCAAGGACCCUCGUCGGCAACGCCUUCCGGCAAGGCUUCUACUGGCCGACGGCGGUCGCCGACGCUACCCAAGUAGUCCGUACCUUUGAGGGGUGCCAGUUCUUUGCGCGCCAAACCCACCUGCCCGCGCAGGCGCUCCAGACCAUCCCCAUCACAUGGCUGUUCGCGGUCUGGGGGCUGGAUCUCGUCGGGCCCUUCAAGAAAGCGCCCGGGGGCUUCACCCACCUACUUGUCGCCGUCGACAAGUUCUCUAAGUGGAUCGAAGCAAGACCGGUGGCGCAAAUCAAGUCCGAGCAGGCGGUACAGUUCUUCACCGACAUCAUCCACCGCUUCGGAAUCCCCAACUCCAUCAUCACCGACAACGGCACGCAGUUCACCGGGAAGAAAUUCCUCCAGUUCUGCGAUGACCACCACAUCCGAGUGGACUGGUCGGCCGUGGCACACCCCCGCACGAACGGGCAGGUCGAGCGAGCCAACGGCAUGAUACUCCAAAGGCUCAAGCCACGGAUCUUCGACCGCCUGAAAAAGUUUGGCGGACGGUGGGUCGCCGAGCUUCCCGCGGUCCUUUGGAGUCUGAGAACAACCCCCAGUCGGGCGACUGGCUUCACCCCGUUCUUCAUGGUCUACGGGUCCGAGGCCAUCUUGCCGACCGACCUGGAAUACGGAUCGCCGAGGGUCAAAGCGUAUGACGAACAAGGGAACCAGGCAUCGCUUGAAGAUGCACAAGAUCAGCUCGACGAGGCACGCGACGUGGCCCUGCUGGACUCGGCUAAGUACCAGCAGGCCCUACGGCGUUACCACAGCCGCAAGGUGCAAGGCCCAGCCUUUAACGUAGGCGACCUGGUGCUCCGCCUCGUCCAGGAUAAUAGGGGUCGGCACAAGCUAACUCCCCCAUGGGAAGCUCCCUUCAUCGUCGCGCAAGUACUACGGCCAGGCACCUACAAGCUAGCGACCCCCGACGGGUAGAUCUUCGGCAAUGCUUGGAACAUAGAACAGCUAAGGCACUUUUACCCCUAGUUUUCAUUUCCAAGUUCUGUACGUAGACUCGUCUGUAAAUUUCGAAGUUUUCUUUUUGCGGAACAAGAAAUUUUGAACCAGUUUUGUUUAAGAUUUUCCCGUCGAGCUCAGGAAUAUCCAACCCUAGCUUCGCUCCAGGGUCGCAUAUCCCUCGAGGGCUAUCAGGGGCUCUGGCGCAAGCCACUUGGCACCAUCUGAAAAACAUUUUUUCUUCCGAACCGAGCCCCCCUUUCUGAACUUUUGGGCACAAAAAGGAGAGAGUGCGCAAACGGUGUUCAGGCAAGAUUGAUUGGACUGCGAAAAACCUACGCCCCAGCGGCUACGGUACCUUCGCUCAUCAAAGCUUACUGACAUGCCCGACAACGCACUCCAGACUUUCCAAGUCCAAAAAAAAAGAAAGGGGAUUGGAAACUGGUGCACGACAAGUUAUAGGAAAGGCCUCUAUGGCCAUCACAAAACAAGUCUGAAACUAAUGUAUUUACAUCUAGGGCACCAGCUCGACACAGUUAGCUCGCCGGGGGAUCUUCGGGAGGGAUGGCCUCAUCCUCCAGGAGCUUCGCCAAGGCCUCCGCCGGGGUGAACACCGACGCGUCGAUCUCGUCCAGCUCAGCCUCGGAGUAGCCAGCGGCGUACCCCCGCUCAUCCCGGCGAAGUUGAUGCCAGAGUAGUGGGAGCCGAAGACCCCGAAGGCUCGCCUCACGCCGGUGUGGAGCGCCUCCAGGGCGAUCUCAUGGGCUCGACGGUAGGUCCCGAGGACAUGAGUCGCCAGCGAGCUCGUCUCCUCCUCAUGGACCACGCUGAGCCCGUCACAGAUGACGCGGACCGCAUCCUGCAGGUUGCCGUGCUCAGCGCGUUCCGUGGCGAGCGCCUCCCUCAGGAGGGUAAGCUCGCUUGCAAGGAUCACCCAGAAGAACCCGCUAAAUCGAAAAUCACCGCAACAUCACAAAGACAAAGAAAUGAACAGAGUCUUACCCUCGGACUGGGCCUUCAGCUGGCGCUCCCGGUCGAGCCCCUGGGCCACGGAGGCCUGAAGCUCCCGCGCUUGCGCUUGAAGCUGACCGACCUCCGCCCCAAGGUCGGCCGCUGCCUUCUUGGCCUCCUCCUUCCGGACCUUCUCGGCGUCCCGGUCCUGCCAAGCCUUUUGCCGCUCGCGCCGGAUGCGCUCGACGGUCUUCUGGAGGGCUUCAUGCUCCCCCUUCACCCGUGCGAGCUCCUCGGCGUCGUGGCAGGCCUUUUCGGCAGUGGCCUGGAACUCCUCACGGUCGAGGCGGGCCUUGUUGACGACGGCUUGGAGUUUGGCUUCCGACCGCCGCACCUCCUCAUGCGCCGCCUGCUCGCGCCUCAGCAGGUCGUUAAUGGCCCCCUGGGCAGCGGCAACCUGCAUGGUUAGGUCCCUGGUUCGCUCCCUCUCCAAGUUGAAGCGCUCCCAGAGCCCCCGCUCCAGCUGGGGGAAAUCAGAUUGCCCCCGACUGCACUCUUGGAGAGCCUACAAAGCAAUACACCAUCAGGGGCAAGGCAACGGGAAAGGGACAAUCACCGACAGAAGGGGCAACGUACUUGGCUACCAGGGAGGAUGACGUUGUCCAACUACCCCAACACCGAGGAUAGAGCCGCGCGGGCAUUGGCGAGGCUGCCCUGCACCGCCUGCCACUUGCGCUACUCCGCGGCGUCGUCCAGGGUGAAGAGGUGCCUCGGCGGGUCCUCACGAGACGUCCAACGCAGGACAGACCCCCUCCACGCCCUGGGGAUGUAGGUGGCCAAAGCCAAAGCGGGAGCCGACCCGGAAGCCGCCGGGUUCGCCGACGGUCCCGGCGCCUGCGCAUCUGUCGAUGUCAGGGCCACUGCGGACCCGCUCAAUGGCGCCACCGCCUCCGACGCAGGCGGCGGGAUAAGUACCCCCGCAGCCACCUCGCCCUCCGCCGCAACCGCCGAGGCAGGCUCCUCCGCCCCUGCCGGAGCCCCUCGAGCGGGCACCUCCGCCUCCGCCGCCGGCGCCGCCUCCACCGGGACCUCCGGGGCGGAGGUCCCCGCCUCCGUCAUCGACGCCUCCACCGCCGCGGCUGCGGAGGCAGGCACUCCCUCCCCUGUCGCCGCCGCCGUUCCCGUCGCGGCUGCUGGGACACCCGUCCCUGCUCCCGUCGCUGCCGUCCCCUCCGCCUCGUCGGCGUCGAGGUCGAUCACCUCCCUGGUCUGAGGGCCCUGGGGAACGAUGCUCUGCACCGAAGGGUCGACCAGGGAAGCGGAAGGCGGAACGGGGUCCACGCCCUCUCCCGCACCCGAUGGCGCCGCCAAUCCACCGGUCGCCGUCACGGGGGCCGCUUCCGCAGCGGGAUCCGCGACCUCACCGGGGACCCCACCGCUCGCCGCGGGCGGGACCGCGGUUCGCCCCGCAGAGGCAGACGACACCCGCAGCGCCUUUUUGGGCGCCAGCUGCAGGACGAGGCCAUGGGGGGCGGCGCUGUGGAACAACAAAUAAAUGUUAGCUGAAACGAACGCAAGGUAGGGAAAGGAGCAAGGUUCACGAGGAAAUCCAACUUACGUUCCUCCGGAGCAAGGACGGCGCGCGCGCUUUGCCUCAAAGCCGGACGCCGACCCCGGGGCAUCCGGCAGCGGCCGCUUGUCGCCACUCCUCUGCUCUUGGGUCUCAGGCGCGACGGUGGGGGUGGGCUCCGUGGACCUCCGGGGAGCGCUCCGCGUUGACUCCUGGGGGGCGCCCCGCGCCGGCUCCUGGGCGACGGCGGGGGCGGGCUCCGUGGACCUUCGGGAAGCGCUCCGCACGGACUCCUGGGAGGCACCCCGCGCCGGCUCUUGGGCGACGGCAGGGGUGGGCUCUGAAGACCUCCGGGGAGCGCUCCGCGCCGACUCCUGAGGAGCGCCCCGCACCGGCUCCUGGGGGGCGCCCCGUGCCGACCCGUGGAGAGCGCCCCGCGCCGACCCCUGGGGCAUGGCGCCGGAACCUUGCGGAACCAUGCCCAAGGCAGACGAUCCCUCCGCCUCAUCCCUCACAGCUCUUUGCGGGCGCGCCUCCCGGAUUACGAGCGCACCCGACCGAGGGGAUAAGACCAGCUCUUCCUCCUCCUCAUCAUCAUCCUCAUCUUCCUCCUCGUCAUCAUCAUCAUCGUCGUCAUCGUCGUCCGACACGACCUGCCCUCUCCACCGCCGUUGGAACUCCUUGGCGGCCUUCUUCUUCUUUUUCGCCAUCUCCUUGUCCUUACGACGCUUCUGCUCUUCGGCAAGGAGACGGUUUUGCGUCCGCCGAUCGGCGUCCUCCGGCCUCCGGCGGGUGUGAGUCCACGACCCGGGUCAGCAUGCCCUACAAACACAAAAUGGCCCCGCAUCAGAGCGAUGACCAAGAGACACGAAAAAAGAAGGUCGGCGCCCCAAUCUCUUACCAGGUCGACGAAGCCCUCGUUCGGGCGCAUCGGCGGGUGCCCGGGCACCGGGUAUUCGGCGUCCUUGUCCUCCAACGCCUCCCGACUCUGCUGUUGGAUCUCGAAGGCGGCGAGCGCGCCCGCCUCCAGGACGGUGCCCUCGGUCGGUGCGCCCGGAGUCAUGGCGGCGAGCGAACGAACCCGGAGCAUCAGCGGCGCCACCCGCCGGGCAUGGUACGCCCUAAUGACCCCGGCGCCGUUAAGCCCUCUCCUCUUCAAUUGCUCGAUGGCCUGCAGCAGGUCGAGGAUCCGCUUCUUCUCCUUCUCGACCGGUCCGUACGACCACACCUCCGGCGCCACGUCGAUGGUGCGGCCGGUGAACCCCGGCAGGGGGGAGUUCGAGUAGUUCUUCACAUAGAACCACUGGUUGUGCCACCCCUUGUGGGACGCCGAGGUCUUCAUCGCCAUGUACUCCUUGGAGCGAGUAUGGUGGAGGUGAAUUCCGGCGCACCCGAUCGGCACCGGGGGCGACCGCUGCUGGUUCCCCCUCCUCUCCGUCUUCUGGUAUAGGCUCACCGAGAAGAAGUACUUCCACAGCGAGAAGUUGAGCUCGAUGCCCAGGAACCCCUCGCACAGUGCGACAAACGCCGUAAUGUGCUGGAUCCCGUUGGGGUUGAGGUGCUGAAGCUCAAGCCCGUAGUAGUGGAGGAGCCCGCAAAAGAAGAGGCUCGGCGGAGUCGCGAACCCCCGCUCGUGGAAGUGAGCGAAGGAGACGACGUAGCCGGCGGGAGGUGUCGGCACAUGCUCCGACCCCGGCAGCUCCCACUCGCCCACCUCCGUCCUCUCGCAGAGGACGCCUUUCCUCACCAGGCCUUCGGCGCGUGAGGAGUUGAAGUGAGAAAUCCCCCAGGAUCCCAUCGCCGGAGGAUGAAGGAACUUGACGGGGAUGGGAAGAAAGGGCGUAGCGCUGAAGUGGAGGAAGGCGAAGCGGGCGCGGAUGAGCUGAGGGCGAGUUCGGAGGGCGAAAAGACUUGAAAGCAGAAGGCAGGCGGAACCAGCGAGGCGGAGCCUUCAUUUUAUAGGGAAGGCGUGAAGGGAGCGGAACCGACGCCCUUGUCGCCAUAAAUGCGGCGCCAGGUACGCCCCCGUCACGCCCACUUUCUUUUCGGAAACCGCGCGCACGAUCGGCCGCAGAAACAUCCUCUCCUCCUCGAUUCGCGGGUCGGCACCCUCCAUAUCUCCGCCUCCCAUAAGACGCGCACACGACGUCCCCCACGUUCGGCCCAGGACGCAGCAUCCGCCCCGAUUUGGCCCAAGGCCCACUGAAAGGUAAUAAGGGAUACGGGGCUGAAAACGCCCCUACGGCCCAUUACGAUCCAGAGGUUCGAAGGCUGGCCCGCUACAGGUUCGACAGCUGCCUCAGGAUGCCCAUGAGCGAGGGGUGAGAAGGGACGGGUCCGCUAGCGACCAUAACCCGGGCGCGUGACGGCCCCAGGUGUCUCAAACUCACAUUCGAGUCCAGACCGGCAUCAAAGUUCAUGGUUUUUCCACGAGGAAAGGCAACGAGCCCCCGGAUCCGACCGAACAAACUCGGGAACUACAUGAACCGGCCGGCUAGAGCCUGGGGUACGCCACCAGCUUGGCCCUAGCCGGACCCCCCGAACGGGGACCGGGACUCCACUCGAACCGACCCGUUCGCAGCUCAACGAGCACCACGGUUCGUCCAAUGAGGAUAGCGUGGCACGUCUCAUCCCCUCCGUCCCAGCGAACGGAUGCUUGAGGGGUAACGAUCAAAAGCCGAUCUAGCCUCCCGAUCGGUCUCCGGCAACGUGCGGGGGCUCGGGGGCUAGCAUCGCAACCAAUAACCAUGCGUGUGGUUGCGAUUUGGAGACUCGAGGCGGUAGCACCCCACGGAGCAAUGAGGAGUCUCGCCACGCCAAGUCAUCCACAGGACACCUCUCCUGAUCAAACUCCCUGGCCCAGUCGGACCAACAACACUCCCCAUCCCUGGUCAACUACGGCUUGCAGGGCGAGCAGAGAUCCCCGGAGGGUGGCGAAAAAAGCCUCUGGAGGAACAUCUUUGCUCCACCACAGGCUCAGGGGCUACUAUUGGGGAAAAAUAUUAACGACCUCCUAAUGCCGCUUAAAGCAACAGUCACGGAAGCCCAGGCCCAUCUAAGGUAACGAAAUUGCCGUCGGCCCAACAUGGAAGGGAGAGGCCACGUUCCGCCUCGCCCGACCCGGGGUCCCGGGGUCGGACGCCCCCGACUCCUUGAAGACUAAACUCUGCCUCGCCCGACCCCGGGGACCGGGGUCGGGAGCGCCCGACCCCCACCACGGAAAUUCCGCCUCGCCCGACCCUGGGCGCGGGGGUCGGACUCGCUCGGGUCCACAAGACGAAUAUCCACCUCGGGCGCGGACUGGAGGAUCAGGAUGACGAUCUCGUGGGUCCCCCUAUCGACCUCACCAUAAAUGCGCCGCGACCCUGUCAGGACAAAAGGGAGCAGCGCCCCCAACGCAACCGGUCCCGAAUACCGGUGCGCGGCCGUGCGGCGCGGGCUGCAGUGGCCGCGGCUCCUUCUCAUUCGCCACAAGGUACUCAUGAGCCGUGCCGAACGACACAGGAGGGCGCAUCGCUUGCUCUCACGCCCCGUGCUCCCAACGGCAGUGUCAGGGACGCGACGUGCGGGUCUUGCGUUAAUCGGCGGGGCAGCAGAAUCGGACCUCCUCCCCGGCGGGCACGGAUGCCGAGGCUGAGGCUCAUCAUCACGAUUGACAGCGACGGCGACCAGGGAGAUCAUCAACAAGAUUUGGAAGGAAUCACCCUCCCUCGCCGGACGCGCUGACAGGGACCGGGGGCCGGAACGAGAGCGGCGGCCUUGGGACAAUCCCCUUGUAUCAUUUUACUACUUGGCUUAUCCUUUCUACCUCUUCUCCGGACGCCCGGCUCCCUCUUGCGAUAUAAAAGGAGGACCGGGGAUCCUGGGACGGGGGACUCAGACUUUUUCCCUCAAGCCAACAGUACACUCUCGCACGCCCUUAGAGCACCAGCGCACUCAAGAGACCUGGGAUCAGUUCCGUCUCUCGCCCAUCUGUAACCCCUACUACAGAACCCCGCGUGGGUAAUACGAGCAGCCUCGAUACUGGACGUAGGGCUUCCUUUACCCGAACCAGUCUAACCCCGUGUCUCCCACGCCACCAUCCGAAGCCUUACAUACAUAAAAGAAAAUUUACUAGUCUAAGUCUUGAUCCGCAAAUCUUGACAACGACACUAUCACAGGACAAUGAUGCAACAACUCAGUCCCCCCUCUUGCCUCGUCAUGAGUAAGGUUUCUAAUUAUUUAGCCAAGACCAGAGCCAAUUAGUCUUGUGGUAGCACUGUUUUCCUGGGUGGCUCUCCAUGUUCCGAUUAAACGUUUGUGAUCUUGUAUUAAUGAAAGGUAUAACAGAAGUAAAGCAAGAUUAAUCAUUGAGUUCAAUUAAACCAACUUAUCCCAAGUAGGAACUAAGGAUGAGCUACCAAACAUAAAAGUACACCCGGUUGGUCAAGGCAAAGGUAAAUUCAAUCUAGGGAAACCUUAAUUGGGACCCAUCAAUUUAAUCUUAACAAGGGCAUAGCAUAAUUGUUGAGUACGAGAAAGUAAAAGUGUAUAGGACUGAGAAGUAGUGAUCAAGGACAUGACUUGACUUCUUGGCCUUGCUCUUGCUGUUCGUACUCCUCGAAGGCUUGAUCUUCAAAUCCCCCGAAUUGUUGAACGUCUAUACGCGUCACAUGAGCACAUACAAGCAAACAAGGGUACAAAGUAAGAAAACAGUACACAAAUCACUACUAAACAGAGAAAACAAGCUUGAAAAAUUAAUCUACACUUUAAAACAAACACGUGGAUAUAAAGAACGCGAAAAACGAAGUUAAGAUGCAAAAGAUAUGAUUAAAACAAGAUCCAGAGGCUUUUCUGCGAGAAAAACAAAACUUCUAGGGUCGAACUGCGAAAAACCGAGGGCUUAUACAUGAUUAUGCCUAUAAACCGAAGGUUUAACAUGCAAAAAUGCAAUUUAGGAUGGCGGGUUGAUUUAGAGAAACUCAGGGUCUAAACCGAAAGAAAACAGGACCAAAACACAAUUAUUUUUGAACUAGAUUUGUGGAAAAGGCAAGGGCUUCAGUGUAAAAGAGGCACGGUGCGACGCGAUUGAGUACGCGAUCUGGUUGACUCACUACGGGCCAUCGGAUUUGGAUCCGACGGUCUCGGUCAUCGGCGACACCGAAGCAGCGGCGGACCAGGCGGCGGGCGGCGACGAGCGGCGGCGGUUCGCCGGAAUUAGCCGAUACGGCGCUCCAGGGCUCGGUUUCAUGCGCGGCAAACACCAGAAGCAUGAGAAAAGCAAGGCGAUCCCUUUUCGGUGGUUCACGGUAACCGAGGCUCACCGGAAGGCGGAGAGAGGGCGGUGGCGCCGGAGCUCGGAUGGCGGCGCUUGCUAGGGUUUCGGGGGCGCUGUUGCGGGGUGCUCGAGGUGGGGGGGGGGCUUAUAUAGGGGCGGAGUCGGGGCGCGGUCGGAGUGGAGUUCCGACUGGAGGACGGGGAUGAUGGGUAGGUCCCACCCGUCAGACCUGCCGAAGAAGGCUGGUGCCGCUGGGCAGGCCGACGGAGUGGGCCGAGCGAGCGACAUGAGCUGGUGAAGGGAAAAAGGGAAAGCGGCAGCUUCGCGGGCCGGAGGAAAAGGCAAAGCGGGCCGGGGGAGCUAGCGGUGCUGGGCUGCAGGGAAAUAGUGUUGGAGGUAUGCCCUAGAGGCAAUCAUAGAGAUGAUGAUAUUCCAUUUGUAUCCAUGAUUUGUAUAUUGUGUUCAUUGAAUAUCCAUUAAAGGCUACUUGAAUUGAUUUGCAAUUAUGUGAAUUGUAUGUGAAACUCUUUACUUGUAUGGUUAUUCUAAAAUUGUCCCUAGUCGGAGUUCAUGUGAGGACACACAUGAAUAUUAGACUAGCACAUGUAUUAGUUGAUGACUAUGUUUCACAAGUCAUGGACAUGGAGAUGUUGAACUAAUAAUGUGGACACAUGUGGAGACAUGUGCUAGAACUGACCCAACACGAGAAGUAGUUCUCUCUUUACACAACAUAUACGCUUUAUCCUUAGACCUGAGAUUGUCGCAUGUACUCAAGAUGUGGAUCGACUUACUUAGGGGCUAUCAAACGCUACGCCAUAACAGGGUAGUUAUAAAGGUAGCUUUCGGGUUUGUCAAGAAGCAUGCUAUGAGACAUGGUCAAUCAAGAUGGGAUUUGCCCCUCUCUGAUUGAGAGUGAUAUCUCUGGGCCCCUCGAGUGAUCGGAUCCGAAAAUGCAUGGCCAUGCUACGUACGGUUAAGAGUUGACCUACAAAGGGAUUCCGAAUCACAGGAUCGAGAAAGAGCGGCCGGCUUGAAGCUAGACCAAAUAUCGUGAGGCAAAGGGAAUAGCAUGUAUAUUAUGUUGUGAUGGUUCGUCUGAUAUGAUCUUUGUGUGCGUAUAGGAGUUGGCAUGUCUUGCUAGAGGCCGCUACCGACUAUUGGGCCGAGUAGGAGUACUUGGGCCAUGUCUAUACGUAUCCGAACCCAUAGGGUCACACACUUAAGGGGCUGGAAGCCCAAUUCGGAUCUGAUCCGAGUUGGAUUAGGUUUAGAAGUACUAAUGGGCCUCGGACCUAGAGGCCCGUUAGGAACCUCUAUAAAUAAAGGGGUGGGGGCGUCCUAGGGUUUACACCUUUUGGCGAAACACACCUGCCGCGCCUCCCACGCCCUCGCCUGUUGCAACUCGCGGAUCUAGCAGUCCGGCUUGCGACGCUUCCUCCCUGCACGUGUGGAUACCUUGGAGGUGUUGCGCCUGCAGCACUUGGACGAGCCACCGACGAGCCGCCGACGAGCCGACGACGAGCCGCGGCACGGGAGGCGAUCUUGCUGCACGUGGACGAGCUGCUGAGAAGCUACUGGACGUUGACGUGAUCGACUAUGUACAACUACGUUGAUCGGAUACGUACGACUACGUGAUUGUCUUCACUGCAUCGACGCAUAUCUACAUCUUCCGCACCAGUAGUGCGUCGAGUGGUAAUCCCGUGAUCCUUAUACGGCAGUUCUUCCUGGUUUUACGCGGUAGAAAUUUUGAUUUGCGCUAGUAUAGCCUACCUCGUAUCCCAACAAAUAGGAUCCGGGCUGAAAGAGAAAGGAGGAGAAGGAUGCAGCCCAGGAGGAGGAAGAGAAAAGAGGAAAAGAAAGAUUUUUAAAAUUGAAAUGCAAUUUGAGAUUCAAUUUUGAUUCAAACACAAGCAAUCAAAAUAAAUGCACCAGCAUGCAAUGCACAAAGAACUCCUAUGAUGGUUUAAUUUAAUUUAGAGAAAAUAAAAUUAAAUGCCUAGAAAUUUAAAUGACAUCCUAAUUGAGCAAAUUUUAGUGUAUUUAAAUUCUUUAAAAAAUUUGGGUGUUACAGGGCACCAGAUGAUCCGAUGCCUAUCUCAAGUGACCAUCGGAUCAUCCAAUGCUCACAUAUUUUACUAGCUGUUGUAGCGAAGGCUCUUUGAGAUCCAUGGGCUAUUUAUACCCUCUCCACUCGCCCAUUCAGAGGUGCUGGAUUGUCCAUACAUCAAUUGAAGACCAAGGCCCAUCAAGAACACAUCCAUGCCACCAAAAGUGCAAAAGCGAUAAUCCAAGGCUUAGCACGAGCUAAGAGAUUGAUUAGCUCUAGGAUAGGCCUAGAGAGAGUAGUGCAAGGUGUUGCUACCUUGUGAUUGGUUCAAGGAGUGAUCCACUAUUGUAAGCUUGGGGCGCCGGCGCCUUGGGGUCUUGGUGGCUCUCCGGCAAGUCUUCGACACCCCAGCUCGGUGUGGAGCAGCGUCGACAGCCGGAUGCGGGGGACAAGAAGACUCCUUCCUUCGUGGAGCAGCUCCAUGGUGGAGACGACGUCAAGGUGACCGAAGGGGGGUAGUAGUGAGCCUUGCGUUUGUGGAUAGCUUGUCAUCCGGCUUGGCUAGAGCCUUUGUAGCGAGCCCAAGACCUUGACUGGGAGAGACUUGUUGAGCAGGAGCAUGUCCUUGGUGGAGCUCCAACGCAUGGACUAGGGGUGGCAUUUGGCUACCGAUACCAUGUGAUAAAUCAUCGUGCUGGGUUUGCAUCUUUCCUAACCCACUCCUUGACAUUUCCGCACUACAUUCUCGCAACUUGAGUGCCUUUAAUUACUUUCCAGAGUAGUACCUUGUUAGGAUUGGCUCUAGGUUGCAAAACUCUUUGUGGGUGGGAAGUUUCACUAGAUCAACCAUAGAUGCACAUGAUCGAGUUUAUGUUUGGAAGCAAGUAGUGGAAGUCAUAGGCCAAGGAUUUUAAGCUAGCCUAAUUCACCCCUCCCCUUCUUAGGGUACGAGCAUCGAUUCCUUUCAAUUUGCUUUAGCACCAUGAAGGCAAUAGUCAUCCAUCUGCACCAUGAUCAUAGAGCAAUGCAAAACCACGAGAGAAACGAAACGGCUGCUCUUCCUUCAUUUUAUUCCAAUUAGUAUGGACGUGGAGGUUACAGGACACACCAUGCGAGCUGUAGCGCCGGCAACAGGGAAACAAACCCAAGAAAGCAAUGCGGACAUGUUAUUCUACUUUUUUAUGCAGAAUAUAUGGAGGCACCAGCCAGCCCAGCAACAACGACAAUGGCGGCUACUUGGUAUACUCGAUGGCCCAGAAGUUGGCGUAGAUGUAGGUGGACUUGACGCUGGUAAACCCGGCGCCCUUGGCGAGCUCCACAAACUCCCUCUCGUACCUCUCCUUGCCGUCGGGGCUGUACGCGAGCAGGCACACGUCGACGCUGAUCAACCCCUGCGCGCUGUUUGUGGCAUCCGGGUUCACCGGCAGGAUGCACUCGACACUGAUGAGCUUGCCGUGCGGAGGCAGCGCCUCGUAGCAGUUCUUGAGCAGCUUGGCGCAGUGGUUGUCGCCCCAGCAAUUGAGGAUCCACUUCAUGAGGAUGGCGUCGCCGGAGGGCACCUUCUCAAACAUGUCGCCUCCCACGUGCUGCACCUGCACGUCGGGGUAGGCCGGCGCCUCGGAGAUGACGUGGGGAAGGUCGAAGUUGAUCCCUUGAAUGGUCGGUUACCUGGAGGUGAUGGCAUGGAUGGUGGAGCCGAGGCCGCCGCCAACGUCGACGAGGGUGCGGAUGCCGUCGAAGCCCGUGUAGAGCUCCAAGAGCUUCUUGGUGAGGAUGACGGAAUGCUGCUUCAUGGCCUCAUUGAAGACCCCGUUGAAGCGUGCGUCAGUACCGGCGUAGUCGAACCAGGAAGGCGUCCCAAACGCCCUGUUGAAUGGGCUGCCACCCUCAAGGACCGCGUCCGUCAUGUAGCUCCAGGCGUGCAUGAAGAGCUUGUCGUUGGCGAGGAGGUGGAACGGAGCCAUGGAGACACCAUCCUCGUUGGGGGUGAGCCACUUGCACACUGGCGCGGCGCUGUACUGGCGGCACAGGCUGCCAUCCUCGGCCUCCUCCACCACGCAGGACACAACUUUGUAGGACGCCAGCAGUCGCAGCAAGCGAUCCACCAUGGACGGCGCGGCGGGGUUGGCCUUGGAAGGCAGCUUCGCAGCCACCUCCUUGGGAGUGAGAGCCUUCCCGCUGGCGCCCACAAGGGUCUCGAGCAGGCCCAGCUCAAUGGCAGUUCUUAGCGUCAUCGGCAGGAUGGCCGACGACACUAGCUGCAGAGCGUGCAUGCAUGUCUCCUCGUCGGCUAUGGCCAUGUCCGCGGCGGAACCCAUCUACCUCCCGGGAUUGGAGCUCAACUAACUGAUGAAGGUGUGUUCACCAACCUGAAAAUCAUGCAUUCUUUGACAAGUAUGGGAUUGCUUGUAUGGUGUGACGUGACCUGUGAGAGCUAGCAGCUAGCGUGGUAGUGAUUGUGUACCCCAUGCAAAACCUCCCUCCUAAUAAGAUCGUGAUGCACGAGGCUGAAUCCGCAAAUAUAAUCAAUUCACGACACUGGAGAUGGUCGGCGCACGAGGAGUGGCAGUCCUAUUGAAACUUUCAGAGAAGCACCUUGUGCCCUUUGAGAAUCUGUUUUGCAUUAGAUCAAGGUUGAGAUGGUUUCUUUAACCCUUGAGAUUCAGCGCGAGGGUCCACGUGCGUGAUGGACAUGGCUUCGCUACUGCACAACUGUUUUUCAAGAAUCAAGGUAUUCUGCAUGGGAUGUCCUGCGUCUCUGGUGUCGGUGCAAUCUUUCUCCUGUUGAACACAUACACUAGCGUCUGAUGCCAGAGUGAGGUGGAUCGGGUGGAUCAAGGCUACGGCGUAGCACAUUAUCAUGGCUCGGGCGGCCGGAGCAAGAACACGAGCUGGCCGACCGUAGAGGGAAGACGCAAGCGGCACUCGCAGAAUCUACGUGGCUCCCCUUGGUCGUUCUUUGUCUCACCCUAUGGGUAUCGUGGAGGCACGGCGCCAGGCUGGCGGCACGGUGUAGCCUCAAUUCAGGACUUUCCUAGCCAGGGCGUGGCCGAGGGCGAUUGGUUGCUCAACCUGAUGAGAACUUGGGUGGGUGCUCCUACAUGGGAGAGAAUAGGGUGACGGAUGAGAAUGCAGAUGAGGGACGGGGCUCAGACGAGGGGAGGGUUGGAGACAUGUUUUCACUGUUGAACUCUUAGCGUCAAGAUGAGAGGUGAGAUGAGAUACCGGUAGGACCUGCUCUUACCAUGGCACUUCAGCAACCCCACCCCAACCCCGCGCGCAAGUCAAAAUUUGAGGACCAUAUGUACAAUACGUGUGCAAACAAAACCAUAAUUUUACUAGUAUUGAGGGAUUUUAGCUAUUUCUUCUAAAAAAUGUCUUGGGAAAUCGUAUUUUUGUAGUACAACAUAUAUAGAAAAUAAGUAUUACUCGCAAAUAAACUGCCCUUUUCUUUAGUAUUCUAUGUUUUUCUUAUUAUUUUAUUUAAUCUUAAGAUUUAUAUAUGCAUAAAAAAGUAAUUUAGUAUCUUCAAAUAUGGAAACGUGGUCUUAGGAAUAGGGCUCAUAUUUUAUUCUUGAGCGUGCCUAGUGGAAAAAUAAUAUCUAAAAAACUGCAAAGAAAUUUAAUACCUAAGCCUUCGAUCCACUCUACUUUUUGUAUACUAGUUUACCUGCAAUCCACUGGCUUGCACAUUAUAUUUCAUCAUACGGAAAUGUCUGAGAUUGUGAACGGAAGCAAUUUCAUCUGUCUGCAACAUGUGCCACCCAGAGCUCCUGACACAACCGCGUGAGCACCUUCUCCGACAUGCGCACAUGAUGACCGCAUGCACCCAUAUUAUACAUAGUUUAUUAUAGUUUCUGCAGGGAUAUGAUAAUCAUUAAUUAUUACUUGUAAAGAUUGGAAACGUUACAAACGAUUGUAGAAAAAAUGCGAGUCACCAGGAAGGUAGGUAGUAGAGCAUGCCGUCAGUGUCUUUCCUGUGACCUGUGUUCGUGGUGCACAUGGCAGAAUGCACAGUCUAUACAUAGGAACCAGAAGUUGGCUUCGAAACCAAAUCACUCAUUAGUCCUUCAGUACUGCAGUGAACGCUAUCUAGCUAGCUAAUUUCCCCUUGAAAUCAGUUUUCUUGCGUGGCCAUGGGUAGCCUUCCACUUGAAGCCAUGAUGCCACUGAACCCCGAUUCAUUCGCUGGGGAGUCCAGUGCCGUGGUCGACUUCCUCGCCGACUACUACCGCAACGUCGAUAAGUAUCCGGUCAUGGCCAACACCCAGCCAGGGACCAUCCGUAAGCUUCUUCCGGAGGCAGCCCCGGAGUUGGGCGACUCCAUGGAUCGCAUACUGGAUGAUGUGCAGCGGGAUAUCCUCCCCGGCCUCACACAUUGGCAGAGCCCUAGCUUCUUUGCCUAUUUCCCGGCGAAUGCAAGCACCGCAGGGUUCGCCGGGGAGAUGUUGUCGGCUGGUCUCAACGUCGUCCCGUUCGUCUGGACGGCGUCACCGGUGGCCACUGAGCUGGAGCAGGUCGUGGUUGACUGGAUGGCUAGCCUCCUCGGCCUACCGGAGCGCUUCCACUUCAAGGGAGGAGGAGGCGGUGUCCUGCAUGGGAGCACGUGCGAGGCGGUGGUGUGCACUCUCGCUGCCGCGCGCGACCGUGCACUCAGCAAGCUCGGACAUGAGGGCAUCCUCAAGCUUGUCGUGUAUGCCUCGGACCAGACCCACGCAACCUUCCAGAAGGGCGCGAGCAUCGUCGGCAUCCCUCCAGCAAACUUCCGCAUCCUGCGGACUUCGGCAAACUCGGGAUACGGCCUCACCGCCACCAUCGUCCAAAGAGCAAUCGAGGAAGACGUCGCCCGCGGGCUGGUUCCCCUUUACCUCUGCGCCACCGUCGGCACUACUGGUCUGGGGGCCAUUGACCGAGUGCGCGAGCUCGGCCAUGUUGCCCGGCGUUAUGGUAAUUCAUUCAACCUCCCUCUCUUAUACGCUAAUCACCCAUACGGUGACACUAAAUACGUAGAAAUGGAAUGCGCUAUGCGGUCACAAGUCACGAUUCACGCUAUGCGCAGCCAUUUGCCCGGAGUUCCAAGGUCACCUCGACGGCGCCGAGCUCGCGGACUCGGUGAGCAUGAACCCACAUAAGUGGUUCCUCACCAACAUGGACUGCUGCUGCCUCUGGGUGGCGAACCCUACCACCAUGACCGACGCACUGUCCACUGACCCGGAGUACCUCAAGAAUGUCGGCACCGCGUCUAAGAUGGCGGAAACGGUCGACUACAAGGACUGGCAGAUCGCGCUGUCACGCCGCUUCCGUGCCAUCAAACUCUGGGUGGUGCUACGGUGCUAUGGAGCGGUGGGAAUGCGCGCGCACAUACGGAGGCACAUCCAGAUGGCAGAGUGGUUCGAGCACGUCGUGGCGGCGGACGAGCGGUUUGAGGUCGUGGUGCCAAGGAACUUCUCCUUGGUGUGCUUCCGCCUCCGCCCGCGGUUCAUGGCGGAUAAAGCUGUGGAGGCCCUGAACCGCGACCUCCUCGCAGCGGUGAAUGCAAGCGGCCGGGCGUUCAUGACGCACUUCGUCGUGGACGACAAGUUUGUGAUCCGCCUAGCCGUGGGUGGGUCAAUGACAGAGAUGCAGCACGUCCGGGCCGCGUGGGAGCUUCUCAAGGAGAAGGCCAACGACUUGAUCGCCACCGGUUGUUAGUUAUUGCUCAUUGCUAGUGCUAUACCAUGCAUGGCCAGCAACAGAAGCUGAGCAUUCUAUUAUUGCUUCCAUUCGUAGUUAGAGCACACCAUGAAUGCAAUAGUCAAUCCAUCUGAACCAUGAACAUUCACUAUGACCAUGUAUGCGACACAAUAUACAUAAGUGCUAGUGCAGAUAUUGGAUUCUAUUUCUGGAGAAGCGGCUGCUUCUACGGAGCAGGCCGAUUGAAUUUUAAGUAUGUUAUGAUACUUGUAAAAAAUCGAUGCUAGGCAUGGAUUCCUGGAAGGGGCCCGUCACAACUCACAAUGGAAGGGACCCGUCAUAACCAAGCUCGUUAAUACAGAAGAAACAUCAGGCGAAACAAAUGGACGCUAAGCCACACACCUGGACAAAUUUUACCCGAAAUUUGCAACACGUCAAGAAUAUGCUUAUCACUCAACCGUCUCACAUCUCUUUUGUUUAAGGAAACCAGGCUCGUUACUACAAAAUGAACACCAAGAUGAUAGAGCUCUUUUACGAUACACAAUACUACUACUUGGUAGUAUAUAGUAUAUAUAUAAGAUCUAACUGUUCAUUAUUAUGGAUAAUUUAGUAAUUAUUACAAUGUAAAAAGUCAUAUUUCAAAUACAAUGGUCUUUUAAACUUUCUGCUAGUAUCAAAAAUAAAAUUAUAGUGGUGCCAUUUGUGUUUUCUUACCAUGAUACCCUUAUACUACCUAUACUACUCGUGUAUACUACCCAUACCACAGGCGUAGGUUUCAGUAGUAUGUAAUUAAUCUUGGUGGCAUCGUAAUCUCUCCCUAAUAAACUACCGAAUACUAGCGACACACAACAAACAGUUAGCAUCUGCAAAACAAUCAACAGGUUAAUACUACUGCCACGUAUGACUCUUGUUUUUAUUAUUUUAAAAUAGAGUCUCAGUAUUUAAAAAGUAAUAUUUGUUGAUUAUCCCAACCUACGGCUCUGAUACCAGCUGUGGCGGAACCGCCCAACUUAAGUUGGUUUAAGUGCGCCUAAUCGCUGUCGGAGCAGCAAUUAUCCGAAACGCACCUAAAACAGCAUAAGUCCGGUAGUCCGUCGAGUGUCCCUAGGACUCCUCGAAAGAUCCACGGCAUGUUUCAUCACCAAACAUCAGGAUAAUAUCCGCGAUGGGAUAAUAUCAACAAACAUUGCAUUUUUACAUACAUAAUUAAGAGGUACGAGUUAUUACAAGACUUCAAGUUGAAACAAACUUAGUGAUGCAUAGUUAGACAAGCUCUAAGAUUAAACAUAAAUAGUUUAGGAGAAGAUGCGUUGAUAACGGUUUCCUAGAGUAUUGAGAGACUCAGGUCAAUACUCUAGGUCUUCGGGGUCUCCUCCUCGACAGCUUCUUGGGUAGCUUCUGAAAGAUAACCACAAGGGGAAAACCCUGAGUACGGGGUACUCAGCAAGUCUUACCCGACUAACCAAUAUAAUAGUUUUUCUUUGGAAUGCAUGUCAGCCUUUAGGUGUGCUUGGUUGACACAAUUUUCGCCGAAAAGCUUACUACGAGUGAGGCCUUAGUUUUGUCUUUUAGUUUAGUUAAGUUGUUACCUAACCAUUCUAGAUGAUAACAGAAGUAAAAGCAAUCACAGCUGUUGAUUCAUACAGUACUUGGCAACAGAAAAUUUUAUAUCACAUGAGUUCAUGCUACGAAGCUCAACAGUGAUCAAGUGCAUUCAUAACCGAGAAUUGCGGCGAUCCGGAUCAAUUUACAUCCUGCAGGAGAGCACCCCGAUCACCAGCAUCAUACGACUGUCCAGGUCGUACUAACAACCUCUCGAUUAGUAAAGUCAAUGAUUAGGAAUACAACUACCCGGACCCAGGGAUGCACCCCCACAUGGGACCCCACGUCUGGCCUGAUCCCCAUGUGAGUUUCAGGCUACACCCCUGCCAAUCUCCAGCACGUCAAAUGCGGGUACGAAGCAUUCCUGAUCAUAGAAUUUACUAAUCUACUGGGCUUUACUGGUCCCAUACCCAGUAAGUGAUCAGAUGUUAUCACUUGAUCAGCAGUUAAGACACGGAUCGGUCCUCAAGCAGCUUAAAUAGCAGACAGAACUACAUCUCUAGCUUCUGUCUGGUUCUAUACUCCAAACUAUCUUUCAUAAGCAGCAUGUAUGAUUAAGAGUUUUCCUUAAGGUUGGUAAACCAAGCAUGUAAGCGAGUAAGCAAUUCUAGACUUGGGUAGUUUCUAGGAUUUGAACAAGUGGCAAAGAUGUCCUUAAAUCAAGGCAUGAUCAUACACAAGAAUAGGUUUCAUUCAACUCCUAGACUUAGUGCAUACAAUAACCAAUUAACCUAUAACUAGUCACAUGAAAUAACGACUCCAAAAUAGAUAGGUAUAAAUGCACCGGGGCUUGCCUUGAUCGUUAAAAAGAUUAGCAGACGCCGACGGAUUUGCUUCACAGGGGACAAAUUCAAACACCUCGUCGGACUCCAAAGGUCCUUCUGAAAAUUCCCAGUAAUCCUCUUCUGGUGCUUCUGGAUCUACGGCGCAAAAUAUGCAGGGGUUAGAAUGCAAACUUUUUAAAUAACAGACUAUACAACUUUCCUUCAUGAUAAAGUUGCAAGCCAACAAAGACUAUGCGACUUAUCACGAAUAGGUUGUAAGUCAACACACAAAAGAAAUCUAAAAAGAUUAACCUAGAUUUUUAUUUUCUUACUUAUCCCUUCCUAUAGCUUUUUCUUUUAUUUUUAGAAAAAGUGGUAAUUACUUUCUAACUUGAAAAUCUGAUUUCCUAUAAGUUACGAAUUAUUUGUGAUUGAUAAAGUGUUAUUCAUAUUUUAUACAUUUUAUAAAUAUUAAGUAUUUAUUUAAUUACCUUAAAAGGAGGGCAUUAAACAAAUACCUAAAUUUUUAUUAUUUUCCUAGGGUGUAAAAAUUUUAAUGCAUAAAGGAAAAUAAAACAAACCUAACAAAAUUGGUUUCACUAAUUUUGGACACUCCUACAAAUUUCUGUGAUUAAAAUGGUGUAAAACAAAUUUAAACGAAUUAUUUUGCUAACGAAAUCUAACUUUUCCCGAAAAUUCCCCCGGAAAACUUUUCUUACUUACCCCCUCUCUACCCCUUCUCACGAACACCUGGACCCCACGACGCGGACCCACCUCUCCCAUUCACUUUACCCGCCGGCCUUACUCCUCUUCCCGACGGGCCCCGUGGGUCGAUUUCCUCUCCUCUCUCUCCUGGUAGCCCAGCACCGGCCCACGGCCCCUUUUUCUUUUUCUUUCUUCUCCACGCGACGCCGGCCUGUGUUGCUGCUCUAGGCCUCCGGCCUCUUCUCUUCGGAUCACCCGCGCGUGCCACUGGGCCUCAACACGCCGGCCCAAGACGGCCGCACCGCUUCGGCCCUCUUUCUCCCCCAUCUCUCUCACUGACGCGCGGGCCCGGGUGCACAGCUCCUUCUUCCUCCUCCCGCCAAAAGCGCGACCGGAACAGGGGGCAGUGCGGCUCGCCGGCCGGCGCCCUCCCGGCGGCGGGUCUUGACGACGACACCAACCCUAACCUUUCACGACCUCGCGCGCGGCGACAGCUCCCCUGGAGACGACCGGAGCUACCUCCUCCACGGCGACGGGCGGCGACUCCCUCGGCCGGCCGUCGCUACUUGCGACUACGGCACAUCCUAUUCAAACGACUACCCCGACACCAUCCUAGGACCCUAAGGACUCGACUACGACUGCUCAAGAAGGAAGGGGGACAGCGCGAGGGGGUUCUCACCGAGAGCGGGCGGUGCGACGGCGGCGGACAGAAGCGGCGGCGAUACAAGGUGUCACGGCGAAGAAGCUGGGCAACAAGUUGGUGGGGCUACUGGUGGGGUGUAGGUGGAGGCGUGGGUGGAAGGAAUCGAUGGGAGCGGCGGCGUGGAGGUGGAAUUUUGCUUGGCGGCGGUGUCUGGCAGAAGAGGCACGGGCGGCGGUAAAAAGAGCGGCGGUGAAACGGCGGCGCGGGAGCGGUAGAUAUUCAAGCAUUUACCCCUCGCAUGGCUGCCACCGUGGUCUACCCGUAGGCGUAUGUGGCGAGGAGGUGGCCUAGCUUAGCUGCGCUGGCGGACGACCGACGACGGCGGCGACGACACGUCUGGAGUUUCUGUCACCGCUUCUCCCGCCCGUGAUCUUCAGAAGCCAACCGUGGUUGAUCUUUGAUCCAACGGCACACCGAUGCUUAAAGACAGUUACAGAUAAACUUGAAUUCUCCAUCUUUUGUUUUGGCUCCAACCCGAGAUAAUCAUCAGACCGGUGGAAUUUGGAGAUGUUGCUCGAAUUGAUUCUGAAUCGACUGAAUCAAAAGUUCAGUUCGUCAGUCACCGACAGUAGUGCCGACUUCAACUUGCCAAUCCAAUUCAGUGGCCUAAAUCUGGUUUUUCCAAUCCAACUUCUACUCAAACAUGCUCUAUAUUGUCCCAAUGUUCCAUUUUGAUCAUAAACCAGUACCCUCCUUGAUCUAAUUUGCUCUGAAUUUGAAUUCAAAGUUGAUGCCUAGCUGCUGUUUCAGACUUAGGCAUUUUUCAGAGUUUCAGUUAACUCGUGAUAAUAUGCUGACUUUGGGCUCGAGUUUGACCUCCUCCCUUUUACUGUUCAUGGCCAACAUCACAUGAUUAUUGAAGUCCAAGACGCAUACUUCAAUAUAAUGUAGCUGUUCUAGUGCACUUGUUGGAAGAAUUCUUCAGAAAUGAAUUUUGAAAAUGAACUCUGGAGCUGUUCUCACUGAACCCUAUUGUCGGACGAGUAACAGUAAACGGCAAUUUUCCUUUUCUUCUCCUUUCUCUGAUGCUUUGUAAUAUUUGGCACCAAUUUAACUCCAAGUUUUUGAUUUCUCAACUCCAAAUACUCUCAUACUUGUAUUCCAUAUAUUGGUCAAAUUUUUCUGAAUUUCAAAUUUGAAAUUCAAAUUUCGGUCAAAUUUUUGCCGAAUUUGAUCUUUUUGCCAUUUUUCUUCUUUUUCUUUUGAAUUUCUUUCUGAAUUUCUCAGGGUCAUUAUUUGACUUCAAAUGGCACUUAUUACAGCCUUUCCCCCUUAACAGAAUCUCGUCCCGAGAUUCCUGGGGUUAAAUCCUUGGUUUUUGGAAUGGAAAGGAAACUGCGUCAGGUCAUUUAUUCUUUCUUUUUCUGUACAAGGAUAGUGGGGUGGUGGUCCUUGUUCAUCUGUCCCUGACGGUUUCAAAUAACUCCGGAUAUUUAGACUCUAGGUCUUCCGCUUUUUCCCAAGUAGCUUCGUUCGGAGUAUGAUUUUUCCAUUGCACUUUAUAAAACGUGAUACUCCGAGUUCGGGUAUCGCGUGUCUUUUGAUCCAGAAUUUUAAUAGGUUUCUCUUCAUAUGUUAAAUCCGAUUCGAGCUUAAUAUCUGGAUCCUCCAAAAUUUCUUCUGGAAUUCUUAGGCAUCUCUUAAGCUGGGAUACAUGAAAUACAUCAUGUAUAGAGGUAAGUUGAUCUGGCAUUGACAGCUUAUAUGCCACUGGCCCCUUUCGUUCCAGAAUUUCAUAAGGACCAAUAUACCUCGGGGCUAGCUUACCUUUUACUCCAAAGCGUUGUAUGCCUUUCAUUGGGGAUACCUUUAAGUAUACAAAAUCUCCGGCAGAAAAUUCCAAGAACCGUCUUUUUUUGUCGGAAUAACUCUUUUGCCGGGAUUGAGCUAUUUCCAAAUGCUUGCGAAUUUUCUGGAUCUUUUCCUCGGUUUCCAUAACCAAGUCCGAUCCCAACUGUGUCCUUUCUCCUACUCCUGACCAAUUUAGAGGAGUUCGGCAUCUUCGACCAUACAAGGCUUCGAAUGGUGCCAUCUUAAUACUAGUUUGAUAGCUAUUAUUAUAAGAGAACUCGGCUAGGGGCAAACAUUCAUCCCAUAGCUUAGAGAAGGUAAGGACACAUGCUCUUAACAUAUCUUCCAAAAUUUGAUUAACCCUUUCUGUCUGUCCUCCAGUUUGAGGGUGAUAAGCAGAACUUCUAAUGAGAGUAGUACCCAUGUCCCUUUGUAGUUGCUCCCAGAAUCUGAAAACAAACUGGGAACCUCGAUCGGAGAUAAUGGUUUUUGGCACUCCGUGCAAGGAUACAAUCCGGGUUAUAUAGAGUUUGGCAUAUGUCGACACCUGGUAUUUAGUCUUAACUGGAAUAAAGUGAGCUGAUUUAGUAAGGCGGUCGACAAUAACCCAAAUGGAGUCAUACCCCUUUGAAGUGGUAGGUAAUCCUAUUAUGAAAUCCAUAGAAAUAUCUUCCCACUUCCAGACAGGAAUUUCUGAGGGUUGUAACAGACCCGCCGACUUUUGUAAUAUGGGUUUAAUUCUUUGACAAGUGUCACAUUCUGACACAUAUCUUGCAAUUUCCGGUUUCAUUUUGGCCCACCAAAACCUUUGCUUUAAAUCUUGGUACAUUUUAUUGGUUCCGGGAUGAAUGGAGAAUUUGGAUGAAUGCGCUUCUUCUAAGAUUAAUCUUCUUAGAUUCUCAUCUUCUGGAACUACUAUCCUGUUCUUGAAAUAUAGACCUCCGUCUUCUUCUUGAUUAAGUUCAGGAAUCUUCCCCUCGGCUUUUUGCUGAUAAAGUGCUUUAAUCCAUGGGUCUUCUUUUUGGGCCGUUAUGAUUCUUUCUUUUAGGGUAUCUUGAACCAUAACAUUCUGGAGGGUGCCUUGUUUUACUAUUUCCAAACUUAAGCCUUCCAUUUCUUCGCAUAGGGUCUUCAGGUUAGACCGGACGGUAGCACAAUGGCAUUGGGCCUUUCUGCUCAAGGCAUCGGCCACCACAUUAGCUUUACCAGGAUGGUAAUGAAUCUCUAGUUUAUAAUCUUUAAUCAGUUCUAGCCACCGUCUUUGCCUCAUAUUCAAGUCCAUCUGGGUGAAGAUAUAUUUCAAGCUCUUGUGGUCAGUAAAGAUACGACAUUCACUACCUAAAAGAUAGUGUCGCCAUAUCUUUAGUGCAUGCACUACGGCAGCAAGCUCUAAGUCAUGAGUAGGGUAAUGCUCUUCAUGACGCUUCAACUGACGAGAAGCAUAAGCAAUAACCCUGCCUUCUUGCAUUAGAACACACCCGAUGCCUGUUCCUGAGGCAUCGCAGUAUACAUCAAAGAGUUUUUCUAUGUCAGGUUGAGCCAGCACUGGGGCUGUAGUCAAUAAUCUCUUUAAGACUUGGAAGGAUUCCUCGCACUCAGGUUUCCAUUCAAAUUUUGUAUCCUUCUUCAAUAACUCAGUGAUUGGUUUAGAAACUUUAGAGAAAUUAGGAAUGAAUCUACGGUAAUAACCAGCCAUUCCCAAGAAACUUCUUACUUCAUGAACAGAAGUUGGUGAUUUCCAAUCCAAUAUAUCCUUGACUUUUCUGGGAUCUACUUCAAUUCCUUUUUCGGACAGUAUAUGCCCAAGGAAUGGAAUUUUCUUUAACCAAAAUUCACACUUACUAAAUUUGGCAUAUAGCUGGUGUUCCCGGAGUCUAUUUAGAACAAUGCGCAAAUGUUGCGCAUGUUCCUCUUCAUUUUUGGAAAAGACAAGGAUAUCGUCUAUAAAGACAACCACAAAUUUGUCCAGUUCCGGCAUAAAUACUGAAUUCAUGAGAUACAUAAAAUGCGCUGGGGCAUUUGUCAAUCCGAAAGACAUAACCAAAUACUCAUAUAGUCCAUAUCGGGUGGAAAAGGCUGUUUUUGGUAUGUCCUCGGGUUUUAUCUUAAUCUGGUGGUACCCUGACUGAAGGUCGAUUUUUGAAAAGACCUUAGCUCCAGACAACUGGUCGAACAACAAGUCAAUCCGUGGCAGCGGAUACUUGUUUUUGAUGGUCACUGCAUUCAAGGGACGGUAAUCCACACAUAGCCUUAAGGUACCAUCUUUCUUCUUAACAAACAGGGCUGGGCAGCCCCAUGGUGAAGUACUGGGUCGGACAAAACCCUUAUCCAACAAUUCUUGGAGUUGUGUUUUUAACUCUGCUAACUCCUUAGGUGGCAUUCGAUACGGUCUUCUAGAGAUAGGGGCGGUGCCGGGUUCUAAUUCAAUAGUGAAUUCUACCGCUCUGUCAGGCGGUAGCCCAGGCAAAUCUUCUGGAAAUACAUCUAAGAAUUCAUUGACAACAGGAAUAGAUUCUAGAGUCACUGCUCUAGUCUUUUUGACCAUUUGGUCUAAAUAGGGUUGAACGGGUAAUUGGAGUUCAAAAGAGUGGCCUUGGUCAUCUUUCAGGUUAACAACCCGUGUAACCACAUUAAUUUGAACUUCGUGUGCUUUCAUCCAAUUUAUCCCCAAAAUAAUAUCUAUUCCUUGAUCUUCCAGAAUUAAGGGAUAAGCUCCCACUUUAUUUCCUUCUAGAUUUAAAAUCACACUGCGAGCUACUUGAUUGGUAUACUGUGUAGCACCAGUAGCUUGAAUAGCAUAUUUGACAUCUAAAGUAUGAACUUCUAGUUGAUGUUGUGUGACAAACUCUUUACUUAUAAAAGUAUGUGAUGCACCGGAAUCAAGCAAGACCAUAGCAGGAUAAUUGUUAACAAGGUACAUACCUGCUAGGAUUGGCUCUCCUUCUGGAAUUUCUUCUACAGUCAUGUAGUGAGCUUGGCCCGUCUUGGUGUUGACAAACUUGCGACGGACGAACUUUUGUCCAGAGCCUUGGCCCGAGGUCUGAGCUUUCAAGUUCGCGUUUCCACCAAUUCUGGGAAAACGACAGUCUCGGGCGAAAUGUCCUGGCUUCCCACAGUUGAAGCAAACCUGUGGGGUUCCGGAAGGAGUAGGGUUACGAAACCCAAAAGAUGGUGCAGUUCCAGGACGAGGGGCAAUAUUGGGAGUUCUGGCAUUCCAGGAUUGAAAAGGUCGUUGCUGGAAUGAAGGACGAUACAUGGGUCGGGGGGGACCUCUAUAUACCAUCCUGAUCCUUUGUGGAGCAUUUCCAAAAUUUCCAGAAGGAACAGCCUUCCUCUUUAAUGCUUCUUCUUUCUUUAAUGUUUCAUCCAAUGCUUUCAUCUUUUCUUCUGCGGUAAUGGCUGUGCUUACCGCGGAACUGUAAUCAGCGAACGUGCAGGUAGAUAACUUCUCUUGCAUUCUGGUAUUAAGCCCUCGGAGAUAACAAUCCCUCUUUCUGGUUUCAGUAUUAACAUGCUCUGGGGCAUAUUGAGCUAAAUGAUCGAACUCAUUGGUAUAUGCUAUAAUACUGCGGGUUCCUUGUUGCAGUCCCAAGAAUUGUUCUAAUUUCAUCCUCAUGACGCCCUCGGGUAUAAACUGCGCCCGGAAGGCUUCCUUAAAAUCCUCCCAUGUGACUUCCCUUCCCACUGGCUGCCUAGCCAGAUGACUGGUCCACCAAGUUGCUGCGGGACCCUGAAGCUGAAGCCCCGCAAACUCGGCCUUCUGAACGGCAGUACAUUGGGGGAUUACUCGAAAUUUCUGCUCCAUGGCCUGAAGCCACUCAUUAGCCUCCAAAGGGUGCUCAGCUUUUAAGAAGAUUGGGGGACGUGUUUCCAGAAAUUGGGUGUAGGACACUCCCGGCUCUGGUUCUCUCCUACGUCCACCGUUGCCGGUGUUCUGUACUAUCAUCUGGAGUAAGCGGGCUUGCUCUGCCCCGAAAUUCAUUAAACUGGCUAUCGCGUCAGCCAAGGUGGGUACUCUGGGUAAAUCCUCUUCCUGUCCUCUGGAACCUGAAGCUCGGGGUUCUCUGGGAUCCGUCAUGCUGCCAAGAGUAACAAGAUGUCAAUAUCUACGGUGCAUUCUUAUCAACAACUCUCUGCAUACUAACAUAUCACCCAUCACAGUAUGCGCAUACACAAACCAUGCUUAUAUACAUACUUAUUUAUAUUACAUGCCUAGGAGUUAAUAUUUACAAAACCCCUUGGUGCCUCUUGUCCAUCAUUCAUAUCUUACAAGAAUAUAUUACAACAUGUUCAAACCAAGUUCACGUCAACCGUCAUAAGGGAAGAUGCCUAGUUCUUCGGCAUUUAAUCCCAGUCGUGCCAUGGCUUCUUGCAGGACGUCUUGGUCCACGGUCAUCAGAGUUUGUCCUGGGGGAGCAACAGGUGGAGCUUGAUUGAUAGAAUUCUCGCUUCCGGACUCCGGUCCGUAGUCACUCCAAGUGCGAGAAGUGUCAGAGAUACUAAUUCCAGAAUUUCCUUCCAUCUCUUCUGGCUCCUCUUCUUCUUCGCCUUCCUGUUCUUCUUCUCCCCACUGCUGCAUGGGACCAUAGCCCUGAGGAUCUAGUCCAUCGGCAUUGGCAUUGGCCCACGCAAACUGUUGAUGGCCCGCAGGGACUUCGCCCUGAUCAUCUUCCAUAUCCACAUCAAAGCCUUCUAGAUUCUCGUGAGCAUAUAAAUCUAUUUCAGGAUUGGCCGGUGGCACUGGAUCUUCCUCCAUUUCUAUCACAGGUACUAGCUGAUCUGCUUCCUCCGGGUUUUGUGGUUGAGGCUCUUCUGGUGGGGGAGGUGGUGGAACAUUGAUCAUAUUUUGCGCCGGUGCUUGAGCUUGCAUUUCUUCUAGGGCUAGACGAAGUGACAGAAUCUCGUCUAGCUGCUGAAAUCUCUCCGCUUCCAGCCUAUGGACAUUGGAUUCAGCUUCUUCUCUCGCUCUAUCUGCCAUGCUUCGACUUGCUUCGAUGAAUCCUUGCAGUGCCCGAAGUUUCUCUUCAUAAUCUUCAAUUCGCCUGGACUGCUCUCGCAUUGCCUUCUCCAUCUCGUGCUCCCUUGCCAUUGCUGUCUUCUUGUACAUUUCCUUGUCAUACCGGGCACCCAUUGCUUCCAUCCUAGUAUCUUCAUUCUUCUGUCUCUGAUUAUAAUACUCCCGGAUACAAGCUUGAUGUAGAUUGUACAUAGCGGUCAUGUAGUCCGAAGCAGCAGCUACCAACACAUCGUGCUCCACACGAGAUGUGUUCUUCAAGGCUUUGAUCCUCCGCUUCCAUAUCCCGUCAUCUUGAUGCUUAAUUGGAUAGAAUCGAGCAGAGCUCGACCCUAUUUCCACCUUAUGAUUCUCACACAGCUCAGUAAGAGCUGUCAUGGCUGCCCUUUCUAUAGUAUCAUGGAAUUCGAAACCCGAUUCCAUUACUUCCUCCAGGCGCCAAUUAGGACGGGUAUCAUCAUCCGGGAUAUGCACAUACACCGUGCAAUAUUGCUUAUGGCCGGUAUCCUCCUUUCUCCAAUAGUACUCUGGGGGAUUAUGAAAACCCAACUCUUGUAGUGUCUUCCAGAGUAACUGCACGAAUCCUGGUUUAUCCAGAUAACGACCACGAGUCCACCCAUCCCUAUCCGUGUAACCUUCUUCGAACAUCCUAUAAAAAGAAACGAGAUCAGGUCUAGCGGCACUCACCAAACCCAAAAGUUUUUUUUUUUUUAAACAUGCAAUGCAAUUAUGAUGCAACGAUUCCUACGUACUUUCAGACUCAUAUACACACUCGUAGAAAAAUUGGUGGCAUCGUAAUCUCUCCCUAAUAAACUACCGAAUACUAGCGACACGCAACAAACAGUUAGCAUCUGCAAAACAAUCAACAGGUUAAUACUACUGCCACCUAUGACUCUUGUUUUUAUUAUUUUAAAAUAGAGUCUCAGUAUUUAAAAAGUAAUAUUUGUUGAUUAUCCCAACCUACGGCUCUGAUACCAGCUGUGGCGGAACCGCCCAACUUAAGUUGGUUUAAGUGCGCCUAAUCGCUGUCGGAGCAGCAAUUAUCCGAAACGCACCUAAAACAGCAUAAGUCCGGUAGUCCGUCGAGUGUCCCUAGGACUCCUCGAAAGAUCCACGGCAUGUUUCAUCACCAUACAUCAGGAUAAUAUCCGUGAUGGGAUAAUAUCAACAAACAUUGCAUUUUUACAUACAUAAUUAAGAGGUAUGAGUUAUUACAAGACUUCAAGUUGAAACAAACUUAGUGAUGCAUAGUUAGACAAGCUCUAAGAUUAAACAUAAAUAGUUUAGGAGAAGAUGCGUUGAUAACGGUUUCCUAGAGUAUUGAGAGACUCAGGUCAAUACUCUAGGUCUUCGGGGUCUCCUCCUCGACAGCUUCUUGGGUAGCUUCUGAAAGAUAACCACAAGGGGAAAACCCUGAGUACGGGGUACUCAGCAAGUCUUACCCGACUAACCAAUAUAAUAGUUUUUCUUUGGAAUGCAUGUCAGCCUUUAGGUGUGCUUGGUUGACACAAUUUUCGCCGAAAAGCUUACUACGAGUGAGGCCUUAGUUUUGUCUUUUAGUUUAGUUAAGUUGUUACCUAACCAUUCUAGAUGAUAACAGAAGUAAAAGCAAUCACAGCUGUUGAUUCAUACAGUACUUGGCAACAGAAAAUUUUAUAUCACAUGAGUUCAUGCUACGAAGCUCAACAGUGAUCAAGUGCAUUCAUAACCGAGAAUUGCGGCGAUCCGGAUCAAUUUACAUCCUGCAGGAGAGCACCCCGAUCACCAGCAUCAUACGACUGUCCAGGUCGUACUAACAACCUCUCGAUUAGUAAAGUCAAUGAUUAGGAAUACAACUACCCGGACCCAGGGAUGCACCCCCACAUGGGACCCCACGUCUGGCCUGAUCCCCAUGUGAGUUUCAGGCUACACCCCUGCCAAUCUCCAGCACGUCAAAUGCGGGUACGAAGCAUUCCUGAUCAUAGAAUUUACUAAUCUACUGGGCUUUACUGGUCCCAUACCCAGUAAGUGAUCAGAUGUUAUCACUUGAUCAGCAGUUAAGACACGGAUCGGUCCUCAAGCAGCUUAAAUAGCAGACAGAACUACAUCUCUAGCUUCUGUCUGGUUCUAUACUCCAAACUAUCUUUCAUAAGCAGCAUGUAUGAUUAAGAGUUUUCCUUAAGGUUGGUAAACCAAGCAUGUAAGCGAGUAAGCAAUUCUAGACUUGGGUAGUUUCUAGGAUUUGAACAAGUGGCAAAGAUGUCCUUAAAUCAAGGCAUGAUCAUACACAAGAAUAGGUUUCAUUCAACUCCUAGACUUAGUGCAUACAAUAACCAAUUAACCUAUAACUAGUCACAUGAAAUAACGACUCCAAAAUAGAUAGGUAUAAAUGCACCGGGGCUUGCCUUGAUCGUUAAAAAGAUUAGCAGACGCCGACGGAUUUGCUUCACAGGGGACAAAUUCAAACACCUCGUCGGACUCCAAAGGUCCUUCUGAAAAUUCCCAGUAAUCCUCUUCUGGUGCUUCUGGAUCUACGGCGCAAAAUAUGCAGGGGUUAGAAUGCAAACUUUUUAAAUAACAGACUAUACAACUUUCCUUCAUGAUAAAGUUGCAAGCCAACAAAGACUAUGCGACUUAUCACGAAUAGGUUGUAAGUCAACACACAAAAGAAAUCUAAAAAGAUUAACCUAGAUUUUUAUUUUCUUACUUAUCCCUUCCUAUAGCUUUUUCUUUUAUUUUUCGAAAAAGUGGUAAUUACUUUCUAACUUGAAAAUCUGAUUUCCUAUAAGUUACGAAUUAUUUGUGAUUGAUAAAGUGUUAUUCAUAUUUUAUACAUUUUAUAAAUAUUAAGUAUUUAUUUAAUUACCUUAAAAGGAAGGCAUUAAACAAAUACCUAAAUUUUUAUUAUUUUCCUAGGGUGUAAAAAUUUUAAUGCAUAAAGGAAAAUAAAACAAACCUAACAAAAUUGGUUUCACUAAUUUUGGACACUCCUACAAAUUUCUGUGAUUAAAAUGGUGUAAAACGAAUUUAAACGAAUUAUUUUGCUAACGAAAUCUAACUUUUCCCGAAAAUUCCCCCGGAAAACUUUUCUUACUUACCCCCUCUCUACCCCUUCUCACGAACACCUGGACCCCACGACGCGGACCCACCUCUCCCAUUCACUCUACCCGCCGGCCUUACUCCUCUUCCCGACGGGCCCCGUGGGCCGAUUUCCUCUCCUCUCUCUCCUGGUAGCCCAGCACCGGCCCACGGCCCCUUUUUCUUUUUCUUUCUUCUCCACGCGACGCCGGCCUAUGUUGCUGCUCUAGGCCUCCGGCCUCUUCUCUUCGGAUCACCCGCGCGUGCCACUGGGCCUCAACACGCCGGCCCAAGACGGCCGCACCGCUUCGGCCCUCUUUCUCCCCCAUCUCUCUCACUGACGCGCGGGCCCGGGUGCACAGCUCCUUCUUCCUCCUCCCGCCAAAAGCGCGACCGGAACAGGGGGCGGCGCGGCUCGCCGGCCGGCGCCCUCCCGGCGGCGGGUCUUGACGACGACACCAACCCUAACCCUUCACGACCUCGCGCGCGGCGACAGCUCCCCUGGAGACGACCGGAGCUACCUCCUCCACGGCGACGGGCGGCGACUCCCUCGGCCGGCCGUCGCUACUUGCGACUACGGCACAUCCUAUUCAAAUGACUACCCCGACACCAUCCUAGGACCCUAAGGACUCGACUACGACUGCUCAAGAAGGAAGGGGGACAGCGCGAGGGGGUUCUCACCGAGAGCGGGCGGUGCGACGGCGGCGGACAGAAGCGGCGGCGAUACAAGGUGUCACGGCGAAGAAGCUGGGCAACAAGUUGGUGGGGCUACUGGUGGGGUGUAGGUGGAGGCGUGGGUGGAAGGAAUCGAUGGGAGCGGCGGCGUGGAGGUGGAAUUUUUCUUGGCGGCGGUGUCUGGCAGAAGAGGCACGGGCGGCGGUAAAAAGAGCGGCGGUGAAACGGCGGCGCGGGAGCGGUAGAUAUUCAAGCAUUUACCCCUCGCAUGGCUGCCACCGUGGUCUACCCGUAGGCGUAUGUGGCGAGGAGGUGGCCUAGCUUAGCUGCGCUGGCGGACGACCGACGACGGCGGCGACGACACGUCUGGAGUUUCUGUCACCGCUUCUCCCGCCCGUGAUCUUCAGAAGCCAACCGUGGUUGAUCUUUGAUCCAACGGCACACCGAUGCUUAAAGACAGUUACAGAUAAACUUGAAUUCUCCAUCUUUUGUUUUGGCUCCAACCCGAGAUAAUCAUCAGACCGGUGGAAUUUGGAGAUGUUGCUCGAAUUGAUUCUGAAUCGACUGAAUCAAAAGUUCAGUUCGUCAGUCACCGACAGUAGUGCCGACUUCAACUUGCCAAUCCAAUUCAGUGGCCUAAAUCUGGUUUUUCCAAUCCAACUUCUACUCAAACAUGCUCUAUAUUGUCCCAAUGUUCCAUUUUGAUCAUAAACCAGUACCCUCCUUGAUCUAAUUUGCUCUGAAUUUGAAUUCAAAGUUGAUGCCUAGCUGCUGUUUCAGACUUAGGCAUUUUUCAGAGUUUCAGUUAACUCGUGAUAAUAUGCUGACUUUGGGCUCGAGUUUGACCUCCUCCCUUUUACUGUUCUUGGCCAACAUCACAUGAUUAUUGAAGUCCAAGACGCAUACUUCAAUAUAAUGUAGCUUUUCUAGUGCACUUGUUGGAAGAAUUCUUCAGAAAUGAAUUUUGAAAAUGAACUCUGGAGCUGUUCUCACUGAACCCUAUUGUCGGACGAGUAACAGUAAACGGCAAUUUUCCUUUUCUUCUCCUUUCUCUGAUGCUUUGUAAUAUUUGGCACCAAUUUAACUCCAAGUUUUUGAUUUCUCAACUCCAAAUACUCUCAUACUUGUAUUCCAUAUAUUGGUCAAAUUUUUCUGAAUUUCAAAUUUGAAAUUCAAAUUUCGGUCAAAUUUUUGCCGAAUUUGAUCUUUUUGCCAUUUUUCUUCUUUUUCUUUUGAAUUUCUUUCUGAAUUUCUCAGGGUCAUUAUUUGACUUCAAAUGGCACUUAUUACAAUAUUCCACGCUGCGAUCUGGUUGUAACUCACUGUUGCCCGUCAGCCGUAGAAAAUCCGCCGUCCGCGGAUGGUCCGUCGUCCGUAGGAGACUCCGCAGCGAAUCCGGAGUCGUUCCCCCUUGGCGCUGACGCAGGGGCAGCAGAUGAAGCGAGAGUAUCCGUUGGAGCUACGCCAGCCGGGUACGGCGUAUCCGCUUGGAAGCUGGAGCCGUCUGCCAGCGGAUCCAUCUGGCCUUCCCUGCUCCCCUGGCUGUUAACCAGAGAUGGCAAUCCAGUGCCUGAAACAGGAUCCGAUGCCUCUGUUUGAUUCCUGGAGACUUCCUGCGCAUCACAAUCAUCACUGAAAAAAUUGUUAUGAGGAUUAGAUAAUACCAUAUCAUCACUAUUUGCUUCCCCAUAGCUGGAACGAAGAUGUGAAGGAAGGAGUAAUAUUUCUUGACGGAGCCUUGCUCCAGCACUUUCAUGUAAAGCUUCAAAGGGGAACACUGCUUCAUCAAAUAUGACAUCCCGAGAGAUAUACACUCGCCCUGUCGAUAUAUCGAGGCACUUGUAACCUUUAUGGAGAGAACUAUAACCGAGGAAAGCACAUCGGACAGAGCGGAAAGAUAGCUUUUUAGCAUUAAAGGGUCUAAGGUUCGGCCAGCAGGCACACCCAACUGUACGAAGAAAGGAAUAGUUUGGUUGUUCACGACAUAGAAGCUCAAGAGGAGAUUGAUAAUCAGUGACCUUGCUAGGGAGGCGAUUUAUAAGAUAGGUGGCAGCAAGGAAUGCCUCAUCCCAAAAUUUCAAAGGCAUAGAUGCUUUAGCAAGAAGAGCUAGCCCAACUUCUACUAUGUGCCGAUGCUUUCUUUCAGCAGACCCAUUCUGUUGAUGCGCAUGGGGACAUGAGACCCGAUGGGUUAUCCCACUCCUUUGAAAGAAGGCGUUUAACUUUUUAUACUCACCACCCCAAUCUGUUUGCAUAGAGAGGAUUUUCUUAUCAAAUUGUCUUUCGACUAAUUUUUGGAAGUCUAGAAACACAUUGAACACAUCUGAUUUAUUUUUAAGGAGGUAAAUCCAAGUGUAGCGACUAAAAUCAUCAAUGAAGCUGACAUAAUAGGUGAACAUCCCAACAGAUGUAGGCGCUGGCCCCCAUACAUCGGAGUGGAUCAAAACAAGAGGAGCAGGAGCGGAAUUCUCAGAUGUGGAAUAAGGUAGCUGAUGACUUUUAGCUCUUUGGCAAGAAUCACACACUGAAUUGAUAGUAUUAUUGCUAAUAAAAGGUAGGUUAUGAUCUCUAAGAAUACGAGAUACUAUAGGAAAAGCAGGAUGUCCUAGACGACUAUGCCACCGUUCUAUCGUCGGUUUAACUGCGGCGAGGACUUCUUUGCUUGGGCUGCCAUCUGAGUUGUGCGGCACCAAGGGAUAGAGACCCCCUUCACAUCUUCCUCGAUGAAGAAUUUUCCUCGUUGCCCAAUCCUUGAUAAGGAAAAAGUUUGGAUGAAAUUCAACAAGAACAUUAUUGUCAAGGGUGAGGCGAUGGACAGAUGCAAGAUUUUUAUGUGAGCUUGGAACAUGAAGAAUAUUUCUCAAGACCAGAUUGCGAGAGGGGGUUUGCAAAAUAGAAUGACCAAUAUUAUUAAUCCUCAUACCUUGGCCACUUGCAGAGUAUACUUGAUCUCGACCGCCGUACUUUUCUUGCACAGUCAGCUUCUCCAAAUUGGAAGUGAUGUGAUCUGAGGCGCCACUAUCUGCAUACCAAUUUGUAUCAAUCCCAUAUGCUGCAGCAGGGCUAGAGUUGGAUGUCUUGUUGCUGUUCGCUUGAUUGUCAUCAUCGUAUCUAUACCAACACUCUCUUGCUGUGUGAUUUGGCCGAUCACAAAUUUGGCACUUUGGCUUGUUGUUUCCCUGGCCGCCACUCCUAAAAGAUUGACGAGCAUCAUCGGCACCACCAUAGCUUCGGCCUCCACGAUUUCCUCCACAGCCACGGCCAAAGUUCCCACGACCACGUGGGUUAUAACCACCACCGCGACCUCUGGAUGCAGAAUUGGCAGACGACAUGUACUGGCUGCCAGAGUUGUCACGCAACAUCUCCAGCCUUGUUUCAUAUGCCAUCACCUGAGCAUAUAAUUCGCUCAAAGGAAUCUGAUCAGACCCAUGACAGAAGUAACAAUAGGAUUAUACUCACUGUCCAAGCCAGAAAGAAUGAAAGAUAUAAUCUCAUCGUCUUCUACUUUCUUCCCAGCGCCGGCAAGCUCGUUGGCGAGUGCUUUCAUCUUGUUGAAGUAGACUGACUUCGUCAUGCUUCCCUUCUUGAGAGUUGACAAUUGCAUCCGUAGAUGAGUCACUCUUGCUCGGGAUUGGGCGGAAAACAUAUUUUCCAGCGCCGCCCACACUUCUGCAGAUGAGGACAGGGUUGCAACCUGUCCGAGCACGUCCUUUGUAACUGAGUUGAAUAGGAACGCGAGAAUUUGCUGGUCUUGCGCCAGCCAUGAGGAAUAUGCCGGGUUGCUGACAAUCUCCUUGGAUUUGUCCUCCCUGACGAUCUCCAGAAACUCAGAUGGGGCUUUGACGGAUCCCUCUAGGAUUCCCAAUAGCUGCGCCCCUCUGAUGGGUGGAAGAACUUGCGCCUUCCACAACACGUAAUUAUCUCUGGUAAGCUUCUCGGUGACUUGGGGACCAAGCGGCGCCAAUGCUGUCGCCGAGGAAGAGGAUGUCGCCAUGACGUCGACGCUUCUUAGAUGAAGAUGGCUCUGAUUACCAUGUAAAUAUGUAAAGCUAUUUGGUAAACGUGGUUAGCAAACUCGCAUCCCACGGUUCCGCGUUUAUAUAGUGCCGGAGGCUGUCACAAUUACAUGGAGAUAGAUUACAGCUUGACUUUCAAGUACACGGUUAAACCUCCCUAUCUCUAACUGUCUUCUUAUCUGUUACAAGAUUGUUACAAUAUUCUACGUCUUUAUCUCAUGAAACUAGAUAGCUUCGUGCGCCUAAUCCUUGCUGUACGACGUACCUUGACAGGAUUGCCAUGCGCUGUACGUGAGCAGGUCUUUAACAAAGUCCUACACCAACACGUUUUCUUAACAGGGACCCAUCAUAACCAAGCUCGUUAAUACAAAAGAAACGUCAGGCGAAACAAAUGGACGCUAAGCCACACACCUGAACAAAUUUUACCCGAAAUUUGCAACACGUCAAGAAUGCUUAUCACUCAACCGUCUCACAUCUCUUUUGUUUAAGGAAACCAGGCUCGUUCCUACAAAAUGAACAGCUCUUUUAUGAUCCACAAUACUACUACUUACUAGUAUAUAGUAUACAUAUAAGAUCUAACUGUUCAUUAUUAUGGAUAAUUUAGUAAUUAUUAUAAUGUAAAAAGUGAUAUUUCAAAUAGAAUGGUCUUUAAAACUUUCUGCUAGUAUCAAAAAUAAAAUUAUAGUGGUGCCAUUUGUGCUUUCUUACCAUGAUACCCUUAUACUACCUAUACUACUCAUGUAUACUACCCAUACCACAGGCGUAGGUUUCAGUAGUAUGUAAUAAAUCUUGACCGUCAGAUAUGUUUAUACUAAUCAUUUUCGAACACAAGUAUAGUCUAGUGUUGUGUUCCGUAAAAGAGCUCAUAUAAUAUGUUAUAAAACUUAUUUGUGAAAGCUAAAGGCAACAACAGGGGAUAAAUUCCAGAAUAGGUAAGAACAGAAAUUUAAAAGGGCAAAAUUUGUUGAUGGAUAGAAAUGCAUAGAAUGCUUAUUACUCAAUCGACUCACAUCUCUUUUUUCUAGGAAACAAAGCUCUCAUUAGUACUCUACGUUGGAAACAAAGCACUUAUUGUUGUUCAUAGCAGCUGAGAUUGACUUACAUAUAUUUAUUUGCAAACAGGUGUGAAAUGUGAUACAAUAAUUCAGAAAGCUAGACAUCCUGAGCCAUGCGAGGGAUAAGAAGAAGCUUCUCCUUACGGUGCACAUCCAUCCCAUACGACUCUGACAUAUCGACGCCUGUCGACCCCGGCAGAAGCUCCCAGUUGAAGUGGUAGAUGAGGUUGGCAAGAAUGAUUUCGAAAGUGGCGGUGGUGAAGUUUAUACCCGGGCACAUCCUUCGCCCAGACCCAAACGGCAAGAAACGGAAGUGGUUCCCCUGGAAGUCAGAAGCAGCAUCCACGGCUUCUUCCAUGAACCGCUCGGGCAUGAACUCCUCUGCACUCUCCCAGUAGGUGGAAUCCCUGCCUAGAGCCCACGCGUUGACGAUUACACGUGUCCCAGAGGGUAUGGUAUAUCCCUCCACCUCCCAUUCGGCCAUGGACAAGUGGGGUAUCAAAAGAGGCCCCGGCGCGUGUAGCCGCAUUGACUCUUUCAUCACCGCCGUCAGGUAGCUCAUGCCGCUCAGGUCUUGUUCAGUGACCAGUUCCUUCCCCUUGGUUGCGCACCCCCGCACCUCAGCUUGAAGCUUGGUCAUCACCUUGGGAUUCCGCAUCAGCUCAGCCAUGGCGUAGUCUAGUGCUAUGUAGGUUGUGUCCGUCCCAGCUUCAAACAUGUCCUACAUGAACAUAUCGGUAAGUAGAACUCCAAAUCAAAUUUAACCAAGCUAGUCCAUGAAACGUCUCAUAUGUACCUCUCGUGAAAAAUAAACAUACCAUCAGUAUUGCCUUGACGUUGUCUCUGGUCAGGCCGUACUCUUGUUGAACGGAGAGCAGCACAUCGAUGAAGUCCUCCUCGUCCUCACCAUCGACCGGCUUGGUCUUGUGCUUGUCGAUGAGGCUGUCCAAAAGGUCAUCCCAUAUCUUCCUGUGCUUCACGGCCUUGGCCGAUACCAAGUCCAACCUCGCCAAGCUCGGGAAAUAGUCGUCCAGGUUAAAUGCCCCCAGGAGCUUGGCGUUCGUCUCUAACAGCUCCCGGAACAGCUGGUUCCGACCUUGUUCCCUGGGGAGCCUGCCCGUCACGGCCUGGCACACGAUGUCGUUGGCGAAGAAGCUGAAGAGCUUGCUGACGUCGACCGCGAUGCCCAUGGCGGCGGCGGCCGUCACCUUGGCUAAAACCAGCUGGACCUCCUGCUCGCGGGCGGCGCGGUUGGACCGGACCUUCGCCGCGGUAAGGAGGUGGGUGGUGAUCACCUUCCUGGCCUGGCGCCAGUACUCACCGUAGGGGGCGAAGCCGACGUCGGUGCAGCCGUAGAACAGGACGUCGGCCACCGCGGAGUGCGGCCGGGAGGCGAAGACGUGGUCGUGCGUGCGCAGGACGGCCUUGGCGGCGCGUGGGGAGGAGACGACGAGCGUUGGCACGGCGCCGAGGCGGAGGAGCAUCACGUCGGGCCCGUGCCUCUUGGCGAGGUCGCGGAGGGAGUGGUGGGGAAGGGAUCCGAUGAGGUGGAGGUGGCCGAUGAUCGGGAGCUUGAACGGAGGCGACGGUAGCUUCCGGAGCAGCUUCUCUGUUCUUGACCUUGGUGUUGCCAAGUGCACGGCGACGAGGAAGAGGAAGAAGAGGAGGGCUAGGGACUCUGGAGAUGCGUGUUCGUAGAGGUGCGCUAGCGCUGGAGCCGCCAUGGCUGAUCAACUAGUGUGCACAACACACGGCUUGCUAGCGCAACAAGUUAGAACCAGCUCGUUGCAGUUUUUGUAGAGCUCGGAAGUCGUGAUCCGUCAGACAGCAAGAAGAGUAUGCUAUUUUUUUCUUUUCUGCAUCAUCACUAGAUCAGAUCAGACAGGACCGACCAGAUCUGAUCUUUUAUGAGAGAAUCCUAUCGAAUAAUCAUCCUUUUUAUUAAACUGCACCCGACGCAGACUUUCUUUAUUUGCCCAUGUGCUAUUAUAUAUUAAUUUUUAUCUCGACUAUAUACCACUGUCCUCAUGUAUGUUGUGUACCAAGAGGAACACGAGACGAUCGAGAUUCCAAUAAAAUAUGUGUUUGGUGCUGGAUUAAUUGGCAUGCUUUUCUCUCAGAUGAGCUGCGUGUAGUGACAGCGGCGCUCGCAAUAGUUGGUCGGCGCACUGGUAGACGGGCAGCUCAUGGAUGCUACCGACGGCUCUGCAACUUGAUGCAGUUCAUGCACGCUGCUGGGUGGCACCCAUGGUGCGAUAUGGCAUUGGCAUUGGCACUGUGGCGGCGGAUCCGACCAGUAGCAGAAGCUCGCACAAGUCUAAAUGUAUCUAACUUUGAUGAAUUUUAAUUUCAAAUCUAUGGAGGCUUUUGAGCUCGAACUAAUUGAAAUGGAUCACACUUUAGUAGUGCUUUCAACAUAAAAAAUUGACACAAAUUAUGGCGGUGAGCAGUCUGCCUAGCCCAGGCAGAAAAACAAAGGCUUGAAACAAACAAGCCCUUGGUGUGUGCCUGAUAGUCAUAUGUUCGAAACUCCGAUCCUGUCGCCCUUGAUUAAAAUUCAUAGUAGAGACCCAUUGAGGAUUAGCCCUGGCAUCGAUCCGGCCACAGGAGAGACCGGGAGCCAAGAAGUGAAGUAAGUUGCGUGCGUGCCUGACGGCGAGGAAGCACCUCCAUUGAGCCACGAGGUGGAGUACGAGGCAGAGGCGAGAUGGGAUGUGUUGGGGACAGACUCACAUGACGGAGAGCGGUGCAUCUCCUACCUACCAUCUGCCAUUGCCGAGGGCCUUUCACCAUGCACCACUCCGGUUCGCUCUUUUGCGUCGCUGGGAGGAAAGGGACCGCCGAGCGUUGGGUGCCGCCACCGCUCCUGUGUAGUUCGCCAUGGCCACCUCCUCCGAGAGCGCCCACACCAGCGCUGCACCUCAUUCCAGGGAUGGGGCAGCCACUGCUGGGUCACAUCCACCCGGGGAUUGGGCCGUUGCCGGGGAAUAAGAGGAGCGCGGCAGAGAAGAAAAGGAGAAAACAGAGGAGACGUGACUGACAGGGACGGAGGAAAGAUGAUGAGUGCGUACGGUGGGGCGGGUAGGAAACACAUCGGUAAAAAUGGAAUUGGUUUUUUUGUAGAAACAUUUUCUAACUUGUGGUUUUUAUGGGUCUCCACCUUAUCCUCUCUCAAUUGCAUGAUAGGUGGGUCCGACAUGAGCGGUAAGGUGGUUCUGGUUUGGGUGAGAAACGUUUCCAAUUAUGUUGGAAAACAGGCUUCGCGGAGGCUCAAACACAAUGAGGUUUGAGCAGUCCAUGCAAUUCAAUUCCAAAGAAAUGAACAUAUGUUUACAUCGGGGUAGGGCUCUCCUUUUAUAGUAUCUCGGAGGACAUUUUGCAUUCCGCAAUUACCCUCACUCACCCACUACAAUCCUAGAAUAUGCUUUACAUGGAGGUAACUUGUAUAACUUGGUCUCCUCCUUGGAUCACGCUUCUCACGCCUUUAGUCAGCUCCAUGAUUCACGCUCUCACAUAGUUCCAUAAAUCACGCCUUCACAUUUCCAACGCCUCCACGCUUCCUGACCUCGUGACCGAAGCCAUCUUAGCUUCGGGAGUCAUGAUCGCCAUAGAUUCGCACCUAAGAGACGCUAGCCUCGCGCCCUGCUCCUUGACCUGAUUCAGCGAUCCUGCAUGAGACACUAAAUAACUCAGCACUCGAGGUUAGCUUCGACUGCUCGAGGUCAAGCUUGGUUAGUGUCUGGCGAUCUGUGAUUGCCUCCGGGCUUCGAGGUAAGAUUCAGGAUAGCAAGGCUAUGAUUACUUUCCACGCCAGAUUAACCACCCAAGGUUAGGGGUCCUCACCCGAGGUUAAUUAUUUUGAGGGGCUAAGCUGUUGACGCUAAAUAGCAUACUCUUCUUGCUGUCUGACGGAUCACGACUUCCGAGCUCUACAAAAACUGCAACGAGCUGGUUCUAACAUGUUGCGCUAGCAACUGUUGACGCUAAAUGUAACGACCUCGAGGGUGACCAUCUUUUUGGGCGAUCCCCAACAGUAGCCCCUCGUGGGCAAGGCUUGACACCGACAACCGAACCCGCGACUUAAGGAUCUGCUCCCAAAAAACAUCACCCUCAAGCAUCGGUUAGAAAUGAGCCGACAGUUACCCUUUUGGUCUUACGUGUUGAUUUCCUAUUGGGUGACCCUUCGUAUCUAGCUCGUGGUUAUAGGCGCCAUUUCACGCAUUUUACCAUGCCUAUAAAAGAGGGAGGUGGGGUCGCUUUCGUUUUUACCCUCGCGGCUAAAACCCUUGCGCUCCUGCUUUUGCUCACUGCUUCCGUGCUUUAAGAUUCAUGCAUUGUAUGCUGUUCUCCUUGGUCUCGAGGAUCUCGAAGGUAACAAUGUUACUUGUGUCUCUCUUUUAGUGUGACAUUUUCCCUUGCUUGUCAUUUUGGAGAUGAUGUUUCGAUGCCUUGCAGCUGGAUCGUAUUAUGCAAACCGCUAGGCCCAUGACAUCAGAAGAGUUCACUAAACAAGCUGGGCUUCGCAAUGAGGCUGCGGAGGACCAGGAUUUGUACAAGGCCGACGAGAAGCAAGGAAUCAAGAGGAUUGAGCUUUCUUAUGCCCAGAAGAAUAGAAGAGAAGACAAUUGGCUAAGCUACUAGUUCUAUAUCAAGAUUGACAGGGCCGAUGCGUCUGGUAUCAACCGAUCUUUCUAUCCUUCUAUGCACCCCUGGGCCCUAUGGAUAUUGCUACUACCCCUGCAUUUACAAGGUCCAAGGCAGACAAGGAGUGCAAGGGCGCUUUCCUCCCGGACUCGAAGUCGAUACCCGGCUGGAUCUUGUUGAAGAGUUUUUGGCAGCCAAUAUUUGGCCCCUUUCUGAUGGGUGGAGUCCAUUGGAGAUUGUGCCAAAAGACGUUCUGUGGAGUACUAGCCCGCUCCUCUACCCUUGCUUUGGAGUGGAGCUGCCCGUGGAUGCCAACCCCGGUCUUUUUGCAGAGGAUGUUGAGAGGCAUGCUGUUGAUAUAAUUGGCCCGAGUACUGAGACUUAGCUGAUGUUAGCUCGAAAGAUCAUUGCACACGAGCUUCGGGUCAACCGUGUGUUCGAGGAACUUGGGGUCGAUGUUAAGCCUCAUCCCAAACCUCGCAAGACCUUGAAAUGGGCACGAGAGUCUGGCGCGACAGGCUCGGAAUAGGUUGGCAGCAGUGGCAGGUGGAAAAAGAGAAAGGCCGAGAGCACCGCUCCUAAGGCCGUGGCAGUGACUUCAAAGAAGGAUGACAGCCAAUCAAGGGUCGUGCUCGAGGUGCGAAAGCAAAAUUAAAGACCUCGAGCCUCGAAGAUUAGAAGAAGUACGAAAAAAUUGGACAAAGUUCCUCGAGCGAGGCUGCAAAAUCCUCCGCGCCCCUGUCUCUAAAGCCAUCUGAGCUGCGACCAAGUCCGAACUCGAGGCUGCCGGCGCGCUGGCCGGUAUGAAAGAAAAGAAGUCUACGAGGAAGUCUCACAUCGGCAAAGCCUUUGAUGAUGAUGAUGAUAUUGUUUUGGAUGUGGACUUGUCUAUGUUCCCUAUAUCGGUCCCCAAGGCUAGUGUUCCUUCAAAGGAGACUGAGACUAAGGUUGCUGCACCCCCUCUACAGCACAAGGCCAAACCUUUGAAGGAGAAGAUCGUGGAUACCAUUGCUAAGGAGAUUAAGGCAUCUACUUCGAAGGUGACAAAGCCAGGUAAACAUGUCGUUGUACAUUUGCCUAGGAUGAGAUUUUUUGAUUGUGGUGAUGCGUCAUUUAGAUUUCUGAUGGAGCUGGAAAAAACCACUGGUGCACCUUGGGAGAUAUACAGGGAACCUCCUCUAAUAUUUAGGGUAAAACCUCAUUCUGCAGAUUCUGAACUGUCACCCUCUCUGGAACGUUACAACGAGGCCUACGGCACCAACCUUAGACAGGAGCUCAUUGCUGUUCAUGUGCCGGGUUCAGGUGAGGACGAUAAUCGCUACAACCUACCCUUGUUGUGGGGAGCUAAGGAUGGGAUGCGUGGUGUAGAUAGAGCAGCCAAGGAGGUUUUCAAGAUGUCUGAGCGGGUUGUCGGUGAGGUUGGUGGGCAGGGAGAAAGGGAGGAAGGCGAGGUUAUCCCUACUCGAGGUCUUGGGAAAUCCACUGUGCCUUUUGAGGUUGAUUACGAGGACAAGUCUUUUAAUCCUGAGAGUAAGCGCUUGCUCCUUAGUUUGUUUUGUCUGUACUUAAUUUCUACUUUGCUAUGCUUUGACGUGCCUUUCUUUUGACAGAGUAUGAAAAAUCAGUUAGGCGUUUCGAGCAAAAGGACUUAGCUAGGAUGUCAGCUACCAUUGGAUACAAGGUAUUUUGUUCGACGCUUGCUAUUUGUUUCUUAUCUCUCUUUUUUUACGAGGCUUUUCAUUUUGGUGUUUCGAUUUUGCAGUCCAUCAUCCUUGGGAAGAUGCUAUGGAGAAGGCUGCGGCUAAGGAAAAGAGCAUGCUGGCCGAGAGCACAAAGAUGAUGCAGCUAGAGGCUAGAGUUGCAAAGCUUGAGGAGGAAAGCAAGGUUUUAUAUGCCUUGAAGAACGAGCUCGCCGAUUCUAACUCUGACCUUAAAAAGAACAACGUGCUGCUAACAAAUACCUACAGCGAGCUCGUGCAGCAAGUUGAGAAGCUGGAAAAAAGACCCGAAGACAAUCUUGGUGUUUUGGAGAAACUCCGAAGCGCCACAGAAAAAGACGUACAGACUAUCACAGAGCAGGAAAAAAUGAUUCAUACCCUUGGUCAGGAUCUCAAAGAGCAAAAGACCUUUGUUGUGGAAGCAGAGCGGGCUCUCAAGGAAAAGUUCGUUGAGAUCUAUGAGGUGUACAAAACUGCUCUUGCAAAGUUUGGCGCAGAGCCUCUUUUGUUUCUGGGUGAUGAAAGUGUAAAAGAAAUAUUUGAUUGGGUGGAAGAGGAGUUCAAAGGCCUGCCCGAGGUUAUUACUGGUAGCAGCAACUUUGCUGCUUCCUUCUGCCUUGAUAGCGCAUUUCAACUCCUUGAAAAGAACAGCUACUCUCAUUUCUUAACACUCGCGGCUCGCACCUAUAUGUUCCCCUCGGCCUCGGAGCUUGAUGAAGAGGAGAAAUCUAAAAAUUUGAGAGCCACGAAGAUAAAUUUCUUCAAACAGCUUUGGGCUACCUCCGGGCGAGAGUACACAAGGCUGGUUGCUCAAGAGCGGCUUGCACAGGUUAGGGUUCACAUAACUUUGUAUUUCAUAAGGUUUGCAUUUUUUCUGUUGAUUUCCUGAUGUUGUUCCUCUUGUGUUCGUAGGCCAAGGCAUAGGAAGCAAAAGGCGAAGGUGGGAGCGAGAACGAUGAUGCUGAUCAAGGAGGGCAGUGAUUAUCGAAGCUAGUUAGAGAUUUGUUUUGUGGUUUGGGAUGUUUUGAUAAACUUGAUACUUAGUUGGCUGCUUUUGCGGGCCAGAUUGUAAAUAUUUGUUGCUCAGCCGGAACUUACAUGCUCGAAGCUGGUUACUUUUGGCGUUUGUACCUUCACAGAUUUCUUUUUAUCUUAACGUUUUUAUGUUUGAGUUAUUCUACUCAAAUGGCAACAAAGCUGUAGCUUAAAGAAAUGAGCAAUGUUUUAGUUUAAAACGUCACCCCUGCCCUAGUUUCUUUAUGCGUAGGUUUUUGUUGACUUUGCACGCUUGUUGUCUAAGCUUAAACGGAGCUUAAAAACGUCACCCCCUUCUUGGCACGUGGGUCUUACCCGAGGCAAUUGUCUCAUGGAAAGAGGAUGAAAAUGAUUUUUGUUUGCCAAAAAAUGUCACCCCCGCCCUUUUAUCCUUUUUCCGAAAAAACAUCCAACCUCGCCCUUUUCUUUUGCAUGAACGAGGUUAAGUGAGUAUUGACAAACCACAAGAUAAGUCAAUAGAGAAGUUGUUUUCGAGUUAUGUUGACUUAAAAAUAUGAUAGUUUGGUUGAAAUCGCAACCCUUAGGAUGUGUUUGGUUGGGCUGUGGCUUUUCAGAAAGCUGCUGUGAGCUAUGGGCUGUAGAAAAGCAGCUGUGAGAAAGCAGCUGUGGGAAAAGUAUAAGGCCGUUUGGUUAGAGCAGAUGUGGCUUUUGAAUAAAUUUUCGCGUCGACCCUGCAUGUCAUCCACAGUCCACCCCACUCAACUCUCUCCCUCGCUCACUGACGAGCGGGUCUAACCCUUCUUCUUCCUCCCGCUGGCUUGUCCACCCCAUAGGACCCCGAGUAGCACCAGGGCCGCAACGGCAUCCACGAUGAUGCAGUCCACAAUCAGGGCGAGGUCCAUGACGGCGAUGGCCUGCGCCUCACCUCCUCCACCUUGCACCACGUGGCAGGCACCGUAGCACCACCGGCAUCUAGGAGGCAGUGGCACCCCGCGGGCACGCAUGCGUCGACAUAGAGGUUGAGGCUAGUCUGUGCCGCCAAGAGCCCGCCGCCCGCGCAGGCGAGCCCCGCCUCCAUGGUGCCCUUCGGCGCGGAGGCGGAGAGUGAUGAGGAGAGGGAUGCCAUGGCAGCGGCGAGGAGGAGGAGACGCGCGAUGAUGAGUGUGUGCUGCUGGAGGUCGGAGGCCGGGAGCGAGACGGCAAGGAGGCCUGCGGCAUGGUCGAGGAGGAGGAACGACAGGGAGAGGAGGAGCGGGAGGUGGGGCGGGAGGAAUGGGAGGAGCGGUGGGAGGAGCAGCAGUGGGAGGAGCAUCAUGGAAGCCAGUGGGAGGAAGGCGAACAGGAGCACGAGGAGUAGCGGGAGGAGGCAGAGGAGCGGGUGGCGGAACAGGCGGAGGAGGUGGUGGUGGAGGGAGGACGGGGAGAGGUAGGAGACGGCGGCAAUGAGGUGGUGGGACUGGGAGGUCGCGAGGAGGGAGAAUAUAACGGCAAGGUGGCACGCGAGCAGCAGCGCCUCCGACAUUGUUGUUGGGCAGCGCGGUCGGGGAAGUCCCGAGGAGGAGGAGCACCAGGCGGCGGGCCACUAAGGUGAUGGUCGGGUGGAGGGACUGGUGCGGGUGAUGGGGAGUGGACGGGAAUAGAAGGGGAAAACGAACCGUUAUCCUCCAUAACAAGUGGUAGGUGGGUAAUUUUUUGUCCCAAAAGCAGCUAAAAGCAGGGGGGAAGGUGCUUUUGAUUUUGGGCAAAAGCACGUAUGGCUUUGGGCAAAAGCACGUAUGGCUUUGGGCAAAAGCACGUAUGGCUUUUAGGCCCUUUGGUUGGCUUUUGGCUUUUGCAAAAGCAAAAGUAGGUUGGAAAGUCCAACCAAAGGCACCCUUAGUUGCUUCAACCAUGAAAUUUUGCGAGGUUGAGAAAAUAGGGAAAUAGGGUGCCUUUUUUGAAAAAAUGUCAGUCUUUCUAUUCUAUUGUGAGAGCUUUGGCUGAGGCUAGGGCCUUCGUGCGAAAGGACAAAAUGAAUUUUCGACUCUGAAAAACGUCACCCCCCUUGUCCUUUUGCGCAGAGGGGGUUUAGACUCAGCAUGGCUUAUUCCAAGUGUUAUCUCUGCCUUUGAUCGCUUGCUGCAGCCUUUCUAUUCUCUGAGUUGCAAGUUCAAGGCCAAUCACUGUGGUGUUUGAGUGAGAAACUACGUUUAUGUGCAUAUAGUGUGCGUUCAAUGUUAGACUAUGCAGCUUAUUGCUACUUUAAAAUAUCUUGCGCAGAAACGUAGGUUUUCAACACGCAGAAACGUGAGGUUAGGCAAGUUGUUGUUGCAUCUGAGACUUGUGCAGACACGCAAGUUUUCAAUGCACAGAAACUCGAGGUUAGGCAACUUGUUGUUGCAUCUAAGACAAAGAUCAUAGGGGGAACUUCAUUUCAUUGAAUAAUGGAAAUUUUACAAGGAUCUACCUCUUCCGACAUGGUUGCCUCUUUGGCCACUUCUGAAAUUGGGUUGAUGUUGGUGGUAUCGGUUCUGGUUUUGGCCUUGGUUUUGGUUUUGGGUUUGGUUUUUGAACGAGGGUUGGUUAUCCUUGAUGGCCAGCAGUUAGUUUGGGUGCGAGUGGUGCUGUUGUUGGUGACUGUAUCACGAAGCUUGCCAGUUUUGACCUUUCUCUGCUUGCCUUUGGCGGUUUCUUUCCACGACCCUUCUUCUAUGGUCUUCAUCUGAUCUGCAAUAUUUAUCCAUCUCUUCGAACAGGGCUUCCAUUCUUUUUGGCUUUUUCCUUGAUAGCUUCGAGGCUGUUGGCCUCGGAUUAAGCCCCUUGAUGCAGAUCUCUAUGGCCAUGCUAUCCUCCACAUCUGGGGUUUGUGUCUUAAGUUGGACAAAUCUUCUCACGUAGCUUGCUAAAGGCUCUUUAUCUUUUUGCACACAAUUGAACAAAUCCCCCUCAUCAGUCAUGGCUCUAUGAAAGCCUUGAAAGUUUUGUAUCAGUUUGGUUUUAAGAUCGACCCAGCUGUAUACAGAUUGCAGCAGGAGUAGAGAGUACCAAUUUAGUGCUGCACCCUCGCACGCUAUAAUGAAUGACUUUGCCAAUACUACAUCAUCUCCCCCUGCCGAGGCUAUGGCUGUUUCAUAACUCAUGAGGAACUAGCGGGGAUCUAUUUGUCCAUUGAACUUUGGUAGUGCAACUGCCUUGUAGGUUGUGGGCCAUGGGGCUGUUUGCAGGCCUAAGGACAAUGGGGAGAUUUUGUCGGUAGUUGUGAAUGCGCUCAUUGUCACUCUGGUGUUGUGCCCAACGAGGCUAGGAUUCGGGUAUAUGAUGGGUGUGUCAUUGGUGUUGAAGGUUUGAAGUGGUGGCUGCUGCGGCUGUUGCGGUGUGUUACACAAGUAUUCCAAUUCGUUCAACUCUUGCUGCAACUCUGCCAGCUGCCUUUUGGCCUCAUUUAGCCUCACUAGCUUGUUGGUUGCUAGUCUUUGAGCCUGAAGCUCUUGAGCAAAUUUUUCUUUUUCUUUUUUAAUGCCUCUAGCUGCUUGAGUGCCGAGGCCAGCUCUUCUUCUAUUUCACUAAGGGGUUCAUCUUGCGUGCUUGUUUGCGGCAGAGUUUGGUUCGAGGUCCCCGCCUCAACCAUGCCUAUCUGUGAUCUUGUUCUUAAAUUAGCCUCGAUUCUUUUAAACUUUUUCUGCCUUCUCCGUGUUAACUUGUUUGACUGAGACAAGCUGCCUUUCUUGAACAGCCUCAUCUUCGAUGGUUCUCUUCUUCUUUUGAGGUGGCAUCGUGGGUUUCUUAGUGGCUCAGAAUACGGUGGGUGCCAAUGUUCGGAAACAAGCUUGAGGAAGGCUCAAAAACAACGAGGUUUGAGUAGCACAUUAUCAUGGCUCGGGCGGCCGGAGUGAGGUGGAUCGGGUGGAUCAAGGCUACGGCAUAGCACAUUAUCAUGGCUCGGGCGGCCGGAGCAAGAACACGAGCUGGCCGACCGUAGAGGGAAGUCGCAAGCGGCACUCGCAGAAUCUACGUGGCUCCCCUUGGUCGUUCUUUGUCUCAUCCUAUGGGUAUUGUGGAGGCACGGCGCCAGGCUGGCGGCACGGUGUAGCCUCAAUUCAGAACAUUCCUAGCCAGGGCGUGGGCGAGGGCGAUUGGUUGCUCAACCUGAUGAGAACUUGGGUGGGUGCUCCUACAUGGGAGAGAAUAGGGUGAUGGAUGAGAAUGCAGAUGAGGGACGGGGCUAGACGAGGGGUAGGUUGGAGACAUGUUUUCAUUGUUGUCCUCUUAGCGUCAAGAUGAGAGGUGAGAUGAGAUACCGGUAGGACCUGCUCUUACCAUGGCACUUCAGCAACCCCACCCCAACCCCGCGCGCAAGUCAAAAUUUGAGGACCAUAUGUACAAUACGUGUGCAAACAAAACCAUAAUUUUACUAGUAUUGAGGAUUUUAGUUAUUUCUUCUAAAAAAUCUCUUGGGAAAUCGUAUUUUUGUAGUACAACAUAUAUAGAAAAUAAGUAUUGCUCACAAAUAAACUGCCCUAUUCUUGGUUUUUGUUAUUAUUUUAUUUAAUCUUAAGAUUUAUAUAUGCAUAAAAAAGUAAUUUAGUAUCUUCAAAUAUGGAAACGUGGUCUUAGGAAUAGGGCUCAUAUUUUAUUCUUGAGCAUGCCUAGUGGAAAAAUACUAUCUAAAAAACUGCAAAGAAAUUUAAUACCUAAGCCUUCGAUCCACUCUACUUUUUGUAUACUAGUUUACCUGCAAUCCACUGGCUUGCACAUUAUAUUUCAUCAUACGGAAAUGUCUGAGAUUGUGAACGGAAGCAAUUUCAUCUGUCUGCAACAUGUGACACCCAGAGCUCCUGACACAACCGCGUGAGCACCUUCUCCGACAUGCGCACAUGAUGACCGCAUGCACCCAUAUUAUACAUAGUUUAUUAUAGUUUCUGCAGGGAUAUGAUAAUCAUUAAUUAUUACUUGUAAAGAUUGGAAACGUUACAAACGAUUGUAGAAAAAAUGCGAGUCACCAGGAAGGUAGGUAGUAGAGCAUGCCGUCAGUGUCUUUCCUGUGACCUGUGUUCGUGGUGCACAUGGCAGAAUGCACAGUCUAUACAUAGGAACCAGAAGUUGGCUUCGAAACCAAAUCACUCAUUAGUCCUUCAGUACUGCAGUGAACGCUAUCUAGCUAGCUAAUUUCCCCUUGAAAUCAGUUUUCUUGCGUGGCCAUGGGUAGCCUUCCACUUGAAGCCAUGAUGCCACUGAACCCCGAUUCAUUCGCUGGGGAGUCCAGUGCCGUGGUCGACUUCCUCGCCGACUACUACCGCAACGUCGAUAAGUAUCCGGUCAUGGCCAACACCCAGCCAGGGACCAUCCGUAAGCUUCUUCCGGAGGCAGCCCCGGAGUUGGGCGACUCCAUGGAUCGCAUACUGGAUGAUGUGCAGCGGGAUAUCCUCCCCGGCCUCACACAUUGGCAGAGCCCUAGCUUCUUUGCCUAUUUCCCGGCGAAUGCAAGCACCGCAGGGUUCGCCGGGGAGAUGUUGUCGGCUGGUCUCAACGUCGUCCCGUUCGUCUGGACGGCGUCACCGGUGGCCACUGAGCUGGAGCAGGUCGUGGUUGACUGGAUGGCUAGCCUCCUCGGCCUACCGGAGCGCUUCCACUUCAAGGGAGGAGGAGGCGGUGUCCUGCAUGGGAGCACGUGCGAGGCGGUGGUGUGCACCCUCGCUGCCGCGCGCGACCGUGCACUCAGCAAGCUCGGACAUGAGGGCAUCCUCAAGCUUGUCGUGUAUGCCUCGGACCAGACCCACGCAACCUUCCAGAAGGGCGCGAGCAUCGUCGGCAUCCCUCCAGCAAACUUCCGCAUCCUGCGGACUUCGGCAAACUCGGGAUACGGCCUCACCGCCACCAUCGUCCAAAGAGCAAUCGAGGAAGACGUCGCCCGCGGGCUGGUUCCCCUUUACCUCUGCGCCACCGUCGGCACUACUGGUCUGGGGGCCAUUGACCGAGUGCGCGAGCUCGGCCAUGUUGCCCGGCGUUAUGGUAAUUCAUUCAACCUCCCUCUCUUAUACGCUAAUCACCCAUACGGUGACACUAAAUACGUAGAAAUGGAAUGCGCUAUGCGGUCACAAGUCACGAUUCAUGCUCACUUAACAAUCAACAAUCAGUUCCUAUAACCAUCUGACAAGAAUACAUGUUUUACAGGAACCUGGCUGCACAUCGACGCAGCCUACGCCGGAAGCGCAGCCAUUUGCCCGGAGUUCCAAGGUCACCUCGACGGCGCCGAGCUCGCGGACUCGGUGAGCAUGAACCCACAUAAGUGGUUCCUCACCAACAUGGACUGCUGCUGCCUCUGGGUGGCGAACCCUACCACCAUGACCGACGCACUGUCCACUGACCCGGAGUACCUCAAGAAUGUCGGCACCGCGUCUAAGAUGGCGGAAACGGUCGACUACAAGGACUGGCAGAUCGCGCUGUCACGCCGCUUCCGUGCCAUCAAACUCUGGGUGGUGCUACGGCGCUAUGGAGCGGCGGGAAUGCGCGCGCACAUACGGAGGCACAUCCAGAUGGCAGAGUGGUUCGAGCACGUCGUGGCGGCGGACGAGCGGUUUGAGGUCGUGGUGCCAAGGAACUUCUCCUUGGUGUGCUUCCGCCUCCGCCCGCGGUUCAUGGCGGAUAAAGCUGUGGAGGCCCUGAACCGCGACCUCCUCGCAGCGGUGAAUGCAAGCGGCCGGGCGUUCAUGACGCACUUCGUCGUGGACGACAAGUUUGUGAUCCGCCUAGCCGUGGGUGGGUCAAUGACAGAGAUGCGGCACGUCCGGGCCGCGUGGGAGCUUCUCAAGGAGAAGGCCAACGACUUGAUCGCCACCGGUUGUUAGUUAUUGCUCAUUGCUAGUGCUAUACCAUGCAUGGCCAGCAACAGAAGCUGAGCAUUCUAUUAUUGCUUCCAUUCGUAGUUAGAGCACACCAUGAAUGCAAUAGUCAAUCCAUCUGAACCAUGAACAUUCACUAUGACCAUGUAUGCGACACAAUAUACAUAAGUGCUACUGCCGAUAUUGGAUUCUAUUUCUGGAGAAGCGGCUGCUUCUACGGAGCAGGCCGAUUGAAUUUUAAGUAUGUUAUGAUACUUGUAAAAAAUCGAUGCUAGGCAUGGAUUCCUGGAAGGGGCCCGUCACAACUCACAAUGGAAGGGACCCGUCAUAACCAAGCUCGUUAAUACAAAAGAAACGUCAGGCGAAACAAAUGGACGCUAAGCCACACACCUGAACAAAUUUUACCCGAAAUUUGCAACACGUCAAGAAUGCUUAUCACUCAACCGUCUCACAUCUCUUUUGUUUAAGGAAACCAGGCUCGUUACUACAAAAUGAACACCAAGAUGAUAGAGCUCUUUUACGAUACACAAUACUACUACUUAGUAGUAUAUAGUAUAUAUAUAAGAUCUAACUGUUUAUUAUUAUGGAUAAUUUAGUAAUUAUUACAAUGUAAAAAGUGAUAUUUCAAAUAGAAUGGUCUUUUAAACUUUCUGCUAGUAUCAAAAAUAAAAUUAUAGUGGUGCCAUUUGUGUUUUCUUACCAUGAUACCCUUAUACUACCUAUACUACUCAUGUACGACAUAAGUGAAUAACAAAGGCAGUGCCAAAGCGAAUAAAGAGAGUAUUAAACUUUAUUACAUGAAAAUUGUCACAAUAAUGUCAUCCACAUAUAUAAGCAUGAAAAUUGUGACACCUCCUUUUGAAUAAAUAAAUAGCGACAUAUCUGAUUUUGAAGCUUUGAACCCAAGAUCAUACAACUUUGAGCUGAGCCGAGCAUACCAGGCUCUAGGAGCUUGUUUCAACCCAUAUAAUGCUUUGUCUAACCUGCACACAAAAUUGGGAUGUUUUGGAUCCUCAAAGCCUGGCGGCUGUCUCAUGUACACCUCUUCUUCAAGAACGUCAUGUAAAAACGUAUUCUGAACGUCCAACUGUCGUAGGCACCAUCCUCUGGCAACAGCUAUAGACAAGACCAAUCGAACCGUAGCAAUUUUUACAACAGGACUAAAAGUAUCUUCAUAAUCAAUUCCAUACCUUUGUUUAAACCCUUUUGCUACGAGCCGAGCUUUGUAUCUAUCAAUGCUUCCAUCAGACUUCCUUUUCACCUUGUAGACCCAUUUGCAAUCAAUGAGAUUUACACCUUGCUUGGGUGGAACUAAUCGCCAUGUUUUAUUUCGGUGUAAUGCACCAAUCUCCUCCUUCAUAGCUUGAGUCCAGCGAGGAUGACCAAGUGCCUCAACUAGGCCAUCAGGCUCUCCUGUCGAGCAAAAUCCUGUAUACCGAAUAGUACCAUCUGUAUACAUUUUGGGUUUGAAUAUUCCACGCUGCGAUCUGGUUGUAACUCGCUGUUGCCCGUCAGCCGUAGAAAAUCCGCCGUCCGCGGAUGGUCCGUCGUCCGUAGGAGACUCCGCAGCGAAUCCGGAGUCGUUCCCCCUUGGCGCUGAUGCAGGGGCAGCAGAUGAAGCGAGAGUAUCCGUUGGAGCUACGCCAGCCGGGUACGGCGUAUCCGCUUGGAAGCUGGAGCCGUCCGCCAGCGGAUCCAUCUGGCCUUCCGUGCUCCCCUGGCUGUUAACCAGAGAUGGCAAUCCAGUGCCUGAAACAGGAUCCGAUGCCUCUGUUUGAUUCCUGGAGACUUCCUGCGCAUCACAAUCAUCACUGAAAAAAUUGUUAUGAGGAUUAGAUAAUACCAUAUCAUCACUAUUUGCUUCCCCAUAGCUGGAACGAAGAUGUGAAGGAAGGAGUAAUAUUUCUUGACGGAGCCUUGCUCCAGCACUUUCAUGUAAAGCUUCAAAGGGGAACACUGCUUCAUCAAAUAUGACAUCCCGAGAGAUAUACACUCGCCCUGUCGAUAUAUCGAGGCACUUGUAACCUUUAUGGAGAGAACUAUAACUGAGGAAAGCACAUCGGACAGAGCGGAAAGAUAGCUUUUUAGCAUUAAAGGGUCUAAGGUUCGGCCAGCAGGCACACCCAACUGUACGAAGAAAGGAAUAGUUUGGUUGUUCACGACAUAGAAGCUCAAGAGGAGAUUGAUAAUCAGUGACCUUGCUAGGGAGGCGAUUUAUAAGAUAGGUGGCAGCAAGGAAUGCCUCAUCCCAAAAUUUCAAAGGCAUAGAUGCUUUAGCAAGAAGAGCUAGCCCAACUUCUACUAUGUGCCGAUGCUUUCUUUCAGCAGACCCAUUCUGUUGAUGCGCAUGGGGACAUGAGACCCGAUGGGUUAUCCCACUCCUUUGAAAGAAGGCGUUUAACUUUUUAUACUCACCACCCCAAUCUGUUUGCAUAGAGAGGAUUUUCUUAUCAAAUUGUCUUUCGACUAAUUUUUGGAAGUCUAGAAACACAUUGAACACAUCUGAUUUAUUUUUAAGGAGGUAAAUCCAAGUGUAGCGACUAAAAUCAUCAAUGAAGCUGACAUAAUAGGUGAACAUCCCAACAGAUGUAGGCGCUGGCCCCCAUACAUCGGAGUGGAUCAAAACAAGAGGAGCAGGAGCGGAAUUCUCAGAUGUGGAAUAAGGUAGCUGAUGACUUUUAGCUCUUUGGCAAGAAUCACACACUGAAUUGAUAGUAUUAUUGCUAAUAAAAGGUAGGUUAUGAUCUCUAAGAAUACGAGAUACUAUAGGAAAAGCAGGAUGUCCUAGACGACUAUGCCACCGUUCUAUCGUCGGUUUAACUGCGGCGAGGACUUCUUUGCUUGGGCUGCCAUCUGAGUUGUGCGGCACCAAGGGAUAGAGACCCCCUUCACAUCUUCCUCGAUGAAGAAUUUUCCUCGUUGCCCAAUCCUUGAUAAGGAAAAAGUUUGGAUGAAAUUCAACAAGAACAUUAUUGUCAAGGGUGAGGCGAUGGACAGAUGCAAGAUUUUUAUGUGAGCUUGGAACAUGAAGAAUAUUUCUCAAGACCAGAUUGCGAGAGGGGGUUUGCAAAAUAGAAUGACCAAUAUUAUUAAUCCUCAUACCUUGGCCACUUGCAGAGUAUACUUGAUCUCGACCGCCGUACUUUUCUUGCACAGUCAGCUUCUCCAAAUUGGAAGUGAUGUGAUCUGAGGCGCCACUAUCUGCAUACCAAUUUGUAUCAAUCCCAUAUGCUGCAGCAGGGCUAGAGUUGGAUGUCUUGUUGCUGUUCGCUUGAUUGUCAUCAUCGUAUCUAUACCAACACUCUCUUGCUGUGUGAUUUGGCCGAUCACAAAUUUGGCACUUUGGCUUGUUGUUUCCCUGGCCGCCACUCCUAAAAGAUUGACGAGCAUCAUCGGCACCACCAUAGCUUCGGCCUCCACGAUUUCCUCCACAGCCACGGCCAAAGUUCCCACGACCACGUGGGUUAUAACCACCACCGCGACCUCUGGAUGCAGAAUUGGCAGACGACAUGUACUGGCUGCCAGAGUUGUCACGCAACAUCUCCAGCCUUGUUUCAUAUGCCAUCACCUGAGCAUAUAAUUCGCUCAAAGGAAUCUGAUCAGACCCAUGACAGAAGUAACAAUAGGAUUAUACUCACUGUCCAAGCCAGAAAGAAUGAAAGAUAUCAUCUCAUCGUCUUCUACUUUCUUCCCAGCGCCGGCAAGCUCGUCGGCGAGUGCUUUCAUCUUGUUGAAGUAGACUGACUUCGUCAUGCUUCCCUUCUUGAGAGUUGACAAUUGCAUCCGUAGAUGAGUCACUCUUGCUCGGGAUUGGGCGGAAAACAUAUUUUCCAGCGCCGCCCACACUUCUGCAGAUGAGGACAGGGUUGCAACCUGUCCGAGCACGUCCUUUGUAACUGAGUUGAAUAGGAACGCGAGAAUUUGCUGGUCUUGCGCCAGCCAUGAGGAAUAUGCCGGGUUGCUGACAAUCUCCUUGGAUUUGUCCUCCCUGACGAUCUCCAGAAACUCAGAUGGGGCUUUGACGGAUCCCUCUAGGAUUCCCAAUAGCUGCGCCCCUCUGAUGGGUGGAAGAACUUGCGCCUUCCACAACACGUAAUUAUCUCUGGUAAGCUUCUCGGUGACUUGGGGACCAAGCGGCGCCAAUGCUGUCGCCGAGGAAGAGGAUGUCGCCAUGACGUCGACGCUUCUUAGAUGAAGAUGGCUCUGAUUACCAUGUAAAUAUGUAAAGCUAUUUGGUAAACGUGGUUAGCAAACUCGCAUCCCACGGUUCCGCGUUUAUAUAGUGCCGGAGGCUGUCACAAUUACAUGGAGAUAGAUUACAGCUUGACUUUCAAGUACACGGUUAAACCUCCCUAUCUCUAACUGUCUUCUUAUCUGUUACAAGAUUGUUACAAUAUUCUACGUCUUUAUCUCAUGGAACUAGAUAGCUUCGUGCGCCUAAUCCUUGCUGUACGACGUACCUUGACAGGAUUGCCAUGCGCUGUACGUGAGCAGGUCUUUAACAAAGUCCUACACCAACACGUUUUCUUAACAGCGACCCGUCAUAACCAAGCUCGUUAAUACAAAAGAAACGUCAGGCGAAACAAAUGGACGCUAAGCCACACACCUGAACAAAUUUUACCCGAAAUUUGCAACACGUCAAGAAUGCUUAUCACUCAACCGUCUCACAUCUCUUUUGUUUAAGGAAACCAGGCUCGUUCCUACAAAAUGAACAGCUCUUUUAUGAUCCACAAUACUACUACUUACUAGUAUAUAGUAUACAUAUAAGAUCUAACUGUUCAUUAUUAUGGAUAAUUUAGUAAUUACUAUAAUGUAAAAAAUGAUAUUUCAAAUAGAAUGGUCUUUAAAACUUUCUGCUAGUAUCAAAAAUAAAAUUAUAGUGGUGCCAUUUGUGCUUCCUUACCAUGAUACCCUUAUACUACCUAUACUACUCAUGUAUACUAUCCAUACCACAGGCGUAGGUUUCAGUAGUAUGUAAUUAAUCUUGACCGUCGGAUAUGUUUAUACUAGUCAUUUUCAAACACAAGUAUAGUCUAGUGUUGUGUUCCGUAAAAGAGCUCAUAUAAUAUGUUAUAAAACUUAUUUGUGAAAGCUAAAGGCAACAACAGGGGAUAAAUUUCAGAAUAGGUAAGAACAGAAAUUUAAAAGGGCAAAAUUUGUUGAUGCAUGGAAAUGCAUAGAAUGCUUAUUACUCAAUCGACUCACAUCUCUUUUUUCUAGGAAACACAAUAAUUGUUGGAUACAAAGCACUUAUUGUUGUUCAUAGCAGCUGAGAUUGACUUACAUAUAUUUAUUUGCAAACAGGUGUGAAAUGUGAUACAAUAAUUCAGAAAGCUAGACAUCCUGAGCCAUGCGAGGGAUAAGAAGAAGCUUCUCCUUACGGUGCACAUCUAUCCCAUACGACUCUGACAUAUCGACGCCUGUCGACCCCGGCAGAAGCUCCCAGUUGAAGUGGUAGAUGAGGUUGGCAAGAAUGAUUUCGAAAGUGGCGGUGGUGAAGUUUAUACCCGGGCACAUCCUUCGCCCAGACCCAAACGGCAAGAAACGGAAGUCGUUCCCCUGGAAGUCAGAAGCAGCAUCCACGGCUUCUUCCAUGAACCGCUCGGGCAUGAACUCCUCUGCACUCUCCCAGUAGGUGGAAUCCCUGCCUAGAGCCCACGCGUUGACGAUUACACGUGUCCCAGAGGGUAUGGUAUAUCCCUCCACCUCCCAUUCGGCCAUGGACAAGUGGGGUAUCAAAAGAGGCCCGGCGCGUGUAGCCGCAUUGACUCUUUCAUCACCGCCGUCAGGUAGCUCAUGCCGCUCAGGUCUUGUUCAGUGACCAGUUCCUUCCCCUUGGUUGCGCACCCCCGCACCUCAGCUUGAAGCUUGGUCAUCACCUUGGGAUUCCGCAUCAGCUCAGCCAUGGCGUAGUCUAGUGCUAUGUAGGUUGUGUCCGUCCCAGCUUCAAACAUGUCCUACAUGAACAUAUCGGUAAGUAGAACUCCAAAUUUAACCAAGCUAGUCCAUGAAACGUCUCAUAUGUACCUCUCGUGAAAAAUAAACAUACCAUCAGUAUCGCCUUGACGUUGUCUCUGGUCAGGCCGUAUUCUUGUUGAACGGAGAGCAGCACAUCGAUGAAGUCCUCCUCGUCCUCACCAUCGACCGGCUUGGUCUUGUGCUUGUCGAUGAGGCUGUCCAAAAGGUCAUCCCAUAUCUUCCUGUGCUUCACGGCCUUGGCCGAUACCAAGUCCAACCUCGCCAAGCUCGGGAAAUAGUCGUCCAGGUUAAAUCCCCCCAGGAGCUUGGCGUUCGUCUCUAACAGCUCCCGGAACAGCUGGUUCCGACCUUGUUCCCUGGGGAGCCUGCCCGUCACGGCCUGGCACACGAUGUCAUUGGCGAAGAAGCUGAAGAGCUCGCUGACGUCGACCGCGAUGCCCAUGGCGGCGGCGGCCAUAGGAGAGACCGGGAGAAAAGAAGUGAAGUAAGUUGCGUGCGUGCCUGACGGCGAGGAAGCACCUCCAUUGAGCCACGAGGUGGAGUACGAGGCAGAGGCGAGAUGGGAUGUGUUGGGGACAGACUCACAUGACGGAGAGCGGUGCAUCUCCUACCUACCAUCUGCCAUUGCCGAGGGCCUUUCACCGUGCACCACUCCGGUUCGCUCUUUUGCGUCGCUGGGAGGAAAGGGACCGCCGAACGUUGGGUGCCGCCACCGCUCCUGCGUAGUUCGCCAUGGCCACCUCCUCCGAGAGCGCCCACACCAGCGCUGCACCUCAUUCCAGGGAUGGGGCAGCCGCUGCUGGGUCACAUCCGCCCGGGGAUUGGGCCGUUGCUGGGGAAUAAGGGGGUGUUUGGAUGUUUAGGACAUCCUAAAAUUUAUAUCACAUCGAAUAUUCGGAGGCUAAUUAGAAGGACUAAAUAUGAGCUAAUUAUAAAACUAAUUACACAGAUGGAUGCUAAUUCAUGAGACGAAUCUAUUAAGUCUAAUUAAUCCAUCAUUAGCACAUGUUUACUGUAGCAUCACAUUGUUAAAUCAUGAACUAAUUAGGCUUAAUAGAUUCGUCUCGCAAAUUAGUCUCCAUCUGUGCAAUUAGUUUUGUAAUUAGUCUAUAUUUAAUACUCCUAAUUAGUAUCUAAACAUUCGAUGUGACAGAAAUUUUAGGAGGGCCUAAAGAAACAAACACCCCCUAAGAGGAGCGCGGCAGAGAAGAAAAGGAGAAACAUAGGAGACGUGAUUGACAGGGACGGAGGAAAGAUGAUGAGUGCGUACGGUGGGGCGGGUAGGAAACACAUCGGUAAAAAUGGAAUUGGUUUUUUUGUAGAAACAUUUUCUAACUUGUGGUUUUUAUGGGUCUCCACCUUAUCCUCUCUCAAUUGCAUGAUAGGUGGGUCCGACGUGAGCGGUAAGGUGGUUCUGGUUUGGGUGAGAAAGGUUUUCAAUUCUUAUGGAAAAAGGCUUCACGGAGGCUCAAACACAAUGAGGUUUGAGCAGUCCUUGCAAUUCAAUUCCAAAGAAAUGAACAUAUGUUUACAUCGGGGUAGGGCUCUCCUUUUAUAGUGUCUCGGAGGACAUUUUGCAUUCCGCAAUUACCCUCACUCACCCACUACAAUCCUACAAUAUGCUUUACAUGGAGCUAACUUGUAUAACUUGGUCUCCUCCUUGGAUCACGCUUCUCACGCCUUUAGUCAGCUCCAUGAUUCACGCUCUCACAUGGUUCCACAAAUCACGCCUUCACAUUUCCAACGCCUCCACGCUUCCUGACCUCGUGACCGAAGCCAUCUUAGCUUCGGGAGUCAUGAUCGCCAUAGAUUCGCACCUAAGAGACGCUAGCCUCACGCCCUGCUCCUUGACCUGAUUCAAUGAUCCUGCAUGAGACACUAAAUAACUCGGCACUCAAGGUUAGCUUCGACUGCUCGAGUUCAAGCUUGGUUAGUGUCUGGCGAUCUGCGAUUGCCUCCAGGCUUCGAGGUAAGAUUCAGGAUAGCGAGGCUAUGAUUACUUUCCACGCCAGAUUAACCACCCAGGGUUAGGGGCCCUCACCCGAGGUUAAUUUUUUUGAGGGGCUAAGCUGUUGACGCUAAAUGUAAUGACCUCGAGGGUGACCAUCUUUUUGGGCGAUCCCCAACAGUAGCCCCUCAUGGGCAAGGCUCGACACUGACUACCGAACCCACGACUUAAGGAUCUGCUCCCAGAAAACGUCACUCUCGAGCAUCGGUUAGAAAUGAGCCAACAAUUACCUUUUUGUUCUUACGUGUCGAUUUCCUAUUGGGUGACCCUUCGUAUCUAGCUCGUGGUUACAGGUGCCAUUUACGCCUUUUACCAUGCCUAUAAAAGAGGGGGGUGGGGUCGCUUUCGUUUUUACCCUCGUGGCUGAAACACUUGCGCUCCUGCUUUUGCUCGCUGCUUCCGUGCUUUAAGAUUCAUGCAUUAUAUGUUGUUGUCCUUGGUCUCGAGGAUCUCGAAGGUAACAAUGUUACUUGUGUCUCUCUGAUAGUGUGAGAUUUUCCCUUGGUUUUCAUUUUGGAGAUGAUGUUUCGAUGCCUUGCAGCUGGCUCGUAUUAUGCAAACCGCUAGGCCCAUGACAUCAGAAGAGUUCACUAAACAAGCUGGGCUUCGCAACAAGGCUGCAGAGGACAAGGAUUUGUACAAGGCCGACGAUAAGCAAGGAAUCAAGAGGAUUGAGCUUUCUUAUGCCCAGAAGAAUAGGUGGGAAGACAAUUGGCUAAGCUACUAGUUCUAUAUCAAGAUUGACACGGCCAAUGCGUCUGGUAUCAACCAACCUUUCUAUCCUUCUAUGCACCCCUGGGCCCUAUGGACAUUGCUACUACCCCUGCAUUUACAAGGUCCAAGGCAGUCAAGGAUUGCAAGGGCGCUUUCCUCCCGGACUCGAAGUCGAUCCCCGGCUGGAUCUUGUUGAAGAGUUUUUGGCAGCCAACAUUUGGCCCCUUUCUGAUGGGUGGAGUCCAUUGGAGAUUGUGCCAAAACAGGUUCCGUGGAGUACUAGCCCGCUCCUCUACCCUUUCUUUGGAGUGGAGCUGCCUGUGGAUGCCAACCCGGUCUUUUUGCAGAGGAUGUUGAGAGGCAUGCUGUUGAUAUAAUUGGCCCGAUUACUGAGACUGAGCUGACAUUAGCUCAAAAGAUCAUUCCACACGAGCUUCGGGUCAACCGUGUGUUUGAGGAACUUGGGGUCGAUGUUAAGCCUCAUCCCAAACCUCGCAAGUCCUUGAAAUGGGCACGAGAGGCUGGCGUGACAGGCUCGGAAUAGGUUGGCGGCAGUGGCAGGUGGAAAAAGAUGAAGGCUGAGAGCACCGCUCCUAAGGCCGCGGCAGUGACUUCAAAGAAGGAUGACAGCCAAUCGAGGGUCGUGCUCGAAGUGCGAAAGCAAAAUUAAAGACCUCGAGCCUCAAAGCUCAGAAGAAGAAAAAAUUGGACAAAGUUCCUCAAGCGAGGCUGCAAAAUCCUCCGCGCCCCUGUCUCUAAAGCCGUCCGAGUUGCGACCAAGUCCGACCUCGAGGCUGCCGGCGCGCUGGCCGGUAUGAAAGAAAAGAAGUCUACGAGGAAGUCUCAUGUCGGCAAAGCCUUUGAUGAUGAUGAUGAUAUUGUUUUGGAUGUGGACUUGUCUAUGUUCCCUAUAUUGGUCCCCGAGGCUAGUGUUCCUUCAAAGGAGACUGAGACAAAGGUUACUGCACCCCCUCUACAGCACGAGGCCAAACCUUUGAAGGAGAAGAUCGUGGAUACCAUUGCUAAGGAGAUUAAGGCGUCUACUUCGAAGGUGACAAAGCCAGGUAAACAUGUCGUUGUACAUUUGCCUAGGAUGAGAUUUUUUGAUUGUGGUGAUACGUCAUUUAGAUUUCUGAUGGAGCUGGAAAAAACCACUGGUGCACCUGGGGAGAUAUACAGGCAACCUCCUCUAAUAUUUGGGGUAAAACCUUAUUCUGCAGAUUCUGAACUGUCACCCUCUCUAGAACGUUACAACGAGGCCUACGGCACCAACCUUAGACAGGAGCUCAUUGCUGUUCAUGUGCCGGGUUUAGGUGAGGAUGAUAAUCGCUACAACCUACCCUUGUUGUGGGGAGCUAAGGAUGGGAUGCGUGGUGUAGAUAGAGCAGCCAAGGAGGUUUUCAAGAUGUCUGAGGGGGUUGUCGGUGAGGUUGGUGGGCAGGGAGAAAGGGAGGAAGGCGAGGUUAUCCCUACUCGAGGUCUUGGGAAAUCCACUGCGCCUUUUGAGGUUGAUUAUGAGGAAAAGUCUUUUAAUCCUGAGAGUAAGCGCUUGCUCCUUAGUUUGUUUUGUCUGUACUUAAUUUCUACUUUGCUAUGCUUUUACGUGCCUUUCUUUUGACAGAGUAUGAAAAAUCAGUUAGGCGUUUCGAGCAAAAGGACUUAGCUAGGAUAUCAGCUACCAUCGGAUACAAGGUAUUUUGUUCGACGCUUGCUAUUUGUUUCUUAUCUCUCUUUUUUUACGAGGCUUUUCAUUUUGGUGUUUCAAUUUUGCAGUCCAUCAUCCUUGGGAAGAUGCUAUGGAGAAGGCUGCGGCUAAGGAAAAGAGCAUGCUAGCCGAGAGCACGAAGAUGAUGCAGCUAGAGGCUAGAGUUGCAAAGCUUGAGGAGGAAAGCAAGGUUUUAUAUGCCUUGAAGAACGAGCUCACCGAUUCUAACUCUGACCUUAAAAAGAACAACGUGCUGCUAACAAAUACCUACAGCGAGCUCGUGCAGCAAGUUGAGAAGCUGGAGAAAGACCCGAAGACAAUCUUGGUGUUUUGGAGAAACUCCGAAGCGCCACAGAAAAAGACGCACAGACUAUCACAGAGCAGGAAAAAAUGAUUCAUACUCUUGGUCAGGAUCUCAAAGAGCAAAAGACCUUUGUUGUGGAAGCAGAGCGGGCUCUCAAGGAAAAGUUCGCUGAGAUCUAUGAGGGGUACAAAACUGCUCUUGCAAAGUUUGGCGCAGAGCCUCUUUUGUUUCUGGGUGAUGAAAGUGUAAAAGAAAUAUUUGAUUGGAUGGAAGAGAAGUUCAAAGGCCUGCCCGAGGUUAUUACUGGCAGCAACAACUUUGCUGCUUCCUUCUGCCUUGAUAGCACAUUUCAACUCCUUGAAAAGAACAGCAGCUCUCAUUUCUUAACACUCGCGGCUCGCACCUAUAUGUUCCCCUCGGCCUCGGAGCUUGACGAAGAGGAGAAAUCUAAAAAUUUGAGAGCCACGAAGAUAAAUUUCUUCAAAUAGCUUUGGGCUACCUCCGGGCGAGAGUACACAAGGCUGGUUGCUCAAGAGCGGCUUGCACAGGUUAGGGUUCACAUAACUUUUUAUUUCAUAAGGUUUGCAUUUUUUCUGUUGAUUUCCUGAUGUUGUUCCUCUUGUGUUCGUAGGCCAAGGCAUAGGAAGCAAAAGGCGAAGGUGGGAGCGAGAACGAUGAUGCUGAUCAAGGAGGGCAGUGAUUAUCGAAGCUAGUUAGAGAUUUGUUUUGUGGUUUGGGAUGUUUUGAUAAACUUGAUACUUAGUUGGCUGCUUUUGCGGGCUAGAUUGUAAAUAUUUGUUGCUCAGCCGGAACUUACAUGCUCGAAGCUGGUUACUUUUGGUGUUUGUACCUUCACGGAUUUCUUUUUGUCUUAACGUUUUUAUGUUUGAGUUAUUCUACUCAAAUGGCAACAAAGCUGUAGCUUAAAGAAACGAGCAAUGUUUUUGUUUAAAACGUGACCCCUGCCCUAGUUUCUUUAUGCGUAGGUUUUUGUUGACUUUGCACGCUCGUUGUCUAAGCUUAAACGGAGCUUAAAAACGUCACCCCCUUCUUGGCACGUGGGUCUUACCCGAGGCAAUUCUCUCAUGGAAAGAGGAUGACAACGAUUUUUGUUUGCCAAAAAAUGUCACCCCCGCCCUUUUAUCCUUUUUCCAAAAAAACGUCCAACCUCGCCCUUUUCUUUUGCAUGAACGAGGUUAAGUGAGUAUUGACAAACCACAAGAUAAGUCAAUACAAAACUUGUUUUCGAGUUAUGUUGACUUAAAAAAACAGUUUGGUUGAAAUCGCAACCCUUAGGAUGUGUUUGGUUGGGCUGUGGCUUUUCAAAAAGCUGCUGUGAGCUGUGGGCUGUAGAAAAGCAGCUGUGAGAAAGCAGCUGUGGGAAAAGUAUAAGGCCAUUUGGUUUGAGCAGAUGUGGCUUUUGAAUAAAUUUUUGAGUGGACCCUGCAUGUCAUCCACAGUCCACCCCACUCAACUCUCUCCCUCUCUCACUGACGAGCGGGUCUAACCCUUCUUCUUCCUCCCGCUGGCUAGUCCACCCCACAGCACCCCGAGUAGCACCAGGGCCGCAACGGCAUCCACGACGAUGCAGUCCACAAUCAGGGUGAGGUCCAUGACGGCGAUGGCCUGCGCCUCGCCUCCUCCACCUCGCACCACGUGGCGGGCACCGUAGCACCACCGGCAUCUAGGAGGAGGUGGCACCCCGCGGGCACGCAUGCGUCGACAUAGAGGUUGAGGCCGGUCUGUGGCGCCAAGAGCCCACCCACGGCGCCCGCGCAGGCAAGCCGCACCUCGGUGAUGAAGUAGGCCGCCGCCGCCAUGGUGCCCUUUGGCGCGGAGGCAGAGAGUGAUGAGGAGAGGGAUGCCAUGGCAGCGGCGAGGAGGAGGAGACGCGCGAUGACAAGUGUGUGCUGCUGGAGGUCGGAGGCCGGGAGCGAGACGGCAAGGAGGCCUGCGGCACGGGCGAGGAGGUGGAAUGACAGGGAGAGGAGGAGCGAGAGGUGGGGCGGGAGGAAUGGGAGUGGGAGGAAUGGGAGCAGCGGUGGGAGGAGCAGCAGCGGGAGGAGUGUCGUGGAGGCCAGUGGGAGGAAGGCGAACAGGAGCACGAGGAGUAGCGGGAGGAGGCAGAGGAGCGGGUGGCGAAGCAGGUGGAGGAGGCGGUGGUGGAGGGAGGACGGGGAGAGGUAGGAGACGACGGCAAUGAGGAGGUGGGACUGGGAGGUCGCGAGGAGGGAGAAUAUAAGCGCAAGGUGGCACGCGAGCAGCAGCGCCUCCGCCAUUGGGGUUGGGCAGCGCGGUCGGGGAAGUCUUGAGGAGGAGGAGCACCAGGCGGCGGGCAGCGGGCCGCUGAGGUGAUGGUCGGGUGGGGGGGACUGGUGCGGGUGAUGGGGAGUGGACGGGAAUAGAAGGGGAAAAUGAACCGUUAUCCUCCAUAACAAGCAGUAGGUGGGUAAUUUUUGGCCCAAAAGCAGCUAAAAGCAGGGGGGAGGUGCUUUUGAUUUUGUGCUAGAGCAAAAACAGGUUUUGGGCAAAAGCACGUAUAGCUUUUAGGCUCUUUGGUUGGCUUUUGGUUUUUGCAAAAGCAAAAGUAGGUUGGAAAGUCUAACCAAAGGCACCCUUAGUUGUUUCAACCAUGAAAUUUUGCGAGGUUGAGAAAAUAGGGAAAUAGGGUGCCUUUUUUGAAAAAACGUCAGUCUUUGUAUUCUAUUGUGAGAGCUUUGGCUGAGGCUAGGGCCUUCGUGCGAAAGGACAAAAUGAAUUUUUGACUCUGAAAAACGUCACCCCCCUUGUCCUUUUGCGCAAAGGGGGUUUAGACUCAGCAUGGCUUAUUCCGAGUGUUAUCGCUGCCUUUGAUCGCUUGCUGCAGCCUUUCUAUUCUCUGAGUUGCAAGUUCAAGGCCAAUCACUGUGGUGUUUGAGUGAGAAAAUACGUUUCAACCGGUACUAAAGGGACACCUCUAGUACCGAUUGCGGUUCCGGUACUAAGGGGGGUUACUGACCAAUACUACACGUCAUUUUUCCAAUAGUGUAUAAACUUGGCCGGGAAGAUUUCCUUCAUCACCGCUAGCUCUUGUACUAGACCGUCAGUGCUGAUGGUCCUCUUCACAGCCCAUGGGACAGCAACCGGCGGUGAUGAACUCGCAUCACUAUCCGUCCAUGGUCCGGCUAUGAUAGGCAACCUCAUCACCACCGGCAUUUAUGUGCCAGGCCCCCAAACCACCCGUGAUGCAGGGUUUUGGGGUCAGCGGUGAAGGCCUGUUGUGUAGUAGUGUGCAUACAAUGAUUCAAAAUAAACCUAAUCUUUUCCCUCUAUAUCUUUUUUUCUUUUAUCGUACUUUUCUAGGCCUCACAUUGUAGUUUUUCUUUCAAUUUCACAGUGACUGAGGUGUCAGGUGGCUUGCCGACGCUGAAUGAAACAACCUGAGGUGGGCUGGCCAUGACGGGUACCUAAUAAAGGGAGUGUCUGUCGCACAAGCGUUGGAAGAGCAUCUCCAGUAGUUCCCAGUAACAAUGAAAUGGAUAUUGGGGUAACCCCAUGCACUAAUUAUUGAGAAACAUUUAUUAAGAGAUUGAUGGAGAUGCUCUAAGGUGAGCUCAUACGAGAUACAUGCAUGCUAGUGCUCAUAUGAUGGUAUGUUUCUGUGUCAUCUAAUACCAACACAUGUAUUCCUUUCUCCAUCACAAUCCUCCUUCGCAUAAGGUGUUCAGUGCUGUUGUGAAUUAAGCAUAGCUUAGCUUGUAUGUUUCCUUUUGGAACUCACCCAUCAAGGUUUGAGUUAUUGACUUGGCACCGGUGCUCGUAUUUUCCUGAUUAAUUCUAGAAUUUAACUGGCACUAUCCUUUCAGUGGUAGACAACGUGCUCGUCGAUAGCGAGGCACUAGAAGUGACUUCGCCAAUCUCGAGGAUCUGUCGAUUCAGUCUCUUGAAGGUGCUUAAAGGUAGGGUUGCAUGUGUACAGACACAGACGCUCACAUAAACUUACAUACAUUCAAGGUAUUAAUACACCCUACCCUUAUCAGCACCUCUAAAAAACUAAGCCAAUAGGUCCUUGAGAUUGACCCUUAUGAGCAACUCUAGAAAACUAAGCCGGCAGAUCAUGGAGAUUGACAAACUCACCAUGGACAGCUCGCCAUCGAUGAUCAUGUCGCCUACCACUGAAAAAAUAACGUCAGUUAAAUCCUAGAAUAAAUCUAGAAAAAUAGAAGCGCCAGUGUCGAGUCAAUGACUCGAACCCUGGUGGGCUAUUUACCAGCUGAGCUAAUACUGAGUUCUCUACCCUGGUGGUUUUUGGGAGAUUUGCUCCCUACCUACCAGGACUAAUACUGAGUUCUCUACGCGGCCAGAUUUCCACCACCAAAAAUCUCCAGAAAUCUAAUAACUGCAGCCUUGUUAAAUUUAAUUAGCAUUCUUAUUCGUGAUAUUCUGAAUAUACACGCACACAUGACACAUAUCACACAUGGUUUCCACUCCCUUUCUUGGCGCAAUGGCCGUCUCUAGCCACAAAUUCAACAGUACGAUGCAAGUCUUUUGACAACUCUCCUGAGCUUAUAAAUGGUUGUAGUACUAAAUUGCUAAAUGCCACAUGUGGAAUUGAAUCUUGGCACAAACUUUAAUCGUGGGAAACUCGCACGGUAUGAGUUUGGCACAAGUUGGGAUUCCCUGCACCAAGUAACUGCAGGGCUAAAAGUAGAGUCCCAAGUAUGUGUUUUGUCCUUUGCAAACGUUGGUUGUUGGCAUUACUAAAAAAUUAGCUUUCUAUAUAUACUCUAUUCGUCUCACAAAAAACACAAUUGUAUGAUUCAAAUUUGUCCAUAAGGAAUGUAAUUGCAGCUUCUAACCAUUUCUUUUAAACUUCUCAUUUUUUGGAGCAGUGAUGUCAUAGGGUGACCCCCGCUACUGAAAAUGACCAAGAUCUGGCUCUACAAAUGCUUCUUCAGACGUGGGACAUCCAGAAAGCUACGGUAAGCCCACCCCUUUUGUAGAAGAGGGUGACCUUUUGGACCACCCAUAGAAAUAAAUCGGGACGCGCCUACAAAUCCUUUCUGGAGUAGUGAGAGAAAGAGAUUGUGGUUGAAACAACAAUCUUUUCAUGAAAUAACCGCCUCAUAAGUAAAAUUUUAGGACAACAAGACGACUAGUCCAUAUUUGUACGAGUUGUGGUUACUCUGCAACUCAUAAUAUAUUUUUUCUAUGCACAAAGUAAAAGAAUAGAAAUAUAUAAUUACAUCGAGACUACUUAAAAAUACAACACAAUGUAAAGGUUAUUUGUUAACUUGCCUCAAGAUUAUACGUUCUCUAUUAGGUAACACCAAUAUAUAUACUGAUUCUAAAGAUUCAAUUUAUCAUUAGCUAGACACAUGGCGAUCAUGUGCGUUUAAAUCUAUAGUGUGACUUGGAGAAAAAAAAAGUAAUCUUCAUCCGUAUGGCCGUACAGUGACUCUCGCUCUUGACAGGUAUUAGUGUAAGUAGCAUAUAUAAAGAACCCUCAUGCACGCUUUGGAUCCCCAUCCCUGCUAGCAUAUAUUCAUUCAUAAACUCACGGGUAUUCUCUUAUGGUCAUGGUGCUCCCAAUGUUGCUGGUUUGUAUGGUAGUGACGGUAGUGAUCACCGUUCAUGUCAUCUGUGCCCUAGAUGAACACAAGCGAAAGAGAUUUUCCGGUGCAUCUCUUCCACUGCCCCCUGGCCCGGUCGCUCUCCCCAUCGUCGGGAAUGCCUUCAGCUUCAUCGGGCCGUUCGGCCACAACCCACACCGCAUACUCACGAGCCUCGCCAAAACCUAUGGGUCCAUAGUGUCCUUUCGGCCAGGCAUGGCAGGCAAUUUCGUGGUAGUGUCAUCCCCUGAAGCAGCACGUGAAGCUCUCAUCAACAACGAUGCCGCGCUCGCUGCCCGGUUCGUGCCGGACAAUACACGCGCCUUAGGCCAUUGCUCGGAGUCAAUGUUCUUCCUCCCAACCUAUAGCCAUUUGUGGAAGCAGCACCGCAUCACAUUGGGUACCAGCCUCUCAAGUGCCCGGGGCCUUGACACAACCCGCCCCAUUCGGGAUCGCCAUGCCUGUCGGCUCAGCGAGCACUUAAGGUUCUGCUCUGGCAUGCCAAUCAAAAUUGGAGAGGCCGUCCAAGGCACAGUGCUCGAUGUUAUGUCCAACAUCCUCUUCACCAAGGACGUGACGCACUUGCGCGUGAAGGGGGGCCAAUUGUUCAAGGACCUCCUGGUGGAGGUCCUCGAGGACUGGACUAAGCCCAACGUUUCUGACGCUUUUCCCUUCUUCGCGUCACUUGACCUCCUUGGCUCACGCCGCCGAAUCUCCAGAGGUUUGGCUAAACUAUACAAGUUCUUUGAUGAAGAGUUCGUCGAACGUCGGUUAGGCAGCAGUGAGAACCACCACGAUUUGUUGGACUUCAUCCUCUCGCAGCAUGCCAAGUCGAAGCUCACGCGUUCAGAGAUCACCAAGUUCUUCACGGUCGGCUAUACAUAUGAUCUCUGAACAUAAAUAUAAUUGCUGUCUUUCUGCUUUCUGUACAUUUUCUUGGGUAACUGAUAUACUAAUUAACUUACAUUUUUUUAUAUGCAUUUCUGUUCUUAACCUAUCAAUAGGAUAUCUUUCUUGCCGCGAGCAACACAAGUAGGAUCAUCGUGGAAUGGGCAAUGGCACUCCUACUUAAGCAUCCAGAAAAGAUGAAGAAGCUGCGUGCUGAGCUUGCGGCGAGCCUUGGGACCAAGGAGUUUGUCCAGGAGAGCGACUUGGACAAGCUCCCCUACAUCCAUGCUGUGGUGAAGGAGAUACUACGACUGCAACCAUCAGCACCGCUGCUACCACGAAUGGUGUCCACGGACGGCAUGUCACUUGGCGGAUUCUCCGUACCAAUUGGUACCAACAUUCUGAUUAACUUAUGGGCCAUUGGGACAGACCCAACGGUGUGGCCUCAGGCGGGAGAGUUUGUGCCUGAAAGAUUUCUGGGCAGCCCAUCACUGGACUUCCGGGGAUCAGAAGACUUCACAUAUAGGCCUUUUGGGGCAGGGCGAAGGAUGUGCCCAGGACUGGACUUCGCUGCGCAGUUGAUUCCACUUUUGCUAGCCUCGAUGUUGCACAAGAUCGACUGGAGCCUACCUGAUGGGAUCGUGCCUGAGGAUGUGGACCUCAGGGAUCGCUACAGCAUGGUUCUGGAGCUCGCUAAGCCCCUCAUUGCGGUGCCAGUGUCCACGGUGUGACAUGCUCCGCCGUGGAUCAUGACCUGAGUUUGCUCUCAAGUGGUUUUAGAUAAAUGUCAGAACGUGUGUUUAAAAUAAAUGUCAAGAACUCAGCUAUGGCAAUCAUGACCUGAGUUUGCUCUCAGAUUGAACCAAGUUGCACGCAGCUCUACUCCCAUGUGUACCCUUGUCUUACUAUUACUAAUUGGAGGCUCUUUCGAUGCCUCCACGUGAAGCCACCUAGGAUUUCUAGGUGGACACUCUAGAAAAAAAGAGAAAUUCUCACAAAAAAGCAAAACAUCCGACCAGUAGAUUCAAAUCAUCAUAGCCAUUAGAUCUAUUAUAUUUUCUAAAAAAUUACCCACCUAUGCCAUUAUGAAAAUAGCCUAAAGUAACCCCCUAAUCUUCAUCAAAAUUACCCAAUUAUGCCAUUAUAAACAAUAUUUAAAAUAACCCCCUAAUUUACAACUAAAUUGCCCAUCACUAUUACUUAAAAAACUUAAAGUAACCCAUUAAAUUUGUAUCUAUAUUACCCACACAUACCAUUAUUAUAAAUAACAUGAUAACACUAUGUUUGAAUCAAAUAACCUUAAUUAAAAAUAUACAACAAUAUAUCAUUCUAAAUCGUUUAUAUCUUGCACUAUUGGUAUACGAUAUAAUAAUUAAGGUCUACACGCAUGAUGUGUGUCACACUGUCACCAUUUAUAAAGAUAUAGAGGAAGUGACGAGAAUAUAGAUUUCUAUGUUAAAAUUGUAUCUCAAACUUAGGGUUCAUUAAAUAAAUUCAAGCGCAUAACUGUGAUGCAAAGUGAAAAGUUAAAGAUUAUAAAUGUGGAUGAAAAUAUUAUAGAGUAAUUACUAACUAAAAUCUAUCACAAUUAGAUGGAGAUAAUAAGUAUAUAUCUAUAUAAGUAUUGUGUCCGAAUAUUUAACAAACGAGAGGUAGUUUAUGGUAAUAUUUUUGUAGCAAUGUAGUCUCAUUUUUUUCCAUUAAGACUCCGUUUAGUUCCCACGAGAUAAGCUAGAAAAAAGAGACAAAUUCUCAUAAAAAUCAAAAACAUCAAACACCAAUCCUAUAAACUCUAAUAACCAUAGCUAUUGAUCUAUUAUAUUUUCUAAAACGUUACCCACCACUAUCAUUGUGAAAAUAUUUAAAAAUAAGCUCUAAACAUAUAUCUACCGAGAUAAGCUAUUAUAAAAAACAAUCUAAAGUAACACCAUAAUCUUUAUCCAAUUUAAUAAUACAUAUCAUUAUAAAACAUAACUUAAAAUGUCAUUCUAAAUUUUAUCCAUGUUACCCAUGUAUGUUGUUAUUAAAAAUAGCCUAAAGUAAACACCUAAGUCUUAAUCUAAUUAUUUUCAUGUGCAUCAUACAUAAAUGUCAAAAACUAAACUAAUAUAUGAUUCUAAAUUGCCUAUUUAUGUCAUUGUUAAUAUAAAAAUACUAAGUUAAAAUAUAUACACAUGAUGAGUGUCACCAUUUAGACCAUUUAUACAUGUAUGUGAGGAAUCGAUGAAAAAUAUUGAUUUGUAUGCUAAAUAUAAUGUAUGGAGGAUUGGAGGUGCGAUACGAAAUGAAAAAAGUAUGAAUAUGAGUGAAAAAGUGCAUAGAGUAAUUAUUAAUUAAAAAUCAAUCACAACUGGACAAAGAUAGGUACAUAUCUAUAUAAGUAUUAUGUUGACAUAUUGAAAAAAAUAAGAAAGUAGUAGAUAAUUAAUUUUGAUUAUUAGCUAGGAGUUUAAUUUCUAAAUAAUUUUCAAAUACAAUAGCUUCUAAAAAUAUUAGCCCGUGCGAGAGCACGGGUUGAUGGACUAGUUUUACGAACGGAACAGUAUAUCUUACCGUCACCGGAUUGGAGUCCCUUUCACGUUAAUCCUUUUCUAGAAAAAAGAUACCCUGUUGAAACAUAUAAGAUAAUGUUUUUGUUUCAUGAUAAUUGAAAUUAAGGAAAGUCGCAGCUAUCUUUUCGCAGCUUACAUGCUGUCACUGUCCUCGUCAUCCUCAGCACUGGCAGAGCGUCGUUGGGGCCAUAGAGGACCAUGGCCCCCCUUGCGUGGUAAAAAAACUCAGAAGAGAAAAGUGCAAAGUGCCGGUCCAAGUGCAGUCCGUGGCUUCUUGACACGUAAUUCAACCCACAAGCAAGAAAGUCCACGAGGCAUUAACCACAAAGGCACAAACCAAUGGUGAAAACAAUAGAAAAAAAACAACGAGCCAAUUCCAGCAACUAGCAUACGAGACAACGACCUCAGUGGUCACCCCUUCGCAAGACGGAUGCUGCGACCGGCGAGCUAGAUCCGCCGCCGAUGCCUGGGGUCCUCCGCUUCCUUCGCAGUUGACUCGUUGAGGUCGAGUCAUCGUCGGCCAUCGCCACUCGCCAGGGCUGGCGCCUGGCGGCCUGGCUAGAACUUUCAUCCUGAAGGUAUGGUUGCUUUUCUUCCUUCUUUUGUUUAUCUUCUAAGUUCUUAACACAUUAGAUCCGUAGAGCAUGCAGGCUACUAUUUCCUAAUUAGCUGGUAAUUUGUUGUCAAUUGAGAUCUAUUGUUAUUUCUUUUGAGAAAAUUGAGAUGUUUCGCUAGUUUAUUUGGCCCUAAUCCCCAAAUUGCACAGUUCAUACGAUUUGGUGGUUUUAUAUCUAAAUACAAUUCUGCAAUUUGGUAGGUACAAAUGGGUAAAGAGAAGCCUAUUGAUUCAUUUUUCAAAAGCAAAAGAGAUGAACCAAUUGUGGACUGUCGAGCAACCUCUGGUUCAAGCCAACCAAUUUCCCCCCUACAAUUUGCUUCACGCUCCGCCACUGAUCCUCGAUCCUCGGUGAGAAUUUUUAACCUUUUUGAAAAAGUCGGCGAUUGCAAAUAUCCACCUGCAUUUUUUCUUCUAAACCUUUUUGAACUUGUUUGUGAUUGCAGUCAGAUCCUAUUCCAAGGAGACGUACCUGCAUAACAGAAGCUAUCUUUGCUGCUAGACAGAGAACAGCGAGCUCACCCAUAACUAUUGAAUCCUAUUCCAAGGACUUGCAGGCGACAUACGUAUACAGAUGAUUUGAAGUCCAAAACCACCUCCUAAACUUGCUGUUCGAAUAUUAUUACCUUGCCCGUCUAGUAAAACAGAUGCAUCUGCAUAGGCAAAGUUGGACCGCAAAACUGGACAGCUCUCUGUGGUGUUGUUUAGCAUGUUUUCUUCCCAGCUCUGACGCUGUUUCUUGAAAUUAAAUAGAUUCUGAAAUAUUGCGGCGAAAUAUGUCCUUUUCUAAGUGGGCCUAGACCCAAAAAUUUGCGAGCUCCGCGGCUCCGCCCAUGGUGCAGCCCACCCCACUACGCGCCACCGUCCACCCCUGCGGUCGUGGCCACUUGCUCGCCUCGUCGCUCUUGCGCGUCACAGUAGCAGCAGUCUGUUGGGAUCCGCCAAAUGGCCCGUCACCCUCAACCGUGCCUCAGUCUCAACUCGCUCAGCUAGCGUUCCAAAACCUCUAGCUUCGGUCAAAGUCACUGCAACGUGCUAGCUUCGGAGCCGAAGCUUCGUACUAACCCGGUGGACGAAGCUUCCCCCGUUUAACUUUACUUCGUCUGGCUGUGUGCAUGAUGGAAGGCGAAUCUCCUCGCUUUGGCAACCAAUUGGCUACGUGAAAAGUCGACUGCGUCUAAGCUUCGGCGACGAAGUCAACCUACCUGAGGACGUGAACGACAACGGGAGUGUGAUUCGCGGGACCGUGUGAGAGCGCAAAUUGCGGGAUUGUCAGACAGCACUGAAAGCGUAAUACCCUAAUGACCGUUUUGUAAAGUAUAUUUCGGGAAUACAGUGGUUGAGUUGCCUCGGCCACCUCCUUUUCCAUUGUUACCGCCUCUUUGGCUAUUGCUGGAGCUGGUAUUGCUGUGAUGGUUCUGGUUUUGGUGUUGGUUGUUAUGAUAUUGGUUUUGGUUUUGGUAGUUUUGGGAGCAUUCAAUUGCCAUGACCUGGUUCAUUUGGUGAUUGUUGGUAUACGGCGAAGCUUAUUCGGAUUGUCUUUAGUUAUUUCUUUCCGUCUUUAGUUAUUUCUUUCCGCCACUCUUCUUCUGUGAGGCGACACGCUGCCUGCAAGCUAUGCGAGCCCGUCAGACACUCUGACUGCCUGUCGCUACGCUCCACCUCCCCACCACGCUGCAAGCCGACGACCGCAAGCUGCGUGCCGCUCGGCCACAGCGCGGCCACUGAUGCCGUGCGUUUGAGCCGCUACACAGCCCGUACCAUCUCCGACUAUAAAAGGCAGCGUCCAGCGCCUCUCCGCAACCGAACUUGCCGAGCCGCCAGCUCCGCUGCUCAACUUCUUGCAAUCCUGCCCCCAAUUUAUUUAGGAGUGAUCGAGGAAUUGAGCGAGUUUGGAGGCUAGUGGUUGAUACGUUUUUUUGCAUCGAAUUGACGUCGAUUUAGUUUUUUUUGAACUGCCAUUUCAAUUUUUUUUUCUCUAGUUGCAUGUGAAACACAUCUAUUGCCGCUAAUCAAUAUGUUGACGUUUUUUUUGGCCAACACACGAACGCACGCGAUCGUGUGGCGCGUGGAUGGGCUUACUGCAGCACCUCGACGCAGGCCGGUCUGACCGGUUACAGUCUGACUGGUUGUUAGGCCACUUAGAGCACCUUCAAACGUCGUCGAGAUGAAGGAAGAACAACAAGUAGUAGGUUAGAAAAGAUAGCACAAAAGAAUAAAGGAAAAGACAAUAAUAGUAGAUUGGUUUUCGUCGAUUGGGUUGGAUGCCCUCAAUCGGCCGAAUCCCUUUAUAUUUAUAGAAAGGGAAGGUCUUACCUACGAGGGAGUCAAAACCCUAAUACAAAUCGUGCUCAAUUAAAACUCCUACUCGGAUUACACAGAGAUAGACAGGUUAGACCAGCCUGGGCAACCAGUCUACCCGAGUGCAUAUCUUGCGAAUGUCGUAUCUCCCUCAUCCGAACUCGAAGUCGGACGUUCUAUAUAUGAAUCUUGGUCUACUCGACAAAAUCUACGCAAUGAUAGUCCAAUCUUCAUUUGGAGCAAUUUGAUCCAACCAGUCUAACCAGUGGGGUCAGCCAGUCUGACCUCUCUGCACGGGGUGCUGAUCUUUUUGAGGGCAUAACUCUCGCGUUUGAAAUCCAAAUUGGACGUUCCAUAUAUGUAUUUUGAUCAUCUCGACGAGAGCUACGCCACGGUGAAGUCCAAUUUACUUUUUGAGAACUUUUUCAAACUGGUCUGACCGGUUGGAAGACCGGUCUGACCAGACCUACCCAGACCUGCCACUUUCUAGCGUCAACACGAGUUUUCCACUAGUGACAACACAACAACUGUAUUACCCACGGCAUGAAAAUAACACAUAACAAGAAGCUAUGUACCACUAAGCAACACAAACAGUACUCUUGCAAAGGGGGCGAAACACCAAAGGAAAUGGCGAUGAAAUUGAAACCCCACCAACAGAGCUUUGCUUGAGCACGUACAGCUCUUUAUUACAGAAACAGUAGGAUACGAUCGAUGUGCCAUCAAGCAUAAAGCAGCAACACUUAUUUCUUUUUUUCAAAGCAAGCAGGAACAGAACUGAUCAUCAAAGAAGUCGCCGGGAUUCAUUCAUUCAGAUGGCCGCCGCGGUCGGUGUGCAGCGGCGCUUGCAGAAGUUAGUGAGGAUGUCGACGCACCGGUAGACAGGCGGCUCGGUGGUGCUGGUGUACUUGACGCAGUUCAUGCACGCUGGGUGGCAACCCUGGUACGAGAUGUCCAGGCAAUUGCAAUCUGGUGGAUUCUUCCUGUUGCAGAAGCCGCAUUGGUUGCAGCACGGCCAGGAGCUCGCGUUCGCGGCGGCGUCGGCGACCGCCGCCGCUCCUCCCUCCUCCCCACUCCCUGCGGCCACCAAAGAUUAGUCAACGCAUCCAGUUGAGUUGAGUUGAGUGUCAAACUGUUAAUUUCUCACCUUUGCUGAUGAGUGGCAGAGCUGCGAGGACGGCGAGGACAGCCAGUGUGACGAGCAACACCUGAGGUCUCAUGCUUGUUUCUCUUGGUAUGUAGGAACAGGGUGUUGCCAAGUUUGUUGUGGUUGGACUUCCUUCCUACUGAUGGGUGAUGGUUAUCUGUAUGAGGCUAGAGGCCUUAUUAUAAGAGGAGGGGGUGCCAUGACAGCUGUGUGCCUGCAAGUUAUUAAGGCUAGCUUGGCACGGCUCUUGCUCUGAACAAUGGCUUUUGCUCUAGAUUCUGUGGUGAAGUAGCUUUUUCUGGAUCUAGCUUGUAUGUUGGAGAAACGUUUGAUAAAACGACUUCUCGUGAUCUUUUAAAAUAGAUGGAAGAGGUCAAAUAUCCAAAAUACCCUUAUUCAUUUCCUUUCUUUUCUCUUUUCUUUCAAUUUCUUUUUCUUCCCCGGUCAUUUUUAUUCCUUUCUCAUUUUUUUCCUUCACCAUUUAUUUUUCUUCCUUUCUUAUUUCCUCUUCCUUCUAUCCUUAUCUUCCUUUCCUCAGCUCCUGCAGAACGCCGCCCCCGCCUCUCAUGACCAUGGCCAUCACCCGCAGCUCUUCCGGCUCGACGUCCCUGCCUCCCCACUCCUCCAACUCGACGCCCUAUCUCCCCUAGCCCACUCCCUCACCUCAGGCCCAAGUGCCCAACAACUUCUUCCUCCUAGCGUGUCCGGCCUUGUGCCUCCGGACCGCUUAGCAGUUUGUGCGGCACGCCUGCACCGUCACUUGUGCAUCCAAUGCGCUCGCCCCAUCCCGCCACCUGCCGGUCAGGUCAGCCCCAGUGUUACUCCGACCGUGACAUUGCACCGUCCACCACCGGUAAGGUCCAGUUAGCACCCGCCAACACAGUGGUUUCAAGAAAUUUCAACCAAUUUAAAUAUUUGAUAAAUGAUUUCAAAGUUGUUUCAAACUUUUACAAAUGAACAUAAAUAUUAUUUAGUGAAUGUAAAAAAUAUAAUUUCAUACAUAACACAGAUAUUUUGACUAGUUAGUUCACAUGUCCCUAUAGGUUGAAACACCUCAUGAGUUAUAGGGUGAUCAUGACUUGGAUAUUCAUUUGGGAAAAACAUACUGUUACAAUAUCUCAAAAUUGUGUUAAUAUUUUUUAAUCCAUGUUGGUUCACUGCUAAAAUGGUUACAUGCAAAAUAUCGUGAAAAAUAUUCCCCCUUAUAUUUGAUGUUUUUGGAGUGUUUACCGAGCUCCUCUCGCUCAAGCUCCAAAUGGAAGAUUGACUAGGAAGAAGAUACCCGCGGUCUUAAAUGGGUACUUGCGUUGCCCGCCAGCACAGAGGCUACUGUGCUGACGAGUACUUGUGUUCGGGUGGCAAUCAAACCCGCCAGCACGCUAAUUUAGCUGUGUGAACACAAAUCAAUGUUUUCUUAGUGUCUUUUUCUGUGGUGAGGCAUGUGAGUACUGCUGGCACGAUCAUCAGCUUGUCCUGGGCUGCUGCUAAGCAUGCACCAUGAGCCAAAGGUUUUCUGGAUGCUCAGCUCAUAAGGAAUUGACUGAAAGUGACUGCUCGUUGUGUGAGCUAGCUGUCUCCACUGGCGGCUUCUGAAUGAUUGGUCCUAUAUACAUGCACCACGCGCAACACAAGGAAAAAAAGUCUGCAACAUGUGCGGCACUGGAUAAUUGAGCUAGCAAUAACAGUGUUGUACGCUUGUCUAUGAGGGAUGCAUGGUGCCUGACAAUCCCAAUGAUCUAUACUGACUACUCCCUCCAUUCCAAAUUAUAAGUCAUUGCAAGAAUCUUAAAGAGUCAAAGCAUCUCAAGUUUGAUCAAAAUUAUAGAGAAAAUUAUAAAGAUUCAUAACAUCAAAUAGGUAUACUAUGAAAAUAUAAUUGAUGAAGAAUCUAAUGAUACUUAGUUGACAUCAUAAAUGUUAUUAUAUUAUCAUAUAAAUUUGGUCAAACUUGAGAUACUUUAACUCUUCAAGAUUCUUGAAAUGACUUAUAAUUUGGGAUGGAGGAAGUACAACAUAGCUUGUCUCCUUGCCUGGUGCGCGUGAACCAUGAGGGCAGGACUAGUGGCCGCGCACUACUCCACGAGGGCAGGACCGGUGGCCAUGCACCGACAGAAUUCACUAUUCGACACUAAAAAAACUAAUCGUGACACUAAACAAAUUUUCCUUCCCGUUUGACAUGAGUUCAAUUUUCAUUCUUUAUAUAACACUCUGUUGGAUUUUCCAUACGAAAACCAUUAAAUGCCCGAUGAAAAGAUGAUUUUGCCCCUGUGAACUCCACCACCCUUCUCCGAUCUACUCACCUUCUUCAUCCGCUCUAUUGUACCUCCCCCACUGCUCCAUCCGUCCUCAUGUCCAGGUGAGAGCUUAGGCACCAGAAGCUCACUACAGUUCUAUUUGUGUGGUUAUUCGCGUCGAGGAUGGUCGAGACGGUGGAGCUCCAAGGGAGGGGGGUCAUGGCGAGCUGACGGCUCGAGUGGCCGAGGAAAGGCUGAUUCCUGGUGGGGUUGAGCUCGUCCUAGCCAACAAGCAGGUCGGGGAGGUCGAGCGCAAGGUGAGGGAGCUUCGGGUGCGAGGGAUUGGGUUUUGGCGGAGGUGGUGAGAAUUUGGCCGUUGACGAGGUUCGGUGGCUGGUGGCAGUCGCGAGACAUGGAAUUCACAGCUCUAAGUAGUUUGUGUUUGGGCUUGAACUAGCCUGGGAGGGAGAUUGGAAUUUGGAGAAUUCUUGUGUGAGACCGCGGGGCGCCAUCUCAGAUACCAGCCUUGUCGCGCCAAAAUCGGCGAGCUUCACGCCGUAGCCUUUGGUGUCGCAGCAGCCGAGGAGCACGUUCUGGCCCUUGACAUUCUUGUGCACCACGCCGGCCUUGCCGUGCAGGUACCACAGCGCGGUGGCCACCCUCCUGAGCCCACACACCGUGCUUACUGUAACACCCAAAAAUUCCAUCAUAAACCCAAUAUAAGCAACAUGUGGUCUAGCUCUUUCUUUUCUAAGAACUAAAUAAAAUACUAAUAUUAAAUUAUGGUCUUUAAUAAAUUAAAGAACACUUGAAAUAACUUUUUAGAGACAAGUGCUUGUUAGGGUUCUUCGUUUGCUUCCAUUUUUGUUUGCGUUUGCAAAAUUUUAAAUCAAAAAUCUUAUCAAUCUUCUUUCUCUCUUUUUAUAAACCUCAGCAGGCCGGCCCACCUUUCCACUUUCUUUCCCUCCCGGCCCACUCUCUUUUUCCUUCUCCAGCCGGCCCACCUCCUCAUUUCUUUGCGCAGGCCCAAGCUGAAUCCGCCGGCCCAUCAGGCAUCUCCCCAGCCCAACUCCCCCUCUCCUCCCACCGAUAGGUGGGGCCCACCUGUUAGGCGCGUCCUCAACCUCCAGCUGCACCGCAACUCCAGCACUGCCAGCAGCGCCUGUUUGCCUCCCAUCGCCACUCCAGCUCCUGCGUCCGUCCACUUGCUGGAACUACAUCGCCUUCCCAUACGCGCGCGCUGCUAGUGCCCUCUCCUCUCCUAACUCCAGUUACAGGCGUCCCAUUUUCCACUCGCGAUUAAUGGCCGCCGGAGCUCGUUUCAUCUACCCGAGCGCCGUCUCAACUCCUCCUCACGGCCUAUAAGUAGCGCCUGCUCCCUCUCCCUGGCUCCAUUCGCCCAUUCUCGCCACCACCACCGCUACCCGCACCAGAGCGCCACCGCAUCUCACAGCACCGCCACCGUCCAAAUUCCUUUGCCACCGGGUCAAACGCCGGCCUUUCUCGCCCGCCACCGCCGCAGGUAUGGCCUCCCUUGCUUUCCCUUCACUCACCUCCGUCGCCUGCGCCACCCGCUUUUCUCACCGCCGCGCCUGAGCUCGCCGGCUAGCCACCGGUCAUGUGCCUAUGCGCGUGCGGGAGAAAGGAAGAAGGACAAUCUAGUCCCUAAACUCUCUGAUAUUCUCUUGCUUGAUUCAUGUGUCUAGUAAAGCUUGCAAAGAAUCCCCUGCAAUUCUUAGAACCUUUCUUUUUAACCUGAGCUCUACAAUCAAUACCGUUUAAGCCCCUAAAACUUGUUUACUACAUAUCUUCAUCAUUUCAACUCUGAUUUCAGCGAUUCUCACCCUCACGCGACCGUCUCUACAUGACUGUUAGUUUUAGUAGUUUGUUUUAAGUCUUUUUUCAUAUUUGGUGUACUAUUUUAUUUAUUAUUUGUUUUGCUUGUGUGAUCGUGUAGACGACGUGUCAUUCAAGGAGACUUAGGAGUAGCAGUCGUUCGAGGAAGAGUUCCCUCAAUUUUUCGAGGAAGGCAACUGGUCAUCUUCCCCCUGCAUAUUUUUUUUUUGUCCCAAUAAUAGCAUGCUAAAUCACUUUACUAUUUUCUUGUAUGUGUAUAAUUUGAUGAGAAUACCUAUUAAGGACUUACCUAGUUUUUAAUCCUGAUCCUUGAACAUUGGUUUUAAUCAUGUUGGGUAGAAUUUCUUAGUUGCUUAAUUUUGGGACGGUAAUAAUUUUGAGAAUAUUAAUCAUGACCUUUAUUAAUGUUAUACCGGCCUGUGUUAAUACAAGAUCACUUGAUUUAAUCGGAACAUGGAGAACCACCCAGAAAAAUAGUGCAACCACAAGUACUAUCAUGGCUCUUAUCUUGGCUAAUUAAUUAGAGACUCUAGUCUGGGGUAAUCUUACCGAAAGGGCAAGAGGGGCGGCGGUUGAUGGGUACAACCCGCUUCUCAAACUGAUCUGCUCUAUGGAAGCUUCGCAGUCUUGAGAGGGGCUUAUGCUCUACCACCAAUCCGAAAAUCUUAGCGGGUUACCACUUACUAGGGGAUUUUUGUAAAGGCCUCAUAGCGUCCCUAUGCAAUCACACCUCAGAAGUGUGGUAUUGUGCUUGGCCAGCAUAACAUGGUUGAGUUUAAAGUUCUUUUGAACUAUUAUGCUACUUGUGGGUAAAGAUGUGCAACAUCUGCAAAGUGUAAAACUGAUAUAUCAACCGUACUCAUGGUUAAGAGCGGCUUGGACCCUCACAUGAUAAUUGAACUUAAAGAUGAGAAUAAAUCAUGGUUCCUUUAUCAUUGGGUUUUUUAAUGCUUUAUGCUUAAGUGGGUUGGUAUAAACUUACACCUAAAAAUUAGGUGCUUGCUAUGCAUUCGGUUUUGUCCAAAAAAUGGGGUGUGAUAGAAGUGGUAUCACAGCUGUGUUGACAGUAGGAUGCAAGCCUAGAUAGAAAUGGUCUAAAUAAGGACUCAUCUUCUUAGCAAGCCAUGUCUGCUCAAAAAUAUCUUAUUUUCCUCAUAAAAAUCUAUUUUAUUUUUGUUCUUUGUCACAAAAACUUGUCUCUUUUUGUCUUUGUUUUGAGUAUCUCUUGUUUCUUUGUCAGAUGGCUAGGACCAAGUUGACCACUCACAAAAGCAUUGGAGGGUACUUGGUUGGCCUUGCCCCUGCUCAGCCAGCUGCUCCGAUUCAGCAUGUGGAGGUGGUUGAAGAAGAUUUGGAGGAGGUCUACAAGCUGCCUCAGCUUCAGACAGACACGCAUUAGCUACCCCUGCAUCGGACGCUCCAGCACCAGCCGAUCUUGCUCCAGCACCUGCUGUCGAUGGUGGAGACCCGGACGACUCCGGGGAUGACAGCGAUAAUGAGGAUAAAGAAGAUAACGACGACGACUACAACAAAAACAACGACCACAGUAGCAACAAUGACCAUGAUAACAAUAGUGGUGACGGAGAUGGAAAUCAAAAUGGUGGACCACAGAAUGUGACACCAGCUUGUGACUACCACACUUCAGAGGAUGAGUCUGGAUACUUUCCCAAACUGCUCUGGGAAGUACUAUAGAGUUUGGGAAGCACUAUGAAGCCCCUCUACGUCACUCACCAUGUCUUCCACUCCACCAUGGACGACUACUAUGCCAGUCAAGUCCACAUCAGGGAACGGUUGGCAACUUCCAGAGUAUUGAGGAUUUGCUCGGCACACGACUCCACUACGGCCCACGCCACCUAUGCCUUAGCCAUCAGCGACACCGCCAGGAGAGCUCUGUCUGCCCUCUGCUUCACCCAUCUCCAGGAGUUGAGAAACACCAUCUACCAUCACCUGCCUCGCCGAGCUAGUGGCACUGAGGACACAACUGUAUAGUUGGGAGAAGCAGGAGAAGAUUGCAUCAACAUCCUUGCUCGAGUCAUCGCUGCUCUCAACACCAACCUCGACGGAGCUACUGCAGAGCUUGCCAAGAUCAAUGAUGAGCUGCAAGAUGCUCACGCUAGGAUUGCGUAGCUUGAGGCACAGCUUGCCAAAUAGGAGCCACCUGAGGAGGCAGCCGAGUUCCACUGCCCCACCGUUUCACCACCCCGCAAGAGGCUUCACUAUGGCGUGUCUGGCUCCAUCACCGGUCUUUUAGACUAGGUUGUCUUUUUAGGUUGCCUUCCAGAGUCUUUUUGUUAGAACCGUUACUGCGAGGACGUGCGAUGUAAUAAUGUUUGCUGGUUGAAAACAUGUUUGAUUUGGACCUUUGUAUUUUCUAGGAUAUUUUGUGGAGUGAUGGCCACAAAUGCAUCAUUACAUAAAAUAAAGUUAAUAGUUUAUUGGGUCUAAAUCUUGGUUCUUUGCCCCUAUAUCUGCCUUAUCAAAUCAUCAUUCUUAUCUGAGAUUUAUUCGUCUAACACUCAGAUGGUAAACACCAAGUCAGGAGGAGGACAAGACAUUCCAAGUCAGAGGCGUGCUCACAUAAUUAAUUAGCAGAAUCAAGCACCACCUCCACCACCAAGUUUGACAAUGGAACAAUUUUUGGCUACUCAGAUGCAACUACUAUAGAACCUCAUUGCUACUAUUUAGAAUCUACAAGCUUAGCAGAAUCAGCAACCACCACAAGCACCUCAGGCACCAAGAGAUAAGCACAGGGAAUUCAUGAGCCACCACCCUCCUCCUUACUCUCACUCAGUGGAUUCAUUGGACGCUGAUGACUAGCUGAAGGUCAUCAGUAAGAAGCUGGAUAUUACACAGUGCAACGAUCAUGAGAAGGUCUUGUAUGCUGCAGGACACUUAGAAGGAGAUGCAGCCGACUAGUGGGAUGCCUAUACUACUGCCCACGCCAAUGUUAAUGCUAUUACUUGGGAAGAGUUCACGAACAACUUUCGCACACACCACAUUCCAGCUAGUGUGAUGAAGCUCAAGUAGAAGGAGUUUCUAGCUUUAAAGCAAGGCAACAUGAUAGUCAGUGAGUAUCAGGACAAGUUCACACAAUUGUCUUGUUACACGCCAAAUGAGGUGGACACCAAUGAGAAGAGACAUGAAAGUUUCCUGGAUGGACUGAUAGGGCCACUUAACUAUCAACUGCAGAGUCACACGUUCCCUAAUUUUUAUACACUACUAGACAAAGCCAUUGGUUUGGAGAACAAACGUAAGGAGCUCGGGGAACAAAAGUGGAAGUUUCAGUCACAAGGUCAAUCUAGCAGCAACACCUGCCCUUGCUUCAACUCAUCACAGGGAUCACAAUUUCGUUCAGGAGGACAAGGUGAAAGCUAUCAACAGAAUCAGCAAUUCCAAAGUACCACUCAACAACCACAGCAAUUCAAUCAAUAGGCACAGCACACCUGAAACCCACAGCAAAACUGAGCAAACAAUACCACAGGAGCACCCAUGUGUAACAAUCCAGUUACCCCAGUUCGACCCAAUGGAUGCUUCAAGUGUGAUGAAGUGGGACAUUAUGCCAAUAACUGCACCAAGCACGAAAUGUAGACCCCUCAGAAGACCAAUGGUUAGAAGUCUGGUCAGCAAUAGUUGCAAGCGCGUAAUGCAAAUCCAAACUCUCAGGAAAACAUGGCUAGCAGAACUUCAUGCAUGGUAGGGCGAACCACGUGAGAAUUGAGAUAGCCCAGGAAGCUCCAGAUGUUGUUUUCGGUAUGUUCCUCAUCAAUUCUGAAUCUGCAUCAGUUUUAUUUAAUUCUGGAGCAUCACACUCAUUUAUAACCAAUCAAUUUGUGGCAAAGUAUAACAUACCUAUGCAACCUAUGAAGAAAACUUUGCUAGUUAGCUCACUAGGUGGUGAUAUAAGAACAAGUCAAAUAUGCUUACAAGUCAAUGUGAAAAUCAUGGGGGUAGAUUUCAUAGCCCACCUAGUGGUCCUAAACUCCAAAGGUAUUAAUGUGAUUCUUGGAAUGAACUGGUUAGGAGUAUGUGAUGGAAUUAUCCUAUAUGCCAAGAAGUCGGUGCUUUUUAACUAGCCCUCAGGGGACAUAAUUGAGUUUGUGGAUACUACCUCAUCUGAAGAAAAGGGUAUAGUCAAUCAAAUAAAAGGAAAAUCUUUGAAGGAUAUCAAGGUUGUAUGUGAAUACCCCAACGUCUUUCCCGAGGAUUUACCAAGUAUGCCGCUUGACUGAGAUAUUGAGUUCUCCAUUGAUCUUUUACCUGGCACUUCACCAAUAUCUAAGACCUUAAAGAAUAGAUGUUAAGGAUUUGGUUGAGUUAAAGAAACAAAUAGAAGAAUUAUUAAGUAAAGGUUUUAUCCGUCCUAGUUCUUCACCUUGGGGAGCACCUAUACUUUUUGUUGAUAAAAAGGAUGGCACCAGAAGAAUGUACAUGGAUUAUAGAGCUCUUAAUGAUGUGACCAUUAAGAAUAAAUAUCCACUCCCUAGGAUUGAAGAUCUAUUUGAUCAGAUGAGAGGUGCAAAAGUCUUUUUCAAAAUCGAUCUGCAAUCAAGCUAUCACCAGUUGAAGAUCCUAGCAGAAGAUAUACCUAAAAUGGCGUUUACAUCCAGAUACAGCCUAUAUGAGUACACUGUGAUGUCUUUUGGAUUGACCAACACUCUAGCAUAUUUCAUGUACUUGAUGAACAAGGUGUUUAUGGAGUACCUAGAUAAGUUUGUGGUAGUGUUCAUCAAUGAUAUAUUGGUAUUUUCUCGAAAUGAAGAAGAGCAUGAGGAGAACUUAAGAUUAGUGUUACAGAAGCUUCUAGAGAAUCAAUUAUAUGCCAAAUUGAGUAAGUGUGAGUUUUGGUUGAAAGAAGUUUUCUUCCUUGGACAUGUUAUCACCGAUGGAGGAAUCACAGUAGACUCAAGCAAAGUUCAAGAUGUGCUGAAUUGGAAUCCGCCCAAGAAUUUGUCUGAAAUCAGAAGUUUUCUUGGAUUAGCAGGUUAUUACCGCAUGUUUAUUGAAGGUUUCUUGAAGAUUGUCAAACCCCUCACUUCAUUGUUAGAAAAGGGAAAAGAGUUUAAAUGGGAUGACUAGUGUCAAGUGAGUUUUGAAGAGUUGAAGAAGAAGUUGACUACAACCCCUGUACUGAUAAUGUCUGAUAUACACAAAGGCUUCGAUGUUUAUUGUGAUGCUUCACGUCUAGGUCUUGGAUGUGUACUAAUGCAAGAAGGUAGAGUAGUAGGUUAUGCCUCAAGACAGUUGAGAAACCACGAGCAAAAUUAUCCAAGUCAUGACUUGGAACUAGCUGUCGUUGUGCAUGUAUUAAUGAUUUGGAGACAUUACAUGAUCAGGAACAAGUGUCAGAUCUUCACUGACUACAAAAGCCUAAAGUACAUAUUCACUCAGAGGGGUCUUAAUUUAAGGCAACACAGAUGGUUAGAGUUGAUCAAGGACUAUGACUUGGAUAUUCAGUAUCAUCCCGGCAAAGCAAAUGUCAUAGCAGACGUCCUAAGUUGAAAAGGUCAAGCUAAUGUGACUAUAGUACUAUUGAUAUCUCAAGAGUUAUGUUGGGAAAUGGAGCGACUCAACUUGGGAAUCGUUGCCCAUACUGAAUCUAUGACCAUGGAAAUUGAACCUACACUGGAACGAGAGAUAAGAAAAGGGCAAUUGACGGAUGCUAAAAUCAAGGUAAUCAAGAUCCAAAUUGAUUUAGGAAAGGCCCCAAACUUCACUAAAGAUUAUCAAGGAAUGGUUUGGUUCGGGAAAAGGAUCUAUGUACCAGAGAUUGACCAUCUUCGUGAAUGCAUAUUGAAGGAAGCACAUGAUUCAGCUUAUUCUAUUCACCCUGGUAGUACUAGAUGUAUCAGGAUUUGAAGGAAAAAUAUUGGUGGUAUGGUUUGAAAAGAGAAGUAGCAACCCACGUUGCUUUGUGUGAUGUAUGUCAGCGAGUGAAAGCAGAGCACCAAAGACCAGCAGGUUUACUUCAGCCAUUGAAAGUACCUGAGUGGAAAUGGGAAGAGAUCGGAAUGGAUUUUAUUGUUAGGUUACCCCACACUCGCGACGACUAUGAUUCCAUAUGGGUUGUUGUGAAAAGAUUGACUAAGGUUGCUCAUUUCAUUUCGGUUAAAAUAACCUAUAGUGGAGCCAAAUUUGCAGAGUUGUAUAUGUCAAGGAUUGUAUGUCUACAUGGUGUUCCUAUUGCGUUCCAAUCUCUUGCGAGGUUAAGAAACAACACAAUAGCUAGUAAAUGAAUUGCUCUCUAUUAAAUGAAGUGUCUGAAUCUCGUUACAUGUGGGGAGGACCCCCUUUUAUAUUGUCCGGAGGAUCCCUACAAUUUACAAUUUUACCCUCUCUCACCCACUACAUCCUCAGUAUAUUCUGUACACAUUUGUCAUCUCAUGAAGUCACGUUUUUUGUCCUCCCGACAAUCCCGUAAAUCACGCUCUCACAAGGUAUCGUAAUUGGCGUCGUCUUGUCGAUCACGUCGCCUUCCCCCUUAGCUUUGUGUCCAUGCCCUGAUUCGUCCGCCACUCCUCAAUGAUGCCCCUGCAGCAAGUUGGCUUCAGUCUCUCGUGUUAUACUGACUUUGGGCCCAUAAGUCCCCCAGCGAGGUUGAUGCUGCUACUACGGGCGCCGAAGACAACGGACGGGCAAUGAGUCAGAAAAACAAAGGUUAGCUCAUCUUACCUCCGCCUUCGAUUUUGGUUUGUCCCGAAGCUGAGUAAUCAUGGCCCCGAUCGAAGCUGAGCCCUUGGCGUGAAGCUGCGAAGUCCGAUGAGCCCUGGCGCAUAGAAAAUAAAGGUUAACCCACCUUGCCUUUGCUUCCGGUUUCGGUUUGUGCCGAAGCUGUAAAGUUCACCGAAUCUUGUCGCAUCUUUCGACAGAGAGACGACCUCGAGGGGGGCUGUUUUGGGCGAUUCCCCAACAGUUCCAAAGAAGAUAGUUUCUAAUCAAGGUACUCAAUUCAUGUCACGUUUCUAGCAGAAGCUACAUGAAUCAAUGGAUACAAAGCUUAAUUUCAGUUCUGUGUAUCAUUCACAAAUGGAUGGUCAGACUAAAAGAAUCAAUCAAAUCUUAGAAGAUAUGUUAAGAGCUUGUGCUUUAAAGAAUAGAGGUAGUUGGGAUAUAAGUUUACUAUACGUAGAAUUCACUUAUAACAACAGUUAUCAAGCCAGUCUUAAGAUGGCCCCGUUUGAAGUGUUAUACGGAAGAAAGUGCAGAACACCAUUGUACUGGAGUCAGAAUGGAGAAAGCCAAGUCUUUGGACCGGAAAUUCUUAAGGAAGCCGAAAGACAAGUUCAGAUAAUUUGAUAUAAUCUCAAGACUGCAUAGUCACGACAGAAGAGUUAUGCUGAUACUCGGAGGAGAGAAUUGACAUGUGAUGUUCGAGAUUACGUGUAUCUCAAGGUAUCACCUAUUAGUGGUCUUUGUCGAUUCAAGAUUAAAGGGAAGCUAUCACCUCGUUACAUUGGUCCUUUUCAAAUUUUGGAAAGAAAAGGAGAAGUGGCAUAUCAGUUAGACUUACCUGCUCAGCUAUUAGAUGUUCAUGAUAUGUUCCAUGUAUCUCAGUUGAAGAAGUGUCUAAGAGUACCGGAAGAACAAUUACCACUGGAAGAACUCAAUGUGAAGGAUGAUUUGACUUAUUCAGAGUACCCUGCCAAAAUACUAGAAAUAUCUCAGAGGGUCACUCAGAGCAAGGUAACGAGAAUGUGCAAAGUAUAGUGGAGUCAUCACUCAGAAGAUGAAGCUAUUUGGGAAAGAGAAGAUGACCUUAUCGAAGAAUUCCCUCGGUUGUUUUCCAAUCUCUCUGAAACUUGAGGACGAGAUUCUCUUUAAGGGGUAGGAUUUGUAACACUCAAAAAAUCCAUCAUAAACACAAUUUAAAAAACAUGUGGUCUAACUCUUUCUUUUCCAAUGACUAAAUAAAAUACUAUUAUGAAAUUAUGGCCUUUAAUAAAUUAAAGAACAAUUGAAAUAAUUGUUUAGAGACAAGUGCUUGUUAGGGUUCUUCGUUUGCUUCGGUUUUUUGUUUGCAUUUGCAAAAUUUUAAAUCAAAAAUAUUAUCAAUCUUCUUUAUCUCUUUUUGUCCAACUCAGCAGGUCGGCCCACCUUUCCUCUUUCUUUCCCUCCGGGCCCGCUCUCUCUUUCCUUCUCCAGCCGGCCCACCUCCUCAUUUCUUUGCGCCAACCCAAGCUGAUCCGCCGGCCCCUCAAGCACCUCCCCAGCCCAACUCCCCCUCUCCUCCCACCGACAGGCAUGGCCCGCCUGUCAGGCGCGUCCUCAACCUCCAGUUGUACCGCAACUCCAGUGCCUGCUUGCCUCCUGUCGCCACUCGAGCUCCUGUGCCCCUCUGCGUGCUUGCACCACAUCGCCUUCCCACGCGCACGCGCCGCUAGCGCCCUCUCUCCUAACUCCAGUAACCAGCACCCCAUUUUCCACCCACCAUUAAUGGCUACCGGAGCUCGUUUCCUCUCAGCGGGCGCCGUCUCAACUCCUCAUGGCCUAUAAGUAGCGCCUGCUCCCUCUCCCCGGCUCCCUUCGCCCAUUCUCGCCACCGCCACCGCCGCCCGCACUAGAGCGCCACCGCAUCUCACAGCACCGCCACUGCCCAAAUUCCUCCACCUCUGGGUCAAACACAGGCCUUUCUCGCCCGCCACCGCCGCUGGUAAGGCCUCCCUCGCUUUCCCCUCGCUCACAUAUGUCGCCUGCGCCACCCGCAUUGCUCACCGCCGUGCCUGAGCUUGUCGGCGAGCUGCCGGUCAUGUGCCUGUGCGCGUGCGGGAGAAAGGAAGGAGGAGGAGGAUAAGGCUAUUUUGCAAUCUAGUCGCUGAACUCUCUAAUAUUCUCUUUCUAGAUUCAUGUGUCUAGUAAAGCUUGCAAAGAACCCCCUGCAAUUCUUAUAACCUUCCUUUUUAACUCGAGCUCUACAUUCUUGUAGAUCUAACCCUAUACUUUUCUUAGCACUGUUCACUGAGUCUUGUGAAACUUCCUUGCUAGCCCCUGAAGUAUAUAGUUAAUUCCAUUUUAGCCCCUAAAACUUGUUUACUCCAUACCUUCGUUGUUUUAACUCCGAUUUCAGCGAUUCUCGCGAUCACGCGAGUAUCUCUGCAUGAUCGUUAGUUUUAGGAGUUUGUUUUAAUUCAUUUUUCUUGUUUAGUGUACGAUUUUAUUUAUUGUUUGUUUUGCUUUGUGUGAUCAUGUAAAUGACGUGCCGUUCGAGGAGACUUAGGAGCAGCAACUGUUCAAGGAAGAGUUCCCUUAGUUUGCCGAGGAAUGCAAGUGGUCAUCUCCCCCUGCAUAUUCUUUUUCGUCCCAAUAAUAGCAUGCUAAAUCACUUUACUAUUUUCCUGUAUAUGUAUAAUUUGACGGGAAUACAUAUUAAAGACUUACCUAGUUUUUAAUCCUGAUCUUUGAACACCGAUUUUAAUCUUGUUGGGUAAAAUUGCUUAAUUUUGGGAUGGUAAUAAUUUUGAGAAUAUUAAUCAUGACCUUUAUUUAUGCUAUACCUGUGCUAAUACAAGAUCACUCUCUCGAAACAUGGAGAACCACCCAGGAAAACAGUGUAACCACAAGAACUAUCAUGGCUCUGGUCUUGGCUAAUUAAUUAGAGACUCUAGUCUGGGGUAAUCUUACCAAAAGGGAAAGAGGGACGGCAGUUGAUGGGGUAUAACCCGCAUCUCAGACUGAUCUGCUCUAUGGAAGCCUCGCAGUCUUGAGAGGGGCUUAUGCUUUACUACCGAUCUGGAAACCUUAGCAAGUUACCACUUACUAGGGGAUCUUUGUAAAGGCCUCGUAGCGUCCCUAUGCAAUCACACCUCGGAAGUGUGCUAUUGUUCUUGGCUAGCAUAGCAUGGUUGGGUUUAAAGUUCUUUCGAAAUUUUACGUGACUUGUGGGGAAAUUAGGUGCUUGCUAAUUAAAAUUUGACCAACUAAAAUGCUAACCGCUUAAAGCCUAUGAGCCUCCCCUUGUUAGCCAUGCUUGUUUCCCCCACUUGCUGAGUACCAACCAUAAGUGUACUCACCCUUACUCAAACGCUAUUCAGAAGCUUCUGAUGUCGUGGAGUUCUUCAAUGACUUCGAGGAGUUCUAGGCGAGCGUUCACCAGUCAAACUUGUGGAGAAGCUACCACUGUGUGUGUAUUAAAUUUAUCGGUGAAUGAUUGUAGACCUUCAUGUCUACAUUUCGGAGUGUAAUAAAGUUAUCUACUAUUUUAUGUAUAUUUUGAACACUAUCUUUGAUGUUUCACUUAUGAAGUCCACCUAUCCACGUUGUGGCCUCCGCGGCGAUGCCAUCGGGCACACGCUCCAUAUGCAGGUCCCUGGAGCUUGCCGUGUUGCCGUCACCGAGGUACUUGCCGUCUUGCCGUCACCGAGGUACGCCACCACAUACGGCGAGCUCAGCCACUUCAGGAUCCUUAUCUCGCUCUCCAAGCACACCAUCGCCAUCGCCACCACCGACGAACUCUUUGUGUGGCACGAACGCACUGGGUGACGGAGCGCCUCCGAGGGAGUUGGUCACGACAGAGAGGAGGGAGAAGGGUGGUGGAGCCCACAGGGGCAAAAUCAUCUUUUCGUCUGACAUUUAACGAUUCUUGGAUGGAAAAUCCAUUACAGUAUCAAAUAAGGAACGAAAGUUGAACUCAGUGUUAAAUAGGGAACGAAAAUUUGUUGAGGGCUAAGAAAGGAACGAGUAGUUUUUUUAGUACCAAAUAGGGAAUUUUCUCUACUUGAAACUGGUGACUUGGUGAUUGAAGGGGGAGGGGAAGAGAGAGAGUGGGAGGGGGGCGGGUCAGGUGGGUAAGGGGAGAGGGAUUGUGGGGAUCUUCUUCACAAUCACUUUUUAUUAUAUCGUGGAUCUGGAUGACCAAUUUAAAACUUGAACUUAGGGGGUGUUUGGUUCCCACUUGCUUAUUUUUAGUCCCGUCACAUCGAAUGUUUAGAUAUUGAUUAGGAGUAUUAAAAAUAGACUAUUUACAAAACCCAUUGCAUAGAUGGAGGCUUAACGGCGAGACAAAUCUGUUAAGCCUAAUUAGUCCAUAAUUUGACAAUGUGCUGCUACAGUAACCAUUUGCUAAUGAUGGAUUAAUUAGGCUUAAUAGAUUCGUCUCGCUGUUUAGCCUCCAUCUAUACAAUUAGUUUUAUAAUUAACUCAUAUUUAGUCCACCUAAUUAGCCUCCGAAUAUUCGAUGUGACACGGACUAAACUUUAGCUUAAGGAACCAAACACCCCAGAACUCCGAAAUAGUUUAAGGACAUGCAAUGCAAUUCGCUCUAAAAAAAUAUAGCCUAUUUUUUAUCAUUAUUAAAUGGGUAGAAAUAGGUAUGCGUUUUCAAAAAGGAAAAAUGUCCUAUUAACCUCCCUUUACUAUGGGUCGAGUACGUGUUUCCUGUCGCGCUGCUUGGAUUCCCACCACACGCGCCACUUGGAUUAACUCGGCUUGCGAUCGCGCGAAGAGAGAGAAUAUGUUGCCAACCAUGAUGGGCGACAUGCAUGUUGGACAAAACCGGGAUGGAAUUGGGUCAGGGAGGUCAGUGUUCGAUAUUCCGUUUUAAUUAAUAAUACAAGAAGGUAGAACGGUCGAUUUUCGAGUCACGGAGAAAAAAUGCGGACUUGCUCCGUUGUUUAGGGAGGUGAAUAAGGAUUUUUUCCCCCUCCCUGCAGGUUGUGACUGGUUGGACCGCAACGACGCCACAAGAAUCCAUAUAGACCACAGCAGAUUGGCCGUGAUGGGAGUUCAUCUUCGUGUGAAAGGAAUAAAGAGGUUUGGAUACGAAGUGCUAAACUUUAACGGGGUUACAUCGGAUAUUCGGAUACUAAUUAGGAGGACUAAACAUGAGUUAAUUAAAAAAACUAAUUGUAGAAUCCUAUGCUAAUCCGCGAGACGAAUCUAUUAAGCUUAAUUAAUCCAUCAUUAGCAAAUGGUUACUGAAGCAUCACAUUGUCAAAUCAUGAACUAAUUAGGCUUAAUAAAUUCGUCUCAUGAAUUAAACUCCAUCUGUGCAAUUAAUUUUGUAAUUAGACUAUGUUUAAUACUUCUAAUUAGUGGCAUCACAUUGUCAAAUCAUGAACUAAUAAGGUUUAAUAAAUUCGUCUCGCGAACUAAACUCCAUCUGUGCAAUUCUGUCUCGUAGAAGAAUAUGAGUCAUUUCCAUGUGUGCCAUUAUGAAAGACGGUAAAUUCGCACAAGCCAUUAAAAAGAUAAACUCCCACAAGUGCCAUCGUGCUAAACUUUGUUUUCUCUCCAAGCCAUUCCUUCCACAUUUUGUUACUUUGUCACCGUUUGGGAGCCCUGACAAGUGGGACCGGGCAGAGGAAAAGACCCAAAUACCCUUGAGUACUCACUGUCUUCCUCUCACUGGCUCACUAUCUCUCCCUAUCUGGCUCGACUCCUCUUCCCCAAAACCCUAGCUACUGCAGCGUGGAGAGAAGAGCACCCAAGCCCCCUGUCCUUGCGGCUGCGGCACAAAGAGAAGAGCCCCCACCCCCCUCCCUUGCGGCUGCGGCGCGGAUUGAAGAGCCCCCAAUCCCCCGGAAGAGGAGGCCUGAAGACCGUGGAUCUGCCGGAUUGGCAACGCAAUGGCCGCGAACAAGGGGGCGUGCUCGGGCGACCGACCUCCUUGGCUUCCUGACGGGUGAGUAUCCCACUUCAAUUGCAUCAUGUCAGUUAGGUGUAGUAAUCGUGGUCGAUAUAGUGUGAUUUUAGUUAGACAGAUGGAUGUGAGCUCGUUGUUGUUCAUCUGUAGGAUGGACCCUGCUAGUAGCUACAACCUAGAAAUUCGGAUAACUGCUCGCCAUACUCGUUGUCGAUGGUUUAUCUUGGACAAAGUCGUCGAUGCUGAUCGUACCAACUUCGUAGAUCUGGUUGCUGAAGUUGAGAAUAAGUAUCCUUAUGCUUAUGGGGAUGUUGUGAGAUUGUUUUACUUCUGCAUUGAGACACAGAUGAACAUCCAAGUUUGCAAUGACCAUGAUUUGCUUGACAUGUUUGCAAAACAUAAAGCUUCCAAGUGUUGCUUCCUCACUUUAAGUUACCACAGCCCUAGUACUGAGCCUCUUGAAAUACCUCCUUGGGAUUUUAGUUGUUAUUCCAAGUCUGUUGAUACACCCUUCACCCCUUCAAUGCCUUGUCCUAGCAUUCCACAACCAAGCCAUACCCAGAGUGAAACUGAAGAUGAUGAAUACUUGGCUAACCCAAACCCAUCCAAUGAGCAUGUCGGUGUUGAUGAGGAAGGGCUGUAUAUAGACCUUGGUCCUCAACAACCACCACCUCCAAUACCUCAGAGUCAAGGUUGCAACAUAGAAAGGAAUGGAUCUGAUGCAGAAACAUACUGUGAAACAAACAGUGAUGAUGAAUCUGUGUCUGACGAUGAAAAUUAUGAAAUGGAGGAUGUAGAUGAUAUUGUUAAAGAUAAUGAGCCUGACCAUAUGCCUGAUGCUGACUAUGACAAGAAGGAUCCUCCUAUGAUAGUAGGCAGUGUGUAUAGAGACAUGUAUGCAUUUAAGAUGGCUUUAGCUUCACAUGCUGUGAAACAUGAGUUUCAUUAGGACAUUGAAAAGAGUGACACAGGAAGAUACAAAGUCACAUGCUGUGGGAGAACUAAGGGUUGCAGGUGGAGAAUUCAUGCCUCAAUCAUGAAGGAUGCUGAAACAAUUAAGGUAAACUGUUAGUGCUACAUCAAAAUGUGUAUGCUUUUUUUAUCUGUCAGUUGUGCUUAGGUAUAAGUAUGUCAUUUUUAUGUCAUUUGCAAGUGAAGAAGAAUCCAUUUCCCCAUACAUGUGAAAGCAUAAGGAGGUCUGGGGUAUGUAAAGGGGUCACACAGUUUUGGGUCUGUGAACAAGUUAUUGACUGGUUGAAAGAAGAUGCAUCAGUUGGUGCUUCUGAACUCCAAAGGAGGCUGAAGGAUGAGCACAAAAUUUUGAUACCAUAUAGGAGGGUGUGGCAUGGUAAGAAUCUUGCAUUGGAUAAAAUUUAUGGGCCAUAGAAUAAAAGUUUUGAUAACCUGUAUAGAUUGAAGGCCCAACUAGAAGCAUCAUGUCCUGGUUCACUUGUUGUCAUUGAUCACCACACCAUUAACAAGAAAAUUAGGUUUAACAUGUUUUUUUAGCCCUGAAACCAUGCGUUGAUGGUUUCCUUAGAGGUUGUAGGCCAUAUUUGGCAGUAGAUAGCACUUUCUUGUGUGGAAAGUUCAGAGGUCAGUUGUGCAUAGCUUGUGCAGGUGAUGCCCACAACUGGAUGUACCCAGUAGCAAUAGGUGUCAUUGAUUCUGAAACAAAUGAAAAUUGGGAUUGGUUUAUGAAGAGGUUGAAGGAAGCAAUAGGGACCCCACCUGGUUUGACAUUCUCCACAGACUGUGGGCAGGCAGUAAUGCAUGGUGUUAGUGAGGUCUUUCCAAAUGCUGAACAUAGAGAGUGCAUGUGGCAUUUAGCUCAAAGUUUUAAGAAAAGGUUCAGUGGUAAGAUUUUUUAUGAGCACUUGUGGCCAUCUUCCUACUCUUGGAGCAAGUACAUGUUUGAGAAACACUACCAGGCCAUGGCUGCUGCCAAACCUAAGGCUAUGAAGUACCUGCAAGAGAAUCACAACAAGUUAUGGACCAAAAGUCAGUUUGGUACAGUUUGCAAGGUGGAUUAUGUAACCAAUAAUUUGGCAGAGUGCUUCAAUAAAUGGAUAAAGGCAGAGAAGACCAAGCAUGUCGAUGAUUUGAUGGAUGCAAUAAGGCAGAAGCUGUUGAUUAAAUGGAAUACUAGAAAAAAGGUGGCUAAACAGUUUGUGGGAAAGAUUUUACCUCAUGUUAUGCAGCAGCUGAGGGAAGACACCUUCAAGCUAGACAUUGAGGUCAUCACAGAAAAUGAAGGAGUUGCUGAAGUUUGUGCUAAGGGAGGGAUUGGGUUCAGAUUUGUUGUGGACUUAAGGAACAGGACAUGUUCCUGCAGGGCUUGGCAAAGGUUAUUGAAGCGUGCCCACAUAAGUAGAGACUAAAUGUGAUCCAAUUAUCAGUCCUAGGAGGCUGAUAACACAUUUAUUCAACAGAUAGUUCAGAAACCGUACAGCUCCCGAAGGAGCGGGCAGGCAAGCCACACCCAAAGUAAAACUAAAGCGAUAACAAUACAAAUCCAAGUUGCAGUCCAGUCGGACUCCGGGCUGCAAUCAGAACUAAGCGUCAGCGGAAGCAUCCUGCAAAAGGGCCAACACCGCAGGCAGCGUUGGGGGCAGACGCAACCUCCUACUCGAGAUCCUCGGCGACGAAGUCCGGAUCCUCCUCUGAAGCAACAAAACAGGGGUGAGUACAAAAGUACUCCACAAGUCCAACCCCAUCCACGGAGGGGAUACAGCAAGAAUAUGCAUGGGUUUCAACAAGGAUAUGGUUAAGGUUGAUUUGCAAUAAAGCUAGAUUUUUGACACAUGCAGGGUUUUAUUUCAAAGAAUUUUCACAAUACAUUUUCUUUGGUAACCGAAACAUUAAGUGGGGUUGAUCCUACACAAAGGAUCCAACUUUUAUCGCUACCGGACUCCCCGUCCGCCGUAGCGCACGGCACAACUGCCGGACACUUCCAAAAUCCAACACACACCAUAAAAACCAACCAUCUCCAAAUGCUAGUUAUGUGACCAAGCCGUAACUCAUCCAAUGCCGUGGAAACGGCUACCCGGAUAGGUUUUAACUCUGCAGAGGUUGUACACUUUUCCCACAAGUAGGGUACCGCAUCAUGAUCACCUUAGUGACGGUGCGGAUCCUAACAAAGCCAUUACCCACCUUAGCCAACACUGACUAGUCAACACGGAAGCACCCAAGGGGUUAACGACCCAUCCACGGGGCUGAAACCGGGACCUAAGUCACCCAGAGCUUAGUCCUUUUCCAUAGGCUCCCGUCGCUUCCCAGCACACCUGAAGCCUAGCAGUUUAGCUAGUGGGGUUUAUGCUAAGCCGUUGCCCAUACAACGGUUGAGUGGUUGCAUGAUGGUUGAAUUAGGCAAGAUGACACAUCAACUCGGUCCUUAGUCAUGACAAGAUGGAUAUCUCCCAACUCUGCUCAACCACUAAGGUACGAGCUCAACAAUCCGGCAUUCCACACAAGAAACGCCCAUCCAUCUCAUCCACCACCUUUCUUUACACCCAAAAACCCAACUCCUCAGUUGAACACACUCACACAUUUAUUUUCCGAAUAAACAGAUGUAGUCAUGAUUGAAUUUAGGUAACGAGUUCCUAAGCAUUCUAGCAGUAUUUAUCAUCUAAACAGAGCAAUUCAUAUUUAGAGAUAAAUAUGGGACAACAAGGAAUAAUCAUAACAACCAAGGGGUGGCUAUCCAACCAUGUCUUGCAAUAAAACAAUAUGCAUUUUAUAAAACAGGCCAAUAGGUGGUGUCUGAAAAAAAACUGGGUAUUAAAUAUGCAUCAAAGGGUGAGAUUGGACUUGCCAUUCUCAAAGCCUUCCGGGAGCUCCUGCUCGCGGUACUGGUCUUCGAGCUCGGGCUCGCGGUCGAACUCCUCCUCGUGCUCCUCCUCGGGUACUCCGCGAUCUACGGCACACACAAACGAGCACACAAUAAAUAAAAAGGAAAAAGAUUUUACCCGUUGAGCUCCGAACAGGAAAUGUGAACGGAAAAUAGGUAGGAAGGGUAUUUUCAUGAAAUUUGGAUAUGCCUCGGCGGAAAUAUAUGAGAGGAAGCCGUGGUCGAAUUUGGGAUCGAUCGGAGAAAGUUUGGUGCAUGAAAUGACGGGUUAACGGAGUAUUAGGGGCUGUAAGAUGAGGUUUAGGACUAAACCACGAGAACCAGGGACCUAUUUAUAAUUUUUUUCUGGAAGGUGGAAGGGCGUAUUCGCGAAACUUCUUUGAGAGAGGUGGGAGGGCUGGUUUGUAAUUAGAGGAAAGGAGGGGGUUAGAUCGAAAUUGAAGGGGAUUCUCCCCUUCUUCUUCCUGGAGCACGGGUACAGGGAGGAAGGAGGCAACCCGACGGUGGGCCGGCCAGUCAAGCUCGCCGGCGGCGAGACCAAGCGGCGGGGGAGGUAGAGAAGACCGAGGGGACUCCAUUUUGACCCUCACCUUGGGGAUUCGGCGAUGGGAAGCGAGGGGGCCGGCGUGGGGAAAAAGGGCGGCGGGCAGAGCUCUGGCGGCGGCGCACAGGGUCGGUGGAGAAGGGGGGAGGCGAGCUAGGAGGCGAGGCGAGGUGGUGGCAGGGGCGGCCGGCCUCGGCCCCUUUUAUAGGCAACGGGAGGGGCGGGCGGAGGUCGGAAGUGAUGAUGGUGGCCAGACUUCCGGCCGGUGGCGUGCCGGAGUGGACAUCCUCGUGGAUGGCGUGGUGGCUCGGUCGACGAGGAGCACAGGGAGUCCACCGAGGUGAUGGCCGGCGUGACGUGCGGUGGGACGGCGGCGACCGGCGGCCGGCGACGCGGCGCGUGCGGCCAGGCGCUAGGUGCCAAAGGCCGGGCGUGCGGUGCGCAGGCGGGCUCGCGGGCGCGGCCGGGCGGACUGGUGCGGAGGAGCGAGCGCGCUCCGGCGCGGGAGUGGCCGGGCGCAGCGCGUGCGUGCAUGGAUAAGCAUGGACGCGUGCGAGAGAGGAGCUGAGCGCUAGGUAGCAGUGUGCUGUGGUGCGUGCGUUGUGCAGGUGGGACCGGGGGCGGCAGGAGGUGGCAUGCAGCAGCUAUGCGAACAGUAGAGGUGCAGGGGGCCAGCGCUGGGGGCCAGGCAUGGGCCCAGGGAAGUGCACGCGCACCAAGAAAAGCCAGGCACUAGGGGACAUGCACCGGAGCAUGCGACAUGUACUGGAGCAUGCAGCAGGGGGGAGAGAGAAAAAGGACCAGGCGCAUGUGUGCGGAGCCAGAAGCAGUGCAUGCGGCCAGCACCAAGUUCCAGGAGGAAGAGAAAAUAAAAAAAGAAACGGUGCAUGCAUGCAUGCAGUACGUAGGAAAAGAAAGCAAGGAGCUGUUGGUGCGAGGAAAAAAAAAGGAAGAAAAGAAAGUGAAGGAAAAUGAAAGAAAAUGAAAGAAGGAAAAGAAGGAAAAAGAAAUAGAUGGUGGCGAUUGCGGAAAUGGUCGCGGGCACGCGCGACGGUCUUCCAUCCGGCACACGGCGAAAUUUGCGGGGAACGGAAAAAGAGGGUUGACGACGUCAGGUGCCGGGACGGCGGGUCCGGCGGAAAGGAAAUGAUUUCUCGGGAGCUCGACGGUCGGGAAAAAAAAAUUUGAAAUGAGUUUUUAACGAGUGAUUUAAUUUGGUAAAUUCCACGGGCGUUACAAACCUACCCCACUUAAAUUGAAUCUCGUCCUCGAGAUUCGGCUGAACUCUUAAUAGAUGGGGAAACUCCUUCUUUAACGCAUCCUCGCGUUCCCAAGUAGCUUCUUCUUCACCAUGCCUACUCCAUUGGACCCUGCAAAUCCGCACUACUGAAUUUCUUGUUCUUCUGGUGACGGUGUCCAGAAUCUUGACGGGUACCUCCUGAUAUCGUAGAUCUUUUUGUAAAUCUAUGGCUUCCACCGAUACUUGCUCUUCUUGCACCCUCAGGCAUUUUCUUAGCUGGGACACAUGGAAUACUGGGUGUAUAUCUGACAUUUCCUCGGGUAGUUGAAUGCGGUAUGCUACAGCUCCAACUCUUUUUAACACCUGGUAUGGUCCAAUAUACCGGGGGGCUAAUUUUCCUUGCAUUUGGAACCUUCGGGUACCUCGAAUCGGAGAGACCUUAAGGUACACGAAAUCCCCUUCAUUGAAAAUCAACUCUCGUCUUCUUUUAUCUGAGUAACUUUUCUGCCUAGACUGUGCUGCUUUCAACUUCUCUCGUAUCUCAGCCACUCGUUCUUCUGCUUCUUUGAUAAAGGUGGGUCCCACUAGGGUGCGCUCUCCUACUUCCGACCACAUCAACGGGGUCCUGCACUUUCUUCCAUAGAGAGCCUUAAACGGUGACAUGCCUAAGCUGGCUUGGUAACUGUUGUUAUAUGAGAACUCUGCAUAGGGUAAACUCUGUUCCUAGUCCUUGCCAUAAGUAAGGACACAUGCCCUUAACAUGUCUUCCAUGAUCUGAUUUACUCUUUCUGUUUGGCCAUCGGUCUGGGGGUGAUAGGCUGAACUAAAAUCCAGUUUGGUGCCCAUAGCUUUAUGCAGACUUUUCCAGAAUCUCGAGGUAAAUUGGGUCCCUCUAUCCGAAACAAUUCUUCUAGGCACACCAUGCAGCUUCACUAUGUUGUCCACAUAGAGUCGAGCUAGCCUUUCUCCACCAUAGGUGGUCCGUACGGGUAAGUAGAGGGCAACUUUAGUGAGUCGGUCCACUAUCACCCAUAUGGAGUCAUUCCCUUUUUGAGUCUUGGGCAAACCCACUACAAAAUCCAUGCCAAUCUCGUCCCAUUUCCAAACUGGAAUGGGUAGUGGUUGCAGUAAACCGGCUGGCUUCUGAUGUUCGGCCUUAACCCGUUGGCAAAUAUUGCAAUGAGUGACGAACUGGGCUAUGUCCGCCUUCAUUCCAUUCCACCAGUAUUUCUGUUUUAGGUCCAUAUACAUCUUGGUGGAUCCCGGGUGGAUGGAAUAUGCUGAGUUAUGGGCCUCAUCCAUGAUGGUUUGCCGGAAAUCACCUUCCUUGGGCACACAAAUCCUAUCCUUGUACCACAAGGUCCCUUUUACAUCCACUCUGAAGUCUGGGGCUUUAUUCUCUCCGGUUUGCUUGCGAAUCCUCACCAAGUCCUGAUCCGAACCUUGGGCCUCUCGGAUUCUUUCCUCCAAUGUGGGCUGAACACUUAGCUUGCGGCUGGUGUUCUGAGGGAUAAUGUGUACAUUUAAUCGGGCCAUUUCCUCUUGCAAGUGGGUGUCCUUAGGUCCGAUCUGUCCAUAGGAUUUUCUGCUCAAGGCAUCCGCGACCACAUUAGCCUUACCGGGGUGGUAGUGAAUUUCCAGAUUAUAAUCCUUGACCAAUUCUAACCAUCUUCUUUGCCUUAAAUUCAGAUCUGGUUGGGUGAAGAUAUAUUUUAGGCUCUUGUGGUCUGUGUAGAUCUCACAUUUGUUCCCGAUUAGGUAGUGCCUCCAGAUCUUGAGGGCAUGCACUACGGCUGCAAAUUCCAAAUCAUGGGUGGGGUAAUUUUGUUCAUGGGGCUUAAGUUGGCGGGAAGCAUAUGCCACUACCUUCCCAUCCUGCAUCAGGACACACCCUAACCCUUGUCGGGAAGCAUCACAAUAAAUGACGAAGUCCCGCUGGAUAUCCGGUAGGGUUAAUACUGGGGCGGUCGUCAAUCUUCUCUUCAGUUCUUGAAAACUCCUCUCACAUGACUCUGUCCAAUUAAAUUUCUUGUCCUUCCUAAGUAGCUCUGUCAUGGGUCGGGCUAUCUUAGAGAAUCCUUCAAUAAACCUCCGAUAAUACCCAGCUAAACCAAGAAAACUCCUGAUUUCACCAACAUUGGUGGGUUGCUGCCAGUUGGAGACGGCUUCAACUUUCUCAGGAUCGACUGCUACUCCUUCUGCGGUCAAAAUAUGACCAAGAAAUGCCACUUUCUCGAGCCAAAAUUCACAUUUGCUGAAUUUAGCAUAGAGUCGGUGGGCUCUCAAUUUCUCCAACACUACUCGUAGAUGCUGCUCAUGCUCUUGGACACUCUUGGAGUAAAUAAGUAUGUCAUCGAUAAAGACCACAACAAACUUAUCUAACUCUUCCAUGAACACCUUGUUCAUGAGGUUCAUGAAAUAAGCAGGGGCAUUGGUCAGUCCAAAGGACAUCACUGUAAAUUCAAACUGGCCAUAGCGGGUGACAAAAGCUGUCUUCGGGAUAUCACUUUCCUUGAUCUUGAGCUGAUGGUACCCUGAUCUCAAAUCUAUUUUUGAGAAAUAUUUGGCUCCUUUCAACUAGUCAAAUAGGUCAUCUAUUCUGGGAAGGGGAUAUUUAUUCUUGAUGGUGACCUCAUUCAGUGCGCGAUAAUCCACGCACAUCCUCAUGCUUCCGUCUUUCUUCUUGACAAAGAGUACUGGAGCUCCCCACGGGGAUGAGCUAGGUCUGAUAAAGCCACUCUGUUGCAGUUCACCUAACUGUUUCUUCAGCUCUGCCAACUCAGAUGCUGCCAUUCUAUAGGGUCUCUUGGCUAUAGGAGAGGUUCCAGGGAUAAGGUUGAUUACGAACUCUAUGGGGGCAUUCCAGGUAGUUCUUCAGGAAAGACAUCAGGGUACUCACUCACUACCGUAACUCCUUCUAUGGCCUUGGCUUCCAUGCUAAAAACCAUUGGGUCAGGUCCACUUCCCCGAGUGUGACAGGUCACUUGUACACCGUCCUGAUUAACCAGGCGUACCACCUUAUCGGCACAUCCUAUGUGGCCAUCAUGUAGGCUUAACCAAUCCAUUCCAAGGAUCACAUCUAUCCCCUUAGACUCAAGUACUACCAAGUCUGCUAGGAAUUCUACCCCACUUAAAUUGAUCCUUACCCGGGAACAACCUAGUCGACACUGGAUGUCGGCUCCAGGCGUCCGGGUUAUUAGGGGUACCUUUAGUAGUAUUGUAGGUAUGUGGUGCUUAUCCUCAAAGCCUGAUGAUAUAAAUGAAUGUGAUGCUCCAGAAUCGAAGAGUAUUGUUGCCAAGACUGAGCUGACUAGAAACUCACCGAGUACCACGCCCUGAGCUUCUUGAGCCUCUUGCGCGCUGAUGUGGUUGACGCGGGCUCGUCCGAACGACUGCUGGGGUUGCCUCAUCUGGUGGCUGUUGUUGUUGUUGCUGGGGUUGUUGUUGCUACCGACGGGAACACGGUUGGCUCCUGAAACUGCUGCCCUUGGCCCAGUCACUGCGUUGGAGAAGGCUGAUGCAGCUGGCUUGUUGGCGUAGGGGCAGUUGGCAAUGAAAUGCCCUGGCUCACGGCAGUUGAAGCAUACCCUGCCGUUGUUGGUGACUUGACUGGCACUGUUCUGAGGGGCCUUGGCAGGGUUCUGGCUUCUGAACGAGGCAUUGGGCUGAUGGGAACCGGAGGCUUGAGACUGGGUCUGGUACUGCAUGGGAGCUUGGGAUCUGGGCAUGGGGUGACCAAAGCUUCUUGGUUUCUGGAACCUGUCCUGCUGGUGGGUCUUGCUGUUCAGGAAUCUGCGCUUGUUGUCCCUCCUUUCAUCUGCCUUGGCCCUCUCAGUCAAGAUGGCCAUGUUCAUCAGAGUAUUGAAAUCAGGGUAGAUCUGAGGAGUAAGCAGGGUCCUCAGUUCUGCGCUCAAACCCUUCUUGAACAUGUCUUGCUUCUUCUCAUCCUUGUCUACUUCUUCUGGAGCAUAGCGGGCCAAGUCCAUGAACUGAUAGGUGUACUCUUCCACGGACUUGUUGCCUUGGCGCAGUUCACGGAGCUCAUCCGCCUUGCGCUUCAUGGUAGCCGCAGGAAUGUGAUAGCGGCGGAACUCUGUCACAAACUCAUCCCAGGUGAUAGUGGAGGCAUCCUGGGCGGCAGUGCAGUAGUUCUCCCACCAAGCUAGAGCAGUCCCAGUGAGUUGAUGAGCAGCCAGGAGAACCUUGUCCCUGCCCUCACAGUCGAAUGGCUCUAGCUUCCUCUGGAUGACCCGCAGCCAGUCAUCUGCGUCCAGAGGAUUGAUGGACCCGCCAAAAGUAGGUGGCUUGGUCCGGAGGAAGUCUGUCAGUUUCUCAUUCAUGCCCUGUCCGCGGGGCCUUUGGCGAGUGAUGGCAUUGGCCAAAGCUUCCAGCAGAAGGGUCUGGUUGUUCAUGACUUGGACCAGAUCAAUGACUGGUGGGGGCGGUGGCUGCUGUGCUCCCACUUGACUUUCCCCCCUGCCCUCGGGCUGAUUCACUUCUUGCUCCUCAUGGUGCACCGCUGGUGGGGGUUCCUGUCUUUCCAGCUGUCUUUCUGCACUAGGGGUGGCACGUGCUUGACUCGGGGAGGUCCUGGUGGCACGCUUGGGAGGCAUCUGCAGAUUGAGUGAACUUUCAUGAGACUUGGAUUUGGAUAUUAAGGUGAUGUUUAGUUAAUUAAUUCGGAUUUUCGAAGAGACAGAAUCCACCUCCUGUCGACAAGCACACAGACUAACAAACAACAAGAACAAAUGAUUUUAUUAUUUUGCCGGGGCGGUUACAACACAUGGGGUAGGGCCAAAACACGCACUACACGACCGGUACAACAACACAACUGGGGGGGUACAAGUCUAGACUCAGGAUAGCUUCUGGUGUACAACUCUAGGUGGGGCACUCUAUUCGCGGGACGAAUCUGCACACUGCGCGGAGUAGUCUUCUGGCGGAAUAAGGAGGGCCAGCACCUCGUCCCUUAGGGUCCCACCUGCGGGAGGGGGUUUCGAGGCUUCUCCAUUGGCCACCUCAGAGUCCCUUUCCAAAGGCGGUGGUGCUGGUGGGGCAUCAGGGCUCUUCCGCUUCCCGGACCCCUGGGCAACAGGGACUCCAUCCAAUACUGGGGCCUCGUCGUCCUCCACGACCCGCAUUUUCCUUCUUGUGCGGUUCGAGUGGUGGACUUCCUUCAAUGCCCGCGCGUGCUGGUCCUCGGCCUCUUUGAGGGCCUCGAUGGCGAGGGCCUCAUUGCUUUGGGUGGCCGCGGCUCGUGCCUCAGCUGCUGCCAAUCUCACCUGGAGUCUCCUCACCAUAACCUCGGCGUCCUCGGCUCUGCGGAUCUGCUGCUUCAGAUGGGCGGCCUGCUCGUCGCAGAGUUCAUCCAAAGUGAGGAGAUAGGCAGCCAUAUGGAGCACGGUGGGGUCAUCCUCGCGCUGUCCACGUCCUUCCAAAGUCCUCACCCGGGCCAGCCAAACCGGGCGGUUCUUCUUGACAGGCGGGUAAAACCUCAUCGGUGUGCGACCGAUGUGCCUCUCAUAAAUUUGGCACAGGUAGCGCAGGGCUUUCCGAGCUGCCACCUGGUAAGUGUCUUUCCGCUGGAAACCAGUGGCAGACACAUUCCAAGGCUAGACGUCGGGGAAGCGGCUGCUCCUGCCCACGUAGAUGGUCAUCUCGCAUCGGAGGGUCCCACGGUCUUCAUACUCCCGGCUAGAGUACUCCGGACGCUCGUAAAUCCCGAGGCGGUCCAUGCAGGCGAACAACAACCUGGGAAAACCGGGCUCCUCCAGGCAAUGGCUGUUGAUCCAACCUUCUUCGGCCAUCUGGAAAGAAUCGGGGUGUAAAUCAGUUUUGUAAUUGAGCAGAGGAAGCAAGAAAUUUUGUAAAUCAUUUAAUUUGGUCAAAAGGGCUUUUCCGGUCCUAAUGGUUACGUCCUACGGCCAACGACGGCUCUGAUACCACCUGAAGCGUCCCCACAUAAGUAGAGACUAAAUGUGAUCCAAUUAUCAGUCCUAGGAGGCUGAUAACACAUUUAUUCAACAGAUAGUUCAGAAACCAUACAGCUCCCGAAGGAGCGGGCAGGCAAGCCACACCCAAAGUAAAACUAAAGCGAUAACAAUACAAAUUCAAGUUGCAGUCCAGUCGGACUCCGGGCUGCAAUCGGAACUAAGCGUCAGCGGAAGCAUCCUGCAAAAGGGCCAACACCGCAGGCAGCGUUGGGGGCAGAUGCAACCUCCUACUCGAGAUCCUCGGCGACGAAGUCCGGAUCCUCCUCUGAAGCAACAAAACAGGGGUGAGUACAAAAGUACUCCACAAGUCCAACCCCAUCCACGGAGGGGAUACAGCAAGAAUAUGCAUGGGUUUCAACAAGGAUAUGGUUAAGGUUGAUUUGCAAUAAAGCUAGAUUUUUGACACAUGCAGGGUUUUAUUUCAAAGAAUUUUCAUAAUACAUUUUCUUUGGUAACCGAAACAUUAAGUGGGGUUGAUCCUACACAAAGGAUCCAAAUUUUAUCGCUACCGGACUCCCCGUCCGCCGUAGCGCAUGGCACAACUGCCGGACACUUCCAAAAUCCAACACACACCAUAAAAACCAACCAUCUCCAAAUGCUAGUUAUGUGACCAAGCCGUCCAAUGCCGUGGACACGGCUACCCGGAUAGGUUUUAACUCUGCAGAGGUUGUACACUUUUCCCACAAGUAGGGUACCGCAUCACGAUCACCUUAGUGACGGUGCGGAUCCUAACAAAGCCAUUACCCACCUUAGCCAACACUGACUAGUCAACACGGAAGCACCCAAGGAGUUAACGACCCAUCCACGGGGCCGAAACCGGGACCUAAGUCACCCAGAGCUUAGUCCUUUUCCAUGGGCUCCCGUCGCUUCCCAGCACACCUGAAGCCUAGCAGUUUAGCUAGUGGGGUUUAUGCUAAGCCGUUGCCCAUACAACGGCCGAGUGGUUGCACGAUGGUUGAAUUAGGCAAGAUGACACAUCAACUCGGUCCUUAGUCAUGACAAGAUGGAUAUCUCCCAACUCUGCUCAACCACUAAGGUACGAGCUCAACAAUCCGGCAUUCCACACAAGAAACGCCCAUCCAUCUCAUCCACCACCUUUCUUUACACCCGAAAAACCCAACUCCUCAGUUGAACACACUCACACAUUUAUUUUCCGAAUAAAUAGAUGUAGUCAUGAUUGAAUUUAGGUAACGAGUUCCUAAGCAUUCUAGCAGUAUUUAUCAUCUAAACAGAGCAAUUCAUAUUUAGAGAUAAAUAUGGGACAACAAGGAAUAAUCAUAACAACCAAGGGGUGGCUAUCCAACCAUGUCUUGCAAUAAAACAAUAUGCAUUUUAUAAAACAGGCCAAUAGGUGGUGUCUGAAAAAAAAACUGGGUAUUAAAUAUGCAUCAAAGGGUGAGAUUGGACUUGCCGUUCUCAAAGCCUUCCGGGAGCUCCUGCUCGCGGUACUGGUCUUCGGGCUCGGGCUCGCGGUCGAACUCCUCCUCGUGCUCCUCCUCGGGUACUCCGCGAUCUACGGCACACACAAACGAGCACACAAUAAAUAAAAAGGAAAAAGAUUUUACCCGUUGAGCUCCGAACAGGAAAUGUGAACGGAAAAUAGGUAGGAAGGGUAUUUUCAUGAAAUUUGGAUAUGCCUCGGCGGAAAUAUAUGAGAGGAGGCCGUGGUCGAAUUUGGGAUCGAUCGGAGAAAGUUUGGCGCAUGAAAUGACGGGUUAACGGAGUAUUAGGGGCUGUAAGAUGAGGUUUAGGACUAAACCACGAGAACCAGGCACCUAUUUAUAAUUUUUUUCUGGAAGGUGGAAGGGCGUAUUCGCGAAACUUCUUUGAGAGAGGUGGGAGGGCUGGUUUGUAAUUAGAGGAAAGGAGGGGGUUAGAUCGAAAUUGAAGGGGAUUCUCCCCUUCUUCUUCCUGGAGCACGGGUACAGGGAGGUAGGAGGCAACCCGACGAUGGGCCGGCCAGUCAAGCUCGCCGGCGGCGAGACCAAGUGGCGGGGGAGGUAGAGGAGACCGAGGGGACUCCAUUUUGACCCUCACCUUGGGGAUUCGGCGAUGGGAAGUGAGGGGGCCGGCGUGGGGAAAAAGGGCGGCGGGCAGAGCUCUGGUGGCGGCGCACAGGGUCGGUGGAGAAGGGGGGAGGCGAGCUAGGAGGCGAGGCGAGGUGGUGGCAGGGGCGGCCAGCCUCGGCCCCUUUUAUAGGCGACGGGAGGGGCGGGCAGAGGUCGGAAGUGAUGGUGGUGGCCGGACUUCCGGCCGGUGGCGUGCCAGAGUGGAUGGCCGGUGAUGGCCGGCGUGACGUGCGGUGGGACGGCGGCGACCGGUGGCCGGCGACGCGGCGCGUGCGGCCAGGCGCUAGGUGCCAAAGGCCGGGCGUGCGGUGCGCAGGCGGGCUCGUGGGCGCGGCCGGGCGGACUGGUGCGGAGGAGCGAGCGCGCUCCGGCGCGGGAGUGGCCGGGCGCAGCGCGUGCGUGCAUGGAUAAGCAUGGACGCGUGCGAGAGAGGAGCUGAGCGCUAGGUAGCAGUGUGCUGGGGUGCGUGCGUUGUGCAGGUGGGACGGGGGCGGCAGGAGGUGGCGUGCAGCAGCUAUGCGAACAGUAGAGGUGCAGGGGGCCAGCGCUGGGGGCCAGGCACGGGCCCAGGGAAGUGCACGCGCGCCAAGAAAAGCCAGGCACUAGGGGACAUGCACCGGAGCAUGCGACAUGUACUGGAGCAUGCAGCAGGGGGGAGAGAGAAAAAGGACCAAGCGCAUGUGUGCGGAGCCAGAAGCAGUGCAUGCGGCCAGCACCAAGUUCCAGGAGGAAGAGAAAAUAAAAAAAGAAACGGUGCAUGCAUGCAUGCAUGCAGUACGUAGGAAAAGAAAGCAAGGAGCUGUUGGUGCGAGGAAAAAAAAAGGAAGAAAAGAAAGUGAAGGAAAAUGAAAGAAAAGGAAAGAAGGAAAAAGAAGGAAAAAGAAAUAGAUGGCGGCGAUUGCGGAAAUGGUCGCGGGCACGCGCGACGGUCUUCCAUCCGGCACACGGCGAAAUUUGCGGGGAACGGAAAAAGAGGGUUGACGACGUCGGGUGCCGGGACGGUGGGUCCGGCGGAAAGGAAAUGAUUUCUUGGGAGCUCGACGGUCGGGAAAAAAAUUUUGAAAUGAGUUUUUAACGAGUGAUUUAAUUUGGUAAAUUCCACGGGCGUUACAGUUAGGAAUACCAUGCAAGCAUGCAAUUGCUUACAUAACUUCUAUACCUGGUGAAAAGCUAGAAGACCAUGUGGAUGAAUGCUAUUCUGUGGCCAAAUUCAAAGCUGCAUAUGAAGGUUCCAUCCCAUCCAUUCCCAACAAGUCAAUGUGGCCUGAUGCGACACAUGGAUUCUUCAUGCAUCCUCUCUUGCUUAAGUCCACAACUGGUAGAAGAAAGAACAGGUACAAAGGGGCACUUGAAGGAGGUAGAAGGAAGAAAUCAAAGAGACAUGAGUGUCCAAUAUGCCAUGAGUUAGGGCACCACUUGUACACUUGCAAGAAUGGGAGUCCAGCAGACAUAGCUGCAAUAGAGGUUGACAGGUGCACUUCUCUCAGUUACAUUUAUUCAUAUAUGGUAUGAAUUGCAUUGUUGUAAUGUAACAUUUAUUUGCAUGCAGGGGUCUACCUAAGAAGAGGCAGAAAAAAGUAGCUAAAGCUAACACAGAGACAAGCAUUGUUGUGGCCUCAAGGAUGGUGUUCCCUCCCAAUGAAGCAGUGGAGAAUGCUGUACACAAGAAAAGAAAGAGAUGUCACGUGGAUGUUCCUUCUUCUUCAACCUCUGUCUCCAAAUCUACCAGGUUUGCAACUUCUACAUUUCUUUAUCUUUUUGGCAAUGCCUACAGUCCCUUAUUACUUCAUGUUUCAUCUACCACAAGAUCUGGAACUGGAUCCAACGAGCCUAUUCCGCUUCAAGUUGUGCACCUUGCCCAUUGGCAUGAAGAUGUGGCAGUUCAACCUCAGCCACAUGAAGCUUCUCUGCUACAAUUCGUACACCAAGGAGGAAAGUUGCAAUUAAGAAGAAGCUAACACCAAGAAAAGAAGGGUCGGCCACUGCAACUAACCCUUCCAGUUCAGCAGGAAAUACCAGAAGUAAGAAGCAACUCAUGAUGUAAUGGAGAUGUUGGGGAACAAUCUGAAUCUGAACCAUGUUGGUGAACAAUUUUAUAUUUCUGGACUCUCAUCAUCCAUCCAUCAUUGACUCAUUCAUUCAUUGAUUCAUUGGCAUACAAACACAGUGACACACACACACACACAUAGAACCCUACUUUUUCAUUAUUGCAUACAAGGCAAGGAAGAUGGAAACAAAGACCAGUUUCUCAAUCCAUUUCAGUUGCUGCAUAACCCUGUCUUGCACUACCCUUCCAUCCUGACCACCUUCCUGGAUGAGAAGCAUUGAAGUGGGAGCUGGUUCUGGCACUGCGUGAAGAGGAAUAGGAGACAAAGGUGUUGUACGAGCCACUGUCUACACACUACUAUCUCCCAUUUCAUCCUCCCACUGAUAGUACUGACAACCUCCAGCCUGAAAACCAAAGCAACAGUACAUUAUGGACAAAGUAGCCGAAACAAACAUUCUAGAGCCAAAUAAAGAGCAAGUUAACAACACAAACUGAAAAGUAAGGACAAUUGUGGAAGACACGGCGCAUGUUGCUACUGGUCAUCGAUGUGAACCUAUUGGCAAGCACACCGCAGUUGGGGCAAAGGACCCGCCUUACAAACGAGCCUGAAGCUUCAGACAUGCUAGCAAGAAAAGAGAGAGCACUGGGUGGGAGCUGAGUGAAGAGUGUGGAGAGAUCUCAGUGGGGGAGGGGUUUAUAGGAGCCACCGGGAGCAUUUUUAGCGCCAAAGCUCCACCAUGUUGGCGCCAAAAAGAACUGAGGGCACGCCAGUCUUUUUCCCCCUCUGUCAGGCUCUGUUAGCGCUACAUUUGGACGGAAUGGCUUGCAGAGAAAACAAAGUUUAACACGAUGGCACUCGUGGGAGGUCAUCUUUUUAAUGACUUGUGCGAAUUUACCAUUUUUUAUAAUGGCAGGAAAUGACUCGAAGAAUAUUGCAAUGCGUUCGGGAGAGAGAGGACGUUGUACGUCGUCGCAUCCAUUCGAGGAGGGGUAGGACUAUGUAUCAGACAUGGACCCCUCGUCUCUGCCCAUUUCUGUCCUGUUGUAUUGCCGAAAAGAUGGACGCAGCUGCAGCGGGAGUACACACAAAAACACAUACACCAUCAGCCCAUCGCAUAGGUUUGGCAAGAUGAUGUUCAAAAAUCAAGUGCAUUAAAUAUAUGUGCGCUAAGAUCAAGUUACACACAUGCAGACAAUAGCGAAUAUCAAAGAUAGUGUUAAAACAAAUAUAGAGAGUGUUAAACUAUUUAUUACACAACCGAUAGUCUUAAAUAAACAUAAUCUUAAUUAAACACGCAACGGAAACUGAAGACGACGACGACGACACCAAGAGCAGUCGACUGAAGAACGAACGCCUAGAACUCCUUAAAGUCAUCUAGGUACUCCACCAGAUUGUCUUGGUCUGAACAACGGGUAUUGCAAUGGUGAGUACACUUAUGGUUGGUACUCAACAAGUCAUGGGGAAUAGUGUAAGGCCAAUCAAAGGAGUGACUAAGGCUAACAACAUCAACAUUUAAUUAAGUUGAUCAAAUUUUAUUAGCAAUUACUAAAUAUAAGUUUAUACCACCCAAAAUUAAGCAUGAAUAAGAAUAAAGCAAUAACAUGAAUAAAAUAACAACAAUUUAAGUCCAUAUUUUGAUGAAGGUAUCAUGUGAGGGUUCAAGCCGCUCUUGACCGUGAGCACGGCUGAUCGAUCGGCUUUACACACUGUAGAGGUCGCACAUCUUUAUCCACAAGUCGCAUAAACGUUCAAAGAACUUUAGAUCCAACCAUGUGAUGCUAGCUAGGCAUCAUACCACACUUCCGACGUGUGAACGCGUAGGGAUGCUACGAGACCUUUACAAAUAUUCGCUAGUAAGUAGUAACCCGCUAAGGUUUUCAGAUUAGUAGUAAGCCAUCACACCCUAUCUACCGUCGUCCCUCUUACCUCUUAACGAGUAAUAUUAUCCCAGACUAGAGUUUCUAAUUAAUUUGCUGAGACCAAAGCUAACUAGUUCUUGUGGUUGUACUAUUUUCCUGGGUGGUCGCUCCAUGUUCCAAUUAAACAUGAUGUCCUUGUAUUAAAAGAAAGGUAUAGCGAAAAUAAAGCAAUAUUAAACAUUUAUGCCAAUUAAACCAGCAAUUCCCACGUAAAGCGACAAGCAUAAGCUAUCCGACAAGAAUAUAAACCCAGUUGAUCAAGGCAAAGGUAAAUGAAAACUAGUCAUCCUUAAUUGGGACCCAUCAAAUUAAUCAUAACAUGUGCAUAGCAUAAUUGUUGAGUACGAGAAAGUAAAGGUGUAUAGGACUGAAAGUAGUGAUCAAGGAUACGACUUUCCUUCCUGGCCUUGCUCGUGCUGCUCGUACUCCUCGUAGGCUUAAUCUUCAACUUCCUCGAACUGCAAACCUUCUAUACGUGUCACACGAGCACAUACAAGCAGACACAAGCAAUAAAUAAGAAAUAGUACACCAAAACAUAAUAAACAGAGAAAAUAUGUUUUUAAAAGAAAUCUACCCAUUACAAUGAUCGCGUGGACAUAAAGAACGCUAAAAACGGAGCUAGGAUGCAAAAGAUAUGCUAAAAAUAAAAUACAGGGGCAUAUCUGCGAGAAAACUAAACUUCUAGGAGUCUAACGUGCAAAAACAGGGGGUCUAACGUGCAAAAACUACGUUACGGACUGCGGGUGAGAUUUUGAGAAAAUAGAGGGGCCUGCGAGAAAAAUGUGAGGGCGAUUUUGUAAAUAUUUUUGACUUGACUAGGACCGUGGGUUGAUUUGUGAGAAAAUUAGGGGCCCUUUUGAAAAAAGGCUCGGGUGCGGGCGCACUAACCUAGGGCGACGAUCUCCAGCCGUUCAAUCAAAGAUGGACGGCCGAGAUUAGAUCCAACAGCGGCUAUCGAUGCGGCCGUCGGUCUGAGAUCGGAGGCCGGUGGCCGUCGGUGAGGGCGGACAGGGCAGCGUGCUGGUUUCUCGUGCUGACCGGCGGCGCAGCGCCGCAACGAGGAGGGGGAAGGCGGAGCUGGCCUGCGCGGGGGAGGUAGGAGCGGGCGACGUUGCGCGGGCGAAGAGCUGCGGCGGCGUGCUCACCUCCGGCGGAACUCCAGCGGCGAAAGACGGCGACGGCGGCGAGUUUGGCAGGCGGCGGCGCGGAAAGCUUGGAGAUGGCGGCGGUGCAACGCUCGGCUAGGGUUCGUGGCGACCCCGGACGGCGCGACAUAUUUAUAGGGCGGAGAGGAACGCGUGAAUAGAUAGAGGGGCACGGGUUUGAAUCGAGGCGGGGAUAAGAUUUCGCCCGGAAGAAACGAAGCGGAGGAGGCGGAAUCCGUUGCGGCGGCGGAGCGGAGUCCGACCGGACUCGGCCAGAGGAGGAAGACGAUGUGGGCCCCACCUGCCAGCGUCCGCGGGCGGGGAACGGGCCGUCGCGGCUAGCUGGGCCGAUGAACGCUUCGCGGGCCGGGGGAAAAGGUGGAGCGGGCCGGGUGCAGCAAGCUGAGGAGGCUGGGCCGAAAUUGAGGGAGAGAGAGUUUUCGGCCCGGAGAGAGGAAGAAAAGGGGAUGGGGUUUGAGAUUUUAGAAAGAGUUUAUAUUUUGAAAUUUAAAUUCAAAUGCACUCAAACAAUACAAAACUUUAUGCUCCGGCAUGAAUGCACAAAAACCUCCUACGGUUUGAUUAAUUUUGAAAAUACGCUUUUAAAAUGCCUACAAAUUCAAACCUGCCCUUAAUUUAAUUUAAAUUUUUAUUAAAUUUGAAACCUCAAUUUUAGGGUGUUACAGAUGAUUUUUUUUCCGUUGUGGAUAAUGGGUGCGCAUAAAGGACUUUGUUUUUAGACCAGUGCGCAUAAAGAAGUUAGAGACGAUGCCAGAAACAAAUUAAUAAGCACAGGACGAACAAAUUACAGCAAUACUCUUUCUCUUUCUAUAGCACAUGAGCAUUUUAUCGGUGCCUAUGUAGUUUUCAGUGUAUAUUUUUUAGGCAUGAGGGAGAAAAACAUAAGAGAAAGAGGAGAAAAAAAGAGGAGAAAUGACUGACCACACAUAGUUUCCAAGUGAACGCAGCGAUGCAGUGUACAGUUCAGAACCCAAACGAUUUUUGGUGUUGUUUUGAAGCACCUGACUAACAACUGCAUCCCGAACUACUGACUCUACACCUUCCUUCUGCCAAAAGAUCUAAAAAAAUUAAAGGAUUGCUAAUAAGGACCAGGACACGCUCAGAUUUGUGGAUAUCUAAAUAAGUUAACUUCCAGCUAGCAUGGAUAGUUAACUGCAUAGCACCACAUCCAUCCUUCCUCGCAUUGAGCCCCUUCUUCUCUCCUUCUCUCCUUACAGCAGACACAAGCGUAAUGGAGACGUACAGGUGCAGGAGGGCGAUCCCCAUCUCGACUUCAAUUUGGCCAUGUGGAAGUAGGACCACCACCAUGUGCAGGAGGGCGUCCCCCGUUAUGCAUCAAUGCUGCACCUAAUGACUGUGACCUGACAGCCCGACAAUUGGUUAUGGGAGCCAUGUGAUUUCGCAUCUCAAAGGCAUCGUUUAUCCUUCCUCUCCCUGCUGCUGCUCAUCCUCCCUUCACCGAACUACUUGUUGCAAUCAGAAGAAAGAUCAAUCGAAUUGAUCAAGAGACAGAUUGGAAGCUAGUCACCGUUGAUGGGUUCGUGAGUGAUGUUAUGAUCCGUCCCUCUAUCAUAACCGUUGGAACGCAGCUGGUGCAGAAGUUAAUUACCUGAAGCAAUUUGUAGAAACGAAUAGUACUGGUUCGUUCACUUAUUUCUUUGUUCAAACUUAAUUUCUGCUUAGAGUUUGUGCCUUGUGGUGAGACUAAAUUAGCUGCUUACUAGUCCACCAACUCGUGCUCCUGCACAUGCUAAUGUUAUUAAAAGAUAUUGUAUUUAAAAAUUAUUUAGAAAUUAAACUCCUAGCUAAUAAUCAAAAUUGUUUACCUACUACUCUCUUAUUUUUUCAAUACUUCAACAUAAUACUUAUAUAGAUAUGUACCUAUCUUUGUCUAGUUGUGAUUGAUUUUUAAUUAAUAAUUACUCUAUGCACUUUUUCAUCCAUAUUCAUACUUUUUUAAUUUUGUAUCGCAGCUACAAUUCUCUAGACAUUAUGUUUAUCAUACAAAUCAAUAUUUUUCAUCGAUUCCUCACAUACAUGUAUAAAUGGUCUAAAUGGUGGGACUCAUCAUGUGUAUAUACUUUAACUUAGUAUUUUUAUAUUAAUAAUGAGAUAAAUAGGUAAUUUAGAUUCAUAUAUUAAUUUACUUUUUGACGUAUGAUGCACAUGAAGAUAAUUAGAUUAAGAUUUAGGUGUUCGCUUUAGGUUAUUUUUAAUAGCGACGUGGGUAACAUAGAUAAAAUUUUAGAAUGAUAUUUUAAGUUAUACUUUAUAAUGAUAUGAAUUAGUAAAUUUUAUGAAUAUUAUUGGGUUACUUUAGAUUAUUUUUUAUAAUAGCUGAGCUCAGUAAUUUAAAUAUAGGUUUAGAGCUCAUUUUUUAAUAUUUUCACAAUGAUAGCGGUGGGUAACUUUUUAGAAAAUAUAAUAAAUCAAUGGCUAUGAUUAUUAGAGUCGACAGGAUUGGUGUUUGAUGUUUUUAUUUUUUAUGAGAAUUGUCUCUUUUUUCUAGUUUGUCUCAUGGGAACUAAUGCGGAGCCUCCAAUGGAAAAAAAUGAUACUAUAUUGCUACAAAAUUAUCACCAUAAGCUACCUCUCGUUUGUUAAAUAUUCGAACACAAUACUUAUAUAGAUAUAUACUUAAUAUCUUCAUCCAAUUGUGAUAGAUUUUAGUUAGUAAUUACUCUAUAAUAUUUUUAUCCACAUUUAUAAUAUUUAACUUUUCACUUUGCAUCGCAGAUAUGCGCUUGAAUUUGUUUAAUGAACCCUAAGUUUGAGACACAAUUUUAACAUAGAAAUCUAUAUUCACAUCACUUUAUAUCUUUAUAAAUGGUGACACACAUCAUGCGUAUAGAUCUUAAUUAUUAUAUCAUAUACCAACAGUGCAAGAUACAGAGGAUAUAGAAUCAUAUAUUGCUGUAUAUUUUUAAUUAAAGUUAUUUGAUUCAAACGUAGGGUUACGUCAUGUUAUUUUUAAUAAUAGCAUGUGUGAGUAAUAUAGAUGCAAAUUUAAGGAGUUACUUUAAAUUCUUUAAGUAAUAGUGGUGUACAAUUCAGUUGCAAAUUAGGGGGUUAUUUUAAAUAUUGUUUCUAAUGGUAUAAGUGGGUAAUUUUGAUAAAGAUUAGAGGGUAACUUAUAUAUAGAUUUAGGGGGUUACUUUAGGCUAUUUUCAUAAUGGCAUGGGUACUUUUUUAGAAAACAUAAUAGAUCUAAUGGCUAUGAUGAUUUGAAUCUAUCGAUUGAUGGUCGGAUGUUUUGUUUUUUUGUGAGAAUUCUAAAAUUUCUCUCUUUUUCUAGAGUGUCCACCUAGGAAUCCUAGGUGGCUUCACCUCGAGGCUUCAAAAGGAGCCUCCAAUUAAUAAUAGUAAGAUUAUGCUGGUUGCAUGCAGGAGAUCGAGCUGCGGGCGCACAGCCGUAUCGGAUGAGGACAUAUCAGCUGGGUUCCUGUUGGUUGUAUACUUGUGUUCCUGCCGGCGGAGAAGCAACCAUGGCCGAGUUAGUGAUCGGGCCACUGAUCUCCAUGGUGAAGGAGAAGGCAUCCAGCUACCUGCUGGACCAAUACAAGGUGAUGGAAGGAAUGGAGGAGCAGCGCAAGACCCUGGAGCGCAGGCUGCCAGCAAUCCUGCACAUCAUCCAGGAUGCAGAGGAGAAAGGAGCCUCCCGACCUGAAGUAGCAGUUUGGCUCAAAGACCUCAAGGCAGCGGCCUAUGAGGCCAACGAUGUCUUUGAUUAGUUUAAGUACGAGGCGCUUCGGCGAGAAGCCAAGAAGAAGGGCCACCACAGCAAGCUUGGACGCCGAAGCCAAGAAGAAGGGCCACCACAGCAAGCUUGGAGCGGAGGUAGCAAAACUCCUAGUCCCCGCUGGUAAUCCCAUUGUAUUCCGUUACAGGAUGGGCAAGAAGCUACGCAGGAUUGUGCAGACCAUCGAGGCUCUGGUCACCGAGAUGAAUACAUUUGGUUUCAGAAACAUGUAGCAAGCACAGCCAUCAAGGCAGUGGCGACAGACAGAUUCCGUAAUCAUUGACUUCGACAGAGAUAUUGUUAGCAGAUCUAGAGAUUGGGAAAAGAAGAAAAUCAUGGGGAUGCUCCUUGAUCAAGCUAGCAACAUGGAUCUCAUGGUUCUUCCAAUUGUUGGGAUGGGUGGGAUGGGCAAGACCACCUUUGUGCAACUCAUUUACAAUGAUCCUGCAAUCGAGAAGCACUUUGAGCUUCAGAGGUGGUGCUACGUGUCAGAUGAUUUCGAUGUUAGUACCAUUGCAAGCAACAUCUGCCAGGCAAACACUUCCAAUUGGCUAUUUUAGAAGUCUUCGUAAGUCAACCAUAUGCAAGAUACAUCAUCUCAUGCAUGACAUUGCUCUAUCUGUUCUGGGGAAAGAAUGUGUCACUAUAGUUGGUAAGCCGAGCGUCAAUAUAUGGUGUUAGUCCUGUUUUCUGGAAAGAACAGGUUACAAGUCUACUGGAUCAUCUAUUGAAGAAACAAACUGCAAUGCUCCAUACGUUGUUUUUUACAGAUUAUUUUGGUGUUCCCCUUGAUAUAUCAAAGUAUACUUCACUGCGAGCAUUACACCUUCCAGCACGUACAUAUUGUUUCGGACAGGAACAGCUUACAAGACACAUACAACACCUAAGGUAUCUUAAUCUGUCGUCACAUGAUUUCGAGAAACUUCCUGAAGGUAUAAGCAUUAUGUAUAAUCUACAAACGUGCAUGCCUCUAUACCAAUGGAUGCAAAUCAUUGACGUGCAUGCCUCCAGGACUUGGACAGAUCACUUCUCUGCAGACUUUAACAUAUUUUGUUAUUGGUGAUGGAUUGGGAAGUAGUACUAUCGGAGAACUUCAAAACUUAAACAUUGCUGGAGAGUUAGAGUUAAGUGGUCUGCAAAAUGUAACAGAAGUGCUUGCAAAAGCAGCCAGUCUUGAAAAUAAAGAGAAACUCACACACUUAUCUCUCGAGUGGAAUGAUGAUGCCUGUGAGAAACCAGAUUCUCAUAAUGGGGUGUUAGAUGCCCUUAAACCUCAUCAUCAGCUGGAGAUGCUAAGAAUAAAGUCCUACAAAGGCACCAAUUUACCGUCAUGGAUAACAGAUCUUAGUCUGUUGCAGCACUUGACUGGGCUCCAUCUGCUUGGUUGUACGCUGUGUGAGGAAUUCCCUCAAUUCUGCCGUUCCAAAGCCCUUGAAGUUCUGUAUUUGAAAAAGUUGGACAAAUUGCGAAGCCUAUGCAGCCAUAUGGUGUCUACGCCAUUUCCAGCACUGAAGCAACUCUGGUUACAUGAUUUGGAGAGCUUGGAGAGAUGGGGUCGCAACAGAAGGAAAAGAAGAUGAAUUAACCUUUCCUGUACUCGAGGAGGCACUACGGGAAACAGUAGAUUUGCCGAGUGCCACAGGCACUCGACGAAGGCCUAAAAACAUUCGCGAAGGCCUUUGCCGAGAGGCAAAAAACACUUGGUGACUUUGAACCCUCGGCGAAAACGAGGGUAAUGGCAGCCAUGGUAACGGCGAAGUUGCCGAGUGUCAAACGGCCGACACUCGGCAACCUCCAUAUAUGUUGUCGAGUGCCAAGGCUCGGACACUCGGCAACUAACUCUAAGUUCGCCAAGUGCCACACUCGGCGAAGAGGCGCCACCGGCCAGCAGCUUGCUUGUUUGCUGAGUGUUAUAGCAGAAACACUCGGUGAAUACGUGGACUUCGCCUAGUGUUGUAGCCAAAACACUCGGUGAAUACGUAGAUGUUGGCCAAGUUCUCGGCAAACCAUCUACACCCGGCAAAUAAAUGCUAGAAUCACAGGAAAUGGCCUCUUUGCCGAGUGUUAAUGCCAAAACACUCGGCGAAGCCCCUCUUUGCCGAGUGUUACACUCGACAAACUAACCAAAUCACCCCUAUUUUUAUUGUUUUGUGAUGUAUAAAAGACCCCUCUCAACAGAUAUCACAGGCAUAUAUCUUACAUCACAGACAUAAUUCACAACCUCCAAUACAGACAUUAUUCAUAAACGUCUUAGUCAUAAUCCAUUGUAAGCAUCAAACAAGCCAUAAGUCCAAGUUCAAGUCACAACUAAGUUUCUAAUAAUUAAGCCACAAAUGCAAAGCCUAAAACCAUGGAGGCCGUGGGGAGAACUGCGACAAAUCCGGGUCUUGACCUUGAGUAUUCGAAGCUGCCGAAUGAUUCUGCACGCAGGAUAAGACAUUUUGAGCUAACAUCUAAAGUUGUCUAAGUUAAACUAUUCAAUGUUAAGCAUAAUGUGUCAAGUGACUCACAGGAGUAGUUGUGGGUGGCUGAGGUGGAGGGAAUAGCAUCGGUGGCGGUGGCAAUGGUUGACCCAUACUUGAAGCAAAAUUCUGCAUGUAGUGGAACAUUUGUUCCUCAACCGAUUUUCUUUCUCCACCCUCCUAGUCUCGGCCUGUACCCUUUGCUGAACCAUCUGCUCCAUCGUCACCGUCAUCUCCUGUUGUUGCUUCUUUGUUGCUUCCAACUCGGCCUACAAUAUUUCAUCGCAAUGCUACAAUGCAAAGCUAAAGUACGUAACAACCAACUAACGAUGAAUGGAAUAGAAAGAACCUGGAGAGCCUCCAUCUGGUACUGUGCAGUGGUUGGUCAUGGCCGUAUCGCUGGGCUCGAGUCCAUGCUCCUUGCUCGGAUCUGGGAGAGAGUGAGAGUAGAGGUCGUGUCGAUUACGCUAUCGCCAAUCCAAUACCGGCCAUGCUUCUUGCCUCCUCCCACCAUCAUCACGACUUCUCCAUCAAUAUCCUCGGAGCUCGGGGGCCUCGCCGCUUUACCCUUCCCUCUAGCCUUCCCUCGAGGCCUCUGGACCUCUUCCUCCUCCUCCUCAAAGCCGUGGAGAAUAUGACAUCACUCUGGAAAGGCUCCUCGAGAUAUAGCACCAACAUUAUAUAAACUGGCAUGCAUGGAGAAAGCACAGAACUAUCAGGGAGGACAUGGUUGAUCAUAAUUGGACUAGAGGUCUAUAGAGAAUGCAAACUAUGGAGAAAAUGGCAGAAUUCAUAAUCCUUUGGGAUUUGGUGCAGGAUGUGGACCGCAUGUGGAUCUUACACUUCAAAAUCAGUAUAUGAGGCACAAUUCAGAGGAUCCUUUACCACCUUUGAACCAAGCGACAUUUGGAGGGCCUACACUGAAGCUAAGCAGUACAAGUUCUUUGCAUGGCUGUUAAUUUAGAGCAAGAUCAUGACAACUGACAAGAUGAUGGCCAUAAACUGGGACUCUCACAUGAUCUGCCCCUAUGUGAUCAGGAAAAUGAAACAGCUAUCCACCUUUGCCUGAACUGCUGUUAUGCCAAAGAAAUUUGGGUCCUAGUAAGCAAUUGGACGUAGGAGCUAUCUGCAUGCCUGCAACUGAUGAGGAUGAAAUGGAAGCGUGGUGGACUCGAUCCUUACAAGCUUUCAGCAAAAAGCAAAGAAGAUCAAUGGCUACAUACAUGAUCAUGACAACGUGGAGCAUAUGGAAGGAACACAAUCGUCGAGUUUUUGAAGGAAAAUCCCUAAGGGCAAUUCAAUUUUUUGAUUUGCUUCAAGAGGAGGUGAUGAUGCAUCAUGGUGUGGUACCCCAGAUUUGAGGUAGUGUAUCUUUAUUUUGGUUAUGAGUUAUCUUAGAGACCUACUUAAUUUAUGUAAUAUCGAUCUAUACGUAACUUUAAGCUUCUAUCUCGUUAAAUGAAGUAGCAGUGCUCAUGCUUUGUUUAAAAAAAAAUCUGAGUCCUUCAGUUUGCCACGUGAGCCGAUGAAGCAGAAACAGAUGAUGAUGAUGGAUGAUAUAGCCGCCGGGACCCACUGCAACCUCGUGCACCAAUCAUGACGAUCUCUAACGGCAAAGGCAUGCAUCCAGUAUGGCCUGAUGAAGUAAUUUAGGCUGCCGAAUUUGUUUCUGCUCGUUGCGCAUAGAAGGCGUCUUUUCGUUUCCUUUUUUUUUUCCCACUCGAGAAGGAAUUCAAUUCGGAUCAUCAAAACAACAGCCCAGUCCAGACUGAAGAAUUUGGUCACCAAAUUUGGAUGGAGGUAAAAAGUCACUAAUUACCUGCAGCACUGAAUAGUACUGGUUCGUUCAUUUACUGUUUCCUCAAACUUUCAGCUGAGAGUUCGUGCAUUGUGGUGAGACUAAAUUAGCUGCUUAAUCUGCUGCAGGACAUCUGUUGGUCGUGUUAAUUCCUGCUGGUGGUGGAGCAAACCAUGACCGACUUAGUGAUCUCGGGCCGUUCAUCUUCAUGGUGGAGAACGUGAUUGAAGGCAUGGAGGAGCAGCGCAAUGCAAGACUGAAACAAAUCAGAUUUUUAUUUCUAAGAAUCCGACUCCGUGUAACCUUGCGAUAGUUCCUGGAUCAGUAGCUGUCACGUACAAAAUUCAACCUAUAAGUGUAUAGGACUUUGAGUAAGAAGGCACGAAGCACUUAGAAAUUACAUUAAUAGCCUGCAGCCUACAAUUAGCUGCAUGGAAAAAACUAUGAUUAGAUAUAAAUAAAACCAUCAGAGGAAGUAGGGUAAUAAUUUAGACAUGUCAAGUUUAGUAUUAACAGUCGCGCAUAAACAAUUAUAGAGUGCGAAAAUUUAAUAGGAAGGAUAUAGUAGAGAUUCCCUUAUAUUACAAUGUUAAUCUCCAGGACGGGGUACCGGUGGAGGCGAGGAGGGGAACCGGUGGAGGGAGGCGAGGGUUUUAGGUGAGGUUGAUGAGGUGGCGUCGCUCCCUUUCUGUUGUGCGAUGCUCCCUUUCUCCGAUUCCUCCAAUCUGUUGUGCGAGAUUGAAGGACCGAAAGAGCGACCAAAGGGGGGUGAAUGGGAGCCUAUAAAAAUUCUCAACGAGAACAAGGCCUAUGUCCCAAACGCAACCCCAAAGCACACCGUGUGUUUAAUCGUCAAGAUGACGCAAGUCAACUCGUGACAAGCUCACCCUAGGAACGAUAAGAGAUGCACAAAACAUAGCGGAAGCAAGAUAUGAAUUGACUCCAACAAGUUUUCUCAACACCCGGUUAACCAAGAUUACUACUAGCUAAUUAUCUAACUAAGCAUGCAUAAUCAAAGAUUAAUUUAAGUGCUAGGCAUGACUAGCAAAGAGUGAUAAAAAAAAUAACGCAAAUAGCACUGAUUAGCAAGAGACACUAGAGAUUAAAACGCUAAACAAAAUAACAAAGAUUAAUUAGCAAUGGCAUGAAUCAACUAACGACCCAAAAGGAGGUGCUCACUGUGCUGGACGUUCGCAUGGUCUGCUAGUGGAUUUUUUUCUUGCGGUCUGGUGCUCCUGGUGACCUGCGCUGGCCCACUUGGCCUGGUGGCCGGCCUGAGCAGCAAGCAGGCUUGAACUGGGCCGCGUGCUGCUGCCACCUCGCCCGGGCCUGCUUGGCAUACGCUGGGCCUCAAGCACCUGAGCACAGCUGGGCCACCUUUCACACGCGAGCUGGACCGCUGACCAGGCUGCUCGCUCCACGCACGUGAGCGCCUGCUGCCUGCCCCUUCCCGGUGGAACAUUCCUGCGAAUGAACAGAGAUGAACAGAACAAGAACACAAGAAGAACAAGAAGAACAGCCGAGACUUCAAAUCAUAAGAUCUCCUCCCAUACUUCACAGAUCGAGAUGAAACUUGAGAUAAGGAUGCAAUACCCCAAGGGCAAAUAGAUCUAUAAAGCAAAUCCUGAAAGAACUCAAGUAUACAUCACUAAUCUUGGAGAAAACCGAAACCCUAACUCAAGAACACGAUUUGGAAGAAAUUAGAAAUCCAAGCCGGAUCCGUGAGAGAUUUAAAAGGGGAUCAUAUCAAAUAUGCUCUCCAAGGUCUUAGCAACAUUUCCGUUCAACCAAUCUCACGAUAUUCGGGCUCAAACGUGAUGAACGAAAAUUCCCCAAAAAUAGUUCCGAAAAUAGGGAAAAAGAAAAACACUCAGGAAUCAAAGAUUUAGCACAAUUUGAGAUAACAAAUAAAGCUAAAUCAUGAGAACAUCUUCUAUACCAGAUGAGGAACUAGCCUCCUCCCUUCAUCCACCCACUAAAGAUAAAGAAAUCAAGAGAAAAGAGUAAUCACUCUCUAAUCUCCCUCUCUCCUCUCACUUUAAGCACAUGACUAGCCUCUAAGCCAAAAGAUAAUGAGUUGCUAAGCAAAGAGGUACUGAAAUAACCAGCCCCCAACCCUAUUUAUAGUCCAGGACGAAAGACUAUACUACCCCUACAGCUACAACUAAGUUAACUACCCACGCAGGGGUAUUUUGAUCCAAGUUUUUAUCCGCGCAUCGGACGGACACGCCGCCUUCACGACUUUGCUUCGCCUCGACGCAAGCUUCGCGAUGACGCCACGUGCCCUCCUUCUCGAAGCCCCGGCCGCACCGGGCUCGCCCCCGGUUUUGAGGCCCAAACCGGGAAACCUGCCUGCGCGGUGGUUUUGAGGCCCAAACCACCCAAACCGUCCAUCUUCGCUUGGCCGCCAUGCAACCUCCUCGAUAUCGACGCGUGUCCGGCCUCCGCCAAGCCUCCCGCUUGACUCGACCGACACCGUCUCCAUCCUGUCAUGCCCUCUCGCCAUUCCGUGCACCAUGUGGACCGCCCGUGACUUCGCCCGGACUCCUCGGGUCCAUCGGUCCAAACCUACUCGCGUUCAUCCUUCACCGCCUUUGGUCCAUCAGCAUGAACCUUUCGCUUGACCUUCACCGCACGCUGUCGACCGCCACGUCGCAUCCUACACCUGCACAUCACAAGCCAAGAGCAACAUCAAACCAACACAACGUUGUCAAUCACUCAUCAUCCAAGGGUGACCACCAUUGGUCCUCAAUCUUCCCCUUGAUGAGUGCAUUGACAACACCACACAAAUUCAUAGUAUUGAAACAGAAAGACAAGAAACUCAAAAUAGAAAAAUCUCAGUCCCCUAAAAUAAGAGCAACGGCUCUACACAACUGAGACAAAAUCAUGUGAUCCCUCAAGAAGAGGCAGAAAACAGGCUCAACACCAAUCACAUGAAAAUCCAAACUCAAAUCAAAAACCGGCUCCUCAAGAAGAGGUAAACAGCUCAACGCGACCGGUACAAGAGCAUAAGAGCAUAACAAGAGUAUAACAACUCAUAAAUACUCCCCCUGAACAUACACACUCCCCCUAAAAUCAUGCAUACAUGCAAAGUCUCCCCCUUGAUAGAUGAAAGAGUUUGUGUAGAUUUCUCUCCCCCUUGUUGACAAUGCAACCAUCAAGAAAAGCAUGAAAGCACAAAGUGCAUGCCAUGGAAAUGUAGAACCUAACAAGCUUCUCAAAUCUAUCACAAUGCACUCUCAAAGGCUACUAGGGAGAUAAAGCUUGAUAGAUCAUAAGAAACAAUAGCAUCGCCAACAAGAUGAUAUCAAGUUACAACAGUGGAGGUGAAGCAAGUAUCAAGUUUUAGCAAUGUAUAAAAAGAUCACCACAUGAGCAUUCACCUAGUUAAGAAUCACCCAAGCAAGAAUAGACUAGUCCAUCAAGACCUCAUACUAGGAAAAUCCAUUCUCAACAAGAGAUCAUUGCAAACACCCACAUAUGCAUCACAAGUCAUGUUUAAAGUUUGUUGAAACCAAGUGUCUACUGUCAGGCAUACACCCCAGGUCCACGAGUAGGCCUUGGACGGCCCACCAAGGGACGUACUCGGACAAGAUCAGAACAGGAUGGGCGUAUCCUACUCGGACUAGUCAAGUAUGUUUAUGGAAAACUACUCGGGCCAUUACCGAGUAGAACUCUAUAAUAGUACCCGACUAGGACUCAGACUUGUAACCCUGCCCUCCCGUGUAUAUAAGGACGGGCAGGGACCCCUCUCAACACCCAACCGGGAUAGACCUCAACACACGAGGACAACUCCAGUUCAUCAAAUACAAACCAACACACAGGAUGUAGGGUAUUACGCGAUCUAGCGGCCCGAACCUGUCUAAAUCGUGUUUCUUACGUCACCAUUGAUUCCUUGAUUCUCGACGACCCUUACCGCAUAAAAGACCACCUAGGGUACCCCAUAGGCGGGUUGCUGGUUCAAAACACCGACAGCUGGCGCGCUAGGUAGGGGACCUCGUCGAGUUUCUCAGCGCGAACUCAAUGGCAAAGGUCAUCAUCAGGCCCGUUUUCCUCAUCGAAGCCGGCGCCACCUUCAUUUUCGGAUCCUAGCUUUGCAUCGCCGACGGCUCGGAUUCGUUCUGACGCCAGAUCGUCGACGACCAGGAGAAGAAACCAGAAGAUCUGAUCGGAAAAAACCAAGAUUUCGAAAUCAACGAGUUCGAGUUCGACUACGCGUCGGAUUUGACUUCGCCUCGGACUACUCCGACCCUCUGCUCAGGGGUCGGGCGCACCUGACCCAAGGACUCAGGGUCGGGCGAGGCGGAGUUUCACCCCUUGGGGUCGGGCGAAGCGGAGCUACUCCCCCAAAGGGUCGGCCUCAGCCGACCCCAGAACUCAGGGUCGGACUCACCUUGGACUACUCGGUCCCAGCCAGUGUCCAAGUCGGUUUCGACCUCAAAGCGGUUCCCGCACGGACUCCGCAACGCAACCAAAGUCCACCAAGGUUUUCUUACUCGAACCCGAUUCGAACUCGGGCAUGACGAAGACGUCGACUCCGACUCGUCCUAUUCACCAGAAAUACCAUUAUCUGGUCCAGCCCAAGGAUUGGUAAUAACUUCGACAUCACAAGGCAGAUUCGUCCACUGGCCGGGAUUGCGACCAUCUCUUCUUGACCGCGACUACAACUCACGCCUUGUCGCCCAUAUAGACAACCUCCCAUAUCAAGAAGGCGUUCCACUCACUUCCAACUGCAAGGAAAGUUCCACAGAGAUUGCAACAUCAAGCUCCGGAAGCUACUACCCAGACAGGGAGAUACUUGUUAUUACUCAGAAUAACAACCCGAGUACUAGCCAGAAUAGAACCCCCAGGCGAUUAGCACAAAUCGACAACAUCUCCGAAGAUGAGUCUACAGCUGACGCCCCUCACAAUGAAACCUCCGAGCAGCGCAACCAAAGAAGGGCGCGCAAUGCUACUCGAGCCGAGCGACGACAGUUGAUGGCUACAAAUAUUCCCAUUACAAAUCUUGAAAGGGCUUUCAACGCAGUCCAGGCUCAGGAGCACAAUACUCCACUCGCGGCUAUCGCCUCAAUCGACCUUUUAACAACAUUGAUGCCUCAGGAUAAGGAUAACGCAGCCACAGCUCAACUCGUGCAGUGUGGCAACGGACUGAUCGCACAACUCGCGGAGCAAGCUUACAAGAUACUCGACAAAGAAUCACCAAUCCCGUCUGUUCCUCGUAUCACAUCUCAUCAAGAAGGUAGCAGGGGAGCUGCAGACAAUAACACCGCCCCACGAAACGAUAACGCAAUCAACCAACCUCGGCAACACAGCCAAGGUCCAAGCAAGCAUAAGGCCCCUGCUCAACAUAAGGAUGUUGGUGAGGUCAGCUGCACCAACUCGGUUAAAAGCAUCCGCCCUACUCGGAAGAAACACGAAAUGUCCAACUUCAGUGAUUUGCGAGAAAUUCUCAACAGUCGGCGCGAAUGGGAAGUCGACAGCUACAACCAUUUUCCUGCUCUCACAAACCGGGUAAUGAAAACAAAAUUACCCGACAAGUUCAAGCCAACCGGAAUCAGCAAGUAUGAUGGCAAGCAAGACCCAAUUCAAUGGCUACGAUGUUACUCGCUAGCCGUCCAAGCAGCCGGGGGCAAUAACGACACCAAAGUUAUCCAUUUCCCCAUAUGCAUGGAACCCGCACCACUGACCUGGCUUGAGUCACUCAAACCCAAGUCCAUUGACUCUUGGGCAGACUUGACAAAGGCUUUUACCAACAACUUCGCCGGCUCCAUGGCUAGACCAGGCAACAAGAUCGACUUAAGUCAAAUUAAGCAAAAAGAAGGCGAGACCCUAUGCGACUAUCUGCGACGGUUCUUCGAAAAGAAGGCUACCAUAGUCGACAUCUCCAAAACAGACGUCAUUGAGUGCUUCCAGAAUGGACUCUAUGAUCGACGAGCAUACCAAGACUUCGGUCGCCGACGACCAGCUGAUGUCAAAGAACUCAAAGUCAUGGUGCAACAGUGGGCGGAUGAAGAAGACAAAGAGCGAGAACGGUUCGGCUCCCACCGUAACCGCGGACGCGACAACAACCACAACAAUGACCCAGAUAGAACUCGGCAUAACGAUGCCCGGAACACCUAUUCGAGUAACCACAAUCGCAAAAGGAAGCCCAACAACACUGUUGCCGCCAUGACCAACUCCGGGAAAAAGGGACACCGCAGAAAUGAUGAAGGGCCAACCUUCACUGAGCUACUAAAAAAGCAGUGCCCAUGGCAUCCGACUAGCAAGCACUCGGCGAUAGACUGCUACAGCAUGCGCCGAGUCAUGCAAGACUUACCCGCACCACCACCCCCUGAAGAGUACACCAAGAAUAGAGAUAAGGGUAAGAAUAAAGCUCGCAACGACGAAGAUGAGGAAGGCGACUUCCAGACAGCUUCAAAAACUGUCAACGUCAUUUUCAGCGGUAUCCCAGGCACUGCAUCCAAGCGAGCCAACAAACUCGUACUCAGGGAGAUCAUGGCCAUCGAACCAACAGACCCUACACCGUUAAAAUGGUCAGAAGUUCCAAUUUCUUUCAGCAGAAAAGAUCAAUGGACAAAAUUUUCAGAACCAGGCCGUUUCCCACUAGUCCUGGAUCCAGUUGUGGCAGGAUCAAAGUUAACCAAAGUACUCAUUGACGGCGGAAGCGGCCUCAACAUUAUCUUCGCCAAGACAUUAAGGAAGAUGUGCCUCGACGUUACUGAAAUGCUUACCCCAACGGAUUUACCUUUCUACGGCAUCGUGCCUGGAAACGCGGCUAUACCACUAGGACAAGUUGUCCUUCCAGUCACCUUCGGCACUAAAGAACAUUACCGUACCGAGUACAUCAGAUUCGAAGUCGCAGACUUCGAGACAUCUUACCAUGCUAUACUCGGACGGCCAGCACUCGCCAAGUUCAUGGCCAUACCACAUUAUGUCUACCUGGUACUCAAAAUGCCAGGCCCCAAGGGGGAGCUCACGCUACGAGGAGAUCUACGGUGAUCCUACGAAUGUGACACUGAAGCUGUGGAAAUUGCUGCGACUACUCAAGCACCCAGUCCCAUACAACAAGUCUUCACAGCUUCAAAGAAGCUCAAUCCAACCGAACUAGAGAUCUCGGAAAACAAGUCGGGGUCCACAAAGGUGAAACCCGCCACUGAGCAAGACUUCAAAUUAGUUGACCUCCAGACAGGUGAUUCUUCCAAGACAGCCCUGAUCGGAACAGGGCUAGAUCCUAAAUAGGAAUUCGUGCUCGUCAGCUUCCUUCGGGCUAACCACGAUAUCUUCGCUUGGAAACCGGCUGACAUGCCAGGUGUGCCCAAGGAACUGAUUGAGCAUUCUCUCAAUGUCGAUCCCAAAGCUACUUCAAAAUGGCAACGACUACGUCGGUUCGCUCAGGACAGACGAGAAGCAAUCAAAAAAGAGUUAGCCAAGCUACUCGCGGCAGGGUUCAUCAAAGAAGUCUUUCAUCCUGACUGGCUCGCCAAUCCUGUGCUUGUUCGUAAGAAAAACAAUGAAUGGAGAAUGUGUGUUGACUACACCGACCUCAACAAACACUUAUCAAAAGACCCUUUCGGGCUACCCAGGAUCAAUCAUGUGGUUGACUCCACCGCUGGGUGCGCUUUGCUAUGCUUUCUCGACUGCUACUCCGACUAUCACCAGAUAAGCCUCAAAGAGGAAGAUCAAGCCAAAACAGCGUUCAUCACGCCCUUCGGAGCUUUCUGCUACAAAACAAUGUCCUUCGGACUAAAAAAUGCAGGAGCAACUUAUCAAAGGGCCAUACAGAUGUGCUUCGAAAGGCAACUUCACCGCAAUGUCGAAGCUUAUGUCGACGACGUUGUCGUCAAAACAAGAAACCGGGAGGAACUCAUUGCUGACUUGGAGGAAACUUUCUCUAGUCUCCGCGCUUUUCGAUGGAAACUCAAUCCUACUAAGUGCAUCUUUGGAGUACCUUCCGGUUAGCUACUCGGGUUCAUCAUUAGCCAUCGCGGCAUUGAGGCCAACCCGGAAAAAAUAUCUGCCAUCACAAACAUGCAGGCACCAGCCAGCAUUAAGGAUGUGCAGAAACUCACAGGCUGCAUGGCCGCCCUCAACCGGUUUAUCUCGAGACUUGGAGAACGGGGACUACCCUUCUUCAAGCUUCUCAAACGCCAGGACAAGUUCAAAUGGACGGAAGAGGCAGAUGAGGCACUAACACAACUCAAAGACUUUUUGUCAAAGCCUCCUAUACUCACCGCUCCUUCUCCGAACGAAGACUUGCUCCUAUACAUCUCAGCUACUAACUACUCAUGUCGUCAGCACGGCAAUAGUAGUCGAAUGGUCUGAACCGGGCCACGCUUACAAGGUCCAACGACCUGUCUACUUCGUCAGCGAAGUACUCUCGGACUCUAAAACUCGGUAUUCACCGAUACAAAAGCUCUUAUACGCUAUUUUGCUCACCUCCCGGAAGCUGCGCCAUUACUUCCAUGAGCACAACAUCACAGUCAUCUCCGACUUCCCGCUCGGCGAAAUUCUCCACAACAGAGAUGCCACGGGUAGAAUCUCCAAAUGGGCAGUUGAACUCGGAGCUCUCACGUUGAACUUCAAGCCAAGGACAGCCAUCAAGUCCCAGGCUUUGGUCAACUUCAUAGCUGAAUGGACUGAAAAUCAAGUUCCAACACCAGUCGAUCGACCAGAACAUUGGAUAAUGUACUUCGACGGAUCCCUCAAACUUGAAGGAGCCAGCGCAGGCGUAUUACUCAUCUCCCCCAGGGGAGACCAGCUCAAGUACGUGCUGCAAAUACACUGGGAAGCAUCUAAUAACGAAGCCGAGUACGAAGCACUGCUACACGGCCUUCGCCUCGCAAUCUCCCUCGGCAUCAAACGACUACUGGUGUACGGCGACUCUCUAGUCGUUAUAAACCAGGUCAAUGACGAGUGGGACCGGAACAAGGAAAACAUGGACGCUUAUUGCAAAGAAGUCCGCAAACUGGAAACCAAGUUCUCUGGCUUGGAAUUUCAUCACAUCGUCCGCGACAACAACGUUGCCGCUGACGUCUUAUCCAAAAUAGGCUCUACUCGCGCAGAGGUUCCAGCAGGAAUCUUUGUACACGAACUGCGCAAGUCAUCCAUAUCCGACCAAGUCACACCGCCAGCAAUCCCGACUGCUGACGUCUCUCGAGAAAUCAUGAUGAUAGAAGUCGACUGGAGGACACCCUUCAUCGACUACAUCAAAGAUCACCAGCCACCAUCCGACAAAAAUAAAGCUAACCAAACCUCCCGACGAGUAAAAAAUUACGUUCUAGUCGGAGACAAGCUCUAAAGGAAAGGUGCAUCGUCUGGAGUACUCAUGAAGUGCGUCACCAGAGAAGAUGGCCAAGAAAUCCUAGAAGAGAUUCACAGAGGAAUCUAUGGCAACCACGCCUCUUCUAGGACACUAGUUGGCAAGGCUUUCAGAGCAGGCUUCUACUAGCCAAUGGCUCUGGCUGACGCCAAACAACUAGUUCAGAAAUGCAAAGGUUGUUAAUUCUUCAUAAAAUAGCAACAUGUACCGGCCUACAAGCUAGUCACAAUACCUCCAACAUGGCCGUUUGCCUGCUGAGGGCUCGACAUGAUAGGUCCGUUACCAACUGCGCCAGGAGGAUUCAACAGAGUACUCGUGGCAAUCGACAAAUUCACCAAAUGGAUCGAGGUCAAACCGGUCACUUGCCCCAAGGCAGACCGGGUCCUCGACUUCUUGGAUGAAAUCAUACACCGCUACGGUUUUCCCAACAGGAUUAUCACAGACCUAGGGUGAAACUUCAAUAACCACGACUUUUGGGAAUAUUGCAAGAACAGCAGCAUCGACGUCCGCUACGUCUCGGUUGCUCACCCGCGAGCCAACGAACAAGUCGAGCGUGCUAAUGGCAUGAUACUCGACGCCCUGAAGAAAAGACUACAUGACGUUGGCAACACCAGAGGUGGAAAAUGGCUCAAAGAGUUACCAAAUGCUUUGUGGGGUCUCCGUACCCAACCGUGCAAGACUACGGGGCUAUCACCUUAUUUCCUGGUAUAUGGCUUGGAAGCCAUAUUACCCGCUGACAUCAUGUGGCAAUCACCAUCCGUUGAACAAUACGACGAAGAACUGGCAACAGAAACACGGUGAACAGAUAUAGACAGUCUAGAAGAAACAAGAUGCGCAGCGCUAGUGCAAUCUGCCAGAUACCUUGACGGUUUAAGGCGUUACCACAACCGCAACGUCAAGGAGAGAUCUUUCAACUCGGGCGAUAUGGUCCUUAAGCGUAUCCAAGACACGUCAUGGUUGCAUAAACUCAAUUCACCAUGGGAAGGUCCUUACAUCGUAUCAAAGGUUACGGGACCGGGAUCUUACAGACUCCAAGAGCUCUCUGGAGAACAAGUACCAAACUCCUGGAAUAUAGAACAUCUCUGUUGCUAUUACCCAUAGUGGCAUCCGAGUAAUUACUCCAAGGCAAUAACUCAUGAUUACUACUCGGGCUAACUUCCCGACUACCGACUUCAAGAUACCUCAGCUUUGACAAGAGUUACCAACUCAACAAGGAUCACUGCCCUGGUACAAAAUCUCCGUAUCAAUAUUUCUUUACUGAAACAAGGAUACAUCGGGUUACAUACGAGUACAAGUACUCGGACUACACAAAGACUACAAGCAACUGCCUACUGGCGGGCUGCAUUUAAGCCUCAGGCUUUUACUAUAUCACAAGGCCACUCAGGUCCGCCGACCACAAGGGGAAGGGCCCACACGCAAGGAAGAUGCGCAAAACGUAGCCAUAUCCAGGUCCUCUACCCAAGGCAACGCCAGGAACUCCAACAUCGCCACUGCCUUGACAGCGGCAACGAUGAAUCCGGCAAGACACGCCUAGAGGGAACCAAGGCUGCUCUUUUGCUAGCCUUGCGGAGCCAAUCCAAUUUACGGCCACACCUCCACCUCUCAGAGGGCGGGAUGAAGACCGCGGCACUCACCACCCAUCACUCGCGAGUUCCAGCGCGUACUCCAUUGGAUCACGAGCUGCAAGAUGAGGCGUGCGGCGAAACCUCCUACGAGGAUUCUUCUAGCAUCGCGGCUAUCCCUUCGAACGCAGGAGUCUGUGGAGGGAAGGUGGCCUCAAUCUGCAAGGAAUCUUCUAGCACCGGUGCACUCUUUGAUGGCUCUCUACACUCAAAAAGAAGCAACCGAAGACAAUCCAUCGCUACUCAGGAACUUGUUUGGUUCGCUCUCCAACUGGCUCUAUUUAUAGCCGAAAGAUGCAACUACCACCUGCCCAAGGAUUACUAUGCGCCCGUGAUCAAUGAGUCUGACGACUCCUGACUCUGCCCACGUGACGGUACUUAUUCCACAAAGGACAAAAGAGUACAGUACACCCGUGCAUCCACAAAGGACAAAGGAGUAUAGUACACCCGUGUCCCUCAAAAGACGAGUACUCGACAGCAUUACGACUACUCGACACUCGGGACUACUACAAGCCAAGCGUGGCCUACGCUCUCACCAUUAUCCCGGGGCCUUGGACUACUCCGACCCCCUGCUCAGGGGUCGGGCACAUCCGACCCCAGGACUCAGGGUCGGGCGAAGCAGAGUUUUCCCCAAAAGGUCGGGCUCAGCCGACCCUAGGAUUUCGGGUCAGCUAGCACUGCGUAAAACUACUCUUCGCAAGACAAUCACCUCAAGCAACAAGUCCAAUGGCCAAGUAUUCAUUUAUCAAAAGUAUCGUUCAAAGUACUUGACCCAAAUACAAGAGUACAUACAAAGCUCAAGGCUCUUCUAAAGUGACAAACUCCGACAUCUUCGAUGCAAUAGGCUCCGCCUCCUCGAGGUACUACGCUUAUGCUUCUUCUGUGCAGUUGCGAGCCACGCCAUCACCAGCUGCUGUCAAGUCUGCCCUCAGAUAGUAGAACUUCACAACUGCAAGGACCUGUUUGCAAAUAGUUUUGCAGAGUCCCGCCACUCUACUCGGGGCAGCCUUCAAUCGUUCGACUAGUAAUUGCAGCCCUGCGCCUUCUUCCACGAGGGCUAUGGCGUUCACCAAGUCUUCAGCUGCUACAGUUAGCUCUUGGAGUUCGCUCCGAAGUCUUCCCAUGGUCUGGGCAUGAUCUCUGCAUGCCACCAUGGCCAUGGCAAGCAUCACGCCAUUUUGCAUCUUUCAGUCCCGCUGAUGUUCACAAGCAGCCUGUGCUUCCGUCAGCGCGGCCCGAAGAUGUUCGGCUUCAUCCACCACUCGGUCGAGAACUUGGCUCCUUGCAGCCGCCUCUUGCUUCUUGAGAUCUACAAGACAAGUUCAAUCACAACCGACUAUAGUUGGGCAUACUCAGAGUAGGGAAAAUACUUACCCUGAUAUUUCUUGUUCAGCGACUUGUAGCGGCUCUCCAGUUUUUGCUGCAGGACCGCAUGAUCCGUACGCUCCACAGCAAAAGAUUUUGCUCCAACUUUAUGAACCCUCAGAGCUUCCGUCAGUCGGGCACAUUCCUGCUCCAGUUGAUGACUUCGUUCCUGAAAAAGUCCGACUACGGAGUGGUGAGUUUCAAACCUCACAACUACUCGGGACAUGCAACAACUCAACAAGGAAAUUUACCUGGAAGCUCCGGAAAACAUCGAUGGCCUUCUGGAACUCCAAGUCAGAGGGCAGGCUAAGUACUGGUCUUUGGGUACUCUCCGCAAGAUGAGGAAUCGUACCCAUAGUAGCACCUACAACAUUUAUCAUGUCAGCUACCUGCUAUGACUACAAUAAAAAGACUACAGAGACAUACCCGGAGCAGUCGCUUGUUUGGCUUUUUCAACACCCACUACGGCCAGCGAUCCGCCAGCAGAUGUUGAUAAGGCAGCACUUCCUGAGCCCGAUGCAGCGGCGGGAACUUCCGCCGAACGGAUGACAUCUUGGAGCAUCGACAUGGUAGCUCCAAGACGACCGGCGUCAAACCCGGGCACCUCCUCAACGACUAAAUCCUCAAAAGGAACAGAUAUUGUAGUCGAGGGAUCCGACCCUACCCCUAUUUCUACAGGGAUAGUUUCCUCUGCAUCUCUGCACCAAAAUGCGUCACCACAUGAUUUCAAGCCAACUCAAAGUCAUUCAAACAGACAAGAAAGCUCACCGGAUUGAACGUGGCAGCAAUCGCACACGUUUCUUCUCGGCGAUAGGCGGCUGAGUACUGGGCGCCGCGGGAACAACUACCGGCGCUGUCUUCUCGCCAAGGCCUAUAAAGCCGAAGUCAAGACUACAGUACCACUCAAACAAAUACAAUCGGAAGGGACAAUGCUUACCACUGGCGAUCACAUUGGACAGCAAAGUACCAGUAGCAAGUACUGGCGACACCUCCUUUGCAACACCCACUACUCCAGCAGACAGCCCCAGGACCGCUUGGUCAGCAAAGGGCAGCAUGGCAGCCGACGGAGCCGCUGAGGAUAGCUCAGGGGCUACUCCAACUUCUGUUGACAGCACCUUCUCCGACACCAUGUCAACAGAUACAUUGCCGACUUCUGGGUCGAUCACGACCAUUUCUUCAAAAACAGCCUCAUCAUCACCAAGCGCCGUAUCUACAGUCUUUACGAACAAGACAAAAUUCGUCGCAUCAUUAGCAAGUUCAAAUUCAUCAGCUACAGAUACGUUCACGACUACAUACCUUGGUACCCCGAGACUUUUCAGGGGUUGAAGCAGACUUAGCCACAGACAUCUUACGGACUACUCUGCGUCUCUUAACAGGAGGAGAAGGCUCGUCCUCCGACUCCUCAGCGACAGCUUCUGACUCUUCUUCCGACUGCGCUAAGUAGCCAGCAAGAACUCAAGACUACAAACAUCAAGUCGGUAUCAACAACAAAUAAGUCAAAAGAGAACAAGUCAGGUGCAAAAGACAUACCACUUCUGGCUCAUACCAGGCGUCAUACUGACGUAGAGCCGCAGGGAUUACUGGUACUCCCUGAUAGUUCCUGAAAAACUUGGCCAGCAACGCCUCUACAUCAUCAUCGGAUAUAUCUUCAUCGGACAUAUGCGAUGGAUCUUUAAGACCUGUGUACUCACUUCCCGAGUGAGCACGUUUUUGAAGCGGCUGGACUCUUCUCUUCAGAAAACUGCUCGCCACAUGAAUUCCAGUAAGACCGAGUGCCUUCAACUCGGUAAUCUGUUGCAUCAAGUGGUCAAGUUCCGGGGUGUCUUCGGGUUCGCUCACCCAGUUUUCCGCGUGUUUGGGCGCGUGACCAGUCACCACAGGCAGGCAAGGGUCGUGGUUCCCAAUAUAGAACCACCUCUUCUUCCACUCACCAUGGGAAUCAGUCAAGUUGUACUCAAUGUAUGCACCCGAGUUCCUAAGUUGGAACCCAGCGCCUCCGAAGACUUCUGUCCUAUGGACACUAGGCUGCGGCUUACAGCGGAACAACUUCCUAAACAACUCGAGGCUUGGAGGAACUCCCAAAUAAACUUCGCAGAGGUGUACGAAAAUGGACAUAUGCAGGACAUCAUUGGGGUUCAAAUGAACAAGUUGAAGCUUAUAGUACUUGAGGAUACCUCUGAAGAAAUCGGAGGUGGGCACUGCCAACCCCCUCUCCACAAAGUGUGCGAGCAUCACUGUCUCACCUGGAUGUUCCUCAAAUUGCCACGCAUUUGGAAAAGCUGGGCGCCACUCGAGUAUUUCCUACGGCUGUAGAAGCUUGGCGUCGACUAGUGCUUGCACGGCCUCCUCCUUCAUCACCGAAUGCUGCCACGUCACUCCAGGCGGCGGCGGCGCAGUCUGAUUCAUCGGCCCCACCUUCGGCGCCAACAACACCAGUUCUUUCCCCUUCUUGGACUUCACCUUGCCCGCCGCCGGAGCCUUGCCCUGGAUCUUCUCGGGUUUCUUGCCCAUCUUUUUGGUGCGCAUCUGCCGAUUUCAACCUCAGCAAAAGGCACUCACUCUCGGAUCUCUCUCAAAGGGGAGCAAUAGCGGCGGUGGUAUUUGGCAAUGGCGACGGCGCAAGCGUGAAGCAGAGGCACGGGGGAGGAAGAAAAGCAGAUCUGAUUACUGCAGGGGGUAAACCUAACCGAAAGGGGGCCCUCCAGUUUUAUCUCCGCCACCUCCGGUUUUCAUGCGUCAGUUGCGCAACGGACAGAUUAAUUGCAGAUUAAUCGCCUUUAACACUCAACGGCUACUCUUUUCAACGGACUGCUGACCACUUCAACGACAGAGAUCACCCAAGUGCUCGGGGGCUGCGGGUACCGUACCCGUUGGUCAGGUUUUUCUUUUUUCCAAGAUCUCCAAGGGUAAAAUGGACAAAAGCUGGUUCGACCCUAAGCCUGACCCUUCGACUCAACCUAAGGCUCGGGGGCUACUCCAUAUGGAGUGUGAUUGACAUCGCACUACCAUAUAAAAUUACUCGGGACGGAAACAACUCGAAGGAGCAAAAAGAGUACCUUCUAGCCACGUGACAGUACUCGAGCACUUCAGUCUGCAACCUCUACGACUAGCUACUCGGAUAGUGCCCGCAGUGCCCAAGACUGUGGCGCACGACUACAAAGUACUCGGGGGCUUGUCGGGCAUACACCCUAGGUCCACGAGUAGGCCUUGGACGGCCCACCAAGGGACGUACUCGGACAAGAUCAGAACAGGAUGAGCGUAUCCUACUCGGACUAGUCAAGUAUGUUUAUGGAAAACUACUCAGUCCAUUACCGAGUAGAACUCUGUAAUAGUACCCGACUAGGACUCAGACUUGUAACCCUGCCCUCCCGUGUAUAUAAGGGCGGGCAGGGACCCCUUUCAACACCCAACCGGGACAGACCUCAACACACGAGGACAACUCCAGUUCAUCAAAUACAAACCAACACACAGGACAUAGGGUAUUACGCGAUCUAGCGGCCCGAACCUGUCUAAAUCGUGUUCCUUACGUCACCAUUGAUUCCUUGAUUCUCGACGACCCUUACCGCAUAAAAGACCACCUCGGUUACCCCCUAGGCGGGUUGCUGGUCUAAAACACCGACAUCUACUUCUUUUGGUAGACAUCUUGUAACAACUAAGCAAGCAAUAAUAUCACAUUAAGCACAAAAACUUGGUGAAUUUAUGAAGUUUUCAGCAUAUUUCUUUUCAGUAUUCACACAAAGUAAAAUACAUGAAGUGCCUUUGCGGCACAAAGAAGCCAUGCUUCCCCAAGGGGUGCAUCAUGGGCUAAACAUUUGCAAUGAUACCUAGAUCUUUGACCCAAUUGAAAAGAACAUGGAUUCCAAACAUAAGCUAGAUAUGGAAUCAGUAUUCAAUCAAGGGCAAACCAUAACCAAGCAUCUACUCAUGGGUGAUAAGCAAGUUAAUAGAGUAGAAUUUAGCAUUGAAUUUCAAAAACAGUUAUCUCAACAAGUGUACAAUAUCAUCCAGAGCAUAACUGCACAUUGCAUCAAAAUCACCAACCACAGCACUAGCUCACAAGUAGCAUAAGGGAGUACACAAGAUAUAUAGGAGAAGCUCAUCUAGUGCAACAUGAUACAAAAUGCAAUAUGAUAUAAAAAGCAUGGAAACUAAGCUAAAAUGAUAUAGAUGAACAACAUGCCAUACCCAAAUGUGAACUAAGGUAAAGCAUGACAUGAUGUUCAUAUGUAUCAUCCACCACAAUAUAUCACAAAAGAUAGCAUGAUAAGCUAUACAUGAAGAACUCAAAGCUAUCAUGAAGAAGUGGCUAUCCUACCAUGUUUUGUACAAAAAUCAUACAAGUAUAAUACAAGAGAAGCUCCAAAACCCAACUCAGAAAGGAAAGCAAACACCCAACUCCCCCCGCAAACGAGCAAAAGUGGCUUGAUCCAGGAGUUUGGUGAAAAUGUCCGCGAGUUGGUUUUGGGUAGCAACAUAGCCAAGGUCAAUGUCCCCUCUCUCAACAUGAUCUCUCAGAAAAUGAUAUCUCACAUCAAUGUGUUUGGUUUUUGAGCGGAGAACGGGGUUCUUGGCUACAUUAAUUGCACUCGUGCUAUCACAAAGAAGAGGUACACGAGUAAAAUCCAAACCAAAGUCUCUCAAAGUGGAAAUCAUCCAAAGCAGCUGAGAACAGCAGCUAGCAGCAGCAACAUACUCAGCUUCGGUGGUAGACUGAGCAACACUAGAUUGUUUGCGAGAAGACCAAGAGACCAAAGACGAACCGAGAAACUGGCAAGUACCCGAGGUAGACUUACGAUCCAAGCGACACCCAGCAAAGUCCGCAUCGGAGUAUCCCCGGAGCGUGAGUGUUGAGGAGGCAGAAUACCACAAACCGAACUCAGGGGUAAAGCGGAGAUACCUCAUGAUCCUCUUCACUGCCUGACGGUGAGAUGUCCUCGGUGAAGCCUGAAAACGAGCGCACAGACACACGGCGAAGUGAAUGUCCGGCCUCGUCGCCGUCAGGUACAAGAGGGAGCCGAUCAUGCUUCUGUACUCCUUCUGGUCCACCGGUUCGCCAUCUUCAUCCGCAUCUAGUGCCGUUGUCGUCCCCAUGGGUGUGGAGAGUGGCUUAGCAUCAGCCAUGUCAAACUUUCUCAACACGUCCUUCGUGUACUUCCCUUGGUGCAUGAAGGUUCCUUCCUUGCUUUGCUUGAUCUGUAGCUCGAGGAAGAAGGUCAACUCACCCAUCAUCGACAUCUCGAACUCCCUGCUCAUGUCAUCUGCAAACUUGGCAACCAAAGCAUGAGAAGAACCACCAAAAAUAAUAUCAUCCACGUAUAUUUGAAUAAUUAAUAAGUCAUUGCCUUGCCUGAGGAGAAAGAGUGUUUUAUCAACUGAUCCCAUUUCAAACCCAUUCCCAAGCAAAAAGGAUUUCAAUCUAGCAUACCACGCUCGAGGUGCUUGUUUUAGGCCAUAGAGAGCUUUCUGGAGUUUGAAAACACGAUCAGGAUAUUUAGGACUCUCAAAACCAGGGGGUUGUUUCACAUACACUUCCUCCUCUAUGAAACCAUUUAGGAAGACACUUUUCACAUCCAUUUGGAAGAGCUUAAAACCUUUAGCCACAGAGAAGGCUAGAAGGAUUCUAAUCGCUUCCAAAUGAGCAACAGGGGCAAAGGUUUCCUCAUAAUCUAUCCCCUCUUUUUGGCUAAAGCCUCGGACAACCAACCUCGCUUUCUUUCUCACAAUCAACCCAUCCUCACCUUGUUUGUUUUUGAAAACCCAUUUUGUUCCUAUAGGAUGGCAAUUUGGAGGUGGUUCAACUAAAACCCAAACCCUGUUUCGCUCAAAGUUCUCCAACUCCUCAUGCAUGGCAUUAACCCAAUUUGAAUCAGAUAAAGCAUGUCCAAUAUCUCGAGGUUCGAAAGAGGCAACAAAUGCAGAAUGUGCAAUGUGUGAAAUCUGCCUAGAGCUAUGCCUAGUGGUGCGUUCAUGUAAGUUACCGAUCAUCUGUUGUGGAGGAUGACGACGCUGAAUGUGCCGUGGAGCCUCUCGCUCUGAAGUCGCCUCCCCCUCAACAGCAGCUGGAUCACUCUGAUCUUCUUCUUCAUCAUCCUGUAGUGGUACUGGUUGAUGGCUUGAAGUAGUGGAAGUAGAGGUAGGACCAUCAACUCUCGUAGUCGAAGUAGAAGGUACAGGUGCAAUAGCUGGAGCUCGGUCAAUCUCAUCAUCCUCUUCCUCACCACCAUCUACACGCUCUUCCCCUUCCUCAAAUAUGCUUUGCCCCAUUUCAUGUUCACCUGCAACUUCAAAAAUAGGAGUUGUGCAAGGCAUAGUUUCAUCGAAAGUAAUCUCACAAGUUUUCACGAUCCGGUUAGUUUCAAGGUUAAGCACACGAUAAGCACGACUAUGAGAAGCAUAACCAAGAAAAAUCCCAUCCGUAGAACGAGACUCAAAUUUAUCCAAAUUUCCUUGCUUGAGAAUGAAACACUUGCAGCCAAACACCCUCAGGUGACUCACUUUGGGGGAACGUCGAUGCAUCAGCUCAUAGGAAGUUUUCUUUAGGAAAGCUCGCAAAAAGAUUCGAUUGGACACAUAGCAAGCAGUGUUGACGGCUUCGGCCCAAUAUUUUCUAGGAGUCCUAUGCUCAUCAAGCAUCGUCCUAGCCAUUUCACAAAGGGUCCGAUUCUUCCAUUCAACAACACCAUUCUGAGGAGGGACAUAAGGCAAUGAAAACUGGUGUUCAAGACCAAGAUCAUUGCAAAAGGUUUUAAAACGAGCGUUCUUGAAUUCUGUGCCAUUGUCACUGCGGAUAGUUCUCAUGGCAUCUUUUGGUCGCUCGUUUCUCAACCUCAAGAUCAAAUCUCGAACAAAUGGAAAUGCCUCAUCCUUAGACUCCAUGAAGAAAACCCAUGAAUACCUUGAAAAAUCAUCAACGAUCACAAGCACAUACCAUUUCCCACCAACUGAGCAAACACGAGCUGGACCAACAGUGUCCAUAUGUAACAGCUCGCAUGGAUGCUUAGUCAUCACCUGAUUCACAUGUGGAUGAGAAGCGGCAACCAUUUUCCCAUGUCGACAGGGAGCACAAACAAGAUCUUUCUCAAACUUUAAUUUGGGCAAACCACGAAUAAGAUCCAAAGUACUCAAGCAGGAAAGCAAAUCAAAGCUCAAAUGACCCAAUCUCCUAUGCCACUUCCAAAGCUCAGAAGAUGAGCCAGCCACUAAACACCGAGAGAGACCAAAUGACUUGGAAAAAUCAACUCGAAACACUUGACCCUCGGGGACGAUCAUACAAACAAGAUCGCCUCGAGAGUCUAAAAUCCUUGAGGUCCCUUGUUUAAAACGGACCUCAAAACCAUCAUCAAGCAAUUGCGACAUAGAGAGCAAAUUGAAACCAAGAGAAUCAACAAGAGCAACUCGCUUGAGCAUGAAAUUCUCACUCACCUUGAUAACACCUUCAGACAACACCUUACCUUUGCUAUUAUCCCCGAAAGUGAUGUACUCCUUGGUCAUCACCGGGGUGAGGCUGGAGAACUACCUGUGAUCACCGGUCAUGUGUCGAGAGCAACCGGAAUCAAUAAGCCACGUGUUCUCCAGGCCUCCGACCUCAGUUUCUGUGUCAGAGUCACUUUCCUUGUCAUCCUUCUUGGAGUUGAGAGCCAUGACACAGUACCCGUCGCGGUUCUUGCCGGAGUAGAAGUAGAGGCCAUUGAAGUUCUUGCCGUCCUUCUUCUUUGCCUUGCGGUCGUCGUCCUCCUCGCUUGAGCUUGAGUCGGUGUGGUCGUCGGUGUCGGAGUCGACGUCGCUGAGGGAGGCGAUGAAGGCACGCGCUUUGGCCUUCUUGCGAUACUCCUUCUUCUCACGGUCGGUGUACUUCUUCUUCUUCUUAGUGCCAACCUUGUUCUUGUGCUUGUUGUAGUCGUACUUGCUCUUGGAUUUGUUCUUGUCAGGGCAGUCGGCGGCGACAUGUCCUAGCUUCCCACAGUCGAAGCAGUUGUUGUUGUUCCUUCGCUUGUUCUUGCAAUUGUCGUUGAAGCGCAUGAAUCGCCUCGUGAUCAAGGCGAGCUCAUCAUCAUCAAGAAACUCCAGCUGCUCCUCUGAAACAGAAACCAAAGAAGACAAGGCAAACAACAUAGAAGAAGAGUUACUCAAAGACUUAGGCUAUCCAGAGCCUGACAUGAGAGCCAUACUAUUUGGAUCAGUAGGGACUCCUUGUUUUGCUCGGAGCCUCUUGUCAACUUCCGUGGAUUUCAACUUGGCAAAGAGUUCAUCAGUGGAAAGUGUUUCAUAAUUGGGUGACUCGAUGAUAGCAUCAACCUUCGUACCCCACACUUCAUGAUCCAAGGCAUGCAGGAGCUUUAAAGCUCUAUCAUGAUCAGUGUAGGGUAAGACGGUGAUAUUUGCUUUCAUCUUGUUCACAAUAGCCAAGAAACGCUGAAACAAAGCAUCGGCAGACUCACCAGGCAAAUGAACAAAGUUUUCAUACUCACACCUAUAAGUCUCAAAGAGUCUAGCCUUCACCUGACUGUUUCCCUCAUGGAAACUCUGAAGUCGAGACCAAAUCUCAUGAGCAAGAGACAGAUCUUCGACUCGAUCAAACUCAGCACGACUCAGACUCGCAAACAGAAUAUCAAGCGCCUUGCUGUUGGCGUGAUACUUCUCCCUAUCAUCCUGAGUCACACGAGUAGUAGGAAUCACAUAAGUCACAUCCUGAGUGAUUUCCCAAACCCAUGCUCCUCUACUAUUUAGAUGGGCUCUCAUACGAGUUUUCCAAUACCGAUAGUCAGAGCCAUCAAAGUAGGGUGCAGCGGUCGAGGAAGAACGCUUAGAGGUCACCAUAAUAGGUUUCGAAACCGAUUAGGGUAUGGAGAAACCUUAACCGGCUCUGAUACCAAUUGAAGGACCGAAAGAGCGACCAGAGGGGGGGUGAAUGGGAGCCUAUAAAAAUUCUCAACGAGAACAAGGCCUAUAUCCCAAACGCAACCUCAAAGCACACCGUGUGUUUAAUCGUCAAGAUGACGCAAGUCAACUCGUGACAAGCUCACCCUAGGAACGAUAAGAGACGCACAAAACAUAGCGGAAGCAAGAUAUGAAUUGACUCCAACAAGUUUUCUCAACACCCGGUUAACCAAGAUUACUACUAGCUAAUUAUCUAACUAAGCAUGCAUAAUCAAAGAUUAAUUUAAGUGCUAGGCAUGACUAGCAAAGAGUGAUAAAAAAACUAACGCAAGUACCACUGAUUAGCAAGAGACACUAGAGAUUAAAAUGCUAAACAAAAUAACAAAGAUUAAUUAGCAAUGGCAUGAAUCAACUAACGACCCAAAAGGAGGUGCUCACUGUGCUGGACGUUCGCAUGGUAUGCUAGUGGAUUUUUUUUCUUGCGGUCUGGUGCUCCUGGUGACCUGCGCUGGCCCACUUGGCCUGGUGGCCGGCCUGAGCAGCAAGCAGGCUUGAACUGGGCCGCGUGCUGCUGCCACCUCGCCCGGGCCUGCUUGGCAUACGCUGGGCCUCAAGCACCUGAGCACAGCUGGGCCACCUUUCACGUGCGAGCUAGACCGCUGACCAGGCUGCUCGCUCCACGCACGUGAGCGCUUGCUGCCUGCCCCUUCCCGGUGGAACGAUUCCUGCGAAUGAACAGAGACGAACAGAACAAGAACACAAGAAGAACAGCCGAGACUUCAAAUCAUAAGAUCUCCUCCCAUACUUCACAGAUCGAGAUGAAACUUGAGACAAGGAUGCAAUACCCCAAGGGCAAAUAGAUCUAUAAAGCAAAUCCUGAAAAAACUCAAGUAUACAUCACUAAUCUUGGAGAAAACCGAAACCCUAACUCAAGAACACGAUUUGGAAGAAAUUAGAAAUCCAAGCCGGAUCCGUGAGAGAUUUAGAAGGGGAUCAUAUCAAAGAUGCUCUCUAAGGUCUUAGCAACAUUUCCGUUCAACCAAUCUCAUGAUAUUCGGGCUCAAACGUGAUGAACGAAAAUUCCCCAAAAAUAGUUCCGAAAAUAGGGAAAAAGAAAAACACUCGGGAAUCAAAGAUUUAGCACAAUUUGAGAUAACAAAUAAAGCUAAAUCACGAGAACAUCUUCUAUACCAGAUGAGGAACUAGCCUCCUCCCUUCAUCCACCCACUAAAGAUAAAGAAAUCAAGAGAAAAGAGUAAUCACUCUCUAAUCUCCCUCUCUCCUCUCACUUGCACAUGACUAGCCUCUAAGCCAAAAGAUAAUGAGUUGCUAAGCAAAAAGGUACUGAAAUAACCAGCCCCCAACCCUAUUUAUAGUCCAGGACGAAAGACUAUACUACCCCUACAGCUACAACUAAGAUAACUACCCACACAGGGGUAUUUUGGUCCAAGUUUUUAUCGGCGCAUCGAACGGACACGCCACCUUCACGACUUUGCUUCACCUCGACGCAAGCUUCGCGAUGACGCCACGUGCCCUCCUUCUCGAAGCUCCGGCCGCCCCGGGCUCGCCCCCGGUUUUGAGGCCCAAACCGGGAAACCUGCCUGUGCGGUGGUUUUGAGGCCCAAACCACCCAAACCGUCCAUCUUCGCUUGGCCGCCACGCGACCUCCUCGAUAUCGACGCGUGUCCGGCCUCCGCCAAGCCUCCCGCUUUACUCGACCGACACCGUCUCCAUCCUGUCAUGCCCUCUCGCCAUUCCGUGCACCAUGUGGACCGGCCAUGACUUCGCCUGGACUCCUCGGGUCCAUCGGUCCAAACCUACUCGCGUUCAUCCUUCACCGCCCUUGGUUCAUCAGCAUGAACCUUUCACUUGACCUUCACCGCACGCCAUCGACCGCCACGUCGCAUCCUACACCUGCACAUCACAAGCCAAGAGCAACAUCAAACCAACAUAACGUUGUCAAUUACUCAUCAUCCAAGGGUGACCACCAUUGGUCCUCAGAGAUAUAUGCUUUAACUGUCUCUAUAUAAUUGAUAUAUAUGGUUAGAUACGUCAUUCUGUGGUAGCACCUCGCGAUCACAAUGUGUGCCUCUAUAUAUGUUGUGCCAAUGCGCAGUCCAUUCGAGGGAGUACCAUAGCGUGGCUGAACUACUACUGAAAAUGAAAGGCCUAGACUCCUGCAACAGCACAGUAUACCCCUAUGUCUACAACCUGACUUCCUCCUACAUCGACCAGAACAAUGAGGCCACCAUGGUGACCACCACCUUGGUCAUGUUUAUGCUGGCCGUGUUCUUCUUCAACCUCAACCUCUUCAGCCGCUUCUCCGACGUGAGCGCAAUUCUCAACCCUAGCGUCCGCCUCUUCCUCUCCACCUCCCUGUCCCUCUUCCUGCCGGUCAUGUCCUACCUCUUCUCCGAGGCCAAGAACCAAGGUGCAACCACGGCUGCUAGUUAUGGCCAGGUCGGCGACGAGCUGUCACUUCGAGCUAGGACGAUCCUCAUGUGGAUGCUUCUUGUGGAGCUCCUCCGCAAGAAGGUGGAGGCCGUCCUGGUCAACGUGGGCAUGCAGUGGUACUCAGGCGCCAUCGAUCGCUUCGCCCGCAUUGUUUGGCUCGGCUACCUCGUCUUCUACAAUGUCAAAAGCCCUGGCAAGAAGGCGAUCUACGGCACCUUAUGGGUCCUCACUGCUGCCAAAUUCCUGCAAAGGGUCGUGGUCAAGAUGGUGCUGGAGCGUUCCUUCGCCUACGGAAGGAACACCCAGCUGCUAAACUCAUACAUGGCCCAGAUCAUCCAACAAGAGCAAGAGGAGCACGUGGGAUCGUCGUCGGAGCUGUUGAAGAAGUGCGAGUACACUGUGAUGGGAGAAGACAACCUGGAGAGGACGGCUGGCCGGCAUGGCUACCAGGUCGAGCUGAACAAGGCAGCCGUUGUCACCGUUGGUGACAUUUGGACGCAGGCAGCAGCCGAGCCGGACAGCCUCCUCCGGAGAGAACACCUCAGAAGACUCUGCCUCUCCUUUGCUCUCUACAAGCUGCUGCGCCGAAGGUUCGAGGACAUUCCCACAACAAGAGAGGAGACCCGGAACUGCCGGAACCUCAUCUUCAAGGGCAUGUUGAAGGAGGAGGCGGAGAAAGGUGCCGAGGUCGCACUGUUCCAAGUUUUCAACGAUGAGACCCAGUUCGUUUGCGAGUACUACCAUUCCGUCCUACCCGUCGUGUUGUCCAACCCUUUCUUCUUCCUAGCCAACUACAUCUUGUUUCCCAUUGUAGUUUGUGCCUUCUGCCUCCUAACAUUCAUCAUUUGUGGCAAUGGGAGCGUGCCCUACGCCUACCACAGCAUCGUAAGUGACAACUACAUCAUAUACACUGGCGCGACGACGCUGGCCAGAUGCCUCCUGAGAAACAUCGCCCAUUCACCCGAGGUGCUGUUCGCCAGCAUCGACCUAGGCACCACCACUCUGCUCAUCCUGGCCUUCGUCUACGAGGAAGUCAUGGAGUUCCUCGUCUUUAUCCUCUCCAAUUGGCUCAUCGUGUCGCUCCUCUGCGAGUACACCGCCAAGCUCCACUGGCGGCAGAGCCGCAUCCUGUGCUGGCUCAUCCGCGGCAUCCUGUGGGUGCGAAGCAUGCUAAGCCACCCUAACUUCUGCUUCAAGCAGCUCUCCGUGCUAGGGUUCUUCCAACUGUCGUCGCCUUCGCCGUUCAUGGUGCCAACCAAGGCAGUGCCAAAGGAAGUAAUGAAGUCAAUCGUGGAUUAUCUGGUGGCUCACUUGGAUGUCUAUGGCAUCGAUGGCCAUGCCGACCCUCUCAAUUCGGCCUGGUCCUCCACACUGCAACUGGAGAAGCACAGGGCAUACCGUCCCCUGCUCUUGCCAGUGUGUGAGAGCAAGAGCAUUGCUGAGUUCAUCCUCACCUGUCACAUUGCCACCGGCCUAAUGGAGGUGAGGUAUCCACAGGACGAAAAGGAAAUGAGAUCUCAUAGCAAGGUGGCGACGACGCUGUCCAAGUACUGCGCCUACUUGGUGGGCUUUUACCCGGGGCUUCUUCCGGACGACAAGAAUGGGACAGAGCACACUUACAAGAAGAUGAAGGAGGACAUGAAUAAGGAGCUUGGAGGGUGCUGGUGGUACCACCUGUCGCUGCAGGGAACCAGGUACAAGAGGCUGAUGGAGAUCGGCAAAUCGAAGCAAAAGGCCGUGACAAUGGUGCACAACGGGGCCAAGUUAGGGACAGCACUGAUCGAGAAGGCCGAGGAGAACAAUGAGGCGCGUGAGCGUGUGUGGGAGCUGCUGAACGACCUUUGGACGGAGGUCAUGGUGUAUGUGGCGCCAUCGGCCGGCGACCUCCACGUGAAGGCCCACAAGGAGGCGCUGGCGCGCGGCGGUGAGUUCAUCACCGUGCUCUGGGUGCUGUGUACGCACACUGGCAUGACCAGGACGGCCCUCGCACCGUGGGAGGUAGCACGUCGUGCGUUUGAACCAUAGAGCAUUCGCUUCCCGUGUGUGCCGAUUUUUCAAGGACAGCUUGCUUGGGAUGGUUCGUCUGACGUGCUUCAUCCUGGUGCUAAAAAAGUCUUCCGGAGCCUCAAAUUUGAACCGGGUACUAAUACUAAUAUUAGUACCGGGUUAAAAUUUGACCGGUACUAAGAGAGUGAAUGAAAUGUCAUUUUUCAAGUAGUGUAUAUUAAAAAUAGAUAUAUAACCACCCCAUGUGAAUGCACGGGAUGAUGCCAGUAAUUCCUAAAGAUAUGCGCUGGGGUGGGGUGCCGGCUUAAAAAGACCGGAAAGAAACGUAGAUAUGGCACACACAUGCUUGAUCUUUGUCGGUGCUUUAACUGUCUCUAUAAAAUUGAUAUGGUUAGAUAUGUUAUUCCGUGUGAAGGACCGAAACGGCGAUCAGAGAGGGGUUGAAUGGGAGCCUCAAAUGUUUCUUUUUAAAACUUAGGCAACAAUCCAAAAACAAACCUCAAAUCAAAACAAGCGGAAGAGGAGAGAUCCACGAGCCACCAAGGUAGCUAGGUGUCUAUGAUAAUGGUUAAAAGACAUAGCGGGACUCUCGAGAAACACCCAGAGCAAAAACUAUGACAAAAAAAGCUCAAGGUAGAGCAAUUCUGUGAGCUCUAGACGGAUGGUCCGCACCCCAGGGGCGGACGGUCAGGCCCAAGCGGACGGUCAGGCCCAAGCGGACAGUCUGCCCUAGGGGGCGGACGGUCUGCCCCUACCACGCAUAAUUCCUUGAAAACGUUGCACGAGCACAAAAACGCCCAAAACUUGAUCGGAUCAAGUCCAAAUGUAACUAAAAUUGAACCAAAGUAUCUCAAGGUAGUAAAGAAGCUACUCCUAAGAAAUCAUCCCUCUAAGAAAUCAUCCCUCAAAGAUUUUUCAAUGAAUGGGAAACAUCAAAUCAUGUUAAGAACGCCACUUUUUCAACCCUGAAACUUGAAUUGGCCCGAUCUAUGAACUCGUGUGGUUUCAAUCGAAUUCCUUCGCUGGAAGGGAUCAACUCACAUCCUAGUUCAUUUCAAAUCCAUUGGUUUGACUCAAAACCCCACAAAAAUCACAAAUCAAACAAAACCGUGAGAGGAGUGAAGAAGAAAAUAAGAACGUGAAGAACACAAAUGGGAAUUGCACAAAGAGAUCAUCUCCAAAAUCCCAGAGGACACGAGGAGGUCAGGGCCUCCAUUCCCGCAACAAAACUUCGGUUCACUACACGGAUUCAGUGUUCAAAUCAUCCGAGCACAUCUAGAGAGAUUAGAGAGGGAGAGGAACUAACUCUAAUCUAAGGAUAAUGAAGCACUAAGCUAGAGAUGAAGGAGAUGCUAAUGAAGUGCUCAAGAGGUCCUGAAACAACCAGCUCCCAUCUCUAUCUAUAGUACAAGACUAGUCACUAAAUUAACCCUAACACUACUACUAGGAUAACUACCCACGCAGGAGUAUUUUGGUCCAAGUUUUUCUGUUCUCAUCGGACGGACACGCCGCCUUCACGACUUUGCUUUGCCUCGACGCAACCUUCGCGAUGGUGCCACAUGUCCUCCUUCUCGAAGCUCUAGCCACACUGGGCUCGCCUCUAGUUUUGAGGCCAAAACCGGCAAACCUAUCUGCACGUUGGUUUUGAGGCCCAAACCACCCAAACCGUCCAUCUUGUCUUGGCCGCCACGCGACCUCCUCGAUGUCGACGCAUGUCCGGCCUCCGCCAAGCCUCCCGCUUGACUCAACCAACACCGUCUCCAUCCAGCCAUGUUCUCCCGCCGUUUAGUGCACCAUAUGGACCGCCCAGGACUCCGCCCGAACUCCUCGGGUCCAUCGGUCCAAGCCUACUCGCGUUCAUCCUUCACCGCCCUUGGUCCAUCGGCAUGAACCUUUUACUUGACCUUCUCCUCACGCCAUCGGCCGCCACACCGCAUCCAACACCUGCAUGUCAUAGACCAAGAGCAACAUCAUUCCUACACAACGUUGUCAAUCACUCAUCAUCCAAGGGUGACCACCAUUGGUCCUCAAUCUCCCCCUUGAUGAGUGUAUUGACAACACCCAACACAAAUUCAUAGUUCAAAGAGAAAGAAAAAAAGAAACUCAAACCACGAAGUCUUAGUCCCCUAAGACAAGGACAAUGACUCUACACAACUGAGACAAGAAAACACAUGAUCCUUCAAGAAGAGGCAGAAAUGGCUCAACACCAAUCAUGUGAAGAUCACAAGCUCAAAUCACACACCGGCUCCACAAGAAGAGGUAAAAAGCUCAACACGACCAGUAAAAGAGCAAAUCAACCAAAGGAUCCUCAAGAAGAGGUAAACAGCUCAACGCGACCGGCAAAAAGAGCACACGAGCAUAAAAGCUCACACAUACUCCCCCUAAACAAAUGCACUCCCCUGAAAAUAUGCAAUUUCUCACCAAAUGAAUUUGUAUAAUAGCCCACACGAGCAUAAAAACUAACACAUACUCCCCCUUAACAAAUGCACUCCCCUUGAAAACAUGCAAUUUCUCCCCAAAUGAAUUUGUAUAAAAGCCUCCCCCUUUGAAAGUCUCCCCCUUGUUGACAAUGCAAACAUCAAGAGUAGCAAGAGAACACAGAAAUGCAUAUCAUGAGAUGCCGAAUCUACCAAGGUAAACAAAUACACCACACAACACUCACAAAGGCUACGAGUUCAUCCAAUGACAGGUAGAUCAUAGAAAGUAGUUGCAUCGCCAUCAAGAGGAUAUUAUGAUAUAAGCAUAAGGCAUAGCAUAUGUCUAGUUUUAGGAAUUUGCAAAAAGAAGAUACAAGCAGGAAAGAACUAAUCCAUCAAAGCUCAUACAAGGAAGAUACAUUCUCAGCAAGAGAUCAUUGCAAACACCCACAUAUACAUCACAAGUCAUGUCAAAGCUUGUUGAAACCAUGUACUUACUUUUGUUUAGCAGACAUCAUAUAACAACUAAGCAAUCAAAAGCUCUCAAAAGCUCGAAGGUCAUCUACCACUGACAUAGAUGCAGCCUGGAGGUUGAAGAUGAGGACUUUUCACUUUAGCCCUCGAAGAAAAAGGAAAUCCUAAUCUAAAAGUGUGUCUUGUAGGUUUCAUGAAAAAGUUUUCAGAAAGUUUAGAUUAUCGCGGUCCAAUCUGUCUUUAAGCUUUUGCGCGUUAGCCCUCAAGUUUCUAUACAAAAUUAGGUUUGUGCCAUCGGUUUCUCGCAUUUUAGCACUUGGAAGCUUCUAACCCUCGCCAGCAAGUCCUUAUAUCUUCUUUAAGUUGGGGGUAGCUGAGAGUAGAGGGGAGAGGGAGAGGGCGGUGGCGGGAGAGGGAGGGGGCGGCGGCAAGAGAGGAAGGGGAGAGAGACGGACGGUGUGUGGGGGGAUGGGGGAGCGGAUAAGGAGAGGCCGGUGCGCAAGGUGGGUGUUGGGUCUUUAGUACCGGGUGGCAUUUAGUACUGGAUGGAGACUCCACCCAGUACUAAAAGCACUCGGUUCCAUCUAUGAGCAUAUCUAGAUGACAGGGAAGCACUUACCCUGCUUGGCUAACCACUGCCUUGGUGACAAGGCAUACCUAAGUACCCACAGCUAAACCUUAUUGCCUGAAGGUCAUCGCAUCUGUCAAAUUUCAGUGAGUUAAAAUUUGACAUGCCAUAAGUAGGAUUAAGCAGCCUGUUUUAAGCGGCUAGCUAGUAGUACCCACUUGGUUUUUUAUUGGUUAUGGAAGUCCUCUUGUCAGCACAAACAUAAAGUUUUCUUUGUUGCUGCUCAAGGACAGGUUAGGCAUCGUGAAUCUACUUUGAAGAAGAAACAUGGAUCUUCCAUCAUACGACUGUGUUUUGCUCUCAUGCAAUUGACGAAUCCUUGAUUCAUCUCUUUAGUUCCUUGGUUGCCCCUUUGCACACUGCUAGGGAAAGUUUCUUCAGUACUGGUUCGUAACCCACCUUUAGGAACGGUUGUGCAACCAGUAUUGCUAGUUCAGUACUAAAGGGGGGCCUUUAGUACCGAGUCAAAUAACCGGUACUAAAGGAGGGCCUUUAGUAGUAGUUGUUUAUACCAACUGGUACUAAAUUGGGUGCCACAUCGCACGUGCUAGAGACCAAUUUAGUAUACCAACCGUUACUAAAUGCUUUUUUUCUAUUUUUUUCCUUCCCAUUUUCUUUUUUGUUUCUUUGUUCUAUAUUGGUAUUAUUUCCUUUACACGUGUACUAGUUAUAAUAUGCUAAUAUAUAUCUAUAACAUUACAUUUGAGAUCUUAGAGGGAACCACUUCUGAUAAUAGUUCAAAUACAUAAGAGAAGUCAUUACUUAAGUUCGUACAUCAUUACUUAAGCUCUAGAGAAAGGUUCAGACACAUGAGGAAAGGGUACAUCCAUGCAUGAUACAUAUUUCAUUCUCCGAAAUGCUUCCUUAGAUAUGAAACAUAGUUUAUGUCUCCAAUCUUAAGUCUAGAACUUCAUCAAUAUAAGCUAGAGCAUGAAUUAGUGCACUCUCUAGCACUUCAGAAUGACGGUCACAUGAACUACCAUUAAUCUCGAACAAUGGAGGCAUUGUCACUUGAAAUGGCCUGUAGAAAGCGAGAUGAGCCUAGAGCUUCAAAUCUCUGGUAUCGGGUUUCCAUCACUGUAACUAUAAUUCAACACUUCCAAGGCUUGCUCCAGAAUCACCUGAAAACUCAUUGCCACAGAGGUUUUAUGAAAGAUAUCCUAAAAGAAGAGAAUAAAGUGAUGAAAUAUAAAAGAUGUAACAUAAUUAAAGAUAAAAGGAUGAUUAGAUAUAUAUUCCAGACCAUAUCGUGUUGAUUCUGCUGACAUAGCCUCUUAGCAGUUCUAGUCAUAUUGCUUUCUCCCUCCUCAAGCGCCUUUAUUUUGAAAUAUGAGAAGUUUGGCACAAAGUACCCAUGAUCCUUAAGUUGUUGCAGGCAUGCCUCCACAGUGGUCCUUUCAAAAGUUGUCACACCUGGUUUAAAAAAAAACCAAGUGCUGCCUAUAUGUAUGUCAGGAUCAAGUUUCAUAUAUAUAGUGGCAUCAUUAGUGUAUAACAGCAACAGUAUCACGUAAAAAGAUACAAAUAAAGACUUACGAGACUAUCAGAGAUACACAUCUUAAACCCUGGAAACAGAGGCUACAAACUUCACAAGCAAUCGACUAGGGGUUGCGUACGCCUAGAACUCAGCACCAUCUUCAUAACAAACUUGAUAGCAGCUUCUUCUUCUAAGCAACGUUGGUUAUAUCAAGGGUGAGCACAUGUCGUACUCAACAAGUGUGCGGAAAAUAUGAAUGCAAGGCUUAAUCAAGGAAAGGCUGACUGGUUGACAGCAUUAAGCAUUUUUAGUUGGUCAAAUUUUAUCAGCACCUGAUUACUAAGGUAUAAGUAUAUACCAACCCACAAUUAACAUAAGCAUAAGCUAUAAGCAUAUGGCACAACCAUAACCACGAUUUAAGUCCAUGCUCAAGCGUAUUAAUCAUGUGCGGGUCCAGGCCGUUCUUAACCGUGAGCACGGCUGAUCGAUCUGUUUUACACUAUGCAGAGGUUGCACAUCUUUACCCACAAGUCGAGUAAAAUUUUAGAAGACCUUUGGACCCAACCAUGUUGUGCAGAUCAGGCACUCAUCACACUACUGAUGUGUGACUGCAUAGGGACGCUACGAGGCUUUUACAAAGAUUUGUUAGUAAGUGGUAACCUGCUAAGGUUUCGGUAUCUGACGUGCAUAAACCUCCCUAGUGGGUAUAGUAUCUUAGAGAAGCCCACUUCCCAAGAGGAAGUGGUUAUACAAUGACUUAGUGCCCCCUCUUGCCCCUUUCAGGUAAGAUUACCCCAAACUAGAGUUUCUAAUUAAUUAGCUAAGAUGAGAGCCAUGAUAGUUCUUGUGGUUGCACUAUUUUCCUUGGUGGUUCUCCAUGUUUCCAUUAAACAUAAUGAUCUUAUCUUAGUGAAAGGUAUAGCAUAAAUAAAACAGGUUUAAUCAUUGAUUUCAUUAGAACCACCACAUCCCAAGUAAAGCAGCUGAGCAUAGCUACCCAAUAGAGAGAUAAACCCAGGUUGACAAGGGAUGAUCAUAAAAACUAGGCAAACCUUAAUAGGACCCAUCAAAUUAAAUACAAGCAUAUGCAACCGUGAUUAAAUAAAGUUAUUGGGAUAAAAGCACAAGGACACACUUGCCUUUCUCCAACGAAAAAUUUCUCUUACUACUCUUCAGCUCUUGCUCUCUUGAAACUCUGAAUUUUCAAAUCUUGCGAACAGCAAUCCUUCUACUUGAAGCAAUCAUCGGCACAAACAAACAAGCAAACAAAUAAGUACAACUAAGAACAACACACCAGUCAAAGAAAAAGCUUUAAAAGAGCGUAAUAAAGGAUAAGGCUUGAUUUUAAGAUUACGCAAAUGUGAAAAACGCUGAGAACGGAACUAUGGUUGAAAAGAUAAGGCUAUCCAGAGAUUUGAAUUCUAAAAGAAAAGACAAGAGCUACAUGCUGCAUUUAUUUUACUUGAGAAAAACAACGUAAAGAUAUUUUAGAGAAAUAUCCCUAGUUAGAAUUAAUAAAGUCGUAUUUAUAUUUACAUAUGAAAAGAUGAUGUAAAACUUAGUCCAAUUUUAUUUAUAAAUAUUACAUUUUAUGCAAACCAAACAUUUAAUUUAAAAAUAAGGUACAUGUAAACAUCUAAGCACAUAGCUUUAUGAUUCGGGUUGAACUAACCAAAUUAAAAUUUAAAAACAUAUUUAUAUUCAUAUUAGUCGAAUUAACAUUUAAUUAUGAAAACUUGAGAUAUAACCUAUGUAACAUUUAAUUGAAUAAACAUUAAUCAAAUUGAAUUUAAUUUAUGAAAAGCUGAGGUAUAUUUCUAAUUGGCUUUUAAUUGGAAGAAUUAUUUAGAUAAGCGUUACUCAAAUUAACUUCAGUUUAUGAAAGAUCGAUAUAUAACCUAAUAUGCUUUUAUUUAGGAAAGUAUAUGAAGUAGGUAUUAAUCAAAUUGAUGUUUAUUAUGAAAAGCGGUGUAUAACUCUGAGUAGAUUUUAUUUAGAGAAGAAACACGCUUAUCAGGCAUUAAUCAAUUUAAUAUCAAAUUUAUUUUCAAAAAAUUUAUGAAGGCAAACAUAAUGACUAACGUGUAAUUUAUGUUGUUAUGAAUCUAACGCAACUUGAACUGAUUAAAAUAUAGAACCUAUGAGCUAAACAAGGUUGCAAGAAUCUAGUCGUAAUUAACCAUAUACCUCAGGGGUUAGCAAGGAAUAUUUGUGAGACACAAAUAAUAGUGCUCCCAAAUAGAUUUAUGCUCAGGGAUAGAUAUUCAAACGAGGAUGGUUUGGGCUCGGUUGCAGGGACCUAUCUUCCCUAGGGGGUUAUUUGUAGAUUGCCUAGACACAAAGAUCGUUUGAGAAAUUACCAAGUCCUUUAUGGGUCAAACAGCAAAAGUGCCACCUCAUCUUCAACCUCCAACCGAUUUUUGCAUCAGCCCAUGGCCAAGCCGGUCCUGCCGAUGGUGGCGACCGGGGCCAGGGCAACUCGCGCGGCUGUGGUGUGGCUAUGCUGCCCAGUCGGUGACACUCGGCGUGCAAGCCAGGGGUACAGGAUACAGGCGUUGAUCGAAGGCUCAGGAUCCAAGCGAUGGGGCCCCUCUGGCGACGAAACUGGGAUGGCGAACGGCGGUGGGUGCACAUCUAGGCGUCGCAAAGCUCAUGGCGUCCUCCUCUGCUCAGACGGGCGAUGGUCGCGAUGAAUUGGUCGGUCAAGAGAGCGAACGAUGACCUGCUCAUUACUUCUCGUGGUGACGGGGCUCCAGUGACAAUUGGACGGCGGGAAGAGGUAGCGGGCAUGCAGCCUGGCAACGUGGAGCUUGUCCCGGUGACGGACUUCGCUGACGACGCCCAGGUCCGGAGAAUCAGCGGUGGCGCUCAGCUCUCCGACAGGUGCUUGCGGGUGGCGGAGAUUUGGCCGACGCUGGGUGGCAGAGCAAAGGACCAGCAGGCGGCGCAAGGAGGGCGCUCUCCCUUUAUAGGGUUGCAUGGAACCCUAGUGGCGCGCACACCGAGUGAGGCCGGUGGUGCCAUCGGCCUUGCUUGGCCUGGGAGGCACGGGCCGCGAUGGACAGAGAUGACGAAAACAGGCGCACCUUCAAUGCGUCUUGUGUGCCUGCUUCACCACACUAGAUGAUGAACCUGUUUAUGUGCUCCACUGUAGAAGUAUCAUCUUGGCCCGAGAACUUGGUGAAGUCAGGCUCCUUAUAGCGGUGUGGGAACGGUAGCAGAUCGUACGCUGGUGGAUAUGGCAUUCUGUACAUGUACGUCUGCACCUUUGGCUUGAGCCCAAAUUGAUCUUGCAUCACUUUGGCUAUCUUGGAAGUCCAAUCAACCUGCUGCGAUUGUUGUCUGGCUUGCGGCAGGAUGAUGGGUUGCAUAGGUUGCGCCUGGUAGUGGAUGGCCGACGGGAUCACUUGCUGAGCGAUCGACAUUGGCUGUAGUGGUGUAGACGGAAUGAUCGGCCGAGGGGCCGAUAUCUGACGCUGGUAUGGGUUCUCCUGGUGAGGUAUGUUAAUAACCCCAUCAUACACGACUCCCGAGGACUCAGCCUUGUACGGACUUGUAGAAUUCACCUUCUGAUUGGCCUCCGGCGCGGCCUGCUGUGUCAUCGGCUGAAGGGCCGAUGCUGAUGGACUCUGAUGUAUCAUCGGCUGGGAAACCGAUGUAGAGGUGCUCUACUGGUACUGCUGGAUCAUCGGCUGAGAAGCCAAUGGUGUUGACAUCUGUGUAGGAUCCCUUGAUGCUAUGGUGAAAGAUCCAGGUGGCAUCUCGUAGCCUGUGGUUGGGUCCCAUCCCAGCGACGAUCCUGCUGCCUCCCAUGGCACCGAUGAUGUCAACAGCGGCUGCAUUGGAGGAACAGGUGUAGGCUAAAGUGGUGCUUGUGAUGGAGAAGGUGGUGAACCACCGUAGCCCAAGGGCGGUGUAGCGUUGUAUCGUCCACUUUGCAUCUGCAUCAGCUGAGGAGCCGAUUGAAACACAUCGGGUGUCGCCGAAAGGCUUCCGAUCGGUGCACUGAUAGGAGGAGCGUAGACUGGCCUGCAGUACCCCUGGGCCACGCCAUUGGCCAUAGAGCUGAUGAUCGUGUUAUACAUGGUGUUAUUAAUCACUUUGGAUUGGUCAAUGAGAGCUUGGCUCACAGACUGGUGGAUCAUCUCGGACAUCUUCCCCGAGUCCUCAGCGAUGGUGACGUGACGAGGACUUGGGAGAGUGUUUUUCUUAAUGGGUUCGCCGUUCCUGGUACGGCUGUAGGACUAGAGGAAUGCCUUCUUGAACUCUUCAAUGGCCUUCACCAUCUCAGCCCUAUAGUCAUCCUUGAGAUCUGCCUCGGUGACUCCAAUGACGUUGUCAUCUGAAACUUUUGCAACCUUUCCCUUAGUCAUGUUGGAUCUUCAUUCUUGCUCCCACCGGGCGUGCCAAAAGUGUGUUGGUGCAAAAAUUGAAUAGUGGGCCCGAUCCUCGCGUCAAACACACGACCCAGGAGAAUCUUCUUAGCUCCUGUUUGGGUUAUUGCCCUGGUGCGGUUCGCGCGGCGUGCCAGUCAAUCUGACUUGUUGAUUGACAAGGAAGAACAUGUGUCAGAUAACGAGAGUCGAUUGGCUAGUGUUCCGAUCUGCUCUAAAGACGUAUCGGCAGAGUGGCCGAUAGGGUAAAGAGACGAUUGGCCAAGAGAUCGGCCGAUAGUCAUGUAGCAAACUGUAAAGGAAACUGUGAAAAGCGAGCUAAACAGCGCUACGUGAACAACACCUGGAAUAGAUCUAAUUGGCUGUAGCACAAUAAAUUGAUAUGAAAAGUAAGGUAAAAGUCGAUCGGACGUGUUCUAAGCUAGAUAACUAGUGAUAAAAACUAAAACAAUAGGAAAACCUAUAAUUCUAGCAAGUAUCGAUAACUGGUGAAUAAAUCUAAACCAGACGAUAGCGAUGCGCCCGAAGUCAAAGCUUAGAUGUUACUCGAGAAGAAGAACUUAUGUUUUGGCUGGAGAUCGAGUUGAUGCAGUCCUGCCAAUUCGCACGAACUCGUGAAAAAAGAAAAGAACUUAGCGAAGUCGCCGACUUGAAAGUAAAUGCGUGAAAUAGUAGAUUUGUAUUGAUUUGAUGUGUGGUUUUUUACAAGCCCCUCGGGGCACCUAUUUAUAGCCUAUUACAAUACACCUCCUGGUCGAUCAUGACUUGACUCUAUCUCUAAUUUAAAGUAAUGAAUCUUGAAUCUUUACAUACAAAUUUGACUCGCAUCGGAGUCGAACUCCACCUAGGCCUUCACGGGCCUAUCCUGCUUCUAUCCUCCAAGCGGCCUCCUUGGCCCAUUCAAGCCCUUAUCGACGCAUCGGCCGAAUCACUUUGGCCACCAUCGGCCGAUCCUUACUGAUGCUAUCGGCCAUCACAUAUGGCUCCUAUUGGUCAAAUCCUUUAACCAUUGCUUCUCAUUCAAUUUCAUCGGCCAUUUCCCUUUCUUCUUGACGCCGAGCCAGCAUGUGUCAAAAACCGGCGUCAACAGUUGUAUUCUUAGUUGCCGAGUGUUUUUUUACUGCACUCGGCACAGAUGUUUUUUGCGGAGUACAAUAUGUUUGCCGAGUGCUGCUCUCGAAGCAAUGCACUCGGCAAACCCCUAGGCACUCAGCAUAUAUAUUGUUUCCGGUAGUGCUGUAAUAGGACCUGUUUUCUUUAUUUCCUUUUAAUUUGUUUCUUGAGCUGUACUUGUUACUUCUCUUCUUCCUUUAUAUAUAUAUAUAUAUAUAUAUAUAUAUAUAUAUAUAUAUAUAUAUAUAUAUAUAUAAAAGCAGGAGGGGAUUACCCCUCCUGUAAAACUGGCUGCUUUGGCAGCUCUCGUACGAAUACAGAUUUCAGGUUGGUGUCUCGGCGCCGUUGUUUCGUCGAAAAAAAAAAUCUUGAAUGAGGGACACGGUUUGCCGAUGAAUACUGCUGAAAUCAACAAGCUGGCCAAGAGCUUUAAAAAGUGGUUGACUGUUGAAAGCUAAAGAAACAAAGCGCACUCAGUCAAAGACACAACUUCCACAAAUUAAACAUGAGCGCGAAGCAGUUCAUCACGAUGGAGACACACGACUGUGCGGACAUGAAGCUGUUGAUGCAUGCGGUCUCCUGAUCAAGUACCAGAAGGUGAUGUACCAUUACCUGCUACUGCUGGCGGAGGAGAUGGUGCCGGCGGAGGGUUCUGCCAUGAGACCUUGUACUCCAAAUCUUCUUCCGUCUUGCAAGCGACCUCGCCGCCGUCAGGGAUGCUUGGAUAGCUGCGGAGGAAGGUAACCGGCCAGCAAUAAUAGGUCUUGUUGAUGCUCUUCUCCGAUAGCGCUGGCUUGUAGGUGGUCUCCACCACCACCAUUACGGGGAAGCCGAGGCUUCGGUCGACGAGGUGCCUGUCGUAGAGGUAGUACAGCGAUGCAUUUUGUCCUUGCUGUGUGAGGCUUAUCCACCUUCUGUAUCUGUGCGAGCUGUGCGGCUGCAGCUCGAAGCUGACAUUCCUCUCCGGAUCCGGCUUGAACCAGGAGAGCUCCACCAUCUCCACGAAGGACGCAUUGGGGAUGUCCAUGAUCCUGACGAUGUUGAUGUUGCCCUGGAUCUGGCCGCGGCCGCUGGGGUUGAGGGCGUGGAUGAUGAUCAACAUCUGCACCUCUUUCGCUGGCUCGUACACACGCGUGGUGUUGUUAUAAUUCCACCACCAUUCUAUUGUCUGGACAUAGCCGUAGCUCUGGAAGCCCAUCUCCACAGGGCGGUGGACGAAGACGAUCACCAUCACCACCACUGCAACGGCGAGCACGGAGACCACAAUGGCCACCAGUGAGCGCACCGUGGCUAGGAAGGGGAAUGUAGUGUUCUCGCCAGCGCGGCAUGCUGCCAUUUUUUCUGUGUCGGUUCACGUAGGUAGGGUGGAUGGACUUGUCCAGGGACCUGCCAUAUAUACCCAUAAACUACUGUCCGAAUGUCCAUUCCCUUUGAUUAGAUGACUCAGAUUAAUUAUGACUUUGCUAAUGGCCGAAGCUAGCUAAUUGUUACUUUCUCUGUCCCAAAUUAUUAGUCCCACAUUUUUUUUCUAGAUAUAUAUUUUUUACCUAUGUAUCUAGAUGCGUAAUAAAAAACUAUGUAUUUAGGAAAGUCAAAAUGAUUAAUAAUUUGGGAGAUGACUAAAAUUAGCACUACGCUGUUUGGAUAGUACAUGGGCUAAUAGCUCUGGCAAACUUAUUUAUUCUGCACUUGGUUUCUACUGCUCCAGCUUGAUUUUGCGUGCGUGCGGGAAACGGAUUAGGUGGAACAGUUAGGGGUGUUUUUAUAUUUCUUGAUAUGAUGGUUGCUAUUAGCCCCAACUAGCUAUGUUUGGCCAGCUAAUAAAUGGGCUACUGGUUAACAGUGGACUUUGGCUAACAAUUAGGCCGCCUAUUAACCUCUCAUGUUAGGAUCAGCCAUGGCUAAGUUUUGCACACACACAUGUACACACACCAAUCUUCAAAAUUUCAGCCGAACUCCACCAUCUCCAACAGAGUUUUGGAAUUUUGGAACCAGCAGAACUCCACCAUCUCCAACAGAGUUUUGGUGGUACUAAUAUUUUUUUAGAUUAAGGAAAAUCAUCCGGCCUCGGUCAUCCACGAGUGAAUGCAUGCCUAUAGCCAAACUUACACGAUCUUAACAGAAACUUAGCGCUUUGGCUGCUCUAGAAGUACUCACUACUAGAAAUACAACCUCUCGUCUAGUGGUGGCGGGGGUGGCGGCGGAAGGGGGUGGCGGGGUGGCGGAGGAGGAGGGCCGGGGCAGCAAGGUGCGUGGCAGUGGAGGGGGCCUAGGCCGGCUGGGUGGCGGCGGAGGGGUGGCGGAGUGGGCUGGGGCUAGUGGGGAGGGGCAGCUGCAACAAAUGAGCUCAAAUUAAACCUCAUUAAGGUCAAGUGGAACCAUUAGAGCCUAAUGGAACCUUUGAACAACAACACAUCCAAGUAAAAAGACACUUUUGACCCUCACAAGCUAAACUAGUAUUUGAGCCAUAACUCGAAUUUUUGUUUAAGAACAUCAAAAUCUGUCCAACUAAGAGUUGUAGAACUCAUAUUCACUAGCAGCUUUAGUAUUUAACAUUUGCUUUGAAUCUGAACAUAAAGCAUUCAAAAACUCGAUUUUCAAUUCUGUGCCGAUUUGUGCAAAACGUGAAAAACCCAAACUUUGGAGCCCUUUUUCUCUCAUUUUCAUAUGUAAUAUAAAGCCAAACCUUUUACAAAAGUUUUAGAACUACGAGCCAUGAACAAUUUUGAUUAAAAGAGUUAGGCCAAAAUCUACACAAAAGGGUUUCGAAAAUGCAGUCAAACAUAGCCAAAUCGGUCAACCGGCGCGAAACUGAAAUCUCGUCUAAAGUCUGAAAUUCCAGACUUUUCGCUGAACUUUGACUCGAUUUAUCUUCAAAUCCGUUUGAGAUCUGAACCAAAACCUUUUGUAAAGUUUUAAGUCGAGUCGUAGAUCUACAAGUUUGACAAAGGGAUAUUUGAAUGUUUAGUUCAGAAAUUUUGAAGAAAUCGCCCUCAAAUCUGGCCCUUUCCCUGCCCUUUCCUUGUCUCGCGGUAGACUCGCCAGAACGCGACGCGACGCGCGUCACGCCUAACGGCCACCACGUGGCGUGCCUUCCCCGGCAAGCCAGCUUGCCGCUGCCCAACCGGCACAACUUCAAGACAAAACAGAGCGCCGUCCUAGCCAACCGCCCGCCGAGGCCAUCUCCCACCCCUGCCCGCGAUCCCGACCAACCCCUAGGCGUGCGCCACGUCAUGGCCACCCGUUGGUCAAGCCGCCUCUGCCAAUCCAUCGCCAGACAACGACUACACGAGCGCCUCGCUCCGCCAACUGUUGGUCGCGGAAAAGCCGCGCUUGCGCGCUCCAUAUCGCGCCGGCCCAAUACGGGCGAGAUUGCAUCCCACGACCUCCGCCCCGUGCGCCAAUGGCGUUGCCGCCCCAUCUCCAGGCGUCAGCGCACCACCUCGCCCUCUGGCCCCAGCCUCCAGCGCCUCAAGCCUCGCCUCGUCGCUCCGCUCCCGCCCUGGCCCCAUAAAGGGACCAGCGCCCCCGCCGGAGCCCCUUCUUCCCGCGCCACAACCUUCGCCGCCCCUGUUCCACUGCGCCGCCACCGAGCUCCAAGUGAACCCCCUGCUCCGCUGCUCCCCGCCCCUCGCCACCGCCACAGCCAGCUUCGUUGCACCCCGCGGAGCUCCCAAGCCCGCUCGUUGGACUCCCGAAGCCGCCGGAGCACCGAAACGCCGUCCGCACCACCAUCGCCGAGCCCGAGUCGCCGCCGUCCGCGUUCCACCCCGGUGAGGUUUCCCCCAAUGCCCGAGACCUCUCCAAUCAACUCACGUUGAGCUUAAGCUCCUCCUGACCCAUCCUUAGCCCAAAGACGCCGGCGCAUCGCUAGGAUUCCAAUCGCCGCCGCCGUGCGCACUGUGGGGACAACAUUGCGUCUCCCCCGUUCUUUCCAGGGUCUCCCGUGCAAAGUGCAGGGGCCCAUUCGUAAUAAGUGAAAAACCCGAGGGCUUUAAUCAUGAGUUUGCACGGGAAAAGUCAGCCGAGGGCAUAUAUGUGAAGUGGAAGGGUAUGGUUGUGAAUAAAAGAAAGUCAGAAGGGCCUAUAUGCAAAUGUGUUUCGGUUAAUUAAUAAAAAUUGGCAGAAAAUAGGAGAAACAUUGUAAAUGCACCAAAAAUUGUAGAAACCUCAGAAAACUUCCAAACAAAAUUUGAUGGACUCAGUGAACUGUCUACUUUUAUAGAAAAAUAAUUUUGCACCUGUCACUGUAGAUAUUUUGCAGUUAUGAAUUAAUCCUUGCAUGUGCUAAUUAAUUCACCAUAAAUCACAGAAAAAUGCUAAAAGGGUAAAACCAACUCUGUGAGGAGCACAGCCUAGCCUUUGAAGUCCCUGUUUUUCUUUAUUAAGUGAAAUCUGCACUAGAAUCUUUCUUUUUGCACAGUAAUUAAUCCAGAGAUGAGAAAACUGUGAAACUAGUUGGGUUGGUUCUGUUUUGGAGUAUAGUUUGCAGGAAAAAUAAAGCCCCUUACCAGAAACAGAAGGGAAAACCUUUUUCUUUUUAGAGAAAGAUAACUAAGGAUAAUAUAUGGAAAAUAGAUCUCCUUGUCUGAUAAUUAUGAAGAAUUCACCAAAUCAUGUAAGCCAUUCUUGGAACACCCUGGUAAAGUUUCAUGACCAGAGCAUCUGUAAAUUGCAAGAUAAAAAUUAUUAAGCCCUUUCUACCUUAGGGUGAGAAGGAGCUUUUAAUUAAUUUUGUAUAUCCUUAGUGAACCUCAACUUUUUACAGUAGCCCAGCAGUGACAAGGUUAGGGUGCUGGUGAAGUUUCACCCUCUUUCGUCGCUGUUUGGUUGGUUAAUUAAAAUUUGGAAGAUGAACCGGUUAAAGGAAAUAAAGAAAAGCCUUAAUUAAAGAAAAGAAGAGAUAAGGUAUAUUGGAAGAGGUACAGAAAAACAUUUAGAAACAGGAUAGUUUUCCGAUCUUAAAUAACUAAUAAGUUAAUAAAUGUGUACACAAUCACCAUAUUGAAGCCGAGGGUUUUAAUGGUAUAAGCUUGCUUUCUACGCCAAGUGAGCUGUCUGUGAUGAUCUAGUGUUAACCAGUGUGCAAUCAAGUUUACUUCAUAAUAAUGCACGAAAUGUCAUCCAGACUCUUGAAUACAAGUUUUCAUAUCCUUGCAUUGCAUCCCGUAGAGCUGAACGUUGCUGACGAGAUGUACGAGCUACACCUGGCGACCGAGGACGACAUUGCCGCAGAGCUACACCACGCCGAGGUUGAGCCCGUGACCGAGCAAGCCGAAGACCCGCCUGCUAACCCCGAGUUUGAAGGCAAGCCCCGGAGCAUAAAUUCCUAUGUUUUAACUACUUGCAAUCUACUUGAUUAUCUUGCUUGUGCAUUUACAUUUUCUAGGAGUUGCAAUGAAACCUUAAAUGCAUAAAGUUAGUACCCUUGAUCUGAACACUAGUAUGGUAGGCUGAGUAGUUGCAAUGCUUAAUAGGACUCGGUAAAAGUCGAGUGACUUCCUGUCACUCACGAGUUAUAGGAGUUGAUUGCUUCCUUUUUGCAAUAAGGAUGAUGGACGGGACAGGGCUAUUUGCAUUAUUUUGGUGGUUGGUAGAUUGCCCCAUCUAUCUAAAUUAAAAUGGACUAAGGUUGAGAUGUGAUAGUGUUCGUGAUCAAGUGUUUAAAAAUAUUAAUCUCAUACCUAGUAUGGGAUAGGGAAGCCUAGUACCUGAUUGAACCGGGGUGGACCUUUCCCCCGCUCUCCCUGGAACGUAGUUCCCAUGGUGCAUCAUGUGGGUACAAGUGCAGCCUCGAUACGGCGGAGUCCGGGACCGUUGGGGCAUUGUAUGCCAAGGGAAGUGGGAUCUGGAUAAAUGCCGUGAAUUGAUGGGGACGGCAUGAUAUAUGUGAACCUGUUGGGUAGUAGCAUAUGUCGUGGCAUUAGGUUCACCAUGCAUGGUUAAGAAAUUCAAAUUGAUUCAUCUGCCUCUCACAGUUUGGGACUACUUGAUCGCUAUGCUACAUUGAGUAAGAAUGGAAGAUGAUAAUGUUAAUAUUGAUGCUUGCUAUUAAUUGUUUGGAAAACCUUGCUUGCUUAGUAUAGUGCUAAUGUAGACUGGAUAAUGAACUUAGAAUUUGUGGCUAAAACAUUGAAAGUAAGGACCUACACUAGUCGCUUUUGGCAAAAACAAACCCCUCUAGCCAAUAAGCUUGCAUGUCUAGGUGUUGGUGGAGUAGAUACCACCCGUUGGGUAAGUCUUGUUGAGCGUAGUCGCUCAGCCUUGCUUGUGGCAUAUCUUUUCUGGAAUUGAUAUUGAUGAGUUCGCUGCAAGUGUUACUUGGCCUACCCAACUCCCUCCAGGUUGGACGGUCGAGUGGGAUCCCUCCUCGAACGGCGAGGAAAGGGGUGAUUGAUGUCGUGAUUAGCUUCGUCAUGAUAUCCUGCAUCGAUGUCUAGUUAUUGUUCGUUUUAAAUUUCACUGCUUGAACACUCUCCAACUUUAUGUUUGAAUUUCGAACUCUGUUGUUGUAAUAAAUCAAUGCACUUGUUUUAAUUUGAAUGGAUUGUUGUAAUCUCUGUAACCGCUCACCUUCGUGUGAGUUGCUUUUCUCGAUCCUGUCAUGUGGUUUUAUCGAAAUGAAUCCGACGGACGACCGAGUUGACUUGCUUAAAACACAUGAUCGCGUAUUAGGAGACUUAAGUGUGUUUUAGUUGGGUUAAUCCGGGCAGUUCCGCCACAGCAGCAGGUUGGCGGCAGAGGGGGAUGGGGUCGGCGGGGUGGCCGUCGGCAGAGGGGGGCAGGGUCGGCAGGGGAUUUUCAUUUUCUUUAUUUUUUAACACCCUCUAGUACCGAUUAUUCCAAACUUUACUAGAGGACCCCCCUCUAGUACCAAUUGGCCAGUACCGGUUGCACAACCGGUACUAGAGGGGGGUUUCUAAUCGGUAAAAGAGGCACUUUUUCUAGUAGUGACUAUAGUUCAUACUCAAAGUUCGCACGCCAAAGAUAAAUCUACUUUUAGGACCCCCUAACACCCAAGCACCCGAGGGAACGUCCUGCUACUAAAGAAUCCUUCUCCUGAAGUUCCAGCCAUAUUUGUUGAAGAACUCAAAGGUAGUGACUUCAAGCCUAUUGUAGUUCUUCUUCAGAUCAAUUUUCUCUUCCUCCUUAGAUAGCACCGCCCAUGCUCUUGUCCAAUAAGUCCCUCUAAAAAUUACCUGCAAAAAGGAAUUAGUGGUUGUGCCUUUAAAUAGUAAAUCAUUUCUAUUCAACCAUAUAGCCCAGCAAAGUGCAAUAGCUCCUACAAUCAUCUGGCUUCUAACCUUCCGAGGAUACCCUCUAGUCCAAGAACCCAGCAUAUUAGGAACACUAACAGGCGAUUGAAUUCCAAACGAAAAGAACAUUGUACUCCAAAUAAAUCUAGCUAAAUGGCAAUCAAAGAAGAGGUGUUGCACUGUCUCUUUUGAAUUGCAAAAGCAACGCUUGGUACUUCCUUGCCAUCUCCUCUUAGCAAGGUUGUCCUUUGUUAGAAUCACACCUAUUUUCAAAUACCAUAACAAGAUUUUGAUCUUUAAUGGUGAUUUUAACUUCCAAGCUACACACAAGGAUGGUAUUCCUUCAGCUUGCAUUAUCUCUUUGUACAUUGACUUCACUGUGAUGUCUUUGUUUUUAUUCAGAUUCCAAAUAAAUUCAUCUUCCUAUACCUCCAUACCAUGUGCUACUAUCUCAGCCACUAACUUAGCCAUUCAUUUAAUUUGUGUCAUGUAAGUGCUCUUCUGAAAAAAAAUAUUUAGAAGGACAGAUCCACAAACUUUGACCACAGUGUCAUCUUUCCUUCUAACUAUAUUAUACAAAGAUGUAUAUCUUUCCCUCAAGGUUUUCUUUCCAAUCCAUACAUCUUCCCAUAACCUAGUUUUCUUCCCAUUGUGUACCUCAAACUUACCAAUUGACAAUAAUUAGUCCUUUAUUUCCAUGAGGCUCGCCCAAAAGUGUGAAUCACCUCUUUCUUCAUCACUUGGGAUAGAGUCUUAUUAACUAAAUAAAUAUUUUCUUCUGAGUAACUUUUUCCAUACUCCUUCCUCGUUUAGAUGUUUAAAUAACCACUUGUUUAGCAAGCAUCUAUUUAGAACUUCCAGAUUGGAAAUACCCAAGCAUCCUACAUUCUUUGGUGCACAAAGAAUACUCCACUUGGCCAGUCUAUAUUUCUUUUUGUGUUCAUCACAUUGCCAAAAGAAUCUAGACCUAUAAUAAUCCAAUCUUUUAAGAACACCUUCAGUACUAACCUUGGUAAGCUAGAGAGGACAUUGGUAAGCUAGAGAGGACCCUUAGAAGCUAUUCCUAGAGUUUCAUUCAAAUUCAUUGGCUACAUUGUUGGGAUUCGUGAUUUAAGGUUGGAUUGCCUGGACCAGUCUGACCGGUCAGGUAGACUGGUCUGACCGGUCUGCACAAUCAAACCCUAAAUCAUGUCUUUUUGUUGUAUGAUCAAUGUAUCUACAUAGGAAUACCUCAUGAACAAAAAUUUCCACAUCUUAAGUGAUCUAGCUACUAUGUUUGGUCUCCAGAACCAUUGGUUCUACUCUGGGCCCAACUGGUCUAACCAGUUGCUCAUAUCGGUAUGACAGGUCUAGUUCAGAGUUGCCCCAAUUGUUUUGAUUCCUGGUUGUUCAGCACCGUAGUGGCAAGGGGCCAGCUGAUAGUGAUGAGAGAAGCAGUGAUGGUGAUCCCAAUGGUGGAAAUGGUAAUGGUGAUGAUAAUAAUGAUGAUGAUGAUGGAGAUGAUGGUGAUAAUGGUGAUGAGAAUGUGGGUGACAUAGCUAUGCCCACCAUUCGUAGGCCAACCUAACCCAUUCAUAGAGGACCUACAAAUUAUUUUGGGUAUGGGAUGACUGAGAUGGCAAAAACGCUAAGAAGAUAGGAUACAUACAAUGUGCCUAAGACUGCUCAAGAAUAUAGAUUUUGGAAUUCUUUCCGGCAGGACUUCUAUACCACAGUCAUUCUAAAGAAUUCCAAAAUCACUCAUGAGGCACAGUGGGUAGAUUGGGAUUACAUGAGGAAGAAAAAUGAUCCCAUCUUCAAUGAAGUCAUGGAGGCUUGUGCUAGCAAAAGGAUAAAAACAUCUCAUGGGCUUCAAGCAUAACUGGAAUAGGAAGAUCAUUGCCCAGUUCUAUGCCACUAUUUAUUUUGGACAUAUUGCAAAUGAGAGGGCGAUGUUUUGGAUGACAGAGGGUGAAAAGCAUCAUAUCACUUAUUCCGCCUUCACAUCAUUGUUCAGAAUCAAAGAUGAUGACACUCUUCCUAAGCUUCAUGAUGAAGGUGUUCUUGAGAAUUCAAAAAUGCAUUUCAUGUAUCCCAAGAAUAGGACAGGAGAUUGGGGGAAGGUCAAGAGCCUUUACACCAACUAUGCCAUUUUUAACCAGCUAUUAAGGAAGACCCUCACUCCUAGAGAUGGGAAUCCCUCACAUGUAACUCUCUUUUAGAGGAACUUGAUGGCAGUGUUGAAACUAGGGGAACCUCAAUUUGAUGUGGGUGACUUCAUUUGGCUAGAAAUCAAGAAUUUAAUAGAAAAUCCUUAAAAGAUUUGUAGCUACAGUCCCUACAUCAUUUACAUGAUUGAGAAGGUGACCAAGAGCAAGUUUCCUAGUGAUGUAAAGCACAAGCCUUUGAGACCUCCAGUGAGCAAGACUCCUACGAUCCCAUCUCCACCACCAGAAGAACCUAAACUGCAAGAACAAGGGGGCAGAAAGGCAUGAGCAAUAGCAAUUUCAGCAGCUAGCUGGUGCCCAGGCAAAGACCGCUUUGUGCCUGGGAAACGCAGCCACUUGUAGAGGUAGCAUGAGAAGCCCUCUUCUCCAAUGAAGAAGUUUAUAAACUUUCUGGUUGGCAUGUGCAAAAGUCAGAGAGACAUUGAGGUUGAACAACGGCGACGAUGGACGGCUAGUAAAAAAGAGAGAGAUUUGAUUAAGAUGAUGCAUAAUCACAUGAAUCUUCAGCCUCCUCACUCUCCCAUUUCUCCUUCACCUCUAGAAGUUGAAAUCCCAUCAGUUGUGGCUAGAAUUGGAGAAUACAUGGCACCUGGCUACUUUGACCAAUAUGGCAAUAUGUUUUAUCCAGAUAUGGGAGGCUCAACCUCAACUCCUCCACCUUUUAAGCCACCUCCAACCGGAGGAUUUGAUGCUUUUGUCUCAGAUCUUGGUCCCGGCAUUCAUGGUGGUGCAUAUCCCUUCUAUCCAGGAUCCGCUUUUAUGCCUUUCACAGGAUCUUCUUCUUUGGCAGCGGCUACUGGCACCAUUCCAGGUCAUCCUCAUGCAGCAGUACCUCUAUCUCCUACAGACACAACCGAGUUUGAUGCAUAGGCUAUCUUUGGUCCUCCUCCUCCUCCAUCUACUCAGGGUAUGUCUGACAUCACUCUUGCCCCUCUCGAAGAUAUCAUAGUGUCAGAUUCUAUAUAUCUUAUGUCUCCUAUGCCUUGGUUGGAUUAAGGACUUCAUUGGCCUGAGGACUCACCAAAGGAUAGUAGAAGUGGAUACGGAGAUCAGUGACUUCAGUUGCACCUUCUCGAGGCCCUUUUAUGGAUGAUUGAUGACAAAGGUUGAGAAGAAAUGGUUUAAAACUUCAUCUUCAGGAUUUAGUGUAGCUGAGCAGUUGUGACCGAUAUGACCGUUGGCCAUUACUAGCCAUUACAACCAGGACUAAAGAUCCCCUUUAGUCCCGAUUGUUAUUACCAACUAGGACUAAAGCUCCCGUCUCGGUGGUCGUUGGUGGUGGCUGUUUGACUUGGGACUAAAGGUCAAGGUGUGACAGCCUUAGUAAUUAAGCAGCUAAAUUAGGAAAUCAUCGAAGUGAUUAAGAAACUAAAUCAAAGAAUCAAAAAAGGGAUUAAGGAAUAAGUUAGAGCUAACUCUAAGUUGCUGAGAGUUAAGAACCCAAAAACACCUUAGAUUUUGGCUAGAUGUUAAAAAUUUCUCCUAUUGAGAAUAACUUGUGAGGCCGAUAGAAACCAACUUCAUAUAAAAACUUAAACUUUGAACAAUAUAAAGAUAGUAGAUCUUUUCAAAGUGAACAACCUUCAUAAUUAGCACCUUUCUUCAUCUUGAGCAAAGGGUGUUCCCAAAAUCAAGUGGAAGUUCAGUCAAAUUUCAAAUCUGAUUCAAAAAUAGCUUUGACCGACUUCCACCAAGGACCCUACCAUCCUAUCUCCAACUUCAUCGAGCUUCUCCUUGUUGAAAUUUAUAAAAUUCAUAGUGCAUACCUUGUUUCCUUUUGAAAUUUAAACCGUGUAGUUCGAACUUGGUGUGAGAAUACGCGUUAAACCCGAUACCGUCACCACGAUGCGCAUCACGAGCAUCAUCAUGCAUAUUUAAGCAUCAUGAAUAUCUAUUUGUGCAUAGUCUACCAUCAUGAGCAUCAUUUGUGCAUAGAUGAACAUUUUAACCACACAUUAAUAAGUGCCCAGAAUUUUAUUAUUUAUUGGUGAAAAAUCAAAUUUGUGAAGGAACCCCAAUUUAUUCCAUACCACUAUGCCCCAAAAUAUUUUAUUCAAAUACUAGACACCAUUUAGUGAUUUUAAAAUAUUUUUACUAAAUUUUUCAAAGACGUUUGAUUGGGUUAAAAAUUCAUUUAAAAUUCAAUUAUAGCUAUUUUGUUUUGAUGAUUGUGUGCAAACUAUAAAAUAUUUUGGAUUGAUUCUUGUGGCAUUGGAUUAUUGGUGAUUUGUUCUUUCCAACGAGUAUUUUUGAAGAAUUUUUGAACACAGUUAGCUAGGUUGUUUAAGGGGACAAAGUUGGCAUGAUGUUUUUCUUAGCCGGGCCCACACGUCAGCACCUUCUUCCAUCUCCCUCUGCCUGGGCGCCAGAUGCACACACAGCCCCAAGAUCGCCGGUUGGCCACCCCCUAGCCCCUGCAGGGCUCCUCCUCCGCCCAUAGGCCACCCAAACUCCUCCCACGUGCCCUUCCCCUCUCUCCCACGCCUCCUAUCGCCCCUGGUUGGGUAGCCCCUCCAUUGAACACGCAUGGCUGCCACCAGGCACAGCACCUCUGGCAACGCCCUCCCCUCCAAUCCUCGCGCCCGGUGCUGUGUCACCUCGUCCGUGCUUAUCCUCGACUCGCCCCGCCUAUAAAACCCAAGCCCCUGCCUCCCCCGGACCGCACCACCCCCAAUCCUCCAUGGAGAGUACACCGAGCUUCAAAAAUCCCCAUCCUUUGCGGACCAAAUUCGUCGUCGUUAUUGAGUCUCAGCUCGAUUCCUCACAGCCACACGAUCCCCUCGACAUCAUGCUUCCGUUUUGCUACCUCCCGGCCGUUCUCCCUCGCCGGAGAGCCCUCUCCACGGGAGCCCGCGUCUGCCCCUUCCUGUUGCCCGGGAGCUUCCUGCGCCGCCCCAUCUUCCUCGUCGCCACGCCGCUGGUGAGCACCUACUCGGCCCCGUGCGCGCCCCUCUUCUUCCCCAAGCCGCCCAUUCCUUUCCCCGCCGAUGGCCCCCAAGUGCAUGGGCAUGCCGUAGAUCCAGGAGCUAGAUUGCAAGAUUGUCUCGAUUUUCUUUAUUUUCUAGAUCUAAAAAGGCUAAAACUUUGGAAAUUCAUAGUAAAUUGUAGAAACAUCACAAAAUAGCAAAUGAAGAUGUUUUGGAAUCCUUGUGAGUAGGACUAUGCAGUAGUUGUAUAAUAUGAUACAUUUUAGUAGAAAAUGUUUGCGGUAGAUUUAUAUCUAUGCUUUUUAGGGUUAAACUCAUAUCUGUAGUUAUGUUGCUCCGUUUGCUGUGAAAUUGUUAUGGUAGGUUAUACAUGAUGCUCUUGUACUGUGGUAAAACUUUCAUAUCUAUUGGUGCAUGUAUGACUGAGUUAUUAAUUUAACUUGUUUAAUGCUUGUUAGGUGAUUUAUAAAUAUUAGGAGUGUUUAAAAAUAGAAAAUAUGGUUCAACUACCUUUAUAUGAUGUUUUUAUAUAAUAAUAACACAUAAUAUGGCUAUGUGUUUAUAGAAAAUGAUGAUCUUUAAAAAUUAUCUUGCUUUUACAUGUUUUCUUGCAUUUGUAAUUUGUCUUUUUCAUAGCAAUUAAAUUAUAAAACCUGGGCAUGUGAAAAUUUUACAGUAACCAUGUUUUGAUAGCAUAUACCACUCAUAAAAAUUUCAGCCCCAAACUAGUUGUUCUCAUAUGGCACUAAAAAUAAUAUAUGUACAUGUCAUUCAAUGGGAGUUAAUAACAAAUAGACAUAUUUCUAAGCCAUGAGAUGCCACUUCAAUUAUACCAACUUUGUGAAAUGUAGUUGAGCUAUAUGAAUGUUUGUUUGAGCCUUUGAAUGAUUUAUGUAUGAAAUCUCGGUUGGGAGAAACACGUGAAAACCAAUAAUAUGCUUGCUAUCCCUCUAUAAUAGGUUGUGUGAUGUAUAGUUAAAUAACUCUAGGUGCCUAUGUAUUGCAUGAUCUUAUGUUUGCCUUGAAUGUUUUUACGUGAUGCAUCUUAUGUGACCAUUCUUCGUAUUCAUAUACUUGCAUCUUGCAUCUCAUCUAGAUACGCUAGAUAAACCACGUGAAGGACAUGAUGAUGGAACCAAACCCAAAGACGGUGUAUGGUGGAACUAUCCCGAAGAUGGAAGGACUAAGAAAGUGCCAAGAUGGGAGAUGCUCGCCAAGCGAGUGUCGUCUAACAAACACUAACCUAGUGUUGGAUUCCAGGCAAGUCCCGGAGCAUAAAUUCCUAUGUUUAAAUACUUGCAAUAUUUUGGUUGUUUUGAUUGUGCAUUUACGUUUCUAGGAAUUGAUUGAAACUGUAGAUGCAUGAAUAUAGUGCCCCUUGAUCUGAACACUAGUAUAAGAAUGUCGAGUAGUUGCAAUGCUUAAUAAGACUCGGUAAAAGUCGAGUGAUUUCCUGUCACUCGCGAGUUGUAGGAGUUGAAUGAUUUUCAUUUGGUUGCAACUAUAAGGACGAUGGACGGGGUCGGGAUUAUGUUGGUACUCGGUGGUUUGCCCCGUCUAUCUACCGGAAAUUGGCUAAGGUCGAAAAGUGGUGGUGUUCGUGAUCAAGUGUUUGAAAGUACUAAUCUCAUACCUAGUAUGGGAUGGGGAAGCUUAGUACCUGAUUGAACUAGGACGUGGCUUAUACCCCUGCUGUCCUUGGAACGUCGUUCCCAUAGUGCAUCGUGUGGGUGCAAUGGCGGUCACAGUACGGCAGAGAUCGGGACUGUGGAGCAUUGCACACCAAAGGCAGUUUGGACCUGACACAUACUUAGGGAUCGAUGGGGACGACUGACAAGUGAAGUGACCCUUCGUGGUGCGCGGAUGUCGUGGGAUUAGGUUUGCCAUGCAUGGUUAAUAAAUUCGAAUCGAUUCAUCUGCCUCUCACAGUUUGAGACUGCUUGAUCGCUAUGCUGCACUGAGUAAUAAGUGGAACAGUAUGAUGAUAAUCUUGAUGCUUGUACUUAAAUUGUAUUGAUCACUAUGCGUGAUUAGAAUAGUUAAUCAACUAUAAUGGUUAAUCAACUAGAACCUGAUGCUAAAACUUGAAAGUAAGGACCUACUUUAGAUGCUUUUGGCAAAACAAACCCCUCAGCCAAAAAGCCUUGCAUGUCUAGGAGUCGGUGGAUUAGUUACCACCUGACGGGUAAGCCUUGUUGAGUAUUAGUAUACUCAACCUUGCUUGUGGCUAUCUUUUUCAGGUGUAGUUGCCGGUGUUGACUUGUUUGGGAACCGUCCUCGGUUGGCGAGGAUGGUGAUUGUUGAUGUCAUGAUCGGCUUCGUCAUGAUGUCGUGUAUCGACGUUUAGCUUCCACUCGCCUUUUAUCUUUCGUUGUUGAACCCUUGCAAGCUUUGUUUGGAUUUUCAAAACUUUGAUGUAAUAAUUGUUGAACUAUGUUUAAUGUGAUGGGAAUGUUGUAAUCUCUGUGUAACUACUCACCUUCGUGUGAGCUCGCUUUCCUGAUCCUGUGUAAGUGGUUUAUCGGAUGAAAUCUGACAGAUGACCAAGUUGACUUGUUUAAGAUGCAUGAUCGCGUGUUAGGCGACUUAAUUGCAUUUUAGCCGAGUUAACUUGGACGGUUCCGCCACACAAAGCCCUUUAGUCCUGGGUCCAAAAACGAUCGGAACUAAAAGUGCUGGAUGGAAGGUCGAUUCUCUACUUAGUGCAAGAGCCUCACUUCCGGACAUGCGUCCCUAUGAUCCUUUAUAUACUCCAAAUGUCUUAUUGGCUUGCUAGACAGACUCAUACUUGCCAUGGCGAUGUGUAUCCCUCCUCUCAAAGGAUGGAGCAGCAAGCACCUUGUAGUUGCGGCCAUGAUAGGAACCCUGGUCGUGGUCGCCAUCGCCGCAGUCAUCAUCGUCGACCUCACUCCGCCUCAAGUCUUCUUCUCCAUCGAAGAUGCAAGCCUCCAAUUCUACAACUUCACUCUCUCUGCCAACAACACCAGCCGGCGCAUGGAGGUGCAUUAUACCACCCUCAACACUGAGAUAUGGAUAACCCCGUCUGAUUGGUAUUCAGCCGAGUUGAGCAUGAGCGGGUUCACGCAGCAGCCACCGGACAACGUGACCAAGUUCGCCGGGUGGGCCGAGUCGUAUCAGCUGGAUAGCAUGAUGGCGUCGGCGCAGGGCAGCGGCGCGGGGAAUUGGCCAAACUGCACCGUGGUGGUGAUAGCCAAGGUGUUGUUCAAGGUCGGGCUGGCACGCACACGGCCGUACCACAUCAGGGUGUCCUGCUUCCCCGUCAACUUCCGCGAUAAGACUCGGUACGCCAAUUGUACCUACUGAUCUCUCCAGUUUAGGAAGGGGAGAAGAGCCGAGGCUUUCUAGGGAGGUUGCCGGAGGAGGAGCUGAGGAAGGAUGGGGCGCGGCAAGAUCGAAAUCAAGCGGAUCGAGAACUCUACCAACCGCCAAGUGACCUUCUCCAAGCGCCGCAACGGGAUCCUCAAGAAGGCGCGGGAGAUCAGCGUGCUCUGCGAUGCCAAGGUCGGCAUCGUCAUCUUCUUCGCGAUUUGCUGGGCGCUCGAUCUGCCCCGCCCUCCGCCCUCCGCCCUCCCAGCCUUGCGUCGCCCCUGUCACCCCUCCCCCGUGAACUUCCUCAAUACGACUCGGUACGCCUCCCAAGCAAGUAGCUGAAGCAAACAGGCUGAAAGAAAGGCUUACCUUAAAUUCUGUCAGUCUCUGUAUGGCUGUUGUCUGGAGGGCUCCAGUACACCUUAGAUCUGCUGUUGUUGGUGUUGUUAAUGGACUCCUGAUAUCUGCUUCCGUUCAUGUUCCAGUUCCAUUUGGUCUCGAAAUUAAAGAUAUAUUCUUCAUCAUAUCGGUAAUGUCGCGCGGUUCUUGGUUUCAAGUACUGCCUGCAUUUGUUUUUUCUUUUCCUUGUCAUUUGGUCCGUCAGAACUAAGUUUGUUGAAUUCCUUCUGAGUAAGCUUGAGACGCUGGUCGUGCUUGUUUGUUGGUGUGCCUACGUGCCGCAUAGUUUGUCGUAGCAAAUACUUCCGGUUCCAUAUCGCCUGUGUACUACUGGACCGGGAUGUUCUUCAAUCUGUUAUGACCCUGUAUUCUGUUUUUAUAUAGAUCCCAUGUAUGUAUUCUGAAUGCACAGCCCCUGCUGGGAAAUUGGUUUCCCUACUGCGUGUCUGUGUUUACAUGCAUCUUCUAACUGUGGUUCCAAUGGCCCGUCUAGGCCCAUACAGGCCUAUCAGGUGGACGGGCCGGCCGGCCUCCUGGAUCAAAAAGGCCGGUACCCAUCCCUUCUUGGCCCGCCCGCUCCCGCUGUAGAAACAAAACCAGAGCCAGCAGAUCCCCCGGGCCCUGAAGAGAAAGAAGACGACAACAGAAGAAAGAGCUCGCAACGAAGCCGGCGGAAGCCCCCAAACCCUCCCCACCCCAGGCAGCAGCGGCGCGAUGAGAUGGUCGACGACCCACCGCCGGCGGCGGGAACACCGUCGAGGACAUCGUCCGCGCGGAGGUGAGCAUCCCCGGGCAGCCCUCGUCCUCUUUGCUAUGAGUGCCGGGGAAUCCGAUCUCCGCCCGCGCCGACCUGGCUCUGCUCGGCUGCCCCGAUCUGCCCGCGCGGGUGGCGGCGCCUCGCCCCUAGUUCGGUUUCAGGUUAGAGGUGUCCCAGCGUGGUGUCUGGGCAAGGGGAAUCCAGCAACGAGGCGUUCUCCCUCCCAUCGACUCGGUUGGCGCGGACGGACGCGGUGGGUCUGGUUGGGGAAUUUGUGCCCGUUUCGAUUUGGGUGUAGAAUAGGUAAAUAUCUUCAAAAUUGAUAGAAUUAGGCCCGUUUAUAUCGGGAGCUCCCUCCCUGCUACUUGGGCCAUGACGCUUUGGAUCGCCCACAAAAAUUCACAAACGCAGGCAGGGCCGAUCAUCCCGGAUAAAUCCAUAAUGGUUUUUACCGGUUACCGACCCCGGCGGAUUCGAUUUUUACCGAAAACCGGUCGGUAACCGGUAAAAACGGGACGAAUUCAAAAAACGAAUUGCCAGCACAACUGGUAAAAACCGCAUAGUAAAGGGGGCAUUCCAGCGGCCUGCAAGGCGGUUUCCCAGCUGGCCCGUUGUUAUUCCCCACCAAGCUUUAGCAUCUUUCCUUUGUGAUUGUGCGCUGGUGGGCCCGGCGCCGGGGUGAGAGAAGACACGGCACCUAAUACUUUCCUCACCUUUGCAGUGCCGUGGGCCCGCCACUUCCAUUCUGGCCCACAAGUGAUGGAGGCGCGCGAGGAGGGGUAUCGGUUUCACGAUGAUUAAUAAAGAAAGGCCCAAGACACGUCACGCUGUGGGGGAAAGGGAAGACACCGCACCGCACGCACCUCCACCACUUGCGUUGCCUUUGCCUUUGCUUUUCCCCGAGCUCGCCCGCCUAGGAGCUCCAGCAGCCGGUCCGCUCCGCCGCCGGUGCGGCAACCACGCCGCCGUCAGACCGCCUCGCGCGGCCACCGGUCGUCCCCGCGAUACACCGCCGCCGGUGCGCCGUGCGCGGCGGCGCUGUCCCGCCGCUCCUCCGCCUACCGUCCGCCUGCGCCACCACCAGCGCACCGGCAGCACCGCGAGCUGCUGCGCCACCCCGACGUUGGUCCUUCCUGAGCCCGGUGUCGUCACCAGCGUCGCGGAGAAGCUAAUUACCUGAAGCAAUUUGUAGAAACAAAUAGUACUGGUUCGUUCACUUAUUUCUUUGCUCAAACUUAAUUUCUGCUUAGAGUUUGUGCCUAAAUUAGCUGCUUAUUCUGCUGGUUGCAUGCAGGAGAUCGAGCUGCGGGCGUACGGCCGGAUCGGAGGAGGACAUAUCAGCCGGGUUCCUGUUGGUUGUGUACUUGUGUUCCUGCCGGCGGAGAAGCAACCAUGGCCGAGUUAGUGAUCGGGCCACUGAUCUCCAUGGUGAAGGAGAAGGCAUCCAGCUACCUGCUGGACCAAUACAAGAUGAUGGAAGGCAUGGAGGAGCAGCGCAAGACCCUGGAGCGCAAGCUGCCAGCAAUCCUGCACAUCAUCCAGGAUGCGGAGGAGAAAGGAGCCUCCCGACCUGAAGUAGCAGCUUGGCUCAAAGACCUCAAGACAGCGGCCUAUGAGGCCAACGACGUCUUUGAUGAGUUCAAGUAUGAGGCGCUUCGGCGAGAAGCCAAGAAGAAGGGCCACCACAGCAAGCUUGGAGCAGAGGUAGCAAGACCAUCGAGGCGCUUCAGCGAGGCGCUUCGGCGAGGCGCUCGUAAUCCCAUUGUAUUCCGUUACAGGAUGGGCAAGAAGCUACGCAAGAUUGUGCAGACCAUCGAGGCCCUAGUCACCGAGAUGAAUACAUUUGGUUUCAGACACUUGCAGCAAGCACAGCCAUCAAGGCAGUGGCGACAGACAGAUUCCAUAAUCAUUGACUCCGACAGAGAUAUUCUUAGCAGAUCUAGAGAUCGGGAGAAGAAGAAAAUCGUGGGGAUGCUCCUUGAUCAAGCUAGCAACAUGGAUCUCAUGGUUCUUCCAAUUGUUGGGAUGGGUGGGAUGGGCAAGACCACCUUCGUGCAACUCAUUUACAAUGACCCUGCAAUCGAGAAGCACUUUGAGCUUCGGAGGUGGUGCUGUGUGUCAGAUGAUUUCGAUGUCAGUACCAUUGCAAUUAACAUCUGCCAGACCAAUGAGAAAUGUCGUGAAAAAUCAUUGCAGGAGCUCCAGAGUAUAAUAAGUGGAAAACUGCCAGACCUCAUUGUGUUAGAUGAUGUAUGGAAUCGGGAUGCUGAUAAGUGGGGAAAACUAAAGAGUUGCCUUAAGCAGGGUGGCAAGGGCAGUGCAGUACUAACAACAACUCGUGAUGCACAAGUGGCUCACAUUAUGACCAUGGGUGUAGCUGAAGCCCAUAAUAUGGAGAAUCUGAGUGACGAGCAUUUAAAGGAAAUUGUCCAAAGCAGAGCAUUCUGCUUGCAAAAUCCAAAUAUUGAAGAGCAAGAUGGCAUUCUCAGUGGAUUUGUUCGUCGAUGCGUUGGAUCUCCCUUGGCUGCCAAAGCCUUUGGCUCUAUGUUGAGUAACAGGACUAGUAUAAAUGAAUGGAAGAAUAUAUUAGCUAAAAGUAACAUUUGUAGUGAGAAAACCGGAAUUUAUUUGUUCCUCAAGCUCAGUUUUGAUGACCUAUCCUCAGAUAUGAAGCAGUGCUUUGCAUUCUGUGCUUUAUUUCCUAAAGAUUAUGAGAUCGAUGUGGACCUCUUGAUUCAACUGUGGAUGGCACAUGACUUCAUAACUGUGCAGGAGGAUGACAAUCCAGAAACCGUAGGAAAAUAUAUUUUCGAGGAGCUAACUCGGAGGUCAUUCUUUCAAGAUGUCAGGCAAACACUUCCAAUUGGCAAUUUUGGAAGGUUGUCGCUUCGUAAGUCAACCAUAUGCAAGAUACAUGAUCUUAUGCAUGACAUUGCUGAAGGACUGAAAGGGCGACCAGAGGGGGGGUGAAUGGGAGCCUAUAAAAAUUCUUUACGAGAACAAGGCCUAUGUCCCAACCGCAACCCCAAAGUACAUUGCGCGUUGUAUCGUCAAGAUGACGCAAGUCAACUCGUGACAAGCUCACCCUAGUACCUAUAAAACAACACUCAAAUCACAGCGGAAACAUAGCAUGAAUCGACUCCAUCAAGUUUGCAUAUAUGAGACAAAGCAAAGAUACUACUAACCAUUUACUAAAUUAGGCAUGGAAAGAUUAGCAAUAAACUAGGCAUGAUUAGUAAAAAAACUAAACAAGAUGUCAAAGAUUAAUUAGCAACGUGCAAGAACUUAAUCAGUAACCCACUAACAUGAUUAGUAAGUGACAGUUCUAAUUAAGAAGCUAAACAAAAGAAUAGAGACUAACGAGCCAAGUUCCAAGAAUUAACCGUUCGCUACUUUCCUGUCAGCCUGCUGGCUUGCAACCUGCGCCAGGCCCGAUGGCCUCCCUCGCUUUGCUCCUGUUGGGUCGGUUGGCCUGCCGCAGCUAGCUGGGCCUCUAGUGCUGCUGCCUGGGCCGUCAGGCUUGUCUGGCCCGCGAGGCAAGCAGCUGUCCUCCCACUCGGCCUGCUGCCCAAACAGGCCUGGCCCGUGCACUGCUCCCCUCCUGGACCGUGUGCGUAGCUGGGCUGCGAGCUGGACUGCUCCCUGCAGCUGAUGCUGGCUUCGGUCUGGCUCGCGUGCACGUCCCGUGCCUCCUCCACGCAACGACCUGCGAACAAACAGAGCAAGAACACCAAGAACAACCAGAGAACAGGGAAGAACACGUUCAACUUCAAAUUCGAAAUCCUCCGUCAAAUCUCCAUGAAUUGCGACGAAACUUGAGACAAGGAUGCAAUACCCCUAAGGAAAAUAGAUCUAUGAAACAAAUCUUGAAAAACUCAGGUAUACAUCACUAAUCUUGGAGAAAACCGAAAGCCUAACUCAAAAACACGAUUCGGAGAAAUUCGAAAUCCAAGCCGGAUCCAUGAGAGAUUUAGAAGGGGAACGAAUCAAAGAUGCUCCCUAAGGUCCUAGCAUCAUUUCCUUUCAACCAAGUCCACGAGAUUCGGCUCAAACACGAAGAACGAAAAUUCCCUAAAAAUAGCUUCGAAAAUAGGGAAAAAGAAAAACGCUCGGGAAUCAAAAAUUUAGCACGAUUCGAGACAACAAACAAAGCUAAAUCACGAGAACAUCUUCUAUACAAGAUGAGAACUAGCCUCCUCCCUUCAUCCACCCACUAAAGAUGAAGAAAUCGAGAGAAAAGAGUAAUCACUCCCUAAUCCCCCUCUCUCCUCUCACUUUAAGCACAUGACUAGCCUCUAAGCAAAUAGAUAAUGAGUUGCUAAGUAAAGAGGUGCUGAAAUAACCAGCCUCCAUCCCUAUUUAUAGUCCAGGACGAAAGACUAUACUACCCCUACAGCUACAACUAAGAUAACUACCCACGCAGGGGCAUUUUGGUCCAAGUUUUUAUCCGUGCAUCGGACGGACACGCCGCCUUCACGACUUUGCUUCGCCUCGACGCAAGCUUCGCGAUGACGCCACGUGCCCUCCUUCUCGAAGCUACGGCCGCACCGGGCUCGCCCCCGGUUUUGAGGCCCAAACCGGGAAACCUGCCCGCGCGGUGGUUUUGAGGCCCAAACCACCCAAACCGUCCAUCUUUGCUUGGCCGCUACGCGACCUCCUUGAUGUCGACGCGUGUCCGGCCUCCGCCAAGCCUCCCGCUCGACUUGACCGACGUCGUCUCCAUCUUGUCAUGUUCUCCCACCGUUCCGUGCACCAUGUGGACCGCCCGUGACUCCGCCCGGACUCCUCAGGUCCAUCGGUCUAAGCCUACUCGCGUUCAUCCUUCAUCGCCCUUGGUCCAUCGGUAACCUUUCGCUUGACCUUCACCGCACUCCGUCGACCGUCAUGCCGCAUCCUACACCUGCACAUCACAAGCCAAGAGCAACAUCAAACCAACACAACGUUGUCAAUCACUCAUCAUCCAAGGGUGACCACGAUUGGCCCUCAAUUGCUCUAUCUGUUAUGGGGAAAGAAUGUGUCACUAUAGUUGGUAAGCCGAGCGUCAACAAACUGGUUAUAAGUCAACAAAAUCCGACCCGUCACCUCUUCUUAGGUGUUUGUCCAUUGGAGAAAGAACUGGUUAUAAGUCUAUUGAAGAAACAAACUGCAAUGCUCCAUACGUUGUUUUUUCCAGAUUAUGGUGACCCCCUUGAUAUAUCAAAGUACACUUCACUGCGAGCAUUACACCUUCCAGCAUUGAUACAAUUUUCAGGACAGGAACAGCUUACAAGAGACAUACCACACCUAAGGUAUCUUAAUCUGUCGUCACAUGAGUUCGAGAAACUUCCUGAAGGUAUAAGCAUUAUGUAUAAUCUACAAACAUUGGACCUCUCUCAUUGCGUACACCUUCGUCAACUUCCAAAGGAUAUGAAAUAUAUGGCAAACCUCCGACACUUGUAUACCCAUGGAUGCAAAUCAUUGACGUGCAUGCCUCCAGGACUUGGACAGAUCACUUCUCUGCAGACUCUAACAUAUUUUAUUAUUGGUGAUGGCUUGGGAUGUAGUACUAUCAGAGAACUUCAAAACUUAAACCUUGGUGGAGAGUUAGAGUUAAGUGGUCUGCAAAAUGUAACAGAAGUGCUUGCAAAAGCAGCCAGUCUUGAAAAAAAAGAGAAACUCACACACUUAUCUCUCAAGUGGAAUGAUGAUGCCCGUGAGAAACCAGAUUAUUCUCAUAAUGAGGUGUUAGAUGCCCUUAAACCUCAUCACCGGCUAGAGAUGCUAAGAAUAAAGUCCUACAAAGGCACCAAUUUACCGUCAUGGAUAACAGAUCUUAGUCUGUUGCAGCACUUGACUGAGCUCCAUCUGCUUGGUUGUACGCUGUGCGAGGAAUUUCCUCAAUUCUGCCAUUUCAAAACCCUUGAAGUUCUGUAUUUGGAAAAGUUGAACAAAUUGCGAAGCCUAUGCAGCCAUACGGUGUCUACGCCAUUUCCAGCACUGAAGCAACUCCGGUUACAUGAUUUGGAGAGCUUGGAGAGAUGGGUCGCAACAGAAGGAAAAGAAGAUGAAUUAACCUUUCCUGUACUUGAGGAGGUUGAUAUAAAAAACUGUCCAAAGUUGACUAGCCUACCUGAAGCACCAAAACUCAUGUUUGUAAGGCUGGAUGAAACUCCGGUUACUAAUAAGCCUUGGGAAUCAUCACAGAAACUGGAACUAUCUUUGGGUGGCACAGAAGCCGCACCUCGAUCACAACUGAGAAUAUCUGGCAGCAACCUUUUCUUCAUAUCAAAACUGGAAAUGGUUUGGAAAUGGUUUGAACAUCUUGUAGAUUUCAGAAUUAAAAACUGUGAUGUGCACAUGUCUUCAAUUUCUAAGCUAUUAGUGCUGCGUGUCCGUGACACAGAAGCACUGCCUCAGAUAGAUUAUAAUUGGGAUUCAUCACAGAAACUGAAACUAUCUUUGGGUGGCACAGAAGCCGCACCUCUGUCACAACUGAGCAUAUCUGGCUGCAACUUUUUCUUCGUAUCAAGCCAGUCACAGCUAACACCUGGGGUCUGGAAAUGGUUUAGACCUGUUCGCUUCAGCUUAUAAGCCGGCUGAAAAGCUGAAACGACUGAUUUGUUGUGAGAAGAAAACACUGUUUGGUCGCUGAUAAGCCGGUUGAAUAAGCUGAAGCGAACGUGCUCCAACAUCUUGCAGAUUUCACAAUUAAAAACUGUGAUGUGCUCAUCUACUGGCCAGAAGAAGUGUUCCAAAGCUUGGUAUCUUUGAAGAACUUGAAGAUUAAGUCCUGCAACAAGCUAAUAGGGCCCACACAAGCGGAAGGUGGCGAACCUACACAAACAACAGAUCAAGUCCUGCCACAUCUAAACAGUAUAAGUAUACGCAGUUGUGAAAGCAUGGCACAGCUCUUCAUUCUUUCCCCAUCUAUCAGCUCUAUUGAUAUUCAGGAAUGCCCUAAGCUUGAGUUCAUAUGGGGAAAGGAGGAGCAUCUUGACACAUAUACAUCGCUGGAACAUUGCCGCGACCCUGCAUCCACCACUGGUACCCUAGAGCAAUCACAGUCUCCAAUUAUCCGUCAUUCAUGUCUCGUAAAUCUAGAAAUAAGAGGCUGUCAUAGCCUGGUAACACUUCCAAAUCUACCACCGUCCCUCAAACAGUUAUGCAUCUGCCGCUGUGAGAAGCUCUGCUCUGUGUCAGGAGACCUGUGUGCACUCGAGGAACUCCAUAUUUUUUACUGCAAUAAGUUAAAGUCAGUCAAUUCCUUGGGAGACCACCCAUCAUUAGAAACACUGUUUCUUUCUCGCUGCCGAUGCCUUGCAUCUUUAGGAUGUGAUGGUGGUCGUGGGAGUUACUCUGCUCUUCAGUGCCCAGCCAUAGACAUGAAGCAGUUUUACUAACGCUAUCAAACAGCUGCUUGACAGCUUUGAAGAUGAAGACGUAUCACACGUUCAUUUAAGCAUCUCUGAUGAAGGUACGACCUUUCACUUUCCUCUUAUUCAAUUUGUUUCCUUCAAAUUUCCCUGCUUUGCAUGCCCUCCUAUUUCACUCAUGUAACCCCACAUGCAUUUCAUUUUUGCUGUGCAGACAUGACCCAUUUGUCCUUAAAAAGCAUAAAGGAGGGCACUCACAUGUACACACGACUGCCAUCUGGAAGCUUCAUUAUUGCAAGCCUCGUCCUCACCAUCGACCAUCUGAUCUUGUGCUUGUCGAUGAGGCUGUCCAAACUCCAAAAGGUCAUCCCAUAUCUUCCUGUGCUUGUCACAUACGGUUUUAAAGGCAAAAUCAUAUGAAUGAAUUACAUAUGCGCCAAGAUCAAGUUUCACACAUCAGCAACUUCUGUAAAUACCAUAGAUAGUACCAUAACAUAAAGAGAGUAUUAAAUUUAUUACAUGGUCGAAAGUCUUUAAUACGAAUAACAAAACGAGUCUUUAUUCUAGCAACGGAACUCCAACAAUGACGACAACUCCACAUGAGUUGACUGGUGGCACACGUACACCUAGAACUCCUCGAAGUAUUGAAGGACCUCCUCAAUGUUGAUUUGGUCUGAGCAGCGGUUUUAGCAAAGGUGAGUACACUUUAUGGUCGGUACUCAGCAAGCGUGAAGAAUGUGUAGUGUAAGGCUAUUCAAGGAUGGGCUAUGGUUUAAUAGCAUUUCAGCAUUUUAAUUGGUUGGUCAAGUUUUAUUAGCAACAACUAAGUAUAAGUUUAUACCACCCAUGUUAAGCAUGCACAUAAAUGAAAAUAACAACAAUAAAUAACAUCAAUUUAAUUCAACUUCCAACAAAUUAAUUAUGUGAGGGUCCAGGCCCCCCAGCGAUCUCGCCAUAAAUGCACCACGUCUCUGGCACGCAGAAAGGCGCCCGUGCCCCUCGACGUGACCCGCCACAAGUACCCAAGCGGAACACUGUAGCCACAACCGCACAGGCUACAAUGGUCGCAGAUCCCCCUGAUUCGCAGCAGGGCACUCAUGGCUUGCGCCGCCCGGAGCAGGGGGAAGUCGCGCCCCGUGCAUCCGGCCAUAGGGACGCGACGUUCGCCUUCCGCGGGCUGUCAGCAAGAUGGCAGGACCAGCCGCCUCCCCCAACGGACACAGGUGCCACGACGAAACACCAUCAUCACGCCUGGCGGCGACAGCCGCCGAGGAGACCAUCGACGGGACGCGACGGCGGCCGCCCUCCUCCGGCAGACGCGCCGGCAGGGGCCGAAGGCCGGCGAGGAUGCCGGUAGCCUGGGGACUUGGUCCCUCUCCUUGUGUUUUAUUUUACCUAGCUUUGUUUAUCUCUUUUACUUCUCCUCACACCCGGUCUCUCCUGUAACCACGGUGGCCUCCUUGCGAUAUAAAAGGAGAACCGGGAGCCUGAGACGAGGGAGGCUUCCAAGCCAACAGAACACACUAAUACCCACCUAGAGCAUCAGUGCACACCCAAGAGACCUGGGACCAGCUCCCUCUCUCGCACUCCUGUAACCCCUACUACAGAACCCCGCGUGGGCAACACGAGCAGCUCCCGAUACUGGACGUAGGUCAUUCCCUUGCCCGAACCAGUCUAAACCCCGUGUCUCCCACGCCACCAUCCGAAGCCUUACGCGCAUAAAAGAAAUUUACUAGUCUAAGUCUUGAGCCGCUAAUCUUGACAAUGACAGUUGGCGCGCCAUGUAGGGGACCUUUGUGCGUACAUCAUCGGCUUCAGAUGGCCAACCACGACGCUGGCUCCAACGACAGGAGUCACCACCCCUCGCACGAGUGCUUCAUGGCCGACGUGCACUCCGAGGGAUCCAACGACGACGGCGCUGAAGGGAAGCGGCGCGCUCCCCCACCGCACGCCGCAGCUACGACUGAGGCCCUUGCCAGGGUCCCGGUGUGGCCACGACAGCCGGAGGUGCGCACGACGCCCCACCAGGAGGACGAGCACCGCCGCAACGAGGGCGGGGCGAGUCAUCGGGCCUGUGACGUCCAGCGGCGCAUCUGCGGGGACGAGGAUCAUCCCCAACUCUUCGCACGCGCCAGCCAGAACGUCGCCGCCGCGGCAGCCCUCCUCCGACGACUUCCCGAUCCGGCAACGCCCGAGGAGCGACAGGCCCGCCAGGAGGUACGCGACUUGCUUGAGUGUGCAGCAGUCCAGCAGGCAGAAAGCUCCGCGUCCCGGCAUCGCACACACGGCGCCAGCAGGGUCACACCCUCUGUGCCUAUCGAGAGGCGUGGAGGACCUGUCCAUCAACCUUCCUCCCGUGAGGGAAACCAGGCCUCGCCCAUUCGACGGACUCCACCACGCGCGGGUGACGGGGCUUCAUCCGUCCACCGUCGCGUCGGCCCCAUCCGCGACGCCCGUGAUGCCUUGGAUGCGCAGAGGCGCACCCGUGCGGACAGGGAGGAUAGAGCCGACUGCGGCUACCGCAUACACCGUGGUGGUCGCCACGACGGCGGAGAAAAUCGGAGCCCCAGCCCCAGCCCAGCGGGGCCCAGGGCCUUCUCCACACGCAUCCUGAACACGCCGUCCCCAGCGCGCUUCAGACAGCCCACCAAUGUGGCCAAAUACUUUGGGGAGAAAAACCCUGGGCCUUGGCUCAGCGACUACCGACUUGCCUGUCAGGCCGGUGGAGCGGAUGACAACCUGUUCAUCAUUCGCAACCUCCCACUGUUCUUGGCCGACUCGGUGCGAGCCUGGCUGGAACACAUCCCGUCAGGUCGGAUUCGUAACUAGAACGACCUGAAAGAAAUCUUUGUAGGGAACUUCCAGGGCACAUACAUGCACCCCGGGAACUCCUGGGACCUCUGGAGCUGCCGCCAGGAGUCGGGUGAGACUCUCCGAGAGUACAUCCGACGCUUCUCCAGAAACGCACCGAGCUCUCCAAUGUCGCCGACGCCGACGUCAUCGGGGCCUUCCUGGCAGGGACCUCCUGUAGGUCUCUGGUCCACGAACUGGGACGUGUAGGCCCACGGACCACCAAGGAGCUCCUCGACAUCGCCACCGACUUUGCCUCGGGCGAGGAGGCCAUCGGGGCGAUAUUCGAUCGCUCCAAGGGCAAGGCAAAGAGGGAGAAGGAUGCCGACGAAGGCGCCUCCACUCGCCAGAAGAAGAAAAAGGCCGCGGCGAAACCCCGAAGGCUGCGGAGGGACUCAAGCACGACGACGGAUGACGACAAUGAUGAUGAAGAUGAGGAUGAUGAUGAAGAAAGCUCUUCCGCUCUAUAAGGAGUGCGCGGCAAACGAAAUACGAGUCGACCGCAUCUAUUGCGACGUCAGGUACAUCCCAUCACCUCCGUCUUUCUCCGGAAACCGUACGCACGAUCUCUUUUUAACCGCAAGGAACACCACACCUCCUACCCCACGAGCUCGACGUUUUCUACCGCUUCGACUCCCAGAGGUCAUACGCACAACUUUCUCUGCAAGCGGACCAGGACCCGCUUCAGGUAAAAAAGGGAUACAGAGCUGAAACGCUCUUACGGCCCAUUACGGUCCAGGGGUUCGAAGGCUGGCCCUCUAGAGGGUUCGACAGCCGCCCCAGGACAUUCCCCGAGCAAGGGGUGAGAAGGGAUGGGUCCGCUAGCGGCCACCACCCAAGCGAGCGAAAGCCAAGGGCGUCCCGACCUCACGUUCGAGUCCGGGCUGGCGUCUAAGUUCAUGGUUUUUUCCCGAAGAAAGGCAACGAGCCCCCGAAUCCGAUCGAACGGACUCGGGAAUUAUAUGAACUGGCCAGCCGGAAUCUGGAGUACGCCACCAGCUUGGCCCGAGCCGGACCCCCCCGAACGGGGACCGGGACUCCACUCGAACCGACCCGUUCGCAGCUCAACGAGCACCACGGUUCGUCCAAUGAGGAUAGCGUGGCACGGCUCACCCCCUCCGUCCCAGCGAACGGACGCUUGAGGGGAAACGACCAAAAGCCGAUCUAGCCUCCCGAUCGGUCCCUUGCAACGCGCGGGGGCUCGGGGGCUAGCAUCGCAACCAAUGACCACGCGUGUGGUCGCGAUGUGAGGUCUCGAGGUGGGAGUGCCCUAUGGAGCAAUGAGGAGUCCUCCCGCGCCAAGUCAUCCACAGGACACCUCGCCUGAUCAAACUCCCCGACCAAACCGGACCAACAACACUCCUUAUCCCUGACCAACUGCAGCUUGCAGGGCGAGCAGAGAUCCUCGACGAGCGAUGAAAACAGCCUCUGGAGGAGCAUCCUUGCUCCACCACAGGCUCGGGGCUACUAUUGGGGGGAAAUAUUAACGACCUCCUGAUGCCCCCUAAAGCAGCAGUCAUAAAGGCCCGGGCCCACCUGUGGUAAUUACGAUUACCGCCGACCCAGCAGAGGUAGAGAACAUCCCACUCCGUCUCGCCCGACCCAGGGUCCAAGGGUCGGACAAUCCCGACCCCUCGAUGGCAGAACUCCGCCUCGCCCGACUUGCGGUCCCAGGGUCAGGAGCGCCCGACCCCUCGCCGCAAGGCUCCGCCUUGCCCGACCCCGAGCGUAGGGGGUCGGACUCAUACGGGCCCACGGGACAAGUGUCCACCUCGGGCGCAGACCGGCGGACGAGGGCGCGGAUCUUGUGGGCCCCCCAGCGAUCUCACCAUAAAUGCACCGCGGCUCUGGCACGCAGAAAGGCGCCCGCUCCCCUCGACGUGACCCACCACAAGUACCCAAGCGGAACACUGUAGCUACGACCGCAUAGGCUACAGUGGCUGCAGAUCCCCUGAUUCGCAGCAGGGCACUCAUGGCUUGCGCCGCUCGGAGCAGGGGGAAGUUGCGCCCGUCCUCGCGCCCCGCGCAUCCGGCGAUAGGGAUGCGACGUCCGCCUUCCGCGGGCUGUCAGCAAGAUGGCAGGACCAGCCGCCUCCCCCAACGGACACAGGUGCCACGACGAAACACCAUCAUCACGCCUGGCGGCGACAGCCGUCGAGGAGACCAUCGACGGGACGCGACGGCGGCCGCCCUCCUCCGGCAGACGCGCCGGCAGGGGCCGAGGCCGGCGAGGAUGCCGGUAGCCUUGGACUUGGUCCCUCUCCUUGUGUUGUAUUUUACCUAGCUUUGUUUAUCUCUUUUACUUCUCCUCACACCCGGUCUCUCCUGUAACCACGGUGGCCUCCUUGCGAUAUAAAAGGGAGAACCGGGAGCCUGAGACGAGGGAGGCUUCCAAGCCAACAGAACACACUCAUACCCACCUAGAGCAUCAGUGCACACCCAAGAGACCUGGGACCAGCUCCCUCUCUCGCACUCCUGUAACCCUACUACAGAACCCCGCGUGGGCAACACGAGCAGCUCCCGAUACGGGACGUAGGGCAUUCCCUUGCCCGAACCAGUCUAAACCCCAUGUCUCCCAUGCCACCAUCCGAAGCCUUACGCGCAUAAAGAAAUUUUACUGGUCUAAGUCUUGACCCGCUAAUCUUGACAACGACACAUUGGUUCAUUAAUACCACCAUACCCAGUUUGAGCAACUAAGCAAGAACUAUCCAACAUCAUGUAAACCCAUGUUGAUCAAGGUGUAGGGAUAAAACUAGGCACACCUUAAAUAUUUAUAUACUUAAAGUGCAUAGCAUAUGUGUAUUGAACAUGAAAGUAAAGGUUGCAUAGGAUCAAAUUGUGAUCAAGGGCAUGACUUGCCUUCUUGAACUUGCUCUUGCUGCUCAAAAGUCCUCAAAGCCUUGCCCUUUGAAUCCCUCGAACUGCAAUCCUUCUAUGUGCAUCAAGCAAGUACAUACAAGCAAACAAAAGACUAAAAUAACAAAACAUUACAUCAAGCAGUAGCAACAGAGCAAGACAAGACCAUAAAACUAAUCUAUGCAUCAACACGAACUCAUAGACCGCAAGAAUCGCUAUAAAAUGGGUUUAAAAUGUUAAAGAUAUGAGCUAAACAAGGUUCAUAAACUUAACUGCGAGAAAAACUAAACUUGUUAGGUACUAAACAUAAAGAAACUACGGAUUAAACCCUAUUAAAUGUAUAAAUCGAAGGGUUUACACAUAAAAGAGUACAUCUACGAUGGCAAGCGAUAUUUUAUAAAACUAAAGGGCUAAAACAGAGAAAAAAAGAUCCACAUCUAAUUACUUUUGGUAUAUAAGCUCUAAUUAAAUUGUUGCGUUUAGACUUUUAAAAGUAUCCGGUGGCACAAUGGACCGGCGUCCAUCCGUCCUGUGACCAGGCCUACUGGGCAACGCAUUCUCCAGAUGAAUCAUUGAGCCUGAAUAACAAAGAGACAAGCCUCACCAAUCACACAAUUUUUAGCUAGACGCAAUAUUAACGGUACAUGUAGUAUUGCAGGGAUAUCAAACGUUAUAAGGUACUUAAAAAAAUUCUGUGGAAGAUAUCGGGGGCUCCUAUGUAUCUCGUGGAAGAUAGAUAGGGGCUAUGAAACUUCCAACCCACCACCGCCCUAUUAAGAGGAUCUUUAGCAGUCUCCCUUUCCCCAAUCCAACUACCAUAUUGGAAGUAGACAAGAAAAAGUGCUCAUGCAGUCUCCCUUUACCUUUCCUUUUUCCCAAUAAUUACUGGGACGGCCCAAUAAUUCACUCCAACUCUCCCUAAAGGAGUUGUGACUCUCCGAGUACGGUAAAAGGAUGAGUUGUGACUCUCCGAGUACGGUAAUUAAAUUGGGAUGAGAUUAUUGGAGAGUGCAAAUGCAACUCUCCCAACGGUGAAUAUUUAUUGGGGACUACUGGAGAUGCUCUAAGCUCCUCUCCCUUCUCUUCUUCCCCGGUGACCCACCCUCGCCAUUUCCUUCGCCGUAAGGUGCUUAAAAAAAUCUUGUAAGGUGCUUAAAAAAAUCUUACCUUGCCCUUAUCAAACGUUGUAAGGUGCUUAAAAAAAUCUUGUGAAAGAUAGAUAGAAUUUCCGGGGCUCCUAUACACAUAGGGCAUCAAACUUCCAGCCCCACCACUGGCUCAUUAAGAGGAUCUCGAGCAAUCUUUGUUUCCCCAAUCCAACUACUAUAUUGGAGGAGUAGAUAAGAAAAUAGUGCUCCAACAAUCCCCCUUUACCUUGCCCUUUUCCCAAUAAUUUGGGACAAACCAAUAAUUCACCCGAACUCUCCCUAAAUAAAGGAGAGUUGAGACUCUCCCAAUACGGUAAUUGAAUUGGGAUGAGAUUAUGGAAGAGUGCAAAAGCAACUUUCCCAAUAACGGUGAAAGUGAUAUUAGGAUAUCCCUAUUAACNNNNNNNNNNNNNNNNNNNNNNNNNNNNNNNNNNNNNNNNNNNNNNNNNNNNNNNNNNNNNNNNNNNNNNNNNNNNNNNNNNNNNNNNNNNNNNNNNNNNNNNNNNNNNNNNNNNNNNNNNNNNNNNNNNNNNNNNNNNNNNNNNNNNNNNNNNNNNNNNNNNNNNNNNNNNNNNNNNNNNNNNNNNNNNNNNNNNNNNNNNNNNNNNNNNNNNNNNNNNNNNNNNNNNNNNNNNNNNNNNNNNNNNNNNNNNNNNNNNNNNNNNNNNNNNNNNNNNNNNNNNNNNNNNNNNNNNNNNNNNNNNNNNNNNNNNNNNNNNNNNNNNNNNNNNNNNNNNNNNNNNNNNNNNNNNNNNNNNNNNNNNNNNNNNNNNNNNNNNNNNNNNNNNNNNNNNNNNNNNNNNNNNNNNNNNNNNNNNNNNNNNNNNNNNNNNNNNNNNNNNNNNNNNNNNNNNNNNNNNNNNNNNNNNNNNNNNNNNNNNNNNNNNNNNNNNNNNNNNNNNNNNNNNNNNNNNNNNNNNNNNNNNNNNNNNNNNNNNNNNNNNNNNNNNNNNNNNNNNNNNNNNNNNNNNNNNNNNNNNNNNNNNNNNNNNNNNNNNNNNNNNNNNNNNNNNNNNNNNNNNNNNNNNNNNNNNNNNNNNNNNNNNNNNNNNNNNNNNNNNNNNNNNNNNNNNNNNNNNNNNNNNNNNNNNNNNNNNNNNNNNNNNNNNNNNNNNNNNNNNNNNNNNNNNNNNNNNNNNNNNNNNNNNNNNNNNNNNNNNNNNNNNNNNNNNNNNNNNNNNNNNNNNNNNNNNNNNNNNNNNNNNNNNNNNNNNNNNNNNNNNNNNNNNNNNNNNNNNNNNNNNNNNNNNNNNNNNNNNNNNNNNNNNNNNNNNNNNNNNNNNNNNNNNNNNNNNNNNNNNNNNNNNNNNNNNNNNNNNNNNNNNNNNNNNNNNNNNNNNNNNNNNNNNNNNNNNNNNNNNNNNNNNNNNNNNNNNNNNNNNNNNNNNNNNNNNNNNNNNNNNNNNNNNNNNNNNNNNNNNNNNNNNNNNNNNNNNNNNNNNNNNNNNNNNNNNNNNNNNNNNNNNNNNNNNNNNNNNNNNNNNNNNNNNNNNNNNNNNNNNNNNNNNNNNNNNNNNNNNNNNNNNNNNNNNNNNNNNNNNNNNNNNNNNNNNNNNNNNNNNNNNNNNNNNNNNNNNNNNNNNNNNNNNNNNNNNNNNNNNNNNNNNNNNNNNNNNNNNNNNNNNNNNNNNNNNNNNNNNNNNNNNNNNNNNNNNNNNNNNNNNNNNNNNNNNNNNNNNNNNNNNNNNNNNNNNNNNNNNNNNNNNNNNNNNNNNNNNNNNNNNNNNNNNNNNNNNNNNNNNNNNNNNNNNNNNNNNNNNNNNNNNNNNNNNNNNNNNNNNNNNNNNNNNNNNNNNNNNNNNNNNNNNNNNNNNNNNNNNNNNNNNNNNNNNNNNNNNNNNNNNNNNNNNNNNNNNNNNNNNNNNNNNNNNNNNNNNNNNNNNNNNNNNNNNNNNNNNNNNNNNNNNNNNNNNNNNNNNNNNNNNNNNNNNNNNNNNNNNNNNNNNNNNNNNNNNNNNNNNNNNNNNNNNNNNNNNNNNNNNNNNNNNNNNNNNNNNNNNNNNNNNNNNNNNNNNNNNNNNNNNNNNNNNNNNNNNNNNNNNNNNNNNNNNNNNNNNNNNNNNNNNNNNNNNNNNNNNNNNNNNNNNNNNNNNNNNNNNNNNNNNNNNNNNNNNNNNNNNNNNNNNNNNNNNNNNNNNNNNNNNNNNNNNNNNNNNNNNNNNNNNNNNNNNNNNNNNNNNNNNNNNNNNNNNNNNNNNNNNNNNNNNNNNNNNNNNNNNNNNNNNNNNNNNNNNNNNNNNNNNNNNNNNNNNNNNNNNNNNNNNNNNNNNNNNNNNNNNNNNNNNNNNNNNNNNNNNNNNNNNNNNNNNNNNNNNNNNNNNNNNNNNNNNNNNNNNNNNNNNNNNNNNNNNNNNNNNNNNNNNNNNNNNNNNNNNNNNNNNNNNNNNNNNNNNNNNNNNNNNNNNNNNNNNNNNNNNNNNNNNNNNNNNNNNNNNNNNNNNNNNNNNNNNNNNNNNNNNNNNNNNNNNNNNNNNNNNNNNNNNNNNNNNNNNNNNNNNNNNNNNNNNNNNNNNNNNNNNNNNNNNNNNNNNNNNNNNNNNNNNNNNNNNNNNNNNNNNNNNNNNNNNNNNNNNNNNNNNNNNNNNNNNNNNNNNNNNNNNNNNNNNNNNNNNNNNNNNNNNNNNNNNNNNNNNNNNNNNNNNNNNNNNNNNNNNNNNNNNNNNNNNNNNNNNNNNNNNNNNNNNNNNNNNNNNNNNNNNNNNNNNNNNNNNNNNNNNNNNNNNNNNNNNNNNNNNNNNNNNNNNNNNNNNNNNNNNNNNNNNNNNNNNNNNNNNNNNNNNNNNNNNNNNNNNNNNNNNNNNNNNNNNNNNNNNNNNNNNNNNNNNNNNNNNNNNNNNNNNNNNNNNNNNNNNNNNNNNNNNNNNNNNNNNNNNNNNNNNNNNNNNNNNNNNNNNNNNNNNNNNNNNNNNNNNNNNNNNNNNNNNNNNNNNNNNNNNNNNNNNNNNNNNNNNNNNNNNNNNNNNNNNNNNNNNNNNNNNNNNNNNNNNNNNNNNNNNNNNNNNNNNNNNNNNNNNNNNNNNNNNNNNNNNNNNNNNNNNNNNNNNNNNNNNNNNNNNNNNNNNNNNNNNNNNNNNNNNNNNNNNNNNNNNNNNNNNNNNNNNNNNNNNNNNNNNNNNNNNNNNNNNNNNNNNNNNNNNNNNNNNNNNNNNNNNNNNNNNNNNNNNNNNNNNNNNNNNNNNNNNNNNNNNNNNNNNNNNNNNNNNNNNNNNNNNNNNNNNNNNNNNNNNNNNNNNNNNNNNNNNNNNNNNNNNNNNNNNNNNNNNNNNNNNNNNNNNNNNNNNNNNNNNNNNNNNNNNNNNNNNNNNNNNNNNNNNNNNNNNNNNNNNNNNNNNNNNNNNNNNNNNNNNNNNNNNNNNNNNNNNNNNNNNNNNNNNNNNNNNNNNNNNNNNNNNNNNNNNNNNNNNNNNNNNNNNNNNNNNNNNNNNNNNNNNNNNNNNNNNNNNNNNNNNNNNNNNNNNNNNNNNNNNNNNNNNNNNNNNNNNNNNNNNNNNNNNNNNNNNNNNNNNNNNNNNNNNNNNNNNNNNNNNNNNNNNNNNNNNNNNNNNNNNNNNNNNNNNNNNNNNNNNNNNNNNNNNNNNNNNNNNNNNNNNNNNNNNNNNNNNNNNNNNNNNNNNNNNNNNNNNNNNNNNNNNNNNNNNNNNNNNNNNNNNNNNNNNNNNNNNNNNNNNNNNNNNNNNNNNNNNNNNNNNNNNNNNNNNNNNNNNNNNNNNNNNNNNNNNNNNNNNNNNNNNNNNNNNNNNNNNNNNNNNNNNNNNNNNNNNNNNNNNNNNNNNNNNNNNNNNNNNNNNNNNNNNNNNNNNNNNNNNNNNNNNNNNNNNNNNNNNNNNNNNNNNNNNNNNNNNNNNNNNNNNNNNNNNNNNNNNNNNNNNNNNNNNNNNNNNNNNNNNNNNNNNNNNNNNNNNNNNNNNNNNNNNNNNNNNNNNNNNNNNNNNNNNNNNNNNNNNNNNNNNNNNNNNNNNNNNNNNNNNNNNNNNNNNNNNNNNNNNNNNNNNNNNNNNNNNNNNNNNNNNNNNNNNNNNNNNNNNNNNNNNNNNNNNNNNNNNNNNNNNNNNNNNNNNNNNNNNNNNNNNNNNNNNNNNNNNNNNNNNNNNNNNNNNNNNNNNNNNNNNNNNNNNNNNNNNNNNNNNNNNNNNNNNNNNNNNNNNNNNNNNNNNNNNNNNNNNNNNNNNNNNNNNNNNNNNNNNNNNNNNNNNNNNNNNNNNNNNNNNNNNNNNNNNNNNNNNNNNNNNNNNNNNNNNNNNNNNNNNNNNNNNNNNNNNNNNNNNNNNNNNNNNNNNNNNNNNNNNNNNNNNNNNNNNNNNNNNNNNNNNNNNNNNNNNNNNNNNNNNNNNNNNNNNNNNNNNNNNNNNNNNNNNNNNNNNNNNNNNNNNNNNNNNNNNNNNNNNNNNNNNNNNNNNNNNNNNNNNNNNNNNNNNNNNNNNNNNNNNNNNNNNNNNNNNNNNNNNNNNNNNNNNNNNNNNNNNNNNNNNNNNNNNNNNNNNNNNNNNNNNNNNNNNNNNNNNNNNNNNNNNNNNNNNNNNNNNNNNNNNNNNNNNNNNNNNNNNNNNNNNNNNNNNNNNNNNNNNNNNNNNNNNNNNNNNNNNNNNNNNNNNNNNNNNNNNNNNNNNNNNNNNNNNNNNNNNNNNNNNNNNNNNNNNNNNNNNNNNNNNNNNNNNNNNNNNNNNNNNNNNNNNNNNNNNNNNNNNNNNNNNNNNNNNNNNNNNNNNNNNNNNNNNNNNNNNNNNNNNNNNNNNNNNNNNNNNNNNNNNNNNNNNNNNNNNNNNNNNNNNNNNNNNNNNNNNNNNNNNNNNNNNNNNNNNNNNNNNNNNNNNNNNNNNNNNNNNNNNNNNNNNNNNNNNNNNNNNNNNNNNNNNNNNNNNNNNNNNNNNNNNNNNNNNNNNNNNNNNNNNNNNNNNNNNNNNNNNNNNNNNNNNNNNNNNNNNNNNNNNNNNNNNNNNNNNNNNNNNNNNNNNNNNNNNNNNNNNNNNNNNNNNNNNNNNNNNNNNNNNNNNNNNNNNNNNNNNNNNNNNNNNNNNNNNNNNNNNNNNNNNNNNNNNNNNNNNNNNNNNNNNNNNNNNNNNNNNNNNNNNNNNNNNNNNNNNNNNNNNNNNNNNNNNNNNNNNNNNNNNNNNNNNNNNNNNNNNNNNNNNNNNNNNNNNNNNNNNNNNNNNNNNNNNNNNNNNNNNNNNNNNNNNNNNNNNNNNNNNNNNNNNNNNNNNNNNNNNNNNNNNNNNNNNNNNNNNNNNNNNNNNNNNNNNNNNNNNNNNNNNNNNNNNNNNNNNNNNNNNNNNNNNNNNNNNNNNNNNNNNNNNNNNNNNNNNNNNNNNNNNNNNNNNNNNNNNNNNNNNNNNNNNNNNNNNNNNNNNNNNNNNNNNNNNNNNNNNNNNNNNNNNNNNNNNNNNNNNNNNNNNNNNNNNNNNNNNNNNNNNNNNNNNNNNNNNNNNNNNNNNNNNNNNNNNNNNNNNNNNNNNNNNNNNNNNNNNNNNNNNNNNNNNNNNNNNNNNNNNNNNNNNNNNNNNNNNNNNNNNNNNNNNNNNNNNNNNNNNNNNNNNNNNNNNNNNNNNNNNNNNNNNNNNNNNNNNNNNNNNNNNNNNNNNNNNNNNNNNNNNNNNNNNNNNNNNNNNNNNNNNNNNNNNNNNNNNNNNNNNNNNNNNNNNNNNNNNNNNNNNNNNNNNNNNNNNNNNNNNNNNNNNNNNNNNNNNNNNNNNNNNNNNNNNNNNNNNNNNNNNNNNNNNNNNNNNNNNNNNNNNNNNNNNNNNNNNNNNNNNNNNNNNNNNNNNNNNNNNNNNNNNNNNNNNNNNNNNNNNNNNNNNNNNNNNNNNNNNNNNNNNNNNNNNNNNNNNNNNNNNNNNNNNNNNNNNNNNNNNNNNNNNNNNNNNNNNNNNNNNNNNNNNNNNNNNNNNNNNNNNNNNNNNNNNNNNNNNNNNNNNNNNNNNNNNNNNNNNNNNNNNNNNNNNNNNNNNNNNNNNNNNNNNNNNNNNNNNNNNNNNNNNNNNNNNNNNNNNNNNNNNNNNNNNNNNNNNNNNNNNNNNNNNNNNNNNNNNNNNNNNNNNNNNNNNNNNNNNNNNNNNNNNNNNNNNNNNNNNNNNNNNNNNNNNNNNNNNNNNNNNNNNNNNNNNNNNNNNNNNNNNNNNNNNNNNNNNNNNNNNNNNNNNNNNNNNNNNNNNNNNNNNNNNNNNNNNNNNNNNNNNNNNNNNNNNNNNNNNNNNNNNNNNNNNNNNNNNNNNNNNNNNNNNNNNNNNNNNNNNNNNNNNNNNNNNNNNNNNNNNNNNNNNNNNNNNNNNNNNNNNNNNNNNNNNNNNNNNNNNNNNNNNNNNNNNNNNNNNNNNNNNNNNNNNNNNNNNNNNNNNNNNNNNNNNNNNNNNNNNNNNNNNNNNNNNNNNNNNNNNNNNNNNNNNNNNNNNNNNNNNNNNNNNNNNNNNNNNNNNNNNNNNNNNNNNNNNNNNNNNNNNNNNNNNNNNNNNNNNNNNNNNNNNNNNNNNNNNNNNNNNNNNNNNNNNNNNNNNNNNNNNNNNNNNNNNNNNNNNNNNNNNNNNNNNNNNNNNNNNNNNNNNNNNNNNNNNNNNNNNNNNNNNNNNNNNNNNNNNNNNNNNNNNNNNNNNNNNNNNNNNNNNNNNNNNNNNNNNNNNNNNNNNNNNNNNNNNNNNNNNNNNNNNNNNNNNNNNNNNNNNNNNNNNNNNNNNNNNNNNNNNNNNNNNNNNNNNNNNNNNNNNNNNNNNNNNNNNNNNNNNNNNNNNNNNNNNNNNNNNNNNNNNNNNNNNNNNNNNNNNNNNNNNNNNNNNNNNNNNNNNNNNNNNNNNNNNNNNNNNNNNNNNNNNNNNNNNNNNNNNNNNNNNNNNNNNNNNNNNNNNNNNNNNNNNNNNNNNNNNNNNNNNNNNNNNNNNNNNNNNNNNNNNNNNNNNNNNNNNNNNNNNNNNNNNNNNNNNNNNNNNNNNNNNNNNNNNNNNNNNNNNNNNNNNNNNNNNNNNNNNNNNNNNNNNNNNNNNNNNNNNNNNNNNNNNNNNNNNNNNNNNNNNNNNNNNNNNNNNNNNNNNNNNNNNNNNNNNNNNNNNNNNNNNNNNNNNNNNNNNNNNNNNNNNNNNNNNNNNNNNNNNNNNNNNNNNNNNNNNNNNNNNNNNNNNNNNNNNNNNNNNNNNNNNNNNNNNNNNNNNNNNNNNNNNNNNNNNNNNNNNNNNNNNNNNNNNNNNNNNNNNNNNNNNNNNNNNNNNNNNNNNNNNNNNNNNNNNNNNNNNNNNNNNNNNNNNNNNNNNNNNNNNNNNNNNNNNNNNNNNNNNNNNNNNNNNNNNNNNNNNNNNNNNNNNNNNNNNNNNNNNNNNNNNNNNNNNNNNNNNNNNNNNNNNNNNNNNNNNNNNNNNNNNNNNNNNNNNNNNNNNNNNNNNNNNNNNNNNNNNNNNNNNNNNNNNNNNNNNNNNNNNNNNNNNNNNNNNNNNNNNNNNNNNNNNNNNNNNNNNNNNNNNNNNNNNNNNNNNNNNNNNNNNNNNNNNNNNNNNNNNNNNNNNNNNNNNNNNNNNNNNNNNNNNNNNNNNNNNNNNNNNNNNNNNNNNNNNNNNNNNNNNNNNNNNNNNNNNNNNNNNNNNNNNNNNNNNNNNNNNNNNNNNNNNNNNNNNNNNNNNNNNNNNNNNNNNNNNNNNNNNNNNNNNNNNNNNNNNNNNNNNNNNNNNNNNNNNNNNNNNNNNNNNNNNNNNNNNNNNNNNNNNNNNNNNNNNNNNNNNNNNNNNNNNNNNNNNNNNNNNNNNNNNNNNNNNNNNNNNNNNNNNNNNNNNNNNNNNNNNNNNNNNNNNNNNNNNNNNNNNNNNNNNNNNNNNNNNNNNNNNNNNNNNNNNNNNNNNNNNNNNNNNNNNNNNNNNNNNNNNNNNNNNNNNNNNNNNNNNNNNNNNNNNNNNNNNNNNNNNNNNNNNNNNNNNNNNNNNNNNNNNNNNNNNNNNNNNNNNNNNNNNNNNNNNNNNNNNNNNNNNNNNNNNNNNNNNNNNNNNNNNNNNNNNNNNNNNNNNNNNNNNNNNNNNNNNNNNNNNNNNNNNNNNNNNNNNNNNNNNNNNNNNNNNNNNNNNNNNNNNNNNNNNNNNNNNNNNNNNNNNNNNNNNNNNNNNNNNNNNNNNNNNNNNNNNNNNNNNNNNNNNNNNNNNNNNNNNNNNNNNNNNNNNNNNNNNNNNNNNNNNNNNNNNNNNNNNNNNNNNNNNNNNNNNNNNNNNNNNNNNNNNNNNNNNNNNNNNNNNNNNNNNNNNNNNNNNNNNNNNNNNNNNNNNNNNNNNNNNNNNNNNNNNNNNNNNNNNNNNNNNNNNNNNNNNNNNNNNNNNNNNNNNNNNNNNNNNNNNNNNNNNNNNNNNNNNNNNNNNNNNNNNNNNNNNNNNNNNNNNNNNNNNNNNNNNNNNNNNNNNNNNNNNNNNNNNNNNNNNNNNNNNNNNNNNNNNNNNNNNNNNNNNNNNNNNNNNNNNNNNNNNNNNNNNNNNNNNNNNNNNNNNNNNNNNNNNNNNNNNNNNNNNNNNNNNNNNNNNNNNNNNNNNNNNNNNNNNNNNNNNNNNNNNNNNNNNNNNNNNNNNNNNNNNNNNNNNNNNNNNNNNNNNNNNNNNNNNNNNNNNNNNNNNNNNNNNNNNNNNNNNNNNNNNNNNNNNNNNNNNNNNNNNNNNNNNNNNNNNNNNNNNNNNNNNNNNNNNNNNNNNNNNNNNNNNNNNNNNNNNNNNNNNNNNNNNNNNNNNNNNNNNNNNNNNNNNNNNNNNNNNNNNNNNNNNNNNNNNNNNNNNNNNNNNNNNNNNNNNNNNNNNNNNNNNNNNNNNNNNNNNNNNNNNNNNNNNNNNNNNNNNNNNNNNNNNNNNNNNNNNNNNNNNNNNNNNNNNNNNNNNNNNNNNNNNNNNNNNNNNNNNNNNNNNNNNNNNNNNNNNNNNNNNNNNNNNNNNNNNNNNNNNNNNNNNNNNNNNNNNNNNNNNNNNNNNNNNNNNNNNNNNNNNNNNNNNNNNNNNNNNNNNNNNNNNNNNNNNNNNNNNNNNNNNNNNNNNNNNNNNNNNNNNNNNNNNNNNNNNNNNNNNNNNNNNNNNNNNNNNNNNNNNNNNNNNNNNNNNNNNNNNNNNNNNNNNNNNNNNNNNNNNNNNNNNNNNNNNNNNNNNNNNNNNNNNNNNNNNNNNNNNNNNNNNNNNNNNNNNNNNNNNNNNNNNNNNNNNNNNNNNNNNNNNNNNNNNNNNNNNNNNNNNNNNNNNNNNNNNNNNNNNNNNNNNNNNNNNNNNNNNNNNNNNNNNNNNNNNNNNNNNNNNNNNNNNNNNNNNNNNNNNNNNNNNNNNNNNNNNNNNNNNNNNNNNNNNNNNNNNNNNNNNNNNNNNNNNNNNNNNNNNNNNNNNNNNNNNNNNNNNNNNNNNNNNNNNNNNNNNNNNNNNNNNNNNNNNNNNNNNNNNNNNNNNNNNNNNNNNNNNNNNNNNNNNNNNNNNNNNNNNNNNNNNNNNNNNNNNNNNNNNNNNNNNNNNNNNNNNNNNNNNNNNNNNNNNNNNNNNNNNNNNNNNNNNNNNNNNNNNNNNNNNNNNNNNNNNNNNNNNNNNNNNNNNNNNNNNNNNNNNNNNNNNNNNNNNNNNNNNNNNNNNNNNNNNNNNNNNNNNNNNNNNNNNNNNNNNNNNNNNNNNNNNNNNNNNNNNNNNNNNNNNNNNNNNNNNNNNNNNNNNNNNNNNNNNNNNNNNNNNNNNNNNNNNNNNNNNNNNNNNNNNNNNNNNNNNNNNNNNNNNNNNNNNNNNNNNNNNNNNNNNNNNNNNNNNNNNNNNNNNNNNNNNNNNNNNNNNNNNNNNNNNNNNNNNNNNNNNNNNNNNNNNNNNNNNNNNNNNNNNNNNNNNNNNNNNNNNNNNNNNNNNNNNNNNNNNNNNNNNNNNNNNNNNNNNNNNNNNNNNNNNNNNNNNNNNNNNNNNNNNNNNNNNNNNNNNNNNNNNNNNNNNNNNNNNNNNNNNNNNNNNNNNNNNNNNNNNNNNNNNNNNNNNNNNNNNNNNNNNNNNNNNNNNNNNNNNNNNNNNNNNNNNNNNNNNNNNNNNNNNNNNNNNNNNNNNNNNNNNNNNNNNNNNNNNNNNNNNNNNNNNNNNNNNNNNNNNNNNNNNNNNNNNNNNNNNNNNNNNNNNNNNNNNNNNNNNNNNNNNNNNNNNNNNNNNNNNNNNNNNNNNNNNNNNNNNNNNNNNNNNNNNNNNNNNNNNNNNNNNNNNNNNNNNNNNNNNNNNNNNNNNNNNNNNNNNNNNNNNNNNNNNNNNNNNNNNNNNNNNNNNNNNNNNNNNNNNNNNNNNNNNNNNNNNNNNNNNNNNNNNNNNNNNNNNNNNNNNNNNNNNNNNNNNNNNNNNNNNNNNNNNNNNNNNNNNNNNNNNNNNNNNNNNNNNNNNNNNNNNNNNNNNNNNNNNNNNNNNNNNNNNNNNNNNNNNNNNNNNNNNNNNNNNNNNNNNNNNNNNNNNNNNNNNNNNNNNNNNNNNGACGGCGUUACAAGUAAAGAAUUAGAAGGCUUAUAAUGGUUCUCCGGGAUGGGGUCCUUGGAGAAGGCCACCACUUUUUUCAGCAUUCGCUUGGAGGUGCAGACGUGCUCGCCUUUAGGCACUGCUCCUCAUUGUGGUGGCGCUUGAUGCGGAUGAAGUGGCCUGCCAGCAGCGCCAGGAUCGCCGCGCUAGCAGGUGUUGGAGGUAUGCCCUAGAGGCAAUAGAGAUGAUGAUUCCAUUUGUAUCCAUGAUUUAUAUUGUGUUCAUGAAUAUCCAUUAAAGGCUACUUGAAUUGAUUUGCAAUUAUGUGAAUUGUAUGUGAAACUCUUACUUGUAUGGUUAUUCUAAAGUUGUCCCUAGUCGGAGUUCAUGUGAGGACACACAUGAAUAUUAGACUAGCACAUGUAUUAGUUGAUGACUAUGUUCACAAGUCAUGGACAUGGAGAUGUUGAACUAAUAAUGUGGACACAUGUGGAGACAUGUGCUAGGACUGACCCAACACGAGAAGUAGUUCUCUCUUUAAACAACAUAUACGCUUUGUCCUUAGACCUGAGAUUGUCCAUGUAUUAUAGAUGUGGAUCGACCUACUUAGGGGCUAUCAAACGCUACGCCGUAACAGGGUAUUAUAAGGUAGCUUUCGGGUUUGAAAAGCAUGCUAUGAGACAUGUCAAUCAAGAUGGGAUUGCCCUCUCUGAUUGAGAGUGAUAUCUCUGGGCCCCUCGAGUGAUCGGAUCCGAAAAUGCAUGGCCAUGCUACGUACGGUUAAGAGUUAACCUACAAAGGGAUUUCGAAUCACAGGAUCGAGAAAAGCGGUCGGCUUGAAGCUAGACCAAAUAUCGUGAGGCAAAGGGAAGCAUAGCAUUAUGUUGUGAUGGUUUGUCUGAUAGAUCUUCGUGUGCGUAUAGGAGUUGGCACGUCUUGCUAGAGGCCGCUACCGACUAUUGGGCCGAGUAGGAGUACUCGGGCCAUGUCUAUACGUAUCCGAACCCAUAGGGUCACAUUAAGGGGCUGGAAGCCCAAUUCGGAUCUGAUCCGAGUUGGAUUAGGUUUAGAAGUACUAAUGGGCCUCGGACCCAGAGGCCCGUCAGGAACCUCUAUAAAUAGAGGGGUGGGGGGCCCUAGGUUUACACACUUCUUUUGGCGAAACACACCUGCCGCGCCUCCCACGCCCUCGCCUGUUGCAACUCGCGGAUCUAGCAGUCCGGCUUGCGACGCUUCCCUCCCUGCACGUGUGGAUACCUUGGAGGUGUUGCGCCUGCAGCACUUGGACGAGCCGCCGACGAGCCCCGACGAGCCACGACGAGCGACGAGCCGCGGCACCGGGGGCGAUCUUGCUGCACGUGGACGAGCUGCUGAGGAGCUGCUGGACGUUGACGUGAUCGACUGCGUACGACUACGUUGAUCGACUACGUGAUCGUCUUCACUGCAUCGACGCAUAUCUACAUCUUCCGCACCAGUAGUGCGUCGAGUGGUAAUCCCGUGAUCCUUAUACGGCAGUUCUUCCUGGUUUUACGCGUAGAAAUUUUGAUUUGCGCUAGUGUAGCCUCCUCGUAUCCCAACAGUGGUAUCAAAGCCUUAGCUGCUUAGUUUUGGAUUUGGGAUGUGUGCAUAUGGAGAUAUGCGAGUUUUUUCCGUUUGAUUCUAUGUCCUUGUUUUCGUGCCCUUGCUGCAAUGGUAGUGUAACGACAUACUCCUACCGGUCGGUUUCCGUCAUCGGAGUUAAGUGAUACACGUAAAUCCAGUUGCAGUGAGCGAAGAUCAAUAUGAUUGGUCGAAUCGAAAUCGAGGGUCAUACGGCCAGGCGCAUUAGAUGUGCAAUAGUAGUAGAUGAGAUUUACUGCCGGGGUCGGGAUUUUUUCCGUAUGCGUAUGCUUCGGUAAAACAGCCGUAACUUUUCGUACGAUCUCGGAUCGAGGCGAAUUGUAUAUGAAAAUUGAUCUACAGAAAAAGUUACACAUGAUUACGAUUGACUUUGUCGGUUUCGGCGAAAUUAGAUUUCCCAAAUUCGGCCUCUAAGAUGGAGUUUUGGGCCUCUGAAGUUUGGAACGUUAGAACGCCUAACUCUGUUUUGCAGGAUGUAUGUAUCUUGUGAUCAGUAUGGCCCCUUUGUGUAUGUGAUGCAUGUGUGUAACUCAUUCGUGACCUGCGUGUCGCGCGUACGGCAACACGGCAGGAGCCAUAUGUGUUGUCACUUUAUUGUAUUUAAUGGUCUGCGUACCAAUCUGUGAUGAUCCAAGCAACUAUGUAAUCUUCAUUACUAGCUUCUUUACUAGCUAUUAGGCGUAAUAGCAUGUUCUAGUUCUUGGAGGACUCAUCACCAGGAGGAUGGCGCACAUGGAACAUGGAGAUGGAGAUCCCCAUGGUGAACAGGUUCUAUGGAGAUGGAGAUCACCAUAUGAAAACGGGCCAUACUGUGUCACAACUGUGUGAAUGCUAUUCUGUUUAUGUUUUACUUUCUGCAUGCUGUGAUGUUAGAAGUAGAACGAUCCCGCACAAAGUUUAAGUUAGUAUGCCCUUCCAACUAAAACUUGCACCGUCCCAUGUCUUGUACAAUUAGUGGUGGGUCUAUGAAAUUAGGGUGCCACUAGUUUUCCUUGACUAGACGGUUUGUGUCGGACACUUACGCGCAUAAGGGUUGGUUUGCUUAACAAGGUUAUCUUAACGGUUAAGGACCUUGGGGCAUAAAGGUUGGGCGCCGAGACAUAGAGAUGUCACCCAACAACAGGAGUCAUAUGUGAUAUGAUUAGCAAAAGUUGCUUACCGAUCUACCUUGUUUGCUAGCAGUGAUGCUAAAGCUCACUAGUGGACUUGUUAGUUGUGGAUCCUGAAUCACUAAGUUUCAACAGAGGGAUAUUGAUUUUAGUGGGAGUAGAUUCUGUUAAAAUAGUUUAAUGUGAUUUGCCCUAUCAUGGAUACGUUUGUCUUAGUGUAUUUUGCAUUAUUUUGUUGUAGAUUAAAUGGCACCUAGCAGCACCGUUUGCUUUGCGUUCGGUCCUUGAGAAGGACAAGUUGAAUGGAACAAAUUACUCGGAUUGGAUCCGUAACUUGAGAAUUGUUCUCAGGGCUGAGAAAAAGGAAGAUGUUCUAGACAACCCACUACCAUAAGAACCUGCUGAUGAUGCACCCGCUGCUGCUAAGAAUGCUUACAAGAAAGCAUGCGAUGCUAACCUCGAAGUAAGCUGCCUUAUGCUUGCUUGCAUGGAACCCGAGCUGCAGAUGCAGUUCGAAACAAACCAUGAGGCGCACGAUAUGAUCGUGGCGCUUAGAGACAUGUUCCAAACACAGGCCAGACUGAAAGGUUCAAUGUGUCUAAGGCCUUUGUUGAGAGCAAGCUAGCAGAAGGCGCAGCAGUAGGACCACACGUAAUCAAGAUGGUUGGUUACACUCAACGGUUGGAGAAGCUAGGCUUCCCACUGGGCCAAGAGUUGGCCACUGAUUUCAUUCUUUCAUCUCUUCCGCCUAGCUUUGGGAACUUCAUCUCGAACUACCAUAUGCAUGGGACGGAGAAGGGUUUGAAUGAGCUGUGUGGCAUGCUUAAAACAGCAGAGGCUGACAUCAAGAAAAGCGCUAGUACCAGCCAUGUGAUGGCUAUACAGAAUAAGCCUAGCUUUAAGAAGAAGGGCAAGGCUGGAACGUCCAAGCCAAACCCAGCGCCCAAGGUUAAAGCUGGACCUGGACCUGCUCCAGACAAGGAGUGCUUUUACUGUCAUGAACUUGGUCACUGGAAGAGAAACUGCAAGCAGUACCUAGCUUUCUUGAAGAAUGGCGGAAGUAAGAGUACUUCUACCUCAGGUACGCUUGUUGUUAAUGUUAUAGACAACAUUUUUCUCGCUGAUACAAUUAUUAAUUCUUGGGUAUUUGAUACCGGAUCGGUUGUUCAUAUUUGCAAUUCGAUGCAGGGAAUGAUAAGAAGUAGAAGCGUGGAAAGAGGAGAAGUUGAUUUCCGCGUGGGCAAUAAUGCAAGAGUUGCUGCGUUGACCGUCGGGGACGAUGCAACUCCACCUCCCGUCAGGAUUUAUUAUGGAGUUGAAUAAUUGUUAUUUCGUUCCUAGUUUAAGUCGAAACAUUUUGUCUCCUUCAUGUUUGAUGAAGGAUGGUUAUUCAUUUGCGAGUGAAAACAAUGGUUGUGUGAUCUCUAAGAAUGAUAUGUUUUAUGACUUUUGCACCCAUUGUGAAUGGAUUAUUUGUUUUAAAUCUUGAUGGUUCACCUGUCUGUAACGUAAGUGCUAAAAGGCCUCGGCCUAAUGAUUUGAGUCCUACCUACUUGUGGCAUUGUCGUUUGGGUCAUAUAAGUGAAAAGCGCAUGAAGAAGCUCCAUUCUGAUGGACUUCUAACUUCGUUUGAUUUUGAAUCAUACGAGACAUGUGAGGCUUGCUUGCUAGGCAAGAUGACCAAGACGCCUUUCACAGGAUUUCCUGAGAGUGCAGUAGACUUGUUGGAACUCGUACAUAGUGAUGUAUGCGGAUCAAUGAGCACGACGGCUAGAGGAGGAUUCCAAUACUUCAUAACUUUCACUGAUGAUUUUAGUAGAUAUGGCUAUGUCUACUUGAUGAGGCACAAGUCUGAAACCUUUGAAAAGUUCAAGGAAUUUCAGAAUGAAGUUGAAAAUCAGCGUGGCAAGAAAAUUAAGGCCUUACGAUCUGAUCGUGGAGGCGAGUAUUUGAGCCACGAGUUUAGCAAUCAUCUAAAGAGUUGCGGAAUUGUUCCACAACUUACGCCGCCUGGAACACCUCAGAGAAACGGUGUGUCCGAGCGACGUAAUUGAACUUUGUUAGACAUGGUUCGAUCAAUGAUGAGCCAGUCGGACCUACCGUUGUCAUUUUGGGGAUACGCUCUAGAAACAGCAGCUUUCACACUUAAUAGGGUACCAUCUAAAUCCAUAGUUAAGACACCAUAUGAGAUAUGGACUGGAAAGGUUCCUAAUUUGUCUUUUCUAAAGAUUUGGGGAUGUGAAGUGUUUGUCAAGCGACUUCAGUCGGACAAGAUCACACCCAAGUCGGAUAAGUGCAUUUUCGUGGGAUAUCCAAAGGAAACUUUGGGAUAUUAUUUCUACAAACCGAUCAGAAGGCAAAGUGUUUGUCGCUCGGAACGGGGUUUUCCUAGAGAAAGAGUUUCUCAAAGGAGAAAAGAGUGGAAAGACAGUGCAUCUUGAAGAAGUUCAAGAUGAGCCGAUCGGGCAAGAAUCAAUGAGUGAUGCUAACGUAGCAGAACAAGUUGAGAUACCCAUGGCAAGAGAAGCACCGCCACAACCACGAAGGUCAGCAAGGCUCCGCGAAAUACGGGAAAUAUUAUCGUUGGACAAUGAUGAGCCUGCGACAUAUGCAGAAGCAAUGAUGGACCCAGACUCCGAAAAAUGGCAGAGUGCCAUGCAAUCCGAAAUAGAGUCCAUGGGAGACAAUCAAGUUUGGAACUUGGUUGACCCGCCUGAUGGUGUUAAAGCCAUAGAGUGCAAGUGGAUCUAUAAGAAGAAAAAGGACAUGGAUGGAAAUGUUCACAUCUAUAAAGCACGACUUGUCGCAAAAGGUUUUCGACAAGUUCAAGGAGUUGACUACGACGAGACCUUCUCGCCCGUAGUGAUGCUUAAGUCCAUUCGGAUUAUUCUAGCUAUAGCUGCAUAUUUCGAUUAUGAGAUAUGGCAGAUGGAUGUCAAGACAGCUUUCCUGAAUGGAAACCUAGCUGAGGACGUGUAUAUGAUACAGCCCGAGGGUUUUGUCGAUCCGAAAAAUGCUGGAAAGGUAUGCAAGCUUCAGAGAUCCAUUUAUGGAUUGAAGCAAGCAUCUAGGAGUUGGAACAUUCGUUUUGAUGAAGUGGUCAAAGGGUUUGACUUCACCAAGAACGAAGAAGAGUCUUGUGUUUACAAGAAGGUUAGUGGGAGCUCUGUAGUAUUUCUAAUCUUAUAUGUGGAUGACAUAUUACUGAUUGGAAAUAACAUUCCUAUGCUUGAGUCCGUAAAGACUUCACUGAAAAAUAGUUUUUCGAUGAAGGACUUAGGGGAAGCGGCAUAUAUUCUGGGCAUUAAGAUCUAUAGAGAUAGAUCGAGAAGGCUUAUAGGUUUAAGCCAAGAUACUUACAUUGACAAAGUGUUGAAGCGGUUCAGCAUGGAAGAGGCAAAGAAAGGGUUCUUGCCUAUGUCACAUGGCAUACAUCUCAGCAAGACUCAGUGUCCUUCGACUGCUGAUGAGCGGGAUCGCAUGAGUAGAGUGCCAUAUGCCUCGGCUAUUGGAUCUAUCAUGUAUGCAAUGAUAAGUACUCGCCCAGAUAUUUCAUAUGCGUUGAGUAUGGCAAGCAGACACCAAUCUGAUCCAGGUGAGAGUCACUGGACAGUGGUGAAAAACAUUCUUAAGUACUUGAGAAGGACUAAAGAUAUGUUCCUCGUCUAUGGAGGUGAGGAGGAGCUCGUUGUAACAGGUUACACCGAUGCUAGUUUCCAAACCGACAGAGAUGAUUCAAAGUCACAAUCAGGAUUUGUGUUCACGCUAAAUGGUGCUGCUGUUAGUUGGAAGAGUUCCAAGCAGGAGACGGUGGCCGAUUCUACGACAGAAGCCGAGUACAUCGCGGCUUCGGAAGCCGCGAAGGAAGGUGUUUGGAUAAGGAAUUUCCUCAUUGAGCUUGGUGUGUUCCCGAAUGCGUCCAGCCCAUUGAAUCUCUAUAGUGAUAACAAUGGGGCAAUUGCGCAAGCAAAGGAGCCAAGGAACCACCAGAAGAACAAACACGUAAUGCGGCGAUUUCAUCUCAUUCGAGACUUCGUUAACCGGGGUGAGAUCAAGAUAUGCAAAAUACACACGGAUCUGAACAUUUCUGAUCCGUUGACAAAACCACUCCCGCAGGCUAAGCAUGAUGCGCAUGUUAGAGCUAUGGGUAUUAGGUACCUUCUAGAUUGACUCUAGUGCAAGUGGGAGACUGUUGGAGGUAUGCCCUAGAGGCAAUCAUAGAGAUGAUGAUAUUCCAUUUGUAUCCAUGAUUUAUUAUUGUGUUCAUUGAAUAUCCAUUAAAGGCUACUUGAAUUGAUUUGCAAUUAUGUGAAUUGUAUGUGAAACUCUUUACUUGUAUGGUUAUUCUAAAGUUGUCCCUAGUCGGAGUUCAUGUGAGGACACACAUGAAUAUUAGACUAGCACAUGUAUUAGUUGAUGACUAUGUUUCACAAGUCAUGGACAUGGAGAUGUUGAACUAAUAAUGUGGACACAUGUGGAGACAUGUGCUAGGACUGACCCAACACGAGAAGUAGUUCUCUCUUUAAACAACAUAUACGCUUUGUCCUUAGACCUAAGAUUGUCGCAUGUAUUAUAGAUGUGGAUCGACCUACUUAGGGGCUAUCAAACGCUACGCCGUAACAGGGUAGUUAUAAAGGUAGCUUUCGGGUUUGUCAAGAAGCAUGCUAUGAGACAUGGUCAAUCAAGAUGGGAUUUGCCCCUCUCUGAUUGAGAGUGAUAUCUCUGGGCCCCUCGAGUGAUCGGAUCCGAAAAUGCAUGGCCAUGCUACGUACGAUUAAGAGUUAACCUACAAAGGGAUUUCGAAUCACAGGAUCGAGAAAGAGUGGUCGGCUUGAAGCUAGACCAAAUAUCGUGAGGCAAAGGGAAUAGCAUGUAUAUUAUGUUGUGAUGGUUCGUCUGAUAUGAUCUUCGUGUGCGUAUAGGAGUUGGCACGUCUUGCUAGAGGCCGCUACCGACUAUUGGGCCGAGUAGGAGUACUCGGGCCAUGUCUAUACGUAUCCGAACCCAUAGGGUCACACACUUAAGGGGCUGGAAGCCCAAUUCGGAUCUGAUCCGAGUUGGAUUAGGUUUAGAAGUACUAAUGGGCCUCGGACCCAGAGGCCCGUCAGGAACCUCUAUAAAUAGAGGGGUGGGGGCGCCCUAGGGUUUACACACUUCUUUUGGCGAAACACACCUGCCGCGCCUCCCACGCCCUCGCCUGUUGCAACUCGCGGAUCUAGCAGUCCGGCUUGCGACGCUUCCUCCCUGCACGUGUGGAUACCUUGGAGGUGUUGCGCCUGCAGCACUUGGACGAGCCGCCGACGAGCCGCCGACGAGCCACGACGAGCCGACGACGAGCCGCGGCACCGGGGGCGAUCUUGCUGCACGUGGACGAGCUGCUGAGGAGCUGCUGGACGUUGACGUGAUCGACUGCGUACGACUACGUUGAUCGACUACGUGAUCGUCUUCACUGCAUCGACGCAUAUCUACAUCUUCCGCACCAGUAGUGCGUCGAGUGGUAAUCCCGUGAUCCUUAUAUGGCAGUUCUUCCUGGUUUUACGCGGUAGAAAUUUUGAUUUGCGCUAGUGUAGCCUACCUCGUAUCCCAACAGCAGGGGCCACCACGCGUCUACCAUCGCCUCGGGAGCUUGCGUGAAGUCAGGGCUGCACGGAUCAGAUUUGGCCAAAUCCCCACCAGCUGCUGGGAUGCAUGAGGAAAUUGUGUGCCGAGAAGAAGCGGGAGCACUGGUGGAGAACUCACUUUUAGUCCCAGUCGGUAGAGAGCAAAUCUCCUGAAAAAUCAUCUGGAAUAAAAUAAUCGAGACAAAAGGGGUACAAACCGGGACUAAAUGGUUUUGCAAAAAACAAAGAAAUCAUCACAAGUCACAAGGCACGUGAUUUUUCACAUGAAAUAUGCAUGUGCACGGUCCGUGGGAUUCGAACCCAUGACCUCAAGCCUCACGCGUAGCUUCCUUGCCAUCGCACCUACACAGCACAUCUGACUAUAUAGGGGAUGCAAUCCUUUUAUAUUAACUCGUGGGGAAGCUUUUUAUCCUGGUUGGAAACACCAACCGGGAUUAAAGACCACCUUUUAUCCCGGUUGGUGUUACCAACUGGGAUAAAAGGGGUUGAGGGUUUUACUCCUUUUUUAGCCACCCGUGGGGGACCGUUUUAUCCCGGUUGGAAACACCAACCGGGAUUAAAGACCCCUUUUAUCCCGGUUGGUAACACCAACCGGAAUAAAAAGGAUCGAGGGCUUAAGUCCUUUUUCAGCCACCCAUGGGGAUUCUUUUAUCCUGGUUAGAAACACCAACCGGGAUUAAAGACCCCCUUUUAUCUUGGUUGGUAACAAGGGCUUUAGUCCCGGGUGGUAACACCAACAAGGAUUAAAGGGGGGUAUUUAGUCCCAGUUGGUCUUAGCACCCGAGACUAAAGGGUCCCCACGGGUGGCUGAUUUUUUCAACCAGGACUAAAGGGUCUCCCACGGGUGGAUGAUUUUUGACUCAGGACUAAAGGCCUCACUUUAGUCCCGGUUGGUAUUUGACCUAGGAUUAAAACUCCUUUAAUCAUGGGCCUACUUUAAAUCAGGACAAAAGGGGGCGCAUGGAAAGUCUGUUCUCUACUAGUGGAGGAAGAGGUGGAGAAUUAGUGGUGGCACCUUGGGACGAACCGGUGGAGGGAGGCGAGGGUUUUAGGUGAGGACGAUGAGGUGGCACCACUCCCUUUUCCCCGAUUCCUCCAAUCUGUUGUGCGAGAUGCUUUAACUGUCUCUAUAUAAUUGAUAUGGUUAGAUAUGUCAUUCCGUGGUAGCACCUCGCGAUCACAAUGUGUGCCUCUAUAUAUGUUGUGCCAAUGCAGUCCAUUCGAGGGGUACCAUAGCGUGGCUGACCUACUUAAAAUGAAAGGCCUAGACCACUUCUGCAACAACACAGUCUACCCCUAUGUUUACAACCUGACUUCCUCUUACACCGACCAGAACAAUGAGGCCACCAUGGUGACCACCACCUUGGUCAUGUUUAUGCUGGCCGUGUUCUUCUUCAACCUCAACCUCUUCAGCCGCUUCUCGGACGUGAGCGCAAUUCUCAACCCUAGCGUCCGCCUCUUCCUCUCCACCUCCCUGUCCCUCUUCCUGCCGGUCAUGUCCUACCUCUUCUCCGAGGCCAAGAACCAAGGUGCAACCAUGGCUGCUAGUACUAGUAGCUCCAGUUAUGGCCCGCUCGGCGACGAGCUGUCACUUCGAGCUAGGACGAUCCUCAUGUGGAUGCUUCUUGUGGAGCUCCUCCGCAAGAAGGUGGAGGCCGUCCUGGUCAACGUGGGCAUGCAAUGGUACUCAGGCGCCAUCGAUCGGUUCGCCCGCAUUGUUUGGCUCGGCUACCUCGUCUUCUACAAUCUCAAAAGCCCUGGCAAGAAGGCGAUCUACGGCACCUUAUGGGUCCUCACUGCUGCCAAGUUCCUGCAAAGGGUCGUGGUCAAGAUGGUGCUGGAGCGUUCCUUCGCCUACGGAAGGAACACCCAGCUGCUCAACUCAUACAUGGCCCAGAUCAUCCAACAACAAGAGCAAGAGGAGCACGUGGAAUCGUUGGAGCUCUUGAAGAACUGCAAGUACACCGUGAUGAGAGAAGACAACCUGGAAAGGACGGCUGGUCGGCAUGGCUACCAGGUCGAGCUGAAGAAGGCAACCGUUGUCACCAUUGGUGACAUUUGGACGCAGGCAGCAGCCGAGCCGGACAGCCUCCUCCGGAGAGAACACCUCAGAAGGCUCUGCCUCUCCUUUGCUCUCUACAAGCUGCUGCGCCGGAGGUUCGAGGACAUUCCCACAACAAGAGAGGAGACCCGGAACUGCCGGAACCUCAUCUUCAAGGGCAUGUUGAAGGAGGAGGCGGAGCAAGGUGCCGAGGUCGCACUGUUCCAAGUCUUCAACGAUGAGACCCAGUUCGUUUGCGAGUACUACCAUUCCGUCCUACCCGUCGUGCUGUCCGACCCUUUCUUCUUCCUAGCCAACUACAUCUUGUUUCCCAUUGUAGUUUGUGCCUUCUGCCUCCUAACAUUAAUCAUUUGCGGCAAUGGGAGCGUGGUCUACGCCUACCAUAGCAUCAAAAGUGACAACUACAUCAUAGACACUGGCGCGAUGACGCUGACCAGAUGCCUCCUGAGAAACAUCACCCAUUCACCCGCGGUGCUAUUCGCCAGCAUCGACCUCGGCACCACCACUCUGCUUAUCCUGGCCUUCGUCUACGAGGAAGUCGUGGAGGUCCUCGUCUUUAUCCUCUCCAAUUGGCUCAUUGUGUCGCUCCUCUGUGAGUACACUGCCAAGCUCCACUGGCGGCAGAGCCGCAUCCUAUGUCGGCUCAUCCGCGGCAUCCUGUGGGUGCGAAGCAUGCUAAGCCACCCUAACCUCUGCUUCAAGCAGCUCUCCGUGCUAGGGUUCUUCCAACUGUCGUCGCCUUCGCCCUUCAUGGUGCCAACCAAGGCAGUGCCCAAGGAAGUAACGAAGUCAAUCGUGGAUUAUCUGGUGGCUCACUUGGAUGUCUAUGGCGUCGAUGGCCAUGCCGACCCUCUCAAUUUGGCCUGGUCCUCCACACUUCAACUGGAGAAGCACAGGGCAUACCGUCCCCUGCUCUUGCCAGUGUGUGAGAGCAAGAGCAUUGCUGAGUUCAUCCUCACCUGUCACAUUGCCACCGCCCUAAUGGAGGUGAGGUACCCACAGGACGAAAAGGAAAUGGGAUCUCAUAGCAAGGUGGCGAUAACACUAUCCAAGUACUGCACUUACUUGGUGGGCUUUUACCCGGGGCUUCUUCCGGACGACAAGAAUGGGACAGAGCACACUUACAAGAAUAUGAAGGAGGACAUGAAUAAGGAGCUUGGAGGGUGCUGGCGGUACCACCUGUCGCUGCAGGGAACCAGGUACAAGAGGCUGAUGGAGAUCGGCAAAUCGCAGCGAAAGACCAUGACAAUGGUGCACAACGGGGCCAAGUUAGGGACAGCACUGAUCGAGAAGGCCGAGGAGAACAAUGAGGCGCGUGAGCGCGUGUGGGAGCUGCUGAACGACCUUUGGACGGAGGUCAUGGUGUAUGUGGCGCCAUCGGCCGGCGACCUCCACGUGAAGGCCCACAAGGAGGCGCUGGCGCGCGGCGGUGAGUUCAUCACCGUGCUCUGGGUGCUGUGUACGCACACCGGCAUGACCAGGCCGGCCGUCGCACCGUGGGAGGCAGCACGUCGUGCGUUUGAACCAUAGAGCAUUGGCUUCCCGUGUGUGCCGAUGUUUCGUCUGACAUGCUUCAUCCUGGUACUAAUCCUAACACUAGUACCGGGUCAUAAUAUGUGACGUGAAUGCACGGGUUGAUGCCAGUAAUUCCUAAAGAGAUGUGCUGAGGCCCGGGGGUGGCGUGCUGGCUUAAAAGAAUGGAAAGAAACGUAGAUAUGGCACACACAUGCUUGAUCUCAGUCGAUGCUUUAACUGUCUCUAUAAAUUUGAUGUGGUUAGAUAUGUCAUUCUGUGGUAGCACCUCGCGAUCACAAUGUGUGCCUCUAUAUAUGUUGUGCCAAUGCAGUCCAUUAGAGGGAGUAUCGUAGCAUGCACUACAGGAUAUAGCAGCUUUGCCGAGUGCCCCCCAAGAACACUCAGCAAAGGGUUACACUCGAAAAACGACACUCGGGAAACUUUCUACCGGCAAACGCUAGUUGCCUAGUGUUUUUUGUCAGGCACUCAGCAAAAAGUUGCCGAGUGCAAAAAAACACUCGGCAAACUUUUUUUCGAAAAAAUAAAGAAAAGAGGCACGACGCCACCGCCACGAUCCAUGCCCGCAGAGCACCACCAUCCACGCCCGCACCACCAGCACCGCCACCGCCAUCAUCCACGCCGGCCGCCGCCACCACAUUCCACGCCCGCACCACUAGCACCGCUGCCACCACCAUCGACGCCCGCCGCCACCGCCACCAUCCACGCCUGCCUCCACGGCCACCAUCCACUCUGCGAACGGAUCCGGCCACCACCAUCCAUCCAUGCCACCACCACCAUAGCCAUCCAUCCACGCCCCAGAUCCGGCCGCGGACGGCCGCCACCGGCCGAAUCCGGUAGGGGGAGGGCCUGAGGGGAGGGGCGCCGCGUAGAGGGAGUUGAGGGAGGGGAGGGGCAUGGCACGCAGAGAGGGAGGAGAGGGCACGACGGUGUCCGGAUCCAGCCAGGAGAGGGAGGGGUGCCGCCCGUCGGAGAGGGAGGGGAGGGGCGCGGCGCGUAGAGAGGGAGGAGAGGGCGUGGCGGUGGCCGGAUCUAGCCAGGAGAGGGAGGGCUGGAAAGGGAGGAGAGGGAGGCGAGGGGGCGGCUCGGCCGUGGCUCGCGGGGAGGGUCCGGGUGCGGGAGGGAGGGGAAGGGGCCAGGUGUGGGUGUGGGUGGGUGGGUGGGGGCUGAGUUUUUGGCCGGGGAUGGGGCACGUGCGUAAGUCGGCAAAUCCCUUCUUUGCCGAGUGUUUCUUUUUUGCCAAGUGUUUUUUGCUCAGCACUCAAUAAAGAUCUUGUUUGCCGAGUGCCCGAGGGAAAACACUCGGCAAACAUAAAAACACUCAGCAAAUUUGUGGUUUCCGGUAGUGGUGGCUGAACUACUAAAAAUGAAAGGCCUAGACUCAUUCUGCAACAACACAGUCUACCCCUAUGUUUACAACCUGACUUCCUCCUACACCGACCAGAAAAAUGAGGCCAACCACAACCUCUUCAUCCGCUUCUCCAACGUGAGCGCAAUUUUCAACACUACUAUAGAAAACAGAGCUUUAGUCCCGGUUGGUAAGAGUCAUAGAUCCCAAAAAUCCAACCGAGACUAACUAUUCGAGGCUAAAGGAGUCCUUUCAUCCUAGGUCAUUCACUUGAGACUAAAGGGCCCCCCUUUAAUUCCAGUUGGUAUUACCAACUGCGACUAAAAAGUUUCAAAAAAAUAAAAAAAAGCCACUCGUGCCUGCCGCCUACCUGCCUCCCACGGCCGCGCUAGCCUCACGCCGCCCGCUCGCGCCCGUGCCAGCCGCUUGCCGCCCAUGCCCGUGCCGCCUGCCUGCCUUCCGUGUGCCCGCGCCGGCCGCGCGCCCGCACCCGCCCGGCCAGCCGCCCACGCCUGCGCCGGAGCCUGGAUGAAAGGGACAGGAGGAGGAGGAAGAAGAGAUAAGGUGGAAAGGCCUUGCAUGGGAGAUAAGAAAGGGAAGGGAGGAGAUAAGUGGAGAGAGAGAGAGAGAGUGGGAGGCGACAAAAUUUUGUCCCGGUUGGAAUUUUCAACCGGGACAAAAGGUUUAGAUUGCAAACCGGGACAAGGGGGCGUCGAUGCCAUAUUUUUUAGCUGUUACAACCAGGCCUACAACCGGGUCCCCCCGUCGGUGGCCUUCGGUGCCUUAUUUUUGAGCAAGGACUAAAGGCAUUUUAGUUCUGAGUCCAAAGUCAAUGGGAUAAAAGUACCAGGAUGGAAUGUCAGUUCUCUAGUAGUGCAACCCUAGUGUCCGCCUCCUCCUGUCCACCGCCAUGUCCCUCUUCCUGCAUGUAACACUUUCACACAUGCAUGUAACUUGAUUAAUCUUCUCAUGCGUGUUCACAACUAACGCAUGGAUGAAAAACAUGUGAAGAUUAAUUUCCAACACUUUUUUCUUCUAUAGAUAGUUUCCACUAAGUGGUUCACCACAUAAUAAGGAUGUUGGUCGUUAAAUAUAGGUUUAAUCAGGUGGCCCUAGUCCGUCGGACUAUACCAUUGGAAGUUUAUUUAAUUUUUAGGGGAGUAUAUCUAGAUUUGGGUUUAAUCAGGGAACCCCUUAAGAUAAACUUACUUGGAGCUAAAAUUUAGAUACUCGUCUGUGCAUAUCAUCGAUCAAAAAAUUAUUGUGUACAUCAAUGAUCGAACUUAAAUUAUUAUAGAUACUGUUAGCAAUGCAUAUAUCUCAAAUAUUGCUUCGCUUUAGCUAAAGAAUAGGAUCGAUGCUAGAAUGAAAGCGUCAAAAGAAAAACAUAAUGAUGAAGGCAUUAGGUCCUAUCUUUUGGGGCCAAGAUUCCUGCUGAUAUUGAGUAGGAUGGCAUGGGUUCCCUCCCUUUCUAGGAACCCAUGCAAUCCUACUUUCGUUAUCAAUAUCAGCAGGAAGCUAGUAAUAGUGGCUCCAAAACAUAGGACCUGAUGCCUCCAUCUUUCAUUCUAGCAUCCAAUUCUUUAGUUAAAGCGAAGUAAUAGCUAAGAUAUAUGCCUUUGCUGUAGUACAACUGUACGCACAAUAACUACAGUAUGACCAUGUAUGUUCCUGCAUGCAGUUAUAUCUUUCUGGGGUCACUACGGGAAUCAGGAGGUUUGUCGAGUGCUUGGUGCACUCGGCGAAACCCUAAAGACACUCGGCAAGUGAAAAUAAAGUGAUAGGAUGCUAGAAUGAAAGUGCCAAAAGAAAAACAUAAUGAUGAAGGCAUCAGGUCAUCUCUUUUGGGGCCAAGAUUCCUGCUGAUAUUGAUAACAAAACAAGGAUACCAUGGGUUCUCUCCCAUUUGGAACUAUAUGUGACAAAAGUUAUGCUAGUAGCUUAAAUGCUAAGGCUUGCUCAUCCUUUGAAUUGUUUUUCUUUGGCGCCCCUGUCAUUUGAGCCUUUUGAUAAAGUAAAGGAGAGGAGAAUAAGCACUAAGAAAGACCAACAGCUAGGUGUUACACCAGUAGAGAACUGACUUUCGAUCCCUCCCUUUAGUCUAGGUUUAAUUUAGGCCCGGGAGAAAAGGGGGUGCGCCACAGUAGGCUGGAAUGGGGCGCACCUUUACUCCCGGUUGGUAUUUGCAACCGGGACUAAAGACCACCCUUUUAUCCCGGUUGUAAUGGCUAGAAUUCGAGCACCGACGGCGCCACCCUUUAGUCCCGGUUGGAGCCACCAACCGGGACAAAAGAUCCAACCUUUUGUCCCGGUUGGAGUUACCAACCAGGAUAAAAGAUUUACUCCCGGUUGGUAUUACCGGGACAAAAGGUUGGAUCUUUUAUCCCGGUUGGAGCAUAGAACUGGGAGUAAACUUAAACCGGGACAAAAGGGGGUCCUUUUUGUCUCGGUUGUACUUUUAAACCAGGAUAAAAAUUCAUCCCACCGUUAAAAACCAAGGCAGAGGCCUUUCUUCCUCUUCCAGCCCGAGCCGCUCCACAAUGCUUCACCUCUUGGCGCCGAAGAAAUCCUAGGGGAGGUCCUGCCAAAAAAAAUUUCCUCAUUUCCGUGGGGAUUUUGGUCAUCCAAAGUGUUGUGAAGGUUAGCUACUCCAUCCUCUACUCAUUUAUUGUUGUUAUGCUUUGUUUUAUGCUUUAUAUAUAGUGAGAUAGAGGGAGAAAAUUGAGUUUUCUUGUUAGAAAGAGAGAGAGAUUGAAGAGGAUUUGUUUGCUUGAUAGAGAUGGAUAGUUUGCUUGAUGUGUAGAAUGGUGAUGGAUAUAUAUAUAUAUAUAUAUAUAUGUGUGUGUGUGUGUGUGUGUGUGUGUGUGUGUGUGUAGUUUGCUUGAUGUGUAGAAUGGUGAUGGACAUAUAGUUUAUUUGCUAGAAUUUUUCAUAGAAAUUAUGGAGAGUUUAUCUUGUGAUGGAUUUUAAGGUGCAAUGUGAGUGAUAUCAUGGAGAGUUUAUCUUGUCAAAUUCAAUAUGGAGAGUUGUUGGCGCAAAAACCGAACGGCUCGUCCGAUCCUCGCAUCGGACACAUGACUCGAGAGAAUCUCCUUAGCUCCUAUUAGGAUUUCGCCCUGGUGCGGUUCGCGCGGCGUGCCAGUCAAUCUGACCUGUUGAUUGACAAGGAAAAGAGCACGUGUCAGAUGCAAAGAGCUGAUCGGCUGGGUUUCCGAUCCGCUCCGAUGACGUAUCAGCAGAGCGAUCCGCCGAUAUUAGGUGAAAGGUGACCGGCAGGAGUCUGCCGAUGACCGUGUAGCAAUGUAAAGGAAAUUACGAGAAUAACCGAUACAAGGCUACGUGACAACACUCGAAACAGAUCUGAUCGGCCGUAUGGUGAUGACAGAUAACAGAGCAGGGUGGAUGGCCGAUAGCACGUGUUUCAAGCUGGGUAACUGGUGAUAAAAGCUAAAACAAUAGAGAAAACCCUACAGCUCUAGCAGAUAUCGAUAAUUGGUGAAUAAAUCUAGACGAGACGACAGCGAUGCGCCCGAAGUCAAAGCCUAGAUGUUACUCAAGAAAUAGAACUUACGGAUUGGCCAGAGAUCAAGCUGAUGCAGUCCUGCCAACUCGCAUGAACUCGUGAAAAAGAAAAGGGCUUGGCGAAGUCGCUGACUUGAAAGUAAAUUGCAGGAAAAUUGUAGAUGUGUAUUGUUGAUUGGUUGUUUUUUACAAGCCCCUUAGGGCGCCUAUUUAUAGCCUAUUAGAAUACGUAUCCUGGUCGCACACGAGUUACAACUCUAUCUCUAAUUUUAAGGUAACAAACAUCUACAUACAAAACAACCCGCAACGGAGUCAGAUCCUCCCUGGCCUUUACGGGCCAACCUUAUCCGCCAUCUUCCUUGGCCCAUACAGGCCCGUAUCGGCACACUAGCCAACCUUCUCCAUCCGCCAUCGGCCGAGCCCUAUCAUCGCUAUCGGCCACUUGCCCUUAACCUCUGUCGGUCGAAUCCUUCGUUCCUUAUCCUUUAAGUCAUUGGCCAUUUUCCUCCUCUUGACGCUGACUUUGAUAUGUGUCAAAAACCAGUGUCAACAAGAGUUUAUCUAGAUGGUUUAUAUAUCUUGUCAAAUUCAAUAUGGUUUUACAAAUCCGUACAUUUGUUGAACUUGCACGUCCUGCAGGAAUGUCAUAUAGAAAUGUACCUAUCCUCAAGGUGUCACAUCCUGCAGGAGUUCACUUCCCUACUCCCGGUAGCGUCCUGCCAAAAGGCGAUCCAAGCAACGGACCACUUCUGAGCAUAGUAAUGUUAUUUCUUUCUUCUAAUUGGUUUUGUACUACACAUGAUUAAUUUCUAAUUCUAUUUACAUACAAUGUAGACUCUCAACAGUAUUAGAUGGCUUAGAAAAGUUGUCGCGGAGCUAGGUGGUACCGCUCCUAGAGUGCGACAAGAUGUAGUUGGUCCAGUUAGAUGCCUGCACAUCUCUUUUCAAAUACCCAUUCGAGGAGCACCAAGAGUACAACCCAAGCUGAUGGUUACAAUUGACGCAUCGGGUCAACCAUCCACAGAUACGACAUAAUAUGAAAUGACCACUAUGGCGGCAUGCCUGCAAAAGCUAAAGCGUCAUGGUUACAGGGUGCCAGACUACUCGUAUUUCUAAAAUAAAGGGGCUUGAGCAGGGAAUCAGUAGUAUGAUAACGACGGCUGAGAGGAUAUGUAAUCUGAAUCUACAUGACAUUGUAUGGAUCUAAUCAUCCUUUUAUAUUUAAUUACAUUACAUCUUUUAAAUUUCAUGAUAAUGCUAUUCUCUUCUUUUAGGAUGUCUAUAAUCGAACCUUUGCGGCAAUAAGCUUUGAAGCGAUUCUGGAGCAAGUCGUGGAAAGGAUGGGAUAUAGACACAGCGUUGGAUUACCGGCACACGAUAGAGAUUUCAUGUGACAGACUAAGAUCUCUUUCUACAAGGCAUCUGAAGCGAUGGACACAUCAUUGUUUGAGAUUUAUGGUUGUACAAAUGGAUAUCAGUAUAAAUUGCUAGAGAGUGCACUAGUUCAUGUUCUAAGUUAUAUUGAUGACGUUCUAGACUUUAAGAUUGGGGAUAUCAGUUAUGGUCUAUAUCUUCAUAAGUGAGCCAGACUAGGCCAGUGGGAUCCAUGGAUGUAACAUUUUGUCUUAUCUAAUUGAACUUCUCUCUAAGACAAGGAAUGUUGUAUGAACUUAAGUACUUACUUUUUCUUAUGUAUUUGAAUUAUUAUCAAAAGUGAUUCUCUUUAUGAUUUGUGUUGUCUUAUCCUUACAAAAUUUGUGUUAUCUUAUCUUUAUAAAAUUUGUCUUAUCCUUACAAAAUUUGUCUUAUUGUUAGAGAAUAGACCAGAAACGCCCUUAACAUAGCACAAAAGUUCUAUGAGAUAAGGCAUCAACCAAAUGAACUUAAGUACUAGCUAAGAAGUUAACAAAAAUCCAUUGCAAACCUUGAUGAUGGUAGAUGUAGAAAGGUACCUCCGUUGGAAGAGGAUCAGAGGGCUAUCUUCCUAAAGUCACAUUUGUGAUGUGCAGAAGAUGAUAAACAUAAUGUGAUGUGCCCUAAACAUUCCUCCUAGCUAAGAAGUUAGUAAACCACAUACAUCGAUCAAAUGAAUAAUUAUAGAAGCAAAAAGAAAUAGUAUAGAAUUUAUGACUAGUUCAAACUUGUUGUAAACAAACUUGCUAAUUUAAUAUAUUUUUGCAUGUCUGAAAUAUGUAAAUUUCUUAUUUUUUGCUUUUUGAAAUUCAGUGAACACAUAAGUAAAAUAAAUUUCCAAAUAGAAGCAAAAAUAAAUAGUAUAGUAUUUAUGACUAGUUCAAACUUAUUGUAAACAAACUUGCUAAUUUAAUAUAUUUUUGCAUGUUUGAAAUAUGUAAAUUUUUUAUUUUUUGCUUCCUGAAAUCCAAUGAAAACAUAAAUAAAAUAAAUUUCCAAAAAACAGUCGGAAGAUGAAAAACAGGAGAAGGCCCCCCAUUUAUCCCGGUUAGAAAGUAGUACCGGGAUAAAAGGGUAUUUUUCGAUUCCUGCCUGAAAGUACCCAUUUAUCACGGUUCCACUUUCUAACCGGGAUAAAUGGUGGCCUUUUAUCUCUGGUGAUUAAAGGGUGGGCAACCGAGAUAAGGGGGAGGGGGGCUUUUAUCUCGGGUGAUCAUAAACCGGGAUAAGGGGGGGCCUUUUAUCCCGGUUGCUAAUUCCAACAAGGAUAAAAGGACCUUUAGUCCCGAUUGCAGUUACAAAUCGGGAUAAAAAUGGGGGUUCUGUAUAAAAGUUACGGCCGUCUUCUACCCCCCGCGCCCAACACUUAAGGAAAUUUUCAUUGUCAUCAUCCUCGUCCCGCCCAUCGCCGGCCUCCUCCGUUGCCACAUCCCGUCGCUGCCGCCAUCCUCUUCGCCGGCCUCCUCCUUCUCCGUCGCCGCCGCCAUCAUCUUCCUCCAUCCCUACCACUGCCUCCAUCCCCAUCGCCGCGACCUCCGUGCCCCUUUGCCACCUCAUCGCACGCCGACACCACCUCCUCCCCGUCGUAACCGUCCCUGUCACCGCGACUACCAUCCCAUCACCAGCCAGCCACCUCCCCCGUCGUCGCCAUCCUCGUCGCCGCCUCGGGCACAAGUGCGAGUCCCGGCCAUCACCCCCCCCCCAACUCCAUCCCCACACGAAUUAAUUUGUUGAAAUUUGGUAGAAAUAUGCUUAGAAAUUUUGUAUACAUUCUUAUAAAUUAGUUGAAAUUCAUGAACAUUCUUAGAAUUUUUUUUCAUGGUUCUUCUAUGAUUUCAUGUACAAAGUAGUUGAGAUGGCAGACGACAAGGCCAGAAGGUAUCUAGUGGAGCGGAUUAUUGCUGGUGAUAGUAGUUCCAACCUUCCCAUAGCGUACACCAAUGAAGAGGGUAGCCAGGAAGAUAUGUUUCUCAACCUGUCUGGCGAUGGCAAUGAAGAGCCUGAGCCCCAGCAAAACCUUGCCGUGGAGGAGGGUUCCAGCGAUGGCAAUGAAGAGCCCGAGCCCUAGCAAAAGGUUACCGUGGCAGAAGGUUCCGAUGAGGUAUAGAUCAUAUUUUAACCCUCUAUAUAUAAUAUAUGAUCUUAUUCAUUAUUACUAUGUACUAAUUAAUUAAUAAAUCUUGAACUAUUAGCCCUCUAGAUCGACAAACCAUCUAAAGCCCCAAGGUCCUUCUAAGGUGAAGACUGGAACAAAAAGGUUAUCAUCAUGGAAGUCACAGAAGAGGGCGGGCUGGUUGCUCCCAAAGAAGUGGCAAUACAGUACGUGAGUUAGAUCGGGGUAAUCGUAAGGGAGAACGUGCCCGUCAGCAUAAGGGAAUGGAAGGGCAAAAUGACUAAUCCAUACGCGCUCCAGGAUACAGAAACGAAUAGGCUAUGGGAAGAAGUUAAGAAAUAUUUCACAUUUCCUGACGGAUAUAUUGAAAAUGAUGUGAAAGUGUGGACACUGAAGAAGAUGGCCACACAAUUCCAGAUAUUCAAGAAGAUGUUGGAUGCCACCUACAUUAAGAAGGACCGAACUCCAGAUUUUAUUGUGUAUCCAUAAUGUAGGGACCACUGGGAGGCAUUUGUACAAUAUAAGAGAAGCCAAGAUAGUGUGAACAAGGUCGCCAAGAACACAGACAAUACUGGGGAGAAGGAGUACCAUCAUAAGCUAGGGCGAGGUGGUUACGCCAAAGCAAUUCCCAAAUGGAAGCAGAUGGAACAAGACCUGAUUGAUUGGGGUAUCGUACCAGGAACAAUUGAAUGGCCCGAUUGAUCGAAAAAUUGGUAUUAUGCUCAUGGAGGUUAGAUAAGCCUAGAGGAUGGGACGCUGAUCUUUGAUGAGAUGUUACAUGAGGUGGCCAAAAAGAUUGACAAGAAUGUUCAGGAUGUUAAGGCUGGGACGUUGAAGGUGUACCGAGAGAAUGAUGAGCUCACAUUGGCCCUCGGGAAUCCCGAACACCCAGGACGUACCCGAGGGUUCGGGCUUGUUUCGUGGAAGUUCGCAUUCCGAGGUGACUUGGACACAUAUAGAAGCCAGAACCGAAGAAAGGACCAAGAAGAUGAGAGGUGGCGGCGCACGAUAGAAGACAAACUACAUUUUGUAGAAGUAAGAAUGCAGGAGGGAGGCAGUAGUCGAAUGGCCAGCGCAGUUGCCAUCCCUUCUCAACACCUCGGGAGCAGCUGUGCGUCCACAGGGCUCCCUGAGCCACAUACGCCAGGAUUACCCGUGGAAGAGCAACUAUCCCUGUGGAUGCCAUCACGCAACGUACCACAUGUGAGCUGCAUACACCGAUCGACAACCUCAACAUUAAGGUAUACUUAUACAUAAUAUUUAUGCACCGGAGCCCCGGGAGUACCUUGCCAAUUUGAAGUUUAAGAACUUCUUUAUUUCUUUUAUAUGUCCAGGUAGCGUACAGGAGUGCCUUGCCAAUGCUGCCAAACCAUACAUGCCAUGGCCUAGAGAUUCCACCUGGCUACGCCAGUGUUGGCGUAGAGAGAAUCGCUGAUAGCCAAUUUGAAAGCCUAGAGCUCGACUUCCCGGCAGGCGACGGAUCAACAACACUAGGAGAAGUGGUUCACGGGGUCAUUCCAUGGUGCAAACGCUACAUCAUCAUCCCCGGCAUGGAGGCACCUCCUCAGAGAACAAGACCACUCUCCGCAAAUCCACAGCAGUGACCAUCUCCUCAAACAUCCAGACCAUCAUCUCCACCACAACCUGCUCCACAGCUGUCAUCACCACCGGGACUGUCGCUUACUGCUCGAUCAAGAUCUCCAUCCCCACCACAUCGACUAAGAGCACCAUUUAAGAAGUCGCGACUGGCACCUCCCAAGCCAAGACAGCGUAAGAAGAAAACAAAGGAGCCUGAGAUGACUCCUGAGGCGUUAGUGUUGCAUGGCUUGCGUCGACGACCAGUCAUAGAGUUGGUUUUUGUUUUGAGUUGAGUUGAGUUGAGUCAGCGUUAUCUGUUGGGAGCUACUUCGGUGGCUCUGUUGUCUCAGAUCUUUCUUUUUUUUAAUAUAAUCGGCAGCUCUACUGCCUGGUUCAUUUAAAAAAGAUUCAGAAGUACGGUUGGAUGUAAGAUUAACGAGUUAAUCUUCCUGUAGCAUGUACAUAGACAUGUAACCAAGAAACACAAACUUUUUUACACCGGAAUUCAAGUUUAUUUGAGAUGUACAGGCAGAGAUAUGACUAUAUAUAGAAAUUGGGGAAGCAGCGCUUUACAUGUUAUAAUAUAGGGUUGAAUAAAUCACCUCUAACGUGGUUUACACGUCAGUGUACAACAACCUGUCCACCAUCCCUAAAUUACAUGAUAAAAACUCUAUCAUCUACAACCAACAACUCUAGGUACGGUAGUUGUACACAUUACACGAUAUUGUUACAUAUGUUUAACAAUGACCUGAAUGCAUAUGUGAAAACCUUGGAGAAGAUAGUCCGAUUCAACUCUUAGAAAUCCUUUAAGAGAUGUGUCCACCUUAAUCUUGCUACUACUAAUUGGAGAUACCGGAGGAUUCUCAAGUUAAGCCGCAUGGGCCUCAUCACAAGGUGGACACGGUGCCCUACUGCAGCCCAAGCAACUACUGCACUUGGUGUUCUUUUCAGACGGUGCUCGCUUACAAUAAGAUGGACGAGCUGCGUUGAAAACGGAGCUUGGCGGAUGUUGGUGGUACCUCCUGUCGCUGCAGAACAAAACGCUGACAGAGAUUUGUUGUUGCCAUUCUAGAAUCAUUUUAGCUGUGGCUUCGUUUCAUUCAGGAUUUGCAAAAAUAAUGUAGUUAGAUUUUUUUAGUGGAAAAUAAUGUAACCGGAUUGGCUCGAUUGCCCCAGAAAGAUAUAACUGCAUGCAGUAACAUACACAUGGUCAUACUUUAAUUAUUGUGCGUACAGUUGUACUACACCAAGGCAUAUAUCUUAGCUAUUUCUUCGCUUUAACUAAAGAAUUGGAUGCUAGAAUGAAAGAUGGAGGCAUCACGUCCCAUGGUGAUAUUGAUAACGAACGUAGGAUGGCAUGGGUUCCCUCCGAUCCCUUUCUACAAAUGGGAGAGAACCCUGGUAUCCUUCUUUUGUUAUCAAUAUCAGCAGGAAUCUUGCCCCCAAAAGAGAGGACCUAAUGCCUUCAUCAUUAUGUUUUUCUUUUGACGCUUUCAUUCUAGCAUCCUAUUCUUUAGCUAAAGAGAAGCAAUAUUUGAGAUAUAUGCAUUGCUACAGUAUCUAUAAUAAUUGAAGUUCGAUCAUUGAUGCAUGUACACAAUAAUGUUAUAUUCCUCUAACAACAUUGAUCGAUGAUAUGCAGAGACUAAGUAUCUAAAUUUUAGCUCCAAGCAAGUUUUAACCAAAAGUUUAUUAUGUGGUGAUGAACCACUUAGUGGAAACUAUAUAUCUAUAGAAGAAAAAUGUGUUGGAAAUUAAUCUUGACAUGUUUUUCAUCCAUGCGUUAGUUGUGAACACGCAUGAGAAGAUUAAUCAAGCUACAUGCAUGUGUGAAAGGGUUACAUGCAUGUGUGUGAAUGCAGUGCAUGCGUAUGGAAAAGACUAGGAUCUGCAUGCAUAUGGAAGCUUUUAGGGAGUUGUGUGUUACUCAAAGAGUCUCUAGACAAUGUGAAUCGAACGUGUCUUGGUAGUGUGAAACCUGCUGGUUGCUCAGCUUCUCCUGCUUCAAAUCUGAACUUCCCCUCCCAGUGCUGACAGAGAAAGGGGGUAUUUAUACCCUGGAGAGGUCAUGGUAUGAAAGGGAAGCUGAACAGGCGAGGUGAAGGCCCAUGCUGAUCGGCUUGGGUGGGUCCAGGCCAAUUGACCUGACCCUUCCUUUCGUCCCCUCGCAUCCAACUUCUUCUCCAAGUCCUCUCUGAUGUUGGAACUUUAUUUUCACUUGCAUGUGGGCCUGGCUCAACGAUAACCUCAUGAUAAGGAUGGAUCUUAAUAACUUUCCAAGUACUGCUUGAUUUCAUCUUGAUCCCGAAGUCAACUUGCCAUAUCUUCUGAAACUUAGUCCCUAAGUCUUUUUGAGGAUUGCUCGCCAAGGUUGAGCAUUAAUGGGGCCCUUUUUGGGGCCUUUGGCCUUCGUCUUUCUUAUGGACCGUCGCUUGUCCUUAGCCUCAUCCUAUUAUGCUCCAAUUUAGUCCAAUUUCCUAUAAAAAUAGAAUGUCAUCCAAAAUACAAUGCAUAUGUGAAAACGUCCUGAUUAUUAGGUAUGUUCAAUAGUUUUGAUAUCCUUUGUAUACUAAUAUUGAAGAUAAAUAGGGGUAAAAGUGUGUCAAUAACGAGUGUCAACAACCCCCCAUACGUGAACCUUGCUCAUCCUCGAGCAAGUCUUCGAUAGAAAUCAGCAUUGCCUUUUAGUGUUAACCCUGCACUUAAUCGUACAUAACAAGACAUGGCACUCCAUUUAGAUGCUCAAUUAAUAUUCUAGCUUAUUACUAUGGAGGAUAGAUAUUUUUUAAUGAUGAACAAGCCACAAAGAAUUUAGAACAAUGCUCUCAAAUUUAAAUCAACUUCACAACUUUUCUUUCAAUGGAGCACAAUUUUCAAACAGGAGCUAGAUCAACAUCGGCAACAGAAUUCUUGCAAUUGCUCAAUGGAAACUCUCAUUUCAUCGAGUCUCUCAGCCAUGUUCUCAAUAUUAAAUAUGUCCAAAGGGAGAGAGAUUAUAUAAAAUGGAGUUUCCAUACAUUCCCUAUCCACCACCCACAUAUUCACACGCAUGCACAUCUUGAUCUGAUUGUAUGACUUGUUUUCUCCUUAGAUCCGGUUUUUGACUUUGCAAUAUAUGUAAUACAAGUAUUCUUUCUUUUCAUCCCCUACCCUGAGCUCCACAAAAAGCUUUAUUAGAAGUAGGAAGGAAAAGAGGCAAACAAAUGCCUCGGUAAGGAACCAUACACAUUGAGCGAUCUGAGAUAAUCAUUCAAGGAGCAAGUCUAUGCUUUGUUCUGAAAAGCUUUCAAAAACCCAAGAUAUCUGAGUACGAGAAGUUUGUUACUUCUCUUCUUCCUUUUUAUAUAUGUGCUCUUUUACGGUACACAAUACUAAGCUAUACUACUGUUCGAAAAGGACUAGUAUACAAAUAUCCGACGGUUAAGAUUAAUUGUAUACUGCUAAAACCUUCACCUGUGGUAUGGAUAGUAUACAUGACUAGUAUAAGGGUAUCAUGGUAAAAGAACACAAAUGACAUCACUAAAAUUUUAUUUUUGACACUAGCAUAAAGUUUAAAAUGCCAUUUCGUUUGAAAUAUCACUUUUCACAUGUAAUAAUUACUAAAUCAUUCAUAAUCAUGAAUAUUUAUAUCUUAUAUAUACUAUAUACUACUAAGUAGUAGUACUAUUGUGUACCGUAAAAGAGCUCUUUAUAUAUAUAAGCAGCAGGUGAUUACCCCUCGUGUUCCUAAAGAAAAAGCAGAUAAAAUAGAUUACAACUCCAGCGGACAUGCAACAAUUCUUCAGGGCGCCGUGCCUGCCCUGAAAAAAAUGUGGCCACCUGUAAAACGGGCUGCUUUGGCAGCUCUCGUACGAAUACAGAUUUCAGGUGGGUGUCUCGGCCCCGUUGUUUCGUCGAAAAAGAAAAACUUCUUGAAUGAGGGACGAUUUGCCGAUGAAUACUGCUGAAAUCAACACAAGCUGGCCAAGAGCCUUAAAAAGUGGUUGAAUGUUGAAAGCUAAAGCAAGCAAAGCGCACUUGAUCAGUCAAACACACAACUUCCACAAACUAAACAUGAGCAUGAAGCUGCAGUUCAUCACGAGACACACGACUGUGCGGACAUGAAGUUGUCGAUGCAUGCGGUCUCUGAUCAAGUACCAGCAGGUGAUUUACCAUUACCUGCUACUGCUGGCGGAGGAGACGGUGCCGGCGGAGGGCUCCGCCAUGAGACCUUGUACUCCAAAUCUUCUUCCGUCUUGCAAGGGACCUCGCCACCGUCCGGGGUGCUUGAAUCGCUACAGAGGAAGGUAACCGGCCAGCAAUAAUAGGUCUUGUUGAUGCUCUUCUCCGAGUGCGCUGGCUUGUAGGUGGUCUCCACCACCACCAUCACGGGGAAGCCGAGGCUCGCGUCCUGGUGGUGCCUGUCGUAGAGGUAGUACAGCGAUGCUGGAUCCUUGAGGCUUACCCACCUCCUGUAUCUGUGCGAGCUGUGCGGCUGCAGGUCGAAGCUGACAUUCGUCGGCUCGAAGCUGGCAUUCGUCGGCUCGAACCUGGAGAAGUCCACCAUCUCCACGAAGGACGCAUUGGGGAUGUCCAUGAUCCUGACGAUGUUGAUGUUGCCCUGGAUCUGGCCGCGGCCGCUGGGGUUGAGGGCGUGGAUGAUGAUCAGCAUCGGCACCUCUUUCGCUGGCUCGUACACACGCGUGGUGUUGUUAUAAAUCCACCACCAUUCUUGUGUCUGGACAUAGCCGUAGCUCUGGAGGUCCAUCUCCACGGGGCGGUGGACGAAGACGAUCACCAUCACCACCACUGCAACGGCGAGCACGGAGACCACAAUGGCCACCAGUGAGCGCACCGUGGCUAGGAAGGGGAAUGUAGUGUUCUCGCCAGCGCGGCAUGCUGCCAUUUUUUCUGUGUCGGUUCACGUAGGUAGGGUGGAUGGACUUGUCCAGGGACCUGCCAUAUAUACCCAUAAACUACUGACCCAAUGUCCAUUCCCUUUGAUUAGAUGACUCAGAUUAAUUAUGACUUUGCUAAUGGCCGAAGCUAGCUAAUUGUUACUUUCUCUGUCCCAAAUUAUUAGUCCCACAUUUUUUUUCUAGAUAUAUAAUUUUUACCUAUGUAUCUAGAUGCGUAAUAAAAAACUAUGUAUUUAGGAAAGUCAAAAUGAUUAAUAAUUUGGGAGAUGACUAAAAUUAGCACUACGCUGUUUGGAUAGUACAUGGGCUAAUAGCUCUGGCAAACUUAUUUAUUCUGCACUUGGUUUCUACUGCUCCAGCUUGAUUUUGCGUGCGUGCGGGAAACGGAUUAGGUGGAACAGUUAGGGGUGUUUUUAUAUUUCUUGAUAUGAUGGUUGCUAUUAGCCCCAACUAGCUAUGUUUGGCCAGCUAAUAAAUGGGCUACUGGUUAACAGUGGACUUUGGCUAACAAUUAGGCCGCCUAUUAACCUCUCAUGUUAGGAUCAGCCAUGGCUAAGUUUUGCACACACACAUGUACACACACCAAUCUUCAAAAUUUCAGCCGAACUCCACCAUCUCCAACAGAGUUUUGGAAUUUUGGAACCAGCAGAACUCCACCAUCUCCAACAGAGUUUUGGUGGUACUAAUAUUUUUUUAGAUUAAGGAAAAUCAUCCGGCCUCGGUCAUCCACGAGUGAAUGCAUGCCUAUAGCCAAACUUACACGAUCUUAACAGAAACUUAGCGCUUUGGCUGCUCUAGAAGUACUCACUACUAGAAAUACAACCUCUCGUCUAGUGGUGGCGGGGGUGGCGGCGGAAGGGGGUGGCGGGGUGGCGGAGGAGGAGGGCCGGGGCAGCAAGGUGCGUGGCAGUGGAGGGGGCCUAGGCCGGCUGGGUGGCGGCGGAGGGGUGGCGGAGUGGGCUGGGGCUAGUGGGGAGGGGCAGCUGCAACAAAUGAGCUCAAAUUAAACCUCAUUAAGGUCAAGUGGAACCAUUAGAGCCUAAUGGAACCUUUGAACAACAACACAUCCAAGUAAAAAGACACUUUUGACCCUCACAAGCUAAACUAGUAUUUGAGCCAUAACUCGAAUUUUUGUUUAAGAACAUCAAAAUCUGUCCAACUAAGAGUUGUAGAACUCAUAUUCACUAGCAGCUUUAGUAUUUAACAUUUGCUUUGAAUCUGAACAUAAAGCAUUCAAAAACUCGAUUUUCAAUUCUGUGCCGAUUUGUGCAAAACGUGAAAAACCCAAACUUUGGAGCCCUUUUUCUCUCAUUUUCAUAUGUAAUAUAAAGCCAAACCUUUUACAAAAGUUUUAGAACUACGAGCCAUGAACAAUUUUGAUUAAAAGAGUUAGGCCAAAAUCUACACAAAAGGGUUUCGAAAAUGCAGUCAAACAUAGCCAAAUCGGUCAACCGGCGCGAAACUGAAAUCUCGUCUAAAGUCUGAAAUUCCAGACUUUUCGCUGAACUUUGACUCGAUUUAUCUUCAAAUCCGUUUGAGAUCUGAACCAAAACCUUUUGUAAAGUUUUAAGUCGAGUCGUAGAUCUACAAGUUUGACAAAGGGAUAUUUGAAUGUUUAGUUCAGAAAUUUUGAAGAAAUCGCCCUCAAAUCUGGCCCUUUCCCUGCCCUUUCCUUGUCUCGCGGUAGACUCGCCAGAACGCGACGCGACGCGCGUCACGCCUAACGGCCACCGCGUGGCGUGCCUUCCCCGGCAAGCCAGCUUGCCGCUGCCCAACCGGCACAACUUCAAGACAAAACAGAGCGCCGUCCUAGCCAACCGCCCGCCGAGGCCAUCUCCCACCCCUGCCCGCGAUCCCGACCAACCCCUAGGCGUGCGCCACGUCAUGGCCACCCGUUGGUCAAGCCGCCUCUGCCAAUCCAUCGCCAGACAACGACUACACGAGCGCCUCGCUCCGCCAACUGUUGGUCGCGGAAAAGCCGCGCUUGCGCGCUCCAUAUCGCGCCGGCCCAAUACGGGCGAGAUUGCAUCCCACGACCUCCGCCCCGUGCGCCAAUGGCGUUGCCGCCCCAUCUCCAGGCGUCAGCGCACCACCUCGCCCUCUGGCCCCAGCCUCCAGCGCCUCAAGCCUCGCCUCGUCGCUCCGCUCCCGCCCUGGCCCCAUAAAGGGACCAGCGCCCCCGCCGGAGCCCCUUCUUCCCGCGCCACAACCUUCGCCGCCCCUGUUCCACUGCGCCGCCACCGAGCUCCAAGUGAACCCCCUGCUCCGCUGCUCCCCGCCCCUCGCCACCGCCACAGCCAGCUUCGUUGCACCCCGCGGAGCUCCCAAGCCCGCUCGUUGGACUCCCGAAGCCGCCGGAGCACCGAAACGCCGUCCGCACCACCAUCGCCGAGCCCGAGUCGCCGCCGUCCGCGUUCCACCCCGGUGAGGCUUCCCCCAAUGCCCGAGACCUCUCCAAUCAACUCACGUUGAGCUUAAGCUCCUCCUGACCCAUCCUUAGCCCAAAGACGCCGGCGCAUCGCUAGGAUUCCAAUCGCCGCCGCCGUGCGCACUGUGGGGACAACAUUGCGUCUCCCCCGUUCUUUCCAGGGUCUCCCGUGCAAAGUGCAGGGGCCCAUUCGUAAUAAGUGAAAAACCCGAGGGCUUUAAUCAUGAGUUUGCACGGGAAAAGUCAGCCGAGGGCAUAUAUGUGAAGUGGAAGGGUAUGGUUGUGAAUAAAAGAAAGUCAGAAGGGCCUAUAUGCAAAUGUGUUUCGGUUAAUUAAUAAAAAUUGGCAGAAAAUAGGAGAAACAUUGUAAAUGCACCAAAAAUUGUAGAAACCUCAGAAAACUUCCAAACAAAAUUUGAUGGACUCAGUGAACUGUCUACUUUUAUAGAAAAAUAAUUUUGCACCUGUCACUGUAGAUAUUUUGCAGUUAUGAAUUAAUCCUUGCAUGUGCUAAUUAAUUCACCAUAAAUCACAGAAAAAUGCUAAAAGGGUAAAACCAACUCUGUGAGGAGCACAGCCUAGCCUUUGAAGUCCCUGUUUUUCUUUAUUAAGUGAAAUCUGCACUAGAAUCUUUCUUUUUGCACAGUAAUUAAUCCAGAGAUGAGAAAACUGUGAAACUAGUUGGGUUGGUUCUGUUUUGGAGUAUAGUUUGCAGGAAAAAUAAAGCCCCUUACCAGAAACAGAAGGGAAAACCUUUUUCUUUUUAGAGAAAGAUAACUAAGGAUAAUAUAUGGAAAAUAGAUCUCCUUGUCUGAUAAUUAUGAAGAAUUCACCAAAUCAUGUAAGCCAUUCUUGGAACACCCUGGUAAAGUUUCAUGACCAGAGCAUCUGUAAAUUGCAAGAUAAAAAUUAUUAAGCCCUUUCUACCUUAGGGUGAGAAGGAGCUUUUAAUUAAUUUUGUAUAUCCUUAGUGAACCUCAACUUUUUACAGUAGCCCAGCAGUGACAAGGUUAGGGUGCUGGUGAAGUUUCACCCUCUUUCGUCGCUGUUUGGUUGGUUAAUUAAAAUUUGGAAGAUGAACCGGUUAAAGGAAAUAAAGAAAAGCCUUAAUUAAAGAAAAGAAGAGAUAAGGUAUAUUGGAAGAGGUACAGAAAAACAUUUAGAAACAGGAUAGUUUUCCGAUCUUAAAUAACUAAUAAGUUAAUAAAUGUGUACACAAUCACCAUAUUGAAGCCGAGGGUUUUAAUGGUAUAAGCUUGCUUUCUACGCCAAGUGAGCUGUCUGUGAUGAUCUAGUGUUAACCAGUGUGCAAUCAAGUUUACUUCAUAAUAAUGCACGAAAUGUCAUCCAGACUCUUGAAUACAAGUUUUCAUAUCCUUGCAUUGCAUCCCGUAGAGCUGAACGUUGCUGACGAGAUGUACGAGCUACACCUGGCGACCGAGGACGACAUUGCCGCAGAGCUACACCACGCCGAGGUUGAGCCCGUGACCGAGCAAGCCGAAGACCCGCCUGCUAACCCCGAGUUUGAAGGCAAGCCCCGGAGCAUAAAUUCCUAUGUUUUAACUACUUGCAAUCUACUUGAUUAUCUUGCUUGUGCAUUUACAUUUUCUAGGAGUUGCAAUGAAACCUUAAAUGCAUAAAGUUAGUACCCUUGAUCUGAACACUAGUAUGGUAGGCUGAGUAGUUGCAAUGCUUAAUAGGACUCGGUAAAAGUCGAGUGACUUCCUGUCACUCACGAGUUAUAGGAGUUGAUUGCUUCCUUUUUGCAAUAAGGAUGAUGGACGGGACAGGGCUAUUUGCAUUAUUUUGGUGGUUGGUAGAUUGCCCCAUCUAUCUAAAUUAAAAUGGACUAAGGUUGAGAUGUGAUAGUGUUCGUGAUCAAGUGUUUAAAAAUAUUAAUCUCAUACCUAGUAUGGGAUAGGGAAGCCUAGUACCUGAUUGAACCGGGGUGGACCUUUCCCCCGCUCUCCCUGGAACGUAGUUCCCAUGGUGCAUCAUGUGGGUACAAGUGCAGCCUCGAUACGGCGGAGUCCGGGACCGUUGGGGCAUUGUAUGCCAAGGGAAGUGGGAUCUGGAUAAAUGCCGUGAAUUGAUGGGGACGGCAUGAUAUAUGUGAACCUGUUGGGUAGUAGCAUAUGUCGUGGCAUUAGGUUCACCAUGCAUGGUUAAGAAAUUCAAAUUGAUUCAUCUGCCUCUCACAGUUUGGGACUACUUGAUCGCUAUGCUACAUUGAGUAAGAAUGGAAGAUGAUAAUGUUAAUAUUGAUGCUUGCUAUUAAUUGUUUGGAAAACCUUGCUUGCUUAGUAUAGUGCUAAUGUAGACUGGAUAAUGAACUUAGAAUUUGUGGCUAAAACAUUGAAAGUAAGGACCUACACUAGUCGCUUUUGGCAAAAACAAACCCCUCUAGCCAAUAAGCUUGCAUGUCUAGGUGUUGGUGGAGUAGAUACCACCCGUUGGGUAAGUCUUGUUGAGCGUAGUCGCUCAGCCUUGCUUGUGGCAUAUCUUUUCUGGAAUUGAUAUUGAUGAGUUCGCUGCAAGUGUUACUUGGCCUACCCAACUCCCUCCAGGUUGGACGGUCGAGUGGGAUCCCUCCUCGAACGGCGAGGAAAGGGGUGAUUGAUGUCGUGAUUAGCUUCGUCAUGAUAUCCUGCAUCGAUGUCUAGUUAUUGUUCGUUUUAAAUUUCACUGCUUGAACACUCUCCAACUUUAUGUUUGAAUUUCGAACUCUGUUGUUGUAAUAAAUCAAUGCACUUGUUUUAAUUUGAAUGGAUUGUUGUAAUCUCUGUAACCGCUCACCUUCGUGUGAGUUGCUUUUCUCGAUCCUGUCAUGUGGUUUUAUCGAAAUGAAUCCGACGGACGACCGAGUUGACUUGCUUAAAACACAUGAUCGCGUAUUAGGAGACUUAAGUGUGUUUUAGUUGGGUUAAUCCGGGCAGUUCCGCCACAGCAGCAGGUUGGCGGCAGAGGGGGAUGGGGUCGGCGGGGUGGCCGUCGGCAGAGGGGGGCAGGGUCGGCAGGGGAUUUUCAUUUUCUUUAUUUUUUAACACCCUCUAGUACCGAUUAUUCCAAACUUUACUAGAGGACCCCCCUCUAGUACCAAUUGGCCAGUACCGGUUGCACAACCGGUACUAGAGGGGGGUUUCUAAUCGGUAAAAGAGGCACUUUUUCUAGUAGUGACUAUAGUUCAUACUCAAAGUUCGCACGCCAAAGAUAAAUCUACUUUUAGGACCCCCUAACACCCAAGCACCCGAGGGAACGUCCUGCUACUAAAGAAUCCUUCUCCUGAAGUUCCAGCCAUAUUUGUUGAAGAACUCAAAGGUAGUGACUUCAAGCCUAUUGUAGUUCUUCUUCAGAUCAAUUUUCUCUUCCUCCUUAGAUAGCACCGCCCAUGCUCUUGUCCAAUAAGUCCCUCUAAAAAUUACCUGCAAAAAGGAAUUAGUGGUUGUGCCUUUAAAUAGUAAAUCAUUUCUAUUCAACCAUAUAGCCCAGCAAAGUGCAAUAGCUCCUACAAUCAUCUGGCUUCUAACCUUCCGAGGAUACCCUCUAGUCCAAGAACCCAGCAUAUUAGGAACACUAACAGGCGAUUGAAUUCCAAACGAAAAGAACAUUGUACUCCAAAUAAAUCUAGCUAAAUGGCAAUCAAAGAAGAGGUGUUGCACUGUCUCUUUUGAAUUGCAAAAGCAACGCUUGGUACUUCCUUGCCAUCUCCUCUUAGCAAGGUUGUCCUUUGUUAGAAUCACACCUAUUUUCAAAUACCAUAACAAGAUUUUGAUCUUUAAUGGUGAUUUUAACUUCCAAGCUACACACAAGGAUGGUAUUCCUUCAGCUUGCAUUAUCUCUUUGUACAUUGACUUCACUGUGAUGUCUUUGUUUUUAUUCAGAUUCCAAAUAAAUUCAUCUUCCUAUACCUCCAUACCAUGUGCUACUAUCUCAGCCACUAACUUAGCCAUUCAUUUAAUUUGUGUCAUGUAAGUGCUCUUCUGAAAAAAAAUAUUUAGAAGGACAGAUCCACAAACUUUGACCACAGUGUCAUCUUUCCUUCUAACUAUAUUAUACAAAGAUGUAUAUCUUUCCCUCAAGGUUUUCUUUCCAAUCCAUACAUCUUCCCAUAACCUAGUUUUCUUCCCAUUGUGUACCUCAAACUUACCAAUUGACAAUAAUUAGUCCUUUAUUUCCAUGAGGCUCGCCCAAAAGUGUGAAUCACCUCUUUCUUCAUCACUUGGGAUAGAGUCUUAUUAACUAAAUAAAUAUUUUCUUCUGAGUAACUUUUUCCAUACUCCUUCCUCGUUUAGAUGUUUAAAUAACCACUUGUUUAGCAAGCAUCUAUUUAGAACUUCCAGAUUGGAAAUACCCAAGCAUCCUACAUUCUUUGGUGCACAAAGAAUACUCCACUUGGCCAGUCUAUAUUUCUUUUUGUGUUCAUCACAUUGCCAAAAGAAUCUAGACCUAUAAUAAUCCAAUCUUUUAAGAACACCUUCAGUACUAACCUUGGUAAGCUAGAGAGGACAUUGGUAAGCUAGAGAGGACCCUUAGAAGCUAUUCCUAGAGUUUCAUUCAAAUUCAUUGGCUACAUUGUUGGGAUUCGUGAUUUAAGGUUGGAUUGCCUGGACCAGUCUGACCGGUCAGGUAGACUGGUCUGACCGGUCUGCACAAUCAAACCCUAAAUCAUGUCUUUUUGUUGUAUGAUCAAUGUAUCUACAUAGGAAUACCUCAUGAACAAAAAUUUCCACAUCUUAAGUGAUCUAGCUACUAUGUUUGGUCUCCAGAACCAUUGGUUCUACUCUGGGCCCAACUGGUCUAACCAGUUGCUCAUAUCGGUAUGACAGGUCUAGUUCAGAGUUGCCCCAAUUGUUUUGAUUCCUGGUUGUUCAGCACCGUAGUGGCAAGGGGCCAGCUGAUAGUGAUGAGAGAAGCAGUGAUGGUGAUCCCAAUGGUGGAAAUGGUAAUGGUGAUGAUAAUAAUGAUGAUGAUGAUGGAGAUGAUGGUGAUAAUGGUGAUGAGAAUGUGGGUGACAUAGCUAUGCCCACCAUUCGUAGGCCAACCUAACCCAUUCAUAGAGGACCUACAAAUUAUUUUGGGUAUGGGAUGACUGAGAUGGCAAAAACGCUAAGAAGAUAGGAUACAUACAAUGUGCCUAAGACUGCUCAAGAAUAUAGAUUUUGGAAUUCUUUCCGGCAGGACUUCUAUACCACAGUCAUUCUAAAGAAUUCCAAAAUCACUCAUGAGGCACAGUGGGUAGAUUGGGAUUACAUGAGGAAGAAAAAUGAUCCCAUCUUCAAUGAAGUCAUGGAGGCUUGUGCUAGCAAAAGGAUAAAAACAUCUCAUGGGCUUCAAGCAUAACUGGAAUAGGAAGAUCAUUGCCCAGUUCUAUGCCACUAUUUAUUUUGGACAUAUUGCAAAUGAGAGGGCGAUGUUUUGGAUGACAGAGGGUGAAAAGCAUCAUAUCACUUAUUCCGCCUUCACAUCAUUGUUCAGAAUCAAAGAUGAUGACACUCUUCCUAAGCUUCAUGAUGAAGGUGUUCUUGAGAAUUCAAAAAUGCAUUUCAUGUAUCCCAAGAAUAGGACAGGAGAUUGGGGGAAGGUCAAGAGCCUUUACACCAACUAUGCCAUUUUUAACCAGCUAUUAAGGAAGACCCUCACUCCUAGAGAUGGGAAUCCCUCACAUGUAACUCUCUUUUAGAGGAACUCGAUGGCAGUGUUGAAACUAGGGGAACCUCAAUUUGAUGUGGGUGACUUCAUUUGGCUAGAAAUCAAGAAUUUAAUAGAAAAUCCUUAAAAGAUUUGUAGCUACAGUCCCUACAUCAUUUACAUGAUUGAGAAGGUGACCAAGAGCAAGUUUCCUAGUGAUGUAAAGCACAAGCCUUUGAGACCUCCAGUGAGCAAGACUCCUACGAUCCCAUCUCCACCACCAGAAGAACCUAAACUGCAAGAACAAGGGGGCAGAAAGGCAUGAGCAAUAGCAAUUUCAGCAGCUAGCUGGUGCCCAGGCAAAGACCGCUUUGUGCCUGGGAAACGCAGCCACUUGUAGAGGUAGCAUGAGAAGCCCUCUUCUCCAAUGAAGAAGUUUAUAAACUUUCUGGUUGGCAUGUGCAAAAGUCAGAGAGACAUUGAGGUUGAACAACGGCGACGAUGGACGGCUAGUAAAAAAGAGAGAGAUUUGAUUAAGAUGAUGCAUAAUCACAUGAAUCUUCAGCCUCCUCACUCUCCCAUUUCUCCUUCACCUCUAGAAGUUGAAAUCCCAUCAGUUGUGGCUAGAAUUGGAGAAUACAUGGCACCUGGCUACUUUGACCAAUAUGGCAAUAUGUUUUAUCCAGAUAUGGGAGGCUCAACCUCAACUCCUCCACCUUUUAAGCCACCUCCAACCGGAGGAUUUGAUGCUUUUGUCUCAGAUCUUGGUCCCGGCAUUCAUGGUGGUGCAUAUCCCUUCUAUCCAGGAUCCGCUUUUAUGCCUUUCACAGGAUCUUCUUCUUUGGCAGCGGCUACUGGCACCAUUCCAGGUCAUCCUCAUGCAGCAGUACCUCUAUCUCCUACAGACACAACCGAGUUUGAUGCAUAGGCUAUCUUUGGUCCUCCUCCUCCUCCAUCUACUCAGGGUAUGUCUGACAUCACUCUUGCCCCUCUCGAAGAUAUCAUAGUGUCAGAUUCUAUAUAUCUUAUGUCUCCUAUGCCUUGGUUGGAUUAAGGACUUCAUUGGCCUGAGGACUCACCAAAGGAUAGUAGAAGUGGAUACGGAGAUCAGUGACUUCAGUUGCACCUUCUCGAGGCCCUUUUAUGGAUGAUUGAUGACAAAGGUUGAGAAGAAAUGGUUUAAAACUUCAUCUUCAGGAUUUAGUGUAGCUGAGCAGUUGUGACCGAUAUGACCGUUGGCCAUUACUAGCCAUUACAACCAGGACUAAAGAUCCCCUUUAGUCCCGAUUGUUAUUACCAACUAGGACUAAAGCUCCCGUCUCGGUGGUCGUUGGUGGUGGCUGUUUGACUUGGGACUAAAGGUCAAGGUGUGACAGCCUUAGUAAUUAAGCAGCUAAAUUAGGAAAUCAUCGAAGUGAUUAAGAAACUAAAUCAAAGAAUCAAAAAAGGGAUUAAGGAAUAAGUUAGAGCUAACUCUAAGUUGCUGAGAGUUAAGAACCCAAAAACACCUUAGAUUUUGGCUAGAUGUUAAAAAUUUCUCCUAUUGAGAAUAACUUGUGAGGCCGAUAGAAACCAACUUCAUAUAAAAACUUAAACUUUGAACAAUAUAAAGAUAGUAGAUCUUUUCAAAGUGAACAACCUUCAUAAUUAGCACCUUUCUUCAUCUUGAGCAAAGGGUGUUCCCAAAAUCAAGUGGAAGUUCAGUCAAAUUUCAAAUCUGAUUCAAAAAUAGCUUUGACCGACUUCCACCAAGGACCCUACCAUCCUAUCUCCAACUUCAUCGAGCUUCUCCUUGUUGAAAUUUAUAAAAUUCAUAGUGCAUACCUUGUUUCCUUUUGAAAUUUAAACCGUGUAGUUCGAACUUGGUGUGAGAAUACGCGUUAAACCCGAUACCGUCACCACGAUGCGCAUCACGAGCAUCAUCAUGCAUAUUUAAGCAUCAUGAAUAUCUAUUUGUGCAUAGUCUACCAUCAUGAGCAUCAUUUGUGCAUAGAUGAACAUUUUAACCACACAUUAAUAAGUGCCCAGAAUUUUAUUAUUUAUUGGUGAAAAAUCAAAUUUGUGAAGGAACCCCAAUUUAUUCCAUACCACUAUGCCCCAAAAUAUUUUAUUCAAAUACUAGACACCAUUUAGUGAUUUUAAAAUAUUUUUACUAAAUUUUUCAAAGAUGUUUGAUUGGGUUAAAAAUUCAUUUAAAAUUCAAUUAUAGCUAUUUUGUUUUGAUGAUUGUGUGCAAACUAUAAAAUAUUUUGGAUUGAUUCUUGUGGCAUUGGAUUAUUGGUGAUUUGUUCUUUCCAACGAGUAUUUUUGAAGAAUUUUUGAACACAGUUAGCUAGGUUGUUUAAGGGGACAAAGUUGGCAUGAUGUUUUUCUUAGCCGGGCCCACACGUCAGCACCUUCUUCCAUCUCCCUCUGCCUGGGCGCCAGAUGCACACACAGCCCCAAGAUCGCCGGUUGGCCACCCCCUAGCCCCUGCAGGGCUCCUCCUCCGCCCAUAGGCCACCCAAACUCCUCCCACGUGCCCUUCCCCUCUCUCCCACGCCUCCUAUCGCCCCUGGUUGGGUAGCCCCUCCAUUGAACACGCAUGGCUGCCACCAGGCACAGCACCUCUGGCAACGCCCUCCCCUCCAAUCCUCGCGCCCGGUGCUGUGUCACCUCGUCCGUGCUUAUCCUCGACUCGCCCCGCCUAUAAAACCCAAGCCCCUGCCUCCCCCGGACCGCACCACCCCCAAUCCUCCAUGGAGAGUACACCGAGCUUCAAAAAUCCCCAUCCUUUGCGGACCAAAUUCGUCGUCGUUAUUGAGUCUCAGCUCGAUUCCUCACAGCCACACGAUCCCCUCGACAUCAUGCUUCCGUUUUGCUACCUCCCGGCCGUUCUCCCUCGCCGGAGAGCCCUCUCCACGGGAGCCCGCGUCUGCCCCUUCCUGUUGCCCGGGAGCUUCCUGCGCCGCCCCAUCUUCCUCGUCGCCACGCCGCUGGUGAGCACCUACUCGGCCCCGUGCGCGCCCCUCUUCUUCCCCAAGCCGCCCAUUCCUUUCCCCGCCGAUGGCCCCCAAGUGCAUGGGCAUGCCGUAGAUCCAGGAGCUAGAUUGCAAGAUUGUCUCGAUUUUCUUUAUUUUCUAGAUCUAAAAAGGCUAAAACUUUGGAAAUUCAUAGUAAAUUGUAGAAACAUCACAAAAUAGCAAAUGAAGAUGUUUUGGAAUCCUUGUGAGUAGGACUAUGCAGUAGUUGUAUAAUAUGAUACAUUUUAGUAGAAAAUGUUUGCGGUAGAUUUAUAUCUAUGCUUUUUAGGGUUAAACUCAUAUCUGUAGUUAUGUUGCUCCGUUUGCUGUGAAAUUGUUAUGGUAGGUUAUACAUGAUGCUCUUGUACUGUGGUAAAACUUUCAUAUCUAUUGGUGCAUGUAUGACUGAGUUAUUAAUUUAACUUGUUUAAUGCUUGUUAGGUGAUUUAUAAAUAUUAGGAGUGUUUAAAAAUAGAAAAUAUGGUUCAACUACCUUUAUAUGAUGUUUUUAUAUAAUAAUAACACAUAAUAUGGCUAUGUGUUUAUAGAAAAUGAUGAUCUUUAAAAAUUAUCUUGCUUUUACAUGUUUUCUUGCAUUUGUAAUUUGUCUUUUUCAUAGCAAUUAAAUUAUAAAACCUGGGCAUGUGAAAAUUUUACAGUAACCAUGUUUUGAUAGCAUAUACCACUCAUAAAAAUUUCAGCCCCAAACUAGUUGUUCUCAUAUGGCACUAAAAAUAAUAUAUGUACAUGUCAUUCAAUGGGAGUUAAUAACAAAUAGACAUAUUUCUAAGCCAUGAGAUGCCACUUCAAUUAUACCAACUUUGUGAAAUGUAGUUGAGCUAUAUGAAUGUUUGUUUGAGCCUUUGAAUGAUUUAUGUAUGAAAUCUCGGUUGGGAGAAACACGUGAAAACCAAUAAUAUGCUUGCUAUCCCUCUAUAAUAGGUUGUGUGAUGUAUAGUUAAAUAACUCUAGGUGCCUAUGUAUUGCAUGAUCUUAUGUUUGCCUUGAAUGUUUUUACGUGAUGCAUCUUAUGUGACCAUUCUUCGUAUUCAUAUACUUGCAUCUUGCAUCUCAUCUAGAUACGCUAGAUAAACCACGUGAAGGACAUGAUGAUGGAACCAAACCCAAAGACGGUGUAUGGUGGAACUAUCCCGAAGAUGGAAGGACUAAGAAAGUGCCAAGAUGGGAGAUGCUCGCCAAGCGAGUGUCGUCUAACAAACACUAACCUAGUGUUGGAUUCCAGGCAAGUCCCGGAGCAUAAAUUCCUAUGUUUAAAUACUUGCAAUAUUUUGGUUGUUUUGAUUGUGCAUUUACGUUUCUAGGAAUUGAUUGAAACUGUAGAUGCAUGAAUAUAGUGCCCCUUGAUCUGAACACUAGUAUAAGAAUGUCGAGUAGUUGCAAUGCUUAAUAAGACUCGGUAAAAGUCGAGUGAUUUCCUGUCACUCGCGAGUUGUAGGAGUUGAAUGAUUUUCAUUUGGUUGCAACUAUAAGGACGAUGGACGGGGUCGGGAUUAUGUUGGUACUCGGUGGUUUGCCCCGUCUAUCUACCGGAAAUUGGCUAAGGUCGAAAAGUGGUGGUGUUCGUGAUCAAGUGUUUGAAAGUACUAAUCUCAUACCUAGUAUGGGAUGGGGAAGCUUAGUACCUGAUUGAACUAGGACGUGGCUUAUACCCCUGCUGUCCUUGGAACGUCGUUCCCAUAGUGCAUCGUGUGGGUGCAAUGGCGGUCACAGUACGGCAGAGAUCGGGACUGUGGAGCAUUGCACACCAAAGGCAGUUUGGACCUGACACAUACUUAGGGAUCGAUGGGGACGACUGACAAGUGAAGUGACCCUUCGUGGUGCGCGGAUGUCGUGGGAUUAGGUUUGCCAUGCAUGGUUAAUAAAUUCGAAUCGAUUCAUCUGCCUCUCACAGUUUGAGACUGCUUGAUCGCUAUGCUGCACUGAGUAAUAAGUGGAACAGUAUGAUGAUAAUCUUGAUGCUUGUACUUAAAUUGUAUUGAUCACUAUGCGUGAUUAGAAUAGUUAAUCAACUAUAAUGGUUAAUCAACUAGAACCUGAUGCUAAAACUUGAAAGUAAGGACCUACUUUAGAUGCUUUUGGCAAAACAAACCCCUCAGCCAAAAAGCCUUGCAUGUCUAGGAGUCGGUGGAUUAGUUACCACCUGACGGGUAAGCCUUGUUGAGUAUUAGUAUACUCAACCUUGCUUGUGGCUAUCUUUUUCAGGUGUAGUUGCCGGUGUUGACUUGUUUGGGAACCGUCCUCGGUUGGCGAGGAUGGUGAUUGUUGAUGUCAUGAUCGGCUUCGUCAUGAUGUCGUGUAUCGACGUUUAGCUUCCACUCGCCUUUUAUCUUUCGUUGUUGAACCCUUGCAAGCUUUGUUUGGAUUUUCAAAACUUUGAUGUAAUAAUUGUUGAACUAUGUUUAAUGUGAUGGGAAUGUUGUAAUCUCUGUGUAACUACUCACCUUCGUGUGAGCUCGCUUUCCUGAUCCUGUGUAAGUGGUUUAUCGGAUGAAAUCUGACAGAUGACCAAGUUGACUUGUUUAAGAUGCAUGAUCGCGUGUUAGGCGACUUAAUUGCAUUUUAGCCGAGUUAACUUGGACGGUUCCGCCACACAAAGCCCUUUAGUCCUGGGUCCAAAAACGAUCGGAACUAAAAGUGCUGGAUGGAAGGUCGAUUCUCUACUUAGUGCAAGAGCCUCACUUCCGGACAUGCGUCCCUAUGAUCCUUUAUAUACUCCAAAUGUCUUAUUGGCUUGCUAGACAGACUCAUACUUGCCAUGGCGAUGUGUAUCCCUCCUCUCAAAGGAUGGAGCAGCAAGCACCUUGUAGUUGCGGCCAUGAUAGGAACCCUGGUCGUGGUCGCCAUCGCCGCAGUCAUCAUCGUCGACCUCACUCCGCCUCAAGUCUUCUUCUCCAUCGAAGAUGCAAGCCUCCAAUUCUACAACUUCACUCUCUCUGCCAACAACACCAGCCGGCGCAUGGAGGUGCAUUAUACCACCCUCAACACUGAGAUAUGGAUAACCCCGUCUGAUUGGUAUUCAGCCGAGUUGAGCAUGAGCGGGUUCACGCAGCAGCCACCGGACAACGUGACCAAGUUCGCCGGGUGGGCCGAGUCGUAUCAGCUGGAUAGCAUGAUGGCGUCGGCGCAGGGCAGCGGCGCGGGGAAUUGGCCAAACUGCACCGUGGUGGUGAUAGCCAAGGUGUUGUUCAAGGUCGGGCUGGCACGCACACGGCCGUACCACAUCAGGGUGUCCUGCUUCCCCGUCAACUUCCGCGAUAAGACUCGGUACGCCAAUUGUACCUACUGAUCUCUCCAGUUUAGGAAGGGGAGAAGAGCCGAGGCUUUCUAGGGAGGUUGCCGGAGGAGGAGCUGAGGAAGGAUGGGGCGCGGCAAGAUCGAAAUCAAGCGGAUCGAGAACUCUACCAACCGCCAAGUGACCUUCUCCAAGCGCCGCAACGGGAUCCUCAAGAAGGCGCGGGAGAUCAGCGUGCUCUGCGAUGCCAAGGUCGGCAUCGUCAUCUUCUUCGCGAUUUGCUGGGCGCUCGAUCUGCCCCGCCCUCCGCCCUCCGCCCUCCCAGCCUUGCGUCGCCCCUGUCACCCCUCCCCCGUGAACUUCCUCAAUACGACUCGGUACGCCUCCCAAGCAAGUAGCUGAAGCAAACAGGCUGAAAGAAAGGCUUACCUUAAAUUCUGUCAGUCUCUGUAUGGCUGUUGUCUGGAGGGCUCCAGUACACCUUAGAUCUGCUGUUGUUGGUGUUGUUAAUGGACUCCUGAUAUCUGCUUCCGUUCAUGUUCCAGUUCCAUUUGGUCUCGAAAUUAAAGAUAUAUUCUUCAUCAUAUCGGUAAUGUCGCGCGGUUCUUGGUUUCAAGUACUGCCUGCAUUUGUUUUUUCUUUUCCUUGUCAUUUGGUCCGUCAGAACUAAGUUUGUUGAAUUCCUUCUGAGUAAGCUUGAGACGCUGGUCGUGCUUGUUUGUUGGUGUGCCUACGUGCCGCAUAGUUUGUCGUAGCAAAUACUUCCGGUUCCAUAUCGCCUGUGUACUACUGGACCGGGAUGUUCUUCAAUCUGUUAUGACCCUGUAUUCUGUUUUUAUAUAGAUCCCAUGUAUGUAUUCUGAAUGCACAGCCCCUGCUGGGAAAUUGGUUUCCCUACUGCGUGUCUGUGUUUACAUGCAUCUUCUAACUGUGGUUCCAAUGGCCCGUCUAGGCCCAUACAGGCCUAUCAGGUGGACGGGCCGGCCGGCCUCCUGGAUCAAAAAGGCCGGUACCCAUCCCUUCUUGGCCCGCCCGCUCCCGCUGUAGAAACAAAACCAGAGCCAGCAGAUCCCCCGGGCCCUGAAGAGAAAGAAGACGACAACAGAAGAAAGAGCUCGCAACGAAGCCGGCGGAAGCCCCCAAACCCUCCCCACCCCAGGCAGCAGCGGCGCGAUGAGAUGGUCGACGACCCACCGCCGGCGGCGGGAACACCGUCGAGGACAUCGUCCGCGCGGAGGUGAGCAUCCCCGGGCAGCCCUCGUCCUCUUUGCUAUGAGUGCCGGGGAAUCCGAUCUCCGCCCGCGCCGACCUGGCUCUGCUCGGCUGCCCCGAUCUGCCCGCGCGGGUGGCGGCGCCUCGCCCCUAGUUCGGUUUCAGGUUAGAGGUGUCCCAGCGUGGUGUCUGGGCAAGGGGAAUCCAGCAACGAGGCGUUCUCCCUCCCAUCGACUCGGUUGGCGCGGACGGACGCGGUGGGUCUGGUUGGGGAAUUUGUGCCCGUUUCGAUUUGGGUGUAGAAUAGGUAAAUAUCUUCAAAAUUGAUAGAAUUAGGCCCGUUUAUAUCGGGAGCUCCCUCCCUGCUACUUGGGCCAUGACGCUUUGGAUCGCCCACAAAAAUUCACAAACGCAGGCAGGGCCGAUCAUCCCGGAUAAAUCCAUAAUGGUUUUUACCGGUUACCGACCCCGGCGGAUUCGAUUUUUACCGAAAACCGGUCGGUAACCGGUAAAAACGGGACGAAUUCAAAAAACGAAUUGCCAGCACAACUGGUAAAAACCGCAUAGUAAAGGGGGCAUUCCAGCGGCCUGCAAGGCGGUUUCCCAGCUGGCCCGUUGUUAUUCCCCACCAAGCUUUAGCAUCUUUCCUUUGUGAUUGUGCGCUGGUGGGCCCGGCGCCGGGGUGAGAGAAGACACGGCACCUAAUACUUUCCUCACCUUUGCAGUGCCGUGGGCCCGCCACUUCCAUUCUGGCCCACAAGUGAUGGAGGCGCGCGAGGAGGGGUAUCGGUUUCACGAUGAUUAAUAAAGAAAGGCCCAAGACACGUCACGCUGUGGGGGAAAGGGAAGACACCGCACCGCACGCACCUCCACCACUUGCGUUGCCUUUGCCUUUGCUUUUCCCCGAGCUCGCCCGCCUAGGAGCUCCAGCAGCCGGUCCGCUCCGCCGCCGGUGCGGCAACCACGCCGCCGUCAGACCGCCUCGCGCGGCCACCGGUCGUCCCCGCGAUACACCGCCGCCGGUGCGCCGUGCGCGGCGGCGCUGUCCCGCCGCUCCUCCGCCUACCGUCCGCCUGCGCCACCACCAGCGCACCGGCAGCACCGCGAGCUGCUGCGCCACCCCGACGUUGGUCCUUCCUGAGCCCGGUGUCGUCACCAGCGUCGCGGAGAAGCUAAUUACCUGAAGCAAUUUGUAGAAACAAAUAGUACUGGUUCGUUCACUUAUUUCUUUGCUCAAACUUAAUUUCUGCUUAGAGUUUGUGCCUAAAUUAGCUGCUUAUUCUGCUGGUUGCAUGCAGGAGAUCGAGCUGCGGGCGUACGGCCGGAUCGGAGGAGGACAUAUCAGCCGGGUUCCUGUUGGUUGUGUACUUGUGUUCCUGCCGGCGGAGAAGCAACCAUGGCCGAGUUAGUGAUCGGGCCACUGAUCUCCAUGGUGAAGGAGAAGGCAUCCAGCUACCUGCUGGACCAAUACAAGAUGAUGGAAGGCAUGGAGGAGCAGCGCAAGACCCUGGAGCGCAAGCUGCCAGCAAUCCUGCACAUCAUCCAGGAUGCGGAGGAGAAAGGAGCCUCCCGACCUGAAGUAGCAGCUUGGCUCAAAGACCUCAAGACAGCGGCCUAUGAGGCCAACGACGUCUUUGAUGAGUUCAAGUAUGAGGCGCUUCGGCGAGAAGCCAAGAAGAAGGGCCACCACAGCAAGCUUGGAGCAGAGGUAGCAAGACCAUCGAGGCGCUUCAGCGAGGCGCUUCGGCGAGGCGCUCGUAAUCCCAUUGUAUUCCGUUACAGGAUGGGCAAGAAGCUACGCAAGAUUGUGCAGACCAUCGAGGCCCUAGUCACCGAGAUGAAUACAUUUGGUUUCAGACACUUGCAGCAAGCACAGCCAUCAAGGCAGUGGCGACAGACAGAUUCCAUAAUCAUUGACUCCGACAGAGAUAUUCUUAGCAGAUCUAGAGAUCGGGAGAAGAAGAAAAUCGUGGGGAUGCUCCUUGAUCAAGCUAGCAACAUGGAUCUCAUGGUUCUUCCAAUUGUUGGGAUGGGUGGGAUGGGCAAGACCACCUUCGUGCAACUCAUUUACAAUGACCCUGCAAUCGAGAAGCACUUUGAGCUUCGGAGGUGGUGCUGUGUGUCAGAUGAUUUCGAUGUCAGUACCAUUGCAAUUAACAUCUGCCAGACCAAUGAGAAAUGUCGUGAAAAAUCAUUGCAGGAGCUCCAGAGUAUAAUAAGUGGAAAACUGCCAGACCUCAUUGUGUUAGAUGAUGUAUGGAAUCGGGAUGCUGAUAAGUGGGGAAAACUAAAGAGUUGCCUUAAGCAGGGUGGCAAGGGCAGUGCAGUACUAACAACAACUCGUGAUGCACAAGUGGCUCACAUUAUGACCAUGGGUGUAGCUGAAGCCCAUAAUAUGGAGAAUCUGAGUGACGAGCAUUUAAAGGAAAUUGUCCAAAGCAGAGCAUUCUGCUUGCAAAAUCCAAAUAUUGAAGAGCAAGAUGGCAUUCUCAGUGGAUUUGUUCGUCGAUGCGUUGGAUCUCCCUUGGCUGCCAAAGCCUUUGGCUCUAUGUUGAGUAACAGGACUAGUAUAAAUGAAUGGAAGAAUAUAUUAGCUAAAAGUAACAUUUGUAGUGAGAAAACCGGAAUUUAUUUGUUCCUCAAGCUCAGUUUUGAUGACCUAUCCUCAGAUAUGAAGCAGUGCUUUGCAUUCUGUGCUUUAUUUCCUAAAGAUUAUGAGAUCGAUGUGGACCUCUUGAUUCAACUGUGGAUGGCACAUGACUUCAUAACUGUGCAGGAGGAUGACAAUCCAGAAACCGUAGGAAAAUAUAUUUUCGAGGAGCUAACUCGGAGGUCAUUCUUUCAAGAUGUCAGGCAAACACUUCCAAUUGGCAAUUUUGGAAGGUUGUCGCUUCGUAAGUCAACCAUAUGCAAGAUACAUGAUCUUAUGCAUGACAUUGCUGAAGGACUGAAAGGGCGACCAGAGGGGGGGUGAAUGGGAGCCUAUAAAAAUUCUUUACGAGAACAAGGCCUAUGUCCCAACCGCAACCCCAAAGUACAUUGCGCGUUGUAUCGUCAAGAUGACGCAAGUCAACUCGUGACAAGCUCACCCUAGUACCUAUAAAACAACACUCAAAUCACAGCGGAAACAUAGCAUGAAUCGACUCCAUCAAGUUUGCAUAUAUGAGACAAAGCAAAGAUACUACUAACCAUUUACUAAAUUAGGCAUGGAAAGAUUAGCAAUAAACUAGGCAUGAUUAGUAAAAAAACUAAACAAGAUGUCAAAGAUUAAUUAGCAACGUGCAAGAACUUAAUCAGUAACCCACUAACAUGAUUAGUAAGUGACAGUUCUAAUUAAGAAGCUAAACAAAAGAAUAGAGACUAACGAGCCAAGUUCCAAGAAUUAACCGUUCGCUACUUUCCUGUCAGCCUGCUGGCUUGCAACCUGCGCCAGGCCCGAUGGCCUCCCUCGCUUUGCUCCUGUUGGGUCGGUUGGCCUGCCGCAGCUAGCUGGGCCUCUAGUGCUGCUGCCUGGGCCGUCAGGCUUGUCUGGCCCGCGAGGCAAGCAGCUGUCCUCCCACUCGGCCUGCUGCCCAAACAGGCCUGGCCCGUGCACUGCUCCCCUCCUGGACCGUGUGCGUAGCUGGGCUGCGAGCUGGACUGCUCCCUGCAGCUGAUGCUGGCUUCGGUCUGGCUCGCGUGCACGUCCCGUGCCUCCUCCACGCAACGACCUGCGAACAAACAGAGCAAGAACACCAAGAACAACCAGAGAACAGGGAAGAACACGUUCAACUUCAAAUUCGAAAUCCUCCGUCAAAUCUCCAUGAAUUGCGACGAAACUUGAGACAAGGAUGCAAUACCCCUAAGGAAAAUAGAUCUAUGAAACAAAUCUUGAAAAACUCAGGUAUACAUCACUAAUCUUGGAGAAAACCGAAAGCCUAACUCAAAAACACGAUUCGGAGAAAUUCGAAAUCCAAGCCGGAUCCAUGAGAGAUUUAGAAGGGGAACGAAUCAAAGAUGCUCCCUAAGGUCCUAGCAUCAUUUCCUUUCAACCAAGUCCACGAGAUUCGGCUCAAACACGAAGAACGAAAAUUCCCUAAAAAUAGCUUCGAAAAUAGGGAAAAAGAAAAACGCUCGGGAAUCAAAAAUUUAGCACGAUUCGAGACAACAAACAAAGCUAAAUCACGAGAACAUCUUCUAUACAAGAUGAGAACUAGCCUCCUCCCUUCAUCCACCCACUAAAGAUGAAGAAAUCGAGAGAAAAGAGUAAUCACUCCCUAAUCCCCCUCUCUCCUCUCACUUUAAGCACAUGACUAGCCUCUAAGCAAAUAGAUAAUGAGUUGCUAAGUAAAGAGGUGCUGAAAUAACCAGCCUCCAUCCCUAUUUAUAGUCCAGGACGAAAGACUAUACUACCCCUACAGCUACAACUAAGAUAACUACCCACGCAGGGGCAUUUUGGUCCAAGUUUUUAUCCGUGCAUCGGACGGACACGCCGCCUUCACGACUUUGCUUCGCCUCGACGCAAGCUUCGCGAUGACGCCACGUGCCCUCCUUCUCGAAGCUACGGCCGCACCGGGCUCGCCCCCGGUUUUGAGGCCCAAACCGGGAAACCUGCCCGCGCGGUGGUUUUGAGGCCCAAACCACCCAAACCGUCCAUCUUUGCUUGGCCGCUACGCGACCUCCUUGAUGUCGACGCGUGUCCGGCCUCCGCCAAGCCUCCCGCUCGACUUGACCGACGUCGUCUCCAUCUUGUCAUGUUCUCCCACCGUUCCGUGCACCAUGUGGACCGCCCGUGACUCCGCCCGGACUCCUCAGGUCCAUCGGUCUAAGCCUACUCGCGUUCAUCCUUCAUCGCCCUUGGUCCAUCGGUAACCUUUCGCUUGACCUUCACCGCACUCCGUCGACCGUCAUGCCGCAUCCUACACCUGCACAUCACAAGCCAAGAGCAACAUCAAACCAACACAACGUUGUCAAUCACUCAUCAUCCAAGGGUGACCACGAUUGGCCCUCAAUUGCUCUAUCUGUUAUGGGGAAAGAAUGUGUCACUAUAGUUGGUAAGCCGAGCGUCAACAAACUGGUUAUAAGUCAACAAAAUCCGACCCGUCACCUCUUCUUAGGUGUUUGUCCAUUGGAGAAAGAACUGGUUAUAAGUCUAUUGAAGAAACAAACUGCAAUGCUCCAUACGUUGUUUUUUCCAGAUUAUGGUGACCCCCUUGAUAUAUCAAAGUACACUUCACUGCGAGCAUUACACCUUCCAGCAUUGAUACAAUUUUCAGGACAGGAACAGCUUACAAGAGACAUACCACACCUAAGGUAUCUUAAUCUGUCGUCACAUGAGUUCGAGAAACUUCCUGAAGGUAUAAGCAUUAUGUAUAAUCUACAAACAUUGGACCUCUCUCAUUGCGUACACCUUCGUCAACUUCCAAAGGAUAUGAAAUAUAUGGCAAACCUCCGACACUUGUAUACCCAUGGAUGCAAAUCAUUGACGUGCAUGCCUCCAGGACUUGGACAGAUCACUUCUCUGCAGACUCUAACAUAUUUUAUUAUUGGUGAUGGCUUGGGAUGUAGUACUAUCAGAGAACUUCAAAACUUAAACCUUGGUGGAGAGUUAGAGUUAAGUGGUCUGCAAAAUGUAACAGAAGUGCUUGCAAAAGCAGCCAGUCUUGAAAAAAAAGAGAAACUCACACACUUAUCUCUCAAGUGGAAUGAUGAUGCCCGUGAGAAACCAGAUUAUUCUCAUAAUGAGGUGUUAGAUGCCCUUAAACCUCAUCACCGGCUAGAGAUGCUAAGAAUAAAGUCCUACAAAGGCACCAAUUUACCGUCAUGGAUAACAGAUCUUAGUCUGUUGCAGCACUUGACUGAGCUCCAUCUGCUUGGUUGUACGCUGUGCGAGGAAUUUCCUCAAUUCUGCCAUUUCAAAACCCUUGAAGUUCUGUAUUUGGAAAAGUUGAACAAAUUGCGAAGCCUAUGCAGCCAUACGGUGUCUACGCCAUUUCCAGCACUGAAGCAACUCCGGUUACAUGAUUUGGAGAGCUUGGAGAGAUGGGUCGCAACAGAAGGAAAAGAAGAUGAAUUAACCUUUCCUGUACUUGAGGAGGUUGAUAUAAAAAACUGUCCAAAGUUGACUAGCCUACCUGAAGCACCAAAACUCAUGUUUGUAAGGCUGGAUGAAACUCCGGUUACUAAUAAGCCUUGGGAAUCAUCACAGAAACUGGAACUAUCUUUGGGUGGCACAGAAGCCGCACCUCGAUCACAACUGAGAAUAUCUGGCAGCAACCUUUUCUUCAUAUCAAAACUGGAAAUGGUUUGGAAAUGGUUUGAACAUCUUGUAGAUUUCAGAAUUAAAAACUGUGAUGUGCACAUGUCUUCAAUUUCUAAGCUAUUAGU
Molecule: long non-coding RNA, 528793 nt
Filed under: Setaria viridis
Lineage: Eukaryota; Viridiplantae; Streptophyta; Magnoliopsida; Poales; Poaceae
Description: long non-coding RNA (SVIR_LNC010005)
Source: RNAcentral